This 431119-nucleotide long non-coding RNA is filed under the name Eucalyptus grandis. RNAcentral's name for it is "long non-coding RNA (EGRA_LNC000025)". The record is from RNAcentral. Lineage: Eukaryota; Viridiplantae; Streptophyta; Magnoliopsida; Myrtales; Myrtaceae.
CGGCCUUGAUCUUCUCCUCGGUGGUGUCCACCUCACCAAUGGUGAAGUACUUGCUCGUGUUCUUGCACACUGAGCCUCCCUCGGGCGACGCGGUGAUCUUCGCCUCGUAGCUAAUCUUCUCGAAGGUGGUGCCCAGCACGUCGCCCUUAAUGAUCGAGUAGCUGUAUGUGAAGUUCUCCUUGUCCAAGGCCUCAACCUUGUGCUUCAUUGUCUUGUACUGACUGCCUAUCAAAGAAAAAAGUAAUAUUCAUCUUUAGAACUCGCCAGUUUCAACAUCGCAAGCAACGAUCUUGAUGGCAUCAAUUGGGCCAUUUAGGUUGUUCCGACCGCAAUCCAAUACGAUUGACUUAGACAUGGCCUGAUUUCGCUCGAUCGGAAUCAAGCACAUGAUCACUUGUGAAAAAUCAAUUAUUAAAAACAUCUUAAUUAACCAAGUUACAUAUCUAUCUUUUUAAACAUUCAUGAUGAUGUUCCAUAAGGUUGGAACCACCUUGAUCCUGGGCAAUCCUAACACAGACAACCUAACCUUCGCUGAAAGUGAUCAACUUGAUGGUCCUGGGACCUCCAUUGCCCUUGAAGACUUCGACACUCUUGAUGGCUUGCGGGAGCACCUUGGGAAUGAGGUUAUCAUUGUCGAGGACAACAGCCUUGAACAUCUUGGCCAAAGGGACCGGGGUCGUGAUCUCAAAGUCGUAACUGACGACACCCAUGAUUGGAUUCGAAUUGAGUUGCUGAAACUAAGAAGGGGGUGAUCGGGAAAGGCUGAGCAGCAGUGAUGAAGUUAGUCUCUAGGAGUCAGGACUUGCGAGUGAAGAGAAGAGGCUGAACCGAAGCUCACAUAAAUAGAGAGAGAUUAAGGCUCCAUUCGUUUUACGGAAAAUAAUUUCUGGGAAAAUAUUUUUCGGAUUUUCCGGCGUUCGUUUCACAAAAAAUGAAUUCCUUGGGGAAAAUGUUUUUCAUGAAAGGAAAAAAAAGUGUUCUAAAUUAAGGGAAAUUUUUUUCUACUUUUGAAAAGUGGAAAACAUUUUCCUCACUUGAUCUCUCUUAUCUCACACCUCUACAAAUCCUCACUUCCUCCCAUUUCUUUUUCUUCUUUUCUUUUUUUGUUCAAAUUAUUUUUUAAUUAUUUUUUUCUUUUUUUAAUUCAAAUUAUUUUUAAUUUCCUUUUUCUUUUCUAUUUCUUUUCUUUUUUUCUUUUUCUUUUUUUUUCUUUGUUUCCAAUCUUUUUCUUUCUUGACUAGUUGUUGGCCAUUGCUAGGCGAAUCUCGAGCUCAUCGAUCUCAAGCUCGCGCUCUACACUCUUGCUUAUCAUUUUCUUUAUUUAUUCUAUCCUACAGUUGUACAUUGCUCAAGUAAAGUGCUUUAUAUGCUUUGCUUCUUUUUUCUUUUGUUUAUUAGAACACAAAAGACGUAGGGGGAGAACAGGCCACUCAACUGGAAGAUUCUCAUGAGGGUUGUACAUGCUUUGCUUCGUUUCUCUUUUGCUUCUUUUUAAAAUUCAUACGAACAUUUUUUAGAGUAGAUGAGCGUUUGGUGAUAAUGAGGGAACAAAGAUAUGAAGUAAGUUUGUUUGAUUUAAAGACAAGUUCAUAUUUGAUGGAUUUAUAAGUCGGUAAGUGAUGCAUGCCUAAGUGGUGAUGUCUUAGAAAAUAUUUUCCUUACCGGACACUGGAAAAUAUUUUCCAAAACAUUUUUAGGUUUUAACCGAACACCAGAAAAUAUUGUCAUUUUUCUAAAAAAAUAACUUAUGCGAAAAUAUUUUCUGGAAAUGACCCAUUUUCUGUGAAAUGAAUGGACCCUAAAUGUAAAAAGGUUUUCUUAACUAGAUAUUCUCUUCUCACUUGAUUGUGCGAUUAUUUCACGGAAAGUAAAUGAUUUAAAAUAUAUAUAUAUUUUAAAUAAUCAUUUAUACCAUUUAAAAUAAUUAGUUAAUGGAAAAUAUUUUCACUUUUUCUUCUUUUUUUAAACUAUACAAGCAAUCAAUUUGAGGAAACAUUUUUCAAAUUAUCCGAUUUCUAUGGAACAAAUCAAGUUAAAAAAAAAAACUUUAAUUGGUUUGUGAUCAAGUUCAAUCAUGAUAUGGACUUUGUUUAUAAAAUAAAAAAAUGUCCAUAUGAUAACAGAAUAUUAGUCAAAGAAGGCAUCUUCCUAGAAAAAUACCAAUCAUGAUUCCAUUUCCUUUUCAUGUAUUGACUUUCUAUCCAGGGGCAUUUGCUCGGCCAAUUCUUGGAUUUUUUCUUUAGCUAGAAUUCUUGGUUCAGCUUUGCUGAUUUCUUACAGUCUUAUCAUAGUGGAAAAUCUCAAGCCCUUUUGACUACAAAUGUCGUAUGGAUUUUUAAUCGAGAUAGGACUAAAUAGGAUGUGACAUAAAAAAAAAUUGAUAUUGUUUGGUGAUUAUAGUAAUAUAGUCGUAGAAAUCCACAUCAUAUUAUAUAUAUUAUUUGGUAUAAAUGACACAUUAGUAAAAAUGAACCAAAAUUUUUAUAAAUGGAAAUGGUAAAAAUCUCUCGCGAUACUCUAGCUUACUUUUAUUUUAUUUGGUUUUUUUUUUUUUGUGGCAUCCUAAAACUUCAUGACAACCCUUAGAUAUGCUAUGAACCAUGAAUAGGUGAUGGAAACACCAUCAAAUUAUAUUGUAGCCAUUAGACUCAUGAUUUGCAAUAAUAUUAAGGCCGAGCUUUUCAAUUGACCAUUAUUUGAUAGGAAAAUUUUAUUCUUGGCCAUACGUUUUAUAAGUUGGAUUUUAUUGAUUUAUGUUACAUAAUAUUAUGGCCAUAUGAAUUGGUAAUUAGGUGUAUACUUAGGUGAAGAUUAAAUGGGAAAAAUUAGAGAAGAGUGGAUUGAUUUUCUUAAGCCCAAGACCAGCCCCACCAUUCGGCCACUAAGGCCUGGCUUGCGAAGCCCAAAGGACUGCUGUCGAUUGGAUGGAGGAGUUGGCCCAAAGGAUGGCCCAUCAACCUACAUGAAAAUUAACAGGUAGAUAAAAGGAUUAGCCAAGUGGCAUCUACAUGCAAUCAAAUGAUUGCUAAUCAUUGCCGAAGGGAAGAAAAGAGAGGGAGAUUGAGCGGAGUGAGCGAGGAGUACUGAGAGAGAGAGAGAGAGAGAGAGAGAGAGAGAGAGAGAGAGAGAGAGAGAGAGAGAGUUGUCAUGCGAGAGAAAGAGAGACAGAGAGAAAGAGAGAAAGUAGGUGUGUGAGAGAGAAAGAGGAGGAGGAAGAAAACUGUUGUUGCCGAGCGUCCGCCUAGUCCUGCUGUCGAGCCCGCCUUGUCCCGCCGUCGUGUUUGCUGCAAUUUUCUUUGGAUUAGAGGAAAGUAGAGUCCGUUAGCCUACACUUUGCUUGCUGUGAUUGUGCUGUUGAAUGCUGGAAAUGCUUGAGUUGUGAUGUUGAAUGCUGGAAAUUCAAGUGAAUGGUGGUGGUUUUCCAAGUGAGCUGUUGCAUGUAGGAACAGUUCGACUUUUGGUGAUUUCGUGAGCUGCAUACGAUUUUGUAAUUGGAAUCUCACUUCAACUUUUUGAUGAAAGUUGUAGAGGACUUCUUGGAGAUUAAUAUAUCAAAAUUUGAGAGAAAACAGACAAUUAUUCAUUAGUGAAACCAUUUUUCUUCAAAGAUACUAGAUCUGGAAACUGUUAUGUUGAUCUAUUGUGAUUAUGUGAAUUUUGUGCAAGUAUCCAUUCUGAAUUUGAUCUUGUGUCCUUGAUAAUAGUUGUAGAAGACAUCUUGAGAAAUAACAUACUAAAAUUUGAGAAGAAACGGACAAUUAUUGGUCGGUGAAAUGAUUUUUCUUUGAAAUGGUUAGAUCUGGAAAGCGUCACUGAGGGUUAGGAAGAGUAUGGUGACUGUAGCUUUUGAUCUAUCACGAAUCUGACUUCGAUUUAUUCACGAAAAUUUUACCAAUAUGUCUUAGUUAUAACAUGUUGAAAUCGCAGAAUUUUUGGAGUUCAUUUAAGGGCUUAAUCGAAAUUAUUUCCGAAACUGUGCAAAAAGGGGUGCUGGAAUUUCUUUUGCUGUGAUGUAUGGACCUAUGUGAUUGAUGUGAAACUUUCUUGACAUGGUGUUCUGCAUGAAAUAUUUUUCUCUAGGUCUUUUUUACAUCAUGUGAAAUUUUUAGAAUUUAUUGAGAUCGUUUAUUAAUUUUUCCAGAAUUUUUAUUAAAGAAGUGCAUUCUGCUUUAUUCGAAAAUUGUCCUAUUUUGAAAAACAAAUGAAUUGCUUUAUGAAAUAUGAAGUAUUGAGUGGUUAUUUAUGCUGCAUAUGUGGUGACAUUUGGCAUAUCAUAUGACAUCAAAAGGCAGGUUUAGACCUCGAAUAUUAUUGCGUCAAAUGCUUAUUUGAAAAUGAGAUAUAUAUAUAUAUAUAUAUAUAUAUAUAUAUAUAUAUUGUGGUGAUGAUGAUAUCGUCGGAGGUGUGAGCCGACGAUGCCCCGGGAGUGUCAGGAUGCCCAAAUGUUCGAAUGAGUCGAUGCCCUUUGGAUGCCUGAUUGUAUUAUGAAUACAUGCCCAAAGGGUCCUCGGGAGUUUCGAGAUGCCUGGUGGUAUACGGUAUGUAAUUCCAGGGGGAUACCUGGUGGUAUGUUGGUAUGUAAUUCCGGAAGCCCUGGAGGUGUGUGCCGGGGGGAUCCUCAUGAUGCUAGUUGGAGUGCGAGAUGCCCGGAGGUUUGUGCCAGAAGUUCCUCGCGAUGCCAGGUUGUAUGCGAGCGAUAAAUGAGGGAUGCAAGCAGUGGUCCCUAGGAGAAUGAUGGGAUCCUUUUGAAUAUCAAAAUGAGAAUUGAAUCAUGCAUGUGUGUGUGUGCAUAUGGCAUGUGAUAUAAUUGCCUGUGAAAUUGAGUUGAUACUAUUUGGCAUCGAAUGGAUCUCAUGAGGAUAUAUACAUGAUUAUGUGGAUGACAUGAAUUAUGCGUAUGGAUAUGUGCAUAUGGCAUGAGAUAUAAUUGUCCAUGAACUUGAAUUGGUAUUACUUGGCAUGGGAAAUAUGACUAGUAAGGUCGUGAAUGAAUCUCAUGGACAUAUAUGCAUGAUGGCAUGGAUGAUAUAUGCAUGUCGCAUGAAAUUGUGUUGUCUUGCCUAAUGCAUUGUGUAGUUUGAUGGAUAUUUACUACUGAGUGGUUGUACUCACCCCUUUGGGGACCAACAUUUCAGAUUGAGCGAUGCCUCUAGCAUCUGUCACAUGUGGUACAUUCGAUGGUAUACCAUCUGAUGUUGAGGUCGAGUGCAAGGAACACCCCUGCGUCGGUGUUCAUGGUCUGGUGUUUAUCCGCGUCCAUGUCUUGGUCAUGUAUGAUGUGAGCCUACCUGAUAUAGUAUAGGAGUUUCUAUCUGUCCAUGUUUGUCGAGAUAAGAGGAUGAUAGGGAUGCUGCCGCCGCCACUGGCCGAUGCAUCGAGAUGGGUGUGAUAGGAGUGUGUGAUUGGUGGAGGUUGAUACUUUUUGGGAUGGCUGACACUAGCUUAUGGAUAGAUGUACAUGUAUGAUGUAUAGUUGGGUUCUUUUGGGUUUAGCCGAGCUUAGUUAAAGUCUUGGCCUUUUGUUGUACCGACUUGUGAAAUCCAUCUUAGUUAUGUAAAUAAAAGUGAUUCGGCCCUAAUAUAUAUAUAUGAAAGGUUGUAUUGCAUUGUAUUAUUUAGUUUGUGUAUGGGUUAGGGAGAUGAUGAGUAUGCUUCCGUUAUAUGAACUGCGCUGGGACCGAUUAAGGUUAUACGAACCCCCAAGGAUUUAUGGACCCGCUACAAUUGAAAUGGUAUUAGAGUAGCAUGUUAUUAGGACAAGUGAAAGGUAAGCAAAUUGUGGCGACCCUAGCAAAUUGGGGGCUGUGUCGAGGGGCGCACAUUUUUAUUUUAUUUUCCCCUCUUUUAUUAAUUAAUCUUUUUUAUUUUUUCCCCUCCCAUCAUUCUCUAAUAAAUUUUUAUUAAAUAGUAGAUUGUACUAAUAUAAUCAAAAUACUAAUAUAUUGAAAUUAUUUUAUAAAAAAUAAUUAAAUUCGAAUAUAUGAAAAUAAAAAUAAGAUUAAAUUAUAAUAAUUAAUUCAUUAUUUUUUUGUUUUUUGAAUUUCUUAUAUUAGAAUUCAAAUAUUAUUUAUAUUGAGAUAUAAUUUUAAUUUUGUUAAUUUAAAAAAGUUGUCCUUUGGUUCAAUGUGCAAUGUAAUCCAUGAACUUUUAAUUUGUUCAAUAUGAUCAAUAUAUUUUUUAUACAUGUUUAAUGUUGUCUUUAAGUGGUAUGUAAAUGUUCAAUAUAGUCUUUUAUUAAUUCAAAAUCAGGGUGAACAUUUUCAUAUAAUCUAGUGACUAAAUUGAAUAUAUACAAAAAAAAAAUCAAAUAUUACAUUAAACAAAUUAAAAGUUCAAGAACUGCAUUGCACAUUGAGUUAACAUUGAUAGAUCAUAUUAAAUAAAUUAAAAAUUUAGAGAUCACAUUAUACAUUAAGUUAAAAUUCAUGAAUUAUUUGUAUCAUUUUUCCAUAUGAAAAAGCUUACACAAAAAGUCCCGACACAUGGAUAUCAACCCUCCAUAAAUUUCGCCCAUAAAGUAACUCUCGCUUAAUUGCAUGUGAUAGAAAAGUAAAUUGUUCCAUUUACCUUAGGAGCAUCUCUCCUCCCAUGGAGAGCUAAACCCCUCAAAACCCAAUAAAUUGCCCGUACAACAAAUGAUUCACUUUAGGAUUAACUUUUAUUUCAAUCACCCCAUUCUUUUGCUAAAGCAACAUAAAGCUUCUGCAAACCCUUUUUAUUUUUUUUAUUUUUUAUUUUUUUUCGAAUUUUAACUUUGUCUUCAUGGACUACGGGGAGAGGGAGGGAAGCUUUGGCCAUUUUCCUUAGAUGCAUCUCUCCCUUGUUCAGCCUCCAACCUUUUGCAACCCUCUCCAUGCAUUGACUGCUCUUUCAUGUUAUUGUUGUGAUAUUAUCUUGUUCCUAGUUUUGUCUGGUUAUCAAAAGCAAAUUGAAAACUAUGAUGGGUCUCUUGUUUCUGAUUGGGAAUUAUCCCCAGACAAAUCCAUUUUUCCUCGGCCAAAAGGUUAAUUAAUUGUUUGCAUGAAAUGAUUCCAGAAGGAUAUUGCAAUAUGAGCAUAUAUAUGUUACCUUUUCCCCAUUGUAAGCAAGAACUUAAUACAUGUUUUUCUUGAUCAAAGCUAGCCUAUCUCUAGUUUCUUUUUCAAAUGCUUUUCUUAGAAUAGGCCUUUUGUGUAAUAUUGGCCUUUAGUGGGACCAAAAAACACAAGGAAAAAAAAGGGGUUGAAAAGUGAAAAGAAAAAAAUUAAGUGGAUGCUUUAGCUUAUAAAGAAAAGCAAAGAGGAAAAGAAAAGAAAGAAAAAGAAAGAAAGGGGAAAAGAGAAAGAGCUUUGUGUGUACAUGCUAUGGGAGCCUCACUAGGCUGGAGUUACUUUGAUUUGCAAUGUAUGGUAAGUGCUUGCACCUCUUAUUCUUCUAAUCGGAGUAGUUUUUGGAGUUAUGUCGUAGUUUUGGGAAUUAUGUCAUAUAUUCAAAGUUUUGUGAAAAUCAAGUUGCGAAAUCCGAUUAUUGAGUUGUUGAGUUAUGAGAUUUUAUGAAAAUGGUGGGUUAUGGUUUCGUGAAGCCAUAGGGUUUGUCGAGAGUUGUUUUUGAGUGAUAGUUUAUUUGGAGUGAGAGUCUUAGGAUUUCACAUUCACAUUCCGUAUGGUGAACAUCUUAAAUAAUCACUUCAAUGAGCGAUUUAUUAGUGCGUAGAAGUUGUUUUGUUCGUGUUUAGAUGUAGUUUAGCCAUUUUGUAGUUGAGGUAGAGUAUUACUUAGUUUUAAUGUUGAUUCUCGUUUAAUUGAUAGAACUAUGAAAUCAUCAACCCGUUUAGCUACACGUUGGUUGAUUUGGGCAUUCAUACGUUAGUAAACUCAUUUCUUAAAAAUUAUAGAAAUUUGAUAUAUUAUAAGUUAUUACAAUUUGAUAUUUGUAAAUGGUUUGCCAAAUGUUUUUGGAAAGUUGUUGAGAAAGGUUAUAUGUAUAUGUAUGGGUUGAUUUGUAAAUAUGGCUUAUGAAGUGGAUUUUGAAAUGGUUUGUGAAACGUAUUAUGAUUUAUAAAAUGGAUUUCGAAAUGGUUUGAGAAAUGCCUCGUAAAAUGUAUUAUGUUUGAUGAAUGGAGUUGAGAGAAAGAUUAUAUGUUUGGUUUGUGAAACCGUUUUGUGAUAUUGAUUCCAAAUUAGCUUGUGAAUUGUGAAGGAUAUUGUUGUGAAUUUUUGUUGGUACUUAAUAUCGCUAUGAGCCCAAUAAGGGGUUUGUAGGUAUGCAUACUAGUUAGGAUAUUCUUGUGAGCUAGCUACCGUCAAUAUAAGUGGAAACCUUGCCAAAGGUGAGCUUGGUUACCUUGUCAUGGAGCAUUAUGCAUGUCGUGGUAGAAUUUAAGUAGGGGUUUGGCCAAUGGAUGGACUAUUGACAUGUGACUUGAUAUUAGUUGAUAUAAUGGACCAUUGACAUGGUUUUUUUUUUAGAUUGAUUAAUGGACUUAAACAUGGACUUAACCAUUGAUGUUUGUCAUAAUGAUAUUGAUUUAAGGAGUAUUUUUUUUUAUAUGUAUAUAGUUAUGUUAAAAUGAUAGAACUCAUCUUUAUCUUAUCUGUGUAUUAUGUUAUGAAAUUGAGAUAAAUGAGUUUUAAUAUUAUUUUGUAAAGUACAUAGUGGAUACUCUAUCUACUUAGAAGAUAUGAGUACUACUCAUUAGGCUAUGGUUACUCAUUCCAUUCAUCUUUCAUGCUUUUCAGGUCCUCAAUUAGUGGCUAUUAGAGUGAGAGUGUUAUUCAGGAGAUUUUUGAAGUUGACUUUUGACACGCCCUAAACCUCCGAGCAUGUGCACAUCCCACUUCGGUCGAUAGAAAUGCGACUUCCUAAGACACAUCGCCAACCCAUUUAUGUUAUUACGCAUGCGGAAGCAAAACAAAUCCCUUGACAACAUUUAACUUGGGAUAGAAAAUCAGGAAAUCAAUCACAACCAAUCAAGCUUUCUUAUAAACACAUAGGUUUAUAUACAACACUGGAUUGUCUACAAAAUAGACUGGCUCAACAAAAAGGGGACUGUCUUAACAUCCACUAGUCAAACCCAUUUGCCGAUUCUUUAGCCUCCACUUUCCGAACUCCAGGACUUCCGGUCCUCCACGAUCAUCAUCUAGGGACCUGAAAUAUUGUCCCACAACCGGAAUGAGAUGAUAUCUCAGCUAGUCCUACCCUCUAAGACCCGAUUAGGAAAAAAAUACGCCUCACGGCACUCUAGCCACACAAAUAGGAUGGAGUACUUACCUCGCCUUAGUCAUUUUCUGCACUUCAGUACAAUUCAAUUCUCAAUCACACAAUUGAGCCAACUAUUCAAUUCAAUCAUACUAUCUAUCUUUCCAUUUCAAUUCGUACUAUCUAUCUUUCGAUUUCAAUCUGUACUAUCUAUCAACCAUUAUUAUCUAUCAUUCAAUACUGUCUAUCAAACCAGUUGUUAAUACGACACAUGCUCUCCAAAGCUGUAAUAUAUAGACGGUAACUCGCUCAAGCUGUAUAGAUAGAUAAUAGCUCGCCCAAGCUGUAUAGAUAGAUAAUAGUUCGCCCAAGCUGUAGAUAGAUAAUAGCUCGCUCAAGCUAUAGAUAGAUAAAUCGUGCUUGCACAAGCUGAUAAAAUGAUCUUAGCUCACACAAGCUUAUAUAUAUGUAUAUAAUAUUUGCUCGCCCAAGCUGAUACAUAUAUAUAAACUAAUGCUCGCCAAAGCUAUUCAUUCAAUAAUAAGCCAAUCCAUACUUCAAUUAAAUCAAUCAUCAAUCCAAUCAAUUCAAACUGGUCAUACAAACCAAUUACGGUGCUAAAAGCCAACACCGAGUAUUUUCAAGUUAAAUACCAAAACUUCUCCAAUUUCACACAAUCCCACACUUUUGGAAUUAUUAACCAUAAUUAUCAAUCACUCAAAUUUUCAAUUUAAACAUACAAUUAGCACAAACUGACCACACCAAUGCGAUUAGCGUGAAAUUCUAAUGAUCGGCCGUUCUGGCAAAAUUUUCGAAAUUAUUAAAUAAUUAAAUAUUAAAUUAUAAUAAUAUAAUUUAAUAAAUUAAUAUUUAUAAAUUCGAAAUAAUUAAUUAAUUAAAAAUAAUUAAUUUGGGCUUAAACAAGAUUACAUUAAUUUAAUCAUACAAUUAGCCAUAAUUAAACAUCCAUUAAACUAAUCAUAUAACUAAUCUAAUUUACAUUAAAAUAAUCUAAUCUAACCACCUAAACCUAAUUAGACUAAUUUAAACACCUCUUAAGCAUAAUUAACUUACUAAGCAGGGAUUAGAGGAUAAACUCACCGGUUUUGCGCGCCAGUGAGUUCACGGCGACCACGACGCCAAGGCGGUCGAUAAACCCCGAAGCGACGAUACCAACGUAGGCCGGGAAGGGCUUGAAAACGGGCCACGAAGUCUCCAAAACCUUGCUGUCUUCUGCUUCUGAUCUGGGCUGAACUGCAGAGAAGAAAACAGCAACUUCAACGGCGAAAACAGGCUGAUCUGAGCUCCGGCGAGCAGGUGGUUGGCAACCGGCGGCUCCUGGAGGUCAAGGGAAUCUUAUUGGAGGUUUGGAUGGGCAGAGGAAGGACUGGAAUGGGAGAAAAAUGGCCGAAAACGCGAAACAGUGCAGGCUGCAGGCAGGCUGACGGACUGGCGACCGGUUCCUUCCCGGCAGCGCCCAUGCCGUCCGGCGGCUCCGUUCGGGACGAAAUUGGGCUCGUUGGAACGGUCUGUCUCUCCUGGUCACAGUAAUAGGUGGCUCAUUGACUGAUUCAUCUGGGAAGACGACUUUUAACUCGAUUCUUCACUGAAGGGUCAGCUGGAGCAGAAACUGAAGGAGAGGGAAAACGAGGAGAGAGAGAGCUUCGUUCGAGGGAGGCCGAAUGGGGGAGAGAGAGAGUGAAGUGAGGGCUGUCAAGACCCCCAUCAAUGCUUGCUUCAAGUCCCCAUGCCAAGCCAUCAUCAUUUUCUCUCUCUUCUCUAGCCUUUUCUCCCUACAACUAGGGGUAUUUUGGUCAUUUCACCUUGCAAAAAUUACAAAUCUGACAUUGGGCUGAAGUUGGUGGGUGGACCUAAGGAUUGGGCUUGGCCAUGAAUAGGAAUGGGCUUGGGAAUUUGUUGGGCUUGAAAUGGAUAAGAAUUGGCCCAUGGGCUUAGAAGAUAAAUAGUAGGUUUUGCCCAAUGGGCUUAUUUGCUUGACUUAGGCCCAUUAAGGUGGCUGUCCAACUUUGGGCCUAGGGCCCACACUGGCUUGGCCCGGCCCACGACCUCACGAGCUCGCUUCCUCGAUUCAAAAAUCCAUUUUCCAAUUGCUCGGCUUAACUGGCUCUGUCAACUGUUUGAUGUAGCUUCAUCCAAAGUCUGUCCCGGACAUUCCCAAUAAUUCGAAGUCCAAUCCUAAGUUCUUUUGCCAUGUCAAUUUCGCCAAAUGCCAUUUCGAUUACAACUCAAACUAACGGGUGGCUGUGAGGAUUUACGCGUGACCGACUCGUGCCAAACCACGUUCAAGACAUCUCGACGCAUGGACGUCCUUGACUGUAUAAAAUUAUGGAGGAUAUAUUCUUAUUUCAAAAUACACGAUUACUAAGGAUCAACAUAAGGUCGUUCAUGGAUUCGAUAACAGUAAAUGGAAUCACUCGUCGUUCCAUUAUGUUCUGCCUGCGAAUCGACUUUUAGUUGUCCUUAGAACCGGCAUGGCUAUCUAUAGGAUCGUCCUCACGUAAAUUUCACGGUCAAGUCGUUUUCCUAGGUCGAGUCCUUUAGUCGUACGAGUUCUGUCCUCAUUAGUCUUUCCCCUCAAGGUCAGUAUCUCAUGAGUGAUCAAUUCCGAGCGAGAUCAACCAACAAUGCAUUGACGAAAUUCACCUUCACUCAUCCCUCAGAGAGCUUGAAUUUCAGGAUGUCACAACUUUUGGGUAGAUAGAGGCUACAUCGUUCAGGUGGAAAGAUAGCCGUCCUAUUCCCUUUUUUGCUAGAAUUUGAGGUGUGGUAUUUUGUUUCUUCAAGUUUAGAAUCAGUUUGAUCGAGUGUCCUUUCCAUUUGAAUUGGUGGCCAUCUUAUCAAAAAGUUAUUCUACAAGUGUGAACUCAACCACAAAUUUGGGCCCCAAAAUCUGGGUUAGGAUAAAUUUCUAUGGUUUCAUGUAUACAAUGUUUUCCAUGUACUUCUCUUGAAUGCUAAAACUGACAUAAGCAACGAGUGUAAUUGGGGUAGGAUCGUUACAUACAUUGUUUGUGAUGUCUAACAUGAUGAAAUCAUUUAUGAAUUCACACACUUUUAAGUAUGAUAUCUUUAAAAAAAAAAGGACCGCUGCUAAUGCAAAGUCGGUCUAUAAAUAUCUUGAAUUGCCUUUAUAUAUGUCGAUUUCAAUGAAUUGUAAAAGAGGUACAAGGGAAAGGGGUAACUAUGUGUGGCACCCCCGACACGGCCCCUGAACCGUUAGGGUCACCACAGUUCAAUUACCAUCCUCUUGCUUGGCCUUCAAUCUUAGGGGUUUACAUCAUUUAGAUCGGUCCCUGCGCAAUUUAUAUGGCGGAAGCGUAUCCAAUAACUCCCUUCCCUAUAUUUAGAAAACGAUGCACACCUACUAAACAUUUAUAGGUAAAAGUUGAACACUUUUAUUUACUUAAACCAGAUGGACAUUAUUCAAUGAUACAUCAAAAUGCUGUAGUCUUCUAUACUCGGCUAUACUUCAAAAGAUGACCGACAUCUCAUCCAACAGUCGUAUACUUAAAGUCCAUCGAUCAGUAUCGACGUCCAAAAGUUCCUUCAUUUGCUAUCCUCCUCCUCACGGUCAUAUCCAACCACUCGAUCCAUCUACCUUUGGCAGUGGCCGCAGAGGUACUUAUCUAGUUUGAAAUGUUAGUACCAAAACGGGGUGAGUACAACCACUCAGUAGUAAAGAUCUAUCAAACUACACAAUGCAACAAGCAAGACAACCACAAUUCAUGCAAAAUGCACAUAUCAUUCAUGCCAUUAUACAUAUAUGUCCAUGAGAUUCAUUCACGACCUUACUAAUCAUAUUUCCCAUGCCAAGCAAUACCAAUUCAAGUUCAUGGACAAUUAUAUCUCAUGCCAUAUGCACAUACCCAUACACAUGAUUCAUAUCAUCCACACAAUCAUGUAUAUAUCCUCAUGAGAUCCAUUCAAUGCCAUCAUGAUCGCAUUCUCAAUGCCAAAUAGUAUCAACUCAAUUUAACAGAUAAUUAUAUCACAUGCCAUAUGCACACACACACAUGCAUGAUUCAAUUCCCAUUUUGAUAUUCAAAAGGAUCUCAUCAUUCUCCCAAGGACCAGUGUUUGCAUCCCUCAUAUAUCGUUCGCAUCCAACCUGGCAUUGCAAGGAACCUUCGGCACAAACCUCCAGGCAUCCGGCAUAAACCUCCAAACAUUUUGCAUCCCACCUGGCAUCACGAGGAAUCCCCCCGGCACACACCAGGGCUUUCGGAAUUACGUACCGACAUACCACCAGGCACCCCCUAGAAUUACGUACCAUAUACCACCGGGCAUCUCGAAACUCCCGAGGAUCCUUUGGGCAUGUAUUCAUAAUACAACUAGGCACUCACAGGGCAUCGACUCAUUCGAACCUUUGGGCAUCCCGACACUCUCGGGGCAUCUUCGGCUCACACCUCCGACGGUAUCAUCAUCACCACAAUGUAUAUUCACACACACAUCUCAUUUUCAAAUAAGCAUUUGAUGCAAUAAUAUUUGAGGUCCAAACCAGCCUUUUGAUGUCAUAUGAUAUGCCAAAUGUCACCACAUAUGCAGCAUAAAUAACCACUCAAUACAUCAUAUUUCAUAGAGCAAUUCAUUUGUUUUUCAAAAUAGGACAAUUUUCGGAUAAAGCAGAAUGCACUUCUUUAAUAAAAAAAUCUGGAAAAAUUAGUAAACGAUGUCAAUAAAUUAUGAAAAUUUAAAAUGAUAUAAAAAAGACCUAGAGAAAGAGAUUUCAUGAAGAACACCCUGUCAAGAAAGUUUCACAUCAAUCACAUAGGUCCAUACAUCACAGCAAAAGAAAUUUCAGCACCUCUUUUUGCACAGUUUCAGAAAUAAUUUUGAUUAAGCCAUUAAAUGAACUCCAAAAAUUCUGAGAUUUUAACAUGUUAUAAUUGAGACAUAGAGGUAAAAUUUUUGUGAAAAAAUAAAAGUCAGAUUCGUGAUAGAUCAAAAUCUACAGUCACUCUUCCUAACCCUUAGUGACGCUUUCCAAAUCUAACCAUUUCAAAGAAAAGUCAUUUCACCGACCAAUAUUUGUCCAUUUAUUCUCAAAUUUUAGUAUGUUAUUCCUCAAGAUGUCGUCUACAACUCUUAUCAAGAACACAAGAUCAAAUUCGGACUGGAUACUUACACAAAAUUCACAUAAUCACAACAGAUCAACAUAACAGUUUCCAGAUCUAGUAUCUUUGAAGAAAAAUGGUGUCCGUUUUCUCUCAAUUUUGAUAUGUUAAUCUCCAAAAAGUCCUCUAUAAAUUUCAUCAAGAAAUCGAAGUGAGAUUCCAAUUAUAAAAUCGCAUGCAGCUCACGAAAUCACCAAAAGUCGGACUGUUCCUACAUGCAACAGCUCACUUGGAAAAACCACCACCAUUCACUCGAAUUUCCAGCAUUUAACAUCACAACUCAAGCAUUUCCAGCAUUCAACAUCACAAUAAUAGCAAGCAAAGUGUAGGCUAACGGACUCUACUUGCCUUAAAUCCAACGCAACCACAGCAAGCAAAAUGGAGGACUCGGGAUCUCGGAUGCUGCUCGGUGACGGCGGACUCGAGCGGUGUCGACGGUGGUAGCUCGGACACGGCACGAGCGAAGGGUGGCCUUCCUUCUCUGCCCUCACACGCACGGACCGCUCGCUGCUCACCCUCUCUCUCUAACUCUCACUCGAAUUCUCUCUCUCCCUCACACUUGCUCGCCCCCCCCCCCCCCCCCCCCCCCCCCCCUCACUCUCUCGGCCUCACUCUCCUUUUACCGAUAGUUUUUGCUUUUCUUUGAUUAACUAAUUCACUAAUUUUGUAUGCAGGUGACAAGUGUUCUCAUGGAAAGGACAAGUAGAAGAUGCAUGGACAAGUGGCUUCAAAUAAUGAACAAGUGGAGGCAAUUCAAGGACAAGUGUUAGAAUGGCAUCCCCUUCUCACGAGCCCUCUCUCUCUGUCCGAAUUCUUUUCUCUCUGGUUAGUACAAGUGAGCUGAUUAGUCGCUGGUUUUUCACCAAAACCAGUCAACUAAGAGAUAAUUUUUCCAUGGUUUGGCUGCAUGAAGGGCAGCUGGAUCCGUACGCGUCCAGCAUGCUUCUCUUCCUUCGACACUUGCUCCUCUCUUGCAACGUUUCUUCAGCCAUUUAACUAAUUCUUUUCUUAAUCCCAAUUUGCUGGCCGACCGCGAGAAAGCAACGUGGCAUCAAUGGUCAGAAAUUUUCCUCUCAUAGUUGGCUAGGGUGUCGACCAAAUGGAGAGAGGUUGGGGCAGCCUUGGGCGCGGACGAUUCCUCCUUUUCCGCAUGGGUGUGCAUGUCCCUCAUGCACGGCUGAAUUCUAUUUCCUCGGCUCAGAAUUUUAAUUAAUAGAAGUCCAGAAUUUCCCUCUCAUUUCGUAUACAUUUUAGUGGUACAAUUGUGUAGCGUCAUCAAAGCAAUUUGCACAACUCAAUAAGGUUGAAUGUAGUACUAACGAUGAUGAAUUCCAAUAGUAGUUUCGUCAAUCCAUGACGUUUCAAAUAUGGGUGAGAUUGGUCUCACUAAUAACCUUAUGUAAAGAGGCUUUUGACAAUACUCUAGUCUAUCCCACAAUCGGACUAUUUUCUAAACAUGAGGUACGGUCCAUUAAAUUGCUCGGCCUUAAUUAAAUUAAAAUCUAUUAGCCAAAGACCAUAACAUAGUCCGAUGACGCUUCCAUCACCUAUUCAUGGUUCAUGGUAUGUCUAGGGGUUGCUAUGAAAUUCUAGGAUGCCACACUAUGGUUAGAGUUCUGUAGUCUCUGGUUCUAAGAAAAAUCCUGUCAAAUCUCUUCUCUAGGUGUAGGUGUCGUCGACAAUGAAAUGGAAGAAUUGCAUUGGUUUCUUUUUUGCUUCUUCUAAAAUAUUUUACUUCUCAAACUCUCCAUAGAGCUUCAUGCUUUUUACUAUUCUUAGGUUAUGGUUGCCUGAUGGUAUGAUUUAUGUAAUUAUGCUUCCCUUGUAGACUGCAAAAGUUAUAGGGGCGGCCAUCCAACCAUUACUAUAGUCAGUUGGUCGGCUGCAGCUUGUUGUCGCUCGGGUUCAGGCCCUUUAUAUCUCUGCUUCAGAUAUUUUUGAGCUUGACAGUCUCUAAAAUUGGUAAACGUUGUCUUCCAACAGAUUGACAAGGCCACGCAUGAUCAAACUAGAGAUUCUCUUCACGAGCGUCAAGCUGAUGAAAGUGAUGAUGAGGACGAAGACAUCGAUCAUGUCUUUUACAGGGAUGAGGAUGAAUCUGGACAAACUAGCGAUGAUACAAAUGAUGACGAGAAGCUCUAAAUUUUAAGAGUUAGUCAACCUUGCUGGUGUUAAAUUUGAUUUGUCGUGUUGCAUCUUCAUAAACUAUGGAUUGUUGGGGUAAUUACUAAUUAGUGGGUAAAAAAGUAGGUGAAGGCUAUAAGACUAUUUUCGAGGUGAGGACACCUGGAGUGCCAUAACUUGGCACGUCGGGACACUUAAGUGCCAUAACUUUAAAAUGGUACACUUAAGUGCCAUCAUCGGAGUAAAAUGGGACACUUAAGUGCCACUCCGGCGAAAAUCCGGCCAAAUGGCUGACGUGGCGACUUUCUGGCGAGCUCGGUCCAAAACGGCGUCGUUUUGCAUGCUGACGUGGCGGAGAAAAUGCAAAAACGACGCCGUUUCGCGUCUAUGUGUAAAUAAUAGUAUAUAAAUUAAUUAAAUUAGAUUUAAAAUAUUCAAAAAUUUUAAAAAAAAUAAGAAAAAUUUUAAAAAUUUUAAAAAUUUUAAAAAAUUUUAAAAAUUAGAAAAUUUAAAAAAAUUUAAAAAAUAAGAAAAUUUAAAAAAAAUUUAAAAAAUUAAGAAAAUUUUAAAAAUUUUAAAAAUUAAGAAAAUUUUAAAAAUUUUAAAAAAUAAGAAAAUUUUAAAAAUUUAAGAAAAAUUUAAAAAAAAUUUAAAAAAUUAAGAAAAUUUUAAAAUUUUUUUAAAUUAAGAAAAUUUUACAUUUUUUAAAAAUUAAGAAAAAUUAUAAAAAAAAUUAAAAUUAUAAAAAAGUUAUAAAAAGGGGGGGGGGGGGGGAGGCCGAACGGGGCGGCUCCCUUGCCGCUGCCGGCGGCUCCCUCACCGCCGCCACCUCCCCCCCCCUUUUUCUAAAUUUUUUAAUUUUUAAAUUUUUUUUAAUUUUUUUUAAAUUUUUAAAAUCUUUUAAAAUUAAAAUUUUUAAAAUUUUCUUAUUUUUUAAAAUUUUUAAAAUUUUCUUAUUUUUUAUUUUUUUAAAAUUAAUUUUUUUUAAUUUACUUUUUUUUUUAAAAAAAAUUUAAAAAAAAAAUUUUUUAAAAUUUUUUUUUAAAAUUUUUUUAAAAUUAAAAAUUUUAAAAUUUUCUUAUUUUUUUUAAAUUUUUAAAUUUUUUUAAAUUUUUUAAAAUUUUUUAUUUUUAAAUUUUUUUAAAAUUAAAAUUUUUAAAAUUUUCUUUUUUUUUUAAUUUUUAAAAUUUUUUAAAAUUAAAAUUUUUUAAAAUUUCUUUUUUUUUAAUUUUUAAAAUUUUUAAAAUUUUCUUAUUUUUUAAAAUUUUUUUUAAUUUUUUGAAAUUGAAAUUUUUAAAAUUAAAACUUUUAAAUUUUUAAAUUUUUUUAAAAUUUUUAUGCUGAUUUGGAGCUCCGGCGAGCCACGUAGGCAAAAAAUAAUAAUAAAAUAUUGCCACGUAGGAUUUCCGGCAAGGGUCGCCGGAGGUGGCACUUAAGUGUCCCACUCUAGAAAAAAAGUGGCACUUAAGUGUACCGUUUUGAAGUUAUGGCACUUGAGUGUCCCGGCGUGCCAAGUUAUGGCACUUGUGGUGUACUUCUGCCGACUUUUUUCUCUGAUUCCAUUUUCAGGUAAAGUCUUAUAUUCCACUGCGAGAAGUGAGUUCCAUACAGCUUCUUGUAGAUAGACUAUUUUGAUAUUUCGACUAAGAACCAGUUAAACAUGAUCCCCUCGGAGAAAUUCAUACAUAUGCUGCCAAUUUCGCGCCCUCCACAAAUUUUAUGAUUCCGAUUGCAUGUGCUGGUCUCAAGCAAUCACCCCGACGACAGAGACCACCAUAGACUAGCCGUUGUGGUAGCGGUGGUUGCCCUGCAGCGGAUUAUGGCAUCUCUAUGUAUACUUUUCCUGAAAAUUGUUUAUUCAAUUAUACAAUCAUAUCCUCCGUUUAUCAAACACUCUGUAGGACCGUUUAUCUGCACCUGCCCUUGUAUCCGGUGUGUUUGCAUACAAGGAAUUUGAUACCAAAAAUCCGCAGGACUUCUUGUUCGAUCUUAAUGUAUCCCUUUCGACUUUAUUUCUUAGCGACCGAAUGCGGCGUAAGAGUAGAACAUGACAAUUUACCCUCGACGAGUUGACAGAGUACAUGUCGCAUUCUUUAGAUAUAAUUCCAAAAUCUGAGACCCAGAAACUUUAGAUGACCAUCUCACUGACCUGGGAUGCUUUAGAUGUCCUCACUUGGAUUGCACCGCACGGCAACCUAAAAACCGUUCUGGCAUUUUAACAUCAUAUGCUGUAUGCUGGAUAUAAUUAUCAAAGGUUCUAAAUCCAAUAAUUAUGUAAAGCGAAGUCAGCUAAAAGCCAAGAGAUCGCUAUUGAGACAUUUGACAACAUUAAAAUGAUACCAUAGUUUCACACAUAAAACAUGGAAUAUGACACAUAGAAUUCCAAGUUCGUUCGGGUAAGAGAAACGACAAAAAGCAAAGCGAGUUCAAAAGGAAAAGCGAAAAUGGUUGCUGUAUUUGGUUUUAAAUGAUUCGUUCGAUUUUGCAGGGUUUCAAUACGUCCCGAUCCAAAUUAAGCUGCAUAUUUAUCAUGAAACUCAAAGUGGGGCACACGCAACUAUCGAGACCGAAAGAAAAGAAAGAAAACGGGGGGCCGCACGCUACGAUAAUCACUCAAUUGAGGACCACAUCGGACCAAAGUUUAUUCGGACAACACUUCAUAUGGGCUUGCGAACGAAGCAAGUACAGCCAAUUUACGAGACAUUUCCCAGAACCACCAUCAUAUUGGCCUAAGACACGAGCAGUCCUCUCUCACAGGGUGACAUCCCCUUGGCGGACACAUACAGGAUGGAAGAGAACUGAGUCUCACGGACUCCGCCUCCGCAUGAGCCUGGAUGGCCCUGAACAUCACGGACGCCUUCUCUCUCAUGGGCCUGAUCAUCUCCUCCUCCGUGAUAUCCCCUUGGCCGACGGUGAAGCACCUGCCCGCGUACUUACAGACCGAGCCACCCUCCAGGGGCAACGCAACGAUCUUCACCUCAUGGCUGGUUUCCUUGGAGAUUCUGCUCUGCUCAUCACGAUCGACGGUCGAGUGGUUGUAGACGAAGGGCUCCUGGUCCGGCGCUUUAACUGUGUGCCUCACCGUCCUGCGCUGUCUGCCUAUAAAAGUAACCAAAUCGACAUUUGCGCUAAUCCGUUGUAUGAGUUUAUUCGUACCGAGGGUUCAAAUCCCUCUCUUUCCAUUUCCCUUAAUGACUCGUUAUUUUAUUUAUAUUUAUUUUCAAAACUUUUCUUUGUUUUUUUUUUUUAUAUUUUAAUUUCAUAUAGUAAAUAAGGAUGUGCAAUAGAUAAAAUCCUAAGUAAGUUAAUUGAAAAAUUAUGCAAGAAAAAAGAAAAGCCUUUUUAUUUUUCGUGUCUAGGAUUACCUCCUGGAUCAUUGGAUAGGAAUCCAAAAAUGAAAGAGAGUGUAAACAAAGAGCUUGAAAAUAAACAUUACACAAUCUCCACUUUAUUUCUUUUUUCAACAUUAUGAGCACCAAUCUUAGUGUUGUUGAUCAGGGCAUCUAGGGGACCACGCCCAAUUAUAAUCGUAAAGCAAUAUGAUUGAUAUGUGAUUUUAAUUGUAAGGAACAUUUCAAUUGACCCAGUACCUUCGACAGAGAUCGUCUCCUGGAUGUCGGCAUUUUUGAUGGCUGGUAGGAGGGUGUGGGGGAAGAAGCCCUUGGCUUCGAGAAAAGCCUCGACCAACCUAGCCUUAGGGAUCGGGUGCGUGAUCUCGGCCUUGAGAGUAACUUCUACCAUCGAUUGAAUCCGAAUAGAAUUUGCUGAACUGAAAAGGGUAUAAAAAAUCUCAAAAGAAAGAAAGAAAGGAAGGAAUGAGGAGAAGGAGCUUUGAAUUGAGGUGAAGUAAAAGGUCGAUAUAUAUAGUGAUAAGAAAAGGGAUAAUUAUACAAAUGAUCCCACAACUUUGAUCCAAUGUGUAAUAUGGUCUCUAAACUUUUAAUUUAUUUAAUGUGAUCCUUGAACUUUUGGUAAAUAUUCAAUAUAGUCCAUGAACUAUUUGAAAAUGUUUAAUUUAGUCCUUCAUUAAUUCAAGAUCAGAGACACCGUUGAAUAUAUUCAUAUAAUUCAGGGACUAAUUGAACAUGUACCAAAAAUCCAAAAAUCUCAUUGCACAUUGGGUUAAAGUUCAUAAAUCAUUCAUGUCAUUUUUCAGUAUGGACAUCGACCUUCCAAAAAUUUUGCUAUAGAGUAACUUCUGCUUAAUUGCAUGUAGUAGAAAAGCAAAUUAUUUCAUUUUCCUAGAAAGCAUCUCUCCUCCCAUAAAAAGUUGAACCCCUCAAAACCCAAUAAUAUUACCCAUACGACAAAUGAUUAACUUUAGGUUGAAUUUAAUUUAAUUAUCUCCCUUCCUUUGCUAAAACAACAUAAACCUUCCGCAAACCUUUUUUUUUUAUUUAUUUAUUUGAGUUUUAACUUUGUCUCCACGGACUCUGGAGAGGGGGGGGGGGGGGGGGGGAGAAAGAAAACUUUGGGCCUUCCCCUUAAAAGCAUCUCUCCUUUGUUCAGCCUUUAACCCUUUGCCAGAAAAUUUUGACUUGUCUGCAUGUUAUUGUUAUGAUAUUAUCUUGUUUCUAGUUUUGUCUAGUUAUCGAAAGCAAAUUGACAACUAUGAUGGGUCCCUUGUUUCUGAUCGGGAAUUAUCCCGAGACAAAUCCUGUUCUCCUCGGCCAAAAGGAUAAUUAAUCAGUUGCAUGAAUGAUUCCAUGAGUAUAUCGCAAUGGAAGCAUCUUUAUGUCAGCUUCUUGAGGUAAGCAAGAGUUUACUCCAUGCUUUUCUUGAUCAAAGGUUAGCCUAUCUCUUGUUUCUUAUUCAAGUGCUUUUCUUAGAAUAGCAGUUUUGUUUAUUCAAGUUUAGAAUCACUGUGGUUGAGUGUCUUUUCUAUUCGAAUCGCUAACCAUAUCAUCAGAAAGUUAUUCCACAAGUCUGAGCUCAGAACCAUAAAAUUGGACCCCACAAUCUGGGUUAGAAUAAAUUUCUAUAGUUUAAUGAAUACAUUAUUUUCUAUGUACUUUUGUUGAAUGCUAAAACCAAUGUAAGCGACGAGGGUAAUUGGGGUUGUGUCAUAAUAUAUGCAUUUCUCGUAAAUGUCUAAUACUGUUGUGAUAUUAAUGUGGAAAUGAUAGGAUUUUACAAAUUAAGUCAAUGCGAAAAAAUUAGAGAAAUAAGCGAGGAAUAAUAGAACAUCCGAGAUUUACGUGAUUUGAUCCGAGUAUCGGUACAUACAUAAACAGAGAGAGCCAGUAACAAAUAAUCUAUUAUAAUUGAACAAUCAGAUUUAUAAUUGCUCAUAUGCUCGAGUAUUUCUCACACCUAAUUUAAGUUCAAACCCAAAAUAUUUACAAAUAAAUAUUUAAUUAGACGAAAACUUACGGCACGAAAUCGCCACGUAUUCAUGUCGGUGCGGCCAAGAGACAUCUCCUUCGUGCGUCCAAGAAGUCCUCCGAUCGGCUUCUUGAAUCUUCUCUUGGCAGCGUCUAUACCACCCGCAAAGAACCCCCUGGCGGCUAUUUCUCGUGCGGCUCUUUUUCACUCAAGAAAAAUCCUUGAUUUUAUUUUAUUUUAUUUCCUUUUGUGCAGCUAAAGGAGUCCCAUGAAAUACUCCUUUGUUGACCGACCAGUCACAGGAUUAGGAUUCGAAGCAGACGUCCACUGUACGGACCUAAAGCGGAUUUCCUUUCCUGUGCUAUUUUCUCCGACAGAAAAGAAAUCUUCACGAGUCACUAUGAAAAACUUAUCCAAACGGUUCAAAUAUGGAAAAACUUAUCCAAGCAAAUUGCAUUUAGUAAAUACUCAAACUCGAGAUAUAAUUUAACAAAUACGAUGAAAUUAUUUCCGAGUUCACAUGCUUCUAAGUUAGAAAUCUAAAAAGAAAAAUAGCUACUGCUGAUGCAAACUUUGCUCAUAAAUAUCUUAUGUCACCCUUAUACACGUUUAAUUCAUUGAAUCCUAAAAGUGGUAUGAGGGAAAGGGGUAACUAUGGCUAGAGAUCUGAAGAGUUUUGUAAUCUCUGGUUCUAGGAAAAAUCCUGUCCAUCUUUUCUCUAGGUGGAGGUUGCAUGAACAAUGGCUUGUAAGAAUUGCAUUGGUUUCUUUUUUGCUUCAUCUAAAUUAUUUUACUUCUCAGACUCUCCAUAGAGCUUCACGUUAUUUAUUGUUCUUGGGUUAUGGUUGCCUGAGGGUAUGAUUUAUAUAAUUAUUGUUUCCUUUGCAGACUGCAAAAGCUAGAGGAACGGCAAUUCAAUCGUUACUGCAGUUAGUUGGUGGGCUGCAACUUCUUGUUGCUCAGCUUUAGGCUCUUUAUGUCUUUGCUUCAGAUAAUCUUUUGAGUUUGACAGUCUCUAGUUUUGGUAAACGUUGCCUUACAACAGAUUGACAAGGCCAUGCGUGAUCAAACUAGAGAUUCUCUUCACAAGUGUCAAGCUGAUGAAAGUGAUGAUGAGGACGAAGACAUCGAUCCCGUCUUUUACAGGGAUGAGGAUGAAUAUGGAUAAACUAGCGAUGAUACUGAUGUUGAGUAGAAGCUCUAAAUCUUAAGAGGUAGUCAUUCUUGCUGGUGUUAAAUUUGAUUUGCCGCGUUGCACCUUCGUAAACUGUGGAUUGUUGGGGUAAUUAGUGGGUAAAGAACAGGUGAAAGACUGAAAGACUUUUUCUCUGAUUACAUUUUCAGGUUAAAGUCUCAUAUUUCACCGCGAGAACUGAGUUCGAUAAAGCAUCUUGGAUAUGGUCUAUUUUGCAGUUUCGAUUAAGAACCAGUUAAACGUGAACAGCUCUAGUUUAUAUACGCAAUUUACUGGAAGUUCUACUGCUGAUCAUGAUCAAGAGUUCCCAUGUGUUAAUUCUGGCUUUUAAUUUUCCAUGCUCAUGGCAAGUAGCCUUUAUCCUCUAAACGUCAGUUUGAGUUGGAUUUGUUUUUGCUGCUUUGUAGUGUGAAACUUGCUCAUGAUGGAGAUGCUCGCUUGGGGCAACUCACUGGUCAAGUUGCAGCUGCCCCAGGAGAAAUUCAGACAUAUGCUGCCGAUUUCGUGCCCUCCAAAAAUUUCUUAUCCCGACCACAUGUGCUGGUCCCAGGCAAUCACCAUGACGACAGAGACCACCAUAGACUAGCCGUCGUGGUAGUGUUUAUUGCCUUACUGUGGAUUAUGGCAUCUCUAUUUGUGACAUCCCGAUUUUCCAAUUCUAUUUUCAAUAAAUUGAGACGGGCAUUUCGUUGGCACGCAUGUAGUUCAUUUUCUUGAGUCGGCCACUCAUGUGAAAACUAGUCUAUCAGGUGAAGUCGUUAAGAAAUUCAAAUGCAUUAGACUCGAGAAUUUGACCAGGAAGCGAUCUUUCGACCGAGCUAAUCUGCAAGGGUCAUUGCGGCACAAUUGAAAAUCGAUUAGAGAUCGGAGAUAGGUCAACUCGACAGAGGCAUGUGAUCAGGUGUGGGUGAUUCCACCAGAUCGCACAAUUCUUGUCGAUCGGCACUGGAUCGACUUUUCUAUCGAUUGGGUACCCUGUGCUCGUAUUUGAAACCUUGAGAUUACCCCCGACAACUGAAAGUCGUCAAUGUUUCAGAUGCAUGAAAAUGCAUGAAAAUUUCUAAAGGCUACCCAAUAGGUUGGAUAGCGCUGGUAUCGUGCCAAAGUGAAAUUAACUGUGAAAUUGAGAUCGAAUUCAGAAAUUGGAAGUCGAGGUGUGUCACAAAUCAUUUCAGGAUCAUUGAAUCAUCUUUGGAAGAUUUUUCAUGUAAUCAGAAUUUUUCAGCAAGUAAAUCAGAAAAUGGCUAAUUUUGCUCGAGAAAUUAGUAGGCCCGCUUUUGAUCAUACUUCUGGGACUUAAGUUGGUUCUACGAACAAGUGAAGAUGUGAAUUGAAGUGUGGUGACGUUGGAUUAAUUUUAUAGGCUUUAAUUUAAUUCAAUUGAAAGAGAAUUAAUGGGAAUUGAAGAAAUUGGAUGUACAAGAUUUGGACCCCAGCGGAAAAUGAAAGUGCAACCAUUGGAGAAGUUAUGGGAGGGGGUUUGAGUGAGUGGAAGAUGACAUAGGAUGAUGUCAUGGUGGUUGAAGCCAAGGGUUGAGAUCUUGACAAAAGGAGGGUGGAGAUUGGCUCUUGAAAAGGUGGGCUUUCACUUCAUCUUCAACCUUGGGAAGAAAGAGAGAGAGAGAGAGAGGGGGGAAGGAAGGGAGCAGCUCGUGCGUGCAGUAGCCCGACGGAAGCCAAUCGAGCUCGCGCCAGCACGCCCGUUGCCGGAGCUUGCCGUCGUCGCCGCCGCCGCCGUGCCGCCCGUGUGCCUCGCCGCUCGCCCUACCUACUCGCAUCUCCAUCUUCAUCUUCUUCUUCUUCUUCGAAAGCCCAGCAAACCAGCGAACUAGAGAAGCUUCGUCUGAAGUCACCGCCGCUCAUCGCCGUCGUCGGAGUCGUCGCCGUCCACGCCCGCUCGCCCGCACGACCAACCAGCUUACCGCUCUGCCUCUGCCCAACCGCUGUUCGUGCGACCCCCGACCCUCCAUCAUCUUCGUUAGCCGCUGUUUUUGGUCGUCCAGCUCGUCGGAGAGCUGCCGUGAGCUGAGCUAGCUGAAGCCAGCUUGCCGCUCGUGCCGCUUCUCCUCCGCUCGCACGACCGGCCGGCUCGUGCUCAGCUCAGCCGCUGCUCGCGCGACAAGGACCCUCCAACGUUGUCGUCCGACCGUCCAGCCGCCCGUUCGUCAUCGCCAAGGCCGCCGGAGGCCCCGCCUAGCCGCCGUGAGCCACUACCCGAGCUACCACCUCCUUCCUCCGCCGUUCCUCCGCCCGAUUAAGCUCGGAUCUGCCCUCCUUCGGCCCCAAGUAGCAGCCAAGAAAAUGGGUAUGGCAGCCCAUGUUUGGCCCGUUUUGGCCGCCUUCCCGAGCCCGGACGCUCGGCCCGCCUUGAGGAAAGUCGAUCCUCGCGUCGUCCUCGUCGUUUUGGUCCGCUCGGCUCGCUAAUCCGGUGAGUUUAGCUCACUAAACCUCGCUUAGAUGAUUAAUUAUGCUUAGGGAGGUUUAGUUUAUGUUAAGUAUUAUUAGGUUGUUAGUUUAGGAUAUUUAAGAGUAGAUUAGAUUAAGGUGGUGUUUUAAUUUAAAGUGUGCUUAAUUAAGGAUAAGUAGGUUUAUUUAAAAUAAGCCUUGAUUUGGCAUAAAUGAAUUUACUUUUGAGUUAUUUAAAUGUCCCGAAAUUAUUAAAUAAUUUAAUAAUAUAUUAUUAUUCGAAAUUAUUAAAAUAUUAUUAUUUAAUUAUUUGCGGAAUAAAUUUAAUUAUUUAUUAAAUUCCGAAAAUUUUGUCAGGACCCUAAAUUCUCAGAAUUUUGUGCCGGUCGCUGCUGUGUAGUCAGAUUUUGAAAUUGACGAUUGGAUAUUAUAAAUUGAGCGUGUAUUGUGAAAUAUAUGGAUAUUAUUAUUUAAUUAAUUUUCGGAAUAAAUUUAAUUAUUUGUUAAAUUCUGAAAAUUAUUUUGGAACCUUACUCUGUUAGAAUUUUAUGCUGAUCGCUGCUGUGUAUUUAGAAUUUGAAUUUGAUGAUUGAUUGUGGCAAAUGGAGUGUGAUUGUGAUAAAUAGGGAUUCCUUAUAAAAUCCUAAGUGUAGAAAUUGAUGGGAGAUUAGCCAUAAUUGAUCACCUAUUAGAGGUCGUGCCCAGUGAGGCCGUGAUAGACCACCUAUGAGAGGUCGUGCCUAAUAGGGCCGUGAUGAACCACCUAUGAGAGGUCGUGCCCAGUGAGGCCGUGAUGUACCACCUAGGAGAGGUCGUGCCCAGUGAGGCCAUGAUGAACCACCUAGGAGAGGUCGUGCCCAGUGGGGCCGUGAUAGACCACCUAUGAGAGGUCGUGCCUAAUAGGGCCGUGAUGAACCACCUAUGAGAGGUCGUGCCCAGUGAGGCCGAGAUGUACCACCUAGGAGAGGUCGUGCCCAGUGAGGCCGUGAUUGACCACCUAUUAGAGGUCGUGCCUAGUGAGGCCGUGAUGGACCACCUAAUUAAAGGUCGUGCCGAGUGGGGCUGUGAUUGCCACUGUUUGUUAAACCUUCCUAUAGGGCCGGGAUUGAGAGCAAUGAUUGAUUUGCUAGAAUAACAUGUAAUCGGCCGAGUCGAUUGAUCGAUGAGACGAUCCAAGUGGUUGAAUUGUUUUGAUAAUGUGAUUGUGCCAUGGUUGUUUGGUUAUCAUAAUUGUACGUGGUUGAAUUAUGUAAAUUGUGCUAACCUGCAGAUGAAGGCUGAGGCGAGGUAAGUCUUCUGUAUGAUGUGGCUAGGCCACUCGGGGCGUAUUUUCUUUUUAAUAGGGGUUUAGGGGGUUGAACUUGCUGAGACAUCGUCUCAUCUUGGUUGUGGGAUUAAAAUUUCAGGUCCCCGGUGGACGGAGCGGGCAUAUAGCUUCGGUUGGCCUUGAGGAGUCGCAGAUGUGAAGUUAUAAGGAUUGGAGAGCGUGUCCGACUUGUAGGUCGUAGGACAAUUCCUUUUUAAGGGCCGGUCUUUUGUAGACUGUUGGCCGUAGACCUCUGUUUGUAAUUAUGUUGAAUUGUGAAAGUGUUAUGUGGUGAUUUUGCUUCCUGCUUUUCUAUCCCAUAUUUUAUUGUCAGGGGUUUUAUAAUAUGCUUCCGCAUGUGCAUUAAAGAUUGGAUUGGGUCGGCGACUUAACCUGGGAACGUCGCAUUUGAUCGACCACAGUGGGAUGUGUUCGCGCUCGAGGUUCGGGGCGUGACACUAUUUAUACUUUCCUGAAAAUUAUUUCUUCCAUUAUUCGACCAUAUCAUCCGUCUAUCAGACACUCGAUUGAUUGUUUAUCUCUAUCUGUCCUUGUCUCCGGUGUUUUCUCAUACAAGGAAUAUGAUAUAAAAAAUCUGCAGGACUUCUUGUUCGAUCUUAAGACUUCAUUUCUUAGUGCCCAAAUGCAGCAUAAGAGUAGAACAUGACAUUUUACCCUCCACGAGUUGACAGAGUACAUGUGACAUUCUUUAGAUAUAAUUCCAAAAUCUGAGACUCGGAAACUUUAGAUGACCAUCUUACUGAACUGGGAUGCUUUAGAUGUCCUCACACCGCGUGGCAACCUAAAAACCAUUUUAGCAUUUUGAUAUCAUCUGCUGUAUGCUGGAUAUGAUUAUCAAAGGUUCUAAACCCAGUCAUUAUGUGAAGUGAAGUCAGCUAAAGCCAAGAGGCUGCUUUUGAGACAUCUGAUAACGUUAAAAUGAUGCGGCAGUUUUGCACAGAAAAAGUGGAAUAUGAUGAUUGAAUUCCGAGUUCGUUUGUGUAAGAGAACAAACAACGAAAGGCAAAGGGAGUUCAAAAGGAGAAGCGAAAAUGGUUGCUGUAUUCGGUUUUAAAUUAUUCGUUCGAUUUUGCAGGGCUUCUAUACGUCCCGAUCCAAAUUAAGCUGUAUGUAUCGUGAAACUCAAAGUGGGGCACACGCAACUAUCGAGACCAAAAGGAAAAAAAGAAAAGAAAGAAAACAGGGGCCGCACGCUACGAUAAUCACUCGAUCGAAGACCACAUCGGACCAAAGUUUAUUCGGACAACACUUCAUACGGGCUUGCGAAGGAAGCAAGUAGAGCAAUUUUACGAGACAUUUCCCAGAACCACCAUCAUAUUCACAAAUAUCGCCUUGGCGGAGCGCUUACAGGAUCAGGACUACUGGGUGAUUAGGGCCAAUACGGUAAUUUCGCAGUGGGAUAAUCCAGACUGGGUUUCAUGGAUUUCGCCUCCGGAUAAUCCAGGAUGGCCUUGAACAUCACAGACGCCUUCUCUCUCAUGGCCCCGAUCAUCUCCUCCUCCGUGAUAUCCCCUUGGCCGACGGUGAAGUACCUGCCCGCGUACUUACAGACCGAGCCACCUUCCAGGGGCAACGCAACGAUCUUCACCUCAUGGCCGGUUUCCUUGGAGAUUCUGCCCUUCUCAUCACGAUCGACGGUCGAGUGGCUGUAGACGAAGGGCUCCUGGUCCGGCGCUUUAACCGUGUGCCUCACCGUCCUGCGCUGUCUGCCUAUAAAAGUAACCAAAGUGACAUUUGCGCUAAUCCGUUGUAUGAGUUUAUUCGUACCGAGGGUUCGAAUCCCUCUCUUUACAUUUCCCUUAAUGACUUGUUAUUUUGUUUAUAUUUAUUUUCAAAACUUUUCUUUGUUUUUGUUUUUUUUUUUCAUAUAGUAAAAAAGGAUGUACAAUAGAUAAAAUUCUAAGUGCAUUGAAAAAUUAUGCAAGAAAAAAGAAAAGCCUUUUUAUUUUUCGUGUCUAGGAUUACCUCCCGGAUCAUUGGAUAGGAAUCCAAAAAUGAAGAGUGUAAACAAAGAGCUUGAAAAUAAACAUUACACAAUCUCCACUCUUUUUUUUUCUCAACAUCAUGAGCACCAAUCUUAGUGUUGUUGAUCAGGGCAUCUGGGGAUCACGCCCAAUUAUAAUCGUAAUGCAAUAUGAUUGAUAUGUGAUUUAAAUGGUAAGGAACAUUUCAAUUUACCCAGUACCUUCGACAGAAAUCGUCUCUUGGAUGUCGGCAUUUUUUAUGGCUGGUAGGAGGGUGUGGGGGAAGAAGCCCUUGGCUUCGAGAAAAGCCUUGACCAACUUGGCCUUAGGGAUCGGGUGCAUGAUCUCAGCCUUGAAAGUAACUUCUACCAUCAAUUGAAUCCGAAUAGAAUUUGCUGAAUUGAAAAGGGUAUAAAAAUCUCAAAAGAAAGAAAGAAAGGAAUGAAGAGAAGGAGCUUUGAAUUGAGGUGAAGUAAAAGGUCGAUAUUUAUAGUGAUAAGAAAAGGGAUAAUUAUACAAAUGAUCCCACAACUUUGAUCCAAUGUGUAAUGUGGUCCCUAAACUUUUAAUUUGUUUAAUGUGAUCCUUGAAUUUUUGGUAAAUGUUCAAUAUAGUCCAAAAACUAUUUGAAAAUGUUUAAUUUAGUCCUUCAUUAAUUCAAGAUCAGAGAGACCGUUGAAUAUUUUCAUAUAAUUUAGGGACUAAUUGAACAUGUACCAAAAGUCCAAAAAUCACAUUGCACAUUUAGUUAAAGUUUAUAAAUCAUUUAUGUCAUUUUUUAGUAUGGACAUCAAUCUUCCAAAAAUUUCACUAUAGAGUAAUUUCUGCUUAAUUGCAUGUAGUAGAAAAGCAAAUUAUUUCAUUUUCCUAGAAAGCAUCUCUCCUCCCAUAAAAAGUUGAACCCCUCAAAACCCAAUAAAUUACCCAUACGACAAAUGACUAACUUUAGGAUUGAAUUUAAUUUAAUUAUCUCCCUUCUUUUGCUAAAACAACAUAAAGCUUCUGCGACCCAAUUUAUUUAUUUAUUUAUUUAUUUUGAUAUUUAACUUGGUCUCCAUGGACUUUGGAGAGAGGGAGGGAAGCUUUGGCCAUUCUCCUUAAAAGCAUCUCUCCUUUGUUCAACCCCUAACCCUUUGCUAGAAAAUUUUGACUUGUCUGCAUGUUAUUGUUAUGAUAUUAUCUUGUUUCUAGUUUUGUCUGGUUAUCGAAAGCAAAUUGACAAUUAUGAUGGGUCCCCUUGUUUCUGACCGGGAAUUAUCCCAAGACAAAUCCUUUCUCCUCGGCCAAAAGGAUAAUUAAUCAGAUGCAUGAAAUGAUUCCAUGAGUAUGUUGCAAUGUAAGCAUCUAUAUGUCAGCUUCCUGAGGUAAGCAAGAGCUUACUCCAUGCUUUUCUUGAUCAAAGGUUAGCCUAUCUCUUGUUUCUUAUUCAAGUGCCUUUCUUAGAAUAGGAGUUUUGUUUAUUCGAGCUUAGAAUCACUGUGGUUGAGUGUCUUUUCUAUUUGAAUCGUUGACAAUCUCAUCAGAAAGUUACUCCACAAGUUUGAACUCAUAACCACAAAAUUGGACCCCACAAUCCGGGUUAGGAUAAAUUUCUACAGUUUCAUGAAUGCAUUAUUUUAUACGUACUUUUGUUGAAUGCUCAAACCAAUGUAAGCAAUGAGGGUAAUUGGGAUUGUCAUAAUAUAUACAUUUCUCAUAAAUGUCUAAUACUGUUGUGAUAUUAACGUGGAAACAACCGGAUCUCGCAAAUUAAGUCAAUGCGAAAAAAAUAAGAGAAAUAAACGAGAAAUAAUAGAACACCAAAGAUUUACGUGAUUUUGAUCCGAGUAUUGAUACCUAUAUGCAUAAAGAGAGCCAAUAGCAAAUAAUUCGGUACAAUCGGAGAAUUAAAUUUAUAAUCACUCACACGUUCAAGUAUUUUUCACAUCUAAAUUUAAGCUCAAAAUCAAAGUGUUUAUAAAUAAGUACUCAAUUAAAUGUAAACUCACAGCAUGAUAUCACUGUAUAGUCACAUCGCUGCGGCCGAUAGAGACAACUCCGUCGUGCGUCCAAGAAGUCCUCUGAUCGUCUUCUUGAAUCUUCUCUGUGCAGCGUCCAUACCACCCACGAAGAACCCUCUGGCGGCUAUUUCUUGUGCGGCUCUUUUUCACUCAAGAAAAAUCCUUGAUUUUAUUUUAUUUUAUUUCCUUUUGUGCAGCUACAAGGAGUCCAAUGAAUCGCUCCUUUGUUGACCGACCAAUCACACACUGUACGGACCUAAAGCGGAUUUUCUUUCUUGUGCUAUUUUCUUCAACAGAAAAAGAUAUCUUCACCAUUAAAUAUGAAUAACUUAUCCAAAUGGUUAAAAUAUGAAAAAACUUAUCCAAGCAAGUAGAAAACCCUUAAACUCGAGACAUAAUUUAACAAAUACGAUGAAAUUAUUUCCGAAUUCACACACUUCUAAGUUAGAAAUCUAAAAAAGAAAAAUGGUUGUUAUUGAUGCAAACUGUGUUCAUAAAUAUAUUAUAUCGCCGUUAUACAAGUAGAUUUCAUUGCUAGAGAUCUGAAGAGUUAUGUAAUCUCUGGUUCUAGGAAAAAUCCUGUCCAUCUUUUCUCUAGGUGUAGAUUGCAUGAACAAUGGCCUGAAAGAAUUGCAUUGGUUUCUUUUCUGCUUCAUCUAAAUUAUUUUACUUCUUAGACUCUCUAUAGAGCUUCACGUUAUUUAUUGUUCUUUCUAUCUUUGGUUAAGAUAAUUUUUCGAGCUUGACAGGCUCUAAAUUUGGUAAAUGUUGUCUUCCAACAGAUUGACAAGGCCACGCAUGAUCAAACUAGAGAUUCUCUUCACGAGCGUCAAGCUGAUGAAAGUGAUGAUGAGGAUGAAGACAUCGAUAACGUCUUUUACAGGGAUGAGGAUGAAUCUGGACAAACUAGUGAUGAUACAGAUGAUGAGUAGAAGCUCUGAAUUUUAAGAGGUAGUCAUUCUUGCUGGUGUUAAAUUUGAUUUGUUGUGUUGCAUCUUCAUAAACUUUGGAUUUUUGGGGUGAUUAGCGGGUAAAGAUUAGGUGAAGGCUGUAAGACUUUAUUCUCUGAUUACAAUUUCAGGUCAAAGUCUUAUGUUCCACCGCGAGAAAUGAGUUCCAUAAAGCAUCUUGUUUAUAGACUAUUUUGCUGUUCUGUUUAAGAACCAGUUAAACACAAACAGCUCUAGGUUAUAUGCACAAUUUACUGGAAGUUUUACUGCUAAUCGUGAUCAAGAAUAUCCAUGUGCUAGUUAUGGCUUUUAAUUUUCCAUGCUCAUAGCAAGUAGCUUUGUUCCUCUAAACAUCAAUUUGAGUGGGGUGGUUUUGCUGCUUUGUAGUGUGAAACUUGCUCAUGAUGGAGAUGCUCGCUUGGGGCAAGUCACUGGUCAAGUUGCAGCUGCUUCAGGAGAAAUUCAUACAUAUGCUGCCAAUUUCGUGCCCUCCACAAAUUUUAUGAUCCCAACCGCGUGUGCUGGUCUCAGGCAAUUACCAUGACGGCAGAGACCACCAGACUGGUGGUUGCAGUUCGCCCUACAGCUGAUUAUGGCAUCUCUAUUUGUACUUUACUGAAAAUUGUUUCUUUAAUUACACAAUCACAUCCUCUAUCUAUCAAAACUCUAAAGGACUGUUUAUUUGUAUAUGUCCUUGUAUCUGGUGUUUUCUCGUACAAGGAAUAUGAUAUAAAAAAGCCGCAGGAAUUCUUGUUCCAUCUUAACGUAUUCUUUUCGACUUUAUUUCUUAGGGACCGAAUGCAGCAUAAGAGUGAAAAAUGGCAUUUUACCCUCGAAGAGUUGACAAGAGUACAUGUCGCAUUCUUUAGAUAUAAUUCCGAAAUCCGAGACCUGGAAACUUUAAAUGACCAUCUUACUGACCUAGGAUGCUUUAGAUGUCCUCAUUUGCAUUGCACUGCACGGCAACCUAAAGGCCAUUUUGGCAUUGUGACGUCAUCUGCUGUGUGUUGGAUAUAAUUAUUGAAGGUUCUAAACCCAGUCAUCAUGUAGAGUGAAGUCAGCUAAAGCCAACAGGUUGCUGUUGAGACAUUUGAUACCGUUAAAAUGAUACGGUAAUUUUACACGGAAAACAUGGAAUAGGACGGUCGAAUUCCAAAUUCAUUUGGGUGAGAGAAACAACGAAAGGCGAGGGAGUUCCAAAGGUGAAGCGAAAAUGGUUGCCGUAUUCGGUUUUAAAUUAUCGUUCGUGUUCUCGGUCGAUCAUUGGUUCGAUUUUGUAGGGUUUCAAUACGUCCCAAUCGCCUGAUCUGUGGACUUUCCAGAUGAUACGGCUGGAAGCUGUAUGUAUCAUGAAACUCAGAGGGGGGCACACGCAUCUAUUGAGACCAAAAGAACAAAAGAAAAGAGAGAGAAAAAAGAAAAGAAAAAAAAAACAGGGGCCGCACGCUAAGAGUCACUCAGCCGAGGGCACAUCGGACGAAGUUUUACUCCGACAACACUUCAUACGGGCCUGCGAACGAACGAAGUAGAGCAAUUUUACAAAACAUUUCCCAGAACCAUCAUACUCGCGGAAAGGACAAGAACCACAGAGUCCCUCGACGACAAGACAAGAACAGUACUCAAAUGGGUUUUGGGGUUUCGCGGCCGAAUAAGCCUGGAUGGCCCCGAACAUCACGGACGCCUUCUCUCUCAUGGCCUUGAUAAUUUGCUCCUCGGUGAUGUCCACUUGGCCGACGGUGAAAUACCUGCCCGCAUACUUACAGACCGAGCCAACCCCAAGAUAGGGCCACGCUUCGAUCGUCACCUCAUGGCUGAUUUCCUUGGAGAUGUUUCCCUGCUCAUCGCGUUCGACGGUCGAGUGGUUGUAGAGGAAGGACCCCGGGUUCGCGUUAACUGUGGCCCUCACCGUCCUGUGCAGUCUGCCUAUAGAAGUAACAAAAGUGAUAUUCACAUUUAGAACUCACCGGUUUCAACAUCACGAGCACUGAUCUCAGUGUCGUCGAUCAGGUCCAAAUUCAACCGUAAUGCAAAUACGGUUGACAUGCAAUGUCGAGGGUAAGGAACAUUUCGAUUGACCAAGUACCUUCGACAGAGAUCUUCUCCUGGCUGUCAGCACGCAGGACGCCUGGCGAGAGGACGUGGGGGAAAAAGCCAUUGGCUUUGAGAAGAGCCUCGAUCAACUUGGCCUUAGGGAUCGGGUGCGAGAUCUCGGUGUUGUGAGUAACUUCUACCAUUGAUUGAAUCCGAAAUAGAAUUUGCUGAAACUGAAAAAGGGGAUAGAAAAGCUCAAAAGAAAGAAAGAGAGCAGUGAGGAGAAGGAGCUUCGAGUAGAAGGUAAAGUAGAAGGUGGAUAUCCUUAGAGAUAAGGAAAGAGAUAAUAUGACACAAAUGAUUCAUGAACUUUAGUUCAAUGUGUAAUAUGAUCUAUGAACUUUUAAUUUGUUCAAUGUGAUCCAUAUGUUUUUUUAUAUAUGUUUAAUGUAGUCUCUAAGUGACGUGUAAAUGUUCAAUAUAGUCUUUUUUUAAUUUAAAAUCAGGGAUGAUAUUGGACAUUUUCAUAUAAUCCAAUGACUAAAUUGAAUAUAUACAAAAAAUUAAAAUAUUAUAUUAAACAAAUUAAAAGUUUAAGAACCGCAUUGCACAUUGGGUUAAAAUUGAUGGAUCAUAUUGAACAAAUUAAAAAUUUAAAUAUCACAUUAUACAUUAAAUUAAAAUUUAUGGAUUAUUUGUAUCAUUUUUCCAUAUGAAAAAGUUUACAUGAAAAGUCCCGACACACGGACAUCAACCCUCCAUAAAUUUCGCCAUAAAGUAACUCCUGCUUAAUUGCAUGUGGUACAAAAGCAAAUUAUUCCAUUUACCUCAAGACCAUCUCUCCUCCCAUGGAGAGCUAAACCCGUCAAAACCCAAUAAAUUGCCCGUAUGACAAAUGAUUAACUUUAGGAUUAAAUUUUAUUUUAAUCACCCCCUUCUUUUGCUAAAGCAACAUAAAGUUCCGCAUCCCUUUUUAUUUAUUUAUUUAUUUAUUAUAAUUUUUUUUUUUUUGAGUUUUAACUUUGUCUUCAUGGACAAUGGAGAGAGGGAGGGAAGCUUUGGCCAUUUUCCUUAGAUGCAUCUCUCCCUUGUUCAGCCUCCAACCUUUUGCGACCCUCUCCAUGCAUUGACUGCUCUUUCAUGUUAUUGCUGUGAUAUUAUCUUGUUCCUAGUUUUGUCUAGUUAUCAAAAGCAAAUUGACAACUAUGAUGGGUCUCUUGUUUCUGAUUGGGAAUUAUCCCUGGACAAAUCCUUUUUUCCUCGGCCAAAAGGUUAAUUAAUCGUUUGCGUGAAAUGAUUCCAUAAGGAUGUUGCAAUAUAAGCAUAUAUAUGUUACCUUUUCCCCAUAGUAAGCAAGAGCUUAAUACAUGUUUUUCUUGAUCAAAGCUAGCCUAUCUCUAGUUUCUUUUUCAAAUGCUUUUCCCCAUAUAUAUGCUGCCAAUUUCGCGCCCUCCACAAAUUUUAUGAUCCCGAUUGCAUGUGCUGGUCUCAAGCAAUCACCCUGACGACAGAGACCACCAUAGACUAGCCAUUGUGGAAGUGGUGGUUGCCCUGCAGCGGACUAUGGCAUCUCUAUAUAUACUUUUCCUGAAAUUUGUUUAGUCAAUUAUACAAUCAUAUCCUCCAUUUAUCAAACACUCUGUAGGACCGUUUAUCUGUAUCUGCCCUUGUAUCCGGUGUGUUUGCAUACAAGGAAUUUGAUACCAAAAAUCCGCAGGACUUCUUGUUCGAUCUUAAUGUAUCCCUUUCGACUUUAUUUCUUAGCGAUCAAAUGCGGCGUAAGAGUAGAACAUGACAUUUUACCCUCGACGAGUUGACAGAGUACAUGUUGCAUUCUUUAGAUAUAAUUCCAAAAUCUGAAACCCAGAAACUUUAGAUGACCAUCUCAUUGACUUGGGAUGCUUUAGAGUUUAGAUGUCCUCACUUGGAUUGCACCGCACGGCAACCUAAAAACCGUUCUGGCAUUUUAACAUCAUAUGCUGUAUACUGGAUAUAAUUAUCAAAGGUUCUAAAUCCAAUUAUUAUGUAAAGCGAAGUCAGCUAAAAGCCAAGAGAUCGCUGUUGAGACAUCUGACAACAUUAAAAUGAUACGAUAGUUUCACACAGAAAACAUGGAAUAUGACACAUGGAAUUCCAAGUUCGUUCCGGUAAGAGAAACAACGAAAAGCAAAGCGAGUUCAAAAGGAGAAGCGAAAAUGGUUGCUGUAUUUGGUUCUAAAUGAUUCGUUCGAUUUUGCAGGGUUUCAAUACGUCCCGAUCCAAAUUAAGCUGCAUAUGUAUCAUGAAACUCAAAGGGGGGCACACGCAACUAUCGAGACCGAAAGAAAAGAAAGAAAACGGGGGGCCGCACGCUACAAUAAUCACUCAAUUGAGGACCACAUUGGACCAAAGUUUAUUCGGACAACACUUCAUAUGGGCUUGCGAACAAAGCAAGUACAGCCAUUUUACGAGACAUUUCCCAGAACCACCAUCAUAUUGGCCUAAGACACGAGCAGUCCUCUCUCACAUGGGAUAUCCCCUAGGUGCACACAUACAGGAUGGAAGAGAACUAAGUCUCACGGACUCCGCCUCCGCAUGAGCCUGGAUGGCCCUGAACAUCACGGACGCCUUCUCUCUCAUGGGCCUGAUCAUCUCCUCCUCCGUGAUAUCCCCUUGGCCGACGGCGAAGCACCUGCCCGCGUACUUACAGACCGAGCCACCCUCCAGGGGCAACGCAACGAUCUUCACCUCAUGGCUGGUUUCCUUGGAGAUUCUGCCCUGCUCAUCACGAUCGACGGUCGAGUGGUUGUAGACGAAGGGCUCCUGGUCCGGCGCUUUAACCGUGUGCCUCAACGUCCUGCGCUGUCUGCCUAUAAAAGUAACCAAAGUGACAUUUGCGCUUAUCCGUUGUAUGAGUUUAUUGGUACCGAGGGUUCCAAUCCCUCUCUUUCCAUUUCCCUUAAUGACUCGUUAUUUUAUUUAUAUUUAUUUUCAAAACUUUUCUUUGUUUUUUUGUUUUUUUGUUUUUUUGUUUUUGUUUUUAUUUCAUAUAGUAAAUAAGGAUGUACAAUAGAUAAAAUCCUAAGUAAGUUAAUUGAAAAAUUAUGCAAGAAAAAAGAAAAGCCUUUUUAUUUUUCGUGUCUAGGAUUACCUCCUGGAUCAUUGGAUAGGAAUCCGAAAAUGAAAGAGUGUAAACAAAGAGCUUGAAAAUAAACAUUACACAAUCUCCACUCUCUCUUUUUUUUUUUUUUUUCAACAUCAUGAGCACCAAUCUUAGUGUUGUUGAUCAGCGCAUCUAGGGGACCACGCCCAAUUAUAAUCGUAAAGCAAUAUGAUUGAUAUGUGAUUUUAAUUGUAAGGAACAUUUCAAUUGACCCAGUACCUUCGACAGAGAUCGUCUCCUGGAUGUCGGCAUUUUUGAUGGCUGGUAGGAGGGUGUGGGGGAAGAAGCCCUUGGCUUCGAGAAAAGCCUCGACCAACCUAGCCUUAGGGAUCGGGUGCGUGAUCUCGGCCUUGAAAGUAACUUCUACCAUCGAUUGAAAAGGGUAUAAAAAUCUCAAAAGAAAGAAAGAAAGAAAUGAAGAGAAUGAACUUUGAAUUGAGGUGAAGUAAAAGGUCGAUAUUUAUAGUGAUAAGAAAUGAGAUAAUGAUACAAAUGAUCCCAAAACUUUGAUUCAAUGUAUAACGUGGUCCCUAAACUUUUAAUUUAUUCAAUGUAGUCCUUGGAGUUUUGAUAAAUAUUUAAAAUAGUCCAUGAACUGUUUGAAAAUGUUUAAUGUAGUCAUUCAUUAAUUUAAUAUCAGAGACACCGUUGAAUAUUUUCAUAUAAUUCAGUGGCUAAUUUAACAUGUAUCAAAAGUCCAAAAACCAUAUUACACAUUGGGUUACAGUUUAUUGAUCAUUCGUGUCAUUUUCUAAUACGAACAUCAACAUUCCAAAAAUUCUCCAUGGAGUAACUUCCGCUUAAUUGCAUGUAGUAGAAAAGCAAAUUAUUUGUUUUCCUUGAAAGCAUCUCUCCUCCCAUAAAAAGUUGAACCCCUCAAAACCCAAUAAAUUACCCAUACGACAGAUGAUUAACUUUAGGAUUGAAUUUAAUUUAAUUAUCUCCCUUCUUUUGCUAAAACAACAUAAAGCUUAUGCAACCCAUUUUUUUUUUUUAAAUUGAGGCAAGCUUUGGUCAUUUUCCUUGAAAGCAUCUCUCCUUUGUUCAGCCUCUAACCCUUUGCCAGAAAAUAUUGACUGGUCUGCACGUUAUUGUCAUGAUAUUAUCUUGCUCCUAGUUUUGUCUGGUCAUCAAAAGCAAAUUGACAACUAUGAUGGGUCUCUUGUUUCUGAUCGGGAAUUAUCCCAAGACAAAUCCCUUCUCCUCGGCCAAAAGAUUAAUUAACCAGUUGCAUGAAAUGAUUCCAUGAGUUUAUUGCAAUGUAAGCAUCUAUAUGUCAGCUUCCUGAGGUAAGCAAGAGCUUACUCCAUGCUUUUCUUGAUCAAAGGUUAGCCUAUCUCUUGUUUCUUAUUCAAGUGCUUUUCUUAGAAUAGGAGUUUUGGUUAUUCAAGUUUAGAAUCAUUGUGGUUGAGUGUCUUUUCUAUUCGAAUUGUUGACCAUCUCAUCAGAAAGUUAUUCCACAGGUCUGAAUUUAGAACCACAAAAUUGGACCCCACAAUGCAAGUGAGGAUAAAUUUCUACAGUUUCAUGAAUACAUUAUUUUCUAUGUACUUCUGUUGAAUGCUAAAAUCAUUGUAAGCGACGAGGGUAAUUGGGGUUGUGUCAUAACAUAUACAUUUCUCAUAAAUGUCUAAUAUUGUUGUGAUAUUAAUGCGGAAACGAUAGGAUCUCGCAAAUGAAGUCAAUGCGAAAAAAUCAAAGAAAUAAGGGAGGAAUAAUAGAUCACUAGAGAUUUAUGUGAUUUGGUCCGAGUAUCAAUAUCUACAUGCAUGAAGAGAGCUAGUAGCAAAUAAUCUACUACAAUCGAAAAAUCAAAUUUACAAUCGCUCACAUGCUCCAGUGUUUUUCACAUUUAGAUUUAAGCCAAAAUAUAAAAUGUUUGCAAAUAAAUACUCAAUUAGACGUAAACUCACGGCAAUAAAUUACUGUAUAUUCACGUCCGUGCGGCCGAGAGACAACUCCUUCGUGCGUCCAAGAAGUCCUCUGAUCGGCUUCUUGAAUCUUCUCUGUGCAGCGUCUAUACCACCCACGAAAACCCCCUGGCGGCUCUUUCUUGCGCGGCUCUUUUUUGCUCAUGUAGAAUCCUUAAUAUUCUUUUCUUUUAUUUCAUUUUGUGCAGCUACAAGGAGUCCAAUGAAUUACUCCUUUUUUGACCGACCAAUCACAGGAUUAGGAUUUGAAGAAGACGUCCACUGUACGGACCUAAAGCGGAUUUCCUUUCUUGUGCUAUUUUCUUCAACAGAAAAAGAUGUCUUCUCCAUUAAAUAUGAAUAACUUAUCCAAAUGGUUAAAAUAUGAAAAAACUUAUCCAAGCAGGUCGUGUUUGGCAAGCCCUUAAACUCGAGAUGUAAUUUAAUAAAUACGAUGAAAUUAUUUCCAAAUGCACACACUUCUAAGUUAGAAAUCUAAAAAAGAAAAAUGAAUAUUACUUAUGCAAACUAUGUUCAUAAAUAUGUUAUAUUGCCGUUAUACACGUCGAUUUCAUUGAAUUGUAAAGUAGUAUGAGGGAACAGGGUAAUUAUGGCUAGAGUCUGAAGAGUUCUGUAAUCUCUGGUUCUAGGAAAAAUCCUGUCCAUCUUUUUUCUAGGUGUAGGUUGCAUGAACAAUGGCCUGAAAGAAUUGCAUUGGUUUCUUUUCUGCUUCAUCUAAAUUAUUUUACUUCUUUGACUCUCCAUAGAGCUUCACGUUAUUUAUUGUUCUUGGGUUAUGGUUGCCUGAUGUUAUGAUUUAUAUAAUUAUUGUUUCAUUUGCAGACUGCAAAAGCUAGAGGGAUGGCCAUUCAAUCGAUGCUGCGGUUAGUUGGUCGGCCGCAGCUUGUUGUCGCUCAGGUUUAGUCCCUUUAUAUCUUUGCUUCAGAUAAUCUGUUGGCUUGAGAGUCUCUAGUUUUGGUAAACGUUGUCUUACAACAGAUUGACAAGGCCACGCGUGAUCAAACUAGAGAUUCUCUUCACCAGUGUCGAGCUGAUGAAAGUGAUGAUGAGGACAAAGACAUCGGUCACGUCUUUUAUGGGGAUGAGGUUGAAUCUGGACAAACUAGCGAUGAUACAGAUGUUGAGUAGAAGCUCUAAAUCUUAAGAGGUAGUCAUUCUUGCUGGUGUUGAAUUUGACUUAUCGCGUUGCAUCUUCAUAAACUUUGGAUCGUUGGGGUAAUUAGUGGGUGAAGAACAGGUGAAAUGAAAGACCGUAAGACUUUUUCUCUGAUUACAUUUUCAGGUUAAGGUAUUAUAUUCCACCUCGAGAACUGAGUUCCAAAAGGCAUCUUAUAUAUAGACUAUUUUGCUGUUUCGAUUAAGAACCAGUUGAACAGGAACAGCUCGAGGUUAUAUACGCAAUUUACUGGAAGUUCUACAGCCGAUCAUGAUCAAGAGUUUCCAUGUGCUAAUUGUGGCUUUUAAUUUUCCGUACUCACUGCAGGUAGCAUUGUUCCUCUAAACAUUCAGUUUGAGUUGGAUUUGUUUUUGCUGCUUUGUAGUGUGAAACUUGCUCAUGACGGAGAUGCUCGCUUGGGGCAACUCACUGGUCAAGUUGCAGCAGCCCCAGGAGAAAUUCAUACGUAUGCUACCAAUUUCGUGCCCUCCACAAUUUUUUUCUGAUCCUAACCAUGAGUGCUGGUCUCAGGCAAUCACCAUGACGACGGAAACCACCACAGACUGGCCGUCGCAGUAGUGGUUAUCACCUUAUAGUGGAUUAUUGAAUCUCUAUUUAUACUUUCCUGAAAAUUAUUUCUUCAAUUAUUCAAUCAUAUCAUCCGUCUAUCAGGCACUUUAUUGACUGUUAUCUGUAUCUGUCCUUGUAUCUGGUGUUUUCUCAUACAAGGAAUGUGUUCGAUCUUAACGAAUGAUUUUCGACUUUUAUUUCUUAGUGACCAAAUGCCACAUAAGAGUAGAACGUGACAUUUUAGCCUCAACGAGUAGACAGAAUACAUGUCGCAUUCUUUAGCGAUAAUUCCAAAAUAUGAGACCCGGAAACUUUAGGUGACCAUCUCAGUGACGUGGGAUGCUUUAGAUGUCCUCAUUUGCAUUGCACUGCACGGCAGCCUGAAAACCGUUUUGGCAUUAUGACAUCAUCUCCUGUCUGCUGGAUGCAAUUAUCAAAGGUUGUAAAGCCAGUUAUUGUGCAAAGCGAAGUCAGCUAAAGCCAAGAGGUCGCUCUUGAGACAUCUCACAACAUUAAAAUGAUAGGGUAGUUUUACAGAGAAAACAUGAAAUAUGGUGAUCGAAUUCCGAGUUCGUUUCAGUAAGAGAAACAAUGAAAGGAAAGAGGAGUUCAAAAGGAGAAGAUUGUUGCAUUUGAUUUUAAAUUAUUCAUUCGAUUUUGCGGGGUUAGGAGCACACGCAAUUGAGACCAAAAGAAAGAAAGAAAGAAAACAGGGCCGUACGCAAAAAUCACUCAAUCGAGGACCACAUCGGACGAAGGUUUAUUCCAACAACACUUCAUAUGGGCUUUGCAAACGAAGCAAGUACAGCAAUUUUACAGAACAUUUCCCGGAACCAUCAUAUUCGCGGAAAAGACGAGACCAACACACUCCCUCGACGACAAGACAAGAACAGCACUCGACUGGACCUUAUUCGAAGAGAACAUAUGAGACUAAGCUGCCGGAUCAGCUUGGAUGGCCGGGGCCCUGAACAUCACGGACGCCUUCUCUCUCAUGGGCCUGAUCAUCUCCUCCUCCGUGAUAUCCCCUUGGCCGAUGGUGAAGCACCUGCCCGCGUACUUACAGACCGACCCACCCUCCAGGGGCAACGCAACGAUCUUCACCUCAUGGCUGAUUUCCUUGGAGAUUUUGGGAUUGCUGUCUGGGACUUUCGAAGUAGAAGGGAGAAUUAGCAAAAUGUUCUGGUGCUGAAAUUUAUGGUGCCUAAUGUGGCUUAGACGAUCCAUCCUCUUCCUUUUCUCCUGCAAUUACAUUUUCCCUCCUGCUCAACUUAAUUCUUCCAAAUAAGGUAAGUUCUUUUACUUGCUGCCCCCAUUUCGUUCUUUGUUACUUAAAUGAUUUAUUGUGCAUUUGGUUGUUCUAUUUCGUAGAUCUCUUCUUCUUUUUUCAUCCCUUGACCAUUUUGAUUUCUAACAAGGAAUUUUCUUUCACCCAAUCUACCGUUCCUGCUGUUAAUAUCAAAUAUUGCAGCAUUGGACGGAUUUAUCUCUUGUUCCCUCUGCUAAUAUUUUCCUAUACAUUCGGCAGGUUUACGGUUAUGGUGCCACAUCCCAGGCUUGAUAGCUCUUUUCAUGAUGUAGCGGCCAAGUACUGAAAUCUCUGUUGGAUAUCGAUCCAUCGGAAUGGGGUUUGCCACCCUUUGACGAACAGAAAAGCUGAGAAUUCAUUUGAAAAUCAGACGAUGUGCAAUGGCAUCUCGUGUCAAAUUCAUUUGAAAUUCACUGCGUAUUUACGUUCAUGCGGCCGAGAGACAACUCUCUCAUGCGUCCAAGAAGUACUCCGUGCGGCUUCUUGAAUCUUCUCUGUGCAGCGUCUACACCACCCACGAAGAACCCCGUGGCGGCUGUUUCUCGCGCGGCUCUUUUUCACUCAAGAAAAACCCUUGAUUUUAUUUUAUUUUAUUUCCUUUUGUGCAACCACAAGGAGUCCAACGAAUUACUCCUUUGUUGACCGACCAAUCACAGGAUUAGGAUUUGAAGAAGACGUCCACCCACUAUACGGACCUAAAGCGGAUUUCUUUCCUUGUGCUAUUUCCUUGGACAAAAAAUAUCUUCACGAUUAAAUAUGAAAAAGUUGUCCAAGCAAUUAAAAUAUGGAAAAACUUAUCCAAGCAGAUCGUAUUUCGCAAACGCUCAAACUUGAGACAUAAUUCUGACAAAUACGAUAAAAUUAUUUUCGAAUUCACAUGCUUCUAAAUUAGAAAUCUUUGAACAAUAAUAAUAAAAAAAAAGGCUGCUGCUAAUGCAAACUCCAUUCAUAGUUAUCUUAAAUUGCGUUUAUAUACGUCAAUUUCAUUGAAUUGUAAAAGUAGUAUGAGGGAAAGGGGUAAUUCUGGCUAGAGCUCUGAAGAGUUAUGUAAUCUCUAGUUCUAGAAAAAUCCUAUCAAUCUUUUCUCUAGGCGUAGGUGGCAUCAACAAUGAUAUCAAAGAAAUGCCUUGGUUUUCUUUUUUGCUUCACCUAAACUAUUUUACUUCUGAGACUCUCCGUAGAGUUUCACGUUAUUUAUUGUUCUUGGGUCAUGGUUUCCUGAUGGUAUGAUUUAUAUAGUUAUGUUUCCCUCGUAGACUGCAAAAGCUAUAGGGGCGGCCAUCCAACCAUUACUGCAGUUAGUUGGUCGGCUGCACCUUGUUGUCGAUCAGGUUAAGGCCCUUUAUAUCUUUGCGUCAGAUAAAUUUUUGAGCUUGACAGUCUCUAAAUUUGGUAAACGUUGUCUUCCAACAGUUUGACGAGGCCGUGCAGGAUCAAACUAGAGAUUCUCUUCAUGAGCAUCGAGCUGAUGAAAGUGAUGAUAAGGACGAUGACAUCAAUCAUGUCCUGUACAGGGAUGAGGAUGAAUCUGGACAAACUAGCGAUGAUACAGAUGAUGAGUAGAAGCUCCAAAUUUUAAGAGGUAGUCAUCCUUGCUGGUGUUAAAUUUGAUCUGUCGUCUUGCAUUUUCAAAAAAUUGGUUCGUUGGGGGAAUUAGUGGGUAAAGAAUAGGUGAAAUAAAGGCUGCAACAUCUUUUUCUCUGAUCUGCAUUUUCAGGAAAAAGUCUUUUAUUCCACGGCAAGAAGUGAGUUCCAUAAAGCAUCCUGUAUAUAGUCUAUUUUGCUGUUUUGAUUAAGAACCAGUUAAAUGCGAACAGCUCUAUUUUAUAUACGCAAUUUACUGGACGUUCUGCUGAUCGUGAUCAAGAGUUUCCAUGUGCCAAUUAUGGCUUGUAAUUUUCCAUGCUCAUCGCAAGUAGCUUUUUUCCUCUAUACAUCAGUUUGAGUUGGAUUUGUUUUUGCUGCUUUGCAGUAAACUUGCUCAUGAUGGAGAUGCUCGCUUGGGGCAACUCACUGGUCAAGUUGCAGCUGCCCCUGGAGAAAUUCAUACGUAUGCUGCCAAUUUCGUGCCCUCCACAAAUUUUCUGAUCCCGACCGCGUGUGCUGGUCUCAAGCAAUCACCAUGACGAUAGAGACCGUCACAGACUGGCCGUUGCGGUAGUGGUUAUUGCCUUAUAGUGGAUUAUGGCCAGAAGAAGAGAUAGUGGAAUGGACCCUUUUCUCAUGCCAGAGGGGGAAAGAAAAGAGGCCCACUACGAGAGGAGAGAGUGAUUUAGCUGCUAACAAGCGCAGGUUUUUCAUGAAAUGAAUGGUUAUUCAUUCGGGAAGGUCUGUUGAUUAGGAGGUUAUACCUCUAUUUUUACUUUCCUGAAAAUUGUUUUUUCAAUUAUUCAAUCAUAUCAUCCGUCUAAUGGACACUUGAUUGACUGUUUAUCUGUAUCUGUCCUUGUCUCUGGUAUUUUCUCGUACAAGGAAUGUGAUAUAAAAAAUCUGCAAGACUUCUUGUUCGAUCUUAACGAAUCUUUUUUCGACUUUAUUUCUGAGUGCCCAAAUGCAGCAUAAGAGUAGAACAUGACAUUUUACCCUCUAUGAGUUGACAGAGUACAUAUCACAUUCUUCAGAUAUGAUUCCAAAAUCUGAGACUCGAAAACUUUAGAUGACCAUCUUACUGACCAGGGACGCUUUAGAUGUCCUCAAACCACGUGGCAACCUAAAAACCGUUUUGGCAAUUUAAUAUCAUCUGCUGUAUGCUGGAUAUAAUUAUCAAAGGUUCUAAACCCAGUCAUUAUGUAAAGUGAAGUCAGCUAAAGCCAAGGGGUUGCUUUUGAGACGUUUGAUAACGUUAAAAUGAUAUGCAGUUUUACAAAGAAAAAAUGGAAUAUGAUGGUUGAAUUCCGAGUUCGUUUGAGUAAGAGAACAAACAACGAAAGGCGAGGAAGUUCAAAAAGGAGAAGCGAAAAUGGUUGCAGUAUUCAGUUUUGCAGGGCUUCAAUGCGUCCCGAUCCAAAUUAGGCUGUAUGCGCAUCAAACUCAGAGGGGGCCACACGAAGCUCUCUAGACCAAAAGAAAAAAAAUUAAAAAGAAAGAGAAAACGGGGGCCGCACGCUACGUCCAUCAUUCAAUUGAGGACCACAUCGGACGAAAGGUUACUCCAAAAACACUUCAUCCGGGCUUGCGAACGAAGCAAGUACAGCAAUUUUGCAAAACAUUUACCAGAACCACCAUCAUAUUCGCGAAGAGACAAAGACGAACGCACUCCCUCGACGACAAAACAAGAACAGUACUCAACUAGCGCUGACUCGAACAGGACUAGCAGUCUUCUGUCUUAUGGCCCUGAUCAUCUCCUCCUCGGUGACAUCCCCUUGGCGGAGAACUUACUCGAACAGGACUGCGUCUGAUGGCACCUCCAGAUAAGCCUCAAUGGCCCCGAACAUCACGGACGCCUUCCCUCUCAUGGCCCUCAUCAUCUCCUCCUCGGGGAUAUCCCCUGGGCCGACAGUGAAGUACCUGCCCGCGUACUUACAGACCGAGCCACCCUCCAGGGGCAACGCAGUGAUCUUCACCUCAUGGCUGAUCUCCCUGGAGAUUCCGCCCAGCUCAUCCCGAUCGACGGUCGAGUGGUUGUAGAGGAAGGGCUCCUGGUCCUGUGCUUUAACCGUGUGCCUCACCGUCCUGCGCUGUCUGCCUAUAGAAGUAACAAAAAGUGACAUUCGCGCUGAUCCGUCCUAUGAGUUUUUCCAAUCCCCUUCUUCCGUUUCCGUUGAUGACUUAUUAGAUUAUUUAUUUAUUUUUUCAAAAUCUUCCUUUAUUUUUGUUUUUUUAAGUUCAUAUAAUAAAUAAAGAUUUACAAUAGAUAAAAUCCUAAGUAAGAACAUUGAAAAAUUAUGCAAGUAAAAAAAAAAAAAAAACUGGCCUUUUUGUUCUUCAUAUCUAGGAUUAGGUUCUAGAUCAUUAGAUAGGAAUUCAAAGAUGAAGAAAGUGUAAACAGAGCUUGAGAGUAAACAUCACAUAAUCUCCAAUAUCUGUUUUUUUUUUUUUUGUUCUUUUUAUUUUUCAACAUCAUGAGCACCAAUCUAAGUGUUGUUGAUCAGGCCAUCUAGGGAUCAUGCCCAUUUAUAACCGUAAUGCAAUACAAUGAAUAUACCAUUUUAAUGGUGAGGAACAUUUCAAUUGACCAAGUACCUUCGAUCGAGAUUGCCUCCUGGAUCUCAGCAUUUGUGAUGGUUGGCAAGAGGUUAUAGGGGAAGAAGCCACCCGCUCCUAGAAAAGCCUCGACCAACCUGGCCUUAGGGAUCGGGUGCGUGAUCUCGGCCUUGAGAGUAACUUCUACCAUCGAUUGAAUCUGAAUAGAAUUUGCUGAAACUUAAAAGGGGAUAAAAAUCUCGAAAGAAAGAAAGAAAGCAAUAAAAAGAAGGAGCUUCGAGGAGAGGCAAAGUACAAGGUUGAUAUUUAUAGCGAUAAGAAGAUGGAUAAUUGCACAAAUGAUCCCUGAACUUUGAUUUAAUGUGUAAUAUGAUCUAUAAAUUUUUAAUUUGCUCAAUAUGGUCCUUAGAAUUUUUGUAUAUGUUUAAUAUAGUCCCUAAACUGUAUGAAAAUAUUCAAUAUAGUCCUUCAUUAAUUUAAGAUCAUAGACAACAUUAAAUAUUGUUAUAUAAUUCAUGGACUAAUUGAGCAUGUACUAAAAAUUUAGGAACUAUAUUAAACAAAUUAAAAUUUUAAGCACCACAUUGUAUAUUAGGUUAAAGUUUAUAGAUCAUUUGUAUCAUUUUCCUGUACAGACAUCGACCCUCCAUAAAUUUGGACGUAAAGUAACUUCCGCUUAAUUGCAUGUGGUGGAAAAGGAAAUUAUUCCCUUUUCCUUGAAACCAUCUCUCCUCCCAUAAAAAGCUAAUCCCCGCAAGUUUCAGCCAAAAAAAAUAAAAAAAGCUAAACCCCUCAAGACCCAAUAAAUUACCCAUACAACAUAUGAUUAACUUUAGGAUUGAAUUUAAUUUAAUUAUCCCCCUUCUUUUCCUAAAGCAACAUAAAACUUUUGCAACUCAAUUUUUUUAAUUUUUCUUUUUAAAAUUUUGAGUUUUAACUAUCUCCUCAUGGACUCUGGAGAGAGGGAGGGAAGCUUUGGCCAUUCUCCUUAAAAGCAUCUCUCCUUUGUUCUGCCUCUAAUCCUCUGCGGCCCUCUCCAUGCGUUGACUGGUCUGCAUGUUAUUGUUGUGAUAUUAUCUUGUUCCUUGUUUUGUUUGGUUAUCAAAAGCAAAUUGACAACUAAGAUGGGUCUCUUGUUUUUGAUCGGGAAUGAUCCCAAGACAAAUCCUUUCGACUCGGCCAAAAGGUUAAUUAACCAGUUGCAUGAAAUGAUUCCAUGAGUAUGUUGCAAUGUAAGCAUCUAUAUAAAUCAGCUUCCUGAGGUAAGCAAGAGCUUACUCCAUGCUUUUCUUGAUCAAAGGUUAGCCUAUCUCUUGUUUCUUUUUCAAGUGCUUUUUUCAAAAUAGGAGUUUUGUUUAUUUAAGUUUAGAAUCAGUGUGGUUGAGUGUCUUUUCUAUUCGAAUUGGUGACUAUCUCAUCAUAAAGUUAUUCGAGACUUGAGCAAGACUUGAGCAAUUCUUUAAAUGGCUCAAUGGACUCUUUAUGGGGGAAGAACCCUUGAGGGUUUGUACUCCAUUGUAAUCCCUCCUCUUCCCUCCUAUCCAGGAAGAAAAAGAUAGGAUGGGAAUCAGGGGGCUCGUCGGUGGCGAAGCUAAACACCACGUCAAUUGUCACGCCCCGAACCUCGAGCGCGCGCACAUCCCACUACGGUCGAUAAAAAAUGCGACAUCCCAGGAUAUGUUGCCGACCCAUUAAUUUCUUUACGCAUGCGGAAGCGAAACAAAUCCCCUGACAACAUUUAACUUGAGAUAGAAAAGCAGGCAAUCAAUCACAAUACCAAACACUCAUUUACAAACACAAAGGGUUUAAAUACAACACUAGACUUUCUACAAAAUAGAUCAGCUCGACAAAAGGGGAACUAUCCUACAACCAACUAGCAGGACACGCUCUCCAACCCUUAUGACUUCACCUCUGCAACUCAUCAAGGCCAACCAAAGCUAUCUGGCCGCUCCGUCCACCAGGGACCUGAAAUUUUAAUCCCACAACCGGGAUGAGACGAUGUCUCAGCAAGUUCAACCCCCUAAACCCCUAUUAGAAAGAAAAUACACCCCGGAUGGCCUAGCCACAUCACACAGAAGACUUACCUCGCAUCAGCCUUCAUCUACAGGUUAGCGCAAUUUAUAUAAUUCAACCACGUACAAUUAUGAUAACCAAACAACCAUGGCUCAAUCACAUUAUCAAAACAAUUCAACCACUUGGAUCGUCUCAGCGAUCAAUCGAUUCGGCCGAUUACAUGUCAUUCUAGCAAAUCAAUCAUUGCUCUCAAUCCUGACCCUAUAGGAAGGUUUAACAAUUAGUGGCAAUCACGGCCCCACUCGGCAAGACCUGUAAUCAGGUGGUAAGUCACGGCCUCAUCAGGCACGACCUCUAAUAGGUGGUAUUUCACGGCAUCAUCAGGCACGACCUCUAAUAGGUGGUCUAUCACGGCCUCACUGGGCACGACCUCUCAUAGGUGGUUUAUCACGGCCUCAUUGGGCACGACCUCUCAUAGGUGGUUUAUCACGGCCUCACUGGGCACGACCUCUCAUAGGUGGUUCAUCACGGCCUUAUUAGGCACGACCUCUAAUAGGUGGUAUUUCACGGUCUCAUCGGGCAUGACCUUUCCUAGGUGGUACAUCACGGCCUCACUGGGCACGACCUCUAAUAGGUGGUCAAUCACAGCCAAUCUCCCAUCAAUUUCUACACUUAGGAUUUCAUAAAGAAUCCCUAUAUAUCGCAAUCACACUCAAUUUGCCAUAACCAAUCAUCAAUAUCAAAUUCUAAAUGCAAAGCAGCGAUCGACACGAAAUUCUAAGAGUUUAGGGUCCUGACAAAAUUUUCGGAAUUUAUUAAAUAAUUAAAUUUAUUCCGAAAAUAAUUAAAUAAUAAUAUUCAUACUUUUCAUGAUCCACGCUCAAUUUAUAAUAUCUAAUCAUCAAUUUCAAAAUCCGAAUGUACCGUAGCGACCGGCACGAAAUUCUGAGCAACCGGGGUCAAACAUAAUUUUUCUGAUUUUUUUUUUAAAAUAAUAAUAUUUUAAUAAUUUCGGAUUAUAAUAUAAUAUAAUAUUUUCCAGAAUUUUGAAGCACUUAAAUAAUUCAAAACUAAAAUCAUUUUGUGUCACAUCAAGGCUUAACUUUAAAUAAACUAUCUUAGCAUUUAAUUUAACAUACUUUAGAUUAAUCAACAUCUUAAUCUAAAUCAUAAUUAAAUUAACUAAAUUAACCACCUAAGCUUAAUCAACUUAAGCUAAGCACACCUAAAGCAUAAUUAACCCUCUAAGCGAGGUUUAGUGAGCUAAACUCACCGGAUUAGCGAGCGGAGCGGACCAAAACGACGGGGACGACGCGAGGAUCGACUUUCCUUAAAGCGGGCCGAGCAUCCGGGCUCGGGAAGGCAGCCGAAACAGGCCAAGAAGGGGCUGAGAAACCCAUUUUCUGCAGCUGCUGUUCAUGGGCGAAGGAGGGCUGUCCGGCGGCGAUUCGGGCGGAGGAACGGCGGAGGAGACCGGCGAGGGCUUGGACGGGCUGAAGGGGAGGUCGACGGCGGCAGAGGGAGCUCCGGCGAAGGCCCGAGCUACUCGGACAAGCGGCUGGAACGCGGCCUAGCACGGACGAGGGCGACGAGCAGGUGAGCUGACCGGCGGAGCGGCGUGCGGGCGGCGCGAAGCGACGGCGGCGACGGCGUGCGAGCAGGAGCGGGCGGCCAUGGCUGCGGCUUCUUCUUCUCUGCAUUUUUCUGGUCUUCGCACCAGGAGAGACGGAGGGGGAAACCGACGGGAGAGGAAGGGGAAAGGAGAGGGGGUCGGCCAACGGCGGUCCGGCGCGACGGCGAGGCGGCGAACUCCGGCAAUGGGCGGCGGCGUCGAGCGACCAAGCGAGCGGUGAAGGGGCGUGCGGCUGCUGGUUCCGUUCGGAGCUUUCUCUCUCCUCCAAAAUCCAAGAAGAAAAUCCAAAAUGAAGAAGAUGAUGGAGAUGGGUUGGAGGUGACAUCCUACCUUUUGAAGAACAAAUCCUCACCCUCCAUGUGUCAAGAUCCUAGCCACACAAGCCCCACCAUGACAUCACUUGAUGAUGUCACAUUCCACUAUCUCCAAUCUUCCCACAACAAUCUUCGAUGGGUGCAAUUUAUUUUUCCGCCGGGGCAUAAAACUUUGUACAUCAAUUCCUUCAAUUCCAAUCAAUUAUCUCAUAAUUGAAUCAAAUUGAAGUUCAUAAAAUUAAUCCAAUGUCACCACACUUCAAUUCACAUCUUCACUUGUCCGUAGAAUCAACUUAAGUCCCAAAAGCGCGACCAAAAGCGGCAUACUAAUUUCUCGAGCCAAAUUAGCCAUUUCUUGAUUAUUUUGCUAAAAAGCUCGGCUUGCAUGAAAAAUCUUCCAAAGAUGAUUCAAUGAUCUUGAAAUGAUUUGUGACACACCCAGACUUCCAAUUUCUGAAUUCGAUCUCAAUUCCACGGUUAAUUUCACUUUGGCACGAUACUAGCGCGGCCCAACCUACCGGGUAGCCUUUAGAAAUUUUCAUGCAUUUGACAUGUGGUUGAUCAUCUCAAGCCACAAUGUACAUCUUUGAAACAUUGGCGACUUUCGGUUGUCGGGGUAAUCUCAAGGUUUCAAAUACGAACACAGGGUACCCAAUCGACAGAAAAGUUGGCCCAGUGCCGAUCGACAAGAAUUGUGCGAUCUUGUGGAAUCACCCACACCUGAUCACAUGUCUCUGUCGAGUCGACCUAUCUCCGAUCUCUAAUCGAUUUUAAUUGUGCCGUAAUGACCCUUGUAGAUUAACUCGGUCGAAAGAUCGCUUCUUGGUCAAAUUCUCGAGUCUGAUGCAUUAGAAACUCUUAACAGCUUCACCCGAUAGACUAGUUUCCACAUGAGUGGCCGACUCAAGGAAAAGAACUAUAUGCGUGCCAACGAAAUGCCCGUCUCAAUUUAUUGAAAAUAGAAUUGGAAAAAUCGGGAUGUCACAUCAGUUCUUCGAAGCUAGUUAUUGCCUAGGAAGCAUUGAUACUAUCUAAAAAUAUUUGUGUCAUGUUGGCCACUCCAACAUAUGUUUGAUACUCUCUGACACUUUUCGACACUCUCCAAUACUCAAUUAACAGGUCUAAGAAAGUUUGAUACUUAGUCAACUCUCUUGACACUAUCCAACACUCGAGUUCGAAAUUCCAACACGCAACUUUAGAAUUCUGAUAGGUGAUUCUGACACGCACUGAGUCAAUUUUAAUUUUUUUUAAUAAAUAAGGAAUCUAAAUGUAAAUAUGAAAAAAAAUAAUAAAAAAAUAAAAAUAGGUGGAAGAAGAAAAACCUCAUCUUUCUUCUCUUCUGACUUUCACUUAUUAUGAUACAUAAUUCACCUCUCAAAAUUAUUUUUUUCUCUUUUCUUCUGACAUGCAAGACCAGAAUGUGGACUCCUUUUUUUUUUUUUCCUUCCAAGUUAUAUGGAUUAUUGGAAUGGAGUUAAAUUUGUCAAAUUAAAACAAUAAAUAAUAUUAACAAAUGUUGAAUUAAUAUUUUUAGUGUAAAUUCAUGCUAGCCUCUUUUUUAUAAUUUAUUUAUUUAUUUGUGAAUUGAAUUAAAUUAAUUUGAUUAAAUAAUCAUAAAAAUGAUAAUUUAUUAUGUAUAAAUAAAAAUAUACUUUUAAUAUACAACAUGUCUUAACAUGUUAGAGUUCUCUAUUUUUUGAAAAACAACGUGUCGGCGUAUCAUGUUGUGUCGUGUCGUGUCGCGUGUCAGUGUCAAUGCUACUUAGGCCACCGCAAGUUAGGAGAGUAUAGUAGUUCUCCGUGCCUAGGUGAGACAUGGUGGCUUCAAAACUAGUGCUGGGCAAGUAAAAGCUUACUCAAGUCUUUCAACCGACUACUUAGAAUAGGAGUUUUGUUUAUUUGAGUUUAGAAUCAAAGUGGUCAAAUAUCUUUUCUAUUCAAAUUGGUGACUAUCUCAUCAUAAAGUUAUUUCACAAUUCUGAACUUAGGAACACAAAAUUGGACCCCACAAUUUGGAUUAGGAUAAAGUUCUACAGUUUCAUGUAUACAUUAUUUUCUAUAUACUUCUGUUGAAUGCUAAAACCAAUGUAAGUGACGAGGGUAAUUGGGGUUGGGUUGUUAUAUACAUCUCUCAUAGAUGUCUAAUACGAUGAAACUAUUUCCAAAUUCACAGGCUUCUAAGUUAGAAAUCUAAAAUAAAAAAAAAUGGAAAAAAAAGGCUGCUGCUAAUGCAAACUCUAUUCAUAAAUAUCUUAAACCGCCUUUAUAUCCAUCGAUUUCAUUGAAUUGUAAAAGUGGUAUGCGGGAAAGGGGUAAUUAUGGCUAGAGCUCUGAAGAGUUCUGUAAUCUCUGGUUCUAGGAAAAAUCCUGUCUAUCUUUUCUCUAGGUCUAGGUUGCAUCAAUAAUGAUAUGAAAGAAUUGCAUUAGUUUCUUUUUUUGCUUCAUCUAAAUAAUCUUAGUUCUCGGACUCUCCAUAGAGCUUCACGUUAUUUACUGUUCUCAGGUUAUGGUUGAUGGUAUGAUUUAUAUAAUUAUUGUAUCCCUUGUAGACUGUAGAAGCUAGAGGGACGGCCAUCCAACCCCAUUACUACAUUUAGCUGGUCAGCUGCAGCUUGUUGUCGCUCAGGUUUAGGCCCUUUAUAUCUUUGCUUCAGAUAAUCUUUUGAGCUUGAGAGUCUAUAAUUUUGGCCAACGUUGUCUUCCAACAGAUUGACAAGGCCACACAUGAUCAAACUAGAGAUUCUCUUUACGAGCGUCAGGCUGAUGAAAGUGAUGAUGAGGACGAAGACAUCGAUCACGUCUUUUACAGGGAUGAGGAUGAAUCUGGACAAACUAACGAUGAUACAGAUGAUGAGUAGAAGCUCUAAAUCUUAGGAGGUAGCUAUUCUUGUUGGUGUGAGAUUUGAUUCGUCUUGUUGCAUCUUCAUAAAUUUCGGAUUGUUGGGGUAAUUAGGGGGUAAAGAAUUGGUGAAGUGAAGUUUUAUAUUCCACCGCGAGAAAGUGAGUUCCAUAAAGCAUCUUGUAUACGGACUAUUUUGCUGUUUCAAAUAAGAACCACUUGUUCUAGGUUAUAUACGCAAUUUACUGGAAAUUUUGCUGCUGAUCGUGAUCAAGAGUUUCAUGGACUCAUUACAGGUAGCUUUGUUCCUCUAGACAUCAAUUUGAGUGGGGUGCUUUUGCUGCUUUGUAGCGUGAAAUUUGCUCAAGAUGGAGAUGCUCGCUUGGGGCAAGCCACUGGUCAAGUUGCAGCUGCCCCAGGAGAAAUUCAUACGCAUGCUUGCCAGUCUCGUGCCCUCCAAAAUUUUAUGAUCCCGACCACGUAUGCUGGUCUCAGGCAAUCACCAUGACGACAGAGACCACCCAGCCUCGCCGUUGCACUAGUGGUUGUUGCCCUAUGGUGGAUUAUGGCUCUGUAUAUAUACUUCUCCGGAAAAUUGUUUCUUUAAUUAGACAAUCACAUCCGCCGUCUAUCAAACGUUCGACUGGACAGUAUAUCUGUAUCUGUCCUUGUAUCCAGUGUUUACUCGACCAAAGAAUAUGAUAUAAAAAAUCUGCAGGAGUUCUUGCCUAAUCUUAAUAUAUCCUUAUUGACUUUAUUUCUUAGCGACCAAAUGCAGCAUAAGAGAAGAACAUUACAUAUUACCCUCGAUAAAUUGACAGAGUGCAUGUCACAUUCUUUAGCUAUAAUUCCAGAAAUCUGAGAUCUGGAAACUUUAGAUGACCAUCUUCCCUAAAAGCCAUUUUGGCAUUUCGACAUCAUCUCCUGUAUACUUAAUUAUAAUUAUCAAAGGUUCUAAACCUAGUUAUUAUGUGAAGUGAACUUAGCUAAAGCCAAGAGGUCUCUGUUGAGACAUUUGACAACAUUAAAAUGAUAUGGUUUUACAUAGAAAACAUGAGAUAUGAUGAUCGAAUUCCAAGUUCCCAAAUGGUAACCCGUCUGUUCAGGUAAAACAAACAACGAAAGUUGAUACGUUCAAAAGGGAGACACGAGAAUGGCCGCUGUAUUCAAUUUUCAAUUUUUGCAGUGUUCUCGGUUGAUCGUAUUUUCGAUUUUGCAGAGUUUCUAUACAUCUCGAUCCAAAUUGAGUACAAAUCACUGGAUACUAUAAGUUGUUGGUCUGCAUGUAGUGUCGAUAUGAUCGCAAAUAAUCAAGAGAUGCAGUUGCUCAUUUCUGUUUAUCUCACGUUCCAAUUGUCCAAGCUCAAGAAUUUAAAUCCGAUUUCGAAGAACUUGGUUUUCAUGACUCUGGCGAGCUCUAAAUGCUGCAGAUCAAAAUUUGGUCCGUCGAAAUCACAAGACAAAAGUAAAGAAGAUAUGGUAGCUCUUCUUGAGAGCAAGAGCUUUUGUAUGACUCUCAACAAAUUCUUAUGUGUAAACCUAAAUCAUGGCAAAGAAUUACAAACAAUAUUCUUAACGAGGAGGGCGUCGGAACAUGUCCUAGGCGUAGGCCUGUGGGUUCUCUAGGAGGUAAGACUCCACGACCUUGAAUAUGGCCAUGGCCUUCUCCUUCCCAGCCUUGAUCUCCUCUUCUUCAACUUGAAAUGCCUCCUUGGUGUUGUACUUGCUGGUCAUCUUGCACACUGACCCUCCGUCACUGGCGGCAUCAAACUUGACCUCAUAAUCAAUCGACUCGAGCUUGUCGCCCAGUGCAUCACCCUCAAUCAUCGUGUACCUACAAACGAAGUUCUCCUUGUCGAGCUCAUCGAUCCGGUGCCUCACAUACUUGAAAUGACUAGCUGCGUUUGUUACCGAAUGAGAAAUAAAUUCACUGAACUCAUCACUAGAGAGAGGAUCCAAAAGAAUGGUGUAUGCUGAGUCUACGUACCUUCGGUGAAGUUAACUUGCUCGAUGCUCCCGGCUGCUCCAUCGCCUUGCACGAGCUCCACGCUCUUUAUGAACUGAGGAAGGAGCUUCGGGAUCAGGGCAUUCGCCUCGAUGAUCAAGGCCUUGAACAUGCGAGCCGCAGCGAUCGGGCAUGUGAGCUCUUGUGUGAUGCUGGUUGCCCCCAUGGCUAUUAGCAAAGCGAUGAGAAAGAAAUAACCUCAAAGAAGUGAUAUGCUUCUGAGUCCUGUCGAUGCCUCCUAUUUAUGGUUAGAAUUAUGUGAAUAGGUAGGCUUAGUUUGGCAAGAGUCAAGUUUGAGGAAAAUAGAAUGGUCAAGGAUUUGCAGCCUAAAGGAAUGUAAAAGAGUAAAUAAGUUGGUCUCUUUUGUUCUUUUGGUCAUGAAAAUGGUUUCGGUCCAUUUCAGAUUCAAGUUGAAAUGGCAAAGAUGAUGUUCCCAAAGAUGAACACAAGAGAGAGCACGUUCUCAUGUUCACAUGGGCGGCCAUCCCUUUGAAUUGAUUGUUGUGGAGUUUGAUCUAAUAACAAUUUGGUCGGACUACUACGUGACUUGCCGAAUAGAUAUUACAAGGAAAUACCUUGUUUGGAGAAAAGUGAAUUAAUUGAAUGUCAUUUGAUAUGGAGUAAAUGAGAAUCCUUGAUUGAUUAGCGAUAUCACGUCAGCAUGUCAUACUAUAUCAACAUCAUAUAAUUUUUUUGAGGGCUUGAGGGAUGGGGACGCUACGGGUUCCUGUUGUUACGGCUUGUUUGUUCGUUUCAUAGCUUUUGUGUUCUUGCUGGCGCCCUCGGGCUUUUAUCGGAUCCCCGUCACUCUUGCUCCUUUGUUAAGAGUGCUUGUUUGGAUCCGAUCUUUUGUACAUUUGUCCUCCUCAUUAAUAUUAUUACCUUUACCAAAAAAAAAAAAAAAAUGUCACGGCAGAUCUGUUCAAAUGCAUCAAGCAAGGCCAUUCAAUUGGGUUAAGGUUGAUUCAAACUUCUCUAACACCGGCGGUUUGACUGGGUCAAAAUCGGGUCUGCCAAGGGGCGUCUAAGGAUCAGCUUAUCGUCUACGUUGCGGGGAGGUGGGGCCGGCUGCUUUUCCGUUAUACUUUGCUUCUCUUCUUCUUCUUCUUCUUCUUUUUGGUUUUUGAUUUUAUUAUCGUUGAAUCAUUUGAUCUCCAAUCCAAUGUCCCCAUCAAGAGAUAUGAUAGGAUUAUCUUAAAUAGAAUUUCAAAUAGCCGAAGUGUUGUAAUAAGAUAAGUCCAAACCCUAGUCACAUUCAACUAUGUUUUUCAAUAGCUUUUUUAAUAUAUUAUAAGAAUGUACUUUUCCUUAAUAUUCUUACAUAUUGUGGUUUAUGAAAGUUUGUGCCACAUUGAUAGCUUUAGAUGUUAGUUCAAAUUCGAAAUAUCGGGCCAAAGUGUGGUCUUUUAUUGGCCAUUUGGCAUUUCAUUUGUAACUCAUGAAUUCUCUCCUUGUAAAAAAAAUUACUAAAAUUAGAGAAUUUCAUUCUACAAGCUUUGUAUAAACACGUAGCAUAGUUUACCAAAUUCCACAAAACCACUGAACCAGAGUCCUGUCACACCUUUUAUUCUCUUAUUCUCAGCAAAGACAAGAACAACAACACUCACCAGCCCAACAUGCUUAGCUCCAAACAGAGUGACUCAAACUCUUCUUGUCUCCUUUUCAGUUCAGCACAACCAGACAUAUUUAACACAUUACAUAAACAAUAAAAGAUAGCGAUGAGAUCGGCUCAAUAGGCAUCAGGGUUUGCCACGAGAUAAGCCUCGAUGGCCUUGACCAUCGCGGACGCCUUCUCUUUCCCGGCGUUGAUCUACUCCUCGGUGAUGUCCACCUCGCCAACGGUGAAAUAGUUGCUCGUGCUCUUCAACAACGAGCUCCCUGGGGCAACGCCGUGAUCAUCACCUCAUAGCUGAUCUUCUCAAAGGUGGUGCCCAGCACUUCACCCUCGAUGAUUGAGUAGCAAUAGGUGAAGUUCUCCUUGUCCAGGGCCUCAACCUUGUGCUUCGCUGUUUUGUACUGACUGCCUAUCAGUGUAACAAAAAGUCACAUUCACAUUUAGAACUCGCAGGUUUCAAUAUCACGAGCACCGAUCUUCUUGGUGUCGAUCAGGCCAUUUAGGAAUUAACCUAAUUGUUCCGACCGCAAUCCAAUAUGAUUGACUUAGACAUAGCCUGACUUUGCCAGAUCAAAAUCGAGUCACAUAAUCACUUGUGUAAAGUUAAAUGGUUAGAAACAUCUUAAGUAAUGGAGUCAUAUUUCUAUCAUUUUCAAUGUUCAUUAUAGUGUUCCAUAAGGUUGAAUCCGCCUUGAUUCAGAGCAAUCAUAAGUUCCUAAUAUGGAUGGACUAACCUUCACCAAAAGUCAUCAACUUGAUGGUCCUGGGACCUCCAUCGCCCUUGAGGACUUCAAUGCUCUUGACAGCUUUAGGGAGGACCUUGGGGAGGAGGUUAUCGGCUUCGAGGAUAGCGGCCUUGAACAUCUUGGCCAGGGGAAUGGGGGACGUGAGCUCUAAGUCGAAAGUGAUGACACCCAUGACUGGAUCCUAACAGAGUUGUUGAAACUGAGAAGGCAGUGAUGAUCUGGAAAGACUUGAGUAGUAGUGAUGAAGUUGGUCUCUGGGACUUGGGAGUAAAGAGAAGAGGCUGAAUUGAAGUUGACAUAUAUAGAGAGAGGGAGACUGAGUGUGAAGGGUUCUGAUCACUGCAUAUUUUCUUCUUACUAAGAUGCAUUAUAUUUUGCAGGAAAUAAAUAAUUUAGAAAAUAUUUUCCUAAAAAUAAUAACUAAAUUUAGAUAGUGUUUCCAAGCAUAAGUUAUUUGGUGAGUGUGCUGCAUGUUCUAAAUUGAUCUAAAUUGCUAAAUUUAAUGGGCUCACUAGAAUUAAAAGUCUAGAUUCCCUUUAAUAUAAGUAUGACAUUACCUCAUUUUCAAGUUUUCGUCAAAAUUGUGUUGUAUGUACUAAGUUAAUCUAAAUCACUAAAUUUGAUGGGUUCACGUGGGAUCCAUACAAAAUUCACUAGAAUUAAAAGUUCAGAUUUUGCUUACUAUAAAUACAGUGCUCUUUCCUCAAAUUGUGUGGCGUGUACUAAAUUGAUCUAAAUUGCUAAAUUCAAUGGGUUCAAGUGGGACUCAUAUGGAACUCACUUGUCACGCCCCGAUCCUCGAGCGCAUGCCCAUCCCUCUCUGGUCGAUAAAUAUUUUGCGACUUCCCAGAACGAGUCACCGACCCUUUUAUUUUAUUGCACAUGCGGAAGCUAAUAAUAAAUCCCAUGACAGUAACUCUCUCGGGAUAGAAAAGCAGGACAUCGCAUUCACAAACAAACCACACUUUUAUAAACAUACUGAGUCUUUUACACAAGUCUAUAACCAAAAGACUAGUUCUCAAAAAGAGGCUGUCCUAUCUGACCUACUCUUCAGGUCACCUCAGCUUAGCUCCAGGUCCUCCCUCUACGCUCCUGAAAAUUUUAAGCCCACGACGGGGUGAGAUAUAAAUCUCAGCGAGUUCACGGUCUAAGCCCCGAUUAUGAGGGAAAUACACCCAGAAGUGUCCUAACCACACAACCACUCAAUUGGCAUAGAUGACUUACCUCGACUCAGUUUCCUUUCCUGCAUGUCAAUAUAGUUCAUAUCGUAAUGCAUAUAAUCAAUGCACAUAACAACUGGAAAACCUCAUCAUCUCAAUUAAUUACCGGGGUCCUGAUUAUAAGGCCAAACCGUUAUAACACAUCCCAUUCCAUGUCACACAGUUUUAGUCUCAUAAUCGGGUGCAUCAAACUCAACAAUCAUGCGUUCCAAUUGUUAAUUACACCCCUCAAGGGUACGGCCAACUCUAUCGGCGGUCUUCUGGCAUUGCCAGGCGUCGUCUCACCCCCUUUGAGCAUGGCAAUGUCUCUCAAUUAGACGGCUUCCCCGAAGGGGCGUAGGUCCAGCAUCUACUACGACUCGAGUCCCAAUGAAUGGGUAACAUCCGGCUUAACAGCCCAGGACAGUUUCUCUUAACCAACAUACAACCAAUCAAUCUCAGCCCAGGACACUAUGCAUUGCACUCAAAUGUCUCAAUUAAAAUAGUGAACCUGGCAUAUUUUCUUCGUAUUAGAAAUACACGAUAAAAUAGUUGUGCGUGGGUACACGGUCAAUUCACAUUAGAAAAACUGAUAUCCUCCAAUUUAAAAUCACAUUGGUUUAUAUAGUACAUAAAAUCAUUUUCGGUGUUAAAACUUGACACCCGGGAUUUUAAGGAAUUUCACAAAUUUUGGAAUUAAAAAUACUCAAAAUUCCAAUCAGCACUCAAUUUGCACAAAUUAACAUCCAAUUGCAUAAAUUGAACACACCAUUGCAACCAGCACGAAAUUCUGGUCACCGACUAUCCUGGCCUAAUUUUCGGAAAAUAAUUAAUAAUUAAAUAAUUUAUCAAAAAUUAAAUAAAUUACAAAAUAAAUAAAUUUAAAGCAUUUAAUUGAAUUAACCUAAAUUAACUAAACUAAAUAAUCUAACUAACAAUUAAAUCUAACCAUCCUAUUUAAUUUAAUCUAAGUACACUAACUAAAUAAACUAACUAAUUCCUAACUAAUCCACCUAACUAAACUAAUUACACUAACUAAAUACUAACUAUAUACUUAAUCUAACUAAGCCAUCCUAAACCUAAUCAACAUAAUUAAUCCACAAAUUAGCUAACUAACACACCUCUAAGUGUCAAUAGCCCACUAAUAAAGGAUUAGAAUGCAACUCACCGGUUAAGCUCGAAAAUCAGCUCACGGCGACGGUGGCGCAACGGCGGCCGAGACUCGAACUCACGGCAAGGCCAAGGGAACGCUUAGAUUGGCUGAAAACUCGCAAAAGAAACUCACGAACUCAGCUGAGUUCGCUGGAAUCCGCGGCUAGCUUCGGUCUUCAGUGGACUGAGCGAAGCUGGCGUUGGCAAAUCGGCAGAGGAGAAUUCGAUGGAGAGAGGGACGGCUUGGACGCGAAGAGCGUGGGCUUCGGUGAGGGAACAAUGGGCUGCUCGACGAAGACGCGUGGCUCAAGAUGCUGAAGGUUUCACGGUCAACUUUGCUGGAGAAAAACUCCUUUGGUGGACUGAAUUUGAGGUGGCUUCGGACGUGUGGUGCAGAGAAGAAACGGUGGGUGAAUGAUGGUGCAGGUGGCGGUGGGAUGAGGGAAAAACGUGGGGAUGCUUCGGUGAUGGGUUUCUUCGAAGGGAGAAGUGAACAGAAGGAGCUGAAGCCGUGAAAAGCGAGAGAGAGACCAAGAAGAAAGAGAGAAUCGGAUGAGGGAGAGAGGCGGUGGACUGGCGUGCGAAGGAAGCUGCAGCUAAGGAAGAAAAAGUCAAAGAAAAUAUCUUGAUCCUUUAAUGCUUGGUCCCCCUUUGGUCUUCAUGCAUAUCACCAUGUUCCCUUAUUCUUUCUAACAAAUAUAAUCCAAAAAUUAACCCAAUUGAUGCUAAAAUCAGUCCCCAAACCAUAGCUCCGAAUUCCACUGAUUUUAUAAUUCAAUUUCAUCAUCAAAUUCUCAAUUUCAAAAUCCAGUUUUAUCGAAGAAAAAUCUCACACAUGUCCAUAAAUUCCCAUCACCUAGUAGCUCGGUUUGCACAUCAAAAUUUCCUUCAAAUGAGCCCGUCUGAAUAUCUGUUCAAUUUCCGAAUCGAUUUUCCGUAAAAAUCUCGGAAUCUCCGAAAAAUUUUCAGAAAGUGAGUUGACGUUCCUAAAAUGAAUCGUGAUACGGCAGAACUUUCAAUUUUCUGAAAUCGAGCUCAAUUUCGCUGUUAAUUUCAAUUCGACGUGAUUUUAGCGCGUCCCAAUCUACCAGGUAGCUUUUAGGAAUUUUUAAUGCAAUUGACUCAUGGUCGAUUAUUUUCGAGCCACAAUGUACAUCUUCGACACAUUGACGACUCUCGAUUGUCGUAAAAAUCUCGAGGUUUCAAAUACGGACACAAUGUACAAAAAUGACAGAAAAAUCGGUUUAGUACCGUUUGAUAUAAAUUUUGCAAUUAGGUGGAAUCAUCCACGCACAAAUCACAUAUCUCUAUCGAAUCGACCUAUCUCUGGUCUCUGAUUCAUUUUGACGGUGCCGUAAUGACCCUUGCAGAUUAGCACGGUCGAGCAGUCGAUUCCUGGUUGAAUUCUCAUGUCUAUUGUAUUUAGAUUCUUUAACGGCUUUACAUAAUAGGCUAGUUAACUCGUGAGUGGCUAACUUAGAGAAAAAAGCUAUAGACACGUCGAUGAAAAGCCCAUUUCAUCUCAUCGAAAUCAGACUUGAAAAUCAGGAUGUCACAUCACUAGAAUUAAAAGUCCAGAUUUUGCUUAAUAUAAAUAAGUCCCUAGCUCAUUUCCGAGUCUUCAUCAAAAGUGUGUUGUAUGUCCUAAAUUGAUCUAAAUCGCUAAAUCUAACAAGUUCACGUGGGAUCCAUGUGGAACUCACUUGAAUUAAAAGUCCAAAUUCUCCUUGAUGUAAAUACGAUGCUAUGUCAUUUCUAAGUUUUCGUCAAAAUUGUAUUGUAUAUACUAAGUUAAUCUAAAUUGCUAAAUUUGAUGGGUUCAUGUGGGAUCUAUAGGAAACUCACUAAAAUUAAAAGUUCAGAUCAUCUUGAUUAAAAUACAGUGCUCUUUCAUCAAAAUUACGCCGUAUGUACUAAAUUAACCCAAAUCGCUAAAUCUAAUGGGUUCAUGUGGGACCUAUAUGGAACUUGCUGGAAUUAAAAGUCUAGAUUUUGCUUAGUAAAAAUAAGACCCUAACUCAUGUAUGAGUCUUUGUCAAAAGUGUGUUGUAUCUCCUAAAUUGAUCUAAAUCACCAAAUUUGAUGGGUUCACAUAGGAUCCAUAUUGAAUUCACUGGAAUUAAAAGUCCAAAUUCCACUUAAUAUAAAUAUGACGCUAGCUCAUUUCCGUUUAUUCAUCAAAAUUGUGCUAUAUGUACUAAGUUAAUUUAAAUCGCUAAAUUUGGUAGGUUUAUGUGGAACCCAUAUGAACCUCCCUUAGAUAAAACAUCCAAAAUCGAUUAAAUAUAUACCACAUCAACUCAUUUCUGAGUCUCCAUCAAGUGCCUUUUUCUCAUCUCUUUGAAGCUUCCGAUCGCGUGCCAUUCCAUCACAUGUGAGUCGCGAAUGAUUUUCCACGCCAAAGUCUUUGUUAAAUCUCGAGACUUAAAAAUACGAAUGUGAAGUACAAUUGCGUGUCAAAUGCAGAAAAUUCUUAUGUGAAAGAGUUGACCGUCCCUUCUUGAGUCAACUGUUCUCUUCCUUGAUAUGCUUUUCUCAUCUGGCCUCAGACACAGAUGUCAGAUGGUCAAAGGGACGCAUUCAUGUUGACACCUAAAUUUUGAUUAGGUUAUUAAUUAGGCCUUAAUUUAUUUUAUAUUUCCUUUUUUCGGAUAAUAAACAAAACAAAUAACAAAAACAACAAAUAAAUAAAUAAAAACAAAGAAAAAGAACCAAAGCAGCAGCCAUUGGAGUUGGGCCUCCAAGCACAGCCCUAUCCUUUUUCUUCGCGUGGGCUCACACGACCCAACCCACCCCCCUCUCUCCUUCUUCUUCCUUCUUCUUCUUCCUCGCUCCUUCCUUCUCCGCCUCUGUAGUUCACGCGUAGUGACGACGACACACUCGAAGACAACCUAUGGCCGAGGAGGGUAGGCCGACGACGGCCGAGGAGGGUAGGCCGACGUCGGCCGGAAGAGACAGAUCUCAAGCGCCAUUAUUGGUUUCCUUCAAUGCCGAGCAUGCCUUGUUGAAGGAGCUCGGAUGGGACGCCGGGUCAGCCACGGGGGUCUGGUUGGCGUACGAGGGCCGACGGUCGAACCUCCAUCGACCGGCCUCCUCGCCUAUAAAUAGAAGGGCACAACCUCCGUCGAAGAGGACACAAGCCGGUAAGCUUAGAGGGGUCCCUGAGAGACUUCAGGGAGCUCAAAGAGCAAGCAAGGUAGAAAUCGAGUCGCGAGCUCAAACCGACCUCCCUCCAAGAGACUUUGGGGGAGGCCGGCGGCAAGCGAGCCCGAGGGGGAGAAAGGGGCUGAGCGAGAGAAGAAUCGGAGGAGAGAGGGUCGGAUAUGGGUAUGAAGGCUCGUUGCCGUCCCCUAGACGACGUCACCUUGACCAAGUUCCCGACGUUGUGCACCGAUGCCGUCCAAAUCUGAGUGAGUAGGCCGGAGAGAAGAGGAGAUCGGAGGAGAUCCUGUGCCCCGACGCCGCCGCUGCGUCAGAUCUCACCAUGCCGCCGUCCUCACGCCUCGUCUCUGCCGCUUUCCCCAACGUCGUCCAGAUCUAAGUGGGCUUCGAGGAGCAGGGGUCCGUCACCAUCAUUGCCACUGUGUCUGGGUCCUCGCUGUGCUGCCCCCUACCGACGAGCCUCGGUUGAAGUCCUCGAAGCCAGUGAGCAUCUCUGACCCCCCCUCAUCUAUCACCUUUUUUUCUAAGUCAGCCAUGCCGGGGCACGCGAUUAUCGAGCUUGCAUAAGCUCCAACCGCCGGUCGCCCCUUUCUUCGCCGUUCCGCCUUCUCCGCCGUAGCCUCACCACAGUAGCCUAGACGUCGCCCAAACGCUUUCGCUCUUGCCAUCUCCGCCAUAGCCUAUUGAAGCCGCUCUGCCGCCGCUCGGAUGCCUUCCCCUCCUGUCGCCCGUUGCAGCCGUUGGACCGCGAAGGUAGCCGCGGCUGCGAAAAUCGGGUUAGCUAGGUCGGAUCGCGUGACGGUGCCCUAGGGUUUCCAUCAAGCAGGUCGGGUCGUCAGGCUGGGUUUGGAGCUCGGGCUAGGCAUCCCCUUUUUAAUUCAAAUAGGCCCAAUUCCGAUGUGUGGGCUAAGGUUUUUUUAAGAAAAACAAAAACAAAAAUAUGGUCCGCGUUCUAAGCGGACGACUCGGGUCGGACCCAACCCUGGAUCCAACCCGGUUCUUUUUUAAAUUAUUUUAAUAAAUAAAAAAUAAAAAAUAAUUUAUUUUCAAGAAAAUAAAAAAAAUCAAAAAUAUCUAUACUUUCCCCAAAAAUGUCAAAAAUGUCAAAAAAAAAAAUCCAAAAAUGAUUUAUAUUUUCAGAAAAAAGAUCAAAAAUCCAAAAAAUGCUUUUUAUGUCCAAAAAAAUAGAAAAAGACCAAAAAAAAAUGUUUUUUCUCCACGAAUGCAUGGAAAAUCCCUCAAACAUCCAAAAAGCCUCCAGAUUUAAACAAGAUUAGGUACCGAAAGGGCGUUAGUGAUUAACUAGUGUAAUCAAGUCUCCGAUUCUAAUUUCUCUGGUUGCGCAAGAGCGAAUAUUGCUCCUGAUACUUCGCUUGGGUUUCUAAUCGACCCACCCUAAACCGAUUAGUAGCGACUCCAUUUUUAAAAUUAGCCCAGUGGCUCGGACAAUCAAGCUUGAGUGCAUGUAGAUAAUUCUUGCACGACAAACGCAUGGUGGGUCGUGAAUUGAGACUCAUCCGCGUGCACACUAGUGCCACCAUCACCAUGAAUACCACUUCCUUGACCAGUUGGACGGUCGAAAAAGGAAGACAUGGGUCGAGCACAUCCUUCAUUAACACAUUUGAGUCUUCCAAUAAUGUCGACGUUUGUGUCGUUCGUGGGGAAGAGGGAAGAUUUCCUGGAUGCUUCUCCGUCAUAAUCUAGCUUCAUUACUUUUACUGCUGACUCUGUUUCAUGAAAGAAGAAUGAGUCAAUGUUUUGAUCACACGGUUCCUUUCAGAUUCAUGUUGAAAUGUCAAAGUUUAUGUUCCAAAAGAUGAACAUUCUCAAGCUCACAUGGGUGGCCAUCACUUUGAAAUGAUUGUUGUGGAGUUCGAUCUAACAACGAUUUGGUAGGACUACGUGACGAUGAUGUGCCGAUUAGAUAUUAUAACGAAAGGUCCUUAUUCGGAGAAAAGUGUAUUAAUCAAAUUUUGUCUCAUUUAAUAUGUAGCAAAUGAAAAUGCUUAAUUAGUUGGUGAUAUCAUAUUAGCUUCUUGCGCGAUAUAAACAUCAUAUAAUAUAUUUCUUCGUUCAUAAUGCCCUAAUGUCACGGUAGAUCUAAUUCAAAUGUAUGAAGUAAGGCCUUUUGAAAUCAUUUUUAUAACUUAAGGUUGAUUCAAACUUCACUAGCACCGACAGUUUGACUCGGUCAAAAUUGGGUCGGCAGUCGGGGUGUCCCAAGAUCAGCUCAAAUUCUAAAUUUGGGGGAAGUGGAGGCUGUUGCUUUUCCGUUAUAUUUUGCUUCUCUUUUUCUUUUUUAUCAUUAUUAGUGUUGAAGCAUUUGUCUCUAAUCCCAAUGUCCCCAUCAAGAGAUAAGAUAGGAUUAGGUAAAUAGAAUUUCAAAUAGCCCGAGUGUUACAAUAAGAUAAGUCCAAACCCUAAAAAAAUGAACUUUAUUUUGUCGGUAGCUUUCUUGACAUAUAAUAAGAAUGUACUUUUUGUUAAUGAUCAUAUGCAUAACGAUUUCUGAAAGAUUCUACCACAUCGAUAAUUUUAAAUAUUAAUCCAAAUUCGAGAUAUCAUGCCGAAGUUCGGAUUUAUUCAUUUGUUACUCAUGAAUUCUCUUCUUGUAUGAAAUUUGCUGAAAAUUAGAGAAUCUCAUGAUACCAACAAAAUAUCAAGUUUAUUCAACUUUUUUUCAACUUUUUUUUUUUGGGUCCAAAAAAGAAGAUGUAUUAUAAUUCCAGUAACUUACAACCGGAUGCUAGGGCGUCAGGAUAUACAAGGUCUAGCAAAAUAGAAGGUGGGAAGAUGUUCCAAUUUUGGGCCGAAUUUGUAGAAAGGUGGGCCUUAGCAACCUAGUCAGCCACAGUGUUGGCCUCUCGCUUGCAGAAACGAACCGAUAGGUUAGGGAAAAACAAAAGUAAAGCAGUUGCCUCCGCAAGAAGAGGUCGAGUCUCCCAUGGUGACGUCUCCACUCCUGUGACAACCUCAACAACGAUACUACAGUCCGAUUCUAGGACAAUCGGAGCUUGAUGAAGCUCUUGUCUCUGCAGAUGGUGAAGCGCAAAGGUGAUAGCUUGAAACUCCGCGAUUAGUGCAGAUGCAGCAGGAAAUCUCAUAGUAUAAACAUUAGUAAGUCUUCCAUACUGAUCUCUACUUAUAGUAGCCAUCGAAUCAUGUGUGCUUCUUGGUUGAAAAGAUGCAUCAACAUUGCAUUUCAAAAUACCUGGAUCCAGUGGUUUCCAAAUCCGAUGUGGGUGUUGUGGUGCUGUAGGUCUUGUCAAAAGGGCCGGGAUGCUAGCCUGAUACAGUCGAGUUUGUGUUAAGGUGUUCUCUGCUGCUAAGGUUGAGUUUAGACGAUGGCCAGGGAAGAUGAAUCCGUUCCUCAUUCUCUAAAUUUGCCAUAGAAUGUUUGCAACGAGCUCUAGACCAGGUAAGUGAUUCAAUGAAAUAACCUAUUUUGCUAACCAAACUUCUUGUCUAGUGACCGUAUGGGGCUGCACAGCAAUGUUAAUUUGUGGGUGAGCCCAAAUAGCUAUAGUCCACUGACAGAGGAGGAAUAAGUGCUCUAAAGUCUCUGGAAUGCCAUGUUGACAAAUCUAACAGAUUGGAUCAGUAAUAAUAUGUUUCUGAAAUAAGUUAUCUCGAGAUGCAAUGGUGUUUUGACAGACCGAGCACAUAAAUAUAUGAAGUUUUGGAGCUAUUCACAUAGCCCAGAUACGUUUCCACAUAAUUUUAGGAUGCUAGUAUGAUAUUGAUGCUGUAUAGUUGUUGUUGUUGUUGCUGUUGAGAUUAGACAGCACAUGAUAGUUGCUCUUUACCGAAUGUCAGCCAUCCUUAGUGGCUGUCCAGACUAGCUUAUCUUCAGCAUAAGCAGGUCUAACUGGAAUGGUUUGAAUAUCUACUAUAAACUGGUCAUCAAAAAAUCUUUGUAGCAGAGAUGUGUUCCAGCUAUUGUGGAUAAGAUCGAUGAGAUCAGCCACCAGUUUUGGUUCCUCUCUAGUGGUAGGGCCACCAAGAAUUCCUCUUGGUAACCAUCAAUCCUCGCGGAUUCUGAUUUGCCUGCCGUUACCCACUGACCAACUAACAUUAGGUAAUAUAGCAUCCCGGCCCACUAAAUACUCAGCCAUCCCCAUGACGGUCUAGCUCCUCUUAUCGCCCAUUGGAAAUCGGUGGAAUGAAAAUACAAACCCUUGAAAAUCUGACUCCAUAAAGCUUGAGGCUGUUGAAGUAGUCGACACGCUUGCUUACCAAGCAUGGCUCUAUUAAAUUCAAGAAGAUCUCGAAAUCCUAGACCUCCAUUGUCCUUACUCCUCUUUAGAAUAUCCCAUUUCUUCCAAUGUAUCCCUACUCUGUUCUAAUCGUUUUUCCACCAGAAACGAGCUAUAAUUUUUUCUAUAGAUCUGCAAAGAGACACAAGAAGUUUGAAAAUCGACAUAGCAUAGUGAGGAAUUAACUAGAUGACAUAUUUAAUGAGAACUUCCUUUCCUCCUUUUGAAUGAACUUUUCUUUCCAUCCUUCCAACUUUGAUUGUAUUCUUCCCAAGAGCCAAGAAAACAUUUCCUUUUUAGAGCGGCCCCAGUCAGACGGAUUUUUCAACUUGAUACACUACAUAUGUAGCACAAUUUACAAAAUUCCACAAAACCACUACACCAGAUUCCUGCCACACCUUUCAUUCUCUUAUCCUGAGCAAAGACAAGAACGAACAGCACUCAUCAGCCCAACAUGCUUAACUCCAAGCAUAAAGCAACUCAAAACUCAUCUUCUCUCCUUUUGAAUUUAGCACAACCAGACAUAUUUAACAUAGUACGAUGAACAAUCAAGAUAGCGAUGGGAUCUACUCAAUAAGCAUCAGGGUUUGCCAAGAGAUAAGCCUCGAUGGCCUUGAACAUCGCGGGCGCCUUCUCUUUCCAGGCCUUGAUCUUCUCCUCGGUGGUGUCCACCUCACCAAUGGUGAAGUACUUGCUCGUGUUCUUGCAUACCGAGCCUCCCUUGGGCGAUGUGGUGAUCUUCGCCUCGUAGCUAAUCUUCUCGAAGGUGGUGCCCAGCACGUCACCCUCAAUGAUCGAGUAGCUGUAGGUGAAGUUCUCCUUGUCCAGGGCCUCAACCUUGUGCUUCAUUGUCUUGUACUAACUGCCUAUCCAAGUAAGAAAAAAGUAAUAUUCACGUUUAGAACUCGCUAGUUUCAACAUCGCAAGCAACGAUUUUGAUGGCAUCAAUUGAGCCAUUUAGGUUGUUCCGACCGCAAUCCAAUACGAUUGACUUAGACAUGGCCUGAUUUCGCUCAAUCGGAAUCAAGCACAUGAUCACUUGUGAAAAAUAUUAUUAGAAACAUCUUAAUUAACCAAGUUACAUAUCUAUCUUUUUAAACAUUCAUCAUGAUGUUCCAUAAGGUUGGAACCACCUUGAUCCUGGGCAAUCCUAACAUAGACAACCUAACCUUCGCUGAAAGUGAUCAACUUGAUGGUCCCGGAACCUCCAUCGCCCUCAAGGACUUUGACACUCUUGAUGGCUUGCGGGAGCGCCUUGGGAAUGAGGUUAUCACUGUCGAGGAUAGCGGCCUUGAACAUCUUGGCCGAAGAGACUGGGGUCGUGAUCUCAGAGUCGUAACUAACGACACCCAUGAUUGGAUCCGAAUUGAGUUGCUGAAACUGAGAAAGGGGUGAUCGGGAAAGGCUGAGCAGCAGUGAUGAAGUUAGUCUCUAGGAGUCAGGACUUGCGAGUGAAGAGAAGAGGCUGAAUCGAAGCUCACAUAUAUAGAGAGAGAUUAAGGCUCCAUUCGUUUUAUGGAAAAUAAUUUCUGGAAAAAUAUUUUUCGGAUUUUCCGGCGUUUGUUUAACGGAAAAUGAAUUCCUUGGGGAAAAUGUUUUUCAUGAAAGGAAAAAAAGUGUUCUAAAUUAAGGGAAAAUUUUUUCUACUUUUGAAAAGUGGAAAACAUUUUCUUCACUUGAUCUCUCUUAUCUCACACCUCUACAAAUCCUCACUUCCUCCUCCCAUUUCUUUUUCUUCUUUUCUUUUUUUGUUCAAAUUAUUUUUUAAUUAUUUUUUUCUUUUUUAAUUCAAAUUAUUUUUAAUUUCCUUUUUCUUUUCUAUUUCUUUUCUUUUUUUUCUAUUUCUUUUUUUUUCUUUGUUUCCCAUCUUUUUCUUUCUUGACUAGUUGUUGGCCAUUGCUAGGCGAAUCUCGAGCUCAUCGAUCUCAAGCUCGGGCUCUGCACUCUUGCUUAUCAUUUUCUUUACUUAUUCUAUCCUACAGUUGUACAUUGCUCAAGUAAAGUGCUUUAUAUGCUUUGCUUCUUUUUUCUUUUGUUUAUUAGAACACAAAAGACGUAAGGGGAGAACAGGCCACUCAACUGGAAGAUUCUCAUGAGGGUUGUACGUGCUUUGCUUCUUCUCUUUUGCUUCUUUUUAAAAUUCAUACGAACAUUUUUUAGAGUAGAUGAGCAUUUGGUGAUAAUGAUGGAACAAAGAUAUGGAGUAAGUUUGUCCGAAUUUAAAGACAAGUUCAUAUUUGAUGGAUUUAUAAGUCGGUAAGUGAUGCAUGCCUAAGUGGUGAUGUCUUAGAAAAUAUUUUCCUUACCGAACACCGGAAAAUAUUUUCCAAAACAUUUUCAGGUUUUAACCGAACACCAGAAAAUAUUGUCAUUUUCCUAAAAAAAUAACUUCUGCGAAAAUAUUUUCUGGAAAUGACCCAUUUUCCGCGAAAUGAACGGACCCUAAAUAUAAAAAGGUUUUCUUAACUAGAUAUUCUCUUCUCACUUGACUGUGCGAUUAUUUCACGGAAAGUAAAUGAUUUUAAAAUAUAUAUUUUUUAAAUAAUCAUUUAUACCAUUUAAAAUAAUUAGUUAAUGGAAAAUAUUUUCACUUUUUUUUUCAUUCUUUUUUAAAACUAUACAAGCAAUCAAUUUGAGGAAACAUUUUUCAAAUUAUCCAAUUUCUGUGGAACAAAUCAAGUUAAAAAAAAAAAAACUUUAAUUGGUCUGUGAUCAAGUUCAAUCAUGUUAUGGACUUUGUUUAUAAAAUAAAAAAUGUCCAUAUGAUAACAGAAUAUUAGUCAAAGAAGGCUUCUUCCUAGAAAAAUACCAAUCAUGAUUCCAUUUCCUUUUCAUGUAUUGACUUUCUAUCCAGGGGCAUUUGCUCGGCCAAUUCUUGGAUCUUUUUUUUGGCUAGAAUUCUUAGUUCAGCUUCGCUGAUUUUUUACAGUCUUAUCAUAGUGGAAAAUCUCAAGCCCUUUUGACUACAAAUGUCGUCUGGAUUUUUAAUCGAGAUAAGACUAAAUAGGAUGGGACAUAAAAUCAAAAAAAAAAAUUGGUAUUGUUUAGUGAUUAUAGUAAUAUGGUCGGAUAAAUCCACAUCAUAUUAUAUAUAUUAUUUGGUAUAAAUGACACAUUAGUAAAAAUGAACCAUUUAUAAAUGGAAAUGGUAAAAAUCUCUCGCGAUACUCUAGCUUACUUUAUUUUAUUUGGUUUUUUUGUGGCAUUCUAAAACUUCAUGACAACCCCUAGAUAUGCUAUGAACCAUGAAUAGGUGAUGGAAGCACCAUCAAAUUAUAUUGUAGCCAUUAGACCCAUGAUUUGCAAUAAGAUUAAGGCCGAGCUUUUCAAUAGACCAUUUUUUGAUAGGAAAAUUUUAUUCUUGGUCAUACGUUUUAUAGGUUGGAUUUUAUUGAUUUAUGUUACAUAAUAUUAUGGCCAUAUGAAUUGGUAAUUAGGUGUAUACUUAGGUGAAGAUUAAAUGGGAAAAAUUAGAGAAGAGUGGGUUGAUUUUCUUAAGCCCAAGACCAGCCCCACCGUUCGGCCACUAAGGCUUGGCCUGCAAAGCCCAAAGGGCUGCUGUCGACCAAAUGGAGGAGUCGGCCCAAAGGAUGGCCCAUCAACCUACAUGAAAAUUAACAAGUGGCUAAGGGGAUUAGCCAAGUGGCAUUUGCAUGCAAUCAAAUGAUUGCUAAUCAUUGCUGAAGGAAAUAAAAGAGAGGGAGAUCGGGCGGAGUGAGCGAGGAGUACCGAGAGAGAGAGAGAGAGAGAGAGAGAGAGAGAGAGAGAGAGAGAGAGAGAGAGUUGUCAUGCGAGAGAAAGAGAGAAAGCGGGCGUGCCAGAGAGAAAGAGGAGGAAGAAAACCGUUGCUACUGAGCAUCCGCCUGGUCCCGCCGUCAAGCCCACCUUGUCCCGCCGUCGUGUUUGCUGCGAUUUUCUUUGGAUUAGAGACAAGUAGAGUCUGUUAGCCUACACUUUGCUUGCUAUGAUUGUGCUGUUGAAUGCUGGAAAUGGUUGAGUUGUGCUGUUGAAUGCUGGAAAUGGUUGAGUUGUGCUGUUGAAUGCUGGAAAUGGUUGAGUUGUGAUGUUGAAUGCUGGAAAUUCGAGUGAAUGGUGGUGGUUUUUCCAAGUGAGCUGUUGCAUGUAGGAACAAUUCAACUUUUGGUGAUUUCGUGAGCUGCAUGCAAUUUUCUAGUUGGAAUUUCACUUUGACUUCUUGAUGAAAUUUGUAGAGGACUUCUUGGAGAUUAACAUAUCAAAAUUUGAGAGAAAACAAACAAGUAUUCGUUGGUGAAACCAUUUUUCUUCAAAGAUACUAGAUCUGGAAACGUUUAUGUUGAUCUGUUGUGAUUAUGUGAAUUUUGUGCAAGUAUCCAUUCCGAAUUUGAUCUCGUGUCCUUGAUAAGAGUUGUAGAAGCCAUAUUGAGGAAUAAAAUACUAAAAUUUGAGAAGAAACGGACAAGUAUUGGUCGGUGAAAUGAUUUUUCUUCAAAAUGGUUAGAUCUGGAAAGCGUCAUUGAGGGUUAGGAAGAGUAUGGUGACUGUAGCUUUUGAUCUAUCACAAAUCUGACUUCAAUUUCUUCACGAAAAUUUUACCUCUAUGUCUCAAUUAUAACAUGUUGAAAUUUCAGAAUUUUUGGAGUUCAUUUAAGGGCUUAAUCGAAAUUAUUUCCAAAAGUGUGCAAAAAGGGGUGCUGGAAUUUCUUUUGCUGUGAUGUAUGGACCUAUGUGAUUGAUGUGAAACUUUCUUGACAUGGUGUUCUGCAUGAAAUAUUUUUCUCUAGGUCUUUUUUACAUCAUGUUAAUUUUUUAGAAUUUAUUGAGAUCGUUUACUAAUUUUUCCAGAAUUUUUAUUAAAGAAGUGCAUUCUGCUUUAUCCGAAAAUUGUCCUAUUUUGAAAAACAAAUGAAUUGCUCUAUGAAAUAUGAUGUCUUUUGUGGUUAUUCAUGCUGCAUAUGUGGUGACAUUUGGCAUAUCAUAUGACAUCAAAAGGCAAGUUUGGACCUCGAAUAUUAUUGCAUCAAAUGCUUAUUUGAAAAUGAGAUAUAUAUAUAUAUAUGUGUGUGUGUGUGUGUGUGUGUGUGUGUGUGUGUGUGUGUGUGUGUGUGUGAAUAUACAUUGUGGUGGUAAUGAUACUGUCGGAGGUGUGAGCCGACGAUGCCCCGGGAAUGUUAGGAUGCCCAAAGGUUCGAAUGAGUCGAUGCCCUUUGGAUGCCUGGUUGUAUUAUGAAUACAUGCCCAGAGGGUCCUCGGGAGUUUCGAGAUGCCUGGUGGUAUACGGUACGUAAUUCUAGGGGGAUACCUGGUGGUAUGUUGGUACGUAAUUUCAGAAACCCUGGAGGUGUGUGCCGGGGGGAUUCCUCGUGAUACUUGUUGGAGUGCGAGAUGCCCGAAGGUUUGUGCCAGAGAUUCCUCGCGAUGCCAGGUUGGAUGCGAGCGAUAAAUGAGGGAUGCAAGCAGUGGUCCCUGGGAGAAUGAUGAGAUCCUUUUGAAUAUCAAAAUAAGAAUUGAAUCAUGCAUGUGUGUGUGUGCAUAUGGCAUGUGCUAUAAUUGCCUGUGAAAUUGAGUUGAUACUAUUUGGCAUCGAAUGGAUCUCAUGAGGAUAUAUACAUGAUUAUGUGGAUGACAUGAAUUAUGCGUAUGGGUAUGUGCAUAUGGCAUGAGAUAUAAUUGUCCAUGAACUUGAAUUGGUAUUGCUUGGCAUGGGAAAUAUGACUAGUAAGGUUGUGAAUGAAUCUCAUGGACAUAUAUGCAUGAUGGCAUGGAUGAUAUAUGCAUGUCGCAUGAAAUUGUGUUGUCUUGCCUAAUGCAUUGUGUAGUUUGAUGGAUCUUUACUGCUGAGUGGUUGUACUCACCCCUUUGGGGACCAACAUUUCAGAUUGAGUGAUGCCUCUAGCACCUGUCACGCGUGGUACAUUCUAUGGUAUAUCAUCUUAUGUUGAGGUCGAGUGCACAGAACACCCCUGCGUCGGUGUUCAUGGUCUGAUGUUUAUCCGCGUCUAUGUCUUGGUCAUAUAUGAUGUGAGCCUACCUGAUGGCCUUGUAGUACAGGAGUUUCUAUCCAUCCAUGUUCGUCGAGAUAGGAGGAUGAUAGCGAUGCUGCCGCCGCCACCGGCCGAUGCAUCAGGAUGGGUGUAAUAGGAGUGUAUGACUGGUGGAGGUUGAUACUUUUUGGGAUGGCUGCACUAACUUAUGGAUAGAUGUACAUGUAUGAUGUAUAGUCGGGUUCUUUUGGGUUUAGCUGAGCUUAGUUAAAGUCUUGGCGUUUUGUUGUACCGACUUGUGAAAUCCAUCUUAGUUAUGUAAAUAAAAGUGAUUCGGCCCUAAAGUAUAUAUAUAUAUGAAAGGUUGUAGUUGGUGUGUAUUGCAUUGUAUUAUUUAGUUUGUGUAUGGGUUAGGGAGAUGAUGAGUAUGCUACCGUUAUAUGAACUGCGCUGGGACUGAUUAAGGUGAUACGAACCCCCAAGGAUUUAUGGACUCACUACAAUUGAAAUGGUAUUAGAGUAGCAUGUUAUUAGGACAAGUGAAAAGUAAGCACACUAUGGCAACCCUAGCAGAUCGGGGGUCAUGUCGAGGGGUGCCACAUUUUUAUUUUAUUUUCCCCUCUUUUAUUAAUUAAUUUCUUUUUUAUUUUUUCCCCUCCCAUCAUCCUCUAAUAAAAUUUUAUUAAAUAGUAGAUUGUACUAAUAUAAUCAAAAUACUAAUAUAUUGAAGUUAUUUUAUAAAAAAGUAAUUAAAUUCGAAUAUAUGAAAAUAAAAAUAAGAUUAAAUUAUAAUAAUUAAUUCAUUAUUUUUUUUUGUUUUUUGAAUUUCUUAUAUUAGAAUUCAAAUAUUAUUUAUAUUGAGAUAUAAUUUUAAGUUUGUUAAUUUAAAAAAAUUUCCUUCGGUUCAAUGUGCAAUGUAAUCCAUGAACUUUUAAUUUGUUCAAUAUGAUCCAUAUAUUUUUUAUACAUGUUUAAUGUUGUCUUUAAGUGGUAUGUAAAUGUUCAAUAUAGUCUUUUAUUAAUUCAAAAUCAGGGUGAACAUUUUCAUAUAAUCUAGUGACUAAAUUGAAUAUAUACAAAAAAAUCAAAUAUUACAUUAAACAAAUUAAAAGUUUAAGAACCGCAUUGCACAUUGAGUUAAAAUUGAUAGAUCAUAUUAAAUAAAUUAAAAUUUUAGAGAUCACAUUAUACAUUAAGUUAAAAUUCAUGAAUUAUUUGUAUCAUUUUUCCAUAUGAAAAAGCUUACACAAAAAGUCCCGACACAUGGACAUCAACCCUCCAUAAAUUUCGCCCAUAAAGUAACUCCCGCUUAAUUGCAUGUGAUAGAAAAGCAAAUCGUUCCAUUUGCCUCAGGAGCAUCUCUCCUCCCAUGGAGAGCUAAACCCCUCAAAACCCAAUAAAUUGCCUGUACAACAAAUGAUUCACUUUAGGAUUAAAUUUUAUUUCAAUCACCCCCUUCUUUUGCUAAAGCAACAUAAAGCUUCUGCAAACCCUUUUUAUUUUUUUAUUUUUUAUUUUUUUUGAAUUUUAACUUUGUCUUCAUGAACUACGGGGAGAGGGAGGGAAGCUUUGGCCAUUUUCCUUAGAUGCAUCUCUCCUUUGUUCAGCCUCCAACCUUUUGCGACCCUCUCCAUGCAUUGAAUGCUCUUUCAUGUUAUUGUUGUGAUAUUAUCUUGUUCCUAGUUUUGUCUGGUUAUCAAAAGCAAAUUGAAAACUAUGAUGGGUCUCUUGUUUCUAAUUGGGAAUUAUCCCCAAACAAAUCCAUUUUUCCUCGGCCAAAAGGUUAAUUAAUCGUUUGCAUGAAAUGAUUCCAGAAGGAUAUUGCAAUAUAAGCAUAUAUAUGUUACCUUUUCCCCAUUGUAAGCAAGAACUUAAUACAUGUUUUUCUUGAUCAAAUCUAGCCUAUCUCUAGUUUCUUUUUCAAAUGCUUUUCUUAGAAUAGGCCUUUUGUGUAAUACUGGCCUUUAGUGGGACCAAAAAACACAAGGAAAAAAGGGGUUGAAAAGUGAAAAGAAAAAAAUUAAGUGGAUGCUUAAGCUUAUAAAGAAAAUCAAAGAGGAAAAGAAAAGAAAGAAAAAGAAAGAAAGGGGAAAAGAGAAAGAGCUUUGUGUGUACAUGCUAUGGGAGCCUCACUAGGCUGGAGUUACUUUGAUUUGCAAUGUAUGGUAAGUGCUUGCACCUCUUAUUCUUCUAAUCAUAGUAGUUUUUGGAGUUAUGUCGUAGUUUUGGGAAUUAUGUCAUAUAUUCAAAGUUUUGUGAAAAUCAAGUUGCGAAAUCUGAUUAUUGAGUUGUUGAGUUAUGAGAUUUCAUGAAAAUGGUGGGUUAUGGUUUCGUGAAGCCAUAGGGUUUGUCGAGAGUUGUUUUUGAGUGAUAGUUUAUUUGGAGUGAGAAUCUUAGGAUUUCACAUUCACAUUCCACAUUGUGAACGGCUUAAAUAAUCACUUCAAUGAGCGAUUUAUUAGUGCGUAGAAGUUGUUUUGUUCGUGUUUAGAUGUAGUUUAGCCAUUUUGUAGUUGAGGUAGAGUAUUACUUAGUUUUAAUGUUGAUUCUCGUUUAAUUGAUAGAAUUAUAAAAUCAUCAACCCGUUUAGCUACACGUUGGUUGAUUUGGGCAUUCAUAUGUGAGUUGUGCUAUCUCUUCUUUGAAUUAGUAAACUCAUUUCUUAAAAAUUAUAGAAAUUUGAUAUAUUAUAAGUUAUUACAAUUUGAUAUUUGUAAAUGGUUUGCCAAAUUUUUUUGGAAAGUUGUUGAGAAAGGUUAUAUGUAUAUGUAUGGGUUGAUUUGAAAAUAUGGCUUAUGAAGUGGAUUCUGAAAUGAUUUGUGAAACGUAUUAUGAUUUAUAAAAUGGAUUCCGAAAUGGUUUGAGAAAUGCCUCAUAAAAUGUAUUAUGUUUGAUGAAUGGAGUUGAGAGAAAGAUUAUAUGUUUGGUUUGUGAAACCGUUUUGUGAUAUUGAUUCCAAAUUAGCUUGUGAAUUGUGAAGGAUACUGUUGUGAAUUUGUGUUGGUACUUAAUAUCGCUAUGAGCCCAAUAAGGGGUUUGUAGGUAUGCAUACUAGUUAGGAUAUUCUUGUGAGCUAGCUACCGUCAAUAUAAGUGGAAACCUUGCCAACGGUGAGCUUGGUUACCUUGUCAUGGAGCAUUAUGCAUGUCGUGGUAGAUAUUUAAGUAGGGGUCUGGCCAAUGGAUGGACUAUUGACAUGUGACUUGAUAUUAGUUGAUAUAAUGGACCAUUGACAUGGUUUUUUUUUUUUAGAUUGAUUAAUGGACUUAAACAUGGACUUAACCAUUGAUGUUUGUCAUAAUGAUAUUGAUUUAAGGAGUAUUUUUUUUUAUAUGUAUAUAGUUAUGUUAAAAUGAUAGAACUCAUCUUUAUCUUAUAUGUGUAUUAUGUUAUGAAAUUGAGAUAAAUGAGUUUUAAUAUUAUUUUGUAAAGUACAUAGUGGAUACUCGAUCUACUUAGAAGAUAUGAGUACUACUCAUUAUGCUGUGAUUACUCAUUCCAUUCAUCUUUCAUGCUUUUCAAGUCUCCAAUUAGUGGCUAUUAGAGCGAGAGUGUUAUUCAGGAGAUUUUUGAAGUUGACUUUUGACACACCUCGAACCUCCGAGCAUGUGCACAUCCCACUUUGGUCGAUAGAAAUGUGACUUCCUAGGACACAUUGCCAACCCAUUUAUUUUAUUACGCAUGCGGAAGCGAAACAAAUCCCUUGACAACAUUUAACUUGGGAUAGAAAAUCAAGCAAUCAAUCACAACCAAUCAAGCUUUCUUAUAAACACAUAGGUUUAUAUACAACACUGGAUUGUCUACAAAAUAGACCGGCUCAACAAAAAGGGGACUGUCUUAACAUCCACUAGUCAAACCCAUUUGCCGAUUCUUUAGCCUCCACUUUCCGAACUCCAGGACUUCCGGUCCUCCACGAUCAUCAUGUAGGGACCUAAAAUAUUGUCCCACAACCGGAAUGAAAUGAUAUCUCAACGAGUCCUACCCUCUAAGACCCAAUUAGGAAGAAAAUACGCCUCAGGGCGCUCUAGCCACACAAAUAGGAUGGAGUACUUACCUCGCCUCAGUCCUUUCCUGCGUGUCAGUACAAUUCAAUUCUCAAUCACACAAUUGAGCCAACGAUUCAAUUCAAUCAUACUAUCUAUCUUUCCAUUUCAAGCCGUACUAUCUAUCUUUCCAUUUCAAUCCGUACUAUCUAUCAACCAUUAUUAUCUAUCAUUCAAUACCGUCUAUCAAACUAGUUGUUAAUACGACACAUGCUCUCCAAAGCUGUAAUAUAUAGACGGUAACUCACUCAAGUUGUAUAGAUAAAUAAUAGCUCGUCCAAGCUGUAUAGAUAGAUAAUAGCUUGCCCAAGCUGUAGAUAGAUAAUAGCUUGCCCAAGCUGUAGAUAGAUAAAUUGUGCUCGCACAAGCUGAUAAAACGAUCUUAGCUCACACAAGCUGAUACAUAUAUAUAAACUAAUGCUUGCCAAAGCUAUUCAUUCAAUAAUAAGCCAAUCCAUACUUCAAUUAAAUCAAUCAUCAAUCCAAUCAAUUCAAACUGGUCACACAAACCAAUUACGGUGCUAAAAGCCAACACCGGGUAUUUUCAAGUUAAAUACCAAAACUUCUCUAAUAUUCACACAAUCCCACACUUUUGGAAUUAUUAACCAUAAUCAUCAAUCACUCAAUUUUUCAAUUUAAACAUACAAUUAGCACAAACUGACCACACCAAUGCGAUCAGCGCGAAAUUCUAACGACCGACCAUUCUGGCAAAUUUUUUGAAAUUAUUAAAUAAUUAAAUAUUAAAUUAUAAUAAUAUAAUUUAAUAAAAUAAUAUUUAUAAAUUCGAAAUAAAUAAAUAAUUAAAAAUAAUUAAUUAGGGCUUAAACAAGAUUAUACUAAUUUAAUCAUACAAUUAGCCAUAAUUAAACAUCCAUUAAACUAAUCAUAUAACUAAUCUAAUUUACAUUAAAAUAAUAUAAUCUAACCACCUAAACCUAAUUAGACUAAUCUAAACACCUCUUAAGCAUAAUUAACUUACUAAGCAGGGAUUAGAGGAUAAACUCACCGGUUUUGCGCGCCAGUGAGUUCACGACGACCACAACGCCAAGGCGGUCGAUAAACCCCGAAGCGGCAACACCAACGGAGGUCGGGAAGGGCUUGAAAACGGGCCACGAAGUCUCCAAAACCUUUAUGUCUUCUACUUCUGAUCUGGGUUGAACUACAGAGAAGAAAACAACAACUUCAAUGGCGAAAACGGACUAAUCUGAGCUCCGACGAGCAGGUGGUUGGAAACCGGUGGCUCCCGGAGGUCAAGGGAAUCUUAUUGGAGGUUGGGAUGGGCGAAGGAAGGAUCGGAAUGAGAGAAAAAUGGCCGAAAACGUGAAACAGUGCAGGCUGCAGGCAGACCGAUGGAUUGGCGACCGGUUCCUUCCUGGCGGCGCCCAUACCGUCCAGCGGCUCCGUUUGGAACGAAAUUGGGCUCGUUGGAACGGUCUGUCUCUCCUGGUCACAGUGAUAGGUGACUCGUAGGCUGAUUCAUCCGGGAAGACCACUUUUGACUCGAUUCUUCACUGAAGGGUUAGCUAGAGCAGAAAUUGAAGGAGAGGGAAAACGAGGAGAGAGAGAGCUCCGUUCGAGGGAGGCCGAAUGGGGGAGAGAGAGAGUGAAGAAGUGAGGGCUGUCAAGACCCCCAUCAAUUCUUGCUUCAAGUCCCCAUGCCAAGCCAUCAUCAUUUUCUCUCUCUUCUCUAGCCUUUUCUCCCUACAACUAGGGGUAUUUUGCUCAUUUCACCUUGCAAAAAUUACAAAUCUGACCUUGGGCUGAAAUUGGUGGAUGGGCCUAAGGAUUGGGCUUGGCCAUGAAUAGGAAUGGGCUUGGGAAUUUGUUGGGCUUGAAAUGGAUAAGAAUUGGCCCAUGGGCUUAGAAGAUAAAUAGUAGGUUUUGCCCAAUGGGCUUAUUUGCUUGACUUAAGCCCAUUAAGGUGGCUGUCCAACUUUGGGCCUAGGGCCCACACUGGCUUGGCCCGACCCACGACCUCACGAGCUCACUUCCUCAGUCCAAAAAUCCAUUUUCCAAUUGCUCGACUUAAUUGGCUCCAUUGACGGUUUAAUGUAGCUUCAUCCAAAGUCCGUCCCAGACAUUCCCGAUAAUUCAAAGUCCAAUCCUAAGUUCUCUUGCCAUGUCAAUUUCGCAAAAUGUCAUUUCGGUUACAACUCAAACUAACGAGUGGCUGUGAGGAUUCACGCGUGACCGACUCGUGCCAAACCACGUUCAAGACAUCUCGACGCAUGGACGUCUUUGACUGUAUGAAAUUAUGGAGGAUAGAUUCUUAUUUCAAAAUACACGAUUACUGAGGAUUAACAUAAGGUCGUUCGUGGAUUCAAUAACAGUAAAUGGAAUCACCCGUCGUUCCAUUAUGUUCUAUCCGCGAAUCAACUUUUAGUUGUCCUUAGAAUCGGCCUGCCUAUCUACAGGAUCGUCCUCACGUAAAUCUCACGGUCAAGUCGUUUUCCCAGGUCGAGUCCUUUAGUCGUACGAGUUAUGUCCUCAUUAGUCUUUCCCCUCAAGGUUAGUAUCUCAAGAGUGAUCAAUUCCGAGUGAGAUCAACUAACAAUGCAUUGACGAAAUUCACCUUCACUCAUCUCUCAGAGGGCUCGAAUUUCAGGAUGUCACAACUUUUGGGUAGAUAGAGGCUACAUCGUUCAGGUGGAAAGAUAGCCGUCCUAUUCCCUUUUUUGCUAGAAUUCGAGGUGUGAUAUUUUGUUUUUUCAAGUUUAGAAUCAGUUUGAUCGAGUGUCCUUUCCAUUUGAAUUGGUGGCCAUCUUAUCAAAAAGUUAUUCUACAAGUGUGAACUCAACCACAAAUUUGGGCCCCAAAAUCUGGGUUAGGAUAAAUUUCUAUGGUUUCAUGUAUACAAUGUUUUCCAUGUACUUCUCUUGAAUGCUAAAACUAACGUAAGCAACGAGUGUAAUUGGGGUAGGAUCGUUACAUACAUUGUUUGUGAUGUCUAAUAUGAUGAAAUCAUUUCUGAAUUCACACACUUUUAAGUUUGAUAUCUUUUAUAAAAAAAAAAAAAGGACCGCUGCUAAUGCAAAGUCGGUCUAUAAAUAUCUUAAGUUGCCUUUAUAUAUGUCGAUUUCAAUGAAUUGUAAAAGAGGUACAAGGGAAAGGGGUAACUAUGUGUGGCACCCCCGACAUGGCCCCUGAAUCGUUAGGAUCGCCACAAUUCAAUUACCAUUCUCUUGCUUGGUCUUCAAUCCUGGGGGUUUACAUCAUUUAGAUCGGUCCCUGCGCAAUUUAUAUGGUGGAAGCGUAUCCAACAACUCCCUUCCCUAUAUUCAGAAAACGAUGCACACCCACUAAACAUUUAUAGGUAAAAGCCGAAUACUUUUAUUUACUUAAACCAAAUGGACAUUAGUCAAUGAUACAUCAAAAUGCCAUAGUCUUUUAUACUCGACUAUACUUCAAAAGAUGACCGACAUCUCAUCCAACAGUCGUAUACUUAAAGUCCAUCGAUUAGUGUCGGCGUCCAAAAGUUCCUUCAUUUGCUAUCCUCCUCCCCACGGUCAUAUCAAACCACUCGAUCCAUCUACCUGUGGCAAUGGCAGCAGAGGUAUCUUAUCUAGUCUGAAAUGUUAGUCCCAAAACGGGGUGAGUACAACCACUCAGCAGUAAAGAUUCAUCAAACUACACAAUGCAACAAGCAAGACAACCACAAUUCAUGCGAAAUGCACAUAUCAUUCAUGCCAUUAUACAUAUAUGUCCAUGAGAUUCAUUUACGACCUUACUAAUCAUAUUUCCCAUGCCAAGCAAUACCAAUUCAAGUUCAUGGACAAUUAUAUCUCAUGCCAUAUGCACAUACCCAUACGCAUGAUUCAUAUCAUCCACACAAUCAUGUAUAUAUCCUCAUGAGAUCCAUUAAAUGCCAUCAUGAUCGCAUUCUCAAUGCCAAAUAGUAUCAACUCAAUUUUAUAGGCAAUUAUAUCACAUGCCAUAUGCACACACACACGUGCAUGAUUCAAUUCCCAUUUUGAUAUUCAAAAGGAUCUCAUCAUUCUCCCAAGGACCAGUGUUUGCAUCCCUCAUAUAUCGCUCGCAUCCAACCUGACAUUGCAAGGAACCUCCGGCACAAACCUUCGGGCAUCCGGCACAAACCUCCGAACAUCUUGCAUCCCACUUGGCAUCACGAGGAAUCCCCCCGGCACACACCUCCAGGGCUUCCAGAAUUACGUACCGACAUACCACCAGGCACCCCUUAGAAUUACGUACCAUAUACCACCGGGCAUCUCAAAACUCCCAAGGAUCCUCUGGGCAUGUAUUCAUAAUACAACCAGGCAUCCACAGGGCAUCGACUAAUUUGAACCUUUGGGCAUCCUGACACUCUCGGGGCAUCGUCGGCUCACACCUCCAACGGUAUCAUCAUUACCACAAUGUAUAUUCACACACACACACACACACACACACACACACACACACACACACACACAUAUAUAUAUAUAUAUAUCAUUUUCAAAUCAGCAUUUGAUGCAAUAAUAUUCGAGGUCCAAACCAGCCUUUUGAUGUUAUAUGAUAUACCAAAUGUCACCACAUAUGCAGCAUAAAUAACCACUCAAGACAUCAUAUUUCAUAGAGUAAUUCAUUUGUUUUUCAAAAUAGGACAAUUUUCGGAUAAAGCAGAAUGCACUUCUUUAAUAAAAAUUCUGGAAAAAUUAGUAAACGAUCUCAAUAAAUUAUGAAAAUUUAACAUGAUAUAAAAAAGACUAGAGAAAGAGAUUUCAUGAAGAACACCCUGUCAAGAAAGUUUCACAUCAAUCACAUAGGUCCAUACAUCACAGCAAAAAAAAAUUCCAGCACUCCUUUUUGCACAGUUUCGGAAAUAAUUUCGAUUAAGCCCUUAAUGAACUCCAAAAAUUCUGAGAUUUUAAAAUGUUAUAAUUGAGACAUAGAGGUAAAAAAAUUUUGAAGAAAUCAAAGUCAGAUUCGUGAUAGAUCAAAAGCUACAGUCACUCUUCCUAACCCUUAGUGACGCUUUCCAAAUCUAACAAUUUCAAAGAAAAAUCAUUUCACCAACCAAUAUUUGUCCAUUCCUUCUCAAAUUUUAGUAUGUUAUUCCUCAAGAUGUCGUCUACAACUAUUAUCAAGGACACAAGAUCAAAUUCGGACUGGAUACUUACACAAAAUUCACAUAAUCACAACGGAUCAACAUAACAGUUUCCAAAUCGAGUAUCUUUGAAGAAAAAUGGUUUCACCAACGAAUACUUGUCCGUUUUCUCUCAAUUUUGAUAUGUUAAUCUCCAAGAAGUCCUCUACAACUUUCAUCGAGAAUUUGAAGUGAGAUUCCAAUUAUAAAAUCGCAUGCAGCUCACGAAAUCACCAAAAGUCGGACUGUUCCUACAUGCAACAGCUCACUUGGAAAAACCACCACCAUUCACUCGAAUUUUCAGCAUUCAACAUCACAACUCAAGCAUUUCCAGCAUUCAACAUCACAAUCACAGCAAGCAAAGUGUAGGCUAACAGACUCUACUUGCCUUAAAUCCAACGCAACCACAACAAGCAAAACGGAGGACUCAGUAGGGGUGUGCAUGGUCCGGGGCGGGCGGGUCCCGGACUAGAAACCGGGAACCGCCCGCUAAGGACCGGUUCCGAAAAAUUGGAACCGGGAUCCACCCGUUUGUUGCAUGGAUCCACCCGGGAACCGGACCGCCGGUCCGGUCCGGUUCCCGGGUGGAUCCAUGGAUCCGGUCUCACUAACAACGAGAUGAAAAUUUUAAGCUAAGGAAAUCUCAACAUCAAAAGAGAUGACAUAAUUGAUCUCAAUUCUCAAUUGCAUAGCAAGCAUCAUCAAAGCAAGCCAAAAAUUUUCAGCUCCCUAGUUAAACAUCUUCGAUGAACGAUUUAGCAACAAGUUUUCCAUAGCAUAAAUGAGAAUAUCAUACUUACAUUACCUGAUGGACAUUAUAACUAGACUGAUCCAAAGUCAGGAGGAUAAUAUACAACUAACAGCAAGAGAUGCAAAAGAAUGGCAAAAGUGAAUCUUACAAGUGAGGUGAUCAUCUUUCCUCUCACUCCAGCACUUCAAGUAUCAUGUUGGCAAGACUAGGACUCUCAUAAGAAGAGAUCUUUAAGUAGGGAAACAGAAGUGCAUCGACAGCUUAUCCGAUGUCAUGGAAGCCGGACAAGCUUGUUGACAGCAGAAUCUAAAGCAUCAACAUUCCUCCUCAGAAUUUUUCUGAAGCAAUGUCAAGGAAAACACAAAUGAUAGCACAAACCUUUAAUUCAACUGGGGAAAAAAAAAACGAAACUGUGUGGCUUUUACUUUCGAAAGAAUGGGCGUCGCUCGUUUGUAAGAAGUAAAAUGAUGCUUUUCGAUAAAUUUCUAAGUUCACAGGACAAAAAUGUGUUCAGGACAAACACUGCAGCAACGAUAAAGACUUUUUCCAUCUAGUCAAGGAUACAAUUGUGUCGAUGAACAAAUCAAUGAAAGCGGAGUUGGUCCUGCCCCAUCACAUACAGAGUUUGGCUCGCCUCUUGAAGUAACCCCACUUUUCGGAUCAUUAGCAGCAGGAAUUCCCAGCCCAAAGUUUUCAGAGAGUGUAAGUAAUCUGAUCAACCUAAUUAUGUUAAAGGCACGAACUUAGCAGUCCCAUCUUUUUUUUUACUUUCUAAAAGAACAAUGAGCAUCAUACAUCUACAUACAUGUCAUACUAAUGUACAAAUCCUGAUCCAGAAAGAGUAAGUGAUGGUUUCCAGUUUUCCAACCUAGCCAAGAAAACGAUGAAUCUCUUAAAGUUGUACCAAUUGGCCAGACUAUCUCAUUAAUCAUUGAACGAUCAAGCCAAAACUAUUUAGCGCCAAAGAGAAGAAAAAAAAAGCCAGAAAAUUCAGCGCAAUCAUAGAAGCGCCUAACGAAAUGCAAAAACAACGAGGGGAAAAGGAAGGCCGAGUGCAAGAGGGAAGGCCGCAGGCGAGGCGAGGCGACCGACGGACCAAGAGCGAGAUUAGGGGAGAGUUUUUUGAGAGGGCUAGGGUUUUGUCCAUCAAUAUGCGUGAGGAAAGGGGAGGAUUGCGAAAACGCGAGACGCAAGUUCAACUAAAGAAGCGCAAAGCAACAGAGGAAGCAGAGGUAGCAAGCAAGCAAGCAAGCAAGAAGAGAGAAACGCUGCGGGAAUUAGCGAGCAAUUGAGAGGAAGAAGCGAACCUGCAUCAGAGCCUCGACGCGGGAGCGAAGAACGAGAGAAAACGAGGGGACGGACAGCAGAGGCAGAGGAGCAGCGGCUGUGGCGACCGGCUCGAGGGGGUGGACAGCGGCGGAGGAGGAGCGGCGGUGGCGGCGUCGACGCAAGGGGAGGAAUCGAAGAUGAAGAGAAGAGAUUGAGGAAGAGAGAGAGAGAGAGAGAAUCGAAGAUGAUGAAACCGCAGAGGAAGAGACGAGACGCGGACUUAGGGUUUCUUUCUUUUAGUUUUUUUUUUUAAUAUUAAAAAGUGCCGGUCCGGUCCGGGUGGGCGGGCGGGUGGAUCCGCCCAUGGAACCGGGAACCGGACCGGUUCCCCCCGGUUCCCAAAAAUUGGAACCGGGAACCGGACCGGUUCCCUCGAGAACCCCCGGUUCCGAGUGGUUCCGGUCCGGUUCCGGGCGGUUCGGGCGGUUCCCGGGUAUUUUGCACACCCCUAGGACUCAGGGUUUCGGAUGUGGCUCGGCGACGGCGGACUCGAGCAGCAUCGACGGUGGCAGCUCGGACCCGGCACGGGCGGAGGGUGGCCUUCCUUUUCUGCCCUCACACCCACGGACCCCUCGCUGCUCCCCCUUUCUUUUUAACUUUCCCUCGAAUUUUUUUUUUCCCUCACACUUGCUCCCCCCCCCCCCCCCUCCCCCCUCACUCUCUCGGCCUCACUCUCCUUUUAUCGAAAGUUUUUGCUUUUCUUUGAUUAACUAAUUCACUAAUUUUACAUGCAGGUGACAAGUGUUCUCAUGGAAAGGACAAGUAGAAGAUGCAUGGACAAGUGGCUUCAAAUAAUGAACAAGUGGAGGCAAUUCAAGGACAAGUGUUGAAUGGCAUCCCCUUCUCGCGAGCCCUCUCUCUCUGUCCGAAUUCUUUUCUCUCUGGUUAGUACAAGUGAGCUGAUUAGUCGCUGGUUUUUCACCAAAACCAGUCAACUAAGAGAACAUUUUUCCAUGGUUUGGCUGCAUGAAGGGCAGCUGGAUCCGUACGUGUCCAGCAUGCUUCUCUUCCUUCGACACUUGCUCCUCUCUUGCAACGUGUCUUCAGCCAUUUAACUAAUUCUUUUCUUAAUCCCAAUUUGCUGGCCGACCGCGAGAAAGCAACGUGGCAUCAAUGGUCAGAAAUUUUCCUCUCAUAGUUGGCUAGGGUGUCGACCAAAUGGAGAGAGGUUGGGGCAGCCUUGGGCGCGGACGAUUCCUCCUUUUCCGCAUGGGUGUGCAUGUCCCUCAUGCACGGCUGAAUUCUAUUUCUUCGGCUCAGAAUUUUAAUUAAUAGAAGUCCAAAAUUUCCCUCUCAUUUUGUAUACAUUUUGGUGGUACAAUUGUGUAGCGUCAUCAAAGCAAUUUGCACAACUCAAUAAGGUUGAAUGUAGUACUAACGAUGAUGAAUUCCAAUAGUAGCUUCGUCAAUCCAUGACGUUUCAAAAUAUGGGUGAGAUUGAUCUCACUAAUAACCUUAUGUAAAGAGCCUUUUGACAAUACUCUAGUCUAUCCCACAAUCGGACUAUUUUCUAAACAUGAGGUAUCGGUCCAUUAAAUUGCUCGGCCUUAAUUAAAUUAAAAUCUAUUAGCCAAAGACCAUAACAUAGUCCGAUGACGCUUCCAUCACCUAUUCAUGGUUCAUGGUAUGUCUAGGGGUUGCUAUGAAAUUCUAGGAUGCCACACUAUGGCUAGAGUUCUGUAGUCUCUGGUUCUAAGAAAAAUCCUGUCAAAUCUUUUCUCUAGGUGUAGGUGUCGUCGACAAUGAAAUGGAAGAAUUGCAUUGGUUUCUUUUUUGCUUCUUCUAAAAUAUUUUACUUCUCAAACUCUCCAUAGAGCUUCAUGCUUUUUACUAUUCUUAGGUUAUGGUUGCCUGAUGGUAUGAUUUAUAUAAUUAUGCUUCCCUUGUAGACUGCAAAAGUUAUAGGGGCGGCCAUCCAACCAUUACUACAGUCAGUUGGUCGGCUGCAGCUUGUUGUCGCUCGGGUUCAGGCCCUUUAUAUCUCUGCUUCAGAUAUUUUUGAGCUUGACAGUCUCUAAAAUUGGUAAACGUUGUCUUCCAACAGAUUGACAAGGCCACGCAUGAUCAAACUAGAGAUUCUCUUCACGAGCGUCAAGCUGAUGAAAGUGAUGAUGAGGACGAAGACAUCGAUCAUGUCUUUUACAGGGAUGAGGAUGAAUCUGGACAAACUAGCGAUGAUACAAAUGAUGACGAGAAGCUCUAAAUUUUAAGAGUUAGUCAACCUUGCUGGUGUGAAAUUUGAUUUGUCGUGUUGCAUCUUCAUAAACUAUGGAUUGUUGGGGUAAUUAGUGGGUAAAAAAGUAGGUGAAGGCUAUAAGACUAUUUUCUCUGAUUCCAUUUUCAGGUUAAGUCUUAUAUUCCACUGCGAGAAGUGAGUUCCAUACAGCUUCUUGUAGAUAGACUAUUUUGAUAUUUCGACUAAGAACCAGUUAAACAUGAUCCCCUCGGAGAAAUUCAUACAUAUGCUGCCAAUUUCGCGCCCUCCACAAAUUUUAUGAUUCCGAUUGCAUGUGCUGGUCUCAAGCAAUCACCCCGACGACAGAGACCACCAUAGACUAGCCGUUAUGGUAGCGGUGGUUGCCCUGCAGCGGAUUAUGGCAUCUCUAUGUAUACUUUUCCUGAAAAUUGUUUAUUCAAUUAUACAAUCAUAUCCUCCGUUUAUCAAACACUCUGUAUCUGGCCUUGUAUCCGGUGUGUUCGCAUACAAGGAAUUUGAUACCAAAAAUCCGCAGGACUUCUUGUUCGAUCUUAAUGUAUCCCUUUCGACUUUAUUUCUUAGCGACCAGAUGCGGCGGAAGAGUAGAACAUGACAUUUUACCCUCGACGAGUUGACAGAGCACAUGUCGCAUUCUUUAGAUAUAAUUCCAAAAUCUGAAACCCAGAAACUUUAGAUGACCAUCUCACUGACCCGGGAUGCUUUAGAUGUCCUCACUUGGAUUGCACCGCACGGCAACCUAAAAAUCGUUCUGGCAUUUUAACAUCAUAUGCUGUAUGCUGGAUAUAAUUAUCAAAGGUACUAAAUCCAAUAAUUAUGUAAAGCGAAGUCAGCUAAAAGCCAAGAGAUCGCUAUUGAGACAUCUGACAACAUUAAAAUGAUAGGAUAGUUUCACACAGAAAACAUGGAAUAUGACACAUAGAAUUCCAAGUUCGUUCGGGUAAGAAACAACGAAAAGCAAAGCGAGUUCAAAAGGAGAAGCGAAAAUGGUUGCUGUAUUUGGUUUUAAAUGAUUCGUUCGAUUUUGCAGGGUUUCAAUACGUCCCGAUCCAAAUUAAGCUGUAUAUGUAUCAUGAAACUCAAAGGGGGACACACGCAACUAUUGAGACCGAAAGAAAAGAAAGAAAACGGGGGGCCGCACGCUACAAUAAUCACUCAAUUGAGGACCACAUCGGACCAAAGUUUAUUCGGACAACACUUCAUAUGGGCAUGCGAACGAAGCAAGUACAGCCAAUUUACGAUACAUUUCCCAGAACCAUCAUCACAUUCGCCUAAGACACGAGCAGUCCUCUGUCACAGGGUGACAUCUCCUUGGCGGAGCGCUUCCUGGAACAGGACUGGGUUUCAGGGACUUCGCCUCCGCAUGAGCCUGGAUGGCCCUGAACAUCACGGACGCCUUCUCUCUCAUGGGCCUGAUCAUCUCCUCCUCCGUGAUAUCCCCUUGGCCGACGGUGAAGCACCUGCCCGCGUACUUACAGACCGAGCCACCCUCCAGGGGCAACGCAACGAUCUUCACCUCAUGGCUGGUUUCCUUGGAGAUUCUGCUCUGCUCAUCACGAUCGACGGUCGAGUGGUUGUAGAGGAAGGGCUCCUGGUCCGGCGCUUUAACCGUGUACCUCACCGUCCUGCGCUGCCUGCCUAUAAAAGUAACCAAAGUGACAUUCACGCUAAUCCGUCAUAUGAGUUUAUUUGUAUUGAGGGUUCGAUUUCCUUUCGUUUCAGUUAGUGACUCGUUAUUUUAUUUAUAUUUAUUUUCAAAACCUUUCCUUGUUUAUUUAUUUAUUUAUUUCAUAUAGUAAAGAAGGAUGUAUAAUAGAUAAAAUCCUAAGUAAGAGCAUUGAAAAAUUACGCAAGUAAAAAGAAAGGCCAUUUUAUUUUUCGUGCCUAGGAUUGCAUCCUAGAUCAUUAGAUAGGAAUCCAAAAAUAAGAGAGUACAAACAAAGAGAUUGAGAGUAAACAUUACACAAUCUCCAAUAUCUCUUCUUCUUUUUUUUGUUUCAAUAUCAUGAGCACCAAUCUUAGUGUUGUUGAUCAGGUCAUCUAGGGUCACGCCCAAUUGUAAUUGUAAUGCAAUACGAUUGAUAUACGAUUUUAAUGGUAAGGAACAUUUCAAUUGACCAAGUACCUUCGACAGAGAUCGUCUCUUGAAUGUCAGCAUUUGUGAUGGCUGGAAGGAGGGUAUGGGGGAAGAAGCCCUUGGCUUCAAGAAAAGCCUCGACCAACCUGGCCUUAGGGAUCGGGUGUGCGAUCUCGGCCUUGUGAGUAACUUCUACCAUCGAUUGAAUCUGAAUAGAAUUUGCUGAACUGAAAAGGGUAUAAAAAUCUCAAAAGAAAGAAAUAAAGCAAUGAAGAGAAGGAGCUUUGAAUGGAGGUGAAGUAAAAGGUCGAUAUUUAUAGUGAUAAGAAAAGGAAUAAUGACACAAAUGAUCUCAGAACUUUGAUCAAUGCGCAAUGUGGUCCUUAAACUUUUGAUUUGUUCAAUGCGGUCCUUGAACUUUUCGUAAAUGUUUAAUACGGUCCAUGAACUAUUUGAAAAUAUUUAGUGUAAUCCUUCAUUAAUUCAAGAUCAGAGACACCGUUGAAUAUUUUCAUAUAAUUCAAGGAUUAGUUGAACAUGUACCAAAAAUCCAAUGACCAUAUUGCACAUUAAAUUAAAGUUCAUUGAUCAUAUAUAUCAUUUUCCAGUAUGGACAUCAACCUUCCAAAAGUUUCGCCAUAGAGUUACUUCCGCUUAAUUGCAUGUAGUAGAAAAGCAAAUUAUUUAUUUUCCUUGAAAGCAUCUCUCCUCCCAUAAAAAGUUGAACCCCUCAAAACCCAAUAAAUUACCCACACGACAAAUGAUUAACUUUAGGAUUGAAUUUAAUUUAAUUAUAUCCUUUGUUUUGCUAAAACAGCAUAAAGCUUAUGCGAUCCCAUUUUUUUAAAAAAAUUGAGUUUUAACUUUGUCUUCAUGGACUCCGGAGAGAGGGAGGGAAGCUUUGGCCAUUUUCCUUAAAAACAUCUCUCCUUUGUUCAGCCUCUAACCCUUUACCAGGAAAUGCUGACUGGUCUACGUGUUAUUGUUAUCUUGUUCCUAGUUUUAUCUGAUUAUCAAAAGCAAAUUAACAACUAUAAUGGUCCCUUGUUUCUGAUCGGGAAUUAUUCCGAGACAAAUCCUUUUCUCCUUGGCCAAAAAGUUAAUUAAUCAGCUGCAUGAAAUGAUUCCAUGAGUAUAUCGCAAUGGAAGCAUCUUUAUGUCAGCUUCUUGAGGUAAGCAAGAGCUUACUCCAUGCUUUUCUUGAUCAAAUGUUAGCCUAUCUCUUGUUUCUUAUUCAAGUGCUUUUCUUAGAAUAGCAGUUUUGUUUAUUCAAGUUUAGAAUCACUGUGGUUGAGUGUCUUUUCUAUUCGAAUCGCUGACCAUAUCAUCAGAAAGUUAUUCCACAAGUCUGAGCUCAGAAUCACAAAAUUGGACCCCACAAUCCGGGUUAGAAUAAAUUUCUAUAGUUUCAUGAAUACAUUAUUUUCUAUGUACUUUUGUUGAAGGCUAAAACCAAUGUAAGCGACGAGGGUAAUUGGGGUUGUGUCAUAAUAUAUGCAUUUCUCGUAAAUGUCUAAUACUGUUGUGAUAUUAACGUGGAAAUGAUAGGAUCUCACAAAGUAAGUCAAUGCGAAAAAAUUAGAGAAAUAAGCGAGGAAUAAUAGAACAUUAGAGAUUUACGUGGUUUGGACUGAGUAUCAGUACAUACAUACACAGAGAGCUAGUAGCAACAAUCUAUUAUAAUCGAAGAAUUAGAUUUAUAAUCACUCACACAGUCGAGUGUUUCUCACACUUAGAUUUAAGUUUAAAUCCAAAAUAUUUACAAAUAAAUACUCAAUUAGACGAAAACUCACCGCACGAAAUCAUUGUACGAAAUCAUUGUGUAUUCAUGUCGGUGCGGCCAAGAGACAACUCCUUCGUGCGUCCAAGUCCUCCGAUCGGCUUCCUGAAUCUUCUCUGGGCAGCGUCUAUACCACCCACAAAGAACCCCCUGGCGGCUAUUUCUCGUGCGGCUCUUUUCCACUCAAGAAAAAUCCUUGAUUUUCUUUUAUUUUAUUUCCUUUUGUGCAGCUAAAGGAGUCCCAUGAAUUACUCCUUUGUUGACCGACCAGUCACAGGAUUAGGAUUUGAAGAAGACGUCCACUAUACGGACCUAAAGCGGAUUUCCUUUCUUGUGCUAUUUCCUUCAACAAAAAAGAUAUAUUCACGAUUAAAUAUGAAAAACUUAUCCAAAUAGUUCAAAUAUGAAAAAACUCAUCCAAGCAGGUCAUAUUUAGCAAACGCUCAAACUCGAUUCAUAAUUUAACAAAUAUGAUGAAAUUAUUUCCGGAUUCACACACUUUUAAUUUUGAAAUCUAAAAAAGAAAAAUGUCUAUUGCUGAUGCAAACUAUGUUCAUAAAUAUCUUAUAUCGCUGUUAUACAUGUCGAUUUCAUUGAAUUGCAAAGUAGUAUGAGGGAAAGGGGUAAUUAUGGCUAGAGAUCUGAAGAGUUUUGUAAUCUCUGGUUCUAGGAAAAAUCCUAUCCAUCUUUUCUCUAGGUGUAGGUUGCAUGAACAAUGGCCUGGAAGAAUUGCAUUGGUUUCUUUUUUGCUUCAUCUAAAUUGUUUUACUUCUCAUACUCUCUAUAGAAACUAUUGGGUUUUGUCCUUGUGGCCAUCCUUCCAACAUGGAAGGGAGUUUCAGGCGUGGGUUUCGACUCCCAUACUUUGUAAGGAAGCAGGACAAAAGUUUAAGAGUGAGAAUUAAAGUAAGAAUAAAGUAUGACUGACAAAAAAAAAAAACAACUAUCUAUAGAGCUUCACCUUAUUUAUUGUUCUUGGGUUAUGGAUACCUGAGUGUAUGACUUAUAUAAUUAUUGUUUCCUUUGCAGACUGCAAAAGCUAGAGGGACGGCAAUUCAAUCGUUACUACAGUUAGUUGGUGGGCUGCAACUUCUUGUUGCUUGGGUUUAGGCCCUUUAUGUCUUUGUUUCAGAUAAUCUUUUGAGUUUGACAGUCUCUAAUUUUGGUAAACGUUGCCUUACAACAGAUUGACAAGGCCACGCGUGAUCAAACUAGAGAUUCUCUUCACAAGCGUCAAGCUGAUGAAAGUGAUGAUGAGGACGAAGACAUCGAUCCUGUCUUUUACAGGGAUGUGGAUGAAUAUGGACAAACUAGCGAUGAUACUGAUGUUGAGUAGAAGCUCUAAAUCUUAAGAGUUAGUCAUUCUUGCUGGUGUUAAAUUUGAUUUGCCGCGUUGCAUCUUCAUAAAACUGUGGAUUGUUGGGGUAAUUAGUGGGUAAAGAACAGGGGAAGUGAAAGACUGUAAGACUUUUUCUCUGGUUACAUUUUCAGGUUAAAGUCUCAUAUUUCACCGCAAGAACUGAGUUCCAUAAAGCAACUUGUAUAUAGUCUAUUUUGCAGUUUCGAUUAAGAACCAGUUAAACGCGAACAGCUCUAGUUUAUAUACGCAAUUUACUGGAAGUUCUACUGCUGAUCAUGAUCAAGAGUUCCCAUGUGCUAAUUCUGGCUUUUAAUUUUCCAUGCUCAUUGCAAGUAGCCUUUAUCUUCUAAACAUCAGUUUGAGUUGGAUUUGUUUUUGCUGCUUUGUAGUGUGAAACUUGCUCAUGAUGGAGAUGUUCGCUUGGGGCAACUCACUGGUCAAGUUGCAGCUGCCCCAGGAGAAAUUCAGACAUAUGCUGCCGAUUUCGUGCCCUCCACAAAUUUUCUGAUCCCGACCACGUGUGCUGGUCCCAGGCAAUCACCAUGACGACAGAGACCACCAUAGACUAGCUGUCGUGGUAGUGGUUAUUGCCUUACAGUGGAUUAUGCAUCUCUAUUUAUACUUUCCCGAAAAUUAUUUCUUCAAUUAUUCAAUCAUAUCAUCCAUCUAUCAGACACUCUAUUGAUUGUUUAUCUCUGUCUGUUCUUGUCUCCGGUGUUUUCUCAUACAAGGAAUAUGAUAUAAAAAAUCUGCAGGACUUCUUGUUCGAUCUUAAGACUUCAUUUCUUAGUGCCCAAAUGCAGCAUAAGAGUAGAACAUGACAUUUUACCCUCCACGAGUUGACAGAGUACAUGUGACAUUCUUUAGAUAUAAUUCCAAAAUCUGAGACUCGGAAACUUUAGAUGACCAUCUUACUGAACUGGGAUGCUUUAGAUGUCCUCACACCGCGUGGCAACCUAAAAACCAUUUUAGCAUUUUGAUAUCAUCUGCUGUAUGCUGGAUAUGAUUAUCAAAGGUUCUAAACCCAGUCAUCAUGUGAAGUGAAGUCAGCUAAAGCCAAGAGGCUGCUUUUGAGACAUCUGAUAACGUUAAAAUGAUGCGGCAGUUUUGCACAGAAAAAGUGGAAUAUGAUGAUUGAAUUCCGAGUUCGUUUGUGUAAGAGAACAAACAACGAAAGGCAAAGGGAGUUCAAAAGGAGAAGCGAAAAUGGUUGCUGUAUUCGGUUUUAAAUUAUUCGUUCGAUUUUGCAGGGCUUCAAUACGUCCCGAUCCAAAUUAAGCUGUAUGUAUCGUGAAACUCAAAGGGGGGCACACGCAACUAUCGAAACCAAAAGGAAAAAAAGAAAAAGAAAGAAAGCAGGGGCCGCACGCUACGAUAAUCACUCAAUCGAGGACCACAUCGGACCAAAGUUUAUUCGGACAACACUUCAUACGGGCUUGCGAAGGAAGCAAGUAGAGCAAUUUUACGAGACAUUUCCCAGAACCACCAUCAUAUUCACGAAACCACGUAUCGCCUUGGUGGAAAGCUUGCAGGAUCAGGACUCCUGGAUGGACAGACCCAGUCCGGAAAUUCCAGACUGGGAUAAUCCAGGAUGGCCUUGAACAUCACGGACGCCUUCUCUCUCAUGGCCCCGAUCAUCUCCUCCUCGGUGAUAUCCCCUUGGCCGACGGUGAAGUACCUGCCCGCGUACUUACAGACCGAGCCACCUUCCAGGGGCAACGCAACGAUCUUCACCUCAUGGCCGGUUUCCUUGGAGAUUCUGCCCUUCUCAUCACGAUCGACGGUCGAAUGGCUGUAGACGAAGGGCUCCUGGUCCGGCGCUUUAACCGUGUGCCUCACCGUCCUGCGCUGUCUGCCUAUAAAAGUAACCAAAGUGACAUUUGCGCUAAUCCGUUGUAUGAGUUUAUUUGUACCGAGGGUUCAAAUCCCUCUCUUUCCAUUUCCCUUAAUGACUCGUUAUUUUAUUUAUAUUUAUUUUCAAAACUUUUCUUUGUUUUUGUUUUUGUUUUUUUAUUUUAUUUCAUAUAGUAAAUAAGGAUGUACAGUAGAUAAAAUCCUAAGUAAGUUAAUUGAAAAAUUAUGCCAAAAAAAAAGAAAGCCUUUUUAUAUUUCGUGUCUAGGAUUACCUCCUGGAUCAUUGGAUAGGAAUCCAAAAAUGAAAGAGAGUGUAAACAAAGAGCUUGCAAAUAAACAUUACACAAUCUCCACUCUUUUUUUAUUUUUUUAUUUUUUUAUUUCAACAUCAUGAGCACCAAAUCUCAAUGUUGUUGAUCAGGGCAUCUAUGCCCAAUUAUAAUCGUAAUGCAAUAUGAUUGAUAUGUGAUUUUAAUGGUAAGGAACAUUUCAAUUGAUCCAGUACCUUCGAUAGAGAUCGUCUCCUGGAUGUCGGCAUUUUUUAUGGUUGGUAGGAGGGUGUGGGGGAAGAAGCCCUUGGCUUCAAGAAAAGCCUCGACCAACUUGGCCUUAGGGAUCGGGUGUGUGAUCUCAGCCUUGAGAGUAACUUCUACCAUCGAUUGAAUCCAAAUAGAAUUUGUUGAACUGAAAAGGGUAUAAAAAUCUCAAAAGAAAGAAAGAAAGGAAUGAAGAGAAGGAGCUUUGAAUUGAGGCGAAGUAAAAGGUCGAUAUUUAUAGCGAUAGGAAAAGGGAUAAUUAUACAAAUGAUCCCACAACUUUGAUCCAAUGUCUAACGUGGUUCCUAAACUUUUAAUUUAUUCAAUGUAGUCCUUAGAGUUUUCAUAAAUAUUUAAAAUAGUCCAUGAAUUGUUUGAAAAUGUUUAAUGUAGUCCUUCAUUAAUUUAAGAUCAGAGACACCGUUGAAUAUUUUCAUAUAAUUCAGUGGCUAAUUGAAUAUGUACCAAAAGUCCAAAAACUAUAUUGCACAUUGGGUUAAAAUUCAUUGAUCAUUCGUGUCAUUUAUACGAACAUCAACCUUCCAAAAAAUUGCCAUGGAGUAACUUCCGCUUAAUUGCAUGUAGUAGAAAAGCAAAUUAUUUGUUUUCCUUGAAAGCAUCUCUCCUCUCAUAAAAAGUUGAACCCCUCAAAACCCAAUAAAUUAUCCAUACGACAGAUGAUUAACUUUAGGAUUGAAUUUAAUUUAAUUAUCUCCCUUCUUUUGCCAAAACAGCAUAAAGCUUAUGCAACCCAUUUUUUUUUUUUAAAUAACAUAAAAUUGAGGGAAGCUUUGGUCAUUUUCCUUGAAAGUAUCUCUCCUUUGUUCAGCCUCUAACCCUUUGCCAGAAAAUAUUGACUGGUCUGCACGUUAUUGUCGUGAUAUUAUCUUGCUCCUAGUUUUGUCUAGUCAUCAAAAGCAAAUUGACAACUAUAAUGGGUCCCUUGUUUCUGAUCGGGAAUUAUCUCAAGACAAAUCCAUUCUCCUCGGCCAAAAGAUUAAUUAACCAGUUGCAUGAAAUGAUUCCAUGAGUUUAUUGCAAUGUAAGCAUCUAUAUGUCAGCUUCCUGAGGUAAGCAAGAGCUUACUCCAUGCUUUUCUUGAUCAAAGGUUAGCCUAUCUCUUGUUUCUUAUUCAAGUGCUUUUCUUAAAUAGGAGUUUUGUUUAUUCAAGUUUAGAAUCACUGUGGUUGAGUGUCUUUUCUAUUCGAAUCGCUGACCAUAUCAUCAGAAAGCUAUUCCCCAAGUCUGAAUUUAGAAUCACCAAAUUGGACCCCACAAUGCAAGUUAGGAGAAAUUUCUACAGUUUCAUGAAUACAUUAUUUUCUAUGUACUUCUGUUGAAUGCUAAAAUCAAUGUAAGCAACAAGGGUAAUUGGGGUUGUGUCAUAACAUAUACAUUUCUCGUAAAUGUCUAAUAUUGUUGUGAUAUUAAUGCGGAAACGAUAGGAUCUAUCGCAAAUGAAGUCAAUGUGAAAUAAUCAAAGAAAUAAGGGAGGAAUAAUAGAUCACCAGGCUUUACCAAAAAAUAAAAUAAUAGAUUACCAAAUAUUUAUGUGGUUUGGUCCAAGUAUCGAUACCUACAUACACGGAUAGAGUAACAAAUAAACCACUACAAUCGGAAAAUCAAAUUUACAAUCGCCCACAUAUUCCAGUGUUUCCCAUACCUAAAUUUAAGCCCAAAUCCAAAAUGUAUGCAAAUAAAUAUUCAUUUAGACAUAAACUCACCACAAGAAAUUACUGUAUAUUCACGUCCGUGCGGCCGAGAGACAACUCCUUCGUGCGUCCAAGAAGUCCUCUGAUCGGCUUCUUGAAUUUUCUCUGUGCAGCGUCUAUACCACCCACGAAAACCCCCUGGCGGCUAUUUCUUGCGCGGCUCUUUUUUGCUCACGUAAAAUCCUUAAUUUUCUUUUAUUUUAUUUCAUUUUGUGCAGCUACAAGGAGUCCAAUGAAUUACUCCUUUUUUGACCGACCAAUCACAGGAUUAGGAUUUGAAGAAGACGUCCACUGUACGGACCUAAAGCGGAUUUCCUUUCUUGUGCUAUUUCCUUCAACAAAAAAGAUAUAUUCACGAUUAAAUAUGAAAAACUUAUCCAAAUAGUUCAAAUAUGAAAAAACUCCUCCAAGUAGGUCAUAUUUAGCAAUCGCUCAAACUUGAUUCAUAAUUUAACAAAUAUGAUGAAAUUAUUUCCGAAUUCACACACUUUUAAUUUUGAAAUCUAAAAAAGAAAAAUAUCUAUUGCUAAUGCAAACUAUGAUCAUAAAUAUCUUAUAUCGCCCUUAUACAUGUCGAUUUCAUUGAAUUGUAAAGUAGUAUGAGGGAAAGGGGUAAUUAUGGCUAGAGAUCUGUAGAGUUCUGUAAUCUUUGGUUCUAAGAAAAAUCCUAUCCAUCUUUUCUCUAGGUGUAGGUUGCAUGAACAAUAGCCUUUAAGAAUUGCAUUGGUUUCUUUUUUGCUUCAUCUAAAUUAUUUUACUUCUCAUACUCUCUAUAGAAACCAGUGGGGUUUGCCCCUAUGGCCAUUCUUCCAAUAUGGAAGGAAGAGGUGGAGGUUGGAGUGGGGACAAUUUAGUUUCAAGUGAGGGUUUCGACUCCCAUGCCUUGUAAGGAAACAAGGCAAAAGUUUGAUAAUGAGAAUUAAAGUAGGAAUAGAGUAUGGCCGACAAAAAAAAAAAAAAAAACUAUCUAUAGAGCUUCACCUUAUUUAUUGUUCUUGGGUUAUGGUUGCCUGAUGGUAUGAUUUAUAUAAUUGUUGUUUCCUUUGCAGACUGCAAAAGCUAGAGGGACGGCCAUUCAAUCGUUACUGCGGUUAGUUGGUCGGCUACAGCUUCUUGUCGCUCAGGUUUAGUCCCUUUAUAUCUUUGCUUCAGAUAAUCUUUUGGCUUGAGAGUCUCUAGUUUUGGUAAACUUUGUCUUACAACAGAUUGACAAGGCCACGCGUGAUCAAACUAGAGAUUCUCUUCACAAGCGUCAAGCUGAUGAAAGUGAUGAUGAGGACGAAGACAUCGAUCCCGUCUUUUACAGGGAUGAGGAUGAAUAUGGACAAACUAGCGAUGAUACAGAUGUUGUGUAGAAGCUCUAAAUCUUAAGAGGUAGUCAUUCUUGCUGGUGUUAAAUUUGAUUUGCAGCGUUGCAUCUUCAUAAAUUGUGGAUCGUUAGGGUAAUUAGGCUGCGUUUGUUUUUAUUUCUUUUUUCUGUUUUUCAACAACUUUUUUGUUUUUUUGUUCCUGGGAACAAAAAAUGAACAAAAACUUGUUUGUUUGCGUUUUUCUUUCAAAACUAUUUUUUUGUUCCCAGAAACACAUUUGGAACAGAAAUAAGAAACAAAAAAAAAAGUUGUUUCUUGUUUCUGAAACAAAAUUUAUAAACACUUCUCUCUUUUUCCUUUUUCUUUUCUUCUUCUUUUUUCUUUCUUUUUUCUUUGGCCGGUCCCCGGCCUCAGCCAUGGCCGGCGACCGGCCGUCGAGGGUCGGCGACGCCAUUGAGGGCCGACGACCUUGCCGGAGCGUCAUUGGCCCCCGACGAGGCCAAUCGUCGCCGACCCCUGGUGAGGCCGACCUCGCGCUAAGCUGGGCGAGCUUGAUCUCGCCCAGAUCCGAUGAGGCCGACCUCGCCCAGCUACGGCGAGCCUCAUCAUGGCUAGGCGAGGCCACCGGCCCUCAUCGGCCGGUCGCCGGCCAUGGCUGAGGCCAGUGACCGGCCAAAAGAAGAAAAAUGAAAAAAUGAAAAAGAAAAAAGGAAAAAUAAAUAAGAAAAUAAGAAAAAUAAGAAAGAAAAUAGAAAAAAUAAAAUAAAAUAUUAAAAAAUUAAAAAAAAUAAAAAAAAAUUAUACAAAUUUACCAAACGUGUUUCUGUUCAUUUUUUAUUCCCGGAACAAGUUUACCAAACGCAUUUUUUUGUUCAAAAAUUGUUUCUCGAAACAUAAACAUUUUUUUCUAUUUCUGUUUCCUGAAACAAUUUUUAAAUAGAAACGUUACCAAACGCACUCUUAGUGAAUAAAGAACAGGUGAAGUGAAAGACUAUAAGACUUUUUCUCUGAUUACAUUUUCAGGUUAAAGUCUUAUAUUUCACCGCGAGAACUGAGUUCCAUAAAGCAUCUUGUAUAUAGUCUAUUUUGCAGUUUCUAUUAAGAACCAGUUAAACGAGAACAGAUCUAGUUUAUAUACGCAAUUUACUGGGAGUUCUACUGCUGAUCAUGAUCAAGAGUUCCCAUGUGCUAAUUCUGGCUUUUAAUUUUCCAUGCUCAUCGCAAGUAGCCUUUAUCCUCUAAACGUCAGUUUGAGUUGGAUUUGUUUUUGCUGCUUUGGAGUUUGAAACUUGCUCAUGAUGGGGAUGCUCGCUUGGGGCAACUCACUGCUCAAGUUGCAGCUGCCCCAGGAGAAAUUCUGACAUACGCUGCCGAUUUCGUGCCCUCCACAAAUUUUCUGAUCCCGACCACGUGUGCUGGUCCCAGGCAAUCACCAUGACGACAGAGACCCCCAUAGACUAGCCAUCGUGGUAGUGGUUAUUGCCUUACAGUGGAUUAUGGCAUCUCUAUUUGUACUUUCCUGAAAAUUAUUUCUUCAAGUAUUCAAUCAUAUCAUCAGUCUAUCAGACACACUAUUGAUUGUUUAUCUCUACCUGUCCUUUCUCUGGUGUUUUCUCAUACAAGGAUUAUGAUAUAAAAAAUCUGCAGGACUUCUCGUUCGAUCUUAACGUAUGCUUUUCGACUUCAUUUCUUAGUGCCCAAAUGCAGCAUAAGAGUAGAACAUGACAUUUUACCCUCCACGAGUCGACAGAGUACAUGUGACAUUCUUUAGAUAUAAUUUCAAAAUCUGAGACUCCGAAACUUUAGAUGACCAUCUUAUUGACCUGGGAUGCUUUAGAUGUCCUCACCGCAUGGCAACCUAAAAACCAUUUUGGCAUUUUGAUAUCAUCUGCUGUUUGCUGGAUAUGAUUAUCAAAGGUUCUAAACCCAGUCAUUAUGUGGAGUGACGUCAGCUAAAGCCAAGAGGCUGCUUUUGAGACUUCUGAUAACGUUAAAAUGAUGCGGCAGUUUUGCACAGAAAAAGUGGAAUAUGAUGAUUGAAUUCCGAGUUCGUUUGUGUCAGAGAACAAACAACGAAAGGCAAAGGGAGUUCAAAAGGAGAAGCGAAAAUGGUUGCUGUAUUCGGUUUUAAAUUAUUCGUUCGAUUUUGCAGGGCUUCAAUACGUACCGAUCCAAAUUAAGCUGUAUGUAUCGUGAAACUCAAAGGGGGGCACACGCAACUAUCGAAACCAAAAGGAAAAAAAGAAAAAGAAAGAAAGCAGGGGCCGCACGCUACGAUAAUCACUCAAUCGAGGACCACAUCGGACCAAAGUUUAUUCGGACAACACUUCUUAUGGGCUUGCGAAGGAAGCAAGUAGAGCAAUUUUAUGAGACAUUUCCCAGAACCACCAUCAUAUUCACGAAACCCCAUAUCGCCCUGGCGGAGCGCUUGCUAGUUGCAAUAGUAUGGAUUCCAGACUGGGUUUCAUGGAUUUCGCCUCCGGAUAAUCUAGGAUGGCCUUGAACAUCACGGACGCCUUCUCUCUCAUGGGCCUGAUCAUCUCCUCCUCGGUGAUAUCCCCUUGGCCGACGGUGAAGCACCUGCCCGCGUACUUACAGACCGAGCCACCCUCCAGGGGCAACGCAACGAUCUUCACCUCAUGGCUGGUUUCCUUGGAGAUUCUGCCCUGCUCAUCACGAUCGACGGUCGAGUGGUUGUAGACGAAGGGCUCCUGGUCCGGCGCUUUAACCGUGUGUCUCACCGUCCUGCGCUGUCUGCCUAUAAAAGUAACCGAAGUGACAUUUACGCUAAUCCGUUGUAUGAGUUUAUUCGUACCAAGGGUUCGAAUCCCUCUCUUUCCAUUUCCCUCAAUGACUCGUUAUUUUAUUUACAUUUAUUUUCAAAACUUUUCUUUGCUUUUUUUUUCAUAUAGUAAAUAAGGAUGUACAAUAGAUAAAAUCCUAAGUGCAUUGAAAAAUUAUGCCAGAAAAAAGAAAAGCCUUUUUAUUUUUCGUGUCUAGGAUUACCUCCCGGAUCAUUGGAUAGGAAUCCAAAAAUGAAGAGAGUGUAAACAAAGAGCUUGAAAAUAAACAUUACACAAUCUCCGCUCUUUUUUUUCUCAACAUCAUGAGCACCAAUCUUAGUGUUGUUGAUUAGGGCAUCUGGGGAUCACGCCCAAUUAUAAUCGUAAUGCAAUAUGAUUGAUAUGUGAUUUAAAUGGUAAGGAACAUUUCAAUUUACCCAGUACCUUCGACAGAGAUCAUCUCUUGGAUGUCGGCAUUUUUUAUGGCUGGUAGGAGGGUGUGGGGGAAGAAGCCCUUGGCUUCGAGAAAAGCCUCGACCAACCUGGCCUUAGGGAUCGGGUGCGUGAUCUCGGCCUUGAAAGUAACUUCUACCAUCGAUUGAAUCCGAAUAGAAUUUGCCGAACUGAAAAGGGUAUAAAAAUCUCAAAAGAAAGAAAGAAAGGAAUGAAGAGAAGGAGCUUUGAAUUGAGGUGAAGUAAAAGGUUGAUAUUUAUAGUCAUAAGAAAAAGGAUAAUUAUACAAAUGAUCCUACAACUUUGAUCCAAUGUGUAAUGUGGUCCAUAAACUUUUAAUUUGUUUAAUGUAAUCCUUGAAUUUUUGGUAAAUGUUCAAUAUAGUCCAAAAACUAUUUGAAAAUGUUUAAUUUAGUCCUUCAUUAAUUCAAGAUUAGAGACACCGUUGAAUAUUUUCAUAUAAUUUAGGGACUAAUUGAACAUGUACCAAAAGUCCAAAAAUCAAAUUGCACAUUCAGUUAAAGUUUAUAAAUAAUUUAUGUCAUUUUUUAGUAUGGACAUCAAUCUUCCAAAAAUUUCACUAUAGAGUAAUUUCUACUUAAUUGCAUGUAGUAGAAAAGCAAAUUAUUUCAUUUUCCUAGAAAGCAUCUCUCCUCCCAUAAAAAGUUGAACCCCUCAAAACCCAAUAAAUUACCCAUAUGACAAAUGACUAACUUUAGGAUUGAAUUUAAUUUAAUUAUCUCCCUUCUUUUGCUAAAACAACAUAAAGCUUCGGCGACCCAAUUUUUUUUAUUUUUUUAUUUUGAUAUUUAACUUUGUCUCCAUGGACUCUGGAGAGAGGGAGGGAAGCUUUGGCCAUUCUCCUUAAAAGCAUCUCUCCUUUGUUCAGCCCCUAACCCUUUGCCAGAAAAUUUUGACUUGUCUGCAUGUUAUUGUUAUGAUAUUAUCUUGUUUCUAGUUUUGUCUAGUUAUCGAAAGCAAAUUGACAACUAUGAUGGGUCCCCUUGUUUCUGACCAGGAAUUAUCCCAAGACAAAUCCUUUCUCCUCAGCCAAAAGGAUAAUUAAUCAGAUGCAUGAAAUGAUUCCAUGAGUAUGUUGCAAUGUAAGCAUCUAUAUGUCAGUAAGCAUCUAUAUGUCAGCUUCCUGAGGUAAGCAAGAGCUUACUCCAUGCUUUUCUUGAUCAAAGGUUAGCCUAUCUCUUGUUUCUUAUUCAAGUGCCUUUCUUAGAAUAGGAUUUUUGUUUAUUCGAGUUUAGAAUCAUUGUGGUUGAGUGUCUUUUCUAUUUGAAUCGUUGACAAUUUCAUUGGAAAGUUACUCCACAAGUUUGAACUCAUAACCACAAAAUUGGACCCCACAAUCUGGGUUAGUAUAAAUUUAUACAGUUUCAUGAAUACAUUAUUUUAUACGUACUUUUGUUGAAUGCUCAAACCACUGUAAGCAACGAGGGUAAUUGGGAUUGUGUCAUAAUAUAUACAUUUCUCAUAAAUGUCUAAUACUGUUGUGAUAUUAACGUGGAAACGAUCGGAUCUCGCAAAUUAAGUCAAUGUGAAAAAAAAUAAGAGAAAUAAACAAGAAAUAAUAGAACACCAAAGAUUUACGUGAUUUUGAUCCGAGUAUUGAUACCUAUAUGCAUAAAGAGAGCCAGUAGCAAAUAAUUCACUACAAUCGGAGAAUUAAAUUUAUAAUCACUCACACGUUCAAGUGUUUUUCACACCUAAAUUUAAGCUCAAAAUCAAAGUGUUUAUAAAUAAGUACUCGAUUAAAUGUAAAACUCACAGCAUGAUAUCACUGUAUAGUCACAUUGCUGCGGCCGAUAGACAACUCCUUCGUGUGUCCAAGAAGUGUUUAUACCUAUAUGCAUAAAGAGAGCCAGUAGCAAAUAAUUCACUACAAUCGGAGAAUUAAAUUUAUAAUCACUCACACGUUCAAGUGUUUUUCACACCUAAAUUUAAGCUCAAAAUCAAAGUGUUUAUAAAUAAGUACUCGAUUAAAUGUAAAACUCACAGCAUGAUAUCACUGUAUAGUCACAUUGCUGCGGCCGAUAGACAACUCCUUCGUGUGUCCAAGAAGUCCUAUGAUCGGCUUCUUGAAUCUUCUCUGUGCAACGUCCAUACCACCCACGAAGAACCCCCUGGCGGCUAUUUCUUGUGCGGCUCUUUUUCACUCAAGAAAAAUCCUUGAUUUUCUUUUAUUUUGGGCGCAUUUGGUAACGUUUUUGUUCAAAAAUUGUUCCAAGGAACAAAAAAAAAAAAAGUGUUUCUGUUCCGGGGAACAGUUUUUGAACAAAAGAACGCAUUUGGUAAGUGUAAAAAAAAAACUGUUCUUGAAAUAAAAAAAAGAACAGAAACACGUUUGGUAACUGCAGUCAAUUUCUGUUCCUAGAAUAUAAAAAGAAUAGAAACACAUUUGGUAAACUGUACAAAAUUUCUGUUUUAAAUUUUUAAAAAGAAAAUGUUUUUUUUUUAAUAAAGUUUAAACUUGAUAUUGAAUUCUCAUCUCAUGAAAUGCUUAUUAAUUUUAUUUUGUUCAUGGUGAGUGAAGACAAACAUUUUGAACAUGAUCAUAUGGCAUACUUUGUAGAAAAUUUUGUAAGUAAAGUUUGUACCAAAUUUUUUUCAAGUACUUUUUUUACUUUUUAUUUUUAUAACAUAUAAACUUGAUAUUGAAUUCUCAUUCUCAUGAAAUGACGGUGAGGGCGGUGAUCAAGGUGGUGAGGGCGCAGAUGAGCCUGGCACUCAAGGAGGCCAAGGAGCUGAUCGAGGGGCUGCUGAAGAAGUUCAAGGAGGGGGUGUCCAAGGACGAGGCGGAGGACGCGAAGAAGCAGCUCGAGGAGGCCGAUGCGAAGGUCGCCAUUGUUUAGGGAAGGACCCAAUUCGAGGCAAUUGAUACAGAGCCAAUAAGAAGUGAUGGUCUUUUAGGGUUUAAAUCGAAGUGUGAUUUGGUGAGAGGGUUUAGUGUAGUUAUCGUGGGAAGGAAAUGGUUGUUCAUGGGGGGCCUGAGCUGAUGUUGUAUUUGCAUUUGUAAUGAGGAAUUUGACUUGUGCGAAUCUCCAAAUUCUUUUCUUGUUUCUCCGUUCGUUUCGAUCGAUCUUUUUGGGCUUCUUUUUGUUUGGGAUUUCUUUCGAUGCAAUACACAAGACAACAACAUUUGAUUUGACAAAAUUGUAGAGGAAUUGAUCAAUCAAAAAUCACAGAAAAUGAAGUUCAGGAUUCAAGUGCCAACAGCCAUACACGAACGACACAUGAUUUGCAAACUCAGAUACAUCCUUGAUUCAUGGCCCAAAGUCUCUAGCUGAGAAUCAACGACCAAUCUAUUAACAUGAUAAAAUUGGUCAUCCACGAAAUGGAAAUCAAUCAGUCGUCGACAGGGUCCUGAGGAGCUUCAUCUGCGGGCCUUUUGAUGGUUUUGACAGGGCAUUCAGCAUGCUUCACGCAAAAUUCACUAACGGUGCCGACAAAUACCCUGUGAUGUUAUGUGCAUGACAAGAUCACGCAAUGAGGUGUUUCCAGAAAUACGCAUGACAUUAACUAACUCUAAACAGACGAUAGAGAUGUAUCGACAUGCAAGAUGUGACAACUAGUAAGAGAACUUCCACUCAGCCAGCAAGUCAAUGAUGAGGUCAUGAGAGGAAGAUCAAGCUGUCUUGAAGCCUAUGGGGACUCCACAGGGGCAGGCUCUCGAUUUAUGGGAUGUUCAGCUGAAAGCAGAAUCCAGAAAAGAGCUCAAUAUCCUUUGGAAAGGGCCAAGACCCCUGCUUCCCACAACAAGUAAAUCAGGCCUAACUCGCUUCACCUCAUGACAGAUGACCUCUUUUGGAUCUCCUUUCUUGAUCCAUGCUUCACAUUGUACCUAACAUGAACACAUCAUAAGGAAAUGGCGAAUAUUAUUGUUGGCAAAGUUUAUUUAGGAAAAAGAGAGGAGAAAAAUCUCCAAUACCCCGAUUUCAUGACAUCUCUUGACAAAGCACUCCAGUAGAUGAAUUCCUCUUGCCUUGUCCCUCUGUUUCAAGCUCUUAAAAUCAUCCGGAGAUGCAUAUACACUAUCCAUGUCAUCAAAACCUAUGGCAAAGGCAAAGUGAGGCCAUAUAUCAGUGAGGAUGCAGGAUUUCCCCAAACAAUUCGCCUGGGCAACAAGAAUUGCUUAAUCAAAAGGCACGAUUGACUUAUUGCCAUACAUAUAUAAAUGCCACACCCAGAGUCUAACAAGCAAAACCCCACAUUGAUCUUUCUAUGAAGUACUUCUUAUGGAAAUGAUUACAAAACCUGUUGGUUGGGAAUGAUCUCAUUUAUCUAAUCGCUCAGCAUUCUAAAGGCAGAUAAUACUCUCCAAAACCAAUAUGCAAGAAUUCUGAGCCUGGACACCCGGUUCAGCUUCACUCUCAGAGAACAUAUGUGAUCAAAUGUUUCGAGGGCUUUCCCUUUGAGGCCUAGAAUUAAUAACUCAAGUUUCACAUUCUGUAAAUUAAAACUGCAGAGCUAAAUACAACGGCUCAUGCCUCAAGUCUCUUUCUUCUUUUUACAGAAUAAGAGAUGGGAGAGACACAUACAGAUGACUAUGCACUUCUACCGUGUUUUUGGUCACAACAUGACACAUAUCACAAUAAAUCAGUCAGAGCAUUCCAUCGAAAUCUAAAGAAGGAUGAAGUGCCAUGUACAACAUGCUGCAUCUCUCUCAUUCAGCAUGGGCUUCUUCCUAAACACCAAAAUCCCACCCCUCCAUUCGGGAACUUCUUUAAGUAAGAGAGUAGCUUUGAUGACAAGCAGUGACAACAGAUCUGAAGAUCCAGGUCAUCCCUCUCCCUUCCUGCAACUCAUCCUCUCCAGGCUAUUCAAACACAAGGCUUGGUUAAUUAAAGAAGAGGCGUAUUCUCAAGCACCUCAACUUCUUUUUGUGCAGGGGAAAGAGAGAAGAUCAAUCACCAUUGCUGAUUUACUACGACAACAGAACUAGAACAAGAUUUUCAAGCGGCUGCAAAAUAUCCAAGGUCUACAGUUGCUGAAACUCGGACUAGGAAAAGGGGAGAGUACCUAAAUUACCAUAUACAACAUGCGCAACAUAUUCAGUCCUCUUCCAUUUCCCGAGUUCUUUUACAACACUGCCUAGUUCUAAUCGAUUUGAUCGUUCUCAAACUCUUCUCCACAUCUUCCUGCCAUCCACAGCAUCGAUUUUCCGCCGAUCACACUGCCAACGAUAGGUACGCCAAAAACCUCUCAAUGCACACAAAAACCGAGAGAGAGAGCAUCCACAUUCAGUUCUCACACAAAACUAAUCAACCAACAGGCCACUGAUUCGGUUAUCGUCGGACGGUGAAAACCGCGCGAAUAUCUAUUCCUGACGCGAAUGCGACACGAAACCGACCGUACAUCGAUACUAACAGGAAUGCUCGGUGCCUAUCGACGAAACUAACACCGAUCACAUCUCCUCCGAUCGAACCAAAACAAGAAGCGCAAACGCAAAAGCUAGAGAGAGAGAGAGAGAGAGAGAGAGAGAGAGAGAGAGAGAGAGAGAGAGAGGACCGUCUUCGUCGGGGGCCUGGACGUGGAGGAAGAGGAGCUUGAAGCCGGAGGUGUUGGAGCGGACGAUCUCUGGAGAGUCCACUCGAACGCUCCCCGACUGCUUAUCGACGCGUGCGGGUACCCCUUGAUCGUCGAUUCGUUCACUCCCAUCAUCACCCUCGUCGGCUCCCCUUCCAUCUCUCUCUCUCUCUCUCUCUCUCUCUCUCUCUCUCUCUCUCUCUCUGCGCGCGAUGAUCGAUCUUCGUCUUCUCCAGUCGGUGCUAGAAGCUACGCCCGCGUCUGGCUCUGAUAUUUUCUUUUAUUUCCAGUCGGAGAGUCAGCAGAGUGGGGAGUCGCCAGAGAGUCAGCCGAGGGGGAGGCCCCGGAGAGUCAGCCGGUGGUGAACGGAGAAGGGCAUGAACACGAACGAACGGAGAAGGGCACGAUCAAAGGGAGAAGUGUUUCGUUUUUGUUCUUUUAUUUUUGUUCUUUUUAGCCCAUCAAGAAGUGUUUCUGGAUUUCAGAAAUAAGUUUUGUUUCUUUUUUCUGUUCCAAUUUUGUUCUGGGAACAAAUAAACAAAAAAUCUGUUCCAGAACAGAUUUGAGGAACGAAAACAUGCAGGGCCAUUUCCUUUUGUGCAGCUACAAGGAGUCCAAUGAAUCACUCCUUUGUUGACCGACCAAUCACACACUGUACGGACCUAAAGCGGAUUUUCUUUCUUGUGCUAUUUUCUUCGACAGAAAAAGAUAUCUUCACCAUUAAAUAUGAAUAACUUAUCAAAACGGUUCAAACAUAGAAAAACUUAUCCAAGUAGGUCGCAUUUAGAAAAUGCUCAAACUCGAGACAUAAUUUAAGAAAUACAAUGAAAUUAUUUUUCGAGUUUAGAUGCUUCUAAGUUAGAAAUCUUAAAAAAAAGAAAAUAAGAUAACUACUGCUGAUGCAAACUUUGCUUAUAAAUAUCUUAUGUCGCCCUUAUACACGUCUAAUUCAUUGAAUCCUAAAAGUGGUAUGAGGGAAAGGGGUAAUUAUGGCUAGAGAUCUGAAGAGUUUUGUAAUCUCUGGUUCUAGGAAAAAUCCUGUCCAUCUUUUCUCUAGGUGGAGGUUGCAUGAACAAUUGCCUGAAAGAAUUGCAUUGGUUUCUUUUUUGCUUCAUCUAAGUUAUUUUACUUCUCAGACUCUCCAUAGAGCUUCACGUUAUUUAUUGUUCUUGGGUUAUGGUUGCCUGAGGGUAUGAUUUACAUAAUUAUUGUUUCCUUUGCAGACUGCAAAAGCUAGAGGGACGGAAAUUCAAUCGUUACUGCAGUUAGUUGGUGGGCUGCAACUUCUUGUUGCUCAGCUUUAGGUGAAAGAAUGGAUCUUCCAACAUUAGGCCCUUUAUGUCUUUGCUUCAGAUAAUCUUUUGAGUUUGACAGUCUCCAGUUUUGGUAAACAUGGCCUUACAACAGAUUGACAAGGCCAUGCGUGAUCAAACUAGAGAUUCUCUUCGCAAGCGUCAAGCUGAUGAAAGUGAUGAUGAGGACGAAGACAUCGAUUCCGUCUUUUACAGGGAUGAGGAUGAAUAUGGACAAACUAGCGAUGAUACUGAUGUUGAGUAGAAGCUCUAAAUCUUAAGAGGUAGUCAUUCUUGCUGGUGUUAAAUUUGAUUUGCCGCAUUGCAUCUUCAUAAACUGUGGAUUGUUGGGGUAAUUAGUGGGUGAAGAACAGGUGAACUGAAAGACUGUUAAGACUUUUUCACUGAUUACAUUUUCAGGUUAAAGUCUUAUAUUUCACCGUGAGAACUGAGUUCCAUAAAGCAUCUUGUAUAUAGUCUAUUUUGCAGUUUUGAUUAAGAACCAGUUAAAUGCGAACAGAUCUAGUUUAUAUACGAAAUUUACUGGAAGUUCUACUGCUGAUCAUGAUCAAGAGUUCCCAUGUGCUAAUUCUGGCUUUUAAUUUUCCAUGCUCAUCGCAAGUAGCCUUUAUCCUCUAAACGUCAGUUUGAGUUGGAUUUGUUUUUGCUGCUUUGUAGUGUGAAACUUGCUCAUGAUGGAGAUGCUCGCUUGGGGCAACUCACUGCUCAAGUUGCAGCUGCCCCAGGAGAAAUUCAGACAUAUGCUGCCGAUUUCGUGCCCUCCACAAAUUUUCUGAUCCCGACCACGUGUGCUGGUCCCAGGCAAUCACCAUGACGACAGAGACCACCAUAGACUAGCCGUCGUGGGUAGUGGUUAUUGCCUUACAGUGGAUUACGGCAUCUCUAUUUAUACUUUCUUGAAAAUUAUUUCUUCCAUUAUUCAAUCAUAUCAUCCGUCUAUCAGACACUCUAUUGAUUGUUUAUCUCUAUCUUUCCUUGUCUCCGGUGUUUUCUCAUACAAGGAAUAUGAUAUAAAAAAUCUGCAGGACUUCUUGUUCAAUUUUAAGACUUCAUUUCUUUGUGCCCAAAUGCAGCAUAAGAGUAGAACAUGACAUUUUACCCUCCCCGAGUCGACAGAGUACAUGUGACAAUCUUUAGAUAUAAUUCCAAAAUCUGAGACUCGCAAACUUUAGAUAACCAUCUUACUGAACUGGGAUGCUUUAGAUGCCUCACACCGCGUGGCAACCUAAAAACCAUUUUGGCAUUUUGAUAUCAUCUGCUGUAUGCUGGAUAUGAUUACCAAAGGUUCUAAACCCAGUCAUUAUGUGAAGUGAAGUCAGCUAAAGCCAAGAGGCUGCUUUUGAGACAUCUGAUAACGUUAAAAUGAUGCGGCAGUUUUGCACAGAAAAAGUGGAAUAUGAUGAUUGAAUUCCGAGUUCGUUUGUGUCAGAGAACAAACAACGAAAGGCAAAGGGAGUUCAAAAAGAGAAGCGAAAAUGGUUGCUGUAUUCGGUUUUAAAUUAUUCGUUCGAUUUUGCAGGGCUUCAAUACGUCCCGAUCCAAAUUAGGUUGUAUGUAUCAUGAAACUCAAAGGGGGGCACACGCAACUAUCGAGACCAAAAGGAAAAAAAGAAAGGAAAGAAAACACGGGCCCGCACGCUACGAUAAUCACUCAAUUGAGGACCACAUCGGACCAAAGUUUAUUCGGACAACACUUCAUAUGGGCUCGCGAAGGAAGCAAGUACGGUAAUUUUACGAGACAUUUCCCGGAACCACCAUCAUAUUCGCGAAACCACAGAUCGCCUUGGCGGAGCGCUUACUGGAUCAGGACUACUGGGUGGAUAGACCAGUCUGGAAUCAGACUGGGAUAAUCCAGACUGGGUUUCAUGGACUUAGCCUACGGUAAGGCUUUCGCUCCGCAGGAGAAAUUGGGAUGGCUCUCGCUCCGGAUAAUUUCGCUCCGGAUAAUUUCGCUCCCGAGGAAAAAGAGGUUUCACGGAUUUCGCCUCCCGAUAAUUCGGGACGGAAUCCAGACGAAAAAGAGGUUUCAUGGAUUUCGCCUCCGGAUAAUCCAGGAUGGCCUUGAACAUCACGGACGCCUUCUCUCUCAUGGCCCCGAUCAUUUCCUCCUCGGUGAUAUCCCCUUGGCCAACGGUGAAGUACCUGCCCGCGUACUUACAGACCGAGCCACCUUCCAGGGGCAACGCAACGAUCUUCACCUCAUGGCUGGUUUCCUUGGAGAUUCUGCCUGCUCAUCACGAUCGACGGUCGAGUGGUUGUAGAGGAAGGGCUCCUGGUCCGGCGCUUUAACCGUGUGUCUCACCGUCCUGCGCUGUCUGCCUAUAGAAGUAACCAAAGUGACAUUUACGCUAAUCUGUUGUAUGAGUUUAUUCGUACUGAGAGUUCGAAUCCCUCUCUUUCCAUUUCCCUUAAUGACUCGUUAUUUUAUUUAUAUUUAUUUUCAAAACUUUUCUUUGUUUUUUUUUUUAUUUUAUUUAUUUCAUAUAGUAAAUUAGGAUGUACAAUAGAUAAAAUCCUAAGUGCAUUGAAAAAUUAUGCAAGAAAAAAGAAAAGCCUUUUUAUUUUUCGUGUCUAGGAUUACCUCCCGGAUCAUUGGAUAGGAAUCCAAAAAUGAAGAGAGUGUAAACAAAGAGCUUGAAAAUAAACAUUACACAAUCUCCAGUCUUUUUAUUUUUUUUUCAACAUCAUGAGCACCAAUCUUAGUGUUGUUGAUCAGGGCAUCUGGGGAUCACGCCCAAUUAUAAUUGUAAUGCAAUAUGAUUGAUAUGUGAUUUUAAUGGUAAGGAACAUUUCAAUUGACCCAGUACCUUCGACAGAGAUCGUCUCCUGGAUGUCGGCAUUUUUUAUGGCUGGUAGGAGGGUGUGGGGGAAGAAGCCCUUGGCUUUGAGAAAAGCCUCGACCAACCUGGCCUUAGGGAUCGGGUGCGUGAUCUCGGCGUUGAGAGUAACUUCUACCAUCGAUUGAAUCCGAAUAGAAUUUGUUGAACUGAAAAGGGUAUAAAAAUCUCAAAAGAAAGAAAGAAAGGAAUGAAGAGAAGGAGCUUUGAAUUGACGCGAAGUAAAAGGUCGAUAUUUAUAGUGAUAAGAAAAGGGAUAAUUAUACAAAUGAUCCCACAACUUUGAUCCAAUGUGUAAUGUGGUCCCUAAACUUUUAAUUUGUUUAAUGUGAUCCUUGGACUUUUGGUAAAUGUUCAAUAUAGUCCAUGAAUUAUUUGAAAAUGUUUAAUUUAGUCCUUCAUUAAUUCAAGAUCAGAGACACUGUUGAAUAUUUUCAUAUAAUUCAGGGACUAAUUGAACAUGUACCAAAAGUCCAAAAAUCACAUUACACAUUGGGUUAAAGUUCAUUGAUCAAUCGUGUCAUUUUCUAGUACAAACAUCAACCUUCCAAAAAUUUCGCCAUAGAGUAACUUCCGCUUAAUUGCAUGUAGUAGAAAAGCAAAUUAUUUAUUUCCUUGAAAGCAUCUCUCCUACCAUAAAAAGUUGAACCCCUCAAAACCCAAUAAAUUACCCAUACGACAAAUGAUUAACUUUACGAUUGAAUUUAAUUUAAUUAUCUCCCUUCUUUUGCCAAAACAGCAUAAGGCUUCUAAAACCCAUUUUCUUUUUAAAAAAAAAAUUUGAGGGAAGCUUUGGUCAUUUUCCUUAAAAGCAUCUCUCCUUUGUUCAGCCUCUAACCCUUUGCUAGAAAACAUUGACUGGUCUGCACGUUAUUGUCAUGAUAUUAUCUUUCUCCUAGUUUUGUCUGGUUAUCAAAAGCAAAUUGACAACUAUGAUGGAUCCCUUGUCUCUGAUCGGGAAUUAUCCCAAGACAAAUCCCUUCUCCUCGGCCAAAAGGUUAAUUAAUCAGUUGCAUGAAAUGAUUCCAUGAGUAUAUUGCAAUGUAAGCAUCUAUAUGUCAACUUCCUGAGGUAAGCAAGAGCUUACUCCAUGCUUUUCUUGAUCAAAGGUUAGCCUAUCUCUUGUUUCUUAUUCAAGUGCUUUUCUUAGAAUAGGAGUUUUGUUUAUUCAAGUUUAGAAUUACUAUGGUUGAGUGUCUUUUCUAUUCAAAUCGCUAACCAUCUCAUCAUAAAGUUAUUCCACGAGUUUGAACCUGGAACCACAAAAUUGGACCCCACAAAGCAGGUUAGGAUAAAUUUCUACAGUUUCAUGAAUACAUUAUUUUCUAAGUACUUCUGUUGAAUGAUAAAAACAAUGUAAGGGAGGAGGGUAAUUGGGGUUGUGUUAUAAUAUAUACAUUUCUCGUAAAUGUCUAAUAUUGUUGUGACAUUAACGCGGAAACGAUAGGAUCUUCCAAAUGAAGUCAAUGCGAAAAAACUAAAGAAAUAAGCGAGGAAUAAUAGGACACCAGAGUUUUACGUGAUUUGAUUCAAGUAUCAAAACUUACGUGCAUGGAAAAAGCUAACAGCAAAUAAUCUACUACAAUCUGAGAACCAAAUUUACAAUCGCUCACACGCUCGAAUUUUUCCCACACUUAAAUUUAAGUCCAAAUUCAAAGUGUUUACAAAUAAAUACUCAAUUAGAUAUAAAUUCACAGCAUGAAAUCACUGCGGUUUCACGUCCGUGCGGCCGAGAGACAACUCCGUCGUGCGUCCAAGAAGUCCUCUGAUCGGCUUCUUGAAUCUUCUCUGUGCAGCGUCCAUACCACCCACGAAGAACCCCCUGGCGGCUAUUUCUUGUGCGGCUCUUUUUCACUCAAGAAAAAUCCUUGAUUUUCUUUUAUUUUAUUUCCUUUUUUGCAGCUACAAGGAGUCCAAUGAAUUACUCCUUUGUUGACCGACCAAUCACAGGAUUAGGAUUUGAAGAAGACGUCCCCACUGUACGGACCUAAAGCGGAUUUCCUUUCUUGUGCUAUUUUCUUCAACAGAAAAAGAUGUCUUCUCCAUUAAAUAUGAAUAACUUAUCCAAAUGGUUCAAAUAUGAAAAAACUUAUCCAAACAGGUCGUGUUUAGCAAGCCCUUAAACUCGAGACAUAUUUUAACAAAUACGAUGAAAUUAUUUCUGAAUGCACGCACUUCUAAGUUAGAAAUCUAAAAAAGAAAAAUGGUUGUUACUAAUGCAAACUAUGUUCAUAAAUAUGUUAUAUUGCCGUUAUACACGUCAAUUUCAUUGAAUUGUAAAGUAGUAUGAGGGAACGGGGUAAUUAUGGCUAGAGUCUGAAGAGUUUUGUAAUCUCUGGUUCUAGGGAAAAUCCUAUCCAUCUUUUUUCUAGGUGUAGGUUGCAUGAACAAUGGCCUAAAAGAAUUGCAUUGGUUUCUUUUCUGCUUCAUCUAAAUUAUUUUACUUCUUUGACUCUCCAUAGAGCUUCACGUUUUUUAUUGUUCUUGGGUUAUGGUUGCCUGAUGGUAUGAUUUAUAUAAUUAUUGUUUCCUUUGCAGACUGCAAAAGCUAGAGGGACGGCCAUUCAAUCAAUAUUGCGGUUAGUUGAUCGGCUGCAGCUUGUUGUCGCUCAGGUUUAGUCCCUUUAUAUCUUUGCUUCAGAUAAUCUGUUGGCUUGAGAGUCUCUAGUUUUAGUAAACGUUGUCUUACAACAGAAUUGACAAGGCCACGCGUGAUCAAACUAGAGAUUCUCUUCACCAGUGUCGAGCUGAUGAAAGUGAUGAUGAGAACGAAGACAUCGGUCACAUCUUUUAUGGGGAUGAGGUUGAAUUUGGACAAACUAGCGAUGAUACAGAUGUUGAGUAGAAGCUCUAAAUCUUAAGAGGUAGUCAUUCUUGCUGGUGUUGAAUUUGACUUAUCGCGUUGCAUCUUCAUAAACUUUGGAUUGUUGGGGUAAUUAGUGGGUGAAGAACAGGUGAAAUGAAAGACUUUUAAGACUUUUUCUCUGAUUACAUUUUCAGGUUAAGGUAUUAUAUUCCACCUUGAGAACUGAGUUCCAAAAGGCAUCUUAUAUAUAGACUAUUUUGCUGUUUCGAUUAAGAACCAGUUGAACAGGAACAGCUCGAGGUUAUACACGCAAUUUACUGGAAGUUCUACAGCCGAUCAUGAUCAAGAGUUUCCAUGUGCUAAUUGUGGCUUUUAAUUUUCCAUACUGCGGGUAGCAUUGUUCCUCUAAACAUUCAGUUUGAGUUGGAUUUGUUUUUACUGCUUUGUAGUGUGAAACUUGCUUAUGACGGAGAUGCUCGCAUGGGGCAACUCACUGGUCAAGUUGCGGCUGCCCCAGGAGAAAUUCAUACGUAUGUUGCCAAUUUCGUGCCCUCCACAAAUUUUCUGAUCCCAACCACGUGUGCUGGUCUCAGGCAAUCACCAUGACGACAGAGACCACCACAGACCGGCCGUCACAGUAGUGGUUAUUGCCUUACAGUGGAUUAUGGCAUCUCUAUUUAUACUUUCCUGAAAAUUAUUUCUUCAAUUAUUCAAUCAUAUCAUCCGUCUAUCAGACACUCUAUUGACUCUUUAUCUGUAUUUGUCCUUGUAUCGGGUGCUUUCUGGCACAAGGAAUGUGAUAUGAAAAAUCGGCGGGACUUCUUGUUUGAUCUUACCGAAUGCCACAUAAGAGUAGAACAUGACAUUUUACCCUCAACGAGUUGACAGAAUACAUGUCGCAAUCUUUAGCUAUAAUUCCAAAAUAUGAGACCCAGAAACUUUAGGUGACCAUCUCACUGACGUGGGAUGCUUUAGAUGUCCUCAUUUGCAUUGCACUGGCAACCUGAAAACCGUUUUGGCAUUUUGACAUCAUCUGCUGUCUGCUGGAUGUAAUUAUCGAAGGUUGUAAAGCCAAUUAUUGUGCAAAGCGAAGUCAGCUAAAGCCAAGAGGUUGCUCUUGAGACAUCUGACAAUAUUAAAAUGAUACGGUAGUUUUACAGAGAAAACAUGGAAUAUGGCGAUGGAAUUCCGAGUUCGUUCUGGUAAGAGAAACAACGAAAGGCAAGAGGAGUUCAAAAGGAGAAGCGAAAAUGGUUGCUGUAUUUGGUUUUAAAUUAUUCAUUCGAUUUUGCAGGGUUUCGAUAUGUCCCGAUCCAAAUUCAGCUGUAUGUAUUAUGAAACUCGAAGGGGAGCACACGCAACUAUUGAGACCAAAAUAAAAAUAGAAAGAAAGAAAGAAAACAGGGCCGUACGCGAAAAUCACUCAAUCGAGGACCACAUCGGACGAUGGUUUAUUCCAACAACACUUCAUAUGGGCUUUGCAAACGAAGCAAGUACAGCAAUUUUACAGAACAUUUCCCGGAACCAUCGUAUUCGCGGAAAAGACGAGACCAACACACUCCCUCGACGACAAGACAAGAACAGCACUCGACUAGACCUUAUUCGGACAGAACAUAUUAGACUAAGCUGCCGGAUCAGCUUGGAUGGCCCUGAACAUCACGGACGCCUUCUCUCUCAUGGCCCUGAUCAUCUCCUCCUCCGUGAUAUCCCCUUGGCCGAUGGUGAAGUGCCUGCCCGCGUACUUACAGACCGAGCCACCCUCCGGGGGCAACGCAACGAUCUUCACCUCAUGGCUGGUUUCCUUGGAGAUUUUACGCUGCUCAUCGCGAUGGAUGGUUACCUUACCAAAAAAAAAAAAACACACUCCCUCGACGACAAGACAAGAACAGCACUCGACUGGACCUUAUUCGAAGACAACAUAUGAGACUAAGCUGCCGGAUCAGCUUGGAUGGCCGGGGCCCUGAACAUCACGGACGCCUUCUCUCUCAUGGACCUGAUCAUCUCCUCCUCCGUGAUAUCCCCUUGGCCGAUGGUGAAGCACCUGCCCGCGUACUUACAGACCGACCCACCCUCCAGGGGCAACGCAACGAUCUUCACCUCAUGGCUGAUUUCCUUGGAGAUUUUGGGAUUGCUGUCUGGGACUUUCGAAGUAGAAGGNNNNNNNNNNNNNNNNNNNNNNNNNNNNNNNNNNNNNNNNNNNNNNNNNNNNNNNNNNNNNNNNNNNNNNNNNNNNNNNNNNNNNNNNNNNNNNNNNNNNAUUAGCAAAAUGAUCUGGUGCUGAAAUUUAUAGUACCUAAUGUGGCUUAGACGAUCCAUCCUCUUCCUUUCUCUUGCAAUUACAUUUUCCCUCCUGCUCAACUUAAUUCUUCCGAAUAAGGUAAGUUCUUUUCCUUGCUGCCCCCAUUUCGUUCUUCGUUACUUAAAUGAUUUAUUGUGCAUUUGGUUGUUCUAUUUCGUAGAUCUCUUCUUCUUUUUUCAUCCCUUGACCAUUUUGAUUUCUAACAAGGAAUUUUCUUUCACCCAAUCUGCCGUUCCUGCUGUUAAUAUCAAAUAUUGCAGCAUUGGACGGAUUUCUCUCUUGCUCCCUCUGCUAAUAUUUUCCUAUACAUUUGGCAGGUUUGCGGUUAUGGUGCCAGAUCCCAGGUUUGAUAGCUCUUUUCAUGAUGUAGCGGACCAAGUACUGAAAUCUCUGUUGGAUUUCGAUCCAUUGGAAUGGGGUUUGCCCCCCUUUGACAGAAAAGCUGAGAACUCAUUUGAAAAUCAGACGAUGUGCAAUGACAUCUCGUGUCAAAUUCAUUUGAAACCACCGUAUUUACGUUCAUGCGGCCGAGAGACAACUCCCACAUGCGUCCAAGAAGUCCUCCGUGCGGCUUCUUGAAUCUUCUCUGUGCAGCGUCUACACCACCCACGAAGAACCCCGUGGCGGCUGUUUCUCGUGCGGCUCUUUUUCACUCAAGAAAAACCCUUGAUUUUCUUUUAUUUUAUUUCGUUUUGUGCGACCACGAGGAGUCCAACGAAUUACUCCUUUGUUGACCGACCAAUCACAGGAUUAGGAUUUGAAGAAGACGUCCACCCACCAUACGGACCUAAAGCGGAUUUCUUUCCUUGUGCUAUUUCCUUAGACAAAAAAUAUCUUCACGAUCAAAUAUGAAAAAGUUAUCAAAGCGAUUUAAAUAUGGCAAAGNNNNNNNNNNNNNNNNNNNNNNNNNNNNNNNNNNNNNNNNNNNNNNNNNNNNNNNNNNNNNNNNNNNNNNNNNNNNNNNNNNNNNNNNNNNNNNNNNNNNNNNNNNNNNNNNNNNNNNNNNNNNNNNNNNNNNNNNNNNNNNNNNNNNNNNNNNNNNNNNNNNNNNNNNNNNNNNNNNNNNNNNNNNNNNNNNNNNNNNNNNNNNNNNNNNNNNNNNNNNNNNNNNNNNNNNNNNNNNNNNNNNNNNNNNNNNNNNNNNNNNNNNNNNNNNNNNNNNNNNNNNNNNNNNNNNNNNNNNNNNNNNNNNNNNNNNNNNNNNNNNNNNNNNNNNNNNNNNNNNNNNNNNNNNNNNNNNNNNNNNNNNNNNNNNNNNNNNNNNNNNNNNNNNNNNNNNNNNNNNNNNNNNNNNNNNNNNNNNNNNNNNNNNNNNNNNNNNNNNNNNNNNNNNNNNNNNNNNNNNNNNNNNNNNNNNNNNNNNNNNNNNNNNNNNNNNNNNNNNNNNNNNNNNNNNNNNNNNNNNNNNNNNNNNNNNNNNNNNNNNNNNNNNNNNNNNNNNNNNNNNNNNNNNNNNNNNNNNNNNNNNNNNNNNNNNNNNNNNNNNNNNNNNNNNNNNNNNNNNNNNNNNNNNNNNNNNNNNNNNNNNNNNNNNNNNNNNNNNNNNNNNNNNNNNNNNNNNNNNNNNNNNNNNNNNNNNNNNNNNNNNNNNNNNNNNNNNNNNNNNNNNNNNNNNNNNNNNNNNNNNNNNNNNNNNNNNNNNNNNNNNNNNNNNNNNNNNNNNNNNNNNNNNNNNNNNNNNNNNNNNNNNNNNNNNNNNNNNNNNNNNNNNNNNNNNNNNNNNNNNNNNNNNNNNNNNNNNNNNNNNNNNNNNNNNNNNNNNNNNNNNNNNNNNNNNNNNNNNNNNNNNNNNNNNNNNNNNNNNNNNNNNNNNNNNNNNNNNNNNNNNNNNNNNNNNNNNNNNNNNNNNNNNNNNNNNNNNNNNNNNNNNNNNNNNNNNNNNNNNNNNNNNNNNNNNNNNNNNNNNNNNNNNNNNNNNNNNNNNNNNNNNNNNNNNNNNNNNNNNNNNNNNNNNNNNNNNNNNNNNNNNNNNNNNNNNNNNNNNNNNNNNNNNNNNNNNNNNNNNNNNNNNNNNNNGAUGGUUCCUUGUUUCUGAUCGGGAAUUAUCCCAAGACAAAUCCUUUUCUCCUCGCCAAAAGGUUAAUUAAUCAGUUGCAUGAAAUGAUUCCAUGAGUAUAUUGCAAUGGAAGCAUCUUUAUGUCAGCUUCCUGAGGUAAGCAAGAGCUUACUCCAUGCUUUUCUUGAUCAAAGGUUAGCUUAUCUCUUGUUUCUUUUUCAAGUGCUUUUCUUAGAAUAGGAGUUUUGUUUAUUCCAGUUUAGAAUCAGUGUGGUUGAGUGUCUUUUCUAUUCGAAUUGGUGACUAUCUCAUCGUUAGCCCUAGUCUAGGAUAAUUAGCAGAGAGUGGUGAUUUUAACUGACCUCAGGGAUGUGAACAGUGGCAUGCAGUAAUAUAGGGCUUAAUCACAUUAGUUAGGCUGUACAAGACAUAUAAUGGGGGUCUAGAUUUGGGAUUGCUGUCUGGGACUUUCGAAGUAGAAGGGAGAAUUAGAAAAAUGAUCUGGUGCUGAAAUUUAUAGUACCUAAUGUGGCUUAGACGAUCCAUCCUCUUCCUUUUCUCUUGCAAUUACAUUUUCCCUCCUGCUCAACUUAAUUCUUCCGAAUAAGGUAAGUUCUUUUCCUUGCUGCCCCCAUUUCGUUCUUCGUUACUUAAAUGAUUUAUUGUGCAUUUGGUUGUUCUAUUUCGUAGAUCUCUUCUUCUUUUUUCAUCCCUUGACCAUUUUGAUUUCUAACAAGGAAUUUUCUUUCACCCAAUCUGCCGUUCCUGCUGUUAAUAUCAAAUAUUGCAGCAUUGGACGGAUUUCUCUCUUGCUCCCUCUGCUAAUAUUUUCCUAUACAUUUGGCAGGUUUGCGGUUAUGGUGCCAGAUCCCAGGUUUGAUAGCUCUUUUCAUGAUGUAGCGGACCAAGUACUGAAAUCUCUGUUGGAUUUCGAUCCAUUGGAAUGGGGUUUGCCCCCCUUUGACAGAAAAGCUGAGAACUCAUUUGAAAAUCAGACGAUGUGCAAUGACAUCUCGUGUCAAAUUCAUUUGAAACCACCGUAUUUACGUUCAUGCGGCCGAGAGACAACUCCCACAUGCGUCCAAGAAGUCCUCCGUGCGGCUUCUUGAAUCUUCUCUGUGCAGCGUCUACACCACCCACGAAGAACCCCGUGGCGGCUGUUUCUCGUGCGGCUCUUUUUCACUCAAGAAAAACCCUUGAUUUUCUUUUAUUUUAUUUCGUUUUGUGCGACCACGAGGAGUCCAACGAAUUACUCCUUUGUUGACCGACCAAUCACAGGAUUAGGAUUUGAAGAAGACGUCCACCCACCAUACGGACCUAAAGCGGAUUUCUUUCCUUGUGCUAUUUCCUUAGACAAAAAAUAUCUUCACGAUCAAAUAUGAAAAAGUUAUCAAAGCGAUUUAAAUAUGGCAAAACUUAUCCAAGCAUAUCAUAUUUCGCAAAUGCUCAAAAUUGAGACAUAAUUCUAACAAAUACGAUAAAAUUAUUUUCGAAUUCGCAUGCUUCUAAGUUAGAAAUCUUAAAAAAAAAGAAAAAGAAAAAAAGGCUGCUGCUAAUGCAAACUCUGUUCAUAGUUAUCUAAAAUUGCCUUUAUAUACGUCAAUUUCAUUAAAUUGUAAAAGUAGUAUGAGGGAAAGGGGUAAUUUUGGCUAGAGCUUUGAAGAGUUCUGUAAUCUCUAGUUCUAGGAAAAAUCUUGUCAAUCUUUUCUCCAGGCGUGGGUGGCAUCAACAAUGAUAUCAAAGAAAUGCCUUGGUUUUCUUUUUUGCUUCAUCUAAAAUAUUUUACUUCUCGGACUCUCCGUAGAGUUUCACGUUAUUUACUAUUUUUGGGUCAUGGUUUCCUGAUGGUAUGAUUUAUAUAGUUACGUUUCCCUCAUAGACUGCAAAAGCUAUAGGGCGGCCAUCCAACCGUUACUGCAGUUAGUUGGUCGGCUGCAGCUUGUUGUCGAUCAGGUUUAGGCCCUUUAUAUCUUUGCAGAUAAAUGUUUGAGCUUGACAGUCUCUAAAUUUGGUAAACGUUGUCUUCCAACAGUUUGACGAGGCCGCACACGAUCAAACUAGAGAUUCUCUUCAGGAGCAUCAAGCUGAUGAAAGUGAUGACAAGGACGAUGACGUCAAUCAUGUCUUGUACAGGGAUGAGGAUGAAUCUGGACAAACUAGCGAUGAUACAGAUGAUGAGUAUAAGCUCCAAAUUUUAAGAGGUAGUCAUCCUUGCUGGUGUUAAAUUUGAUCUGUCAUCUUGGAUCUUCAAAAAAUUGGUUCGUUGGGGGAAUUAGUGGGUAAAAAAUAGGUGAAAUAAAGGCUGUAACAUCUUUUUCUCUGAUCUGCAUUUUCGGGAAAAAGUCUUUUAUUCCAUGGCAAGAAGUGAGGUCCAUAAAGCAUCUUGUAUAUAGUCUAUUUUGCUGUUUCGAUUAUGAACCAGUAAAUGNNNNNNNNNNNNNNNNNNNNNNNNNNNNNNNNNNNNNNNNNNNNNNNNNNNNNNNNNNNNNNNNNNNNNNNNNNNNNNNNNNNNNNNNNNNNNNNNNNNNNNNNNNNNNNUCAGGUUUAGGCCCUUUUAUAUCUUUGCGUCAAAUAAAUUUUUGAGCUUGAUAGUCUCUAAAUUUGGUAAACGUUGUCUUCCAACAGUUUGACGAGGCCGCGCACGAUCAAACUAGAGAUUCUCUUCACGAGCAUCGAGCUGAUUAAAGUGAUGAUAAGGACGAUGACAUCAAUUAUGUCUUGUACAGGGAUGAGGAUGAAUCUGGACAAAUUAGUGAUGAUACAUAUGAUGAGUAGAAGAAGCUCCAAAUUUUAAGAGGUAGUCAUCCUUGCUGGUGUUAAAUUUGAUCUGUCGUCUUGCAUCUUCAAAAAAUUGGUUCGUUGGGGGAAUUAGUGGGGUAAAGAAUAGGUGAAAUAAAGGCUGCAACAUCUUUUUCUCUGAUCUUCAUUUUCAGGAAAAAAGUCUUUUAUUCCACGGCAAGAAGUGAGUUCCAUAAAGCAUCUUGUAUAUAGUCUAUUUUGCUGUUUCGAUUAAGAACCAGUUAAAUGCAAACAGCUCUACUUUAUUUACGCAAUUUACUGGACGUUCUGCUGAUCGUGAUCAAGAGUUUCCAUGUGCCAAUUAUGACUUGUAAUUUUCCAUGCUCAUCGCAAGUAGCUUUUUUCCUCUAUACAUCAGUUUGAGUUGGAUUUGUUUUUGCUGCUUUGCAGUGUGAAACUUGCUCAUGAUGGAGAUGUUCGCUUGGGGCAACUCUCUGGUCAAGUUGCAGCUGCCCCUGGAGAAAUUCAUACGUAUGCUGCAAAUUUUGUGCCCUCCACAAAUUUUCUGAUCCCAACCGCAUGUGCUGGUCUCGAGCAAUCACCAUGCCGACCGCGUGUGCUGGUCUCAAGCAAUCACUAUGACGAUAGAGAACGUCACAGACUGGCCGUCGUCGUAGUGGUUAUUGCCUUAUAGUGGAUUAUGGCCAGAAGAAGAGAUAGUCGAAUGGACCCUUUUCUCAUGCCAGCGGGGGAAAGAAAAGAGGCCCUCUACGAGAGGAGAGAGUGAUUUAGCUGCUAACAAGCGCAGGUUUUUCAUGAAAUGAAUGGUUAUUCAUUCGGGAAAGGUCUGUUGAUUAGGAGGUUAUACCUCUAUUAAUACUUUCCUGAAAAUUGUUUCUUCAAUUAUUCAAUCAUAUCAUCCGUCUAUUGGACACUUUAUUGACUGUUUAUCUGUAUCUGUCCUUGUAUCUGGUAUUUUCUCGUACAAGGAAUGUGAUAUAAAAAAUCUGCAAGACUUCUUGUUCGAUCUUAAAGAAUCUUUUUCGACUUUAUUUUUUAGUGCCCAAAUGAAGCAUAAGAGUAUAACAUGACAUUUUACCCUCUAUGAGUUGACAGAGUACAUGUCACAUUCUUAAGAUAUGAUUCCAAAAUCUGAGACUCGAAAACUUUAGAUGACCAUCUUACUGACCAGGGACGCUUUAGACGUCCUCAAACCGCGUGGCAACCUAAAAACCGUUUUGGCAUUUUGAUAUCAUCUGCUGUAUGCUGGAUAUAAUUAUCAAAGGUUCUAAGCCCAGUCAUUAUGUAAAGUGAAGUCAGCUAAAGCCAAGGGGUUGCUUUUGAGAAGUUUGAUAACGUUAAAAUGAUAUGCAGUUUUACAAAGAAAAAAUGGAAUAUGAUGGUUGAAUUCCGAGUUCGUUUGAGUAAGAGAACAAACAACGAAAGGCGAGGGAGCUCAAAAGGAGAAGCGAAAAUGGUUGCUGUAUUCAGUUUUGCAGGGCUUCAAUGCGUCCCGAUCCAAAUUAGGCUGUAUGUGCAUCAAACUGAGAGGGGGGCACACGCAACUAUCUAGAUCAAAAGAAAAAAAAAAUUAAAAAGAAAGAGAAAACGGGGGCCGCACGCUACGUCCAUCAUUCAAUUGAGGACCACAUCGGACGAAAGGUUACUCCAAAAACACUUCAUCCGGGCUUGCGAACGAAGCAAGUACAGCAAUUUUGCAAAACAUUUACCAGAACCACCAUCAUAUUCGCGAAGAGACAAAGACGAACGCACUCCCUCGACGACAAAACAAGAACAGUACUCAACUAGCGCUGACUCGAACAGGACUAGCAGUCUCCUGCCUCAAGGCGCUGAUCAUCUCCUCCUCGGUGACAUCCCCUUGGCGGAGAACUUACUCGAACAGGACUGCGUCUGAUGGCACCUCCAGAUAAGCCUCAAUGGCAUCGAACAUCACGGACGCCUUCCCUCUCAUGGACCUCAUCAUCUCCUCCUCGGGGAUAUCCCCUGGGCCGACAGUGAAGUACCUUCCCGCGUACUUACAGACCGAUCCACCCUCCAGGGGCAACGCGGUGAUCUUCACCUCAUGGCUGAUCUCCUUGGAGAUUCCGCCCAGCUCAUCCCGAUCGACGGUCGAGUGGUUGUAGAGGAAGGGCUGCUGGUCCUGUGCUUUAACCGUGUGCCUCACCGUCCUGCGCUGUCUGCCUACAGAAGUAACAAAAGUGACAUUCGCGCUGAUACGUCCUAUGAGUUUUUCGCACCAACAGUUCCAAUCCCUUUCUUCCGUUUCCGUUGAUGACUUGUUAGAUUAUUUAUUUAUUUUUUCAAAAUCUUCCUUUGUUUUUGUUUUUUUAAAUUCAUAUAAUAAAUAAGGAUGUAUAAUAAAUAAAAUCCUAAGUAAGAACAUUGAAAAAUUAUGCAAGUAAAAUAAACAAGGCCUUUUUGUUCUUCAUAUCUAGGAUUACGUUCUAGAUCAUUAGAUAGGAAUUAAGAUGAAGAAAGUGUAAACAAAGAGCUUUAGAGUAAACAUCACAUAAUCUCCGAAUAUCUGUUUUUUGUUCUUCUUCUUCUUCUUUUUCAACAUCAUGAGCACCGGUCUUAGUGUUGUUGAUCAGGCCAUCUAGGGAUCAUGCCCAUUUAUAACCUUAAUGCAAUACAAUGGAUAUGCAAUUUUAAUGGUGAGGAACAUUUCAAUUGAUCAAGUACCUUCGAUAAAGAUUGCCUCCUGGAUGUCAGCAUUUGUGACGGCUGGCAGGAGGUUAUAGGGGAAGAAGCCACCUGCUCCUAGAAAAGCCUCGACCAACCUGGCCUUAGGGAUCGGGUGUGUGAUCUUGGCCUUGAGAGUAACUUCUACCAUCGAUUGAAUCCGAAUAGAAUUUGCUGAAACUGAAAAGGGGAUAAAAAUCUUGAAAGAAAGAAAGAAAGCAAUGAAAAGAAGGAGCUUCGAGGGGAGGCAAAGUACAAGGUUGAUAUUUAUAGCGAUAAGAAGAUGGAUAAUUGCACAAAUGAUCCCUGAACUUUGAUUUAAUGUGCAAUAUGAUCUAUAAAUUUUUAAUUUGCUCAAUAUGGUCCUUAGAAUUUUUGUAUAUGUUUAAUAUAACCCCUAAAUAGUAUGAAAAUGUUCAAUAUAGUCCUUCAUUAAUUUAAGAUCAUAGACAACAUUAAAUAUUGUUAUAUAAUUCAUGGAUUAAUUAAACAUGUACUAAAAAUUCAAGAACUAUAUUAACAAAUUAAAAGUUUAAGCACCGCAUUGUAUAUUAGGUUAAAGUUUAGGAAUCAUUUGUGUCAUUUUCCUGUAUAGACAUCGACCCUCCAUAAAUUUGGCCAUAGAGUAACUUCCGCUUAAUUGCAUGUGGUGGAAAAGCAAAUUAUUCCCUUUUGCUUGAAACCAUCUCUCCUCCCAUAAAAAGCUAAACCCCCAAGUUUUAGCCAAUAAAUAAAUAAAUAAAGCUAAACCCCUCAAAACCCAAUAAAUUACCCAUUCAACAAAUGAUUAACUUCAGGAUUGAAUUUAUUUUAAUUAUCCUCAUUCUUUUCCUAAAGCAACAUAAAGCUUUUGCAACUCAAUUUUUAUUUUUAUUUUUUAUUUUUUAAAAUUUUGAGUUUUAACUAUCUCCUCAUGGACUCUGGAGAGAGGGAGGGAAGCUUUGGCCAUUUUCCUUAAAAGCAUCUCUCCUUUGUUCUGCCUCUAAUCCUCUGCGGCCCUCUCCAUGCGUUGACUGGUCUGCAUGUUAUUGUUGUGAUAUUAUCUUGUUCCUAGUUUUGUCUGGCUAUCAAAAGCAAAUUGACAACUAAGAUGGGUCUCUUGUUUCUGAUCGGGAAUGAUCCCAAGACAAAUCCCUUCGCCUCGGCCAAAAGGUUGAUUAACCAAUUGCAUGAAAUGAUUCCAUGAGUAUGUUGCAAUGUAAGCAUCUAUAUAAAUCAGCUUCCUGAGGUAAGCAAGAGCUUACUCCAUGCUUUUUUUGAUCAAAGGUUAGCCUAUCUCUUGUUUCUUUUUCAAGUGCUUUUUUCAAAAUAUGAGUUUUAUUUAUUCAAGUUUAGAAUCAGUGUGGUUGAGUGUCUUUUCUAUUCGAAUUGGUGACUCUCUCAUCAGAAAGUUAUUCGGGACUUGAGCAAUUCUUUAAAUGGCUCAAUGGACUCUUUAUGGGGAAGAACCCCUGAGGGUUUGGACUCCCCAUUAUAAUCCCUCGUCUUCCCUCCUAUCCAGAAAGAAAAAGAUAGGAUGGGAAUCGGGGGGCUUGUUGGUGGUGAGGCUAUACACCACGUCAGUUCUUCGAAGCUAGCUACCGCCUAGGAAACAUUGAUACUAUCUGAAAACCUUUGUGUCACGUCGGCUACUCCAACAUAUGUUUGACACUUUCUGAAACUUUUCAACACUCUCCAAUACUCAAUUAACAGGUUUCAGAAAAUUUGAUCUUUAGUUCGAAAUUCCAACACGCAAAUUUAGAAUUUUGAUAGGUGAUUCUGACACGCACCGAGUCAAUUUUAAUUUUUUUUUAAUAAAGAAGGAGUCUAAAUGUAAAUAUGUAAAAAAAAAAAAAGGGUGGAAGAAGAAAUACCUCAUCUUUCUUCUCUUUUGACUUUCACUUAUUGUGAUACAUAAUUCACCACUCAAAAAAAAAAAAAAUUUGCUCUUUUCUUCUAACAUGCAAGACCAGAAUGUGGAUUCCUUUUUUUUUUCCCUCCAAGUUAUAUGGAUUGUUGGAAUGGAGUUAAAUUUGUCAAAUUAAAACAAUAAAUAAUAUUAACAAAUGUUAAAUUAAUAUUUUUAGUGUAAAUUCAUGCUAGCCUCUUUUUUAUAAUUUAUUUAUUUAUUUAUUUGUGAAUUUAAAUCAAAUUAAUUUGAUUAAAUAAUCAUAAAAAUGAUAAUUUAUUAUGUAUAUAUAAAAAUAUACUUUUAAUAUACAACAUGUCUUAAUGUAUUGGAGUUCUCUAUUUUUUGUGAAACAACGUGUCGGCGUAUCGUGUCGUGUCGUGUCGUGUCGAGUGUCAGUGUCAGUGUCAAUGCUACUUAGGCCACCGCAAGUUAGUAGUUCUCCAUGCCUAGGUGAGACAUGGUGGCUUCAAAACUAGUGUUGGACAAGUAAAAGCUUACUCAAGUCUUUCAACCGACUACUUAGAAUAGGAGUUUUGUUUAUUUGAGUUUAGAAUCAAAGUGGUCAAAUAUAUUUUCUAUUCAAAUUGGUGACUAUCUCAUCAUAAAGUUAUUUCACAAGUCUGAACUUAGAAACACAAAAUUGGACCCCACAAUCUGGGUUAGGAUAAAGUUCUACAGUUUCAUGUAUACAUUAUAUUCUAUAUACUUCUGUCGAAUGCUAAAACCAAUGUAAGUGACGAGGGUAACUGGGGCUGGGUUGUUAUAUACAUUUCUCAUAAAUGUCUAAUACGAUGAAACUAUUUCCGAAUUCACAGGCUUCUAAGUUAGAAAUCUAUUUUUAAAAAAUGGAAAAAAAAAGCUGCUGCUAAUGCAAACUCUAUUCAUAAAUAUCUUAAACCGCCUUUACAUCCAUCGAUUUCAUUGAAUUGUAAAAGUGGUAUGAGGGAAAGGGGUAAUUAUAGCUAGAGCUCUAAAGAGUUCUGUAAUCUCUGGUUCUAGGAAAAAUCUUGUCUAUCUUUUCUCUAGGUCUAGGUUGCAUCAACAAUGAUAUGAAAGAAUUGCAUUAGUUUCUUUUUUUGCUUCAUCUAAAUUCUUUUAGUUCUCGGACUCUCCGUAGAGCUUCACGUUAUUUACUGUUCUCGGGUUAUGGUUGAUGGUAUGAUUUAUAUAAUUAUUGUAUCCCUUGUAGACUGUAGAAGCUAGAGGGACGACCAUCCAACCCCAUUACUACAUUUAGCUGGUUAGCUGCAGCUUGUUGUCGAUCAGGUUUAGGCCCUUUAUAUCUUUGCUUCAGAUAAUCUUUUGAGCUUGGGAGUCUAUAAUUUUGGUCAACGUCGUCUUCCAACAGAUUGACAAGGCCACACAUGAUCAAACUAGAGAUUCUCUUUACGAGCUUCAAGCUGAUGAAAGUGAUGAUGAGGAUGAACACAUCGAUCACGUCUUUUACAGGGAUGAGGAUGAAUCUGGACGAUGAUACAGAUGAUGAGUAGAAGCUCUAAAUCUUAGGAGGUAACUGUUCUUGUUGGUGAAGAUUUGAUUAGUCUUGUUGCAUCUUCAUAAAUUUCGGAUUGUUGGGGUAAUUAGGGGGUAAAGAAUAGGUGAAGUGAAGUUUUAUAUUCCACCGCGAGAAAGUGAGUUCCAUAAAGCAUCUUGUAUACGGACUAUUUUGCUGUUUCAAAUAAGAACCACUUGUUCUAGGUUAUAUACGCAAUUUACUGGAAAUUUUGCUGCUGAUCGUGAUCAAGAGUUUCCAUGUACUCAUUACAGGUAGCUUUGUUCCUCUAGCAUCAAUUUGAGCGGGGUGCUUUUGCUGCUUUGUAGCGUGCAACUUGCUCAAGAUGGAGAUGCUCGCUUGGGGCAAGCCACUGGUCAAGUUGCAGCUGCACCAGGAGAAAUUCAUACGCAUGCUUGCCAGUCUCGUGCCCUCCAAAAUUUUAUGAUCCCGACCAAGUAUGCUGGUCUCAGGCAAUCACCAUGACGACAGAGACUACCCAGCCUCGCCAUUGCACUGGUGGUUGUCGCCCUAUGGUGGAUUACGGCUCUGUAUAAAUACUUUUCCGGAAAAUUGUUUCUUUAAUUAAACAAUCACAUCCUCCGUCUAUCAAACGUUCGACUGGACAGUAUAUAUGUAUCUGUCCUUGUAUCCGGUGUUUACUUGACCAAAGAAUAUGAUAUAAAAAAUCUGCAGGACUUCUUGCUUAAUCUUAAUAUAUCCUUAUUGACUUUAUUUCUUAGUGACCAAAUGCAGCAUAAGAGAAGAACAUUACAUAUUACCCUCGAUAAAUUGACAGAGUGCAUGUCACAUUCUUUAGCUACAACUCCAGAAAUCUGAGAUCUGGAAACUUUAGAUGACCAUCUUCCCUAAAAGCCAUUUUGGCAUUUCGACAUCAUCUGCUGUAUUCUUAGAUAUAAUUAUCAAAGGUUCUAAACCUAGUUAUUAUGUGAAGUGAACUUAGCUAAAGCCAAGAGGUCGCUUUUGAGACAUUUGACAACAUUAAAAUGAUAUGGUUUUACACAGAAAACAUGAGAUAUGACGAUUGAAUUCCAAGUUCCCAAAUGGUAACCCGUCUGUUUAGGUAAAACAAACAACGAAAGUUGAUACGUUCAAAAGGGAGACACGAGAAUGGCUGCUGUAUUCAAUUUUCAAUUUUUGCAGUGUUCUCGGUUGAUCGUAUUUUCGAUUUUGCAGAGUUUCUAUACAUCUUGAUCCGAAUUGAGUAGAAAUCACCGGAUACUAUAAGUUGUUGGUCUGCAUGUAGUGUCAAUAUGAUCACAAAUAAUCAAGUGAUGCAGUUGCUCAUUUCUGCUUAUCUCACGUUCCAAUUGUCCAAGCUCAAGAAUUUAAAUCUGAUUUCGAAGAACUUGGUUUUCAUGACUCUGGCGAGCUCUAAAUGCUGCAGAUCAAAAUUUGGGCGGUCGAAAUCACAAGACAAAAGUAAAGAAGAUAUGGUAGCUCUUCUUGAGAGCAAGAGCUUUUGUAUGACACUCAACAAAUUCUUAUGUGUACACCUAAAUCAUGGCAAAGAAUUACAAACAAUAUUCUUAACGAGGAGGGCGUCGGAACAUGUCCUAGGCGUAGGCCUGUGGGUUCUCUAGGAGGUAAGACUCCACGACCUUGAAUAUGGCCAUGGCCUUCUCCUUCCCAGCCUUGAUCUCCUCUUCUUCAACUUGAAAUGCCUCCUUGGUGUUGUACUUGCUCGUCAUCUUGCACACCGACCCUCCAUCACUGGCGGCAUCAAACUUGACCUCGUAAUCAAUCGACUCAAGCUUGUCGCCCAGUGCAUCACCCUCAAUCAUCGUGUACCUACAAACGAAGUUCUCCUUGUCGAGCUCAUUGAUCCGGUGCCUCACAUACUUGAAAUGACUAGCUGCGUUUGUUACCGAAUGAGAAAUAAAUUCCCUGAACUCAUCACUUGAGAGAGGAUCCAAAGAAUGAUGUAUACUGAGUCUACGUACCUUCGGUGAAGUUAACUUGCUCGAUGCUCCCGGCUCCUCCGUCGCCUUGCACGAGCUCCACGCUCUUUAUGAACUGAGGGAGGAGCUUUGGGAUCAGGGCAUUCGACUCAAUGAUCAAGGCCUUGAACAUGCGAGCCGGAGCGAUCGGGCAUGUGAGCUCUUGUGUGAUGCUGGUUGCCGCCAUGGCUAUUAGCUAAGCGAUGAGAAAGAAAUAAUCUCAAACAAGUUAUAUGCUUCUGAGUCCUGUCGAUGCCUCCUAUUUAUGGUUAGAAUUAUGUGAAUAGGUAGGCUUAGUUUGGCAAGAGUCACGUUUGAGGAAAAUAGAAUGGUCAAGGAUUUGCAGCCUAAAGGAAUGUAGAAGAGUAGUUAAGUUGGUCUCUUUUGUUCUUUUGGUCAUAAAAAUGGUUUCGGUCCCUUUCAGAUUCAAGUUGAAAUGUCAAAGAUGAUGUUCCAAAAGAUGAACACAAGAGAGAGCACAUUCUCAUGUUCACAUGGGCGGCCAUCCCUUUGAAUUCAUUGUUGUGGAGUUUGAUCUAAUAAUGAUUUGGUCGGACUACUACGUGACUUGCUGAAUAGAUAUUAUAAGGAAAUAAGCUUGUUUGGAGAAAAGUGUAUUAAUUGAAUGUCGUUUGAUCUCAUUUGUAGCAAACGAGAAUUCUUGAUUAAUUAAUAAUAUUACGUCAGUAUGUCACACAAUAUCAGCAUUACAUAAUUUGUAUUUCUUUGCAAGCAACGCCCUAAUGUCACGGCAUUUGGAGCAAGGCCUUUCAAUUGGUUUAAGGUUGAUUCAAACUUCAGAGCAAGGCCUUUCAAUUGGUCUAAAGUUGAUUCAAACUUCACUAACACCGGCGGUUUGACUGGGUCAAAAUCGGGUCGGCAACGGGGUGUCUAAGGAUCAGCUUAUCGUCUAAGUUUGGGGGAGGUGGAGCCGGCUGCCUUUCCGUUAUACUUUGCUUCUCUCUUCUUCUUCUUCUUUUUAUAUAUUAUUAUUGUUGAAUCAUUUGAUCUCUAAUCCAAUGUCCCCAUCAAGAGAUAUGACAGGAUUAGCUUAAAUAGAAUUUCAAAUAGCGCAAGUGUUAUAAUAAGAUAAGUCCAAACCCUAGACACGUUCAACUAUGUUUUUCGAUAGCUUUCUUGAUAUAUUAUAAAAAUGUACUUUUCCUUAACAAUCUUACGUAUUGUGGUUUAUGAAAGAUUGUGCCACAUUCUUUUACCAUAAAAAAAUAAAAAUCAAAAGAUUGUGCCACAUUGAUAGCUUUAGAUGUUAGUCUAAAUUUGAAAUAUCAGGCCAAAGUUUGGUAUUUUAUUGGCCAUUUAGCAUUUCAUUUGUAACUCAUGAAUUCUCUCCUUGUAGAAAAAUUACUAAAAUUAGAGAAUUUCAUUCUACAAGCUUUGUAUAAACAUAUAGCAUAGUUUACCAAAUUCCACAAAACCACUGCACCAGAUUCCUGUCACCUUUUAUUCUCUUAUUCUCAGCAAAGACAAGAACAUCAACACUCACCAGCCCAACAUGCUUAGCUCCAAACAGAGUGACUCAAACUCUUCUUGUCUCCUUUUCAGUUUAGCACAACCACACAUAUUUAACACAUUACAUAAACCAUACAAGAUAGCGAUGAGAUCGGCUCAAUAGGCAUCAGGGUUGGCCACGAGAUAAGCCUCAAUGGCCUUGACCAUCGCGGACGCCUUCUCUUUCCCGGCGUUGAUCUCCUCCUCAGUGAUGUCCACCUCGCCAAUGGUGAAGUAACUGAUCGUGCUCUUCAACACCGAGCUUCCCUCGGGCAAUGCGGUGAUCUUCACCUCAUAGCUGAUCUUCUCAAAGGUGGUGUCCAGCACUUCGCCCUCGAUGAUUGAGUAGCAGUAAGUGAAGUUCUCCUUGUCCAGGGCCUCGACCUUGUGCUUCGCUGUCUUGUACUGACUGCCUAUCAAAGUAACAAAAAGUCACAUUCACAUUUAGAACUCGCAGGUUUCAACAUCACGAGCACCAAUCUUCAUGGUGUCAAUCAGGCCAUUUAGGAAUUAACCCAAUUGUUCCGACCGCAAUCCAAUACAAUUGACUUAGACAUAGCCUAACGUUGCCCGAUCAAAAUCGAGUCACACAAUCACUUGUGUAAAGUUAAACGGUUAGAAACAUCUUAAGUAACCAAGUCAUAUUUCUAUCUUUUUCAAUGUUCAUUAUAGUGUUCCAUAAGGUUGAAUCCGCCUUGAUUUAGAGCUAUCCUAAGUUACUAAUACGGAUGGACUAACCUUCACCAAAAGUCAUCAACUUGAUGGUCCCGGGACCUCCAUCGCCCUCGAGGACUUCAAUGCUCUUGACAGCUUGCGGGAGGACCUUGGGGAGGAGGUUAUCGGCGUCGAGGAUAGCGGCCUUGAACAUCUUGGCCAGGGGAAUGGGGGACGUGAGCUCUAAGUCGAAAGUGAUGACACCCAUGGCUGGAUCCUAACAGAGAUGCUGAAACUGAGAAGGGGGUGAUGAUCUGGAAAGACUUGAGUAGUAGUGAUGAAGUUGGUCUCUGGGACUUGGGAGUGAAGAGAAGAGGCUGAAUUGAAGUUGACAUAUAUAGAGAGAGGGAUACUGAGUGUGAAGGGUUCUGAUCACUGAAUAUUUUCUUCUUACUAAGAUGCAUUAGAUUUUGCAGAAAAUAAAUAAGUUAGAAAAUAUUUUUGUAAAAAUAAUCACUAAAUUUGGAUAGUGUUUCCCAGCAUAAAUUAUUUGGUGAGUGUGCUGCAUGUUCUAAAUUGAUCUAAAUCGCUAAAUCUAAUGGGCUCACUAGAAUUAAAAGUCUAGAUUCCCCUUAACAUAAAUACGACACUACCUCAUUUUCAAGUCUUUGUCAAAAUCAUGCUGUAUGUACUAAGUUAAUCUAAAUCACUAAAUUUGAUGGGUUCACGUGGGAUCCACAUAAAAUUCACUGGAAUUAAGAGUUCAAAUUUCGCUUACUAUAAAUACAGUGCUCUUUCCUCAGAUUGUGUAGUAUGUACUAAAUUGAUCUAAAUUGCUAAAUUCAGUGGGUUCAAGUGGACCCAUAUGGAACUCACUAGAAUUAAAAGUCUAGAUUUUGCUUAAUAUAAAUACGAUCCUAGCUCAUUUCCAAGUCUUCAUCAAAAGUGUGUUAUAUGUCCUAAAUUGAUCUAAAUCCCUAAAUCUAACAGGUUCACGUGGGAUCCAUGUGGAACUCACUCGAAUUAAAAGUCCAUAUUCUCCUUGAUGUAAAUAUGAUGCUAUGUCAUUUCUAAGUUUUUGUCAAAAUUGUGUUGUAUAUACUAAGUUAAUCUAAAUCGCUAAAUUUGAUGGGUUCAUGUGGGAUCCACAGGAAACUCACUGAAAUUUAAAGUUCAGAUCAUCUUGAUUAAAAUACAGUGCUCUUUCAUCAAAAUUAUGCUGUAUGUACUAAAUUAACCCAAAUCGCUAAAUCCGAUGGGUUCAUGUGGGACCUAUAUGGAACUCGCUGGAAUUAAAAGUCUGGAUUUUGCUUAGUAAAAAUAAGACCCUAACUCAUUUAUGAGUCUUUGUCAAAAGUGUGUUGUGUGUCCUAAAUUGAUCUAAAUCUCCAAAUUUGAUGAGUUCACAUAGGAUACAUAUUGAAUUCAUAGGAAUUAAAAGUCCAAUUCCACUUAAUAUAAAUAUGACGCUAGCUCAUUUCUGUUUAUUCAUCAAAAUUGUGCUAUAUGUACUAAGUUAAUUUAAAUCGCUAAAAUUGAUAGGUUUAUGUGGAACCCAUAUGAACCUCCCUAAAAUAAAACAUCCAAAAUCGAUUAAAUAUAAACCACGUCAACUCAUUUAUGAGUCUCCAUCAAGUGCCUUUUUCUCAUCUCUUUGAAGCUUCCGAUUGCGUGCCAUUCCGUCACAUGUGAGUCGCGAAUGUUUUUCCACGCCAAAGUCUUUGUUAAAUCUCGAGACUUAAAAAUACGAAGGUGAAGUAACAAGUGUGUGUUAAAAUGCAGAAAAUUCUUAACGUGAAAGAGUUGAGCGUCCCCUCUUGAGUCAACUGUUCUCUUCCUUGAUAUGCUUUUCUGAUCUGGCCUCAGACACAGAUGGUCAAAGAGGCGCACUCACAUCCAUAAUCUCGCGGCAGUUUCAACUCUGUAAAAGAAUGCCGAGAUCUUUACAAGAUGUUUGACAAGCGUCUUUGAUGACAGCAUGCAGCAUAUCUACCGUUUCAAAACAUAGUUACGGUUCAGUCUCGAUUGUUAAUUUUUCUUGAAAGAGACACGAAUGAAGACAUAAAUUAUGGUGGGAGAUAGAAAGAUCCAGCCAACAUGUAACAACAACUCAAUCGUAAGCAUCAGCGUUUUUGCAAGAGAUGGGCUUCUAUGGCUUUCAACAUUCCCAUGGCCUUCUCUUUGCUGGCCUUGUUCUCGACCCGGUCCAUGGCGAAGUACUUGCUCAUGCUCUUGGCCAUACACCCUCUCUGUCUGGACCCGCCUCAAACUUGACCUCGUUCGGGAUCUUCUCUAGCGCGUUGCCCUGGACGAUGGCGUACGCAUGCGCGAGCUUUCCUUGUCCAGCUUCUCGACUGGUGCUCCACCGAGUUGAACUGUCUACCUGCGAGACACAGAAAAAUGCAGUCAGCUCCCACGUUGGGCUCAUCGAAGAAUGUCGGUAAAUGUCUUGACAUCACAUGUUGAUGCGACACGAUCAAAAUGAAUGAGAUUAGAAGACAGCGCGUGUGCUCGCCUUUGCCGGAAACGACGUGAUGGUGCCGGGACCACCAUCACCUUCAAUGGUUACAAAAUCCAGAUUGGCUUGUGGGAGGAACUUGGGGAUGAGAUUUUUAUCAAGAUCAAAGGCCUUGAACAUUCGUGCAGGUGAGAUGGAAUGCGUCUUCGCCUAAGAGUUCCAAGUCGCAGGGCAAGAGAUAUGUGAGAUUAUGUUGAAAUGCCCUUUAAAUGAUUCUCAAUCGCCUUGUUUAGUAAUCUAAAUCAGCAUCACAAUGUUCUUAAAUGAUAUAAUAAUAAAUUAAAAAAAAAAAAGAGGACAUAAGGCAUGGAUCUCAAGCCCAAAUUAAACUUAUUAGCAUGCGAGAGAUCUUUGAAUGGAGACACCCUUGAGGGGUGGGAAGUCACUAAAUUAUAACUUAUAUAUUCUAACGGCGCCAACGGUUUGGAUAAGCAAGCUUUAGUGCAUGCGGAUAAUUUUGCGCAACAAAAUGCAUGGUCGGUUGCGAAUCGAGACUCAUCCGUGUACACGCUAUUGCCACCAUGACCAUGAAUACCACUACUUUGACCAAUUGGCCAGUCGGAGGAGGAAGAUGUGGGUCGAGCAAAUCCUAUAGUGGCACAUUUGAGUCUUUCAAUAAUUUCGACAUUCGUGUCAUUUGUAGGGAAGAGAGAAGAUUCCUGGAUGCUUCCCCAUCAUUCUCUAGCAUCGGUACUUUUACUGUUGACUCUGUUUCAUGAAAGAAGAAUGAAUCAAUGUUUCCAUCACAACCUCAAGUUGCCUACAAAAUCCAAAUUUUUGAGAUACUGCUAAUACAGACCACUUUUCAAAAUCUGUACUUGCUCUUCCUAAAAGUCUUGUUAGAAUUAUUGCAUGAAUCCAAAUUCAAUAUGUCAAUUAAAGCUAUUUGAUCAACCCGAGACCAUAGGUACAGGGGGGGAAUGUAUUGAUUAGAUUUGAUCAUGUGGCUUACUAGGAACCAUGUAGUCAUAAGAUCCAGCCACUGGGAUCCAAUUCGACGAAUCCGAAUUCAAGAGCCUCACCGUCCCAAAAACCAAAAGUCGAGGCUCGAAGUCCGACUCGAGCAAGAUGUUGUUCAACAUCAUGUCCCUAUGGACAAUAGGCAGUGAGCAAUCGUGAUGCAAGUAGGCGAUCGCAGGAGCCACGCAUUGACCAAUCUUCACUCUCUUGACACAAGUCCAAUUCAACUGCUCCUCUUCCUCCAUGCAAGACCUUUGCCAAAGUUCAGAAAAGAUUGGAUGAUGUCCCUGCGGUUAACCACCACUUUUUUUUACCGUGACGAUGUGGCCGCUGGCCUAUUCGGCCUUGUAAACGCUUCUGAAUCCGCGUUUUCCGAUGCAGUACUCUUCACUGAAGCCAUUGGUGGCCUUGGCAAUAUCGUUGAAUGCAAACUUCAUUCCCCUUUCCCAUAUGAUUUCACGUACUUCAUAAGAUUUCUUAUCUCUUCAUCGAGAUGCUUGUUUCACCGCCAAAGCACCAAAAUCAGAGCAAUAAGAGUCACGAGAAGUAGUAAGCAGCAAACGCAACAAUCAGAUUAAUCAGAAUCUUUCUCCGAUGGUCAGUCGAUUUACUGCUCGACCCACAUGGAGACAUUCCGUCGCGUUUCCUCACAAGCCCGGAUUUGCAAUAAAAGCACUUCCUAGUUAUUGUUGGAAGAGGCGACCACUAGGAACUGCGCCUGUCAGCUUGUUGUACAAGAAGCCCAUGAAGCUUAAACUGCUCAUGCUAGUGAGAGCAGCUGGGAUCGUACCCGACAAAUCGUUAUGCAAAACGUUGAGAUUUUCCAAUUUAGCGAGCUUUGCUAAAUUGGAAGGAAUUGAUCCUACUAGUGAAUUGUGGCUCAGGUCUAGUGGUUCUGUAGCGUGAACGAGUUCCCCAGCUCUGGCGACAUGACACCCAACAGAUUGUUGUUGCUCAAGUUCAGGCUCAGUAAAUUCUCGCAAUUUGCUAACUCUAUUGGUAACGUCCAUAGAGAAGGGAUGUACUUGCCAUAUUGUGGUUUAUGAAAGAUUGUGCCACAUUGAUAACUUUAUAUGUUAAUCCAAAUUUGAAAUAUUGGGCCAAAGUUUGGUAUUUUAUUGACCAUUUGGCAUUUCAUUUGUAACUCAUGAAUUCUCUCCUCGUAAAAAAAUUACUAAAUUAGAGAAUUUCAUUCUACAAGCCUUGUAUAAACAUGUAGCAUAGUUUAUCAAAUUCCACAAAACCACUGCACCAGAUUCCUAUCACACCUUUUAUUCUCUUAUUCUCAGCAAAGACAAGAACAACAACACUCACCAGCCCAACAUGCUUAGCUCCAAACAGAGUGACUCAAACUCUUCUUGUCUCCUUUUCAGUUUAGCACAACCACACAUAUUUAACGCAUUACGUAAACAAUACAAGAUAGCGAAAAGAUAGGCUCAGUAGGCAUCAGGGUUAGCCAAGAGAUAAGCCUCGAUGGCCUCGUACAUCGCGGACACCUUCUCUUUCCAGGUGUUGAUCUCCUCCGCGGUGAAGUAACUGUCCGUGCACUUCAACAUCGAGCCUCCCAAAGGCAACGCGUUGAUCUUCACCUCAUGGGUGAUCUUCUCGAAGGUGGUGCCCAGCAUUUCGCCCUCGAUGAUUGAGUAGCAGUAGGUGAAGUUCUCCUUGUCCAGGACCUCGACCUUGUGCUUCGCUGUCUUGUACGGAUUUCCUACAAUGUAACAAAAAGUCACACUCACAUUUAGAACUCGCAGGUUUCAAUAUCACCAGCACCAAUCUUCAUGGUGUCCAUCAGGCCAUUUAGGAAUUAACCCAAUUGUUCUGACCGCAAUCCAAUACAAUUGACUUAGACAUAGCCUGACUUUGCCUGAUCAAAAUUGAGUCACAUAAUCACUUGUGUAAAGUUAAACGGUUAGAAACAUCUUAAGUAAUAGAGUCAUAUUUCUAUCUUUUUCCAUAUUCAUUAUAGUGUUCCAUAAGGUUGAACCUACCUUGAUUCAGAGCAAUCCUAAGUUCCUAAUACGGAUGGACUAACCUUCGGCAAAAGUCAUCAACUUGAUGGUCCCGGGACCUCCAUCGCCCUCGAGGACAUCAACGCUCUUGACGGCUUGUGGGAGGACCUUGGGGAGGAGGUUAUCGGCAUCGAGGAUAGCGGCCUUGAACAUCCUGGCCUGGGGAAUGGGGGAUGGGAUAUCGAAGUGAAAAGUGAUGACACCCAUGACCGGAUCUUAAUAGAGUUGCUGAAACUGAGAAGGGGAUGAUGAUCUGGAAAGACUUGAGUAGUAGUGACGAAGUUGGUCUUUGGGACUUGGGAGUGAAGAGAAGAGGCUGAAUUGAAGUUGACAUAUAUAGAGAGAGGGAGACUAAGUGUGAAGGGUUCUGUCACUGCAUAUUUUUUUUCUUACUAAGAUGCAUUAUAUUUUGCAGAAAAUAAAUAAUUUAGAAAAUAUUUUCCUAAAAAUAAUCACUAAAUUUAGAUAGUGUUCUGAGCAUAAGUUAUUUGGUGAGUGUGCUGCAUGUUCUAAAAUGAUCUAAAUUGCUAAAUUUAAUGGGCUCACUAGAAUUAAAAGUCUAGAUUCCCCUUAAUAUAAAUACGACACUACCUCAUUUUCAAGUCUUCAUCAAAAUUGUGUUGUAUAUAAAUAUGACCCUAGCUCAUCUCCGAGUCUUUAUCAAAUGUGUGUUGUAUGUCCUAAAUUGAUCUAAAUCGCUAAAUCUAACAGGUUCACGUGGGAUCCAUGUGGAACUCACUCGAAUUAAAAGUCUAGAUUCUCCUUGAUAUAAAUACGAUGCUAUGUCAUUUCUAAGUUUUCAUCAAAAUUGUGUUGUAUAUAAAUAUGACCCUAGCUCAUUUCCGAGUCUUUAUCAAAUGUGUGUUGUAUGUCCUGAAUUGAUCUAAAUCUCUAAAUCUAACAGGUUCACGUGGGAUAAAUGUGGAACUCACUCGAAUUAAAAGUCUAGAUUCUCCUUGAUCUAAAUACGAUGCUAUGUCAUUUCGAAGUUUUCGUCAAAGUAUAUACUAAGUUAAUCUAAAUCGCUAAAUUUGAUGGGUUCAUGUGGGAUCCAUAGGAAACUCACUGAAUUAAAAGUUCAGGUCAACUUAAUACAAAUAUAGUUUUCUUUCAUCAAAGUUAUGCCGUAUGUACUAAAUUAACCCAACUUGCUAAAUCUGAUGGGUUCAUGUGGGACCUAUAUAAAACUCACUCGAAUUAAAAGUCAAGAUUCUCCUUGAUAUAAAUACAAUGCUAUGUCAUUUCAAAGUUUUCGUCAAAAUUGUGUUGUAUAUACUAAGUUAAUCUAAAUCGCUAAAUUUGAUGGGUUCAUGUGGGAUCCAUAGGAAACUCACUAAAUUAAAAGUUCAGGUCAACUUAAUAUAAAUACAGUUUUCUAUCAUCAAAAUUAUGCCGUAUGUACUAAAUUAACCCAAAUUGCUAAAUCUGAUGGGUUCAUGUGGGACCUAUAUGAAACUCACUCGAAUUAAAAGUCAAGAUUCUCCUUGAUAUAAAUACGAUACUAUGUCAUUUCUAAGUUUUCGUCAAAAUUGUGUUGUAUAUAAAUAUGACCCAAGCUCAUUUCCGAGUCUUUAUCAAACGUGUGUUGUAUGUCCUAAAUUGGUCUAAAUCACUAAAUCUAAUAGGUUCACGUGGGAUCCAUGUGGAACUCACUCAAAUUAAAAGUCUAGAUUCUCCUUGAUAUAAAUACGAUGCUAUGUCAUUUCUAUGUCAUUUCUAAGUUUUCGUCAAAAUUGUUUUGUAUAUAAAUAUGACCCUAGCUCAUCUCCUAGUCUUCAUCGAACGUGCGUUGUAUGUCCUAAAUUGAUCUAAAUCGCUAAAUCUAACAGGUUCACGUGGGAUCCAUGUGGAACUCACUUGAAUUAAAAGUCUAGAUUCUCCUUGAUAUAAAUACAAUGCUAUGUCAUUUCUAAGUUUUCGUCAAAAUUGUAUUUUGUAUAUAAUAAGUUAAUCUAAAUCGCUAAAUUUGAUGGGUUCAUGUGGGAUCCAUAGGAAACUUACUAAAGUUAAAAGUUCAAAUUAGCUUAAUAUAAAUAUAGUGCUCUUUCAUCAAAUUACGCCGUAUGUACUAAAUCACUAAAUCUGAUGGUUCAUGUGGGACCUAUAUAAAACUCGCUGGAAUUAAAAGUCUAGAUUCUACUAAAUAAAAAUGAGGCCCUAACUCAUUUCCAAGUCUUUGUCAAAAGUGUGUUGUAUGUCCUAAAUUGAUCUAAAUUGCCAAAUCUGAUGAGUUCACAUAGGAUCCAUAUUGAAUUCACUAGAAUUAAAAGUCCAAAUUCCACUUAAUAUAAAUAUGACGCUAGCUCAUUUCUGUUUCUUCAUCAAAAUUGUGGUAUAUGUACUAAGUUAAUCUAAAUCGCUAUGUUUGAUAGGUUCAUGUGGAACCCAUAUGAACCUCACUAAAAUAAAACGUCCAAAAUCGAUUAAACGUAUAUACUACUUUAACUCAUUUCUAACUCAUUUGAUAGGUUCAUGUGGAACUCAUGAAGCUUCCGAUCGCGUGCCAUUCCGUCACAUGUGAAUCGCGAAUGAUUUUCCACGCCAGAGUCUUUGUUAAAUCUCAAGACUUAAAAAUACGAAUGUGAAGUAACAACUGCGUGUCAAAUGCAGAAAAUUCAUAUGUGAAAAAGUUGACCGUCCCUUCUUGAGUCAACUGUUCUCUUCCUCGAUAUGCUUUUCUGAUCUGGCCUCAAAGACAGAUGGGCAAAGCGGCACAUUCAUAUCUAUAAUCUCGCGGCAGUUUCAACUCUGUUAAAAGAAUGCCGAGAUCUUUACAAGAUGUUUGACAAGCGUCUUUGAUGACAGCAUGCAGCAUAUCUACCGCUUCAAAACAUAGUUACGGUUCAGUCUCGAUUGUUAUUUUUCUUUAAGAGACAUAAAUUAUGGUGGGAGAUAGAAAGAUCCAGCCAACAUGUAACAACAACUCAAUCGUAAGCAUCAGCGUUUUUGCAAGAGAUGGGCUUCUAUGGCUUUCAACAUUCCCAUGGCCUUCUCUUUGCUGGCCUUGUUCUCGACCCGGUCCAUGGCGAAGUACUUGCUCAUGCUCUUGGCCAUACACCCUCUCUGUCUAGACCCGCCUCAAACUUGAUCUCGUUCGGGAUCUUCUCUGGCGCGUUGCCCUAGACGAUGGCGUACGCAUGCGCGAGCUUUCCUUGUCCAGCUUCUCGACGGGUGCUCCAUCGAGUUGAACUGUCUAGCUGCGAGACACAGACAACUGCAGUCAGCUCCCACGUUAGCCUUAUCAAGGAAUGUCGGCAAAUGUCCUCUUUGACAUCACGUGUUAAUGCGACGCAAUCAAAAUAAAUGAAAAUAGAAGACAGCGCAAGCACUGGCCUUCGCCAAAGAUGGCGCGGGACCCCCAUCACCUUCAGGGAUGACAAAAUCCUUAAAGGCUUGUGGGAGGAGCUUGGGGAUGAGAUCGUCGUCAAGAAGAACGGCCUUGAACAUUCUUGCAGGUGGGAUGGAAUCGUCUUCACCUAAGAGUUCCAAGUCCCACGGCAAGAGAUCUGUAAGAUUAUGUUGAAAAUGCCCUCUAAAUGAUUCUCAAUCGCCUCGUUUAGUAAUCUAACUCAACAUCACAUUGGUCUAAAUCAUAUAAUAAAGAAAGAGGACAAAAGGCAUGGAUUUCAAGCCCAAAUGAUACUUGUUAGCAUGCGAGAGAUCUUGNNNNNNNNNNNNNNNNNNNNNNNNNNNNNNNNNNNNNNNNNNNNNNNNNNNNNNNNNNNNNNNNNNNNNNNNNNNNNNNNNNNNNNNNNNNNNNNNNNNNUCUUUCUUUGACUUUUUUGUCAGCAAAACCGAAGAGAUAUAAAGUUAAAAAGAAAAAAGAAAAGACAGAGGGAAAACAGAGGAUUCGACAGAUAAGGGCACGUUUGGUAACGAUUAUGUUAUCGGAAGCUAAUUUUGACUAGAAAUGACUAUUUUUUAUUUUGUUCCCGAAACUGAUUAUGAGUAAAAAAACGCGUUUAGUAACUGUCUAAUUUUUUUAAUUCUAAAAUAGAAUUCAAUUUGAUACCAUGCUAAUUGAUUAUAUUCAAAAUUAAAUUCUUUUCAUUUGUAAAUAAUUUUUUUACUUUUUUUUUCCCUUUUUUCCUAUUCUUCUUCUUCUUCUUCAUGUGGCCAGUCGCUAGACUGGCGACCGGCCAGACGAGGGCUGGCGACCCUCAUCAGAGCGUCAUCGGCCCUCGGCGAGGUUGGCCCUCGUCGGCCGAGCCUCCGGCCAGACGAGGGCUGGCGACGCUCAUCGGAGCGUCAUCGGCCCUCGGUGAGGUUGGCCCUCAUCGGCUGAGCCUCAUUGGCAAUUGGGCGAGGCUCGCCCAGCCCCACCGAGGCUUGGCCUCGCCGGUGGCCAGGCCGACCUCGCCCAGCCUAGCCAUUGACGGGGCUGGGCGAGUCUCGCCAGUGGCCAAGCGAGCCUCGCCNNNNNNNNNNNNNNNNNNNNNNNNNNNNNNNNNNNNNNNNNNNNNNNNNNNNNNNNNNNNNNNNNNNNNNNNNNNNNNNNNNNNNNNNNNNNNNNNNNNNNNNNNNNNNNNNNNNNNNNNNNNNNNNNNNNNNNNNNNNNNNNNNNNNNNNNNNNNNNNNNNNNNNNNNNNNNNNNNNNNNNNNNNNNNNNNNNNNNNNNNNNNNNNNNNNNNNNNNNNNNNNNNNNNNNNNNNNNNUAUUUUCUUUUAUUCUCAUUCUCUUCCCAAUUUAUUCUCGAAAAUAAAAUUUUUACUAAAUGCAAUUCUUGUUCCAAACUGAUUCUGAAAAUAAAAAAUUAGAAUCAAAUCCUGUUUGGCAUGUUGUUAAACAUGCCUUAAGAAAAAGACAAGCGGGAAGAGGACGCAAUCAGGGCGAGUAGAAAGGAAAAGAAAAAAGGUGACCAAAGGAGAGAAAACAGAGAGGACAGGUGGGGAAGAGAGAAAAGAGGAGAGCGUUAGGUGCAUGUGAUGUCUAGAAGGAGGGCUCACAGAAGGAUAAUGAUUUGAUUGCAACCCUAACCUGUCAGGAAAAGAUGUGAAAUAUCAACAGGGACUUGGCGCAAGUCGCACCUCGUUCACCGUGCUGCUUGUGCCUCUGUCCAGACCAGUUCUCAGCUUGCACGGUGGGCGAGCCUUCAGUUCACUGCAAUUUGAUUCGAAUCGAUCAUCAAAAUUCCCUCAUUCAAGUCUAAUCUACCGUUUUGUUUGUGUAGAUUUAUAUGCUAGUGAUAUUAGAAUUUUAAGAAUGUGGUCAAUGGUGGAAUAAUUAGUAUGUGGUCUUAAUUAGUUCAUAAUAUGUGAUGGUUUGAUCUAUAUACGCAAAGAAGUGCAAUAAGCCGCGUUUGAUUCAUUUACCAUCUUUGAAGCGAGAAUUGGUGGCAUCAUGACGACCUGAUGUGCAAAUCCUUUUUAAUUUGUUGUUCAUCACGUCUCCUUUUUCUAGAGGGCCAUCAUUUUUUGCGGUAUUUUCUCGGAACCUACUUGACUUGAUUUGCGGAAGUCUUCAAAUGGGUCGAAACUCGAGCCUUCACCAAAAAAGCAUCGAUUUUUAGUAGAGCAUCACAGCAUGAGAGAGAAAAUAUUGGGUGGUUCGGGAUCGCCACGUCAGCGUGGUCCCAGACCACUCACGCAGCGUCAUGUGUGAGGGGAGGGAACCAAAGGACCUGCCCCUGUCCCAUCUCUCUGACACCCUCUCUCCUCUUUCUCUUCUCCGUCUCCCUCUCUUCACACGUGGCGUCGUGUGAGUGGUCCGGGACCACGCUAACGUGGCGGUUCGGACCACCCAAUAUUUCUCAGCAUGAGAGGCAUUCUUCCAUACGCAAUGAUGGAGCCUAACAUGGCUAAACGACGACCUUUGUACAAGUACUAAUGCCCUCUUGCUUUUUCUAAAGCCACUUUUUUUUUCUCCCUAUUAGGCUGUCAUACGAUAGAAUAAAGUGUGUUGCACAAUAUUUUUGCCAUGGAAAAAUGGAUUCUCUGACGUGGAAUAUCAUAGAGUGGGUCAUCAAAAGCCAAUUCAUGUUGGGAAUGUGAUGUUGAUUUAAUUCUAGCUUUUCAUAUUCCACUAAGUCCAGACCAAUUGAUUUCACAAGACAAUCAUUAUUAGGGUUAAAAGGAAAUUAGGAUUAAAUCUCUCCUCUACUGUGAAUAAGUGCCUCUUGAGAAAAAUGUAGAAGUCAAUCAUUCAAAAUCAAAAUACAUGAUUUUGAGGUAUUUUAUCUUGAAACUCGAUUUGAUUUGGCAUCUUCAAAACUAAAUUAUACAUUACUCAAAUAUUACAGUACCAAAUUAGAAGUGAUUUGAUAUAAAAUAAUUUAAGAAUCUCAUUAAUUUAACAUCAAUGAAAAAAGUUUAGGAGCGGCAAUGUUCCUUGGACAAAGUCAAGGAAUGAAUUAAACAAAUUGAAAGAUUAGGACAUCAUAACAAGUAAACGAAUAAUAGUGAAUUGUUUAAGACAACUAGUUUAGCAUCUACAACAAGUGAGGAGAUCAAGGGGGCUUGAGAUAGACAACGACCAAUGAAGAUAAAUUUGGACUUCUUGCCAAGGCAGAGAUUUAUUGAUUAUGGAGCAAAAUUAAUCUUCGUUUGAAUUGGAAUCAAGUUUGAUGUUUCCGGAUACUCGACGUGUUUGUGGGGGCUUGGAAACGGUGAUAGACGACUGGAGGAUGCAAGAAGCCGGCCCCCCUAGCGCUUGGACAAACCAGGCAACUAGGCAAGCGCUCGGCCAAGAAGUGGCUGGGUUGCUAGACGACCGACAAACCCCCCGAGCUGAAAGUCUUUUCCAACGUAGUGCUCGGGUGAUGGGGCCUAUUUUUGUCAGACACCUAACCCUGAAGUUUAUGUAUAUCUAAUGAACAACUUAUGAGAAAUCUAAAGAGUUUUUAAGAAGAGAGAAUGAUUAUACUCCUUUCUUACUUGAAUCGUUUCGUUUAUUUACUUGCAUUAGUCAUGACAAUAGUUGAUGCAAGAUUCAAACAAUGCAAUUCAGCUAAAAAAAUUCUCCCAAGAGUAGAAAGGUCAAUUACACUAGGAGUAAAAUCUCAUUCUGCCGUUCUAUACUCAGCGGGCACAUCAGAUGGUGAGUGUAUUUUGUCUUUACACUGAAAUCACGUGACAAUUAGGUGAAGCUGAUAAUAAAGACCAAGAGAUAUAAGUCUGAUAGCAUUCCACACAUAAUUGACCACUGUACCCGGAAAUGCAGAUAAUGCCAAACAAGGACUUGGAGGAAAUAGGAAAAAGAGAGACUCCCCAAGUCUUCGUCUCCUCCUUAUUUAUCUCGGAAACUUCUGUGAAGUAUGAAAGAAACUCAAGUGAUGGAGGUUUUGUAUGCAGUGAGCAUGAGAACGCGGAGACAAACAGCAGAUUCACCAUUGUUUAAUCUGUUAAAUAAAAGCUCCAAAGAACGUUGAGCCAUUUGGAAGAAGACCUGCCAUAUGUUUGACAAGUUAAACAUAAGCCAAUGCAUUCCAAGUCUUUGCUUAAGUCCACGUUCUUGGUAAGGUGAGAUGAUGAUGGGAGUCGCUUAAAGUGAAGAACUAAUAUAAAAAGAGGAAGACUUCUUUCGAGCCUAAUAAUAUUUCUUUUCCUCAAUUUUUUUGCUUCUUAGUUAGAGGCUUUCCAAGUUCGAAUGUCUCUCUGUUCACACUUUCCAAUCUGCUACCUUUACUCGAAAGCCAUUGGUAGGCGCAGAGAGAGAGAGACUGUGCGUGUGUGAUAUAAUUGUUUAUUUGGGAGUAACGAUUCAAUUUGACGGAUAACGGCAUCUGCCAAUGUUCUACAUACAUAAAUUUUAGCAAUUACAUCGUUUCCGCAACUUCACUCGAUGUUGAAUUAUAUCUUGGGAGACGUGGCCGCUCAUUCCAUCCUCCAAGACCUCCGAAUUUAUCGAGCUCUGUAGCGGAAAAGUAGUUGCGAUCUUUCUCUUAAUUACCUUCAAAUUCUCAGACCAUUCUUGCCUUGUGGAUUAAGAUGUCAAGAUAUAUCGGUGGGCAAUCGAUAAAUGAGUCAAAAGGACCCCCUGAUGGGGUUUCCAUGGGCAAUAAUUUCGUGCAAAAAUGCUCGUUUUGACAGGAGUUUCCCUCUUCUAUUCUUCUCUCUUUCAUACUGCUUUUUACCCUUGCUUGUACGGCUUCCUGUGCCCGGUCUUUUUGAUUCGCAUCUUAGCACAGCAAUUCAUGGGAAAUUUCUGCGAAGCACAAAUCUAUUCUUCUCUCUUUCACGCUGCUUUUACCGUUACUUGUACAGCUGCCUAUGCUCGCUCUUUUCGAUUCGCAUCUUAGCGCAGCAAUACAUGGGAAAUUUCUGCGAAGCACAAUGAGCCGAAAAUAUCUUCAGAAACAUGGAAAAUGUCCUUUCAGGAGUCGUAAUGGGAGGCGUCCUCCGUUCUUUUGCGGGUCAUUAUUGAGCGGUUGAAGAAGGAAUUUCAAUCUUAUGACUUGCAAUUAACAUGGCAACAACUUGAUCUAAAUGUGUAAUGUGCAUUGCAUUAUGUCCUCCACUUUUUGACAUGGCCAUUCAAUAAAUGAUGGAGUUCGUCACCACAUCAUUGACUAGUGCUCUAAAUGCCCGAUAAUUGUUAUUAAAACUGCUUGAAAUACUCAAUAAUUAAUAGCAAUGUGAUAGUGAUAUCUAAAUUCUUGCUUAAGGUGCAUUAUCAUAAUUGACACUUAAAUAGAUUUAAGAGCAAUGCUUUUCUGAAUUUUGAAUUGAUUCAAUUAGAAUGCUAUACUUUUGUUUAUAGUGUGUGUAAUUGAUUCAUCCCUGGAACUUCUGCUUGUUCUUGUGAAAUUAUAUUAGUAUGUUUCAUAUGGCAUACGCCCAUUGAUUAUCCUAAAGGAAAUUUCUAAAAUGGACAACAAUCUACAAAAGCCAAUAAAUUGAAAAAUAUUAUACAGUUAGAUUUCCCAUGUGUAACAAUCAUCCGAAAUUAGAAAAUAAAUGAUACGCAUUCGGUUUUUAUGUGUGAUUCAUUUUUAACAAACAAAUUUGCUUAGUCCCUUUAAUCAUUCUCAUUCAUCAUAUCAGCUGGUGAGAAGUACAUAGGAUUUUGCUGUUCUUUUCAAAGCAUAGCAAACAAAUCCAUUCUCCAUUUCACAUGAUUUCCAUUGAAUCACGAAGAAGGCACAAAAGGUUUAUCCUAGUCCCAAACCCUUCUCAAACUUAAGACAAUACUGAAUAUUUGAAAAUGAUUUAGGAACCUCGUUAAUUUAUAACCAAUCGAAAUUUUUGUAGCAACAAUGCUCCUCAGCCAAAGCGUAGGACCUACUUGAUAAAUUGAAAGGCCGGGCAUAUCAUUAGACGUUAACUGACAAUGUUGAAUUUUAGGACCAAAAUUCGAAAACUAGUGGUCUCACCGCCCCUAUAUUUGAUGGUACAUUCGUUGACAAAAUCAAUUGGAUUUGCAAUUUUUAAAGAGACUCAAAAAUUAAAUAAGAACUUCCUAUUGGAUGAUAAGAUUAAAAGCAUAUGACCAUUCCGUUUGCACAGCCACAAGCAUUUGCCUUUUAUUGAUCGAACCUUGUUGCUUCGACGUUGGAAAUAGACUAGGUUUUUCUCUCCUUGUACAUCCCUAUGCAACAGAAGUUUGAAGGAACUAUCAGCUGUCGGCAGACUGAGUAGCUUCAUUCGGGGUGCAUGAAUUUUUUUAUUGAAAUCGCGGACAAUCUGUCGAAUACGUCAGCAGACGGAUUUGCAAAUAGAUGAAUCGCACAAAGGGAUAUCACUUGCUUACUUCAAGCCAACUGAAAAAAGGGUGAUCACUUUCCUUAAUUGGGUCGUCUAUUAAAAUAUAUUUAGAAUUUAAGCCCAUUGAACAAAGCCUGACUAAUGAGAAUGCGUGAACUCGACCAUGUGCAAGUCAAAAAUUGGCAUACGAGAAUUGGCUGGCCGAGAUUGCAAAAAGCGUGAAGAAAAAUCAAUAACACGUGACUUUGUUGCCUUCUCCAAGUCCAAUUUAUUGUGCAUAUUGGAUUCUUUGGCAUGCUGAAUUUGUUGCCCUAGAAGAAGGGGCUCACACACACAUAUAUUUACACGUGAUCAUAUUUUACUUUAAAUUGAUUUACUUAGGUUCAAGAACUUUAUUCUAAUAUGCAAUGCAUUCAUGCUUUCACAUGAUUUGUUUAGAUGUCCUACACUUUUGUUUAGUAUGUGAAAUUGGUCCAUCUCUAGAACUUUAGUUUGUUCAAUUCUGUCUCUUGAAAUUACAGGCACCCGAUGAUUAUCGAAAGGGAAUGGCCACAAUGGACAACAAUCAACUGAAGUCACUGGAUACAAAAAUUAUACAAAUAGAUUUCGUGUGUGUAAUAUGUAUCCUAAAUGAUAAAAAAAAAUAAUACUCAUUCAUUUCUUAUGUGUAAUUCAUUUGAAACAAAAGAUUUGCUCGGUCACUUUAAAUGGUGAUUCUUAUUCAUUAUCCCAAAACGUCAGCUAAGUAUGUAUUUUACUGUUCUUGUCAAAGCAUCGCCAACAUUCCGCUCUCCUUUAAUAUAUUACGCUUGGAUCGGGGAGAUAGCACAUUGUUUUGUUAAGUGAGAGGUUUCAUCCUUAUCUGGAAACUUUUUUUGAACUUAAAGAAUGAUAUUUGAAUAUUUGCAAAUAAAUUAGAAACCUCAUUAAUUAAAAANNNNNNNNNNNNNNNNNNNNNNNNNNNNNNNNNNNNNNNNNNNNNNNNNNNNNNNNNNNNNNNNNNNNNNNNNNNNNNNNNNNNNNNNNNNNNNNNNNNNNNNNNNNNNNNNNNNNNNNNNNNNNNNNNNNNNNNNNNNNNNNNNNNNNNNNNNNNNNNNNNNNNNNNNNNNNNNNNNNNNNNNNNNNNNNNNNNNNNNNNNNNNNNNNNNNNNNNNNNNNNNNNNNNNNNNNNNNNNNNNNNNNNNNNNNNNNNNNNNNNNNNNNNNNNNNNNNNNNNNNAACUACAACUCUUUUAACACAAAUCUAGAAUAUAACAAAUAAAUAAUAAGAGAAUUAGUUACGUACACUUAAGAAUAGCUACAUUCAUUUCACAAUAACAUCAAAACAAAUGUCAAUGGUCAAUUCCAUUGAUCAAUCUCAUUAAGUCACACACCAAUGGUUCAUUCCAUUGGUUAGUCUCAUGUCACAUAUCAAUGUUCUAUUCCAUCGAUCCAUCUCAGAGGAAACCACAUGUCGAUGGUCCAUUCUAACGACUAAACUCAAAUCACAUGUUAAUGAUCCAUUCCGUUGACCAAUCCGUUGCUUAAUAUCAAACCAUGGUCACGAUACAACUUUUAGUGACGAGGCGACCAAAAUUUUCCCCUUAACAAAGUCUCCACCUAUUAUUAGCCGUGGCUCGGCCCACAAGGAUACAUUAGCCUAGCAUGCGCAUACCUACAAGCUUCUCGCUAGGCUCACAGUAAUAUUGAGUAUCAAUAUCAAUCCAAAACAACACCAUCCAUAAUUCACAAACCAAAUUCAUAAAUCAUUUCAUAUAUCGCCAAAAGAUUUCACAACUGUUUUUUAUACCAGGUUAGGCAGACAGUGAUGGAGCGGGGGGACGCUGGUUUUGCAAGAACACCGGAUGGAUACUAAAAAUGAAGCAAGCGCAUCAUGUACUGGAAUUCCUUAUGUUCUGAGAUUCUUACACGAAGUGCCGAAGAGAAAAUGAAACAAGAAGAGAGGAGAGAGCAAGCACAUAUAUAGAGGCUUUCCGGGUUCGAAUGUCUCUCUCUGUGUUCAUCUGUUCGAGCUACUCUGCACCCUCCAAUCUGCUGCCUUUACUUGACUAGCCCAUUGGGGCGGGCAGAGGGAAGACGAUACCGAUUACAUUCUCGAGAGAAUUCUAGUGUUUGCCAAUUCUUCUCACCUAAGCCUCAAUCUACGACUGUAGUUGGAUGAGUGUGUCACGACUGAGCAGGAACACUGACCAGACGUUCAAUCAUUUGCAACUGAUCAUAUGGAGCAAUCUGCACAAAGGAGAGGAGUUAAAACAGAGAAAAAGGAUAACGGUUGAUUGAUGAAGGUAUCAUUUGAGUAAAAGUGCUUCACAAACUGUUCGGAACUAACUCCAAUUACUGGUCAACCAUGACGAAGAGUGACAUUAUUCGUUCGAAUGAGACACAGUAGAAAAGCGUUGGUCACCUGAUUAAAUCCGCCUGGCCAAACUAUGGACACGGCAUAGUUUCCCAUUGGCUGAAUCUCUUCUGGUUCGAUGUCUUCUGGAACAUUGGAAUACUGCAGUUUUUGCUCCCCUGUCCACUCAUCCUGAUGUGCAGAUAAGUGGCAUAAGAAAGAAUCUCUUCAGUAGUGCAAGUCACAAUAUCUAAGACAAGCACGGGACGAGUAGAAACUUCGGAAGGAAUAAUUUAAGCUAAAUUCCACACCUAAUCUUCAUCGAUUUUGAGGGAUUAGACUGGAGAAUAACUGCUGUUAUACUAAUCCCUAUGCUGUUCGGCAUUUAUCAGCAUGACAAAGGAUGCCAAAGGAGGAUAUCGGAGUAAAAACUUUUGAGGCAAGAAGUAUUUUUAGUCAACUGAAUAGAUUUAAAUGAAGAAGUUCAAUGCUCUAAAAUCUACCAUGCCAAAUCACUAAUACUCAAGAAUUCAGUUGAUAGAACACUCAGAUUACUGAGAUCUGGUAUGGUUAGCUUAAACCAUCACGUGAAGAUAAGAGGUAAGGUUCGAGUGAAAACAUGCUCGACCUUCAUGUAGGGGUGCUUGGAUUAUGGGUAGUGGCAUGAAAGCUGCUCAAAUCCACUUAUCUACAUAUUUAAAAUGCGACCUUAGACCUCUGAUUUAAUUUAAAAGAAGGGUCAUAAAUUAGCUUGGAGGUCCAUUUGUAGAAUUAAACUAAGCUUGUCUGGUGAAAUGCAGCAACUGGCCUGAACAUUCUAACUAUAGGAUUAGCAUCUAUCUAUUUCCCAAGGUUAUGCAUGAUUGUGUUGACACCGCUGCAAUAAAAACCUACAUAUCUACUUUCCAUUUGCAAAGAUAAAAACAAUCAGAGGAUUUUUCCAGGUCAAAGGAAAGUCCUUAUACCACACUUUGAGCUGAUCGGUCGUUUCUUCUCACGGUUGUGGGGUGUAGAAAGUGACAAUGCUAGUACGAAUACCUAGAGGGGGGUGAAUAGGUAUAUGAAAAUUUUCUUGCAGUUUGCGCAAUACUUAAACAGAUGAAGGAUUAAAAAACAAUCGUAAGACUGAGUAAAAGAAAGAGAGAAUUCAACACGAGGUUUAUAGUGGUUCGGCUUGAUUCAAGCCUACGUCCACUCUUCUGCACUGACAGCCAAUUGGCUGGAUUCCACUAUGAACAAAGAGAUGUUACAGUGUUGAUCUUCCUUGAUUUCUCGAUGUAGAUGACCUACUACACUCGCUCAAGGUAUCACCAAGUACAACCACUCUCUGUGUAUACAAUUUCGCUCGAACAGUCUCGACUAACAAUCAAGGUUCUUCAGACUCUGGAAUUUAUCUAUCGAUCACUCACUUAAAACAACUAGAACGUCUUCCUUUUAUACUCCUUUAUGCCAUCAUAGCCGUUGGCACUUACCAAAGGAAUUCCUCCAAUCUACCCGUUGGACGGAAUCAAUUAAGAAGAUCAUCCGAGCUAUUUAAGGAAUCUGAUGAUAGCCCAUCAAUCCUGUUCGCCCAUACAAUCAGGAUUUUGGUUUCCAAGAAUAGAACAUUCCAAGAAUGUUUCGUCGACCAUCAGAUCUUCAAUUGAUCUUAGAUAAGAAUCAAAAGAAUCCGAAAUGAUUAUCCAACCAAGGGAUCUAUUCCAGAGGAUUGGAUCAAAUCCCCAACCAUAUACUUCGGCUUCGGAUAUCCUACGCAACUGGAUUAGAAAGACUGUCAGCGAGAAUAAUCAUGAGUCUUGAGUCUUGAGUCUUGAGUCUUGAGAUUACAAAGUCUUGAGACUUUAAACCAAUGAUAUCAAGACUAGACUGAUAGAAAUGUUUUGUCAGCUUCAAAAUCUUCUGGAAAGAUUUCUCCAACAAUCUCCCCCUUUUUGAUGGUGACAAAACUUUCUUGUAGAUUUGAACAACUUUGACCUGCAAAAAUAUUUCUCAAGCAAUAUGGCUAACUCAUAAAGAUUAAUAAACAACCAGACUCUGCAUCCACAGCAAAAUUGGUUAGUCUUUCAUGAGUAAUACCAUAUAACAAUACUUAAUAUAAAUGCAAUCAGUCAAGCAUCAAAUUCCACAGUCAUUCAGUCUCAUACUCAAGUUCAAGUUCUCAAGUCAUACAUAAACCAGUAAAAAUCAAAGUUUUUUAAAAAAUGUUUGUUCAAAUUGGUUCUCCCCCUUUUUGUCAUCAUUUAAAAAGAGGGUGAGAAAGGAGUCAUGUCUGCUUGGGAAUGCGCACGAUCUGGAAUUCUCCCAUUGACUGGACUACGCCUUCUAGCCUCUUCAAGUCCUCCCUUAGAUGAGCUACCUCCUCUCCUUUGGCAUUGGCUUGAAUUUGCAGAGCAAGGUCUUUCAUCUUUUCCUCCAGGUUUACUGAAGAUGCUUGUCCAGCAUUUUUCAUAACUUGAAUUUCACAUUCCAGAGCAUAUAUUUGUCCACGCAUUUCCAGAAGAAUAUCCAUGAUACGGCGAAAAUCUGCAGAACUCUCUGUCUGAGUAUAUGCAUCAGCUUUUUCAGAUGGAGUAAAUGUGUACGAUGGCGCUUCUGUAUAGUCUUGCAGAUUUGGUGUAGAUGUAUCACCUUCUUCAGGCAAUUUAGAAACCUGAAAUUCUUCUGAGUCUUCUGGAGAUUGUCUUGGACCUUCACUAUCUGCAGCAUGAGGUGUAGACCUUUCAUGCUCGCCAACUCCCCCUGUCUCAAGUACAUCCAAAGGGGAAGAGUGAUGAUCUUGCUCUAGAUUUCCCUUCUCUCCAGAUUCAGCAGCAGACUUUUCUUUCUCUUCUUCAUCUUCUUUCUCUUUCUCUCUCUGUUCUUCUUCUUCUCUGCUUCUGACUUGCUCUUCUUCUUCUCUCUGUUUCUUCUGAACUUCAGUAGGCUGAGACACAGAACGUCUUGUUCUUGUCAAAGCAGGAAUAGUAGGAUCUUCAUCCUCUUCAUCUUCAUCCUCCAAGAUGAGAGAUCUUUUCUUCUUUUUCGAUGGGGCUCCAAUGGCCUCCUUUCCUUUUCUCUUUGAAGCAGACUGAACAGGAGAUUUCACUCUGAAUUUCUCCAUUGCCUUGGAAAGUUCUUUCAGACGCAUCUUCGAUAACAUCUUCAAACCUAUCACCAUCUUAUCACAUGGUUGAACACAAAGUGUUUGAGGCGGUUCAAUAUUCAUGUGUCUGAAGAUCUUGGUCACCAGACCAGGAUAAGGCAAUUGUCCUUUGUCUUUCGACAUUGCUCUGUACAUAUGGAAGAGAAUAGUGUGCGGGAGAGAGAACUUUCGUCCUGAGUUGAUCGCAUACAUCAACUUUGCUUCAGAAUGAGACACAGUAGUCUUUGACGUAGACUUUGGUCUAAGACAAUUGAUUACAAUCUUAUGAAGCAGAAUGUUGAUAGCAUUCAUCCUGGAAUAGGUAAUUUUCUUCUCUGCGUCCCUAUCUUUGACAAGUUCCAGAGUAAUACGAGCAGGUGAGACUUUGAUUGGAAGAUAACGUCCUCGUUCAACUCCAACUAUAUCAGCCAACAUAUUCACAUCUACCACGUAGACUUUGUCUAGCACACUAAAUGAUAUUCUAUUCGCAUCCAGAAAGCUAAGAUUUGAAUAGAAAUAAGCGGUCAGAUGAGCAUACCCGUCUGUUGAGUCAGAGCAAAAAUUCUCAAGUUGAAACAAAUUCAACUUUUCUCUUAAGUUUAUGUUGAUGGCGUCCAGGAAGUCAAAAUCGACACUUCUAGGGUUUAUCACCCCUCUUUUCAUCAGCCUUGAAAACACUUUUUCUUGAUCCUUGGAUUUGAACAAAUCCAUCUGAUUUCCUUUCACCUUUGCUGCCACUCCCAUUUUCGGUUGAAAUUCAAGGAACAUUCUGUCAUCAUCGUUCCCUUCAAUUAAAUUUUGACCUUUCAUAAGAGGAUCACUUGGAAUGUUCGCAAGUGCUUCCUCUGCUGUUCCUUUCGGGGCGAUUCCCAAUUCCUCCAUUUUCUUCAGAAAUCGAUACUCAUUCCCAUAAUCUUUGUCCUUAAGGAAGUCAUCUAUAAACUUCAACGAAGAACCUGCGCUUUUCAACGCACGAUAAAGUUUAUACAUAAAGGAGGGCUUUUGGACUCUUACUGGGUCAGCAUCCUCGAUUAUCUCUUCUUCCAAAGAAUGACUUGCACCUUGUGGGGCAGGAGGCGUUGAAUGACGUGGAUGAGAGCGAAUCGGACUUUGUUGCUGACUUAUUAAGUCUUCUUCCUCAGUGAGAUCGAAGUGAGUCGGUCCCUUCUCCAUUCUUUGUGGUCCCCUGCUUGCGAUUCUUGAUGAUUUCCUCGAAGAAGACAUCUUUCUUUGUCGCUGGAAGAUUCCUUCUCUUGCUUUCCCAAGAAUAAUGACCACUUUCUCGAAGACGAACAAGCAGUAGAACAGUAUCGGGAGGAGAGUGCCUUUUAGGGUUUUGAAGAUUGGAGAAUAGAAAAACUGUAUAUAUAUAUAUAACUCAGUUUUGAAAAGGGAAGUUCAAACGGUGUAAGGAAAGUGAACAAUUUAUUAUUUUCAAAAUCAAUAACUGCCAAAAUUAUUCCUUUAAGCAGAUAAGACUUUAAAUUUCAUGCGGAUUAUCGAAUAACUGAACGAAAGAUCGUACCUUUUUGAGUUUAAACGAAAAUUCGUACAACUUACAAUCUAUAGCCACGAGUGUCUGAGUCUGAGGAUUUAAAGUCUGAAAGAUUAGAGUCUUAGAGUUGGUGAGUCUCUAGACUUUAACUUCUUCAGGCUUCAAAAUGUUGAGUCUUGAACGGAUAAGAUUGAAUUGAUUUUUCUCCAAAGGCUUUGUGAAUAUAUCCGCUAGUUGACUCUUUGAAUCAACAAAUUGAAUCGAGAUUUCUCCAUUUUGAAUAUGAUCUCUGAUGAAAUGAUGUCGAAUCUCAAUAUGCUUUGCUCUUGAAUGAAGGAUUGGAUUUUUGGUGAGAUUGAUCGCACUGGUGUUAUCACAUCUGAUUUCUGUGCAUGAGUCUUCAAUCCCAAAGUCUUGUAGCUGUUGUUUUAUCCAGAGAAUUUGCGAACAGCAGCUUCCAAGAGCUACAUACUCUGCUUCUGUCGUUGAGAGAGAUACAGUGCUUUGCUUCCUUGAAAACCAAGACACUGUCCUGUUUCCAAGUAUUUGACAAAUUCCAGAGGUGCUUUUUCUAUCGACUCUGCAACCGGCCAGAUCUGCAUCUGAGUAUCCUAGAAGAUUAAAGUCUCCCUUCUUGGGAUACCAGAGACCGAUGCUUGAAGAUGAGGCAACGUAUUUGAUAACACGUUUUACCGCACUGAGAUGGGAUUCUCUGGGAUCUGAUUGAAACCUAGCACAAAUGCAAACACUCAACAAAAUAUCAGGUCUAGAAGCAGUAAGAUAGAGAAGUGAGCCGAUCAUGCUCCUGUACAGCUUUUGAUCUACUUUCUUCCCUUCUUCAUCCUUGUCUAUCUUCUGAGAACAUGACAUUGGUAUGUUAGUCUUUUUGCAAUUUUUCAAUCCAAACCUUUUGACAAGGUCAUUCGCAUAUUUUUCUUGAUGAAUAAAAGUUCCUUCCUUCAUUUGUUUAACUUGAAGUCCAAGAAAGAAUGUUAAUUCUCCCAUCAUACUCAUUUCAAACUCAUCCUGCAUAGACUUAGAAAAUUUCUCGCAUAGACUUUCAUUAGAUGAUCCAAAAAUAAUAUCAUCCACAUAUAUUUGAACAAGUAAAAAGCUUUUGCUUUCCUUUUUGAUAAACAAAGUAGUAUCUACUUUACCUUUGACAAAACCAUUCUUUAAUAAGAAUUUACUUAGUCUGUCGUACCAUGCUCGAGGUGCUUGCUUUAAACCAUACAAGGCCUUUUUCAGUCUAAAGACUGAGUCUUGCUUCUUUGGGUCUUCAAAUCCAGGUGGUUGUUCCACAUAGACUUCCUCAUGGAUGAAUCCAUUUAGGAAUGCACUUUUGACGUCCAUUUGGAAUAACCUGAAAUUUUUAUAACAAGCAAACGCAAGUAAUAGACGAAUAGCUUCUAACCUUGCUACUGGAGCGUAAGUCUCAUCAUAGUCUAUUCCUUCUUCUUGCGUAUAUCCUUUGGCCACGAGUCUUGCUUUGUUCCGUACGACUUUUCCUUCUUCAUUCAUCUUGUUCCUGAAUACCCAUUUAGUUCCAAUAACAGUUUUACCUUUUGGUUUAGAUGUCAAUUCCCAGACAUCAUUGAUGUUGAAUUGUCUGAGUUCUUCUUGCAUAGCUUCGAUCCAACUUUCAUCAGAUAAAGCUUCUUCUAUGCUUUUUGGUUCGAUUUCAGAAAUGAGAGCCACAGCACUAGAUUCUUCAUGCCUUUUUGAUCUGGUGCGGAUUCCUUCAUUCAUUUCGCCAAUAAUGAGAUCUUUAGGAUGACUGGAUUUAUGCUUCCAGUUACUAGUUGUUCUUCCUAGUUGAUGAUCUCUUUCUUUGAUUGAAUCUUCAUGUGCUUCUUGAUGUUGGACUUCCAGAGACUGAGAUGCUUCUUGAGUUGUAAGCAUUGGAAGGUCUGGAGUAGGUUCAGACUCUUCAUACUGAGUCUGUCUAGAUUCAUCUUGCAUUGAGUCUUGGAAUUUAACAUUCGUUGAUUCCUCCACUAUCUGGCUUUUCUUGUUGUAGACUCUGUAGGCUUUGCUUGAUGUAGAAUAUCCAAGAAAGAUGCCUUCAUCUGAUCUUUCUUCAAACUUACCAACUCUAUCAUUUGCAUUUUUCAAAAUAAAACAUUUGCAACCAAACACAUGAAAGUAUGAAACAAUAGGCUCUUUACCUUUGAACAAUUCAUAGGGAGUUUUCUCCAAAAUAGGUCUUAAAAAGACUCUAUUUAUAAUAUAGCAUGCUGUUGAAACAGCUUCAGCCCAAAAUCGUGAAGAAAUUUUGCUUUCAAUUAAAAGAGUUCUAGCCAUUUCUUGAAGAGAUCUAUUCUUUCUUUCCACAACUCCGUUUUGUUCUGGAGUAUAUGGAGAGGAAAACAUAUGAUUAAAACCAGAUUUAUCACAAAAUUUCGUAAAAUCUUUAUUUUCAAAUUCACUUCCAUGAUCUGUUCUUAUGCUUGAAAUUGCACAUCCUUUUUCAUUUUGAAUCUUUUUGGCAAAUUUUUCAAAAUACGAAAAGGUUUCUGACUUACUUGAAAGAAAAUAUACCCAAGUAAAACGGGAGUAAUCAUCCACAAUUACUAGGCAAUAUUUCUUACCUCCAAUGCUCUGGGUUCUGGUUGGUCCGAAGACAUCCAUAUGAAGCAAUUGAAGUACAUGAUUAGUAGAAACAUGAUUUAUUUGCUUAAAUGAAUUUCUUACCUGCUUUCCCAGAAUGCAUGGAGUGCAUGAAUCAGACUUUUGGUAUGGCAAUUUAGGUAGACCUCGAACAAGCUUCUUUGAUGAGAUUUUGGCUAAUUGUUUCAUAUUGACAUGGCCAAGCUUUCUGUGCCAUAAGACUGCUUCAUCUUGAAUUGAAAUUAGGCAUUGUGCUUCAUUUGAUUUUACAUCAAGAAGGUAGAUAUUUCCAUGUCUUCGACCCAUGAAAGACUGAGUUGAGUCUUUGCUAAUUCCAGAACACGUGCCUUCUUGAAAGGAGAUCUUGAAACCAGUAUCACACAAUUGGCUAAUGCUUAGAAGAUUGUAGUUGAGUCCUUCCACUAGAGAGACAUUGCUUAUUGUGAGAUUUCCAAUUUUCACAGUUCCAAAACCCACAAUGCUUCCUUUGCUGUUUCCACCAAAUGAAACUUUUCCACCAUUCACUUGAACAAUCUUUAUGAAGCAAUUUGAGUCUCCUGUCAUGUGUCUUGAACAUCCGCUGUCAAGAUACCACUUCACUUUCUUUUUGACAGAGACCUGCAUUCAAAGAAGAGUCUCACGCUUUCUUUGGUACCCAAAUUUUCUUGGGUCCUUUGGCGUUAGUAGAAAAAACAUUACUAGGCCAUACUCUCUUAACAGGCUUCCAAACCAUAGGACAUUCUUUUUCAAAAUGAUCCUGACUGUUACACUUUGAACACCUUAGAGCACUUCGACCUACAGACUUUACAAAGACUUUCUUGAAAUGAUUUUUGUAAGUCUCCUUUGUUGGUCUAUUCUUAAUUCUUUCUUUUACUUUUGGAAAAUCAAUUAAAGAAAUUGUUUCUGCUGUCAUACCCAAACCAGACUUGUUAAAGUAAGGUCUUUGGACUGAAAGAACUUUUUCAAGUUUUUCAGACCCUAUUGAAAAUUUCUUUGAAAUAUUUGAUAAGUCAGUUUUUAAGAAAGCAUUUUCUUUUGAAAGUUUAUCUUCAUUCUCCUUAAGAGUAGAAAAAUUUAAGUCUAAACUUUUCACUUUUUCUUCUAAAAUAUUUUCCUUUUGUUUUAGAACUAAGUUUUCCUUUUUCAGUUCGGAAAUUCUUUUUAGAGAAGUCUUAAGACUAAAACAUAAUUCAUCAAUAUACUUAGAGACUUUGACAGGAACUUUAUAAUCACUUACCUCACAUUCACUGUCUGAGUCUGAUCCAGAGUCUGAGUCUGAUUGUGCCAUCAGACAUAGGUUAGCAUAUUCCUCAUCACUUUCUUCACACUCUGUAUCGCUCCAAGUUUCGGCUUUGAGAGCUUUUCGAGACUUUUCAGCUUUUCCUCUUUUCUUCUUCAGGAGAGGACAAUUUGGUCUGAUGUGUCCCUUUUUCUUACAUUCGAAACAAACUACAUCUUUGUUUGGUUCCUCAUUAUCAACAAACUUGGUUUGCUGUUUCUGGAAACUUUGUUUCCUUGGGUUGAACCUUCUUCCUUUUCUAUUCAACUUUCUGAAUCUUCUAAUCAUAAGAGCAAGCUCCUCAUCAUCCAGAUCUUCUUCAGAGUCUGUAUCAUCAGAAUCAUCGUUAGAUUUUAAUGCAAUGGAUUUCUUACCUCUUGGAUCUUCUUCUUCAUUAAUUCGUUCCACUUUAUAAGACUGAAGAGUUCCAAUCAGCUCGUCUACAGAUAAUGGCAUAAUUCUUUGCGUCUCUCUUAUUGAAGUCUUUAUAUGAUUCCAAUCCUUGGAGAGUCCACGCAGUAGCUUGUUCACCUUCAUAGGAUCAGAAAUUUUCUGUCCUUGAUUCUCAAGGCCAUUGACAAUAUCUGUAAAACGGCUAAACAUGUCAGUUAUAGAUUCUCCUUGUUUCAUUUUGAAGGCUUCAUAUUGACCAAGGAGAAUGUUGAUUCUGGUCUCCUUCACUCGGUCUGUCCCUUCAUAAGUGAUAUGUAAUCUAUCCCAGACUUCUUUUGCUGUAUCACAAGAAGAUAUUCUGUUAUAUUCAGUUGGUGAUAAAGCACAAUAUAAAGAGUAAAUAGCUUUUGCAUCGAGUGCUUGUCUCUUGUUUAUCUCUUCUUGAGACAUUCCGCUGGGUUCAACAAUAUCUUUCCCUCUUUCAGAUACUGAUGCAGCAGUAGGAGUAAUUCCUCUUUCCACCACAUCCCAUUCCAGAGGAUCCUUUGAUCGUAGAAAAGCUUUCAUUUUGUUUUUCCAGAUGUUGUAAUCCUUUCCAUCAAAGUAGGGUGGUCUUGUAUUGCUUUGCCCUUCCACCAGCCCUGGUGCUAGCAUACUAGCCAUGGAUUUUUUACUCUGAAGUAAAACACUUCAAAUAAAGUAAGAACACAGGCUCUGAUACCAAUUGACAAUGCUAGUACGAAUACCUAGAGGGGGGUGAAUAGGUUUAUAAAAAUUUUCUUGCAGUUUGCGCAAUACUUAAACAGAUGAAGGAUUAAAAAACAAUCGUAAGACUGAGUAAAAGAAAGAGAGAAUUCAACACGAGGUUUAUAGUGGUUCGGCUUGAUUCAAGCCUACGUCCACUCUUCUGCACUGACAGCCGAUUGGCUGGAUUCCACUAUGAACAAAGAGAUGUUACAGUGUUGAUCUUCCUUGAUUUCUCGAUGUAGAUGACCUACUACACUCGCUCAAGGUAUCACCAAGUACAACCACUCUCUGUGUAUACAAUUUCGCUCGAACAGUCUCGACUAACAAUCAAGGUUCUUCAGACUCUGGAAUUUAUCUAUCGAUCACACACUUAAAACAACUAGAACGGCUUCCUUUUAUACUCCUUUAUGCCAUCAUAGCCGUUGGCACUUACCAAAGGAAUUCCUCCAAUCUACCCGUUGGACGGAAUCAAUUAAGAAGAUCAUCCGAGCUAUUUAAGGAAUCUGAUGAUAGCCCAUCAAUCCUGUUCGCCCAUACAAUCAGGAUUUUGGUUUCCAAGAAUAGAACAUUCCAAGAAUGUUUCGUCGACCAUCAGAUCUUCAAUUGAUCUUAGAUAAGAAUCAAAAGAAUCCGAAAUGAUUAUCCAACCAAGGGAUCUAUUUCAGAGGAUUGGAUCAAAUCCCCAACCAUAUACUUCGGCUUCGGAUAUCCUACGCAACUGGAUUAGAAAGACUGUCAGCGAGAAUAAUCAUGAGUCUUGAGUCUUGAGUCUUGAGAUUACAAAGUCUUGAGACUUUAAACCAAUGAUAUCAAGACUAGACUGAUAGAAAUGUUUUGUCAGCUUCAAAAUCUUCUGGAAGGAUUUCUCCAACAGUUCAGAAGUCAAAUAAAUGAGCAAUAUACCAGAUCAGUUUUUCUCCUGUGAAACAUUAUUUGAUACUCUAUGACCUUGGCAAUGGAUGAAAUGACUAUCAUAUGGAAAUUGUACUUUUUCUUGAUGAGCAUGACUGUUUCCAGGAGAUUCACAUGAAAUGGUUGUGGAAUUAGAAGGAAUGGGUGGUGGAGGGAAGAUACAGUUAGAGGUAAGUGUGGAAACAUUUUUAUAUCAAUCACAUAGUUGGAAGCUCUCUUAAAAGGGCGAUUAGGAUUUCUGUUUGAAGACUCUUGACUUCUUGAAAUAAACAUCUAUAUAUGAUUUGUAAUUGUUCAAGAGAAGUUCCAAUUAGAAGGUAGAGUUUUCGUUUAGGCCUAUAGCUUCCAGCAUCUAUCUGUGAAUCAUUGAGCAUUAGCAAGAGCUUUUUAUUAACGUUUGCUUAUUUGAGUACCUGGCAAUUACUGUAUAAGAGCUUUCUCCAAGAUGUUGUAACAUCGUUUCUCUUUUGUUAUUAUGAAUCAGUCGCUGGGUAAAUCUUAGAUGCUUGAAGAACCAGUUUACACCAAUACGCUAUGAACCCUGGACAUCUAAGUCUGCACACACUCCAGCUCAGCCCUUUCCAAUAGGCUAAACUUGCUUUAUUAUAUUGGUGGAAAAGACGACAUUGAAAUACAAAGUAAACCUCUUAUCUGUUUCAAAGACAUGGAAUCAAUCAUGGGGGUUGUUUGUCCAUUUGAUCUUGUAUGUCAAAAUCGAGUAUCUACUGAGAUGCAUAUGACACAAACACGCAGUGCUUGUAAAUUGUCUCACAUGUAUGAAGUGUGAAUAAGAACUACUAAUAAACAAGUUUAAUAACAAUCUUUCAGAAAUCAGACAAUAAUGCUGGGAGGAGAAAAAAUAUUUCCACUAUUGGACUUUGGUAGGAAUAUUAGAGAAUCCUAUCUGAACCAGGCAAAAUUGGUGAUGAGUAUCUGAAUUCCAUUUAUGAGAAUUCUAACCUUGGUUUCGUUAUUGUGGAUUUCUUUCCAUGCUUUACUAAGAUACCAGUUAUCGUCCUUCUGCGUGUUAUGCCGGAAAAAUGAGCAAGCUCACUGGUGAUGCUGUUUCAGAUUAGAUAUAAAAAUUUUGAUGAAAUUGAUGAGGGAAAGAAGUGGUGGAAGCUCCCAUUUGUUUCAGAGUUCCUCAGGCAAAAUGGGUUUGAGUCUACUUUGAAAUCAAUUGUUGGGUCUGAUAGUGUGCCGGCUCGGCAGUUUGUUGAAUAUGCUUUUGGGCAGUUGAAAUCCUUUAAUGAGAUAUAUCCUUGGAAGGAUAAGCUUUUAAAUAGUGGUAAAUAUGUAGCAGAAGGGGAAUCGGUCAAUGCCACUGCUGCACCUGAGAAGUCUUCAUCUGUAGAUGUUCCAUUGCUGAAUGACCAGAGCCUGAAUGAAGAGAACAUUGUUGUUGAGUCUUCCCCUGAUUCAACUGGAUUUGAGAAUGCUAAUGGAGAAAAAAUGCUAGUUGGUGAAUCCAUACAGUUUGACAAACAUUUCUGGAAGAACUUUGCAGAUGUUAUUGUUGGUGUUUUUGUGCGGAAGCGUGUGUGUGUGUGUGCAAGUGUUAUGUAAAAAAAUGGAACACAAGGCAAGGGGGGAAUGGGAAAAAAAGCUUUUAUUUAGAAAGUGUUUUAUUACAAAGAAGUGUGUAGUUUUUUCGGCUACAAGGAACAACAAACAUCAAACAUCCAACUCCUAUUUAUAGGCGUGAGCACCGCCUUCCUCCACCGACAUCUAGUACAAAAACCAAUAUAAAAUUACAAGUUUCCUUUUUUAUCUUCUGCUUGUGCGCGGCUUGUUCCGCAUCUUCUGGUGUCUUCUCCAUUUUUCUGCAAUAUUCUAUUUUCAGCAGCUUUUGUUGACUUUUCUUUGCUUUGGCCUUUUGCUUUCUUGCUGUCCACGUGGUCUGCUGCCCACGUACGAGAAAGUUCUUCAUCAUUUGAGAUUUUUCUUGCCUUUUCCUUGCAUGCAUAUGUACUAGAAUCUUCAGCUUUGUCUUGAACAUAUUGUUGCCACCAUUUUUCUUUCUUGUGUAGUCUAGUAUAGUCUAGAAUUUUCUAAAAAAAUGGAUCACUUUUUUAACACUCCUCCUUGAUCCAUUUUUGUGAUACUCCAAGCAUGCUUCUUAAUAUCUCGAAUUUUGUUGUUGGUAGUGCUUUAGUGAAUAUGUCCGCAAUUUGAUCUUCAGUCUUACAAUACUUUAGCUCGAUCUCUCCUUUACUUUGCACUUCACGAAUGAAGUGAUAUUUUAUAUCAAUAUGUUUCGUUCUUCCAUGGAAUACUGGAUUUUUUGAUAUAGCGAUUGCGGACUUAUUGUCGCAAAGUAUCGGAGUUGAUUCCGUUUGUGCUUCUCCAAUGUCUUCUAAAAUUCUUCGAAGCCAUAUUGCUUGACUGGCGGUCAUAGCAGCAGCGAUGUAUUCAGCUUCUGCAGUAGACUGUGCCACUGAGUCUUGUUUUUUAGAUAUCCAUGAAAAUAUUCCAGAACCCAGUGUGAAUGCAUAACCAGUGGUGCUCCUCCUGUCAUCAGAUGAUCCUGCCCAAUCACUAUCAGUAUAACCGAUCAACUUAGUUGUUGCGCUAGGUCGGUACCAAAUACCAUAAUCAGUGGUUCCUUGUAAGUAUCUUAGAAUUCUCUUGGCUGCUCCAAAAUGAAUUUGGCUUGGACUCUGCAUAAAUCAUGAUAGUAAACUUGUCGCAUACAUAAUAUCUGGCCGUGUAGCAGUAAGAUAUAGUAGACUCCCAAUUAGGCUUCUGUAGAGUGAAGCGUCUACUUUUUCUGCUCCAUCUUCUUUCAAUAGUUUCUCAUUCAUCACAAGUGGUGUUGCCACUAUUUUGCAAUUAUUCAUCUUGAAUUUUUCAAGGAGCUUUUCGGUAUAUUUCUUUUGCGAGAUGAAAAUUCCUUUAUCUUGAUUGACUUCUAUACCGAGGAAAUAGUUCAUCAAGCCCAAGUCCGUCAUUUCAAAUGUCUUCAUCAUUUCUUCUUUAAAUUCUUGGAUCAUUGUCUCAUUGUUUCCUGUAUAUAUAAGAUCAUCUACAUAUAGAGAGACAAUGAGAGUGUCGGACUUACCUUGGGUCUUGAUGUAGAGUGUUGGCUCACUCAUACUCCUCCUGAAUCCUUGCUUGAUAAAGUAUUCAUCGAUUCUACUAUACCAUGCACGUGGUGCUUGUUUUAACCCAUAUAGGGCUUUCUUGAGUUUGAGAACUUUUUCUUCAUUGCCUUUGACAAUAAAGCCUUCUGGUUGAGCUACAUAUAUUUCUUCUUGAAGGUAUCCAUUUAGAAAUGCUGAUUUUACAUCUAGUUGAUAAAUCUUCCAAUCUUUUUGUGCCGCUAAGGCUAUAAGUGCUCGAAUAGUAUCAAGGCGAGCGACUGGAGCAAAAGUUUCAGUAUAGUCGAUACCUGGUUGUUGCAAGUAUCCUUUCGCCACAAGCCUUGCUUUAUGCUUCUGGAUUGAUCCAUCCGCAUUGAGCUUCGUCUUGUAGACCCACUUGACGCCAAUGAUCUCUGUCUUCGGGUCGAUCGACAAGCUCCCAAGUUUCAUUUUUCUCGAUCAUCUUGAUCUCUUCCUUCAUGGCUUUUAUCCAGACUUCUUCUUUGGAUGCUUGUUUGUAGUUUUCUGGUUCCAAAAUAGCAAAGUUGCAUGUAUCGUAAAUUCUUUUAAGGGCUUUUACCCUUAGUACUGGAGACUCUGGAGUAGACUCUUCUUGUGUUGCUCUUGGAGAGCUUGGUGGAGUUAUAUCGUGAGUGGUAGAAUCCGGUACUACUCCUUCUUGUGACAUUGUCUCCUCUUGAGCAGGUGGUAUGUCUGGCAAGGUUAUGUACUUCUUCUCAAUCUUCUCGCUUUCCCAAUUCCAGGCAGCAUUCUCGUCGAACUCGACAUCUCGACUAAUUAUUAGCUUUUUAGUUCUUAGGUUGUAAAUUCGAUAGCCUUUUGAUUGGUUACUAUAUCCAAGGAAUAUUCCUUUUUCUGUUUUUUCAUCUAGUUUACUCCUUUUUUGAGCAGGGAUGUGGACGUAGCAAAUGCAUCCAAACACUUUAAGAUGCUUUGCUGAAGGCUUUCGUCCACUCCAUGCUUCGACUGAAGUUUUAUUUUGUACAGCUUUCGUUGGACACCUGUUUAGUAGGUAUACAGCAGUAUAAACUGCUUCUGCCCAGAAAGUGUUGGGAAGGCCUUUCUCUUUUAGCAUAGACCUUGCCAUCUCCAUGACGGUUCUAUUUUUUCUUUCAGCUACUCCAUUUUGUGCUAGGGCGUAGCCAACAGUUAGUUGAUGAUGGACUCCUUCAUCUUCACAAAAUUUAUUAAACUCCUUUGAAUUGUAUUCUGUGCCUCUGUCACUUCUUAGGACUUUGAUUCUUUGGCCACUUUGAUUCUCGACGUGGUUCUUGAAUUUUCUAAAGAUAGAGAAAACCUCAGAUUUUUCUCGAAGAAAAUAUACCCACGUCAUUCUUGUGUAAUCGUCAAUGAAUAGGAUGAAAUAUUUAUUUUGACUAGGUGUAGGUGUCCUCAUCGGACCGCACACGUCCGUGUGGACAAGUUCUAAUGGCUUCUUAGCUUUCCAUGCACCUCCAGAUGGGAAGGACUGUCUCUGUUGUUUUCCAAGAAGACAGCCUUCACAAACAUCUGAAAUUUCUGUGAUGGCUGGAAAAUCUCUCAUCAUAUUUUUCUGAUGGAGAAUUUUUAGCCCAGCAAAAUUGAAGUGGCCAAAUCUUCGAUGCCAUAGCCAUGAAUCAUCAAGUUGAGCUUUCAUGGCUAUAUCUUUGACCAAUUUCCAUUGAAUAGGAAAAUUGUUAUUUUUCAUCUUAACAGAGGCAAUGACAUUUUUAUAUUUAUCAUAGAUAAUGCAGGUAUCUCUAUUAAAAUAUAGAGAAUACCCACUUUGUAUCAUUUGGCCCACACUUAAGAGAUUUUGUGCAAGACGAGGGACUAGAUAUACAUUACGUAUAUAUUUUGGGCCUUUAUUCGUUUCCACGGCGAUGGUGCCUUUUCCUUUGACAUCUACUAAUGCACCAUUGCCUAACUUUACUUGAGAUUUCACCGACUUAUCGAUAUCGGUGAAUAUAGUUUCGUCCCCUGUCAUGUGAUUGCUACACCCACUAUCGAUGUACCAUAUUUCGCUUUUAUUGUCAUUUACCGCUUGGCCUGCGUAGAAUGUAUUCUCUUCACUUUCUUUUUUUUCUACAUAGUUUGCUCGAUUAUUUGUUUUCGAGCGACAAUCUUUUUCUACGUGGCCAUAUCUUUUACAAAAGCGGCAUUGUUUUUUAUUUUUAAACCAACAAUCCUUCUCCAAAUGAUUUGUUUUCUUGCAAAUACCACAAGGUGGAUAAUUUUCUUUUUUUAUAAUUUCUCCUCCUCUUUUGUUUUUCCAUGAGCUCCUUCCAUCAUUUUUAGUUUGAUGAGACCGUAUAUUUACUUUAGACUGAAAGGCACUUUCGACCGAAUCUUCAUCUUGUGCCAUUAGUCUUUUCUCAUAUGCUUCUAGAGAGCCAAUUAAUUCACUUAUUGAUAGGGUCGUCAAGUCUUUAGUUCCUUCUAUAGUUGUAACUAUGGAGUUGUAUUUUUUGGUAAGUGACACCAAUAUUUUCUCAACAACCCUUUGAUCAGUUAUCCCAUCUCCAUAGGCUCUCAUUUGAUUAACGAGUUCCUUUAAUUUUCCACAAUAUUCUUGUACGGUCUCAUAAUUUUUCAUUUUAGAAUUCUCAAAAUCUCUUCUUAGUGUUUGAAGACGAAUAGUGCGUACCUUUUCCGAUCCUUGAAAUUCUUCUCGUAGUAUAUCCCAAGCCUCUUUUGCAGUCCUUGCUCCAAUUAUUCUCGGAAAUACGGUUUCCGAGAGUGCUUGUUGGAUAAAAUAUAGCGCCCUUGCAUCCUUUUGUAGUUGAUCCUUCGAAACACUUGCAUCUUCUGGCGGAGCCUCGUGACAUUUUUCCACGAUGUCCCAUAAGUCUUGGGCCAUCAAGAAUGUAGUCAUUUUUAUGCUCCAAAAGUCAUAGUUGUUCCCAUCAAAAAUGGGAAUGGGAAAUGAGGACGAGGUAGAGUUGGCCAUGGUUUAGUUAGUGGGUAUUUGGAAAUAGUAGUUUUAGGAGUGGGUGGGUAGGACAAACGCCCGACACCAACCAAAGACGUGGCUCUGAUACCACUGUUGGUGUUUUGCGGAAGCGUGUGUGUGCAAGUGUUAUGUGUGAAUAAAAGGACUAUAAAGGCAAAGGGAGAAUGGGUUAAAAAGAGGGCUUUUAUUAUGAAAACUUUUAUUACAGAGGAAGGGUUUUGGAAGGAGUGUGUGUGGUUUUUCUCGGCUUCUUAAAACGCACAUCCCAACCCCUAUUUAUAGGCGUGAGCACCGCCUCUUCUUCACCGACAUUGAGUACAAGAAAUAAUAAAAAAUUCAGCUUGCUUCUUUGUCUCUGCAUGUUGCGGCUUCUCCCGAAGAAUCUGGUCUCUUCUCAAUUUUUCUGCAUUAUUCUAUUCUUUGCAACUCCCAGCCACUUUUGUUGACUUUUCAACUAAUUUCCAGCUGGCUUUCUUCCUUCAUACGUAGAGUAGUAUAGGGAGUUCUAGAUUUUUCACAAAAUGGAUCAUAUUUUAACAUGUCAUGAGGUUUAGUACACAACUGACUAUAUUAUUCUGAAGAAUUUGAUUCCGUUGAAUACUCGAAACACAGAAAUCUGACAAAUUGGAGUUUGAAUUAUUGAAACUGCGACAACAAUUGAAUAGAAAUGUAAAAGAGACUUGGGGUUGAUGCCUGAUUAUAUAUCGAAAUACCAUGUGUUUGACAUACAGACCUCCUUGUCAAAGCCCUGUAUGCUAUUGGAAAUACGUAUACGUAUUAGGCGCAUUUUGUGGGCUACUACAUGGUCACAUGGUGCACUUGUUUAUAUUUUAAGUUUCAAUGGGUCAGUUUUGUCUACUGGUAAUAUUUUCCUCCAAUCAUACUUUCAAUUAAGAGGUCACAGAUUAUGGACAUUAUCAAUAUGCAAAUUCAAUCAAAAUCAAAUACGAGUGAUGUUAAUAUUUGUGUGAUCCAUCAAUGAAAGUUAUGGCUAAAAAGAGUUCAUCCAGCUAGAGCGUUACAUGUGCAAAUAGAGAUAAAAUAAAUUUAGAAUUCUAUCUGUGAACUUUUACAUCAUUGACUACGGUUGCUAACAAGCAUUUUCAUUGCAAAUUUGACAACAUUUUUGGAUGGCUUUUGGACUAUCGAUGUUGAUUACAUAAUUACGUCGUGAUUCAGUUUGAUCAUGUUCAGAUUUAGUUUUCUUACAUUUAUUUGAAUCUAAGUUACUAUUAUUGCACAUGAUCUAAGCUCCAACAAUAUUCUCACAUGACAUUUCUUGCUUGUCAAUCAUGUGACUUUAAUGAUGUUGUGAUUUAAAUCGGUUACACGUAAAAAGUUUCAGUCAAUAAUUGACACAAAUAGUAGUAGUGGACCGACCACAUAACAUUAUAUUGGCAGUGCAAAAUCUAAUUUCAAGAGAUCAAUAGCAUAACUGCAGCAAAUAUCAAACUUUAGGACCGUGAAUGAAAUUUCUCGGUGUUAAAAAAUAAUUUUCCUUCUCUUGUCGCCGCCACGGAGAAAAUCUUUUAGCACCGCCACUGGAAAAAAGGAUCGUGGUUUUCUUCCAUCACAAAUUUGAUUGGCGAGUUAUCAAAACCUGAAGAAUCAUCCUAGAGACCGAUUCAAGGACAGCAGUUGAUCUACUAGUUGGCAAGAUUACAGAGUCGUUGAGGCCAGAUUGGGUGGUGAAAACCAACACAGCCCGUGAAGGCAAAACGUGCGACGAUUGAUAAGCCAAUGCAGCGUUCUUUAAGAGACCAGAUUUAGUUAUUCACUUGAGUUUAUCUACGGGCUUCAAUUUGUACUUUUUAGGAGAUAAAAGUGGGUGUUAGGAGGCUGGGAGUUGCAUAUGAGAUGUGUUAGAAAUCAAACCAAAUUAAUAAAUGUCGUCAAUCAACUACGAGUUGCUGAUGUCAAUGGAGAAGUUACUGAUAUUAAUGGUUGUCAAUUUCGAUAUUCUAGAAUUUGAUACCGAUGAUUUUGUUUGGUGAAUUGAUACCGAUGAUUGUUCGAUGCUCGAGUUAAUUAGAUUCUUUAUUGUAGCGUUGUUUUUUAGAAGUCUUGACUGUUCGUGUUUCUAAGUGUAAUCAAUGUUUUGUAAGUUCUUAGGAUUUUCUCACUUUAGAACAUUAGCUAUAUUUAUGAGUCAUUUAGUUUAAGAGUUAUGUGUGAAGCAUAUAAAAGUCGAGUCCUGUAAUUGUUUUUGAUAAGGUGAAAAAAAGGUGAAAUAAACAAAUGGAUAUCUGUCUCCUUCUCUUUUUGGUGUUGCGUUAGUGAGUGUUUCAGCUUUAAAUUAUCCCAUCAAGAUGUAGCUUGUAUUUGUCUUUUACGAAAGCUCGAAAUUUUCUAGUUUGAUGCCAUAUGAAAUUACGAAGGAGCACUAUUAGCUAUUAUAGAAGUUUAGAUAAUUAGAUGGAUGCAUUAUUCAGUACUUAAUUGAUAUAAACGUCUUUUUCACGACCCAUGUUCCUUUUCAACAACUAGAUUACUUGCACAGCUUGGGAUCAAUGGAAGGAGAGCUGUCUAUAGAAGUGGAGGAUGGUGGAAUGAACAACUCGAUCGCGGAGGAGGUGAAAAAGGAUGAAAGAGGACCUUUAACGGAAGUGUCGAAGGAUGAAAGGGAUUCUGAAGAAGAAAUCUGGAGAGGUCGACGGGAGAUAAUGAAUAAUGCAUUGACGGCUUCCGCGGGGGGGCAAGAUCCGGCAAAAGCUUACGAAUAUGCUCGAAAACUGGAGCGUGUCAUCAUAGGCGGCAAGGUUGACGAGUUCCUUUCCAUGAUCAAUGUAAAUGAUCCAUUGUUGCGGGACAUCGAUUGGUCUGCCGUUUUAAAUUCCCGACUGGAAUGGAACGAAUCACUGCUCCACAGGGCAGCAGCAACCGAGAACGACGACAUCCUAAGGCUUCUGGUUGAUUAUGUUGGUGACCACCUCAUAACCGCCCAAGAUGAUCGGGGAUAUACCCCACUCCACUGGGUCGCUCGGUUGGGGGGAUCUACUGGAGCUGCAGAGAUGUUGAUUCACCGGGCAAGAGGCCUCCCCAAUGUCGAGGACAAGAACCUCUUGAGGAUGAAGAACAAACGUGGAAACACCGCUUUGCACUAGGCCGUGUGCUCUUAACAUGCCAACUUGGUGCGCUAUUUGUUGAGCGAAGAUUUGGAGCCCGUGUACUGGAAGAACGCGAGUGAGAAAUCUCCCCUGUACCAAGCCCUCGACAUUAACGACUCCGCUGUACAUGAGGCUUUAUUUUCACUCGCUUUGGAACCAUCAAAAGUAGAAGGCUUGCCGCCCAUUCAUGGUGCCAUUAUACGUUCACGACGCGGUACGUACCUAAAUCUGCUUAUAUGGAAAUAUAUUUAUCUAUUUCUGGACUGACUCGUCCCAAAUCUGUGCAAUAACUUUUUGCUCUUACCAGAACCCCUUACCGGUUUUUACUUAAAAUUCCCUACCCUGCUUGUUAAAGUAGUUGGAUACCCAUCGGUUUAGCCGCAUAAUAAACAAAUUAUUCACAUUAGAGCAUAAUAGAUCGGCUUAAAUAUUACAAAUACAACCAUUUCACUAGAAACUCAUGUGUUGUCGAUCUUUGAUUAGAAAGGCUAUAAAGUGCAAAUAUUUAAGAUUGAUGACCAUGAAAAUCUGGAAUCUAACAAUGAUGCCAUGUUUAAGCGAAUGAGAGCCAUGAACCAAAAUGAACAAAUGAAAAUUUAGGGCAUGAAUUAUGAACUGGUAGCAAAUCUGUAGGUUGCGCAAGCAUGCUAUAUUCAUUGGAAAAAGAGGAGGUGAAGGUUCCGUCACUCUCAGCAAAUUGAUGGAACAUCGUUGUUUGUGACAAACAGUCAAUAGGUUUUGAAGAAAUUAAGAAAAAUGGAUUUAAGUAAAGAAAGAAAGUUUGAUUUUUUUAUAAAUGAAUACAGUUAUCAUAAUCUUUGCAGAAAAAGCCAAUACUGUAAUCUAGCCUAAAUUACCUUGACCAUUAACAAUAUUGAGAUAAACUUCAUCAGACACACGAUAAUCAAUUAUGUAGAAUUUUUUGGCUGCUAACGCCAUGGAUCCCUAGUUUACUACUUGAAAAGCGCAUGUUCAUUGAUCAUUAGAUUGGUGGAUUGCAUUCAGGUGUUACAGUCAUAUCAAAUAGGGAGAAUUGUUCAAAAACUUCUAGACUUAUUGUAUGGCUGUCAAUUCAGUCCUAAACAUUCAAUUGUGCUAAUUUAAUAUCCAUUUUAGUUCUAAACCUUUCAAAGAUUUGCCAAUUUAGUCAUUCCGAUCAAUUUUUACUAGAAAUUGCUGACAUGACGAUUUAGUCAAAGCUAGCUGUCCUACAUGAUGUUGAUCGCUUAUGUGGCUUUUUAACAAUAUUUUUUAAUUUUUUGCAUUUUUUCCUUUCCUUUUUUUUUUUUUUAAUCUUUUUUUCCCUCUGCCAGCCUCAAGUGAGGGUUGCCCUCCGACCCUUGCAUAGGGCAACCCUUGCCCUUGCUCAACCUCCACCAAGCAUCAACCGUUGAUGGUUGGGGAGGGGAAAAAGGAAAAAAAAUUAGAAAAAUAAAAUAAAAAAAAAGGUAAGGAAAAAGGAAAAAAAAUUAGAAAUAUAAAAAAAUUAUAAAAAUUAUUCACGUUAGCGUUAGCCGUAUCACGUAGGAUGACCAGUGCUAUUAGACUGCCAUGUUAAUGAUUUCUAAAAAAAAUUGGCUGGAAUGACUAAAAUGACAAAUCAUUAAAAUGUUUAUAAUUAAAUUAGCACAAUCAAAAGAUUUAUGACUAAAUUGGUAAGUUAUUAAAAAUUUUAUGACUAAGUUGGCACAAUUAAAAAAUUUAAUAUUGAAUUAAUCGUCAUAUAAUAGAUUUAAGACUUUUUGGACAAUUUUCCCUAUCAAGUAUAAUUCCAACCCUAGAUGCAGUGACUUUAUUUUUAUCCCGUCGCAAUUUAUUAAUCCAAGCACAUGUUAUUAUUUACAUUGCACGACAUAACAUGUUUAAGGCUCUCUAUUUGAACUGAACAUGCAAAAACAAUUUCAAAUAGACAUAAAGUGAAAAUGCGUAACAAUGUAUUAUGUGAUGCAAAUAAUAAAUUAGCAUACCCAAUAAAUUUAUGUGUCUAAACUUAUGUUGCACCCGUUGAAUAGAUUGUAGAAGUCGACCCGCACACACAACGUUCAUAGUCCAUUUACAAACGGCUUAACUUAUUUGUGAUGAUACGAUUAAACCUAAUUCUACCAUAUUCAACCACGUAGUGAACAUGUAUGUAAAAGGGUCGUUUCAUAGUUUGUCAGCUCAUAAUUCUAAUAAGCACUUUAGAAACUAUACGAAAGUUCCCAUUGAAAUUGGAUUUAUUAUGUAUAUCUUAUUCUUAUUAUCCAAUAUAUAAAAAUCCUUUAUGAAGUACUACUGAUUGAAAUGUCGUAAUAAUAGUUCAGUUUAUUCUUCAUUGAAUGUAAAAGUAGAUGACAUUGUGGAAUGAAUCGAGCCUUGCCAUGGGCUUUUGUAGAUAGGCACUUUAGUUAGGUUAUCAUAGUAGGCAUUUUUUUUUUUUUUUUAAGGUUCAUAUCAACUAAAUGAGGUAAGGUUAUUUCUUUAAAUCUAGUAAUAUUCUUUCACUUAGAAAAAUUAUCCAAAAAGUUCUAAGCCUAUUGCACUUUUACCAAUUCAAUCAUAAACCAUUCAAUUUUGUCAAUUUAAUCCUAAACAUUUUCACUUCUUGCUAAUUGAGUCAAUUUAACUAAUUUUGAUCAAAAUUUGUUAACGUAGAUAAUUUUUAAUAACAUUUUAAUAUUUUUUGAAAUUUUUUAUACUUUUUUUCAUUUUUUUUUCUUUUCUCUUUCUUUCUUCCCCCCUUUCUUCUUCCUAUUAUUAGUGGCCGGCUACCAAUCACAGGCUAUGGCCAACUACCAGCCAUGGCUAGGUGAGCAAAACUUGCCUACCAUAAGUGAUGCCUGGCUGGGUGAGGCCAAGUCUCAGUGAGGGUCGGUCUCGCUUGGCCUCCCCUAGGUUAGGCGAGACCAACCCUCGCCAAAACUGGGCGAGGGUGAGCCCUCCUGCUCGGCCAAGUCUUACUUGGGGCAUGUGAGGCUAGCUGGCUUGGCCAUAGUCAGUGGCUGGCACAAAAAGAAGAAGAAAGCUAAUAAGAAAAUUAGAAAAAAAAAAUUUUAUCUUUAAAAAUUGUUUACAUUAGUGCCGAUUGCGUAGGACUCAAUUAGCAAGAAGUAAAAAGGUUUAGGACUGAUUGAUAAAAUUAAAAGGUUUAUGACUAAAUUGACAUAAUUGCAAUAAAUUUAGAAUUUUUUGGACAAUUUUCACUUUCACUAAUGUACCUAGAAUGUAACCGGUUGCCCAUAUUGCUUAAUUGAAAUUUGUGGCCUGAAUUGCUCUGUCAAUUUCAAGAAUGACGGCAUCCAUCAUUCGAGCAUUUUUUUUUUAAAUUUGUGUAAAACUGAAAUAUGUUUUUUUAUUAUAAAUAAUUUGUAAAAUAGUAUUCUAUUUCAUAUAAAAUUUCCUCAUUUGAAUAGAAUAAAUGUGAAAUUCUUUAUUCAUGUUAUAUAUUAAUGUAAAAUAUAGAGGACUCGACAACAGUUAGAAAAUUCCUAAUUUGUGACUCAUGAAAUUUGUAUUUGUACUUAAUAAUAUUAUUAGAGUAUAUUUUAUAGGAAGUAUUAUAGAAAUGUUAGAAUUUUCAAUAAUUGCUCAUUUGCAGUUUUUGAAACUCAUUAGAACUAAUUUCAAUAAAACUAAUGUCUGAACAAAAGUCAUGGUAUACGAGGCAAACAUAAAUCCUAAUUUGAAGCAAAAUAAAUGGAAAGUGGAAGAAAAACACUCUUUGUGAGGAAAAUAAUCAAUCCCUUACACAUUAGAGCCCUAAAAAUCACUUUUAGAGACAAUUCUUAAAGAAAAAAUCAUUAUUUAUUUAUGUAUAUGUUACAACGGUCUAGAUUAAUUUGCAAAGUUCAUUGAACUUUUAGUAUUAUGGAUGUAAUUUUUCUGGCGGUAAAAUGAGACUCGUUUUGUUUUGUGUUGUGUCAUCACAGCUUAAAUAUGUGGUCGUUAUAGCUAGGAUAUAUAUGACUCCAUGCGAUGCACCUACAAGAUAGAACAUAUAAUGUGAUUUAUUGAGUAAAAAUAUCUGUCCCAGAAUCACUAAAAUUUCACAAAAUAUAUUUGGUCCAUUCACAAGAUAUAAUGGGAUUGAGUAGCACAAUCCCCAAGGAUGAGGUUAUCUCUAAAUCACUCUCGCCUGUCUUUGAAGUCCAAUGGCCACCCACAAUCCUCAAACACCGUUGGAAUAUUCUCAAACAAUUGAAGCACCUCUCUCACAUUAUUGAACCUCUUUACUAGCACCUCCAAAUUUUCAUAGUUGGGGCCAAAAAAAAAUUUCUUUUGGUGGAGCCUUUUCCUUUCUGUAAUUUGUGAUUUAUAAGCUCUACUAUCUUAGAAAUAGAUUCUGGUCACAAAUUUUACUUAGAUUUUGCUCACAAGUUUUGGUAAAUACAUAAUCUCUUAAUUGAGCUGAAUAAGUGCCAUAUACCUUUACGAAGAAGAUGACGUUCAAUCUAGAGAGGGUGGAACAAUUUUAAGGGGGAUUUCGGUACGGUGUUGUGGAGGCUAUUGCAAUGUUCUCGACAAUUAAAUAAGUUUGCUUGAUACUUGCUAGAAUUCGAUGGACAUAAUAUGAAAAGAUCAUUUUCCUUUUCUUGAUCUUGCCCUAGCUUGCAUUACGCCUGCCGACUCUAUAGAUACUUCAUGGCGUGGAAAUGCCAUAUAAAUUGCUAUGUCAUUUAGUAAGAUUUUUAUAGUGAAAUCUUAAGCACCCGUCGAUGUCAUUAACUAGUUUUGGUAUUGCAAUCUAAUCUUGCAAUCUAAUAUGUUAUUGUCGACUAUCAAUACUAGUAGUGAUUAAGGCACAUCAAAGAUGUCCUUACUCCAAAAUGGGUUUAAAUAUAUUGAGACCAACCAAGCUCCAACCAUCCUAAUUUGGAGCUCCUGAUCCCAGAUUUAUUCGACCUGAUACUCAAGAAAAACAUGGAGCUAUUUGCAAUGACCGACUCCAACGGGGGCAAUGUAUUCCAUUUAGCAGCUCACCUGAAUCACGCCUGGGUAUUCGAAUUCUUACGAACAGAAACUGAAUAUUUGACCCUAGAACGGGACAUGAAUGGAGAUCUCCCCAUUCAUAUUGCAAGCAAGAUGGGUUAUGUUGAACAUAUCGAGAAGCUAAGGAAAGUAUCACUAUUGCCAAAUGGGCAAGGGCAAAACAUUCUUCAUAUCGCCGCAAAAUAUGGUAGAGUCUCCGUGGUGAGAUAUAUACUCAGCGAUCCAAUUCAAGGGAUGCUGUUAUAUGCAAUAGAUAAUGAUGGAAAUACAGCUUUGCACUUGGCUGCGAUGCAUUCACAACCCGCUGCUUUGAUUCAUCUUGUGCGGACUGACGGAAUUCUACCAAGCGUGUUCAACAACGAAUGCUUGCUCGCUGCUGACAUUGCUCGACGACGACACAAGGCAGAGGGGUAUAACAUUCGGCAUGUAGGUAACAUGAACAGUCACUAUUUUAUUUAUUAACUUACUGGAGAUUUCGUAGACUAAUGCAUUAGUUAAGGCAGAUCUUGUAUUCAAAUCAUUAUGUCUCCCAGGCCAAAUAGAUAGUAGAAGUAUUGAUCAAAUUUCUAGAAUAGCCGAGACUCCUCUUGGAUAAGUGUUCUGCAAGUCCCUAAUUUAGUCUUGAUAGGAGGUAAAUUAAAAUUUGUGAUCAUGAAUUUCUCUGCAGUUAGAAACAAGUAACGUGUCUUUCAUAACACGGAGAUAACAAUUUAUAUAAUUCGUUUAAUUGAGCCUCUGAAUACGGUCAUGAAUAAAAAGGCAAGGUUUGUCAAGGUUGCAUUCUGUUUUUCAUAAAAAGCCAGGGGUCAAUGUGGCAAAUUUGACCGCUCCAAAUGUAGCACAAUCUCAUAACAUUAUCAUUUUUUGGACCUAUGAAAUGAUUGCCCGCAUAGAUUCCAUUCAUGCCUCUUUUUUCGUCUAAAACGAACUUCGUAAUUUUGUGCUAAUUCUUCAAAAAGAGCAGAAACUGCAUCUUUAGAAGCCAACGUUUCCAGAGUUCAUUCCCGUUAUCGAUAUGGUAUAAGUUUGUUCUUAUUUUCCCUUUUACAUGCUUCCGAUCUCAGCAAUUGGCAUACCUGGCGUUGCUUUGCUCGCACGCGGGAAAAGGUCCACUUGGAAACCAAGAGUUAUUCUUACUUAGAGCGAAAGCUCGAGAUGAAGAGUUAUCAGUAGUCCGCUCGCGCAAAAGCAUGCCGAGCAGGGACAUCGUCAAGGAUUACAUCAAUUCCCGUAUGGUGGUGGCAACGCUUGUGGCCACAGUGACUUUCGCAGCUGGUUUUGCAGUUCCUGGAGGAUUUAACAGCUCGGACACAGACUCCAAAGAUGAGCAGGGCAUGGCUACGAUGCUGGACAAUAAAAUGUUCCAGGCUUUCGCGAUUUGCAACACCAUCGCGAUGUUCUGCUCAAUAACUGUGGUCGUCAACCUCAUCUGGGCGCAGAUAGUUGAUGUCAACGUUGCAGUCGCUGCAUUCGAGCGCACAACGCUACCACUACAAAUUGCACUCCCGGCGAUGUCCACCGCUUUCUUAACUGGUGUCACCUUGACCAUUGGCAAACUCCCGUGGCUUGCUAACACCAUAUUUUAUUUGGGACUCGUUUUCCUCAUUAUCUCAGUUGCUAAAUUGUUAGAGAAGCCUCUCUUCUUUCACAUCUGCGGCCGUCCUCUCCGUCGACUAACAUUCUGGCUUAUUCUGGCUUACAUUUAUGUGUGGAGAGUUGAGACGUACAUUUAUGAUGACGAUGACGCGAAAGAUAACAGAAGGGAGAGCAAGACCUUCGCUAGUCCGCCUGUGGAUGUUGCCGGUGAAUCGAGGACCGGUGACACGGCGAAAGCAAAAUGUGGGGAUGCGUUACAUCCUCCAAGUCACUGAUUUGAAUUGAUCAUUCCAUAUUAUCUGUAAUAUGUAGUAAUAAUAUAUGUUUUCCUUGGUGAGUGUGACUCACUCUACGGUUGCUUUCCUUUAUGUCAGAUCAAAGGUGAUUGUUAAUGUAUGUAAACUAAACCAUGUGUUUCUCUAAUAACUUAACUUAUUAGAAUUGUUGGAUAUAAUUCCAUCAAAUUUCAUAUGUUAUUAAAGCAGAUGUUCUAAGUUCAAACAUUUUCAGGUCCUAUUUGCUUCAUCUAUUAUAUGUUCUCAUGUUUCAAUCUUAGAUCAAUUCAAGUUUACGAGUGAAGAUGAGUAUAAAAAUAUUUGUAUUAAAGUAUUUGAAUUAAACAUCGCAUCCAUCUAAUAAUUUAAGUUUUUAGAACAAUUAAUUGUAGCUUCCCGAAAUUUCAAAGUGAUACACACUUCACGUAAAUUGAAUGGAUGAAUGGCUCAUUGCGUCCAUUUCAUCCCCCUGGAAUCAAAUUGUUAACUUUGAACAUGUGGAACCUUGUGGGUUUAUGAAAUCACUCGUUUGGAAUGGCCAUGUCCGAUUUACUUUGAACCAGUCCAAUUUGCAGCACUCACUUACCCGUCUGGUGUGCAAAGAAAAUAAUUCUCAUCGCCUACUCUCUGAGUCGAGAGUUAGGUGAAGAAAAUCGGAACAAAAUAAUUCUCUUCACUCCUGACAAAAAAAUAGAAUCAAACACCGAACUCAUUUCCAUUUACACCCCUUUCAUUUCCCCACUUCUCCCUCCUAGGCGCCCAAUUUCUGUGCAUGCAAAUGAGUUUUGGUGUUUGAUUCGUGGCGGGGUAUAAUCUUAGUGAGCAGCGGGCGCAGAAGUCUAGUCAAGGGACGACAUAAAAAGGAAUUGCAGUACGCAACUCAAGGAGAAUUGUGGAAAAGUCUGGAUAUGUGAUUUUCCUCCUCUGAUCUCUGAUUUUUAUUUCAAAGCUGGUUGGUAUUGACACGUAGAAUAUAACUCUAAAGUGAUUCUGGACCUAUUUAUUCGACAGUGAACGUAGAUAAUUACAAAAAAUAAAAAGGAUCCCAUUGUACGAAUGUCUAUUGAGCUAUAAACUAUUAAAAUUAAUUGAUCUAAUUUUAAACAUCUUGAUGAUUUGUCAAUAUAAUCUCCAACUUUGACCGAAAAUCGUUAACGUGGACAUUAGCCAUCCUUUGCACAUGACCGGUAUUGAGUUGGACAAUUUUCGUAAUUUUAAAAAAAAAUUCUCAAUUUUUUUCUUUUUUUUUCAUGUUUUCAUUUUCUUCAUUUUCAUUUCUUAUAUUUUCCUUUUUUCUUUUUCUUAUUCCCCUUCGCCAGCCAUUGGCCAGUCCAUGGCUUCGGUGAUUGAUGGCAAGGGCCCAGAUGCCCUCGCCAGCUAGCAAGGGCUGAUGGAUUUGCUGGGGCCACAUACUAAUGGAGGGACAAAGGAAGAAAAAAAAGGAAAGAAAAGGAACUAAAAAAGAAAAAAAAAGUUUUGAAAAAAUUGUAAAAAUUAUUCACAUCAGCAUCGGCACCUAGAUCUGGGCGAGGCCAAUCUCUUCAUGGCCUGGCCUAAAUCUGGGUGAAGCCACCUUGCGCACGGCCCCAAGACCUCGCUCGUGGCCGACGAGACUCAUCAAAGAACCAAAAGAAUCAAGAAGAGAAAAAAAUUAAUUUAGACGUCCCGAUUAAUUAAUGAUUUCCCUAUAGCUUGUACCUCUAAAGUCAAUUAAAUAUUAUUAAUGGAUUAAAGUCGCAUAUGUUGCACUUCGCACUAAGAAUAAUGAGUUAUUAAGGUUCCUUUUAUUUAGCAUAUAAAUGAUUUGAAAAAUAUUUUCCUAAAAACGAUUGUUUAUAUCGCUUAAAAUAAUUAGUUGAUGAAAAAUAUUUUCAUUAUCGACAAUAAUUUAUAUCUAAAUAUUUAUGUGGAUGAUAAAAAUAUUAUUCGUUUAUUCAUUCCUAUAAGUGAUAUUGACAAUUAUUUUUAAUAAAAAAAUUUCUAAAUUAUUCAUUUUACGUGAAAUAAAUGCACCUUACUUGACAAGUUUUGAUAAUUGCGUAAUUCCUAUCAAAGAAAAAUAAAUAUAAUAUAUUUCAACUAAAAUCGCCAAAAUUAAAUACAGGGAGACUUAAAAAUACCUUGUCGAUGGUAUAGGUGUGCAUGUAGAAUUUGAAUAGUUGGAUAAAAGAAAUAAAUAAAUAAAUAAAAAGCGUCCGAAAGGAACUUUGAAAGGGUAAAUGAGGAAAAAAGGAAGAAUUGUGGAGGAAGAGAUGGAAGUCAAAGCCGGCCGGAGCAAUAAACUCGAAUAAAAGAAUAAAUUAGGUUAAAACUUCUUGAUUUUUUUCUCUCCCUUUUGAUUCGUUUUCAUUUCUGCGAUUGAUUUUGUCAUUUUGAGCUUAGGUUGCUACCUAAUAGGCAGAAAUUUUGUAACAUUUGAUAUGAUAUGCAAAUACACAUUACUUGUGUAUAUCUCGAAAAUCUCCACUUUUGGACACUGUUUUUUGCUGGCUUCUAAAAAAUGCCCUUCUAUUAAUCUUCCGAGCGUUAAAAACUACAAAAUACAAACUAAAAAAGUCAGAUUGUGAGAGCAACUUCUGUUUGCUCUUUCUUUUGUUUUGCAUCGCAUAUUGGUCCUUCACCUAUUUUUGUAUGCUGAUAGCUAAUUAUAAACACCAAGUUGCUUCAAAGGUCAAAGUUGAAACAAGCAUAUAUUGAAAUGUAGAGGCAAAAGAAAUUAUGCAGGUUCUCGAAACUCUGGUGAUUGACCGUGGGGACAUCACCCGAUCUCGGUAUGUUGAGCUUUUUGAUGGCGAUGGUUGCCAGUUCGGCCUUGUAAACGCUCCCGAACCAGCCCUUUCCAAAGCAGUACUUUUCACUGCAUUCAUUGCUAGUCUUGGCGAUGUCAUUGAAUGUGAACUUCCCUUCCCUUCCCCAUAUGAUCGACUCGGAUUUCUCUUACUUUACAAGACUCUUGAUCCCUUCAUCGAAUUCCUUGUUUCGCCACCGAACUGCCAGAAUCACAGCAUUUGAAGUCACCAGAAGUAGUAAACAGCAGACUGCCAGGGUCACACCAAUAAGAACCUUUUCCCUAUGGUCGGUCGAUUAUUGCUCGUCCCACAAGGAGAUAAUCUGGUCGCAUUUCCACACAAACCCGGAUUCACGAUUAAAGCACUUCCCCAUGCUUGUUGGGAGAGGCGACUACUACGAACCGCACUGAUUGGCUCGUUGUACGAUAAGUCUAUUGAGCUUCAACUCCUCAUGCUGGUGAGAGGAGCUGGGAUGGUACCCGACAAUUUGUUACGCAAAAGAUUGAGAUUUUCCAAUUCAGUGAGCUUUGCUAAAUUGGAAGGAAUUGAUCCUGCUAGAGAAUUGUGGCUCAAGUCCAGGAGAUUCUGUAACUUGAACAAGUUCCCCAGCUCUGGCAAUAUGACAUCCAACAGAUUAUUGUUGCUCAAGUUCAAGCUCGGUAAAUUCUUGCAAUUCGCUAGCUCUUCUUGUAUGCUACCACUCAAUGCCUUCUCCCCAACAAAUCAAGAUAUUCUAGCUUCGAUAAGUUUCCUAAUGAGGUGGGAAUAUCUCCAGCCAAAUGGUUGUAGCUCAAGUUCAGCUUAAUCAACGCCCCCAGACUUACCAAAUCAUUGGGAAUUUUCCUGGUCGAUUCAUUGCCAUAUGGAGUCAGAUCGCGCAAUUGAGACAAUUUCCCAAGCUCCGGAGAGAUGCAGCUGCGGAUUUUGUUACCAUCUAUCUGCAAAUUCGUGACAUUCGUGCACUCUCCCCAUUCUGCGGAGAGAUUCCCGACAAAUCGGUUGUUGCUGAGGGCCUGAGGCUUAUAAAGUCCGGAUUCAGAUAAACUCCAAGCGCACUCAUGACAUCUGCAGUGAACCGAUUGCUGUCCAGACGGACUCUGGUUAGCCCCGGACAAUUCCUAAGCAGUUGGGCAGCGGCUCGGUGAAGUUACUCCCAUCGACCACGAGAUAUCAAAAAGAGCAAAGCCGCUGCAUAUAUCUGGCGGCAGCUCUCUGGUGAAGCUGUUGUUCAAAAAGCUAACGUUGCCCAGAGAAUGGCUGUACUUGCCGAAAUCACGUGGUAUGCCUCCCGAGUAAUUGUUCAUGAACAAAGAGAUGGACUGUAAGUGAUGCUACGUUAUGGCUUUUUCCUUCCCAGCCCUGAUCUCCUCUUCUUCAACUUGAAGUGCCUCCUUGGUGGUAUACUUGCUCGUCAUCUUGCAAGCCGACCUUCAUCACUGACAGCCUCUCAAACUUGACCUCAUAAUCAAUCGACUUGAGUUUGUCGUCCAAUGUGUCGCCUUCAAUUAUCGUCUACCUACACACGAAGUUCUCCUUGUCGAGCUCAUUGAUCCGGUGCUUCACAUUCUUGAAAUGACUAGCUGCACUUGUGACCAAACAAGACUUACAUUAUGAAACUCCCGGCUUGACGAGUGUCUGUUGAGUGUACGUACCUUUGGCGAUAUUAACUUGCUUGAUGCUUCCGGCUCCUCUGUCGCCUUGCACGAGCUCCAUGCUCUUUAUGAACUGAGGCAGGAGCUUUGGGAUCAGGGAAUUCAACCCGACGAUCAAGGCCUUGAACAUGUGAGCUGGAGCAAUCGGGCACGUGAGCUCUUGUGUGAUGCUGGUUGCACCCAUGGCUAUUGGCAAUGAGAAAGAAAUAACCCCAGAGAAGCUUGUGCUUCUGAGUCCUGUCAAUGCCUCCUAUUUAUGGUUAGAAUUAUGUGAAUAGGUAGGCUUGGUUUGGCAAGAGUCACGUUUGAGGAAAAUAGAAGAGUCAAGGAUUUGCCGCCUAAAGAAAUGUAAAAGAGGAAUUAAGUUGGUCUCUUUUGUUCUUUUGGUCGUGAAAAUGAUUUCGGUCCCUUUCAGAUUCAAGUUGUUGAAAUAUCAAAGUAUAUGUGCCAAAAGAUGAACACGAGAGCGCAUUCUCAUGCUCACAUGGGCGGCCAUCACUUAGAAUUGAUUGUUGUGGAGUUUGAUACAACGAUUCAGCCAGACUAUGUGACGACGUGCUUAUCUAAUAUCGCGAUCAAAUGUCCUUGUUUAGAAAAGCGACUGUUCAUCGAAUUUCAUUUAAUAUGUAGAAAACAAGAAUACUUGAUUAGUUAGUGAUAUGACAACCAUUGUCUAUCCACAAUCCUACUCUCCAAUACAAACCUUGCAAAUACUCAAAAAAUUUGUUUCUUAGCAUGAUCAUAUUCUGGUAGAUAAUAACCAUAUGCAUGUGUCCACUUGAGCACUCGCCUACACUCAACUAUCUGCAAACAUCAAAGGAGCCUAAUUUAGUUUCACAGAAGCAGGUCAGGAUAAUAAAUCAAAAACACCCCAUCAGAUUUUAACCUAUAUAACAGCUGUAUUUACAUUCCAAACUGAAAAUCACAUAAAUCAUAUUUAAGUUGGAUUAAGUAAUAAAACCUGUUGCCAGGCCUCUUUGAUGAACUUCAACUGUGACUCCGGCUGGCAUUGUGUGUCACUAAGCUUAUCGAGCUGACAAGAAGAAAAGACAAAACCUUAUUUAAUCAAUAGCAAAGGGUCAGGAAGCAUCAGCAGCACAACAUAAUAACCAGAUGAAUAGAAAAGCCAUGCAUCUUGCUUCCUAUCACAAGAAAACAAAGAUCAAUUUGUUAAUUUAACAUCAUAAGCAACUUAUCGCAACUCAACCUGCCCAGUUGCCACUAAGCAUCAACACAUUUACCCAGUAUAGAUUCUUCAGACACAACUGCAAUCCUUAGUGUACUCAAUACCCAUGACUGUCAGACUAAAAUGUUAGCCCAAGUACAGAGAGGCAAACACAUACAGAAACAAAGAUCGUCCUGGUCUUGUGGCACUCCUUAAUACAGCAAUGUGAACCUAAGAUCUAUUUCUGCAGAAGUUACAACCAGAAUACAUUUGUCACAAAGACUCUUCAGUAAUAUUAUUAAUUAAUAGAAAAUUUGGUUGUUAGAGAUGCAAAAUGCUAUGAAAUUAAAUAACUGAUAUGGAAUACUAUCGAUUUAGUAAGCGCUUCAUCCUCUUCCUCCAAUUUCCUUUCGUGUCACGGCAACAAAGUUGGGGGUAGGAAUUGGAUAUCACCAUCUCAAAUUGUCGGUUCCCUUGUGUGCGCUAAAAUGUUGCAAUAUUUAGAUCAGUAAUCCAAGACAAUCAAUGUCAUGCCCACCCAUACUCGUUGAAAUGUGGAUAAGAGAAAGAUUACAAUGCACAUAUUGGCCCCCGCAAGCCCAACUCAUCUAUAACUCUACAAAGCAUAAACAACAACCUGUUAGCAGAAUUUCUGUAACAUUAAGCAAAAAUUAUGCACAUCAUGAGCCCCCCAAAAAGUUGACUCUUAGUAUUAUCAAAGUUAAGCUAGCUUUGCUUGAAUUCCCAGAUUCAAUAUCUUGACAUCAAGAUUGUCCAGUUCAAUAGGCUUACUUUUUAAGCAUGCUGUUGAAAAAAAUGACAGAUUAUAUGCAAAUAACAUCAACUGAAUAUGUCGGUGUUAAAAAACCACUGGAAAUGCUCUGAAUUGCUAAUUUUAUCUAAGUAUAUGGUGAAGAUCAUGGAUUAAUCCUCUCCAAAGCCCAACAUUUCUCUUCAGAAUCACUUUGUGUAGAUGCAAAAGUCAUCCUUUGGUUACUCGCAUCCAAAAAAAGGGAGCAUAAAUGUUGACUUUCAGUUGAUUUUUUCCAUCAAAUAUAACCUAUGAAGAUAUCCCAAAGUGGCAAGGAAAGUACAAUAGUCUGCUUUGGAGCCACAAAAAAAAAAAAAACUGAACUUUUUAAAAAUCCAAAUGCCCACUUUGCCUUGGCUCUUGGAGCAAGGAGUGAUCUAUCGGAAUCAGGCACAUUAUCCAUACAACUACGAGCAACCUUUAGGAGGUCAGGAACACAAGCUUGGACAUAUGGAGAUAAGUUCUGCAAGACAUCUGUCGUAACAUCUGGUGUUCGUGGAUCCAAUGGAAGAAAUGGAAGUUUGGCAACCUCCCUCAAAGCAUCCAGAUAUUGACCUGCUCUCGCCAAUUUGUAUAUCAAUAAUAUCGCCUCAAGCUGUCCUAACACUGUUUGUUGCUCCAUAACACUCUCUAAUCAGGACUGCAGGAAUUAUGCAACUGAGAAGUAAAUGUCUAACCGUAGAACAAAAAAGGGGGACAAUUAACUUCAUAGAUGAAUAAGUUAUUUCUAGUCACAAAGCACAGCUUUAGUGCCCUAACUGAAGCAAGCGAUUUGAAUUAUGCAAUUAUAUGGCAGCGGGUAAGGAAAUAUUUAGAAUAGGUGAAAUCUAAAUGAUGGACCAAUUUUCCAGUUUCAUCAUGCUGCAGCAAUAAAUGAUCUAGCAUGACAGAAGCUUUAAAAAGCAUGAAAAUAGUCCACCCAAAAGGAAACUGCCACUUAGAAGACAGACAGCAGCUACCAAGAGAUUACCUGAUUUUAGGACUAUAUUUGUAGGUCUCCAAAAUCUCGUUUCCAGAAUGAAUCAAGCCAGCUGUCUGGCUUUCACCAUCCAACCGUCCGCGUCAAAGAGCACAUCAAGUCUGAAAGGCAUUUUUUAUUGGUGUCCGGGGCCAUUGAGAACGCCCCAAUCCUCUUCAGAAUCUCUAUUGACUGAUUUAAUUAAAGGAAAGAAUAAGCAAAGGAAAAGGGUAUUAAGACCAUCCUAGAUUCGAUAUUAUCCCAAGAUGAAAUAUCCAUUAAAAUUCUAGAUUUAGCAAUGGAGGAUGAUAUAACUGGAACUGUAUUAAAGAUGAAAGUUUAGAUCUCAAUGAAAAGCUACACAUAAAGAGUGAACUAAAGUAGAGUAAAUAAGAAAAUGAACUACCGCUAAUUUAUUUACACAAGCGAAAUGAUCUCCCUCCCUCCCCUCCCUACAUGUAUAAAAAUUUGUUCCAACUCAAUAAAUUAUAUCACGACACAUUUACUUUUGUUAUUGGGUAGCCAAUGAAAUAAUGAUCAGCAGAACAUGAAUCACCUCGAAAAGAUAAUUUCUGAACAAACACAGUCAAUCAAAGUACUUUGGCUCUCAAAGGUUCAUUGAAAACUUAUUUCAUUUGUGACUCCAUAAAAGCAAUAGGAGAAAGGGCAAAUUCCAUCAGCAGUCACUGAACUUGAGUGGAUUUUGCUAACAGCUCGCUGAACUGUAGUUUUGAUCAUCUCAUGUCCAGAACUUUUAUUUCUUUAUAAUUUAUGCACUUUGACCAAAAUCCAGCCAAUUUUCAAGCAAAGUACCGAUGUAGUAUACACAUGGUCAGGUGGCCACCAUGUCAGCAAUUAGCCGACAUUGGGCAAUUGAAGUCAAAGUUCAGUGAUAUGAUUGGAAACACCAGAGUCCAACAUUAAGUAAAGGGAGGAAAACGGAGAGAAAGACCAUACUUUGUCAUAUAUCCCAGCUUCCAAGCACUGCUGGGGCAGCUUCAAGCAUAAUUGGUUGUCUUGUUUUUACGUCCAGUAUAAACCUUAUCAAUUCACCUUCUUCCCCAGAACCUCUUGAACCAAGCCAAAAGUAAAUCUCACCAUCUCGAAAUAACAGCUCCGUGAGGAGUUGUUUCAGCAUCAAACUUCUCUGUCUCUGCUGAUCUGCAUUUCCCCUUCCAGUCCAAAAUGGUCGUCCACCACCCACUGCAGCAGCAGCCUGUGCAUAAUAUUCGAAAGACGUAAAUAUGAAGACCAUGCUGUCGAAUCAUGCUAGAUGCUUCUGCAUAAGCAUCCAUUACACCAAACUUUGAUCCUGCCCCUGUACCUUCCAUAAGGACGCCAUGGUCGGCAAGCACGAUAGCUAUGUGAGUGGCAUCACUGUUGUACCCUUCAUCUCCUGCUUCUUUAGACAAAUAGAGGAUAUCGGGUAGGAACUGGAUGCUUAGGAGCAGAAUAUAUGGGUAUACAAGAGGCUCCUUCCCAUUUUUGGUAUAGUAUGAUGCUGCAAACUUAUUUAGGUAAGCCUGCAAAUCCUCUAAACUAUAGGGGACUGAACUCUCACUAAGGAUAGCAGAUGAACCUCCCAGAGGGAACUCCUUGAUGGCUGACAGUUUAAACCUCAAUGGUGGUGAAAAGUGCCGAUAGAUCUCUCAGCAGCCUUUCGACGAGCCUUCGAGAACCAGAUAUCAUGGCAUAUAGUAACAACCUUUUCUUAUCAUACGUAGCUCGUGAGAGUGCUAGUAUGAACAAAAUAAAGGAGUUAAGGAAGAGAAUAAGAACACGAGAUUUAUAGUGGUUCGGCUUAAUCCAAGCCUACGUCCACUCUCCCACGAUAAUAGCCUUCUUGGCUGGAUUCCACUAUGCAAUCAACAAGAGAUUACAACUUCGAGUGCAAACACUUAGUAGAUCACACUAUCUCACUAAGUCACUCUCUUGGUAUUUCUCUCACGAUUACAAACGUUUAAGCUCUCAAGAGACAAGUAUAUGAUCUAAAGUCGCUUAGACUUUGGAAUUAUAAAUUCUACGCUCCGUCUCUUACUUGCUCAUCGGUCCUUCAUCUUCUUAAAUACUCCUCCACUUCCAAACUACCGUUGGACAGUAUCCCGGAGAAUCGUCUUCCAAUAUACCCAUUGGACAGCUCUGUAUCUAGAAGAUUUGGUAGCCGUUGAGUGACAAAGGUAAAAUUCCAAAUUGAUUCCGAUCGCCCAUACAAACGAAAUCUUGGUUUCCAUAAGUAAAGCUUCUUCGUAUAGAAAGUUCUUGUCUUCAAUCAAAUCAAUCUUGAUGUGGAAUCCAAACCAGAUCACUAGCCGUUAUAUGAUUGGGCUUGAGUUACGAUUCAUCGUAAUCUGGAUGUAAAGUCUGAGUCUUUAGACUUUACGAUAUGAGUCUUGAGACUUUACAAUCUGGGUCUGUAGACUUUAAAAUCUGGGUCUGUACAUAUCUGCUUCUAAACAGAUUUAGCUUUAAGGUCUGUACCCAGUUCAGCUUCAGCAUAGAGUCUGUCUUCUGGUUCAUCAUUCACGUUCAGUCUGGAAUUUGUCAGAGUGAACAGACUUCUGAUGUAGAACAGACUUUGACACUAAAGUCUGGCAGUCUUCAGACUUUGAGUCUUGAGUCUAACAGUCUUCAGACUUUGAGUCUUGCGUCUGGCAGUCUUCAGACUUUGAUAAUAUCCUUUACAUGUUCUAUUAUCUGCAUGGUCUAUUACUCAACCAUCAAACAUGUUAGUAGCCUUUGAUUUAUUUUGUCAUCUUCAAAACAUCAUAAGGGAUUUCCCUAACAAUCUCCCCCUUUUUGAUGAUGACAAAACAAUCUCUGAAUAUGCAGAUUUAAAAAUUUAAAUCAAAGGAUAUCAGAAGAUAGAAAAUAAUUGCAGCUCAAUAUUAUGCAAUAAAUAAUAUCAACCAAUCAGCACAUAUGCAUAUUCAUAUCUUCUCCCCCUUUUUGUCAUAAUCAAAAAGCGAUAAUGGAUUCACGUAGAGAAUGAUAACAAAUAUCUUGCAUGAAUCACAAUUUCCAAAAAUCAGCUUUUAUCGAAUAUUAAAGAUAUGCAAUAUAGCUCACUUCGAUUAUAUCAACAAAUAUCCAAUAAAAAUCACGGAUGCAUCAUAACUUGCACGUACCCUUUUUGUCAUAAUAAAAUGAUAAUAUCAAUAUGAGAUUUGUUAAUGACAAAAGGUAAUAAGAGAUGCACUGACCGGAUUUUGUAGAAUAAAUUCUGACACAAUUACCUUUCCUUCCAUCCAUAAUAAGAUCACGAUCAAUCAAAAAAGAUUUUUCCAUAAUUGAUCAAAGCUCCCCCUCAAUUUGUUGCCUUUUUGAGAUGAUCACGAUUCUUUUCCUUUUCUUUUGGAUUCGAUUUCUCCCCCUUGAUUUCCUUAUCGGAUUCUGAGUCUGGUUCUGAAUCAGACUCUGAUUCUGAGUCUCUGUCUGAGUUAGACUCAGAUUUUGAAUGUGCCAUCAAGCAUAAAUUUUCUUGCUCAUCAUCUUCUUCUUUUUUGUUCUUUUCUGGCCAUUCUGCUUGUAUUUUCUUCCAUCGAAAUAUGGUGGCCUUGUGUUGCUUUGCCCUUCCAUAAGACCUGGUGCCAACAUACUAGCCAUAAAGAAUCUUUAGCUCAAAAGUAAAAACACUUUUAUAAACCGAGCACUUGGCUCUGAUACCAAUUGAGAGUGCUAGUAUGAACAAAAUAAAGGAGUUAAGGAAGAGAAUAAGAACACGAGAUUUAUAGUGGUUCGGCUUAAUCCAAGCCUACGUCCACUCUCCCACGAUAACAGCCUUCUUGGCUGGAUUCCACUAUGCAAUCAACAAGAGAUUACAACUUCGAGUGCAAACACUUAGUAGAUCACACUAUCUCACUAAGUCACUCUCUUGGUAUUUCUCUCACGAUUACAAACGUUUAAGCUCUCAAGAGACAAGUAUAUGAUCUAAAGUCGCUUAGACUUUGGAAUUAUAAAUUCUAUGCUCCGUCUCUUACUUGCUCAUCGGUCCUUCAUCUUCUUAAAUACUCCUCCACUUCCAAACUACCGUUGGACAGUAUCCCGGAGAAUCGUCUUCCAAUAUACCCAUUGGACAGCUCUGUAUCUAGAAGAUUUGGUAGCCGUUGAGUGACAAAGGUAAAAUUCCAAAUUGAUUCCGAUCGCCCAUACAAACGAAAUCUUGGUUUCCAUAAGUAAAGCUUCUUCGUAUAGAAAGUUCUUGUCUUCAAUCAAAUCAAUCUUGAUGUGGAAUCCAAACCAGAUCACUAGCCGUUAUAUGAUUGGGCUUGAGUUACGAUUCAUCGUAAUCUGGAUGUAAAGUCUGAGUCUUUAGACUUUACGAUAUGAGUCUUGAGACUUUACAAUCUGGGUCUGUAGACUUUAAAAUCUGGGUCUGUACAUAUCUGCUUCUGAACAGAUUUAGCUUUAAGGUCUGUACCCAGUUCAGCUUCAGCAUAGAGUCUGUCUUCUGGUUCAUCAUUCACGUUCAGUCUGGAAUUUGUCAGAGUGAACAGACUUCUGAUGUAGAACAGACUUUGACACUAAAGUCUAGCAGUCUUCAGACUUUGAGUCUUGAGUCUAACAGUCUUCAGACUUUGAGUCUUGCGUCUGGCAGUCUUCAGACUUUGAGUCUUGCGUCUGGCAGUCUUCAGACUUUGAUAAUAUCCUUUACAUGUUCUAUUAUCUGCAUGGUCUAUUACUCAACCAUCAAACAUGUUAGUAGCCUUUGAUUUAUUUUGUCAUCUUCAAAACAUCAUAAGGGAUUUCCCUAACAAUCUCCCUCAAGGACUUUGACGCUCUUGAUGGCUUGCGGGAGGACCUUUGGGAUGAGGUUAUUGGCAUCAAGGACAGCGGCCUUGAACAUCUUGGCCGGAGGGAUCUAGACAUGAUCUCGGAGUCGUAAGUGACGACACCCAUGAUUGGAUCCGAAUUGAGUUGCUGAAACUGAGAAGGGGGUGAUGAUUAGGAAAGACUGAGUAGCAGUGAUGAACUUGGUCUCUAGGACUUGGGAAUGAAGAGAAAAGGCUGAACCGAAACUGAUAUAUAGAAAGAGAGACUAACUGUGAAGGGCUUUGAUCAGUGAAUAUUUUGCGAAACAAACAAAGCUUAAGAAAAAAAAAGUUAUUCCAUGGAUUAUUCAGAUUAUGACAUGCCCCUUGUUCCUAAUAAAAAAAUGUCUAUAUGAUGAUAGAACAAAGCGGUGGAUGAUAAUAUUGGGGAGAACCGGGCAACAAUUUACUAAUAACGAAACACAAUUUAGCAUCGAUUUCUCCUCUAAAACUAAACCAACCGAAAUCAACUCAACCCCAGCAACCACCAGCAAUAUGUAAUACCGAAAUGACAAUAAGACAAAGCCGACAACGACACUAAGGUUUUUAACAUGGAAACCAAUAUGGAAAAAAUCGCAUACCCUCCUUACUAACAGUAAUAUGAUACACAAAGUAUUAUUUUCUAAUCACACAGUAGAGACUCAACAUCAAUAAUAUAACCAUAUUUCCUCACUCCAAAGAUAGAUUACUAUAAACGGAGCAAGAAAACCCUAAUCGGUUGGAGAAUCUGGAGGGGGUUCUUAUCGAACGAAAUCAAUCAAUUCGUAGUCCUUGGUUUUACGAAACAACAUUCAAAUUUGAGCAAAUUCCGUCGGCAUCUUGCGUUCGAAUCGGGACCGAAAAGAUUGUGCCCUUUCUUUCGGAACGCUAAGAAAGAAGAGCCCAGGACACAGACAACAAUUACCCACUCACUAAGUUCCGAAAAGCAUAGACGAGCGAAAUGCCUCGCGAAUUAACCUAAGGGUAAUAAGGACGACACAAUUGGCUCUGACAUUGAAUCGACAGUUUAUUCCUGGCCUCCGACGUGAGCAUAUCACGUGGCAUCAUGGCUCAAACUCAUGAAAACAAACCAAUUUAAAAAUAAAUAAAAAAAGACCCAAAGCGACUCCACCACCAUCCUCUCAGAAAUCCAAUCAAAAAAAGGAAAAGAUAAAAAAGGAAAUCGUCCCAGACAAAACAAGCAUGGCAAUCGCCACACGCUGCCAAAAAUUAACCACACACAGAUUCACAAGUCUCAGGGUUCGCGAGGCAAGCGUCGAUGGCCCCAAACAUAGUGAAAGCCUUCUCUCUCACAGCCUUGAUCUUCUCCUCGGUGUUGUCCACGUUGCCCCUGGCGAAGUAUUUGCUAGCGUUCAUGCACACCGAACCUCCCUCCGGUGAUGCACUGAUCUUCACCUCGUAGCUAGUGUUCUCCAAGGUGUUGGCCAGCAUGUUGCUCUCCGUGAUUGAAUUGGAGUAGGAGUAGCUCCCAUCCAGGACCUCGAGCUUGUGCUUCACUACCUUGUUCCGAUGGCCUAUAGAAAACGCAAGUCACAUUUGAGACGCCACCGGUUUCGAAAAUCGCAAGCACUGCUUUGAAACACCAUUGACUCACGACAUCGCCAUGUUAAUGGUCAGGAACAUUUGAAUUAACCAAGUAAAUUUACUAACCUUCGCUGCCAGUGGUCUCCUCGACAAGCUCGGCACUCUUGAGGAAAGGGAAGAAGACUCUGGAGAUGAGGUUUAAGGCCCUAACGAUGGCCUCGAACGCCUGGGCUGGGAGGAUGGAGGACUUGAUCUCAGUCCUGAAGUAUUCCAUGAUUCUCUGUCCGAAAAAAAAUCUGCUAAAAGCUGAAAGGGAAUGAUGAGAAUUGCGAGUAGGAGUGAAGUCUUGAUCUAAAAUUUCGGAGCGCAGUUCCAUAUAUUUAUACAUAGGGUGCGAGAGUGAGAUGUAGAGGAGUCCGUGUGUAUCUAAUGACUCUUUCGGGACGUUUGGGUGGACAAGGGGAACUUUUUUAUGUUUUUUUAGUUGCUUUACGGGUUACUUUUCUCGGCACAGAUCAGCCGGGGUUUCUUUCUGGAUUGGGCGCUUUCAAGAAUUUUGGGUGGACUCGGGGUUUAAACGAGAGGUAGAAAAAGCCAAGGGAACAGGAGGCAGGUGGGACCCUUCAGCCCGUGCUUUUUCCUUUUUUCCAUUGAGAGGACGGAGACGAGGAAAGCAUAUCCGGCCCGCUCGACUUUUGGCAAUGACAGAAGCUCUCUCGUUGAUAAAGCUAGGCCGUGAGGUGUGGGUGCGUUUGGAUGGGCAUUUAGAAAGCCCAUCCAAGCCUCAAAGCCCUUUCACCCUAUUUAGGAGUGGUUGGCAACCAUUGUCCAAGGGGCUUUCAAGUGAAAGUUUACCUUUCGAAGGCCUCUUUAAUGAAAAUAAUAAGUUGUCUAUUUUGCCCUCAAAACUUUAUGGAAAAACCACUUCUGCCCAUUUUAAAACCAAGAAAACCCUAGUUCUCGUUUUUCUUCCCACCCUUCCAUCACUCUCUCCCUCGACCGCUUCUACUCUCUUCGCUCGGCGGGACUCCCUCACCUGCUGCCACCGCCGCUCCAGUCGAUUCCCGCCGCAUUGGUCGAGGCCUUCGCCGCCUCUCCCUCUCGAAGGUAUGGUCGUUGUCGUCGUCGAUAUCAUCGACCACUUGGUCGUUCUGUGCAAUGGCGUCCUGAGUGUGCCGCGCCACGCCUUGUCGUUCGGGAUUAGGUCUUCGUGUGCCGUUUUGAGUUCGCUCGUUGCGGGAGCGCUUGCGUCCUUGAUGUUCUUUUUCUUUUGUAUUUGAGGGAAAUGGCGGUGGUGGGUGGUGUUUGAUUUUUGCUUUGUGGGUGGCUGAAUGCUUCCGAUUCGUUUGCCUUUUUUUGCUGUGGGGGUGCUUUCGAGAUGAUGCUGCUGCUCCGAGAAACAGUGGGGGAACUCUAGGUGCUAAUGUGACUUGUCUUAGUUAAAGUGGGAUGGGUUCUGUUUUAGCUGAGAAUUGGAGGAAAGGGGAAGAGACGGAUAUUCCUGGUUCUUCGUUCCCUUCUGUCUUCUGGCUGUGUCUUGUUACGGUAGGUGAAUUGGUAUUGAGACGACGCCAGUGCAAUGCCGAUACGGUUUUGCUGGAUGGAGAGGAUGAAGAGAGUAACUUGAAAACGGUGAAGUUGUGGAUUAUUCACCGUAAUUGUAAAAUUCCUUUUCUUUCAUUUAAGUUAGCCUCUGGAUGUUCCUUGUCAUUUAUUACAGUCAUCCUACAUAGGAAGGAGGCAGGAUUAUGGAGGCAGGAUUAUAGCAUAAUCCUACUCUUAAUAAUGGACAAUGUUGGGUCAAGCCGGGCACGUAGGCUGUUUUGUAGAAUUGUGCUAGGAAAGGUUACCUUUUGUUGCUAUAGCCGUUGAAAUUUUACUUGUAUUUGGAUAAGUUGCCUUCAUGUCUCGGAUGCUUAAAGUCAUUGGUUUGACCCAUGUAGAAAAAAAUAUUGUAAAUGUGCUCACUGUUCAUUACACCAUUGUUAUCUAAUUUCUCCUCUUCUGCAACUCUUCUGCAACUCUUUAGCUAUAGAGUUUGAGGAUUUCUGAAAUACUUAGCAACUUAAGUAUCUUGUCAUCAAGUACUUAUAUCACGUGCAAUUUUGAUCUGAUGUGCCAGUUAAAGACUGUCAAUUAAACACAUAAUCAAUGUUUUGUAGAUUGCGAAAAAAGUAUUUUCCAAAGUUUUUUGUUUGCAGAAGUUGGGUAAGCAUGGGAUUUAAAAAUUUACUUUGCUGUCUUAGAGUAGAAGUUGGGCCCUUAGGAUUUACUUGUGAAUAUCGAGGUUAGAAUGAAACACUCUUCUGGUCUUUAGCUUGUAUGCCAAGCAAGAAAGCAACAGAUUUAUUAAAUUAUUUAUUUAUUAUUAUUACUAUUAUUAUUUUAAAUUUUUAACAAAAGCAAGGCGCUCUGUAACAUUCUAGUAGUCGAACUAUUGAUCUGCAAUUCAGGCCCCUGAUCCGCUUAAAGUCUUGCUAAAUGUGGAGUGUUUCUAGCCUACAUUCUUUAGGAACCAAAAAUGCAUGGUUGAAAUUAGUUUCUGCACAUUUUACCUUAUAGAUGUAAAAUGAUGACUUAAAACAGGCAAAUAGAAACAUUAUGGAUAUCUGAUUGAACAGAUAAUAAUAUCUCGGUACUUAAUGUGCUUUCUCAAUGCAGCUGAAGCUCAAUAUAUUUCAUUGCUUGUUUGUUACUUCUCCAGGACAAACUAGAAGAUUGGCUACAAAAGGCAAAAAAGCUUCUUCAAGACGAGUUGAAGAACAAAGCUAAAAACUUUGAUUUUACUAGCUGUAUGUUAUAGUGUUAUAGUAUUCUCUCUCUCUCUCUCUCUCUCUCUCUCUCUCUCUCUCUCUCUCACAAUUCUGUGUUUCUUCUAAGGCCCUUGACUAUUGUUGGAAUGAACCAAUUUUCCUAGGGAAUAUUCUGUUCAUGUGCUAUUAAUUGUGCUAAUUGUUGAAAAAGUGACGAUUACCUUCAGUUGUUACUUUUAACUUCUCUCAGAUGUAGCCCCCUCCCCCUGCGAUUCAACUGGGUUGGAGUUAUUAUUCUGAUGACGAUGGAAUCAUGUGUUGGUUGUUUUUUUCUGGCUUCAGUUUCACUUGAUAUCUCUAGAAAAGAGACGGCAUAUCUCAUGAUGAUUCCAGCAAUUGCUUAAAACGUGACCAUAAAUGUUGUAUCACUAUACAAAUUGUUCUUCACAUCUUGCAAUAAGAAGAGUAGAUUUGGAUCCCAAUUUAUAUACAACGGAUCCUGAUAAUGUAAAUGGGGAGGGUAAUGUUUCAAAUGAUGAUGUAACAUUUGAUAUGACACGUUUACGAGAUCAAAUAGCUAUAAAUUUAUGAAGUAAUUAAGGAUAUUUGUAAUUUUUAAGGAUAAUGAACUUCUUUCCUCAAAGCAUAUGUUAUCAUGUUUCUAUUGUAUUGAAAGUAUUUUUAUUCUAAUUGAGAAAGAGAGUACGUAAAUUUUUUCCAUUUGAUGUUUUUUAGCAAAAAAAUGAAUUUUAAUUUUAAUAAAAUUAUUUACACAACAUCUUUAAAAUUGUUGUCAAAUAUAAAUUAAAAAAGUUGCAAACAUUAUUUUUUUAAUUUUAAGCAAAUAAAAAUUAAAAUAUUUAGAUUAAUCACCAAAUUGGCUUUACAAAUGUGUUUUCUACCAAACAGCAUUUAUCUCAAAAUUGCUUUUCAAAGUAGAAUUUACCAAACAGUCUUUGCAUUCUCUCCAAAGCCCUUUAGGCUAAACUGUUUUGCAUUUUCCCAAUGGGCUUUCCAAAUGCCGAACCAAACGCACCCUGAGUAAUGGACAAGUACACCAAAUUGAAACUCUUCCGCACGUGGAGAUAGCUUCAGAUAACUUAGAUGCCGUGAAUUGUGUCAUUUCCUUGGAACUUCUAAGUCCGUCAUCCAGGAUUGUGAUCUUCUAUUGACCCAACUAGAAGCAGGAAUUAAACUAAAAUAGGAACCCAAAGAAACAAAUUGUGUUGCGGAUUGAGUAGUCAAGCUCCGCCGAGUUAGAACCCUUCCAUCCAAUUGGGUUGUUUAUCCCCCUCAUUCCCUUUGGUAAAUUUAAGUCUUGAAUUUGGUACUAGUUAUAAUUCAUCUUUGAGUUAGUAAUCAAAAGUUAUUUUCGACCAAAAAAAAAAAAAAACCACCAAUGACGUACUAAUUCGAUGUUGUUGAUUUUGUGCGUACAAAGUCCAAAUCAACAUUAAUGACGUCAUAUAUGGCGUGCUAAAAGUUGUUUUUUUUUUUUAUUUUUGGUCAGUCCUAUUCUAUUCCUACUCUACACUCACUCGCAGACUUGUGCCCUGCCUCUUGCAGGGCGUGGGAGUCGCAACCCACGCUCGAAACUUACGCGUCCCUACCCCCCAUCCCCCCCUGAGAAGGUGGGGAUUUGAACCCCUCACCUCCCCCUUCCAUGUUGGAAGGAUGGCCACUAGGGCGAACCCCCAGUGGUUGCUAAAAGUUGUUCAAGAGUUGAAUUUUUGCAAUUACGUGUCCAAUGAAUUUUGACGCUCUUGAGUGGGAAAUCACUAAAUUGUUAACUUUUUCCAAAUGCCUGACGGGUUUCAUAGGAUUAGUUUGGCGAGUAGCGAUAAAAAGUUAGCACGCAAGUAAUUUAAAAGCACGGUGUAAAUUCGAUUCUCCCAAUCAAUGAGCAUAAACGAGAACAUGGGGGCGAAAAAGGUUGUUACCAGCAAUGAAAAAGUGGACUUUUGAGAAGCUCCAAUCACUAAAAUGUUGCGUAUUCGGCAAGAUGCAAGUAAGCAUAUCCAUCGAGAGUUAGUAUUUAGAGAAAUGCAUAAACAGAUAUUAAAUCAAUAGAUAUGUUUAGAAAAAUGUCAUACAUAGCUUUUUUAGCUCAGUUAUAUAGAGCUUACUUUAGUAAGCAAGAGGUCUUGACUUUGAUUCUCAACGAGAUCCUUUAUCUUUUGACUUGUAAUAUUUCCUUUUUUCACAUUCAAUCUUCUUCCUAACAAUUUUUUUGAUAAACAAAAAUUCAAUCGAGCCAAAAAAUGAAUUGCUUAAUACAUGAUAGAGCCAACAUAUAUACAUACUAUAUAUGUGUUUUUUCUCAGUACAAAUGGUUAUACGAGGACCCAAUUAGUAAGAGGGAGGUCUUGAAUUUGACUCUCAACAAGAGCAUUUGUCAUUCAAACUUUUUCAUAACAACUAUUUUACUAAAGAAAAAAGUCGAUUGAGCCAAAAAAAAUUGUCACUUAAUACAUCAUAAAGCCAGCAUACACAUAUAAUUCAUUUUUCUCAAUACAAAUGGGUAUACGAGCACCCAUUUAGUAAGUGGGAGGUUUUAAGUUCGACUUUCAAUGAGAGCAUUUAUCUUCUGACUUAUAAUUUAUCCUUUUUGUAAAUUCAAACUUCUUCAUAAUAAUUUUUUAAAGAUAAAAAACCACCAAAAACCCCAAACUUUGCCAAAAAUGACAAAUUUACCCCAACCUUUAUAUUUUGAUAUGAAAAAUCUCGAAUUUUGCCAACUGUGACACAUUUAUUCCAAACUUUUUUUAUGACACAAAAAAUUAUGAACUUGUAUUCAUAUGACACAUUUACCUACCCUAAACUAUAAGGUAUUUUGGUCUUUUACUUUUUAAAAUCUUUUUUUUUUCUUUUUUUUUUCUUCUUCUCUCUUCCCUUCACUAGCCAUGGCAGAGCGGGUGGAGGAAACCAUAGUUAGGCGAGGGCUGCCCUCAUCGGCAUCAGGCGAGGGCUACCCUCCCCAGCGUCAGGCGAGGGUCGCCCUCAGCUACGCUAGCUAGGGCCGCUCGACGCCAGUGAGGGAGGUCCUUGCCCGACCCAGCCAAGGGCGGCCCUCACUCGAUGCUGCCGAGUGCAGCCCUCGCCUGACUCCAACUUCCCUUCACCAUGGCCAGCGAAGGGAAGAGAGAAGAAGAAGAAGAAAAAAAAAAAAGAAUAAGACGAAAAUGCUAUUGGUGGGGUAAAUGUGUUACGGUUUGCAAAAUUUGGGGUUUUUUAUGUCACAAAAGAAGGUUUAGGAUAAAUUUGUCACUUUAGGCAAAGUUAGGGUUUUUGGUGGUCUUUUCCCUUUCAAUCGAGCCAUAAAAAAAGUCACUUAAUACAACAUAGAGCCAACAUAUAUAAUAUAUUUUGUUCCUUUUUCUUGGUAUAAAUGGGAUACUAGCACUCGUUUAGCAAGCCAAAGUCUUGAGUCUGACUCUCAAUGAGAGCACUUGUCUCGUGACUUAUAAUCUUUCUUUCUUCUACAUUCGAACUUUUUUCGUAACAAAUUUCUUGACAAACAUUCAAACUUCUGUCCUCUUGAUGCCGUUAUAAUAAGGGAUACGGAACUCUAGUGUGAACGGAACUCAUUGCCGUGAUGCUAAAGGGAAGGCGAUGCUAACGAAUCCUACUGGAAGAUGCGGGGGACGGAAAAUCUUAGAGCUGGCGGUUAGAUCUGGCUGAGGUUACCAAGGGUUGAUUCUUGCUUAUCGCCCCGCAACUGACUUACCCAGGUCAUGCUCAGCCCUCACCCUUAGAAAAAGGAACUCAAGAAAAAAAAUGCAGUCACUGCUCCAUAAUGAUUAAUGUCCAUCAUAGUUCAAGUAAGGAGAUAUAAGCAAACGUUUAAACAAUAAAAUAAAUAGAUCAACAAAAUAAAUUGAAUACCAGACAUAUAUGAUUCAAUCGCAGUGACCUACCUCUAUAAGAAAAGUAAUGACGAAUUUUAUUGUAGAUCAAACAGUAUAACGGAAAUUAUAACCAUAGUCGAGUUACUUUAAUACUCUUAGUGUUUUCCAAUUCAUAAUUACAUUUAAUAACUCAAGUAAUAUAUAACCUCACAAUUUCUAACAAAAUAAUUUUUUAAUCUCAAGAAGAAAUUAACAAAUCACGAAUUAAACUUUACCAAAAAAAAAAACAAAUCACGAAUUAAACCCUAAUUUCGCUAUAUGUAAUUCACGGAGAAUAUCCAAUGUCAAGCACGCCAACGGCACUACUGAAAAACUUGUGAUAAAAUCACCUCUCCACACUAACAGCGCGUACCUUUAGGGGGUGGGCUAUCAACCUCGGCUUUCAUAUCGACACAGAGAGAGAGAGAGAGAGAGAGAGAAUGUGUGCAUGUCUGUAUUUUUCCUUUGGCAUUUUUGGCGGCUUCUUGCGUGGCAGUCAUCUAAGUGACCGGUGAAAGACCGAUAAAAAGAAGAAGAAGAAGAAUACUUUCUGAGAGAGAGAGAGAGAGAGAGCAAUCAAUAUUGUCAGUGCGCUGUUCGGGGUACAAAGCAAUGAUUUCAUCAUUCUUGAUAGGGUUUUGAAUUUAUGGCUUCUCAAUCCGUUUCAUAUAUAUAUAUUUUUGUCGGUAAAACAUCAAUAUAUAUUAAUACGAGUAACCCAUACAAUCAGCAGCUUUAGCAUCCGCACAUAGCAAAUUCAUGAGAGGAAAGGGCGGAAGAAGAGCCCAACUACGAGUCAAAGGAGUUCUAUUAUGGGCCUUGCAGGCCCAGUCGGCUGCCGCGUUUCCCUAGCGAGAGAUUAGAGAAAAGGGUUAACAGGAAGGCUGCCUCAAAGAAGAGAGUGCGAUCCGUCCAUGGCGGCUGUGUCUGAUGAUUCAACGUUUCCACCAGAGUGAGAUUAUCAUAUUCCACCAGGAGCUUUGCAUUUUGGAGCCCCUUAUCAAGAAGAUGCCGAAGCGUCAAGGAAAGGGCUUGGAUCUUGACCUGUAUAGCGGAGGACACAGCUACACUUUUGGAGAAACCAUCAGUAAGUCUGCCCUGGUGAUCCCUGCAAAUACAAGCUAUUUUGCCUUCAUUUCUACCCUGUUGAUAAGAUCCAUCAAUAUUAAUCUUCAGAACCCCGCCCUUUUGGGAGUAGUCGUGCACUACUCCCCGCCCCCUUCUCUCUCUCAACCGUCGUCUAGUUGAACAAUUUUUAACAGUCCCGACGCGUGCUUUUGCUGUCUGUCCCUCCUGCCUCAGAAUCUUGAAACGGUGCCGAUGCGGACCUCUUCCUCCUGCCUCAGUUUCUUUGAAUAUAAUUAGCCCGUUUCACUGUGUUUGCAAGUGGGGAUUGGAGUGCGUUCCCCUUGUAUAUGCGCGCGACCAUCAACCACCGCCCCNNNNNNNNNNNNNNNNNNNNNNNNNNNNNNNNNNNNNNNNNNNNNNNNNNNNNNNNNNNNNNNNNNNNNNNNNNNNNNNNNNNNNNNNNNNNNNNNNNNNNNNNNNNNNNNNNNNNNNNNNNNNNNNNNNNNNNNNNNNNNNNNNNNNNNNNNNNNNNNNNNNNNNNNNNNNNNNNNNNNNNNNNNNNNNNNNNNNNNNNNNNNNNNNNNNNNNNNNNUGGAUGUGGCGCCCUAAGUUUUUGAAAAGCAGUAAUAUAAGGGGAGGCGCUCCCACACCCCCCCCCACCCCCCCCCCCCAAAACCCAAUCAAAUCUCACUCCAAUCCACUGUUGUCCUUUGGAUUAAUCACCACGGAAAGCGCCGAUUUCACAAGACCGUCGCACCGAAUUCCCGCCCUACCCUUCGGCACCUUCUCAGUAAAAGACAAGGACAAAAGCUCACCAUCGGACUUAAUUUGAGCCCGUAUACAGGGCCCGACUUAAUUUGAGGACGUGCAUCAGUUUGUUGAACCCGAUCUAUUAGGGAAAAAAAAAAUACCAAUAUCACACUUUCAUAUUUAAAUUAGAAUUUAUCUUGAACAGAAUAUUUACAUGAGGAGUUUUGUAAGCAUAGCAGUUUUUAAGUUAUUAUGAAAAUAAUACGAACUGCAUAUUCUUGAAAGAGAGGGUUUCGUAACAAUUUAUAAUUAUUUAUUUUUAUGUAUCAUAAUAUACUAUUAUUCUCAUAUUAAAUUAAAAACGGUCGUUCAAUUAUUUAUCUUCACAUGAGGCGAGUAUUUGGUCUUUGGACAAAUCUCUGGUGGUCAUGAAAAGUGCGAAUCCAUUAUACUCAGAUUUUUUUUCUUCUCUCUUUUUUAUCUGGCCAAUUGAAAAGUUGGACAAAGCCGCGUCUCAGUGGGUUCUGUUUGUUACUUCAGCCGCGCACAGCAAAGGGAUUUCACGUGCCGCACAGUAGGUUUCGUUUCGUGGGAGCAACACCAUGUGAUUUUCCCGCGCCGCUCAGUGUUUACGCUGAGGAUUCUAGGCGGAACCAAUUAUACUGAAGUGAUUUGAAAAAAUUAAGAUGCCGCGAUUUUUAGAAGAUGUUUCACAAGCAUCUUUAAUUACAGCAUUCAGAAUUUCUACCACCACAACAGUUGUCUCACCCACUUCGAAGGCGUCGCAUCUAUUACUGCAGACGAAAAUUAUAACACUUUACCUCAAAACGUAUUCAUUGUUCAUUCACGAUUAUUAUUCAUCUUCAAGAGACGUGAGAAUGUAGACAUAAACCAUGGUGGGAGACAGAAAGAUUGAGCCAACACGCAACAUCAACAACUCAAUUGUGAGCAUCAGGGUUUCGCAAGAGAUGGGCGUCGAUGGCCUUGAACAUUUCCAUGGCCCUUCUGUCUUUGCCGGCCGUGAUCUGCUCCUCCGUGAUCUCGGCCCCGUCCUUGGAUAGUACUUGCUCGAGCUCUUGCACACGCGCCCUCCUUCUGGACCUCACCUCGAACUUGAUCUCGUACGAGAUCUUCUCGAGCCCAUCGCCCUCAACAGUGGUGUACACGAACGUGAGCGAGCUUCCCCUUGUUCAGUUCGUCGACCCGGUGCUUCGCCGAGUUGAGCUGGCUAGCUGCAAGACACAGAAAACCACAAUCAACUCCUAAACUGUCGGGGAAUGUCUUGAGACCCAUGUUAAUGCGGUGCGAUAAAAAUGUGCAAAGUGGGUGAAGUUAAAAGAUGCACGAGGACUCGCCUUCCCCGAAAGCAACUUGCUUGAUGAUUGAAAUGCCCUCUAAAUGAUUCUCAGUCGCCUGUUUAGUAAUCUAAAUCGCCAUCACAAUAGUCUAAAUCGUAUAAUAGAGAAAGAGUACUAAAGACAUGGAUCUCAAGCCCAAAUGAUACUUAUUCGCAUGCGAGUGAUCACCUGAAUUUUGAUGCUCUUGAGGGUGGGAAGUCACUAAAUUAUUAACUUUUUUCCAACACCGGUCGGAUUCCAUGGGAUUGUUUCCGCUAUUAGAGAUAAAAAGUUAGCAUGCAAGUAAUUUAAAAGCACAGUAUAAAUUCGGUUCUCCCAAUCAACGAGUAUAAACGAGAAUAUGGGGGUGAAAAAAUUGUUGCAAGAACUAAAACGUGGACUUUUCGAGAAGCUCCAAUAACAGAAAUGUCGCAUAUUCGGCAAGAUGCAAGUACGUCCAUCCAUCGAGACUUAGUUUUUGGAGAAAUGCACAAACAGAUAUUGAAUGAAUAAAAACGUUUAGAAAAAUGUCAUAAAUAGCUUUUUUAGUUCAGUUAAAUAGAGCUUACUUUAGUAAGCGAGAGGUCUUGACUUUGAAUCUCAACGAGAUCCUUUGUACUAUGACUCGUAAUAAUUUUUUUUUUCACAUCCAAUCUACUUCGUAACAAUUUUUUUUGAUAAAACAAACUUCAACCGAGCCAAAAAAAAUUAGUCACUUUACAUGAUAGAGCCAACAUAUACAUACUAUAUAUGUGUGUGUUUUUUCUUAGUGCAAAUGGUUAGACGAGCACCCAAUUAGUAGGGGGGGAGGUUGAGUUCGACUCUCAACGAGACAAUUCGUCAUUCAAAAUUUUUCAUAACAAUUUUUUUAUAAACAAAAAAUUCAAUUGAGCCAAAAAAAAUGGUCACUUAAUACGUCAUAAAGCCAACAUAUACAUGUAAUUCAUUUUUCUUGGUACAAAUGGGAAUAUGAGCACCCAUUUAGUAAGCUGGAGGUUUUGAGUUCGACUCUCAAAUAAUAUUUCUUUUUUGUAAAUUCAAACUUCUUCAUAAAAAUUUUUUUUAUUAAUAAAAAGAUCGAUCGAACCAAAAAAUUGUCACUUAAUACAUCAUAGAGCCAACAUGUACAUACAAUAUAUUAUGUUCCGUUUUCUCGGUACAAAUGGAAUACGAGCACCCAUUUAGGGCGCGUUUAGUAACGCUUCUAUUCCCGAGAACAAUUUCUAAUCAGAAAUGAUUCUUUUUUAUUUUGUUCCCGGGAAUAAUUUCUAACCAUUUUAAGCCGUUUGGGGUACGUUUGGUAACAUUUAUGUUUAAAAAUUGUUUAUGGGAACAAAAAUAGAAAAAAAAUAUUUCUGCUUCAGGAAACAUUUAAAAAAAACGCGUUUGGUAAAUCUGUUCUAGAAAUUUAAAAAGAAUAGAAACAUGUUUGGUAAAUUUGUAUAAUUUUUUUAUUUCUUUUAAUUUUUUAAUAUUUUAUUUUAUUUUUUCGAUUUUCUUUCUUAUUUUCUUAUUUAUUUUUCCUUUUUUUUCUUUUUUCUUUUUUCUUCUUUUGGCCAGUCGCCGGCCUCAGCCAUGGCCGGUGACCGGCCGAUGAGGGCCGGCGGCCUUGCCCAGCCACGGCGAGGCUCGCCGGCCCCCGACGAGCUCGGCCUCGCCGAAUCAGCUCACCCAGCUCGGUGCGAGGUCGGCCUCGCCUUGGCUAGGCGAGCUCGAGCUCGCCCAGAUCCGGCAAGGCCGAGCUCGCCCAGCCAAGGCGAGGCUAAGCCUCGCCAAGGGCCAGCGACACUCCGGCGAGGUCACCGGCCCUCGGCGGCCCGUCGCCGGCCAUAGAAAAAAAAAAGAAAAAAAAGAAUAAGAAAAGAAGAAUAAAAAAGAUAGAAGAAAAUGGAAGAGAGAGAAAAAGUGUUCAUAAAUUUUGUUCCAUAAACAAAAAAUAACUUCUUUUUUUUGUUUCUUGUUUCCGUUCCAGAUGUGUUUCUGGGAACAAAAACGCAAACAAACGCGUUUCUGUUUCAAAAAACAAAAAUUUGUGUUCUUGGGAAUAGAAACACAUUUUAACAAACAGGCCCUUGGUAACUGUCCAAAAUUUUAAUUCCCAAAAUAGAAUUGCGUUUAGUACUGUGCUCAAAAUUUCUACUCGAAAAUGAUAAUUUUAUUACUUUUUUCCUUUUUUUCUUCUUUUCUUUUUUCCUUUCUCUCUCAUGUUCUUUUUCUUCAAGUGACUAGUCGUCGGACCAGCGACCGGCUAGACGAGGGCCGGCAACCUCACCGGAGCGUCACUAGCGCUUAGCGAGGCUCGCCUAGCCUCACAGGUGGCUAGCCAGGCCUCGACAGGGCUGGGCAAGCCUCGCCGGUGGCCAGGCGGGCCUCACCAAUGGCCGAGUGGGCCUCACCGGGGCUGGGCAAGGCCCCCCCACUGGUGGCUAGGCUUGCCUCCGGCGAACUCGCUGGACCUCGCCCUGGCUUGGCGAGCCUCUGACGAGCUCGCCAGACCGGUUGUCAGCAACCGGCAAUAGUAGGUGGCGGACGGCAACCGCAGCGGUGGAUGAAGAAGAAGGAAAGGGAAGAAGAAGAGAAAAUAUGGACUUGAUUCUUGGGAUUUGUUCUCAAGAACAAGAAUCAACUUUUUUUUUUUAAUUCUUGAUUAUGUUCCAUCCACUUCCUAAAAAAAAAAAAAUUCCCAAAAAACAAAAAUUUUACCAAACACGAUUCCGUUCCAAAACUACUCCCGGGAACAAAAGAAUAAAAUUUGACAUUGUUUGGCUGGUUACCAAACAGGUCCUUAGCAAGCUAAAGUUUUGAGUCCAACUCUUAACGAGAGCAUUUGUCUAGUGACUUAUAAUCUUUCUUUCUUCUACAUUCAAAUUUUCGUAACAACUUUCUUGAUAAACAUUCAAACUUCUGUCUUCUUGAUGCUGUUAUAAUCAGGGAAACGGAACUCUAGUGGGAAUGGAACUCAUUACGGUGAUGCUAGAGGGAAGUUGAUGCUGACGAAUCUCACUGGAACAUGCGGAGGACAGAAAAUCUUAGAGCUGGGGAAAAUGAAUGGGUUUGGGAUUAAAUCUGGCUAAGUUAUUGCCCCGAAACUGACUCACCCAGGCCAUGGUCAGCUCUAAAGGGAACUCUAGAAAAAGAAUAAUGACUAAUGUUCUUUAUUGUUCAAGCAAAGAGACAUUUUCUAUCGGCUAAACCUUAUGCUUCUCACAUUCAAUGCUUGUAUUCCAUCUGAAGUUAUUUCUUACCACAUAAUUGUCGACAAGCUAAUUUGACCAAUAAACGCAGUACAUCUAUAUAGUAUUUGGAGAGCAGCUGUUUCUGCUAGCUAAGGAUUACAUCAAGUAUCUUUUUAGUGGAUGUCUGAGUGUUAGGUCAACCCGUGCGAUACCCCAGUGAGGAAGAUUUUACAAGGAGCUAACAGAGAAGAAAGAGGUUGAUCAGUAUUGGUUAGUGUUGAAAAUUGAGAUCCAUUUUCUAAAACUAGCUUAUUUCUUCUAUUGUAAUCUAGAAGCUCCUAAGUAAAGGUUUUGGUAGUGGAAGUUGUGGUCUAAGAAUGUCCAAGUUAAGAGAUGUUUUGAUGAAUGGCCGUGGACAGUUGUAAAGCAAAAAUAUCUCUGACAAAAAUGGGAUCUUUCCUUGAAGAAUACGGUGGGUGGCUUUAUGAGUAAAGCAAGAACUAGCUUGUGUAAGGUGGUGGAAGCAUCAGAUAAACUCCAGCCACGUGAACAUCCCGUCCUACAAUUAUGUAACGCCACAUUUCUAUCAAAUAAAUAAACGAUAUUCUUGUCUCAUAAAUCUUUUUCUAUAUUUCUCAAAGUAUUCAUCCUUGUCCAUUCCCCUACAUCAACUAUACCAUAAACAUAUACAUUUACACAUACAAACAAAAAAAUAUCUUUGAUAUCAAAGUCAUUCUUCGGCACAAUCUCACAAUUUCCAACAGUUAGAGAAGGCGAUAAUUAAUAUCCCGACCUAGUGGGACGGUCCUGAGAAGUAGAGGCGCAGGGAGAGAAUAUAGACAAGAUUUGUCUUCCAGCUAUGAUAAUGACCUCUGAACAAUUCAUCUUCGUCUUCCCCAGUCAUUUUAGAUGGAACAGCGAUAUCAUUCCACGGUUCUAGUUUUGCAGUGAUCCGAAGCUUGAUCUUGGUAGACGAUGAGAAAGCUGUCUUGUGUAGUUGUUACACCAUCUGUCAUGGAAUUUUCGUGCAAAAUUUCACAAGAACAAGGUCAGAUGAAUGAAGGAUUGAAGGAUUGAAGUCUAUGUCAUUCUGUUUUGUUGCAGUAUGAAUGACUGAGUUCAAGUUGAUUCAAAGCGUUAGAGCAAUUGGGACUUGAUAGGCUGCUUCAUCGGGUGAGGACUUCUUCGUUCCAACUUUUUCUCUCCCUUUUGAUUCGUUUUCAUUUCUGCUAUUGAUUUCGUCAUUUUGAGCUUAGGUUGCUACCUAAUAGGCAGAAUUUUUGUAACAUUUGAUAUGAUAUGCAAAUACACAUUACUUGUGUAUAUCUCGAAAAUUCCCACAUUUAGACACUGCUUUAGCUGGCUUCCAAAAAAAUGCCCUUCUAUUAAUCUUCCGAGCGUUAAAAACUACAAAUACAAACUAAAAAAGUCAGAUUGUGAGAGCAACUUCUGUUUGCUCUUUCUUUUGUUUUGCAUUGCAUAUUGGUCCUUCCCCUAUUUUUGCAUGCUGACAGCUAAUCAUAAACACCAAGUUGCUUCAAAGGUCAUGGUUGAAACAAGCAUAUACUGAAAUGUAGAGGCAAAAGAAAUUAUGUAGGUUCUCGAAACUCUGGUGGUUGACCGCAGGGACAUCACCCGAUCCCGGUAUGUUGAGCUUUUUGAUGGCAAUGAUUUGGCCGCUGGCCAGUUCGGCCCUGUAAACGCUCCCGAACCAGCCCUUCCGAUGCAGUACUUUUCACUGCAGUCAUUGGUAGCCUUGGCGAUGUCAUUGAAUGUGAACUUCCCUUCCCUUCCCCAUAUGAUCGACUUGGAUUGCUCUUGCUUCACAAGACUCUUGAUCUCUUCAUCGAAUUCCUUGUUUCGCCACCGAAGUGCCAGAAUCACAGCAAUUGAAAUCACCAGAAAUAGUAAGCAGCAGAUGCCCAGGGUCACACCAAUAAAAACCUUUUUUCCCUAUGGUCGGUCAAUUUACCGCUCAUCCCACAAGGAGAUAAUCCAGUCGUGUUUCCACACAAACCCGGAUUCGCGAUUAAAGCACUUCCCUAUGCUUGUUGGGAGAGGCGACCACUACGAACCACACUAAUUGGCUUGUUGCACGAUAAGUCUAUUGAGCUUCAACUCCUCAUGCUAGUGAGAGGAGCUGGGAUCGUACCCGACAAUUUGUUAUGCAAAAGAUUGAGAUUUUCCAAUUCAGUGAACUUUGCUAAAUUGGAAGGAAUUGAUCCAGCUAGAGAAUCGUGGCUCAGGUCCAGGAGAUUCUGUAGCGUGAACAAGUUCCCCAGCUCUGGCGAUAUGACAUCCAACAUAUUGUUGUUGCUCAAGUUCAAGCUCAGUAAAUUCUUGCAAUUCACUAGCUCUUCCGCUAUGCUACCGCUCAAUGCCUUCUCCCCGACAAAUCAAGAUAUUCUAGCUUCGAUAAGUUUCCUAACUAGGUGGGAAUAUCUCCAGCCAAAUGGUUGUAGCUCAAGUUCAGCCUAAUCAACGCCCCCAGACUUACCAAAUCAUCAGGAAUUUUCCUGGUCCAUUCAUUGCCAUAUGGAGUCAGAUCGUGCAAUUGAGACAAUUUCUUAAGCUCCGGCGAGAUGCGGCUGGGGAUUUUGUUACCAUCUAUCUGCAAAUUCGUGACAUUGGUGCACUCUCCCCAUUCUGCAGAGAGAUUCCCGACAAAUCGGUUGUUGCUGAGGACCUGAGGCUUAUAAAGUCCGGAUUCAGAUAAACUCCAAACGCACUCAUGACAUCUGCAGUGAACCGAUUGCUGUCCAGACGGACUCUCGUUAGCCCCGGACAAUUCCUAAGCAGUUGGGCAGCGGCUAGGUGAAGUUAUUCCCAUCGACCACGAGAUAUCAAAGAGCAAAGCCGCUGCAUAUAUCUGGCGGCAGCUCUCUGGUGAAGCUGUUGUUCGAAAAGCUAACAUUGCCCAGAGAAUGGCUGUACUUGCCAAAAUCACGGGGUAUGCCUCCCGAGAAAUUGUUCAUGAACAAAGAGAUGGACUGUAAGUGAUGUUACGUCAUGGCUUUUUCCUUCCCAGCCCUGAUCUCCUCUUCUUCAACUUGAAGUGCCUCCUUGGUGGUAUACUUGCUGGUCAUCUUGCAAACCGACCUUCAUCACUGACAGCCUCUCAAACUUGACCUCGUAAUCAAUCGACUCGAGUUUGUCGUCCAAUGUGUCACCUUCGAUUAUCGUCUACCUACACACGAAGUUCUCCUUGUCGAGCUCAUUGAUCCGGUGCUUCACAUUCUUGAAAUGACUAGCUGCACUUGUGACCAAACAAGACUUACAUUAUGAAACUCCCGGCUUGACGAGUGUCUGUUGAGUGUUCGUACCUUCGGCGAUAUUAACUUGCUCGAUGCUCCCGGCUCCUCCGUUGCCUUGCACGAGCUCCACGCUCUUUAUGAACUGAGGCAGGAGCUUUGGGAUCAGGGAAUUCAACCCGACGAUCAAGGCCUUGAACAUGUGAGCUGGAGCAAUCGGGCACGUGAGCUCUUGUGUGAUGCUGGUUGCACCCAUGGCUAUUGGCAAUGAGAAAGAAAUAACCCCAGAGAAGUUCGUGCUUCUGAGUCCUGUCAAUGCCUCCUAUUUAUGGUUAGAAUUAUGCGAAUAGGUAGGCUUGGUUUGGCAAGAGUCACGUUUGAGGAAAAUAGAAGAGUCGAGGAUUCGCGGCCUAAAGAAAUAUAUAAUAAGAAUGUACUUUUCCUUAAUGAUUUUACUUAUUGCGGUUCAUGAAAAAUUGUGCCACCUUGAUAUGUUUCGAUGAUCGAUCCGGAUCGAGCGGGAUUGAUAGUCCAUAUUCGAAAUAUUAGGCCACAGUUUACCAUGAAUUCAUUUCACUCAUGUAUCCUCUCCAUGUAGCGCAGUUUACCAAAUUCCAUAAAAACCACUACACCAGAUUCCUGCCACACCUUUCAUUCUCUUGUUCUCAGCAAAGACGGGAACAACAACAAUCACCAGCCCAACAUGCUUUAACUUCGAACACCAAGUGACUCAAACGCUUCUUGUCUUCUAUUUAGUUUUGCCCAACCGGACAAUAAAAGAUAGCGACGAGAUUGGCGCAACAGGCAUCAGCGUUUGCCACGACAGAAGCCUCUAUGGCCUUGACCAUCGCGUCCACCUUCUCUUUCCCGGCCUUGAUCUCCUCCUCGGUGAUAUUCACCUCGCCAAUGGUGAAGUAAUUGCUCAUGCACUUCAACACCGAGCCUCCCUCGGGCGACGCGGUGAUCUUCACCUCGUAGCUGAUCUUCUCAAAGGCGGUGCCCAGCGCAUCACCCUCGAUGAUUAACAGUAGGUGAAGUUCUCCUUGUUCAAGGCCUAGACCUUGUGCUUUGCCGUCUUGUACCGACUGCCGAUCAGAGUAACAAAAAGUAACAUUCACAUUUAGAACUUGCCGGUUUCAACAUUGUGAGCACCGAUCUUGAUGGUGUAGAUCCGGCCAUUCAGGAAUUAGCCCCCAGCCACAAUCCAAUACUAUUAACUUAGACAUGGCCUGAUUUUGCCUUAUUGAAAUCAGGUCACAUGAUCACAUGUGUAAAUUUAAACAGUUAGAAACGUCUUAAUUAAUCAAGUCAUAUUUCUAUCUUUUUCAAUCAAGUCAUAUAUCUAUCAUUCAGGAAUUAGCCCCCAGCCACAAACCAAUACUAUUGACUUAGACAUGGCCUGAUUUUGCCUGAUCGAAAUUGGGUCACAUGAUCACUUGUGUAAAUUUAAACAGUUAGAAACGUCUUAGUUACUCAAGUCAUAUAUCUAUCUUUUUUAAUGUCCAUUAUAGUGUUCCAUAAGGUUGAACCCGCCUUGAUUUGGAGCAAUCCUAAGUUCCUAAUAUGGAUGGACUAACCUUCGCAGAAAGUCAUCAACUUGAUGGUCUCGGGACCUCCAUCGCCCUCGAAGACUUCAAUGCUCUUGAUGUCUUGUGGGAGGACCUUGUUGAUGAGGUUAUCGGUGUCAAGGAGAGUGGCCUCAAACAUCUCGGCCGGAGGGAUUGGGGACGUAAGUGAUGACACACAUGACUGGAUCCGAACAAAGGUGCAGAAACUAAGAAGAGGGUGAUGAUCAGGAAAGACUUAGUAGUGAUGAAUUUGGUCUCUAGGACUUGGGAGUGAAGGAAGGAGGCCGAAUUGAAGAAGACAUAUGUAGAGAGACUGAGUGUGAAGGGUUAUGAUUUCUGAAUAUUUUCUUCUUUCUUAGGUGGGUUUUGCAGAAAAUAAAUAAUUUAAGAAAUAUUUUCCUAAAAUUAAUCGUCAAAUUUGGAUAGUGUUUCCAAGCAAGAGUUAUUUGGUGAGUGUGCUGCAUAUUGUAAAUUGAUCUAAAUCCAUAUAGAACUCACAAGAAUUACAAGCCUAUAUCUCCUUAAUAUAAAUACGAUGAAAAAAUGCUACCUCAUUUCCGAAUUUUCAUCAAAAUUGUGCUGUAUAUACUAUGUUAAUCUAAAUUGCUAAAUUCAAUGGGCUCACGUGGGAUCCAUACAAAACUCACCAGAGUUAAAAGUUUUGAUUCCGCUUAAAAUGAAUACAGUGCACUUUCGUCAAAAUUGUGUUGUCUGUACUAAAUUGAUUUAAAUCACUAAAUCUGAUGGGUUCAUGUGAGACCCAUAUGGAACUUACUAGAAUUAAAAAUCCAAAUUCAGCUUAAUAUAAAUGCAACCUAGCUCAUUUCUGAGUCUUCAUUAAAAGUGUGUUGUAUGUCCUACAUUGAUCUAAAUCGCUAAAUAUGAUGGGUUUGCGUGGGAUCCAUAUAGAACUUACUAGAAUUAAAAGUCCAAAUUCCCCUUGAUAUAAAUACGACACUACCUCAUCUCCAAGUCUUCGUCAAAAUUCUGCUAUAUGUACUAAGUCAAUCUAAAUCGCUAAAUUUGAUGGGUUCACGUGGGAUCCAUACGAAACUCACUGACAUUGAUUCCACUUAAUAUAAAUAUGAUGCUCUUUCAUUGAAAUUGCGUUGUAUGUACUAAAUUGAUUUAAAUCACUAAAUAAGAUGGGUUCAUGUGGGACUUAUAUGGAACUCACUGGAAUUAAAGGUCCAAAUUCCGCUUAAUAUAAAUUUGACCCUAGCUUAUUUUCGAGUCUUCGUCAAAAGUGUAUUGUGGGUUCAAGUGAGAUCUAUAUGAAACUCAUUGGAAUUAAAACUCCAAAUUUCUCUUACUAUAAAUAUGAUGCUAUCUCAUUUCCGAGUUUUCAUCAAAAUUAUGUUGUAUAAGUUAAUAUACGGGUUUGUUUUAUUAUUAUGACUUUUGAGAUUCCCUUUCAUUUAUCAGUUUGAUAAAGAAUCGAAAUUUCCUUUUGACCCAAAAAAAAAAGUUAAUCUAAAUCACUAAAUUUUAUGAGUUUACAUGAGACCCAUAUAAAACUCAAUAAAAUUAAAAGUCUAGAAUCCACUAGAUAUAAAUACGAUGCUAGCUCAUUUCCAAAUCUCCAUCAAAUGCCUUUUUCUCAUCACUUUGAAGCUUCUGAUCGCACCCCACUCUGUCACACGUGAAUCGGGAAUGAUUUUCGACGCCAAAGUCUUCGUUAAAUCUCAAAAAGAUUGAGCCAACGUGGAACAACAACUCAAUUGUAAGCAUCGGGGUUUUGCAAGAGAUGGGCUCCAAUGGCUUUCAACAUUCCCAUGGCCUUCUAUUUGCUAGCCUUGUUCUCGACCCUGUCCUUGGCGAAGUACUUGCUCGUGCUCUUGCACGUGCACCCUCUCUGUCUGGACUUGAUCUCGUUCGAGAUCUUCUCUAGCACGUCGCCCUCCACAAUGAUGUAAGCGUGCGCGAGCUUUCCUUGUCCAGCUUGUCGACUGGUGCUUCACCGAGUUGAACCGUGUAGCCGCGACACACAGAAAACUGCAGUCAGCUCCCACGUUAGUCUUAUCUAAGAAUGUCAGGCAAAUAUGUUGACAUCACAUGUUGAUGUGUGAUCAAAAUGAGUGAAAUUAGAAGACGCGCAGGUACUCGCCUUCGCCGAAAACGAUGCGAUGGUGACGGGACCGCCGUCACCUUCAAGGGUGACAAAAUCCAGAUUGGCUUGUAGGAGGAGCUUGGGGAUGAGAUUUUUAUCAAGAUCAAAGGCCUUGAACAUUCGUGCAGGUGGGAUGGAAUGCGUCUUAGCCUAAGAUUUCCAAGUCCCAGGGCAAGAGAUGUGAGAUUAUGUUGAAAUGCCCUUUAAAUGAUUCUCAAUCUCCUCGUUUAGUUUCGAUUAAAAAAAAAAAAUCUCCUCGUUUAGUAAUCUAAAUCAGCAUCACAAUGUUCUUAAAUAAUACAAUAAAAAAAGAGGACAAAAGGCAUGGAUCUCAAGCCCAAAUUAUACUUAUUAGCAUGUGAGAGAUCUUUGAAUGCUGACACCCUUGAGGGUGGGAAUUCACUAAAUUAUAAUUUAAAUAUUAAAUGGCGCCAACGGCUCGGACAGGAAAGCUUGAGUACAUGCGGAUAAUUCUUGCGCAACGAAAUGCAUGGUAAGUCACGAAUCGAGACUCCUCCACAUACACGCUAUUGCGACCAUGACCAUGAAUACCACUUCCUUGACCAGUUGGCCAGUCGGAGGAGGAAGACGUGGGUUGAGCAUAUCCUAUAGUGGCACAUUUGAGUCUUUGAAUAAUGUUGACAUUUGUGUCAUUUGCAGGGAAGAGAGAAGAUUCCUGGAUGCUUCCCCAUCAUUCUCUAGCAUCGGUACUUUUACUGUUGACUCUGUUUCAUGAAAGAAGAAUGAAUCAAUGUUUUGAUCACAACCUCAAGUUGCCUACAAAUUCCAAAUUUUUGAGAUACUAUUAAUACAUACCACUUUUCAAAAUCUGUACUUGCUCUUCCUAAAAGUCUUGUUAGAAGUAUUGGAUGAAUCCAAAUUCAAUAUGUCAAUUGAAGGUAUUUGAUCAACCCGAGACCAUAGGUACAGGGGGAAUGUACUGAUUAGAUUUGAUCAUGUAGCUUGCUAGGAACCAUGUAGCCAUAAGAUCCAGCCACUGGGAUCCAAUUCGACGAAUCCGAAUUCAAGAGCCUCACCGUCCCAAAAACCAAAAGCCAAGGCUCGAAGUCCGACUUGAGCAAGAUGUUGUUCAACAUCAUGUCCUGAUGGACAAUAGGCAGUGAGCAAUUGUGAUGCAAGUAGGCGAUCACGGGAGCCACGCAUUGAUCACGGGAGCCACGCAUUGAACAAUCUUCACUCUCUUGACACAAGUCCAAUUCAACUGCUCCGCUUCCUCCAUGCAAGACCUUAGCCAAAGUUAAGAAAAGAUUGGAUGAUGUCCCUGCGGUUAACCACCACUUUUUUUUACCGUGACGAUGUGGCCACUGGCCUAUUCGGCCUUGUAAACGCUUCUGAAUCCGCGUUUUCCGAUGCAGUACUCUUCACUGAAGCCGUUGGUGGCCUUGGCAAUAUCGUUGAAUGCAAACUUCGUUCCCCUUUCCCAUAUGAUUUCACGUACUUCAUAAGAUUUCUUAUCUCUUCAUCGAGAUGCUUGUUUCACCGCCAAAGCACCAAAAUCAGAGCAAUAAGAGUCGCGAGAAGUAGUAAGCAGCAAACGCAACAAUCACAUUAAUCAGAACCUUUCUCCGAUGGUCAGUCGAUUUACUGCUCGACCCACAUGGAGACAUUCCGUCGCGUUUCCUCACAAGCCCGGAUUUGCAAUAAAAGCACUUCCUAGUUAUUGUUGGAAGAGGCGACCACCAGGAACUGCGCUUGUCAACUUGUUGUAUAAGAAGCCCAUGAAGCUUAAACUGCUCAUGCUGGUGAGAGCAGCUGGGAUCGUACCCGACAAAUCGUUAUGCGAAACAUUGAGAUUUUCCAAUUUAGUGAGCUUUGUUAAAUUGGAAGGAAUUGAUCCUACUAGUGAAUUGUGGCUCAGGUCUAGUGGUUCUGUAGCGUGAACGAGUUCCCCAGCUCUAGCGACAUGACACCCAACAGAUUGUUGUUGCUCAAGUUCAGGCUCAGUAAAUUCUCGCAAUUUGCUAACUCUUUUGGUACAAUCCAUAGAGAAGGGAUGUACUUGCCAUAUUGUGGUUUAUGAAAGAUUGUGCCACAUUGAUAACUUUAGAUGUUAAUCCAAAUUCGAAAUAUUGGGCCAAAGUUUGGUAUUUUAUUGGCCAUUUGGCAUUUCAUUUGUAACUCAUGAAUUCUCUCCUCGUAAAAAAAUUACUAAAUUAGAGAAUUUCAUUCUACAAGCCUUAGUAUAAACAUGUAGCAUAGUUUAUCAAAUUCCACAAAACCACUGCACCAGAUUCCUAUCACACCUUUUAUUCUCUUAUUCUCAGCAAAGACAAGAACAACAACACUCACCAGCCCAACAUGCUUAGCUCCAAACGGAGUGACUCAAACUCUUCUUGUCUCCUUUUCAGUAUAGCACAACCACACAUAUUUAACGCAUUUCGUAAACAAUACAAGAUAGCGAAAGGAUAGGUUCAGUAGGCAUCAGGGUUUGCCAAGAGAUAAUCCUCGAUGGCCUCGUACAUCGCGGACACCUUCUCUUUCCAGGUGUUGAUCUCCUCCGCGGUGAAGUAACUGUCCGUGCACUUCAACAUCGAGCCUCCCAAAGGCAACGCGUUGAUCUUCACCUCAUGGGUGAUCUUCUCGAAGGUGGUGCCCAGCAUUUCGCCCUCGAUGAUUGAGUAGCAGUAGGUGAAGUUCUCCUUGUCCAGGACCUCGACCUUGUGCUUCGCUGUCUUGUACGGAUUGCCUAUCAAUGUAACAAAAAGUCACACUCACAUUUAGAACUCGCAGGUUUCAAUAUCACGAGCACCAAUCUUCAUGGUGUCCAUCAGGCCAUUUAGGAAUUAACCCAAUUGUUCCGACCGCAAUCCAAUACAAUUGACUUAGACAUAGCCUGACUUUGCCUGAUCAAAAUUGAGUCACAUAAUCACUUGUGUAAAGUUAAACGGUUAGAAACAUCUUAAGUAAUCGAGUCAUAUUUCUAUCUUUUUCCAUAUUCAUUAUAGCGUUCCAUAAGGUUGAACCUACCUCGAUUCAGAGCAAUCCUAAGUUCCUAAUACGGAUGGACUAACCUUCGGCAAAAGUCAUCAACUUGAUGGUCCCGGGACCUCCAUCGCCCUCGAGGACUUCAACGCUCUUGACGGCUUGUGGGAGGACCUUGGGGAGGAGGUUAUCGGCAUCGAGGAUAGCGGCCUUGAACAUCUUGGCCUGGGGAAUGGGGGAUGGGAAAUCAAAGUGAAAAGUGAUGACACCCAUGAUCGGAUCUUAAUAGAGUUGCUGAAACUGAGAAGGGGGUGAUGAUCUGGAAAGACUUGAGUAGUAGUGACGAAGUUGGUCUCUGGGACUUGGGAGUGAAGAGAAGAGGCUGAAUUGAAGUUGACAUAUAUAGAGAGAGGGAGACUGAGUGUGAAGGGUUCUGAUCACUGCAUAUUUUUUUCUUACUAAGAUGCAUUAUAUUUUGCAGAAAAUAAAUAAUUUAGAAAAUAUUUUCCUAAAAAUAAUCACUAAAUUUAGAUAGUGUUCUGAGCAUAAGUUAUUUGGUGAGUGUGCUGCAUGUUCUAAAAUGAUCUAAAUUGCUAAAUUUAAUGGGCUCACUAGAAUUAAAAGUCUAGAUUCCCCUUAAUAUAAAUACGACACUACCUCAUUUUCAAGUCUUCAUCAAAAUUGUGUUGUAUAUAAAUAUGACCCUAGCUCAUCUCCGAGUCUUUAUCAAAUGUGUGUUGUAUGUCCUAAAUUGAUCUAAAUCGCUAAAUCUAACAGGUUCACGUGGGAUCCAUGUGGAACUCACUCGAAUUAAAAGUCUAGAUUCUCCUUGAUAUAAAUACGAUGCUAUGUCAUUUCUAAGUUUUCGUCAAAAUUGUGUUGUAUAUAAAUAUGACCCUAGCUCAUUUCUAAGUCUUUAUCAAAUGUGUGUUGUAUGUCCUGAAUUGAUCUAAAUCUCUAAAUCUAACAGGUUCAUGUGGGAUAAAUGUGGAACUCACUCGAAUUAAAAGUCUAGAUUCUCCUUGAUCUAAAUACGAUGCUAUGUCAUUUCAAAGUUUUCGUCAAAAUUGUGUUGUAUAUACUAAGUUAAUCUAAAUCGCUAAAUUUGAUGGGUUCAUGUGGGAUCCAUAGGAAACUCACUGAAUUAAAAGUUCAGGUCAACUUAAUAUAAAUACGGUUUUCUUUCAUCAAAAUUAUGCCGUAUGUACUAAAUUAACCCAAAUUGCUAAAUCUGAUGGGUUCAUGUGGGACCUAUAUGAAACUCACUCAAAUUAAAAGUCAAGAUUCUCCUUGAUAUAAAUACGAUACUAUGUCAUUUCUAAGUUUUCGUCAAAAUUGUGUUGUAUAUAAAUAUGACCCAAGCUCAUUUCCGAGUCUUUAUCAAACGUGUGUUGUAUGUCCUAAAUUGGUCUAAAUCACUAAAUCUAAUAGGUUCACGUGGGAUCCAUGUGGAACUCACUCAAAUUAAAAGUCUAGAUUCUCCUUGAUAUAAAUACGAUGCUAUGUCAUUUCUAAGUUUUCGUCAAAAUUGUUUUGUAUAUAAAUAUGACCCUAGCUCAUCUCCUAGUCUUUAUCGAACGUGUGUUGUAUGUCCUAAAUUGAUCUAAAUCGCUAAAUCUAACAGGUUCACGUGGAAUCCAUGUGGAACUCACUUGAAUUAAAAGUCUAGAUUCUCCUUGAUAUAAAUACAAUGCUAUGUCAUUUCUAAGUUUUUGUCAAAAUUGUAUUUUGUAUAUAAUAAGUUAAUCUAAAUCGCUAAAUUUGAUGGGUUCAUGUGGGAUCCAUAGGAAACUUACUAAAGUUAAAAGUUCAAAUCAGCUUAAUAUAAAUAUAGUGCUCUUUCAUCAAAUUACGUCGUAUGUACUAAAUAACCCAAAUCGCUAAAUCUGAUGGGUUCAUGUGGGACCUAUAUAAAACUCGCUGGAAUUAAAAGUCUAGAUUCUACUAAAUAAAAAUGAGGCCCUAACUCAUUUCCGAGUCUUUGUCAAAAGUGUGUUGUAUGUCCUAAAUUGAUCUAAAUUGCCAAAUCUGAUGAGUUCACAUAGGAUCCAUAUUGAAUUCACUAGAAUUAAAAGUCCAAAUUCCACUUAAUAUAAAUAUGACGCUAGCUCAUUUCUGUUUCUUCAUCAAAAUUGUGGUAUAUGUACUAAGUUAAUCUAAAUCGCUAUAUUUGAUAGGUUCAUGUGGAACCCAUAUGAACCUCACUAAAAUAAAACGUCCAAAAUCGAUUAAAUAUAUGUACUACUUUAACUCAUUUCUAAGUCUCCAUCAAGCACCUUUUUCUCAUCUCUUUGAAGCUUCCGAUCGCGUGCCAUUCCGUCACAUGUGAAUCGCGAAUGAUUUUCCACGCCAAAGUCUUUGUUAAAUCUCAAGACUUAAAAAUACGAAUGUGAAGUAACAACUGCGUGUCAAAUGCAGAAAAUUCAUAUGUGAAAAAGUUGACCGUCCCUUCUUGAGUCAACUGUUCUCUUCCUCGAUAUGCUUUUCUGAUCUGGCCUCAAAGACAGAUGGGCAAAGCGGCGCAUUCAUAUCUAUAAUCUCGCGGCAGUUUCAACUCUGUUAAAAGAAUGCCGAGAUCUUUACAAGAUGUUUGACAAGCGUCUUUGAUGACAGCAUGCAGCAUAUCUACCGCUUCAAAACAUAGUUACGGUUCAGUCUCGAUUGUUAUUUUUCUUGAAAGAGACACGAAUGAAGACAUAAAUUAUGGUGGGAGAUGGAAAGAUCCAGCCAACAUGUAACAACAACUCAAUCGUAAGCAUCAGCGUUUUUGCAAGAGAUGGGCUUCUAUGGCUUUCAACAUUCCCAUGGCCUUCUCUUUGCUGGCCUUGUUCUCGACCCGGUCCAUGGCGAAGUACUUGCUCAUGCUCUUGGCCAUACACCCUCUCUGUCUGGACCCGCCUCAAACUUGAUCUCGUUCGGGAUCUUCUCUGGCGCGUUGCCCUGGACGAUGGCGUACGCAUACGCGAGCUUUCCUUGUCCAGCUUCUCGACGGGUGCUCCAUCGAGUUGAACUGUCUAGCUGCGAGACACAGACAACUGCAGUCAGCUCCCACGCUAGCCUUAACAAAGAAUGUCGGCAAAUGUCCUCUUUGACAUCACAUGUUAAUACGACGCAUCAAAAUAAAUGAAAAUAGAAGACAGCGCAAGCACUGGCCUUCGCCAAAGAUGGCGCCGGGACCCCCAUCACCUUCAGGGAUGACAAAAUCCUUAAAGGCUUGUGGGAGGAGCUUGGGGAUGAGAUCAUCGUCAAGAACAACGGCCUUGAACAUUCUUGCAGGUGGGAUGGAAUCGUCUUCACCUAAGAGUUCCAAGUCCCACGGCAAGAGAUCUGUGAGAUUAUGUUGAAAAUGCCCUCUAAAUGAUUCUCAAUCGCCUCGUUUAGUAAUCUAACUCAACAUCACAUUGGUCUAAAUCAUAUAAUAAAGAAAGAGGACAAAAGGCAUGGAUCUCAAACCCAAAUGAUACUUGUUAGCAUGCGAGAGAUCUUUGAAUGCAGACAACCUUGAGGGAGUCACUAAAUUAUUAUUAAAAUAUUCUAAUAGAACCCAAUGGCUUAGACAAGCAAGCUUGAGUGCGUGCGGAUAAUUCUUGCUUGACAAAAUGCAUGGUAGGUCGCGAAUCGAGACUCGUCCCCAUGCACAUCCACUUCCUCGGCUAGUUGGCCGGUCGGAGGAGGAAGCCAUGGGUCGAGCACAUCCUUCAGUAGCACAUUUGAGUCUUUCAAAUAAUGUCGAGUUUGUGUCAUUUGUAGGGAAGAAAGAACAUUCAAUGGAUGCUUCCCAUCAUUCUCUAGUGCCACUACUUUUACUGCUGACUCUGUUUCUUGAAAGAAGAACUAGUCAGGGUUUUGCUCACAUCAUCAUCAUCAAGUUGUACACAAAUUCCAAAUUUCUGUGAUACUUUUGAAACAAACCACUUUUCAUAAUCUAUACUUACUCUUCUUUAAAGUAUUGUUAGAAUUAUUGAAUGAAUCCAAAUUCGAUUUGUCCAUUAACCGCAAAGUCACUACAAAGAAUGAAUCAAAGUCAUGAUCAUAAUGUCAAGUUGUACCCAAAUUCCAAAUUUGAACGACACUCUAACACAAACCACUUUUCAAAACCGCAAAAUCCUAAAAGUUCCAUUAGAAUUAUUUGAAUGCAAAGUAUCGAUCCGAGACCAUUUGUACCCGCGAAAUGUCGAUUAGAUUCAAUCAUCUAACUUACCAGGAGCCAUGUAGCCAUAAGAUCCAGCCACAAAUAAGGCCGGAAACUCGCAUGAACCGGAAAGCAGCAGCCCAGUCCGGCGAGCCCGAAACAGGGCAUGGGCACAAAAAAAGCGCGGUCGGCAGAGAGUCCCUACCCAGCUCCCGGCGUCAGACGGCGGACGAGCUCGAUAGAUCGGGCUUCGUCCGUCCGCCUCGCUCGUCUCCUAGCCGGGAUCCUCGGGAAGCCGACCUCGAAUCGGGAAAAACCAAGACGGCCCGAACGGGGACCUUACCAUGGCCUCGAAGUGGACAAGGAGCGGCGGCGGAUCAUCAGUUUUGGUUCGGAAGUGGAGGCCAACAGCGGCUCUCUCAGUCGCGUUCUCUCUCUCUCAACUCACGGUCUCUCUUUCGCGGCCCUCUCUCCUCGGAUCCGAAUCCCUCUCGCCUCGUACUUGACCCCCCUCCGAUUUCUCCCUCCUCCCCGACCUCUGGCCUUCUAUUUAUAGGCUGAGAAGGCCAGUCGGAGGAGGCGCUUCGGCCGCCGGUCCUUCGCGCGCCGACCGGCCCCCCUUGGCUGAACCAGCAUGACAUCACCCGUCGCCUCCACCGCCGCCUGCUCUGCUUUGCGCCUGCUCUGCUCUGCUCUGCUCCUACUGCUGAUUCCGUCCUCGCUGGCGUGAGGAAGAAGCGGGAAGGAGGAAGGAGGGGCCGGGCCAGGGUGAGAAGCACAAGCAGAGUGGGCCCUGGGCCCACUCGGGGAAGAUAGGAAAAAAGAGGGGGGCUCAGGCGAAGGCCCAGCCGCCGUGGGCCCUUUUUUUAUAAAUAAUAUUAAAUAGGGUUAAAUAAGAGAAAAUAAAACGAAAAUAAAACUUAAAAUGCAAAUAAUAUUAAUGCUUAUAUGAUGUGAAAAUCGUUUUUAUUAGGGUCAAAUUGAUUCCAAACUUUUUAUAUAAUUUUAAUUAUAGAUGUUUAGUUAAAAUUUAAGUAUCAAUAAAUAUAAAUCUCAAAUUGCAAGAGUAAAAAUAAAAAAGAAAAGACUUAAAUAAGAGACAAGUGCGGUUGCACCUUUAUCCCAUCAUGUGACUGAAAUUGUUUACGAAAGUAAAAAAAUUCAACGAACAUCAAGUGCUCUAGCUUUAAUUGAAUUAUUGUGGGCCUUAUUUCUCCGCCACGCAUCCCACGUUGAAGUCAUCCUUUAACGUUACAUAUAUGAAUGAAUCGAAAUUUAUCUAUAUGUUAUACGUAGUGACACGUGUAAUGCAGUGUGGCUCUUUUGAUGGGACAAAUUUCCCCACAUCACCAAUUACCUCUUAUUAGGACAAGUUCUUGAAGGAUCCUAUGUUCUUUUUCUUUUCUUUUCUUUUUUGAUAAUAUUGAUAUUGUUUUCGGUGACGUGUUCCUUUUCCAAAUUAAUUGGAAUAUAUCAUUUUAAUAGAUCAAAUCUCUACCUUAAAUGGGAGUAUGAGUUUCAAAAACCUAUGAUAGAUUAUUAUCAAUAGUCACACAAGAAUAACAUGCCAAUUGAUGCUACAGCGUGACACAUAAUAAAUAAAGGGGAAAAGCCAGAUUUUAGUAAAACAAAUUCGAAACCGAGUGUUGAGAUUAUUUAUUGACAUGGACAUCAACCUAUAGCAUCUCCUUUUACUAAUGAAUAGGGCUUGGAUUAAAUAAUCAACCUAGUGAUAGUCUAAAAUAGCUCUUUUUGCCUUGCUCCUCUAUCUUUGGACAUCAACUUUAUUUAUUUUUUAAUUUACUCUGAAUCUUAUUUGGUAAAAUCUAUACAUGUGCAUCGAAAGUGCACGAUCUAAAAGAGUCCAUCAGUAUCGUAGCCACAACCAAGAAGUAUGUGUGAUUUGUUUUUAGAUCCCACAUAAACUGAAAGCAUGCUAACAUUCGGACCAAUAUCAAAUCACUUGUGGAUUGCCGACUAUGAAAGCAUAAAGGAGUAACUAUAUAAAUUAAUCCUAGCUAGGAUCUUCCUACAUUUCUACAUAGGUAGGCAUUUAAAUGAUCAAUGAGAGAGAGAGAGAUUAUAUAUAGAUCAUAAUUCAAAGAGACGAUCUACUCUUUUAAUGAUGAUGAUGAUGAUGAUAAUUAUAUAAAAUUGCGAGGAGCAGAAUUUUUUUUGGCCCGGUAGAGUCUAUGAAAAAACUACACAAUACAUCGGGAUGAUCAUUAGAUGAGAAUGCAUGUUUAGAACAAUGAAAAUCAUUUUGUAGGGUAUAGAUCUCCCAAAUUGUUCAAACAUUGUUUUAAUGGUUUUCCUUGGAUGAAAGAUUCUUCCUCUAACACAUGAUUUACUUAAUUUAAUCAGUCCAAGAGAGAGAUACACCACCCACGUGCCCCAUAAACAAUGGGGAAUUUGUCUAAUACGUUAUGAUGUACAAGACCAUACAAUCCUGUUUGCUCUUUUGAUAAGUAUAAAUUAUUGUGCAAUCAAUGAAUUCAGAUCUAAUGUUAUUAAGAUAUUUCACAUGUCCACAUGUGGUUUUGGUCUAAUAGAUCAAACCAACAUACAAUGUCAACUCAGACAAACACAUUUUUGGUCGUUCACUCUUCCUUGAUAAAAAUCCCUUUAAAGGCCAAAUGUCUGAUAGCCCUUGAUACUUGACACCCUAAAGUUUACUUAGCAAAGGUUCAAUAAGUUAGGUUUUGGAAGGGUCAUCAGGAGUAUUGUAGGUCGGAACGGGUAAAACAAGGAUCUCUGUAAAGUUAACCACCUUGCUGGAGUUGCAUUUGAUGAAUGAAUUGUUCCCAACUGAAAUUCUUUUAGAGCAUGUGUUAACAAGACAAUCACAAAAUUGUUGUCAAAUAAAGCACCCGGAUCAAAAGCGGAAUUGAUCACGAUGAUUUUUGGAUUGAAGUGGUGAAAAAGCUUGGUCGAGAGCUAAUUGGGAAAUAGAGAAAGCUCAAACUUUAGGAUAAGCAAUUUUGUGGCUAAUAAUAGAAACUACAAAAGGUUUUGGCUAAUUGUCCACUGCAUAUAUUCUUGGGCCCCUUCCUUCCCCUUCAUUCCGCGGAGGCAGACGAAGGUACCAGACGGAGGAGGCGCCGCCGGCGGAGCAGAGCCCGAGCCAGAGCCAUGGUUCACGUCUCUUUCUACCGCAACUAUGGGAAGACGUUCAAGAAGCCUCGCCGUCCGUACGAGAAGGAGCGGCUGGAUGCUGAGCUGAAACUUGUUGGUGAGUAUGGGUUGAGGUGCAAGCGAGAGUUGUGGAGGGUUCAGUAUGUGCUGAGUAGGAUCCGUAACAACGCCAGGAUGCUUCUGACCCUCGACGAGAAGAACCCUCGUCGUAUCUUUGAAGGCGAGGCCCUUCUCCGUAGGAUGAACCGCUAUGGGCUUUUGGACGAGAGCCAGAAUAAGCUUGAUUAUGUCUUGGCCUUGACUGUGGAGAACUUCCUCGAGCGCCGCCUUCAGACAUUGGUGUUCAAGUCGGGUAUGGCCAAAUCCAUCCACCAUGCCAGGGUGCUCAUUAGGCAGAGGCAUAUCAGGGUUGGUUGCUGACUUAUACACCCCGUUAGGUGACUCGUUCUCUCGGAUAUUAACCAGAUGGGGUGUAGCUUUACCAACUUUGGAGGCUUAUAAUGAUAAGUUUAUUUGGUGUGGCGAUCCAUCAGCCUCCUUCUCGGUCGCAUCUGCAUGGAAUGUCAUUAGAACCAAGAGAGAUCGGGUGGAGUGGGCUUCUUUGAUUUGGGAUAUUGAUAUAGUCCUGCGCCAUCAGUUUAUUCUAUGGCUUAUAUCUAGAAACCGUCUUCCCACUCAGGUGAGGUUGUUAAAUCAAGGUCGAAUUGAUUUUAAUGUAUGUGCUUUUUGUAGUGAAGAACCGGACUCAAUUGAACACCUAUUCUUCCGGUGUCGCAUCUCUGCUUCCUUGGCCUUUUUUUGGGCAGCCAGAUGUAACUUGCCAUGGAGGAAUAGAUGUUGGAGUGAGGCGCUCACUUGGGCCAAGAAAUUCCUCAUGGGGAAGGAUUUUUACCACAGGAUAGUUUGAUUCUCCUUCGGUGCGUUGUGCCAUCUCAUUUGGAAGAAGAGGAAUGCGAUUAUCUUUGAGGGUGAGUCCUUGGUAAUCCCUGCCCUUAAAAAUCACCUAAUCCAGGUGGUUAAGGACAAAGCACUUACAUUCACGGAAGUUCUUCCUUCUCCGAAGAACAGAAGACUGCAAAGGGGGUGGGGAUUCCACCCAAUGAUCUUUUCAUCUGUAGCUAUUCCUCUUUAGGGUGCUGGUGUUUCGGUCUGCUCUUGUUCUUGUACUUACAGGUGCCUUCCUCCUCCAUUCUCCGCUUUCAGCUUUGAGGGCUUGAGGGAUGGGGACGCUACGGGUUCCUGUUGUUACGGCUUGUUUGUUCGUUUCUUAGCUUUUGUGUUCUUGUUGGCGCCCUCGGGCUUUUUUCGGAUCCCCGUCACUCUUGCUCCUUUGUUAAGAGUGCUUGUUUGGAUCCGAUCUUUUGUACAUUUGUCCUCCUCAUUAAUAUUAUUACCUUUACCAACAAAAAUACAAAAGGUUUUGGCCACUCAUGCACGUGCCAGGUCUGCUCUCACGUGCAUGCGGACCCUGGUCUGUGUCUCGGCCUCUCAAGUCUCUCUUCCCUGUUCUUCAAUCUCCACUUUCCGUCACCCAUUAAUCCCAUCUUCCUCGCUGACAUGAAGUCAUUAACAUUCGAUUUGAUCCCCAGAAAGCGAAAUCAACACUUAUCGCAUGAAUCAAAAGCAAAUACUAUGGAAUCGGUGUCCCGUGAGGCUGAUCUUAUAUGAUAACAUCUUUGUAUCGGCUACAUACAUUAUGUGCAAAUAAAGUGUAAUUAUACUAUCAUAUUUUCGUUAAUUCACCUCUUUGAUCCGAUAUUAUUUGUUGAUGUUGCCCUUUAAAAAUCAGGACAUGACAUCCUCCUUAGUUGAUUGAUAUAUGACAAGGGUCAACAAAAAAGACAGCAUCUAAGUUAACAAUUUGGGAAGAUUAAUGUUUGUGAUGGAGGGUAUUGACUUAUUACGUGACAGAAUCUUUCCGACAUCGUACAAUUAGCUGUCAAGCCAACAUUUUUGCCUUUUGUUUUUCAAGAAACAAACAAUCACAAAUUUUUAAAGAUAGACCACAUGCCCAUUUAGUUGACAGAAAAUUGUUCACAUAAAAGUUUUCCAUAUUUCAAUAUUUAGAUGAUAGAAAAUUAUUCAAUCUACUGAAAGUGUUUUCUGUGGAUUGAAAAUAAUAAAUUUAUAUUUGGAAAAAAAAUUGGUAAGAAAUCAUUUUUCCUAAUUUUUUGCUAAUUCUUAUAGAUUAAAUUAGUCAAAAUUAGACUUUAUUAACGCAUAUUAGUGAAUUCACUUGCUAUCAAACACCAUAAAAUUAUUUUUUCUCCAACAUGUUUUGGCAAGAACGAACACCAGAAAUUUGUUUAUUUUCUCUGGAAUUAAAUUUUUUGAAAAUACUUUUCAGCGAUAAAUUUUUGCUAAAAUAAGCGCAUCAAAGCGACAUUUUUGUUAAGGUUAAUACCCUAAAAAAUCCCAAACCAGUACACCUAUAAUAAAUUUACCCCAAACUGGUAUACUUUUGAUAAAUUUACUACAAACCGGUACUUGUGACAAAUUUAUCCUUUGUUAAUUUUCGAACUAAAUGACAUAUGACACUUGACUAAUAUACUAAUUUUGGAUUUUACACUCUAUUUGUCAUAGUUUACAAUUUUUGUGAUUUUUUUGCGGUGUUAAUCCAAUUUAGCGGAUGGUAUAAUUAUUGCAAAUUUAUUAGUGUGGGGUUUUUUGUGAUCGAAUAAAUUAGUUUUGGAUAAUUUAUCAUAAAUGUAUAAGUUUAGAGUUUUUUAUUAUCAGUCGGGAUAAAUUUUAUUAUAAAUAUAUUAGUUUGGAGUUUUUUAUAAUAAAAAAAUUUAAGUAAAUUUACUAUUAGAAUUUUCUAUUGUAUUAAUCAUUUUUGUUAACCCUCUUCUCCCUUUCUCCUUCUCUCUCUCAGCCGCAGCUGCUCUUUCUUCGCCAGCUGUACAAAAGGCCAAAAAAUAUAAUUGAGUGUCACCAGCAAUUAUGCACCGAAAGUAGCUUUAUUCUCUCUCUGCUGUGCUGCAGCUGCUCCUUCUUCGCCAACCAUACAAAAGGCCAAAAUAUAAUUGAGUUUCACCAGCAAUUAUGCACCUAAAGUAGCUUUGUCCUUCGAUUUGAUGAUAAGGAGCAACCCAUCUUUGUUGGCCUCAGUCCAAUCAGUGUCGGCCAAAUAGGUAUAUCACUCCAGGUCCUUCAUCUGUCGGACUUUCCAUUCCAGAGCAUCAGCGUUAGCAUCGUCCUCCGCUCCCAACACCAUAUUUUUCUUCUCAAGUCCAACCUUUCUUUACUCUUCCGGUUUUCUUGCUUUGAUCUCUUGACUCAUGGCUUCUGUCCUAUGAUAUGCUUCAUGUGCUACCAUGUUCUGGGUUUUAGCGGCGGUUUUUCUGUCUUAUGGGAUCGGACUCUUUUAAGGAUACUCGAACAUCAUAGUUUUGUUGCUUUUUGAACUAUGCAUGCACAUUCAAACAUCACAUGGCUUUUUGCAAUUGCAUUUAGCUUGAUAUAAGAAUGUUUAAUUCUUUGGAUUAGCUAACUUUGAUCUGCAUUUGGUUACUGCUAAUUCUGCCUUGGCCCAGCUUCUAGAUUGCCCUGAUAAAUCUGGUCAUCUUUAGUUUGUUGUGAGCAUAAUUUGAAUUUGCAGCCCACCCAAAAGAGAAAAUCUUAUAUGUUCACAGCGAAAAUUCUAAGUCAAUUAAAGUGAGUUUUCGCAGACUAUCAAGAAAAAGUUGGUUUUUCACAAAAGUGCUCUUAAGUUAUAAAUAAGUCAUAUGGAAAUCAGGUAAUACUUUUUUUUUUUAUCAAUAACUUUUUAACACUUACCAAUUCUUUCAGGAAUUUAUCUGCAUGAAAAAUAUCCGUUUGUUUUAAAAUGGAGUAGUAAAGUUGUCCCUGUGACAUAUGAGAGUUAAUUGCCUUUUUAACAAUUUGCGUCUGGAUGGACUCUCCACUAAACAAGAGGUCUCCUUGUAAAUGGCGUUAUUAUGACUUUUUGGGUGUCGAAUUGUCGUGAUCAUAAUUAUUAUUACUUUUUUUACCAAGAUCAUGUGUUCUCCGUUAGUCCAAUUCUAAGGAAAUUUGUUAGCACCGUAACAGUGGGGUGAAUUGAUUUUUCAAGAUAUUAAAUAUCAAUUUUGUAAAACCUACCCCUAUAAAAAUUGUGCUUCUACUACUGAGUAUACUAGCAAUUUAAACAGGACAAACUAAAAAGUUUAGAGAAAGAAAAAUUGCAAAAUGAGAAUUAUGAAAGUUCGAUUGGGGUAUACAUACUCCUCUUUCUAGCUCUAAUAGCCCAAAUAGACUGAACUCUACUAGCUAUGCCAAGAGUACAAAUACCAUAUUGUUUAGAAAAUUACUCAAUCCGUCUUAAACUUUUCAAUUUUGCCAAUUUAAUUUUAAAUAUUUGUGUAAAAUUUCAAUAUAUUUCUUUCAGUCAUUUUUCGUCGGAAAUUUCUAACAUGACAUCAUCGUUGGCCGUCCUAUGUAGCAUACCACUAUGCCCACAAUUUUCAGCUAAAAUUAGCGAAAAGACUAGACUGAAUUUCACACGAAAGUCUAGUUGAUGACCGAAUUAGUAUCCAUGCAAUAAGUCUAGGAUUGAUUAGACAAUUAGGGUGCGUUUGCUAACAUUUUUGUUUAAAAAUUGUUUUUGGGAAUAGAAAUAGAAAAAAGUAUUUCUGCUUCAAGGAACAAUUUUUGAACAAAAAAACGCGUUUGGUAAAUUUAUUCCAGAAAUAUAAAAAGAAUAGAAAUACGUUUGGUAAAUUUGUAUAAAUUUUUUAUUUCUUUUAAUUUUUUAAUAUUUUUAUUUUAUUUUUAUAUUUCUUUUCUUUUUUUUCUUUUUUUCUUUUUCCUUUUGUUUCUUUUUUCUUUUUCCUUUUUUCUUUUUUCUUCUUUUGGCCGGUCGCUGGCCUCGGCCAUGGCCGAUGACCGGCCGAUGAGGGCCAUCGGCCUCGCCCAGCCACGGCAAGGCUCAUUGGCCCCGGCGAGGUUCGGCGUCGCCGGCCGUUGGGCGAGCUCGGCCUCGCCGAGGCUGGGUGAGAUUGAGCUCACCCAGCCCGGUGCGAGGUCGGCCUCGCAGGGGGCCGGCGAUGCUCUGGCAACCGGCCAAAGAAAAAAGAAAGAAAAAAUAAGAAGAAAAUGGAAGAGAGAGAAAAAGUGUUCCUAAAUUUUGUUCCAGAAAUCCAGAUGUGUUUCUGGGAACAAAAAAAUAAUUUUGGAACAAAAACGCAAACAAACGCGUUUCUGUUCCUUUUUUGUUCCUAGAAAUAAAAAAACAGAAAUUUUUGUUCUAGGAAACAAAAAUAAUUUUUAACAAACAGGCCCUUACUUGUUACAAGUGUAGAACUUGCCGCCACGGAGAACUUGACUUCCUUUUAUAGCAAUCCCGUUGUACACUGAGUAACUUUUGGACCCUCCAAUAGCUGUUCUCACUCCUUGUUCACACGAUACAAAGGUCCUUUUCUAAAUUAUAAACCACACCUCCGACUGUUUACAAAGAGUCCAUUAUACAUUUUAUCUCUUGCCUAGACAAAUAGUGUUCACUCUAAGUAUGUAAAACCACCCUUUUCAUAUGUUUACGAGUGGGUUUGUCCCUCUUGCUAAUAAUUAGAAACAACACCAAAAUGGGUAUUACAAGUUUACGAAAGACACGAACUUAAAAGUUUCCCAAUAAUACUUAAAUUCUCUUGUAGUAGUUAUAUCUAUCUAAUCUUCAAUUAAAAAAAGAAAAAUCUUAGCAAAAUUCCUUAAAAACAAAUGUAUAAAACCUUGUUACAAUCUAGGCCAUCAAUCUGAUCUUCUAUUAAUGCAGGUUUUAAUCAUAUUGUUUCACCAACCUUCUGAGCGAAUUAGUCCCUUUUUUUUGCAUAACUAAUCUUGGGAUGUCACAUUUUAUUGCUAUGACUUGGGGCUUUGAUUUACGAACUCCAAUAGUCGUUAAAUCUAAUCCAUGGAAAGCGCCCGCUAAAAAAUCUGACUGCUUUGCAUAACCUAGUUUGGUUCUACACCUUUCCUCCAGCAGCUUUCCUGACAUAGUAAAAUCCUACUUGUGUACUUGUAAAAUCCGAACCAAGCUUCUGUAUGGUUUAAACAUGAACAUUUGCACACUUAAAUGAAUUUUUUAAAUUCUUGGGUUAAAUUUUGAUAUUAUCAUAAUCUUUUUAGUAUAUUUUCCAAGCAGUUUCUCCAUUUUCAACAAUGACAAACCUAUACCAUUCCUUCAAUAAGAGUGAGUUAUGCACAUAAGCAUGCAUAUUCUGCAGAACUAUUUCACUGUAAAACCAGAGAUGAUUCAUGCAUGCUUCUACAUGCGACGUUUUAAUAGACCAUACAAAUAUGUCUGCGAAACAUAAUAAACUCCCCUUAAUAUGUACACGUAGUGUGAUACUCCCCCUGAGUAUGUGCUUCUCCCCCUUCUUGUUUCUUAAAAAAGCAUUAACAUCAAAUGCCCAGGGAUGAAAACCAUAUAAGCAAAAGCAUUCAUUUAUUUAUAUACAAGAGUGUUCUACAAAGCAUAUUCCGGAAAAAUUAAUAUAAAGGAAAGUGAACAUUAACCAAAAGGAUCACAAACACCGAUUUCAUCCAUCAAGCUAGAAAUGUAUUGUUAUCAAGAGGUUUAUUCAGAAUAUGAGCGAAUUGCAAAUCGAUGCUAACAAAUCCUUUUCAUUGAUUCAUGUUGUGCUGUGGCUGCCAUAAUUAAAUAAAUAAAUAAAAGAAUCGUAUGAAAGAGUCUCUCUUCUUGAAGUUUGACCUAGUUCAGAGCUCCUUGAAAUGGAAGCCACCCCCGUUAAUUAGCACAACUCAUUGUUUAGGGUUAAAUCUUUUAUUAGAAAUCCAAAAUUUAGGUAGUAGAAUACUUGGCCAAUUUUUAAGAUAGUGUGACUCUAAAAAUUGUGCUCGUAUUCAACUGAAACACAAUUAGUAAAGAAAGACUUACCGAUUGCUUAACAAUGUUGCAAUUACACUUAUUUUCAAAUCCUUACAUUAAGGAUGACACGUCCUUAUAUCUCAAUAAGGGCCAUUGACUUAACUAAGAAAUUUUAUCAUUUCCCUUUUUGCUAAUCAAUGUGUCAUGAGGUUUAAUACACAACUGACUAUAUUAACUUGAAGACUUUGAUUCCGUUCAAUACUCGAAAAACAGAAAUCUGACUAAUUGGAGUUUGAAUUACUGAAACUGCGACAACAAUUGAGUAGAAAUGUAAAAGAGACUUAGGGUUGAUGCCUGAUUAUAUGUCGAAAUACCAUGGGUUUGACAUAUAUACCUCCUUCUCAAAGCCCUGUAUGCUAUUGGAAAUAUGUAUACGUAUUAGACACAUUUUGUGGGCUACUACAUGGUGCACUUGUUUUAUAUUUUAAGUUUCAAUGGGUCAAUUUUGUCUACUAGUAAUAUUUUCUUCCAAUCAUACUUUCAAUUAACAGGUCAUAGAUUAUGGACAUUAUCAAUAUGCAAAUUCAAUCAAAAUCAAAUACGAGUGAUGUUAAUAUUUGUGUGAUCCAUCAACGAAAGUUAUGACUAAAAAGAGUUCAUCCAGCUAGAGCGUUACAUGUGCACAUAGAGUUUAGAAUUCUAUCCGUGAACUUUUACAUCAUUGACUACGGUUGCUAACAAGCAUUUUCAUUGCAAAAUUUGACAACAUUUUUGGAUGGCUUUUGGAUUAUUGAUGUUGAUUACAUAAUUAUGUCAUGAUUAAGUUUUAUCAUGUUCAGAUUUAGUUUUCUUAUAUUUUAUUUGAAUCUAAGUUACUAUUGUUGCACAUGAUUGUUGACACAUAAAUUUCUCUAUUUUACUUAAGACUUAAUAGCAUUAAAAAUUAGGAAUUAGUCGCUAAAAAAAUUAAUUAAAAAUUAAUUAUUAAAAAAAAAGAGAGAGAAGAAGAAAAAACCUUAGGGGUCGGGCCGGAUCCGGCCUUUGCCCGGCCCGCCCCCUUCCUCUUCUUUUCCCCCCGCGCGGCCCAAUCUCUUUUCCUUUCGGCCCGCCCGCGCCCCAGCUGUCUUCGCGCGCAAACCUGCAGAGGAGAAGAGACAGCACGCGAGCAGGCGGGACCGGCAGAAAGAAAAGACAGGGUAAAAGCAGAGAGAAGGAGGAGGGGCAGAAAGAAAGUGGAGCAACCAGAGAAAGAAAAACAGAGGGAGAGAGCUCGAGAGGGAGGAAGAGAACCGAAGAGGAGGAGGGGAGUCUCCGGCACUGUCGCCGCCGCCGCCGACGCGUCUCCUAGCCGCCGACCCUCGCUGCCGCCUCCCACACCUCUCCAGCAACCGCCAUCCCCGACGACUGCCGCCGUACUGGGUCACUGCCUCUGCUCCGCCGCGACACCAGCCACCUGCGCCAGUCACCGCAUCGAGCCCCCUCGCCGCGCGACCUGCAACACCCGCCGACGCUGCGGCUGGCCGCCGCCGCUCCCAGUCCCGUGCCGUACCUCCGCGUCACCGCUCCUGCUGCUGCUGCCGUCACCCGCCGUCGCAGCCCUAACCGGAGGGGCCGCCUGUGCUGCCACCAACCACACCUCUCCAGCAAACGCCAUCCCCGACGACCACCGCCGUGUUGCUUCCCCCGCCGUCGCCAGCUGCUGCGUUUUCGUCACCAACCGCUGCGUUCGCCGUCGCCCGCCGCUGCUGUUCCGCCACCGUGCCGUCACCCGCUGCGUCCCAAGUGUCGCCGUCAAGCCCGCGUCGCCGCCGCCUCCGGCGCCGUCCGUACGCCUAGCGACGCCUCAGCCGCGAGAAAAGGAGAGGGACAUCCAUCGGGUCGCGGCCGGGUAGGAUUUUGAUCUUCGGGCAGGCCGCGUCUGGGCCGAAGCAAGGCUUUGGGCCGGUUUAAUAUUAGUUUUUCCUUUUGUGUUGGGCCGGGCUUAGUUUACUUAGGUUUCUUUUUUAGGUGGACUCAGUUUUGAGCUGGACUGGGCCCGUCGUUCAGGCCCAGUCCUAUUGGGGCCUGCCGAAUUUGGCCUCCCCCGACCGGGCUAAACCCGGGUCGGGUCAGACCGGACCCGACCCGGUUCACACAUACUUUAAAAUUAAAAAUUAUAUAUUUUUUAAAAAAGUAAUUAUUUUAAAAAUUAUUUUAAUUAUUUUUAAAAAAAUUAAUUAAAAAAUUAAAAAUUACGAAAAUUAAAAAAUAUAGGGUUUAGUUAGGAAUUGCCAUAUCUUGUAAUUUUAGCAUAAUUAGGUUUUUAUUUUCUUGCAUCUUGAUUAUAUUGCAUGUUUGAGUCGCAUAUUUAAUUAUGUUUGUGGAUGUUCAAUUGCACGUACUGCAGUUAGGAUUUUGGUAGCUACAAUUGUUAUUUUAAUUAUUGUACACUCAUAUGAUAAGUAUAAAAUAAGUCUAAACUGUCUAACAAAUUUUUUUUAUUUUAAAGUAAACAAGAUUAAGUACCAAAAUGGCACUAAUUGGUUAACUAGUUGCGUAGAAAGUGUGGCAUACUCACAUGCUUUGGUUUCUAGUCGAUUCUAAUAGGUUAGUGGCAAUUCAUUUUUGCGAAAUUCUUAAAAAUACUCAAUGUCAUGCGAGAUAUAGACUUGAGAGAAUUUGCGCCUAAUCAUGAGCCUUAGGUUCGUUGUUUAGGCAAUACCCCUGAACCUAUUCCCUCCCCCCCUGAGGGUAGGUCGCAACAAUGAUCUAAGCUCCAACAAUAUUCUUACAUUAUAUUUUUUGCGUGUUAAUCAUGUGACUUUAACAAUGUUGUAAAUUAAAUCGAUUACACAUAAAAUGUUUCAGUCAAUAAUUGACACAAAUAGUAGUAGUGGACCGACCACAUAACAUUAGAUUGGUAGUGCAAAAUCUAAUUUCAAGAGAUCAAUAGCAUAACUGCAGCAAAUAUCAAACUUUAGCAUCCUGAAUGAAAUUUCUCGGUGUUAAAAAAUAAUUUUCCUUCCCUUGUCACGGCCACGGAGAAAAUCUUUUAGCACCGCCACUCCAAAAAAGGAUCGUGGUUUUCUUCCAUCACAAAUUUGAUUGGUGAGUUAUCAAAAUCUGAAGAAUCAUCCUAGAGACCGAUUCAAGGACAGCAGUUGAUCUACUAGUUGGCAAGAUUACAGAGUCGUUGAGGUCAGAUUGGGUGGUGAAAACCAACACAGCCCGUGAAGGCAAAGCGUGCGACGAUUGAUAAGCCAAUGCAGCGUUCUUUUUAGAGACCAGAUUUAGUUAUUCACUUAAGUUUAUCUACGGGGCUUCAAUUUGUACUUUUUAGGAGAUAAAAGUGGGUGUUAGGAGGCCGGGAUUUGCAUAUGAGAUGUGUUAGAAAUUAAACCAAAUUAAUUAAUGUCCUCAAUCGACUACGAGUUGCUGAUGUCAAUAGAGAAGUUACUGAUAUUAAUGGUUGUCAAUGCCGAUAUUCCAGAAUUUGAUACUAUGAUUUUGUUUGGUGAAUUGAUACAGAUGACUGUCCAAUGCUCGAGUUAAUUAGAUUCUUUAUUGUAGCGUUGUUUUUGAGAAGUCUAUUCAUAUUUUUGUUUCAUGACUUUUCAUGUUUCUAAGUGUAAUCAAUGUUUUAUAAGUUCUUAGGAUUUUAUCACCUCAGAUUAGCUAUAUUUAUGAGUCAUUUAGUUUAAGAGUUAUGUGUGAAGCGUAUAAAAGUUGAGUCUUGUAAUUGUUUUUGAUAAGGUGAAGGUAAGGUGAAAUAAACAAAAAGGAUAUCUGUCUCCUUCUCUUUUUGUGUUGUGUUAGUGAGUGUUUCAGCUUUAAAUUAUCCCAUCAAGAUGUAGCCUGUAUUUGUUUUUUUACAAAAACUCGAAGUUUUCUAGUUUUGAUACCAUAUGAAAUUACGAAGGAGCACUAUUAGCUAUUAUAGAAGUUUAGAUAAUUAGAUGGAUGCAUUAUUCAAUACUUAAUUGAUAUAACGUCUUUUUCACGACCCAUGUUCCUUUUCAACAACUAGAUUACUUGCACAGCUUGGGAUCAAUGGAAGGAGAGCUGUCUAUAGAAGUGGAGGAUGGUGGAAUGAACAACUCGAUCGCGGAGGAGGUGAAGAAGGAUGAAGGAGGACCUUUACCGGAAGUGUCAAAGGAUGAAAGGGAUUCUGAAGAAGAAAUUUGGAGAGGUCGACGGGAGAUAAUGAAGAAUGCAUUGGCGGCUUCCGCGGGGGGACAAGAUCCGGCAAAAGCUUACGAAUAUGCUCAAAAACUGGCGGGUGUCAUCGAAGGCGGCAAGGUUGACGAGUUCCUUUCCAUGAUCAAUGUAAAUGAUCCAUUGUUGCGGGACAUCGAUUGGUCUGCCGUUUUAAAUUCCCGAUUGGAUUGGAACCAAUCACUGCUCCACUGGGCAGCAAUAAUCGAGAACGACGACAUCCUAAGGCUUCUGCUUGAGUAUGUUGGUGACCACCUCAUAACCGCCCAAGAUGAUUGGGGACAAACCCCACUCCACUGGGUCGCUCAGUUUGGGGGAUCUACUGGAGCUGCAGAGAUAUUGAUUCGCCGGGCAAGAGGCCUCCCCAACGUCGAGGACAAGAACCUCUUGAGGAUGAAGAACAAACGUGGAGACACCGCUUUGCACUUGGCCGUGUGCUUUAAACGUGUCAACUUGGUGCGCUAUUUGUUGAGCGAAGAUUUGGAGCCCGUGUACUGGAAGAACGCGGGUGAGAAAUCUCCCCUGUACAAAGCCCUCGACAUUAACGACUCCGCAAUACAUGAGGCUUUAUUUUCACUCCCGUUAGAACCAUCAAGGAUAGAAGGCUUUCCGCCCAUUCAUGGUGCCUUUUUACUUCUACAACACGGUACGUACCUAAAUCUGCUUAUGUGGAAAUAUAUUUAUCUAUUUCUGGACUGACUCGUCCCAAAUCUGUGCAGUAACUUUUUGCUCUUACCAGAACCCCUUACCGGUUUUUACUUUAAAUUUCCUACCCUGCUUGUUAAAUUAGUUGGAUACCCAUCGGUUUAGCCGCAAAAUAAACAAAUUAUUCACAUUAGAGCAUAAUAGAUCAGCUUAAAUAUUACAAAUACAACCAUUUCACUAGAAACUCAUGUGUUGUCGAUCUUUGAUUAGAAAAGCUAUAAAGUGCAAAUAUUUAGUAUUAUGGAUGUAAUUUUUAUGGCGGUGAAAUGAGACUCGUUUUGUUUUGUAUUGUGUCAUCACAGCUUAAAUAUGUGGUCAUUAUAACUAGGAUAUAUGACUCCAUGCAAUGCACAUACAAGAUAGAACAUAUAAUGGGAUUUAUUGAGUAAAAAUAUCUUUCCUAGAAUCACUAAAAUUUCACGAAAUAUAUUUGGUCCAUUCAAAAGAUAUAAUGGGAUUGAGUAGCACAAUCCCCGAGGAUGAGUUUAUAUCUAAAGCACUCUCACCUGUAUUUAAAGUCCAAUGGCCACCCACAAUCCUCGAACACCGUCGGAAUAUUCUCAAACAAUCGAAACACCUCUCUCACAUUAUUGAACCUCUUUACUAGCACCUCCAAAUUUUCAUAGUUGGGGCCAAAUUUUUUUUAUUUUGGUGGAGCCUUGCCCUUUCUGUAAUUUGUGAUUUAUAAGCUCUACUAUCUUAGAAACAGAUUCUGGUCACAAAUUUUAGUUAGAUUUUACUCAAAAGUUUUGGUAAAUACAUAAUUUCUUAAUGAGCUGAAUAAGUGCUGUAUACCUUUACGAAGAAGAUGACGUUCAAUCUAGAGAGGGUAAGGGGGAUUUCGGUAUGGUGCUGUGGAGGUUGUUGCAAUGUUCUUGACAAUUAAAUAAGUCUGCUUGACACUUGCCAGAAUUCGACGAACAUAAUAUGAAAAGAUCAUUUUCCUUUCCUUGAUCAUGCCCUAGCUUGCAUUACGUCUGCCAACUCUAUAGAUACUUCAUGGCGUGGAAAUGGCAUAUAAAUUGCUGUCAUUUAACUAGUUUUGGUAUUGCAAUCUAAUCUGUUAUUGUCGACUAUCAAUACUAGUAGUGAUUAAGGUACGUCGAAGAUGUCCCUAUUCCAAAAUGGGUUUAAAUAUAUUGAGACCAACCAAGCUCCGACCAUCCUAAUUUGGAGCUCCUGAUCCCAGAUUUAUUCGCCCUGAUAUUCAAGAAAAACAUGAAGCUAUUCGCAAUGACCGACUCCAGCGGGGGCAAUGUAUUCCAUUUAGCAGCUUACCUGAAUCAGGCUUGGGUAUUCCAAUUCUUACAACCAGAAACUGAAUAUUUGACCCGAGAACGGGACAUGAAUGGAGAUCUCCCCAUUCAUAUUGCGAGCAAGAUGGGUUAUGUUGAACAUAUCGAGAAGCUGAGCAAAGUAUCACAUUGGGUAAAUGGGCAAGGGCAAACUAUUCUUCAUGUCGCCGCAAAAUAUGGGAGAGUCUCUGUAGUGAGAUAUAUACUCAGCGAUCCAGAUCUAGCUUGGAUGUUAAAUGUACAAGAUAAUGAUGGAAAUACAGCUUUGCACUUGGCUGCGAUGCAUUCACAGCCUGCUGCUUUGAUUCAUCUUGUGCGGACUGAUAGAAUUCAUCUCAGCGUUUACAACAAUGAAUGCUUGCUCGCUGUUGACGUUGCUCGACGACACACGGCAAAGGGGUAUAAGAUUCGGCAUGUAGGUAACAUGAACAAUCACUAUUUUAUUUAUUAGCUUACUGGAGAUUUCGUAGACUAAUGCAUUAGUUAACGUGUCUUUCAUAACACGGAGAUAAAAAUUUAUAUAUUUCGUUUAAUUGAGCCUCUGAAAAUAAAAAGGCAGGGUUUGUCAAGGUUGCAUCUGUUUUUCAUAAAAAGCCAGGGGUCAAUGUGGCAAAUUUGACCUCUCCAAAUGUAGCACAAUCUCAUAACAUUAUCAUUUUGUCGACCUAUGAAAUGAUUGCCCACAUAGAUUCCAUUCAUGCCUCUUUUUCCGUCUAAAACGAACUUGGUAAUUUUGUGCUAAUUCUUCAAAAAGAUCAGAAACUGCAUCUUUAGAAGCAAACGUUUCCAGAGUUCAUUCCCGUUAUAAAUAUGGUAUAAGUUUGUUCUUAUUUUCCUUUUUACAUGCUUCCGAUCUCAGCACUUGGCAUUCCUGGCGUUGCUUUGCUCGUUCGCGGGAAAAGCUCCACUUAAAAGCCCGUUAUUCCUACUUAGAGGGGAAGCUCGAGAUAGAGAGUCAUCAGUAGUCCGCUCGCGCAAAAGCAAGGCGAACAGGAACAUCGUCAAGGAUUACAUCAAUUCCCGUAUGGUGGUGGCAACGCUUGUGGCCACAGUGACUUUCGCAGCUGGUUUUGCAGUUCCUGGAGGAUUUAACAGCUCGGACACAGCCUCCAAAGAUGACCGGGGCAUGGCUACGAUGCUGGACAAUAGAAUGUUCCAGGCUUUCGCGAUUUGCAACACCAUCGCGAUGUUCUGCUCAAUGACUGCGGUCGUCAACCUCAUCUGGGCGCAGAUAGUUGAUGUCGACGUUGCAAUCGCUGCAUUCGAGCGCACAACGCUACCACUACAAAUUGCACUCCCGGCGAUGUCCACCGCUUUCUUAACUGGUGUCACUUUGACCGUUGGCAAACUCCCGUGGCUUGCUAACACCAUAUUUUAUUUGGGACUCGUUUUUCUCCUCAUUAUCUCAUUUGCUAAAUUGUUAGAGAAGCCUCUCAUCUUUAAAAUCCUCGGUCAUCCUCUCCGUCGACUAACAUUCUGGCUUAUUCUCGCUUUCAUUUAUUUGUGGAGAGUUGAGACGUACAUUUAUGAUGACGAUGACGCGGAAGAUAACAGAAGGGAGAAGAAGACCUUCGCUAGUCCGCCUGUGGAUGUUGCCGGUGAAUCGAGGACCGAUGACUCGGCGAAAGCAAAAUGUGAGGAUGCGUUACAUCCUCCAAGUCACUGAUUUGAAUUGAUCAUUCCAUAUUAUCUGUAAUACGUAGUAAUAUUAUAUGUUUUCCUUGGUGAGCGUGACUCACUCUACGGUUGCUUCCUUUAUGUCAGAUCAAAGGUGAUUGUUAAUGUAUGUAAGCUAAACCAUGUGUUUCUCUAGUAACUUAACUUUUUAGAAUUGUUGGAUAUAAUUCCAUCAAAUUUCAUAUGUUAUUAAAGCAGAGAUUCUAAGUUCAAACAUUUUCAGGUCCUAUUUGCUUCAUCUAUUAUAUGUUCUCAUGUUUCAAUCUUAGAUCAAUUCAAGUUUACGAGUUAAAUUUUUAGAACGAUUAAUGGUAGUUCACUGAAAUUUCAAAGUGAUACACACUUCAUGUAAAUUAAAUGGAUGAAUGGCUCAUUUCAUCCGUUUCAUCGCCUUGGAAUCAAAUUGUUAACUUUGAACAUGUGGAAGCUCGUGGGUUUAUGAAAUCACUCGUCUGGAGUAGCCAUGUCCGAUUUACUUUGAACCAGUCCAAUUUGCGGCACUCUCGAGUCACGAAAUCCUAAGCACUCACUUACCUGUCUGGUGUGCAAAGAAAAUAAUUCUCAUCGCCUACUCUCUAAGUCAAGAGUUGGGUGAAGAAAACAGGAACAAAAUAAUUCUCUUCACUCCUCACAAAACAAUAGAAUCAAACACCGAACUCAUUUCCAUUUACACCCCUUUCAUUUCCCCUCUUCUCCCUCCUAGGCGCCCAAUUUCUGUGCAUGCAAAUCAGUUUUGGUGUUUGAUUCGUGGCGAGGUAUAAUCUAGUGAGCAGCGGGCGCAGAAGUCUAGUCAAGGGACGAGAUAAAAAGGAAUUGCUAUACGCAACUCAAGGAGAAUUGUGGAAAAGUCUAGAUACGUGAUUUUCCUCCUCCGAUCUCUGAUUUUUAUUUCAAAGCUGGUUGGUUUUGACACGUAAAAUAUAACUCUAAAGUGAUUAUGGACCUAUUUAUUCGACAGUGAACGUAGAUAAUUACAAAAAGUAAAAAGGAUCCCAUUAUACAAAUGUCUAUUGAGUUAUAAACUUUUUUAAAUUAGUCGAUUUAAUUUUAAAUAUCUUGACGAUUUACCAAUAUAGUCAUUACAACCAAUUUUGAUCGAAAAUCGUCGACGUAAACACUAGCCAUCCUAUGGCACAUGACCGGUAUUGAGGUAGACAAUUUUUGUAAUUUAAAAAAAAAAAUUCUCAAUUUUUUUCUUUUUUUCAUGUUUUCAUUUUCUUUAUUUUCUUUUCUUAUUUUCUCCUUUUUUUUUUCUUUUUCUUAUUCCCCUUCCCCAGCCAUUGGCUGGUCCAUGGCUUCGGUGAUUGAUAGCAAGGGCCCAGAUGCCCUCGCCAACGAUUAGCAAGGGCCGAUGGAUUUGCUGGGGCCACAUACUAAUGGAGGGACAAAGGAAGAAAAAAAAAUGGAAAGAAAAGAAACUAAAAAAUGGAAAAAAAAAGUUUUGAAAAAAUUGUAAAAAUUAUUCAUAUUAGCAUUAGCACCUAGAUCUAGGUGAGGCCAAUCUCACCAUGGCCUAGCCUAGAUCUAGGUGAAGCCACCUCAUGCGUGGCCCCAAGGCCUCGCUCGUGGCCGACGAGACUUGUCAAAGAAGCAAAAUAAUCAAGAAGAGAAAAAAAAUAAAAAUAAAAUUUAUUUUAAAAAAUUAUUUAAAAUUGUUACGUCAGUGUUGGCCAAAUGGUUAGUGUCCAUAUCAACACUAGCCAACCAGAAUUGGCCGAAUAAAUUGAAUUGACACAAUUACAAAAAGUUUAGAACUGAAUUAACAUAAUUAUAAUAGAUUUAUGAGUUUUUUUGUAAUUCUCCCAAUCUAUCUGUCAUCUCCAUUUUUAGAUUGCGUCGUGUCCAUUCAAUUUUAGUCCUCACUGCACCUCAUCUAAAUACCAUCAAACCUUAGCAGCGAGGAUGGUACUUGGAGAUCUAUGCAAAUAUUUAUAUAUAAAAAUUACAUUGAGAAAGUAAAGUGUGCUUACCAUCAUCAUAUCAUCACCCAUUAAGUCGAUUCCACGUAAUGAUCUAUUUGUCACUUUCAACAUCUUGGGGGAUUAAAUGUUUCAAUUAAUUAAGGUAGGAUGAGAAGUAUUUUUCAUAAAGAACGGACAUUCAAGAAGUCUUGCUAGAUUGAUAGAUUGAUGUUGCAAAUGGUUCCCUUCUCAAGUAGCAGGAAAAAUUAUGCUACUCAAAUGUAGAGCCUCCUGUUUUCUAUUUUUUUGGCAAAUCUUCCAAAUCAAAUUACAGGAUUACUACUAUGAAAACUCACGGUACAAGUACAAAAAAAUACCAAAUCAAUCAUCUAUUGACUUCUCGAUGCUCAUUAAAUUUGACUCACAAAAUAGGUUGGGACCCAUUUUGCUAGCCCUACUAAAAUCUAAACAUUUUAAUAAAUUAGGGAUUUAUACAGCGUCCUAGUUCACAAAGAUGUGCUGUUGUUGUUGACAAAUCAACAAUGAUUGAUUUUCAUGAACUCUUUGUCAUACUGUUGACAUUCCCAUUAUAUAUGAGCAUAAGAGCGAAUUUGAUUUUUGAGCAUCAAGAGAUAAGAUUGGCUUAAAUAGAAAUUCCAAAUAGCCCAAGUGUCACAAUUAGAUAAGUCCAAACCCCAAACACAUUCAAUUAUGGUUUUUUUUUUCUUAUAACUUUAUUCACAUAUUAUAAGAAUGUACUUUUUGGUUAAUGAUCAUAUAUAUUGCGGUUUAUGAAAGACUAUGCCACAUCAAUAGUUUUAGAUGUUAGUCCAAAUUUGAAAUACCAGGCCAACAUUUGAGAUUUUACUAGCCAUUCGGCAUUUCAUUUUUUACUCAUGAAGUCUAUCGUUGUAUGAAAUUUACUGAAAAUUAGAGAAUCUCACGAUACCAACAAAAUAUCAAGUUUUUUCAACUUUUUUACCCUUGAUACAAUCCACAUGUAGCCCAAUUUACAAAAUUCCACAAAAACUACUACACCAGAUUCCUGCCACACCUUUCAGUCUCUUAUUCUCAGCAAAGACGAACAACAGCACUCAUCAGCCCAACAUGCUCAACUCCAAGCAUAGAGUGACUCGAACUCUUCGUGCUCUUGCACGUGCACCCUCUCUGUCUGGACUUGAUCUCGUUCGAGAUCUUCUCUAGCGCGUCGCCCUUGACGAUGGUGUAAGCGCGCGCGAGCUUUCCUUGUCCAGCUUGUCGACUUGUGCUUCACCGAGUUGAACCGUCUAGCCGCGACACACAGAAAACUGCAGUCAGCUCCCACGUUAAUCUUAUCAAAGAAUGUCAGGCCAAUGUCUUGACAUCACAUGUUGAUGUGACGUGACCAAAAUGAAUGAAAUUAGAAGACGCGCAAGUACUCGCCUCCACCGAAAACGAUGCGAUGGUGACGGGACAGCCAUCACCUUCAAGGGUGAAAAAAUCCAGACUGGCUUGUGGAAGGAGCUUGGGGAUGAGAUUUUUAUCAAGAUCAAAGGCCUUGAACAUUCGUGCAGGUGGGAUGGAAUGCGUCUUCGCCUAAGAUUUCCAAGUCCCGGGGCAAGAGAUAUGUGAGAUUAUGUUGAAAUGCCCUUUAAAUGAUUCUCAAUCUCCUCGUUUAGUUAAUCUAAAUCAGCAUCACAAUGUUCUUAAAUAAUACAAUAAAAAGAGAGGACAAAAGGCAUGGAUCUCAACCCCAAAUUAUACUUAUUAGCAUACGAGAGAUCUUUGAAUGCAAACACCCUUGAGGGUGGGAAUUCACUAAAUUAUAACUUAAAUAUUCUAACGGCGCCAACCGCUCGGACGAGCAAAGCUUGAGUGCAUGCGGAUAAUUCUUGCGCAACGAAAAUGCAUGGUAAGUUGCGAAUCGAGACUCGUCCGCGUACACGCUAUUGCGACCAUGACCAUGAAUACCACUUCCUUGACCAGUUGGCCAGUCGGAGGAGGAAGACGUGGGUCGAGCAUAUCCAAUAGUGGCACAUUUGAGUCUUUGAAUAAUGUCGACAUUUGUGUCAUUUGUAGGGAAGAGAGAAGAUUCCCUGGAUGCUUCCCCAUCAUCCUCUAGCAUCGGUACUUUUACUGUUGACUCUGUUUCAUGAAAGAAGAAUGAAUCAAUGUUUUGAUCACAACCUCAAGUUGCCUACAAAUUCCAAAUUUUUGAGAUACUGUUAAUACAAACCACUUUUCAAAAUUUGUGCUUGCUCUUCCUAAAAGUCUUGUUAGAAUUAUUGGAUGAAUCCAAAUUCAAAUGAUGCAAGCCUAGGGUAGGCUUUCUCAAAUAGUAGGAUCGGGAGAGUGACUCGCACACGGAAUUUCAGCACUGCGCGAGCUCAGGAGAACAUUCAUAUCUUUGUCGAUACAGAUCGGAUCGACCUGAUUCCAAAGCCAAAUGAACAAAAACUUCUCGAUCUACAAUUUCUCUGUUUUGGGUUUUCUGAAAUAAGUACUGUAGGAUAGUCAAAAUUGGGUUGGAAGUAACGAACAGAACAUGAAAAGAUAGAGACUCCGUUGGUUGCUCUUUUAGGCCUCCAAGGAAGUUGAGGGGGGGGGGGGCACCGAUUCUUCUAGAUUGAUGAUUGCAACUCUUCAAGGAUGCAGAUUUCGAAAGCUCCGACUCUUCAAGGACGGAGUGAAAACUCUUCUAGGUUUUCAAAGGGAUGAACUCUACAAGAUUCACGAUACUUGCUUCAAGCAAAGUUUUUCAUUUAUCAAAAGUCGUCUGUCUUGUACAAGGGAUUGGAUGGCAUAUAUCAUCAAAGAAAUAAAAACAGAACAUUGAAACUAGGAGAAAUAAAGACAGCGUUGAAACUAGGAGAAAUAAAAAUGGAGUAUUGAAAAUAUGAGAAAUAGUAAAGAGCAUGGAAACUAUAAGCUAGUAAAAGCAUCACGUGAGCUCCCAAGGUGUCUUUCAAGCUUCCGGAAUGGACUCAAGAUAUCGUUACGGCUUCUCGGUUUCGUCGAGCUUGAAUGCAGGCCGAUCUUCUUGGUCAAGAGAGUUGGUCUUCAAUGCGGGCUGCAUCACAAUAUGUCAAAGCUAUUUGAUCAACCCGAGACCAUAGGUACAGGGGGAAUGUAUUGAUUAGAUUUGAUCAUGUAGCUUACCAAGAACCAUGUAGCCAUAAGAUCCCGCCACUGGGAUCCAAUUCAACGAAUCUGAAUUCAAGAGCCUCACCGUCCCAAAAACCAAAAGCCGAGGCUCGAAGUCCGACGACCUGACCGUUGACCGACGACCGUUGACCCGUUGACCGUUGACUUUGACCGUUGACUCGAAAAAAAGAAAGAAAAGGAAUUUGUUUCUUUUUCAGUUAUGUCUGUGUGGGUUAGAGGUAAUCCAUUUUUUAUUCUGCAUUUGUUGCAUGAAUCAUGGAAAAUUAUGUAUUUUCCAUUUUGUUUAUUGUGGAUUAAAAGUGAUUCAUUUUAGUUCUGCAUUUGUUGCAGGAACUAUGAUACGUUAUGCACGGAUACCUGCAAUCCCGAGAACGGACAAAGGAAGAGCUAGACUGAAAAGGCUGAUGAAAGAGUUAGCUAAUUAUCGGUGGCUUGAUGGUGAUUUAGUAUCACACAUGGUCAAGGUCAAUCAGAUGAUACAGGAAAUCAUCUGGAAUGGUUAUCUUAUGCUGAACUUUGAGAAGGUGCCGGCUUUGAUGAACACUCUUCCACCUGAAUGGCAAGCAGUGUUAGAUCGGCUAUGGGAGGUCAACGUGGUCCCGGAUUACAGAGGGCUAGUGGAAGCUUUUGUAAGAGAGUACUAUAGGAUUGAGUUGGCCAAAACUUUAACCCUUAGAUUGAGCGCCACAUGGCGUAGAGUAAAUGCGCCUUGGUGGCGACAUGAGAGCUCUCCAAAAGUUUUUCCAUGGUUGGCAAAUGUGCCUUCAGUUUUCUCAGAUGUUUUGACUGAUAGAUUAGAAGGGACAUUCCCUAUUUAUUUCUUAGAUUAGUUUGAGAUGUUAUUGAGUGUGAAUAUCUUUUUCUAAGUUGAUAUUUUCUUCUGUGUAUAUUACUUAGUGUAAUGGAUUGUUGUAUUAUGUGAAAGCAUAGUUAUUCUAUUGGAUAUUAAAUUAUCUGUUGCUUUAUGUUAUUGCUGGUUGCUGUGGGUAAUUAGCUGUGGGUAGUUUAGAAGUUUUUGUAGCUUCAUAGAAUUGAUUUUGCAUAUGACAAUCAUAUUAAUGAUAGUUUUAAGUUAGGAUUUUUGGAGGAUGAUUAGAAACGUAGUGACCUUUUGAUUCUAAAACCUUACUUGAAAUUGUUCAUUAAUAUGAUGGGUCUGUGCAAAAGGGAUGCAUAAAUGAUAGGCAUUAAUUAUUUGUGCAUAUAUGUCUGAUGUGUUCAGAUUGAUGGAUUCAGCAACUAAGAACGUAAUUGCUGAUGUGAAUGGUAACAAUUGUGAAAUAUUGAAUAUGGAGAUUCAAUAUGUGCUGGAAAAGCAAGAAGCACUAGAAGCUCUUGACCAUGUUAUGGAAGAUCUUGAGGAUGCUGUGCGCCACCUUGAGCUGGUAGAGGACCGCUUGACGGCAUGUGAGCCGAAAAUAGAUAUUUGCAAUGCUGGUUCUAGCUCAGAAAGGGCUUUGAGCUCUAAGCGCAAACGUAUUGAUUCGUUCAAUAUGUGGGAAAGCAAGGGAUCAAGUCCUUACUGCAAGAGAUCAAGAGUUAACCAACACAAGAGAGGAAAACGUCCUCAAGUGAAGAAAAUGUCAAGGGUGAGGUGUUACAAUUGUGACAAGAAUGGUCACUAUGCUCGCGACUGUUGUGAGCCAAAGAAGGUAAACACCUCUUGUACAUUUGAGAACUUUGCUUAUGUGUCAAGUUCUGUAUUAUUGGCUAAAUCCAAUCCUUUGUGGACUGUAGAUUCAAGAGCAAUAGACGAUGUAGCGAAGGAUAGAGGAUCCUUCGUGGAAUUCCGACGAGUACCAACUGGAACUAUGUGGAUCUAUGUGGGAUAUAACUCCAGAGAUGAAGUUAAAGGGAUUGGCACCUGCCAAUUGAACAUGCGUCAUAGACGCACCUUGUUCCUAAUGAUGUUCUAUAUGCUCCGGAGAUUCGUCGAAAUUUAAGUGUCUAUUUUGGUGUUGGUUAAGCUUGGUUUAUGUGUGAACUUCUGUAAUAGCGGUGUAGAUUUGUAUUUGGAUACAAACUACUAUGGUUAUGGUCACUUUCUGGAUGGUUUUAUUGUACUGAAUGUUGACUGUGGUGAUGUCAAUAUGUUAUUCCCUUGUUUCACGUCUUUUAUUUCAUGUGAUAAUGAUGUGAAUGUGUGGCAUGCUAGACUUGGUCAUAUUGGCCAACAAUGUAUAAAUAGACUAGCCAAAAAGGGCUUGUUGGGCAACAUUGAAAAAGUCGAUUUGUCCAAAUGUGAACAUUGCCUAGUAGGGAAAACGACAAGGAAACCAUUUGGAAAAGGUAAAAGAGCUGAAUUUCCUCUGCAUUUAAUCCAUUCUGACGUCUGUGGUUCAAUGAAUGUGAGAGGAAGGCAUGGGGCUGUUUACUUCAUCACUUUUAUAGAUGAUUAUACUCGAUUCGGAUAUGUCUAUUUGAUUUCUCAUAAAUCUGAAGCAUUAUGUUGUUUCAAAAGGUUUAUGAACUUGGUUGAAAAUCAAUUAGACAAGAAAAUAAAAGUAUUGAGAUCCGAUCGAGGUCGAGAAUAUUUAUCUGAUGAGUUCAGAAAAUAAUGUGAUGAAAAUGAAUAGAAAUACAGUUGUCUAUUCCAUAUACUCCUCAACAAAAUGGUGUUGCAGAGAGAAGAAACAGAACCUUACUGGAAAUGGUUAAGUCCAUGAAGGCGCAUGCUAACUUACAUAUCACUUUUUGGAGUGAUGCGUUGUUAACUGCUGCCUAUAUACUUAACCGGGUGCCUUCCAAAUCAGUUAGUUCCACUCCAUAUGAGUUAUGGACAGGUAGAAAACCAGACUUAAGUUUUCUUAAGUUAUGGGGUUGUGCUGCCUAUACUCAUGAGUCAUCUCACAAGUUUGGGAAAUUGGGUCCCAAAGGAAAUAAGAGUAUUUUCAUGAGAUACUCUGAAUACUCGAAAGGGUAUGUAUUCAUAGGUGAGCAGGAAAGUGGGAGUAUAACUGAAUUUGAAUCACAUGAUGUCACAUUCUUAGUGGAUGAAUUUCCUAAGAAGGGCGAAAUAGGGGAAGAUUACCCCUAUUUGAAACCUUGGAUCAAGAUAAUGAUAUUAAUGUAGUUCAUCCAAGUGGGAGUAAUAUGAGAAGUGAUGAAUUGAAUUCAACUCAUUCUCAAUUACAACCACAUGAUGAGAUGAUAUCGUCAUUAUCUAAUCCGAGUGGGAGCAUAAUGGGGAAUGAUGUGCUAAGUGUACAAUCUCCCAUAUAGCAAACAAGUCGCCAAAGUAUUCCCUGUCGACGUUUUGACAUUGAAGGGGAAAAUUUUAUGGUUGCUCCACAAGAUGAGGAUGAGCCAAGAAAUAUUAAUGAGGCUCUAAAUUGCCCUAAUAAGGAAAAAUGGAUUUAUGCAAUGAAAGAGGAGAUGGAGUCAAUGAAAUCAAACCAAGUCUGGGAACUGGUUGAUCUUCCAAAAGGACGCAGAGCUAUUGGGAACAAGUGGGUUCUCAAAAUAAAGCGAAAGACUGAUGGCUCGAUAGAAAGGCAUAAGGCUCGCCUUGUUGCGAAGGGGUAUAAUCAACAGAAAUGAAUUGAUUAUGAAGAUACGUUUUCUCCUGUAGUGAGAUUUACCUCGAUUCGCAUUAUUCUGGCAAUAGUGGCUAGUCUGAAUCUUGAGUUACAUCAAAUGGAUGUAAAGACUUCUUUCCUCAAUGGAGAAUUAGAGGAAGGAACAUAAAUGGAAUAACCUGCUGGUUUCAUAGUGAAAGGCCAAGAAGAAAAGGUAUGUCGACUUUUGAGGUCGAUAUAUGGCCUUAAGCAGUCGUCAAGACAAUGGUAUAUACGAUUUCAUAAUGCCAUAAUGGCAUAUGAUUUUACAAUGAUAGAUGAGGAUCAUUAUGUAUAUAUCAAAAGAUCCAAUGAUCAAUUUGUGAUCAUAUCAUUAUAUGUUGAUGAUAUAUUAAUUACCGGAAGCAAUAUGGAGCUUGUCAAUACUGUCAAAAGUUGGUUGUCUUCCAAUUUUGAAUUUAAGGAUAUGAGAUUGUAAACCCAUUGACACUCAUAUUGCAAAAGGUGAAGGAUUGAGCCAUAGACUGUGUCCAAGGACUCCACAAGAGAAGGAACAAAUGAAACAUGUUCCUUAUGCUAGUGCUGUUGGGAGCUUGAUGUACGCUAUGAUGUGUACAAGACCUGACAUAUGUUAUGCAGUUGGAAUGGUGAGUAGAUACCAAUCCAAUCCAGGUCAAGCACGUUGGAAAGCCGUUAAAUGAAUACUAAGGUAUCUAAAGGGGACUGUUGAUUAUAUGCUGAGUUAUUAAGGAAAUGAUCUGCAACUCAAAGGCUAUUCUGAUGCUGAUUGGAGAGGAGAUUUAGAUGAAAGAAAAUCUACCUCUGAGUUUGUUUUCUUACCGAAUAAUGGCACCAUAUGUUGGAGUAGUAAGAAACAAAAGUGUAUAGCCUUGUCCACGAUGGAAAAUGAAUUCGUGACAUUAUCAGUAGCAAUAAAAGAAGAUGUUUGGCUUAAGAGAUUAUUGGAUCAUUUAGGUGUUAUUUGAAGUGCUGCAGAUUCAUUGUUGGUUAACUGUGAUAGCCAAGCAGCAAAAGCGUACACCAAAGAUCCAAAAUAUCAUGGUAAGACCAAACAUAUAGAUACCAAGUAUACUUUUAUCAAGGAUAUGAUUGCACGAAAAUAUGUGAACUUAGAGUACAUACUACGCAUAGAAUGGUAGCAGAUCCUAUGACAAAGCCAAUACCUAGAGAUGUGUUUUGUGGCCAUAUGAAAUCUCUAGGAUUGCAUAGAGGAUGAUGUACUGAAUAUUGUAAUUUCCCUAAGUGUUCACAUUUGAUGAAUUUGUGUUUUCAUUAUUAAUGCCUAUGAAUCUUUGUUUGAUCUUUAUGCAUCUUAAUGCUUAGUGCAUUACUUUAAGUUAAGAGAAGUAUGUCGGACAGAUAUAAGAUUAGCCCACUCACACGGGUAAUCGCCUCUAUUUACUGUGUGAUAAAUAGAGAUGAGACUGUUUUUAAGCUUAUUAUCUAGGUGAUAAUCGAGAGCUCAAGCUUAAAAUACGCAUGUCGCCUUAACUGAGUGUUAAGAUGAGGACAUAAUACUUAUUAUGUCCGAAAGUAAAAUACCCCACAUAUUUUACUUUAUCUGUCUAAGAUGCCAGAUGUGAGUUCUGAUGAAUUUUGUAAUUGAGUAGAUACGUGAACUCAAGUUAGACAUUGGGUAUGUCUGAACUAUCAUCUGUACGGUAUUGAAAGUGUAGACAUACGCUCCAUGUGAAAGGAGUUAUUACCGUAAUAUGUAUUUCAUACUACGUAUGCAUGAGACGACCAAUGAGAGUGGCAAAAGUUUGAUCUCAACUAUUAUGUCGUGUGAGACUCUUGAGGAAAAGAGUUCCUCAAUUUUUUAGUCCCCUCAUGACUCUUACUUAUUCUCAAGAUUUCUAUUUAGUGUUUGCUAUCUUAGGAUGUUGCCAAUGGUCAUGAGUUUGAUUCGAUCUAAUGGGGCAUUUCUAGAAAAGCAAGCUGAACUGAAAUUGAGAGUUUGAAGGGAAGAGGAAGAUCGAAUUUGGAGAAUCACAUUGUAGUUUUGUAUUCACCGGUUAACCAAUUAUGACUGUCUUUGUGAUAAUCAUAAUUGUGAAUACAAUAUAUAUAUCAUUGUUUAAAAAAGAUCAAGAGAGAUAUAAAUGCGAUCGAUCGAUCUAGGGUACUGCAUAUUAAAUCUACUCGGAGUGUGACGCCCAUUAUGAGCUGCUAUAUAUUCCUAACAGAUGUAUAGUAACGAGCUCUCAAAGUAUGCUGGUCGCACGGAUUAUUCACCGGUAUGAAUGUUGAAGAGAGGUAAAGAGAAUCCUGUUCAGCCCACCAUGUGCGAGUGGGAGAUGAUGGUUUUAAUUGGUGAUGGGCUUAAGGCCCGUCCUCCCAUGCUGGGCCCAAAAGGCCCGGCCCACGGGAAUAGGGCCCGUGGAUGGGGGAAGGUAUAAAAGGGAGGAGAGAGAGAGAGAGAAGACAACGGUUGGAAAUUCAACGUACGUCUUCUCUCCAACGCUCUCUCCCUCCUAAAAAUAAAACAGUAAGCAAACGGCAACACUGUCUUCCCUUCAAGGCGUCAACGGAUCGAACAAGGGACAAUUUCUCUUCCUCUAUCGGCGUCAGUGUCUAAUUUAUGGCUAACAAGGUACGCUCGACUCCGUGGUGUGCUUUACGAUCGGUGAUACGUGUUUUCCCGGGCUUCAUCUUCCGCAUUGAUUUAGGGGUUCAAUUUAGUGUCGAAUCCGGUUUUCGGGGAUCCGUUAUUCCCUACACAAACCACUUUUCAAAAUUUGUUCUUGCUCUUCCUAAAAGUCUUGUUAGAAUUAUUGGAUGAAUCCAAAUUCAAAUGAUGCAAGCCUAGGGUAGGCUUUCUCAAAUAGUAGGAUCGGGAGAGUGACUCGCACACGAAAACAGGACGAACAGGAAUUUCAGCACUGCGCGAGCUCAGGAGAACAUUCAUAUCUUUGUCGAUACAGAUCGGAUUGACCUGAUUCCAAAGCCAAAUGAACAAAGACUUCUGAAUCUACAAUUUCUCUGUUUUGGGGUUUCUGAAAUAAGUACUGUAGGAUAGUCAAAAUUGGGUUGGAAGUAACGAACAGAACAGGAAAAGAUAGAGACUCCGUUGGUUGCUCUUCUAGGCCUCCAAGGAAGUUGAGGGGGGGGGGGGGCACCGAUUCUUCUAGAUCGAUGAUUGCAACUCUUCAAGGAUGCAGAUUUCGAAAGCUCCGACUCUUCAAGGACGGAGUGAAAACUCUUCUAGGUUUUCAAAUGGAUGAACUCUACAAGGUUCACGAUACUUGCUUCAAGCAAAGUUUUUCAUUUAUCAAAAGUCGUCUGUCUUGUACAAGGGAUUGGAUGGCAUAUAUCAUCAAAGAAAUAAAAACAGAACAUUGAAACUAGGAGAAAUAAAGACAGCAUUGAAACUAGGAGAAAUAAAAAUGGAGUAUUGAAAAUAUGAGAAAUAGUAAAGAGCAUGGAAACUAUAAGCUAGUAAAAGCAUCACGUGAGCUCCCAAGGUGUCUUUCAAGCUUCCGGAAUGGACUCAAGAUAUCGUUACGGCUUCUCGGUUUCGUCGAGCUUGAAUGUGGGCCGAUCUUCUUGGUCAAGAGAGUUGGUCUUCAAUGCGGGCUGCAUCACAAUAUGUUAAAGCUAUUUGAUCAACCCGAGACCAUAGGUACAGGGGGAAUGUAUUGAUUAGAUUUGAUCAUGUAGCUUACCAAGAACCAUGUAGCCAUAAGAUCCCGCCACUGGGAUCCAAUUCAACGAAUCGGAAUUCAAGAGCCUCACCAUCCCAAAAACCAAAAGCCGAGGCUCGAAGUCCAACUCGAGCAAGAUGUUGUUCAACAUCAUGUCCUAAUGGACAAUAGGCAGUGAGCAAUCGUGAUCCAAGUAGGCGAUCGCGGGAGCCACGCAUUGAAAAAUCUUCAUUCUCUUGACACAAGUCCAAUUCAACUGCUCCUCUUCCUCCAUGCAAGACCUUUGCAAAGUUCAGAAAACAUUGGAUGAUGUCCCUACAGUUAACCAUCACUUUUUUUUUUACCGUGACGAUGUGGCCGUUGGCCUAUUUGGCCUUGUAAACGCUUCUGAAUUCGCGUUUUCCGAUGCAGUACUCUUCACUGAAGCUGUUGGUGGCCUUGGCAAUAUUGUUGAAUGCAAAUUUCGUUCCCCUUUCCCAUAUGAUUGUUGGAAUUUAAUCCAAAGAAAACGACACUGUUUGUUAUAAUCAGAACAUUAAUGUAAAGAAGACGAUAACAGCUAUAUAAUAUCCUUUUUUUUUUUUUUAUGUAAACUUACAAAUCUUGGAGAAAAAUAAAAUAAGAUAUCACUGGAAAAAUAACAUAAAAUUGGAGGUGAGGUACGGAUAUCCGAAUCUCCUUAAGGCGAUUAGUUCCUGCCAAUGGUGCUCCGUAGAUUCACGAACUAUGCCUCUCAAGAUACAACACCUUGAACCUGUUUGGAUUAGCAGUAUAUAAAUAGAAUUCAGUCGAACCGUUCAAUUGAACCAGCACAUAGAAAAAUCAGAAGAGUAGAGAAGUAUAUCAAAACCUUUUAGGAAUCGAGUCGGAAAAACCAAAACCAAAACCGUUAAGAAGCUCUAUGUUCCUAUCUAUUUAUAGAGCUUUUUAGUUCAUGUAUAGAAGAGAUAUAUAGAAGAGAUACAUAAAUUAAAUAGACGCAUGUAUCAACGAAAUUCAUGAAUCAAGAGAUACGUGAAUCCAAGAGAUUCAUGAAUUCAGAGACACGUGAAUUCAAGAGAUUCGUGAACUCAAUAAAUACAUGAACUAAAAGAUACAUUAAUCUAGGAAAUUCAUGAAUUGAAUAGAUACGUGAACAUAAAAAUUUAGAAAAUUCAUGAAUCCAAAAAGAGAUACGUGAACCAAAAAGACGUAUCUUAAUUUAUUGGCUUUCGUUGAUCCAUUAACCAUAAUUAUAACCAUAAUUAUAACAAUCGCCCACAUUAAUAGAUCAACAAAACAUUUUUGACUCGAAGGAAUCUGAGCAUGCCCGUUGAAAUACACUGCAUCAAGAUAGGUAGUUUUCGCUUUGAACCUUCUAUAGUGAAAGCCUAUCGAACUUACUUAACUAGUCAAUGGACUAAGCCUUAAAUCACCAGUUGUUUGUGUAAGCCUAGAUAAUAAACCUCACACAGAGUAUUUCCAAUUCAAGAUUGGUUCUCGGUUGUGUUCGUUCUUUCGAUCCUGAAUCUCUCGGGAUUCGUGUGUGCUUUAGAAAAUCUAGCCUUUAAAAAUUUUCAUAGAGUCGACCAGCUCCAUGCAUAUAGGUGCAUUCCUAUUAAAGAUAUCCUACCAUAUCUUACUUGGAUGUUACAUUCCAAGUUAUAGGAAUCAUUAAAUAGGAAAGCAUUGUUGCAUCAUAGGAAUGAGAGACAAUGCUUACACUAGAGUUUCCAAAAUUUGUGUUGUUCUAUUGAACCUAGACCAUGGGAUCUCCAAUCGCAUAGGUUAGGUUUCCACCCUGGAAUCUCUUUAUUGGGUUAAGGCUCUUAAACUCAUUCCCCUCGAUGCGCAGUUUAUCUGCUCUCUUGACAAACCUUUUGUUAGCGGAUCCGCAAUAUUUUCCUUUGACUUUACAAAGUCUAAAGAAAUAAUUCAAUUUAAGAGCAACUGCCUUACGGUAUUGUGUCUACGAUAAAUGUGUCUAGACUUACCAUUAUAAAUUACAUUAUACACCCCCACACUGUUAGAAAAUUAUAGGAUUGCAACUUUCCAUUCCAUAACUCGUAUAGAGUUUUACCUAUCAUUUUGUGAGGUAUUUUAUUAAGAAUAUAAUUUACAAUUAAAACUGCCUCCCCCACAAGUUUUGAGGUAAACCUGAACUCAAAAGCAAAGCGUUAGCCAUCUCCUUUAGUAUUUUGUUCAAUCGUUCAACAACUCCAUUUUGUUGUGGAGUAUAAGGUGUAGUCGUUUGGAGAAUUAUUCCAAAACUAACACAAAAUUCUUUGAAAUUGAUUGAAUUGUAUUCUCCUUCUCUAUCAGACCUAAGCACUUUAAUUCGUUUAUCAAGUUAGUUUUCAACUUCAUUUUUAUACUUGACAAACAUGCUCAUAGUCUCAUCUUUGCUAGUUAGUAAAUAAACAUAGCAAAACCUCGUACAGUCAUCCACAAAUGUGAUGAAGUACUUCUUUCCACCUCUACUUUCUACAAACUUUAAAUCACAUAGAUCACUAUGGAUUAAUUGUAGAGGUUCACUUGUUCUUUCAACGGAUUUGAAAGGUUUCUUGGAAAACUUGGCCUCAACACAAGUCUCACACUUGUAAUGGGCAUCCAAUUCAAAUUUUGGAAUUAACCCCAAGUUUGCUAUUCUCUUCAUUGUACCAUAGUUUACAUGUCAUAAUCUACCAUGCCAUAGAUAAGGAGACACAACAGUGUAAACUGAAGACUUUUCUUUAUUAAUAAUCUUUAGGUACACAUAAUUCGAGUUUACAUCAAUGAUUGCCACAUUGGCUUUAAAUAGGUCAUUACACAAGUACCAUUUCCCUACAUACAUUCCUCAUUUUGAAAGUACAAACUUGUCAAAUUCAAAUACAACUUUGAAACCCUUCUUGACAAGUAUGAGGCCGGAAAUUAGGUUUUUCUGAAUCUCUGGUACAUGCACCACAUUCAGCAGGGCAACCUCCUUGCUAAAUGUAAACUUCAGGAUCACCUUUUCUCUUCUGGCAAUCUUUACUGAUGCAGAGUUAGCCAUAUAAAGCUUCUCAUCUUCCUCAAACUUCUCAUAAGAUAAGAACAUGUGUUUAUCUGCACAGAUUUGAUUUGUGGCACUUGUAUCUAGCCACCGGCCAUUAGUGUUUGACACCAGAGAUGCUUCAGACAUUACCACAGCAAACAGUCUCCUAAUAUUGUCAUGUUCUGUCAAAUUUAGCACAAUGGCCAGGCUUGUUGCAUAUAAAACACGUCAUUUGGAAUUUCUGGAACUGUUCCUUCUGCUUGCCUUUUCCUUGAAAAGACAUCUUCCUUUUUUCUAUCUUGCUUAGAUUUGGAAGAUUCCACAAUGUUGACCUUUGGCUCAAAAGAAGGGUUCGCACUCCUUCUAUUGUCCUCUUCAAUUAUGAGGCACAAAAUGAGAUCUUCUAAGCUCAUCUCAUUCCGUUUGUGCUUCAAAUAAUCUUUUAAGUCUGACCAGCCCGGAGGUAGUUUCUCAAUCAUAGCCGCCACUUGGAAUGAUUCACUAAGUAUCAUUCUCUCAGCAAAGAUGUCACUCAGAAUUAAUUGUAAUUCUUGAACCUGACUCAUGACAAAUUUAGAAUCCACCAUCUUGUAGUCCAAGAAUUUAGCAACCACAAAUUUCUUGGUAUCAGCGUCCUCAGUCUUGUUUUUCUUCUCUAAGGACUCCCAUAACUGUUAGCAUAAUCAAUAUUACAAUAAACAUUAUAAAGAGAAUUCACUAAACAGUUAAGGAUAUAAUUUCAGCAUAAGAAGUCCCCAUGCUUCCAAGCCUCCAAUGCACCGAGCGUCGUGACAUCUUGCUCAUCUGGACUAAUUAUUGAGCACACCUCUGAUAAAUAUUUUGUCAGAUUGAGCACAGUCAGAUAGAAGAACAUCUUAUACUAUCACUGUUUAAAGCCCACUCCGGUGAAUUUCUCCGAUUUCUCAUUAGUUGUAACUGGAGGUGUUACUAUCACAGUAGGCAAGGUUCAUUGAACUACCCCUCCAAAAACGGAGCCAAAAGCCAUUUGGCCUGUACUAUUCUGAAAAACAGUCUCGGGCAUACCAAUCGUAUGACUUGUACCCACACCACCAAAAUUGGUGUUGGCCCAAGGGCCCAUAGCAUUGGCUGCUACAAAUUCAGACCCUAAGGCUUGAACAUUUAACGGUCGAAUCAAUCAUAGGAACGUCUCCUGAAACAUUCGAGACAUUGAAGUGCACUUGAUUGUUUUCAGCCAUCUCAAUACUCUGACAAGAACAACAAAAAAUAAGUGAAUAAUCGCCUUAAGAAGAUUAGUUUCUACCAAUGGUGCUCCAUAGAUUCACGAACUAUGCCUCCCAAGAUACAACACCUCGAACCUGUUUGGAUUAACACUAUGCAAACAAAACUCAAUCGAACCGUUCAAUUGAACCAGUACACUCAGAAAAAUCAAAAGAGUAGAGAAGUAUAUAAAAGCCUUUUUGGAAUCGAGUCGGAAAAACCAAAACCAAAACCGUUAAGAAGCUCUAUGUUCCUAUCUAUUUAUAAAGCUUUUUAGUUCAUGUAUAGAAGAGAUACAUGAAUUAAAUAUUUAUACAUGAACUAAAUAGACGCAUGUAUCCACGAAAUUCAUGAAUCAAGAGAUACGUGAAUCCAAGAGAUUCAUGAAUUCAGAGACACGUGAAUUCAAGAGAUUCGUGAACUCAAUAAAUACAUGAACUAAAAGAUACAUUAAUCUAGGAAAUUCAUGAAUUGAAUAGAUACGUGAACAUAAAAAUUUAGGAAAUUCAUGAAUCCAAAAAGAGAUACGUGAACAAAAAAGACGUAUCUUAAUUUAUUGGCUUUCGUUGAUCCAUUAACCAUAAUUAUAACAAUUUCAAAUACUUCAUAAGAUUUCUUAUCUCUUCAUCGAGAUGCUUCUUUCACCGCCAAAGCACCAAAAUCAGAGCAAUAAGAGUCACGAGAAGUAGUAAGCAGCAAACGCAACAAUCACAUUAAUCAGAACCUUUCUCCAAUGGUUAUCGAUUUACUGCUCAACCCACAUGGAGACAUUCCGUCCUCACAAGCCUGAUUUUGCAAUAAAAACACUUCCUAGUUAUUGUUGGAAGAGGUAACCACCAGGAACUGCGCCCGUCAGCUUGUUGUACAAGAAGCCCAUGAAGCUUAAACUGCUCAUGCUGGUGAGAGCAGCUAGGAUUGUACUCGACAAAUCGUUAUGCGAAACAUUGAGAUUUUCCAAUUUAGUUAGCUUUGCUAAAUUGGAAGGAAUUGAUCCUACUAGUGAAUUGUGGCUCAAGUCUAGUGGUUCUGUAGCGUGAACGAGUUCCCCAGCUCUGGCGACAUGACACCCAACAGAUUGUUGUUGCUCAAGUUCAGGCUUAGUAAAUUCUCGCAAUUUGCUAACUCUUUUGGUACGAUCCAUAGAGAAGGGAUGUACUUGCCGUAUUGUGGUUUAUGAAAGAUUGUGCCACAUUGAUAGCUUUAGAUGUUAGUCCAUAUUCAAAAUAUCGGCCAAAGUUUGGUAUUUUAUUGGCCAUUUGGCAUUUCAUUUGUAACUCAUGCAUUCUCUCCUUGUAAAAAAAUUACUAAAUUAGAGAAUUUCAUUCUACAAGCCUUGUAUAAACAUGUAGCAUAGUUUAUCAAAUUCCACAAAACCACUGCAGCAGAUUCCUAUCACACCUUUUAUUCUCUGAUUCUCAGCAAAGACAAGAACGACAACACUCACCAGCCCAACAUGCUUAGCUCCAAAUAGAGUGACUCAAACUCUUCUUGUCUCCUUUUCAGUUUAGCACAACCAGACAUAUUUAACACAUUACGUAAACAAUACAAGAUAGUUAAGAGAUCGGCUCAGUAGUCAUAAGGGUUUGCCACGAGAUAAGCCUCGAUGGCCUCGACCAUCGCGCACAACUCCUCUUUCCCGGCGUUGAUCUCCUCCUCGGGGAUGUCCACCUCCUCGCCAAUGGUGAAGUAACUAGCCGCGCACUUAAACACCGAGCCUCCCAAUGCCAAUGCGAUGAUCUUCACCUCAUAGCUGAUCUUCUCAAAGGUGGUGCCCAGCACUUCGCCCUCGAUGAUUGAGUAGCAGUAGGUGAAGUUCUCCUUGUCCAGGGCCUCAACCUUGUGCUUCGCUGUCUUGUACUGACUGCCUAUCAAUGUAACAGAAAGUCACAUUCACAUUUAGAACUCGCAGGUUUCAAUAUCACGAGCACCAAUCUUCAUGGUGUCCAUCAGGCCAUUUAGGAAUUAACCCAAUUGUUCUGACCACAAUCCAAUACAAUUGACUUAGACAUAGCCUAACUUUGCCUGAUCAAAAUCCGAGUCACAUAAUCACUCGUGUAAAGUUAAAUGGUUAGAAACAUCUUAAGUAACAGAGUCAUAUUUCUAUCUUUUCCAUAUUCAUUAUAUUUUUCCAUAAGGUUGAACCCGCCUUGAUUCAGAGCGAUCCUAAGUUCCUAAUACGGAUGGACUAACCUUUGCCAAAAGUCAUCAACUUGAUGGUCCCGGGACCCCCAUCGCCCUCGAGGACUUCAACGCUCUUGACGGCUUGCGGGAGGACCUUGGGGAGGAGGUUAUCGGCAUCGAGGAUAGCGGCCUUGAAUAUCCUGGCCCGAGGAAUGGGGGACAGGAUAUCGAAGCGAAAAGUGACGACACCCAUGACCGGAUCCUAACAGAGUUGCUGAAACUGAGAAGGAGGUGAUGAUCUGGAAGUAGUGAUGAAGUUGGUCUAUGGGACUUGGGAGUGAAGAGAAGAGGCUGAAUUGAAGUUGACAUAUAUAGAGAGAGAGGGGGACUGAGUGUGAAGGGUUCUGAUCACUGCAUAUUUUCUUCUUACUAAGAUGCAUUAUCUUUUGCAGAAAAUAAAUAAUUUAGAAAAUAUUUUUCUAAAAAUAAUCACUAAAUUUAGAUAGUGUUUCGAGCAUAAGUUAUUUGGUGAGUUUGCUGCAUGUUCUAAAUUGAUCUAAAUUGCUAAAUUUAAUGGGCUCACUAGAAUUAAAAGUCUAGAUUCCCCUUAAUAUAAAUAAGACACUACCUCAUUUUCAAGUCUUCGUCAAAAUUGUGUUGUAUGUACUAAGUUAAUCUAAAUCACUAAAUUUGAUGGGUUCAUAUGGGAUCCAUACAAAAUUCACAGGAAUUAAAAGUUCAGAUUUCACUUGCUAUAAAUACAGUGCUCUUUCCUCAAAUUGUGUAGUACGUACUAAAUUGAUCUGAAUUGCUAAAUUCAAUGGGUUCAAGUGAGACCCAUAUAAAACUCAUUAGAAUUAAAAGUACAGAUUUUGCUUAAUAUAAAUACGACCCUAGCUCAUUUCCAAGUCUUCAUCAAAAGUGUGUUGUGUGUCCUAAAUUGAUCUAAAUCGCUAAAUCUAACAAGUUCAUGUGGGAUCCAUGUGGAACUCACUCAAAUUAAAAGUCCAGAUUCUCCUUGAUGUAAAUACGAUGCUAUGUCAUUUUCUAAGGUUUCAUUAAAAUUGUGUUGUAUAUACUAAGUUAAUCUAAAUCGCUAAAUUUGAUGGGUUCAUGUGGGAUCCAUAGGAAACUCACUAAAAUUAAAAGUUCAUAUCAGCUUAAUAUAAAUACAGUUUUCUUUCAUCAAAAUUACGCCGUAUGUACUAAAUUAACCCCAAUUGCUAAAUCUGAUGGGUUCAUGUGGGACUAUAUAAAACUCACUCAAAUUAAAAGUCUAGAUUCUCCUUGAUAUAAAAACAAUGCUAUGUCAUUUCUAAGUUUUCGUCAAAAUUGUGUUGUAUAAAUAUAGUGCUCUUUCAUCAAAAUUACGCCGUAUGUACUAAAUUAACCCAAAUCACUAAAUCUGAUGGGUUCAUGUGGGACCUAUAUAAAACUCGCUGGAAUUAAAAGUCUAGAUUCUACUAAAUAAAAAUAAGGCCCUAACUCAUUUCCGAGUCUUUGUCAAAAGUAUGUUGUAUGUCCUAAAUUGAUCUAAAUUGCCAAAUCUGAUGAGUUCACAUAGGAUCCAUAUUGAAUUCACUAGAAUUAAAAGUCCAAAUUCCACUUAAUAUAAAUAUGAUGCUAGCUCAUUUCUGUUUAUUCAUCAAAAUUGUGCUAUAUGUACUAAGUUAAUCUAAAUUGCUAUAUUUGAUAGGUUUAUGUGGAACCCAUAUGAACCUCACUAAAAUAAAACGUCCAAAAUCGAUUAAAUAUAUAUACCGCUUUAACUCAUUUCUAAGUCUCCAUCAAGUGCCUUUUUCUCAUCUCUUUGAAGCUUCCGAUCGCGUGCCAUUCCGUCACAUGUGAAUCGCGAAUGAUUUUCCACGCCGGAGUCUUUGUUAAAUCUAAAGACUUAAAAAUACGAAUGUGAAGUAACAAUUGCGUGUCAAAUGCAGAAAAUUCUUAAGUGAAAGAGUUGACCGUCCCCUCUUGAGUCAAAUGUUCUCUUCCUUGAUAUGCUUUUCUGAUCUGGCCUCAGACACAGAUGGUCAAAGGGGCGCAUUCAUAUCCAUAAUCUCGCGGCAGUUUCAACUCUGUAAAAAGAAUGCCGAGAUCUUUACAAGAUGUUUGACAAGCGUCUUUGAUGACAGCAUGCACAGCAUAUCUACUGCUUCAAAACAUAGUUACGGUUCAGUCUCGAUUGUUAUUUUUCUUGAAAGAGACACGAGAAUGAAGACAUAAACCAUGGUGGGAGAUAGAAAGAUGGAGCCAACGUGCAACAACUCAAUUGUAAGCAUCAGGGUUUUUGCAAGAGAUGGGCUUCAAUGGCUUUCAACAUUCCCACGGCCUUGUCUUUGCUGGCCUUGUUCUCUUCCCGUCCAUGACGAAGUACUUGCUCGUGCUCUUGCCCAUGCACCCUCCCUGUCUGGCCCCGCCUCGGCCUUGAUCUCAUUUGAGAUCUUCUCUAGCGCAUCGCCCUCAACGAUGGCAUAUGUGUGCGUGACGCAAAAAACUGCAGUCAGCUCCCACGUUAGCCUUAUCAAAGAAUGUCGGCAAACAUCUUCUUGACAUCACAUGUUAAUGCGACGCGAUCAAAAUGAGUGAAAUUAGAAGACAGCGCAAGCACUCGCCUUUGCUGAAAACGACGUGAUGGUGCCGGGACCGCCAUCACCUUCAAGGGUGACAAAAUCCUCAAUGGCUUGCGGAAGGAGCUUGGGGAUGAGAUUGUCAUCAAGAACAAAGGCCUUGAACAUUCUCGCAGGUGGAAUUGAAUGCAUCUUCGCCUAACAGUUCCAAGUCCCUCGGCAAGAGAUGUGUGAGAUUAUGUUAAAAUGCCCUCUAAAUGAUUCUUAAUUGCCUCGUUUAGUAAUCUAGAUCAACAUCACAAUGGUCUAAAUCAUAUAAUAAAGAAAGAGGACAAAAGGCAUGGAUCUCAAGCCCAAAUUAUACUUAUUAGCAUGCAAGAGAUCUUUGAAUGCAGAUACCCUUAAGGGUGGGAAGUCAUUAAAGUAUCAUUUAAAUAUUCUAACGGUGCCAACUGCUCGGACAAGCAAGCUUGAGUGCAUGCAGAUAAUUCUUGCGCAACGAAAUGCAUGGUAGGUCGCAAACCGAGACUCAUCCGCGCACACGCUAUUGCCACCAUGACCAUGAAUACCACUUCCUUGACCAGUUGGCCAGUCGGAGGAGGAAGACAUGGGUCGAGCACAUUCUAUAGUGGCACAUUUGAGUUUUUUAAUAAUGUCGACAUUUGUGUCAUUUGUAGGGAAGAGAGAAGAUUGCCUGGAUGCUUCCCCAUCAUUCUCUAGCAUUGGUACUUUUACUGUUGACUCUGUUUCACGAAAGAAGGAUGAAUCAAUGUUUUGAUCACAGCGUCAAGUUCCAAUUUUUUGUGAUACUAUUAAUACAAACCACUUUUCAAAAUCUAUACUUGCUCUUCCUAAAGGUCUUGUUAGAAUUAUUGGACGAAUCCAAAUUCGAUAUGUCAAUUAAAGCUAUUUGAUCUACCUGAGACCAUAAGUACAGGGGAUGUAUUGAUUAGAUUUGAUCUUGUAGCUUACCAGGAACCAUGUAGCUAUAAGAUCUAGCCACUGGGGUCCAAUUUGAUGAAUCCAAAUUCAAGAGUCUCACCAUCCCAAAAACCGAAAGCCGAGGCUCGGAGUCCAGCUCCAGCAGAUGUUGUUCAACGUAAUGUCCCAAUGGACAAUAGGCGGUGAGCAAUCAUGAUGCAGGCAAGCGAUCGUGUGAGCCACACAUUGAACAAUCUUCACUCUCUUGACACGAGUCCAAUUCAACUGCUCCUCUUCCUCCAUGCAUGACCUUUGCCAAAGUUCAGAAAACAUUGGAUGAUGUCCUCGCGGUCAACCACCACUUUGUUUUGACAGUGACGAUGUGGCCGAUGGCUUGUUCGGCCUUGUAAACGCUCCUGAAUCGGCCUUUUCCCAUGCAGCACGCUUCGCUGAAGUCGUUGGUGGCCUUGGCAAUAUCGUUGAAUGCAAACUCCGUUCCCCUUUCCCAUAUGAUUUCACGUACUUCAUAAGAUUUCUUAUCUCUUCAUCGAGAUGCUUGUUUCACCGCCGAAGCACCAAAAUCAGAGCAAUAAGAGUCACGAGAAGUAGUAAGCAGCAAACGCAACAAUCACAUUAAUCAGAACCUUUCUCCGAUGGCCAGUCGAUUUACUGCUCGACCCACAUGGAGACAUUCCGUCGCGUUUCCUCACAAGCCCGGAUUUGCGAUAAAAGCACUUUCCACUGAUUGUUGGAAGAGGUGACCACUAGGAACUGCGCCUGUCAGCUUGUUGUACAAGAAGCCAAUGAAGAUUAAACUGCUCAUGCUGGUGAGAGCAGCUGGGAUCGUACCCGACAAAUUGUUAUGCGAAACAUUGAGAUUUCCAAUUUAGUGAGCUUUGCUAAGUUGGAAGGAAUUGAUCCUGCUAGUGAAUUGUGGCUCGGGUCUAGGUGGUUCUGUAGCGUGAACGAGUUCCCCAGCUCUGGCAGUGACCCAACAGAUUGUUGUUGCUCAAGUUCAAGCUCAGUAAAUUCUCGCAAUUUGCUAGCUCUUUCGGUAUGCUACCGCUCAAUGCCUUCUCCCCAAAAAACAAGAUAAUCUAGCUUUGAUUAGUUUUCUAACGAGUUGGUAAUAUCUCCGGCCAAAUGGUUGUUGCUCAAGUUCAGCCUUACCAACUCCCCUAGAUUUCCCAUCUCGUCGAGAAUUUUCCCGGUCAGUUCAUUGCCUUAGGAAGUCAGAACAUCCAAUUGAGACAAUUUCCUGAGCUCCGACGAGAUGCGGCUGGCGAUUUGUUACCAUCUAUCAGCAAAUUCGUGAGAUUCAUACACUCUCCCCAUUCUGCAGAGAGAUUCCCGACAAAUCGGCUGUUGCUGAGGCUUAUAAAGUCCAGAUUCGGUCUGAACGAACUCAUGAUAUCUGUAGUGAACUGAUUGCUGUUCAGACGGACUCUCGUUAGCCCCGGAAAAUUCCUCAAGAAGUCAGGCGGCAGCUCAGUGAAGUUAUUCCCAUCGACCGUGAGAUAUCCAAGAGCAAAGUCGCUGCAUAUAUCUUACAGCAUUUCUCCGAUGAAGCUGUUGUUCGAAAAGGUAACGAUCCCCAGAGAAGGGCUGUACUUGCGGAAAUCACGUGUUAUGCCUCCCGAGAAAUUGUUCUUGAACAAAGAGAUGGACCGUAAGUUGGCAAGGCGAGAGAUGGUCUCACAAGAAAAUAUUGUGUACACAAGUGAUGCUACGUCAUGGCUUUUCCUUCCCAGCCUAGAUCUCCUCUUCUUCAACUUGAAGUGCCUUCUUGCUGUUGUCCUUGCUCGUCAUCCUGCAGACCGACCCUCCAUCGCUGGUGGCCUCAAACUUGACCUCGUAAUCGAUCGACUGGAGCUUGUCACCCAGCGCAUCGCCCUCGAUAUCGUGGUCCUACACAUGAAGUUCUCCUUGUCGAGCUUGUCGAUCUGGUGCUUCACAUUCUAGAAAGGACUAGCUGCAAUUACGUUAUGAAACUCCCUGCUCGAUGAGUGUUGAGUGUACAUACCUUCGGUGAAAUUUAACUUGCUCAAUGCUCCCGGCUCCACUGUCACCUUGCACCGGCUCCACCGUCGCCUUGCGCCAGCUCCGCACGCUCUUUAUGAACUGAGGCAGGAGCUUCGGGAUCAGGGUAUUUGACUCGACAAUCAAGGCCUUAAGAAUGCGAGCCGGAGCAAUCGGGCAUAUGAGCUCUUGUGUGAAGCUGGUUGCCAUGGCUAUUGGCAAUGAGAAAGAAAUAACCCCAGAGAAGAGUGCUUCCGAGUCCUGUCACUGCCUCCUAAUGUAUGGUUGGAAUUAUGUCAAUAGGUAGGGUCGGGUUGGCAAGAGUCACGCUCGAGGAAAAUAGGAGAGUCAAGGAUUUGCAGCCCAAAGGAAUGGAAAAGAGGAAUUAAGGUGGUCUCUUUUGUUCUUUUGGUCAUGAAAAUGAUUUCGGUCCCUUUCAGAUUCAUGUUGAAAUGUCAAAGUUUAUGUUCCAAAAGAUGAACAUUCUCGUGCUCACAUGGGCGGCCAUCCCUUUGAAAUGAUUGUUGUGGAGUUCGAUCUAACAAUUUGCCGAUUAGAUAUUAUAAUGAACUGUCCUUGUUUGAAGAAAAGUGUAUAAAUCGAAUUUUGUCUUGUUUAUGCAGCAAACAAAAAUACUUAAUUAGUUGGUGAUAUCACGUUAAUUUGUUGCGCAAUAUAAACAUCACAUAAUAUAUUUCUUCAUUUGUAAUGCCCUAAUGUCACGGUGGAUCUGAUUCAAAUGUAUGAAGUAAGGCCUUUUGAAAUCAUUUUCAUGGGUUGAUUCAAACUUCACUAGCACCGACAGUUUGACUCGGUCAAAAUUGGGUCGGCAAUCGGGGUGUCCCAAGAUCAGCUCGUCGUCUGAGUUUUGGGGGAGGUGGAGGCUGCUGCUCUUACGUUAUAUUUUGCUUCUCUUUUUCUUUUUUUCUUUUUAUCAGUGUUGAAGCAUUUGAUCUCUAUCCAAUGUCCCCAUCAAAGAUGUCCCCAUCAAAGAGAUAAGGUAGGAUUAGCUUAAAUAGAAUUUCAAAUAGCCCAAGCGUUACAAUAAGAUAAGUCCAAAACCCGAACACUUUAACUUUAUUUUUCUAUAGCUUUCUUGACAUAUAAUAAGAAUGUACUUUUCAUCAAUGAUCAUACGCAUAACAAUCUUUGAAAGAUUCUACCACAUUGAUAGUUUUAAAUGUUAAUCCAAAUUUGAAAUAUAAGUUUGGAUUUAUUCAUUUGUUACUCAUGAAUUCUAUUCUUUUGUGGAAUUUAUUGAAAAUUAGAGAAUCUCAUGAAUCCAACAAAAUAUCAAGCUUAUUCAACUUUUAUUCCCUUGAUACGCUAUUUAUGUAGCACAAUUUACAAAAUUCCACAAAAACCACUUCACCAGAUUCCUGCCACACCUUUCAUUCUCUUAUUCUCAGCAAAUACAAGAACAGCUACGCUCACCAGCCCCACAAGCUUUACUGCAAACACAGAGUGACCCAAACUCUUCUUCUCUCCUUGUGAAUUUAGCACAACCAGACGUAUUUCACACAGUACAGUGAACAAUCCAAGAUAGCGAUGAGAUCUACUCAAUAGGCAUCAGGGUUUGCCAAGAGAUGAGCCUCGAUGGCCUUGAACAUCUCGGACGCCUUCUCUUUCCCGGCCUUGAUCUUCUCCUCAGUGAUCUCCACCUCCCCGAUGGUGAAGUACUUGCUCGUGUUCUUGCACACCGAGCCUCCCUCGGGCGAUGUGGUGAUCUUCACCUCGUUGCUGAUCUUCUCGAAGGUGGUGCCCAGCAUGUCGCCCUCGAUGAUCGAGUAGCAGUAGGUGAAGUUCUCCUUGUCCAGGGCCUCAACCUUUUGCUUCAUUGUCUUGUACUGACUGCCUAUCAAAGUAAGAAAAAAUAAUAUUCACGUUUAGAACUCGCCCGUUUCAACAUCACGAACAACGAUCUCGAUGGUGUUGAUCGGGCCAUUUAGGUUGUUCCAACUGCAAUCUGAUACGAUUGACUUAGUAGACAUGGCCUGAUUUCCCUCGAUUGGAGUCAAGUCACGUGAUCACUUGUGUAAAUCAAUGAUUAGAAACAUCUUUAAUUAACCAAGUUACAUAUCUAUCUUUUUUAAUGUUCAUUAUGAUGUUCCAUAAGGUUGAAAUAGCCUUGAUCCAGAGCGAUCCUAACACGGACGGACUAACCUUCGCCGAAAGUGAUCAACUUGACGGUCCCGGGACCUCCGUCACCCUCGAGGACUUCAACGCUCUUGAUGGCUUGCGGGAGCACCUUGGGGAUGAGGUUAUCGGCGUCGAGGACAGCGGCCUUGAACAUCUUGGCCGGAGGGAUUGGGGUCGUGAUCUCAGAGUCGUAACUGACGACACCCAUGAUUUGGAUCCGAAUGGAAUUGCCGAAAGAAAGAAGAGGGUGAUCGGGAAAGGCUGACUAGCAGUGAUGAAGUUGGUCUCUAGGACUUGGGAGUGAAGAGAAGAGGAUGAACUGAAGCUGACAUAUAUAGAGAGACCGAGUGUGAAGGGUUCUCGUCAUUGGAUAUUUUCUUAAGUGUGUUCGUUUGGUACAAAAUAAAUAAUUAAAUAAUUAUUUGUAUCAUUUGGUAUAAUUAUUUGAUGAGAAAGUUUUGCAUUAUUGACAAUAAUUUAUAUAUAAAUAUUUUUUAUUCGUUUAUUUUUGUAAUUUAUAUAAAAAAAAUAUUUUUUUUACGAAACAAAUGAAGCUUAAUAAAAAAAUCUUAAUCGGUCUGUGGGUUGUUCAAUCAUGACAUGGAGGGGAGCGUGUGACGACAAAGUCAGUUCUUCUUACCGUUCGUGGCCCGGCUUUCGGUCGUCGGCUCGGCUCGCCUUGCGUUUUGGAAACGGCAUCUUCUCUCUCUCUCUCUUUCCUUCUCUCGCCCGCUCUUCCCUGCCCCGCCCCCCGGGCUUUGCUGUGGUCGCGACCAGAUGGAACUUUGACCGUGGAUUAGAUCGUUCGUUCGGUGGUGUUGGUGUCGAGGGUCGUUUGUCUUGUCCGUGCACAAAUUCCUUUCUUUCUUUUUUUUUUUUUUUGCUUUUUUUUUCUUUAUUCGAUGAGGUCGUCGUUCGAUGAGGUCGACCUUGACCUCGCCGGUUGCCAUGGUCCGUCGACUAGAGGAAGAAGAUGAGAAGAAAAAAAUAAAAAUAAAAAUAAAAAUUCAAAAAAAUUACAAUAUUAUUAGAAGUUGUCCACGUCAUCGUGUUUAGUCAGCAAAAUCCGGUCAAAAUUGACCGGAAAUGACUGAAUUGGUAUAAAGUAAAAAUAUUUAGGACUAAAUCAGCACAAAAACAAAAUGUUUAGAACUUUUUAGGCAUUUUUCCCCUAAAAUGGGUAUUACAAGUUUACGAAAGGUACGAACUCAAAAGUCUCCCAAUAAUACUUAAAUUCUCUUGUAGUAGUUAUAUCUAUCUAAUCUUCAAUUAAAAAAGAAAAAUUUCAGUAAAAUUCCUUAAAAACACAUGUAUAAAAUCUUGUUAUCUUCUAUUAAUGCAGGUUUUAAUCAUAUUGUUUCACCAACCUUCUCAGCGAAUUAGUCCCUUUUUUUAGCAUAACUAAUCUUGGGAUGUCACAUUUUAUUGCUAUAACUUGGGGCUUUGAUUUAGGAACUCCAAUAAUCAUUAAAUCUAUCCAUGGAGAGCGCCCGCUAAAAAAAUCUGACUGCUUUGCAUAACCUAGUUUGGUUCAACACCUUUCCUCCAGUAACUUUCCUGACAUAGUAAAAUCUUACUUAUGUACUUGUAAAAUCCGAACCAAGUUUCUGUAUAGAUUAAACAUGAACAUUUGCACACUUAAAUGAAUUCUUUAAAUCCCUGGGUUAAAUUUUGAUAUUAUCAUAAUCCUUUAUUUUCCAAGUAGUUUCUCCAUUUUCGACAAUGACAAACCUAUAACAUUCCUUCAAUGAGAGUGAGCUAUGCACAUAAGCAUGCAUAUUCUGCAGAACUAUUUGAAUGUAAAACCAGAGAUGAUUCAUGCAUGCUUCUACAUGUGACAUUUUAAUAGACCAUACAAAUAUGUCUGCAAAACAUAAUAAACUCUCCUUAAUAUGUACACAUAGUGUGAUACUCCCCCUGAGUAUGUGCUUCUCCCCCUUCUUGUUUCUUAAAAAAGCAAGAACAUCAUAUGCCCAGGGAUGAAAACCAUAUAAGCAAAAGCAUCCAUUUAUUUAUAUACAAGAGUGUUCCACAAAGCAUAUUCUGGAAAAAUUAAUAUAAAGGAAAGUGAACAUUAACCAAAAGGAUCACAAACACCGAUUUCAUCCAUCAAGCUAGAAACGUAUUGUUAUCAAGAGGUUUAUUCAAAAUAUGAGCGAAUUGCAGAUCGAUGUUAACAAAUCCUUUUCAUUAAUUCAUGUUGUGCUGUGGCUGCCAUAAUUAAAUAAAUAAAUAAAAGAAUCAUAUGAAGGAGUCUCUCUUCUUGAAGUUUGACCUAGUUCAGAGCUCCUCGAAAUGGAAGCCACCCCCGUUAAUUAGCACAACUCAUUGUUUAGAGUUAAAUCUUUUAUUAGAAAUCCAAAAUUUAGGCAAUUAAAUACUUGGCCAAUUUUUAAGACAGUGUGACUCUAAAAAUUGUGCUCAUAUUCAACUGAAACACAAUUAGUAAAGAAAGACUUACCGAGUGCUUAACAAUGUCGCAAUUACACUUAUCUUCAAAUCCUUACAUUAAGGAUGACACAUCCUUAUAUUUCAAUAAGGGCCAUUGACUUAACUAAGAAAUUUUAUCUGUUGAAUACUUGAAACACAGAAAUCUGACUAAUUGGAGUAUGAAUUACUGAAACUACAACAACAAUUGAGUAGAAAUGUAAAAGAGACUUAGGGUUGAUGCCUGAUUAUAUAUCGAAAUACCAUGGGUUUGACAUAUAGACCUCCUUGUCAAAGCCCUGUAUGCUAUUGGAAAUAUGUAUACGUAUUAGGCGCAUUCUGUGGGCUACUACAUGGUGCACUUGUUUUAUAUUUAAAGUUUCAAUGGGUUAGUUUUGUCUACUGGUAAUAUUUUCCUCCAAUCAUACUUUCAAUUAAUAGGUCAAAGAUUAUGGACAUUAUCAAUACGAAAUUUAAUCAAAAUCAAAUACGAGUGAUGUUAAUAUUUGUGUAAUCCAUCAAUGAAAGUUAUGGCUAAAAAGAGUUCAUCCAGCUAGAGCGUUACAUGUGUAAAUAGAGAUAAAAUAAAUUUAGAAUUCUAUCCGUGAACUUUUAUAUCAUUGACUACGGUUGCUAACAAGCAUUUUCAUUGCAAAAUUUGACAACAUUUUUCGAUGGCUUUUGGAUUAUCACAUAAUUAUGUCGUGAUUCAGUUUUAUCAUGUUCAGAUUUAGUUUUUUUACAUUUAUUUGAAUCUAAGUUACAAUUAUUGCACGUGAUGGUUGACACUUAAGGGCCUGCAUGGUUGGCACUUAUUUCUGUUCCCAGGAACAGAAAUUUCUGUUUUUUUGUUCCUGGGAACAAAAAAGGAACAGAAACGCGUUUGUGUGCGUUUCNNNNNNNNNNNNNNNNNNNNNNNNNNNNNNNNNNNNNNNNNNNNNNNNNNNNNNNNNNNNNNNNNNNNNNNNNNNNNNNNNNNNNNNNNNNNNNNNNNNNNNNNNNNNNNNNNNNNNNNNNNNNNNNNNNNNNNNNNNNNNNNNNNNNNNNNNNNNNNNNNNNNNNNNNNNNNNNNNNNNNNNNNNNNNNNNNNNNNNNNNNNNNNNNNNNNNNNNNNNNNNNNNNNNNNNNNNNNNNNNNNNNNNNNNNNNNNNNNNNNNNNNNNNNNNNNNNNNNNNNNNNNNNNNNNNNNNNNNNNNNNNNNNNNNNNNNNNNNNNNNNNNNNNNNNNNNNNNNNNNNNNNNNNNNNNNNNNNNNNNNNNNNNNNNNNNNNNNNNNNNNNNNNNNNNNNNNNNNNNNNNNNNNNNNNNNNNNNNNNNNNNNNNNNNNNNNNNNNNNNNNNNNNNNNNNNNNNNNNNNNNNNNNNNNNNNNNNNNNNNNNNNNAAUAAAAAAAUUAUACAAAUUUACCAAACAUGUUUCUGUUUAUUUUUUAUUCUCGGAACAAGUUUACCAAACGCGUAUUUUUGUUCAAAAAUUGUUCCCCGGAACAGAAAUACUUUUUUCUAUUUCUGUUCCUGGAACAAUUUUUAAACAGAAACACAACCAAACGCGCCCUAAAUUUCGCUGUUUUUCUUCCUCUUCUUUUGUCCCCGCGCGGCCCAAUCUCGUUUUUCCUUUCGGCCCGCCCGCGCCCCAGCUGUCUUCCUUGUCCUGUCUUCGCGCGCAAACCUGCAGAGGAGAGACAGCAGCAGCAGCAGCACAGCAGCAGCACGCCAGCAGGGGGAGCAGGAGCAGAGUAGAAAGCACGCGAGCAACAGGCGGACCGGCGGAAAGAAAAGACAGGGGGAAGCAAGGGGCAGAAAGAAAGUGGAGCAACCAGAGAAAGAAAAACAGAGGGAGAGAGCUCGAGAGGGAGGGAGAGAACCGGAGAGGAGGGGAGUCUCCGGCACUGUCGCCGCCGCCGCCGACGCUCGCUGCCGCCUCCCACACCUCUCCAGCAACCGCCAUCCCCGACGACCACCGCCGUGUUGCCUCCCCCGCCGUCGCCUGCUGCUGCGUUUUCGUCACCAGCUGCCGCGUUCGCCGUCGCCCGCCGCUGCCUUUCCGCCACCGUGCCGUCACCCGCUGCGUCCCAACCGUCGCCGUCAAGCCCGUCGCCGCCGCCGCCGUCCGUACGCCUAGCGACGCCUCAGCCGCAAGCAAGGAGAGGGACGUCCAUCGGGUCGCAGCCGGGUAGGAUUUUGAUCUUCGGGCAGGCCGCGUCUGGGCCGAAGCAAGGCCUUUGGGCCGGUUUAAUAUUAGUUUUUCCUUUUGUGUCGGGCUGGUUUAAUAUUAGUCUUUCCUUUUGUGUUGGGCCGGGCUUAGUUUACUUAGGUUUCUUUUUUAGGUGGACUCAGUUUUGAGCUGGACUGGGCCCGUCGUUCAGGCCCAGUCCUGUUGGGGCCCUGCCGAAUUUGGCCCUCCCCCGACCAGGCCGAACCCGGGUCGGUCAGACCGGACCCGACCCGGUUCGCCCAUUUUUUUAAAAUUUAUUUUAUUUUUUAAAAAUAAUUAAAAAUGUAAAAAUUUCGAAAAUUUAAAAAAUGUUGGGUUUAGUUAGGAAUUAUCAUGUCAACAUAAUUAAGCUUUUAUUUUCUUGUACCUUGAUUAUAUUGCAUGUUUAAUUAGCAUAUUUGAUUAUGUUUGUGGAUGUUUAAUUGCACAUGUUUAAUUUUACUGCAAUUAAGAUUUUGGUAGCUAUUAUUGUUAUUCUAAUGAUUGUACAUUUAUACAAUUACAUUAUAUGUUAGUGGAUAUGUGUAAAAUCAAUCCACAUUGCCUGACAAAAAUCAUUUCUUUUUAAAAUGAACAAUAUUAAGUAUUGAAAAGACACUAAUUGGUUAAUUAGUAUAAUCAUAUUCCCGACCCUAGAUUCUUUAGUUGGUAAGAAGUGUGGUAUACUCUCAUGUCUCACUUGGUUUUUAACCGACCCCAAUAUAGCUUACUCUAAUAGGUUAGUGGCGACUCUCUUUUGCAAAAUUCUUAAAAAUACCCAAAUGUCACGUGAGAUAAAGCUUAUGAGAGCCUAUGCCUAAUCAUAGGCUUUAGAUUCGUUGUUUAGGCAAUACCCUUAAACCUAUUCUUUCCCCCUGAUGGUAGGUCACGACAAUGAUCUAAGCUCCACCAAUAUUCUUACAUGACAUUUUCUGCUUGUCAAGCAUGUGACUUUAACGAUGUUGUAAAUUAAAUCAAUUACACGUUAAAAGUUUCAGUCAAUAAUUGACACAAAUAGUAGUAGUGGACCGACCGAAUAACAUUAGAUUGGCAAUGCAAAAUCUUAUUUCAAUAGAUCAAUAGCAUAACUACAGCAAAUAUCAAACUUUAGGACCGUGAAUGAAAUUUCUCGGUGUUAAAAAAUAAUUUUCCUUCUCUUGUCACGUCCACAGAAAAUCUUUUAGCACCACCACUACAAAAAAGGAUCGUGGUUUUCUUCCAUCACAAAUUUGAUUGGCAAGUUAUCAAAAUUUGAAGAAUCAUCCUAGAGACCGAUUCAAGGACAGCAGUUGAUCUACUAGUUGGCAAGAUUACAGAGGCGUUGAGGUCAGAUUGGGUGGUGAAAACCAACACAGCCCGUGAAGGCAAAACGUGCGACGAUUAAUAAGCCAAUGCAGCGUUCUUUCAGAGACUAGAUUUAGUUAUUCACUUAAGUUUAUCUACGGGGCUUCAAUUUGUACUUUUUAGGAGAUAAAAGUGGGUGUUAGGAGGCCUGGAGUUGCAUAUGAGACGUGUUAGAAAUUAAACCAAAUUAAUAGAUGUCCUCAAUCGACUACGAGUUGCUGAUGUCAAUGGAGAAGUUACUGAUAUUAAUGGUUGUCAAUGUUGAUAUUCCAUAAUUUGAUACUGAUGAUUUUGUUUGGUGAAUUGAUACGGAUGACUGUCCGAUGCUUGAGUUAAUUAGAUUCUUUAUUGUAGCGUUGUUUUUGAGAAGUCUAUUCGUAUUUUUAUUUCAUGUCUGUUCAUGUUUCUAAGUGUAAUCAAUGUUUUGUAAGUUCUUAGGAUUUUAUCACCUCAGAUUAGCUAUAUUUAUGAGUAAUUUAGUUUAAGAGUUAUGUGUGAAGCGUAUAAAAGUGGAGUCUUGUAAUUGUUUUUGAUAAGGUGAAAAAAAGGUGAAAUAAACAAAAAGGAUAUCUGUCUCCUUCUCUUUUUUGUGUUGUGUUAGUGAGUGUUUCAGCUUUAAAUUAUCCCAUCAAGAUGUAGCCUGUAUUUGUCUGUUACAAAAACUUGAAAUUUUCUAGUUUUGAUGCCAUAUGAAAUUAUGAAGGAGCGCUAUUAGCUAUUAUAGAAGUUUAGAUAAUUAGAUGGAUGCAUUAUUCGAUACUUAAUUGAUAUAACGUCUCUUUCACGACCCAUGUUCCUUUUCAACAACUAGAUUACUUCAACAGCUUGGCCUCAAUGAAAGGAGAGCUGUCUACAGAAGUGGAGGAUGAUGGAAUGAACAACUCGAUCGCGGAGGAGGUAAAGAAGGAUGAAAGAGGACCUUUAAUGGAAGUGUCAAAGGAUGAAAGGGAUUCUGAAGAAGAAAUCUGGAGAGGUCGACGGGAGAUAAUGAAUAAUGCAUUGGCGGCUUCCGCGGGGGACAAGAUCCGGCAAAAGCUUACGAAUAUGCUCGAAUACUGGCGCAUGUCAUCAAAGGCGGCAAGGUUGACGAGUUCCUUUCCAUGAUCAAUGUAAAUGAUCCAUUGUUGUGGGACAUCAAUUGGUCUGCCGUUUUGAAUUCCCGAUUGGAAUGGAACGAAUCACUGCUCCACAGGGCAGCAGCAAACGAGAACGACGACAUCCUAAGGCUUCUGGUUGAUUAUGUUGGUGACCACCUCAUAACCGCCCAAGAUGAUUGCAGAUAUACCCCACUCCACUGGGUCGCUCGGUUGGGGGGAUCUACUGGAGCUGUAGAGAUGUUGAUUCACCGGGCAAGAGACCUCCCCAACGUCGAGGACAAGAACCUCCUCUUGAGGAUGAAGAGCAACCGUGGAAAAACCGCUUUGCACUUGGCCGUGUGCUCUCAACAUGCCAACUUGGUGCGCUAUUUGUUGAGCGAAGAUUUGGAGCCCGUGUACUGGAAGAAUGCAAGUGAGAAAUCUCCCCUGUACCUAGCCCUCGAGAUUAAUGACUCCACAAUACAUGAGACUUUAUUUUCACUCUCGUUGGAACCGUCAAGGAUAGAAGGCUUGCCGCCCAUUCUUGGUGCCAUUGUACUUGGACGACACGGUACGUACCUAAAUCUGCUUAUGUGGAAAUAUAUUUAUCUAUUUCUGGACCGACUCGUCCCAAAUUUGUGCAAUAACCUUUUGCUCUUACCAGAACCUUUUACCGGUUUUUACUUAAAAUUCCCUACCCUGCUUGUUAAAGCAGUUGGAUACCCAUCGGUUUAGCCGCGCAUAAUAAACAAAUUAUUCACAUUAGAGCAUAAUAGAUUGGCUUAAAUAUUACAAAUACAACCAUUUCACUAGAAACUCGUGUUAUCGAUAUUUGAUUAGAAAAGCUAUAAAGUGCAAAUAUUUAAGAUUGAUGACCAUGAAAAUCUGGUAUCUAACAAUGAUGCCAUUUCUUAAGCGACUUAGAGCCAUGAACCAAAAUGAACAAAUGAAAGUUUAGGGCAGGAAUUAUAAACUGGUAGCAAACCUGUAGGCUGCGCAGGCGUGAUUUUUUCAUUGGAAAAAGAGGAGGUGAAGGUUCCGUCACUCUCAACAAAUUGAUGGAACAUCAUAAACCGUGAAUUUGUUUGUGACCAACAGUCAAUAGGUUUUUAAGAAAUUAACAAAAGUGGAUCUAAAUAAAGAAACAAAUUUUUGACUUUUUUUUAAAAAUGAAUACAGUUAUCAUAAACUUUGCACAAAAAGCCGAUAUCGUAGUCUAGCCUAAAUUACCUUGACCAUUAAAAAUAUUGAGUUAAAAUUCAUCAGACACGCGAUAAUCAAUUAUGCGGAAUUUUUUGGCUGCUAAUGCCAUGUAUCCCAAGUUUACUACUUGAUAAGCAUAGCUAACGUUCAUUGAUCAUCAGAUUGGUAGAUGGCAUUCAAGUGUUACAGUCAUAUCAAAUAGAGAGAAUUGUCCAAAAAGUGCUAGACUUAUUAUAUGAUUGUCGAUUCAGUUAUAAACAUGUUAAUUGUGUCAAUUUAACCUCUAUUUUAGUCCUAAACUUUUAAAAGAUUUGCCAACUUAGUCCUUCUAAUCAAUUUCUACUGGAAAUCAAUUUAUGCUGGAAAUUGCCGACAUGGCGGUCUAGUCAAAGUUAGCCAUCCUACAUGAUGUUGAUCGCCUAUGUGGCUUUUUUACAAUAUAUAUAUUAUUUUUUUAAUUUUUUGCAUUUUUUUCCUUUUCUUUUUUUUUAAUCCUUUUUCUCCCUCUGCCAGCCUCAGGCGAGGGCUGCCCUCUGACCCUUGCGUAGAGCAACCCUUGCCCUUGCUCGACCUCCACUAGGUGUCAACUGUUGAUGGUUAGAGAAGGGAAAAAGGAAAAAAUGAAAUUAGAAAACAAAAUGAAAAGAAAAAGACAAAGGAAAGGAAAGGAAAAAGGAAAAAAAAAUUAGAAAACUAAAAAAAUUGCAAAAAUUAUCCAUGUUAGCGUUGACUAUGCCAUGUAGGACAAUCAAUACUACUAGACCGCCAUGCCAAUGAUUUCCAACAAAAUUGGCUAGAAUGACUAAAAUAACAAAUUGUUAAAAGAUUUAUAACUAAAUUGGCAAGUUAUUAAACAUGGAAGGCUUCGCAGCUAUCCAGAAGAGAGCCUUACUCUAUAGGGGUGCUAACGCUUUACUAAGGUAUAGGAGAAGGGGCGGUUGGCUUAGUAAAGAGAGUAUAAAGUUCCACUUUGUGAAUAGUGCCUCGGCUCGGUUGAGUAAUGUAGUUCGCAAUUGUUAUGACUAAAUUGGCAUAAUUGAAAUAUUUAAGACUAAAUUAAUCAUCAUACAAUAAAUUCAAGACUUUUUGGACAAUUUUCCCUAUCAAGUAUAAUUCCAACCCUAGAUGCAGUAACUUUAUUUGUAUCCUGUCCCAAUUUAUUAAUCCGAGCACAUGUUAUUAUUUACAUUGCACGACGUAACAUGUUUGAGGCUGUCUAUUUAAACUGAACAUGCAAAACAAUUUCAAAUAGACAUUAAGUGAAAAUGCGUAACAAUGUAUUGUGUGAUGCAAAUAAUAAAUUAGCAUACCCAAUAAAUGUAGGUGUCUAAACUUACGUCGCACUCGUUGAAUAGAUUAUAGAAGUCGACUUGCACACAUAACGUUCAUAAUCCAUUUAUAAAUGGCUUAACUUAUUUGCGAUAAUACAAUUAAACCUAAUCCUACCAUAUGUAACCACGUUUCAUGUAGUGAACAUGUCUGUAGAAGGGCUGUUUCAUAGUUUGUCAGCUCAUAAUUCUAAUAAGUACUUUAGAAACUAUACAAAAGAUCCCAUUGAAAUUGGAUUUACUAUAUAUUUCUUAUUCUUACUGUCCAAUAUAUAAAAAUCCUUUUAUGAAGUACUACUAAUUGAAAUCUCAUAAUAAUAGUUCAUUUUAUUCCUCAUUGAAUGUAAAAGUAGAUGACAUUGUGGAAUGAAUCGAGCAUUGCCAUGGGCUUUUGUAGAGAGGCACUUUAAUUAGGCUCUCAUGAUAGGUAAGGUUCAUAUCAAUUAAAUAAGGUAAGGUUAUUUCUUUAAAUCUAGUAGUAUUCUUUCACUUGGGAAAAUUAUCCAAAAAGUCCUAAGCCUAUUGCACUUUUGCCAAUUCAAUCCUAAAUCAUUCAAUUUUGUCAAUUCAGUGCUAACCAUUUUCACUUCUUGCCAAAUGAGUGUAUUCCGCUAAUUUUGACCAGAAUUCAUUGAUGUGGAUAAUUUUUAUUAAUAUUUUAAUCAUUUUUUAAAAAAAUUAUACUUUUUUCUUUUUUUCUUUCUUUAUUCCCCCCUCUCUUCUUCCUUUUAUCAAUGGCUAGCUACUAACCACCAGUGAUGGCCAACUACCGGCCAUGGCUAGGUGAGUUGACCUUGCCCGCCGUAAGUGAUGCCUGGCCGGGCAAGGCCAAGCCCCAACAAGGGUCGGCCUCACCUAGGUUAGGCGAGACCAACCCUCGCCCAAACUAGGUGAGAUCGCCUAGGCGAGGGUGAGCCCCUUGUUCGACCAUGUCUUACUGAGGCAUGCGAGGCUAGCUAGCUCGGCCAUAGUUGGUGGCUGGCACAAAAGGAAGAAGAAAGGGAAAAAAAAUUUAAAAAAAAUAAAAAAAUAUUUUUAAGAGUUUACAUUAGUGUCAACCGUCUUACAAGACACCGCUAGUGUCCACAUCAGCGAAUUCCUAUCAAAAUUAGCCGGAUGGACUCAAUUACCAAGAAGUAAAAAGGUUUAUGACUGAAUUGACAAAAUUAAAGAGUUUAUGACUGAAUUGAUAUAAGUGCAAUAGAUUUAGAACUUUUGGGAAAUUUUCACUCUUUCACUAAUGUAUCUAGAAUGUAACUAGUUACCCAUAUUGAAAUUUGUGGCCUGAAUUGCUCCGUCAAUUUCAAGAAUGGUGGCAUCCAUCAUGCGAGCACCUUUUUUUGUAUGUGUAAAAUUGAAGUAUGUUUUUUAUUAUAAAUUAUUGGUGAAAUAUUAUUCUAUUUCAUAAAAAAAUUCUUCUUUUGAAUAGAAUAAAUGCAAAAUUCUUAAUUCAUGUUAUAUAUUAAUGUAAAAUAUAGGGGGCUCGAUGAUAGUUAAAAAAUUCCUAAUUAUUGUUGUUAUAACUCAUGAAAUUUGUAUAUGUACUUAACAAUAUUAUUAGAGUAUAUUUUAUAGGAAGUAUUAUAGAAAUGUAAGAAUUUUCAAUAAUUGCUCAUUUGCAGUUUUUGAAACUCAUUAGAACUAAUUUCAAUAAAACUAAUGCCUCUUUUGUUGAACAAAAGUCAUGGUAUAAGAGGCAAACAUAAAUCCUAAUUUGAAGCAAAAUAAAUGGAAAGUGGAAGAAACACUCUUUGUGAGGAAAAUAAUCAAUCCCUUACAAAUUAGAGCCCUAUAAAUCACUUUUAGAGACAAUUCUUAAAGAAAAAAUCAUUAUAUAUUUAUGUAGAUGUUACAAUAGUCUAGAUUAAUUUGCAAAGUUCACUGAACUUUUAGUAUUAUGGAUGUAAUUUUAUGGCGGUGAAAUGAGACUCAUUUUGUUUUGUGUUGUGUCAUCACAGCUUAAAUAUGUGGUCGUUAUAGCUCCGAUAUAUAUGACUCCAUGCAAUGCACAGACAAGAUAGAACAUAUAAUGUGAUUUAUUGAGUAAAAAUAUCUUUCCCAGAAUCACUAAAAUUUCACAAAAUAUAUUUGGUCCAUUCACAAGAUAUAAUGGGAUUGAGUAGCACAAUCCCCAAGGAUGAGGUUAUCUCUAAAUCACUCUCGCCUGUCUUUGAAGUCCAAUGGCCACCCACAAUCCUCAAACACCGUUGGAAUAUUCUCAAACAAUUGAAGCACCUCUCUCACAUUAUUGAACCUCUUUACUAGCACCUCCAAAUUUUCAUAGUUGGGGCCAAAAAAAAAUUCCUUUUGGUGGAGCCUUUUCCUUUCUGUAUUUUGUGAUUUAUAAGCUCUACUAUCUUAGAAAUAGAUUAUGGUCACAAAUUUUACUUAGAUUUUACUCACAAGUUUGGUAAAUACAUAAUCUCUUAAUUGAGCUCAAUAAGUGCCGUAUACCUUUACGAAGAAGAUGACAUUCAAUCUAGAGAGGGUGGAACAAUUUUAAGGGGGAUUUCGGUAGGGCGUUGUGGAGGCUAUUGCAAUGUUCUUAACAAUUAAAUAAGUCUGCUUGAUACUUGCUAGAAUUCGACGGACAUAAUAUGAAAAGAUCAUUUUCCUUUUCUUGAUCUUGCCCUAGCUUGCAUUACGUCUGCCGACUCUAUAGAUACUUCAUGUCGUGGAAAUGCCAUAUAAAUUGCUAUGUCAUUUAGCAAGAUUUUUAUAGUCAAAUCUUAAGUUCCUGUCGAUGUCAUUUAACUAGUUUUGGUAUUGCAAUCUAAUCUGUUAUUGUCGACUAUCAAUACUAGUAGUGAUUAAGGCACGUCAAAGAUGUCCUUACUCCAAAAUGGGUUUAAAUAUAUCGAGACCAACCAAGCUCCAACCAUCCUAAUUUGGAGCUUCUGAUCCCAGAUUUAUUCAACCUGAUACUCAAGAAAAACAUGAAGCUAUUCGCAUUGACCGACUCCACCGGGGGCAAUGUAUUCCAUUUAGCAGCUUACCUGAAUCAGGCCUGGGUAUUCGAAUUCUUACAACCAGAAACUAUAUAUUUGAUCCGAGCAAGGGACAUGAAUGGAGAUCUCCCCAUUCAUAUUGCGAGCAAGAUGGGUUAUGUUGAACAUAUCAAGAAGCUGAGGAAAGUAUCAAAUUUGCGAAAUGGGCAAGGGCAAACUGUUCUUCAUGUUGCCGCAAAAUAUGGGAGAGUCUCCGUAGUGAGAUAUAUACUCAGUGAUCCAGAUCUAGGGGAGCUGUUAAAUAAACAAGAUUUUGAUGGAAAUACAGCUUUGCACUUGGCUGCGAUGCAUUCACAGCCCGCUGCUUUGAUUCAUCUUGUGCGGACUAACGGAAUUCAACUCAGCAUUCUCAACAACAAAUGCUUGUUGGCUGUUGACAUUGCUGGACGACGCGUAGCAAUGGGGUAUGAUAUUCGGCAGGUAGGUAACAUGAACAGUCACUAUUUUAUUUAUUAACUUACUGGAGAUUUCGUAGACUAAUGCAUUAGUUAAGGCAGAUCUUGUAUUCAAAUCAUUAUGUCUCCCAGCCAACUAGAUAGGAGAAGUAUUGAUCAAAUCUCUAGAAUAACCAAGACUCCUCUCGGAUAAAUGUUUUGCAAGUCCCUAAUUUAGUCUUGAUAGGAGGUAAUUAAAAUUUGUGAUCAUGAAUUUCUCUGCAGUUAGAAACAAGUAACGUGUCUUUCAUAACACGGAGAUAACAAUUUAUAUAUUUCGUUUAAUUGAGCCUCUGAAUACAGUCAUGAAUAAAAAGGCAGGGUUUGUCAAGGUUGCAUUCUGUUUUUCAUAAAAAGCCAGGGGUCAAUGUGGCAAAUUUGAACGCUCCAAAUGUAACACAAUCUCAUAACAUUAUCAUUUUGUCGACCUAUGAAAUGAUUGCCCGCAUAGAUUCCAUUCAUGCCUCUUUUUUCGUCUAAAACGAACUUGGCAAUUUUGUGCUAAUUCUUCAAAAAGAGCAGAAACUGCAUCUUUAGAAGCAAACGUUUCCAGAGUUCAUUCCCGUUAUAAAUAUGGUAUAAGUUUGUUCUUAUUUUCCUUUUUACAUGCUUCCGAUCUCAGCACUUGGCAUACCUGGCGUUGCUUUGCUCGCUCGCGGAAGAAGGUCCACUUGAAAACCAAGAGUUACUCCUAGUUAGAGCGGAAGCUCGAGAUGAAGAGUUAUCAGUAGUCCGCUCGCGCAAAAGCAUGCCGAGAAGGGACAUCAUCAAGGAUCACAUCAAUUCCCGUAUGGUGGUGGCAACGCUUGUGGCCACAGUGACUUUCGCAGUUGGUUUUGCAGUUCCUGGAGGAUUUAACAGCUCAGACACAGCCUCCAAAGAUGACCGGGGCAUGGCUAUGAUGCUGGACACAGAAUGUUCCAGGCUUUCGCGAUUUGCAACACCAUCGCGAUGUUCUGCUCAAUGACUGUGGUCGUCAACCUCAUCUGGGCGCAGGUAGUUGAUGUCAACGUUGCAGUCGCUGCAUUUCAGCGCACAACGCUACCGCUACAAAUUGCACUCCCGGCGAUGUCCACCGCUUUCUUAACUGGUGUCACCUUGACCAUUGGCAAACUCCCGUGGCUUGCUAACACCAUAUUUUAUUUGGGACUCGUUUUCCUCCUCAUUAUCUCAUUUGCUAACUUGUUCGGGGAGCCUUUCUUCUUUAAAAUCCUCGGUCAUCCUCUCCGUCGACUAACAUUCUGGCUUAUUCUCGCUUGCAUUUAUUUGUGGAGAGUUGAGACGUACAUUUAUGAUGACAAUGACGCGGAAGAUAACAGAAGGAGAAGAAGACCUUCGCUAGUCCGCCUGUGGAUGUUGCCGGUGAAACGAGGACCGAUGACUCGGCGAAAGCAAAAUGUGAGGAUGCGUUACAUCCUCCAAGUCACUGAUUUGAAUUGAUCAUUCCAUAUUAUCUGUAAUAUGUAGUAGUAAUAUAUGUUUUCCUUGGUGAGUGUGACUCACUCUACGGUUGCUUUCCUUUAUGUCAGAUCAAAGGUGAUUGUUAAUGUAUGUAAGCUAAACCACGUGUUCCUCUAAUAACUUAACUUAUUAGAAUUGUUGGAUAUAAUUCCAUCAAAUUUCAUAUGUUAUUAAAGCAGAGGUUCUAAGUUCAAACAUUUUCAGGUCCUAUUUGCUUCAUCUAUUAUAUGUUCUCAUGUUUCAAUAUUAGAUCAAUUCAAGUUUAUGAGUGAAGAUGAGUAUAAAAGUAUUUGUAUUAAAGUAUUUGAAUUAAACAUCGCAUCCGUCUAAUAAUUUACAUUUUUAGAAUAAUUAAUUGUAGUUCCCGAAAUUUCAAAGUGAUACACACUUCAUGUAAAUUAAAUGGAUGAAUGGCUCAUUUCACCCGUUUCAUUGCCUUGGAAUCAAAUUGUUAACUUUGAACAUGUGGAAGCUCGUGGGUCAAUGAAAUCACUCGUCUAGAGUGGCAAUGUCCGAUUUACUUUGAACCAGUCCAAUUUGCGGCACUCUCGAGUCACGAAAUCUUACCUGUCUGGUGUGCAAAGAAAAUAAUUCUCAAAUUCUCAUCGCCUACUCUCUGAGUCGAGAGUUGGGUGAAGAAAACCGGAACAAAAUAAUUCUCUUCACUACUCACAAAAAAAAAAAAAUAGAAUCGAACCCCGAACUCAUUUCCAUUUACACCCCUUUCAUUUCCCCACUUCUCCCUCCUAGGCGACCAAUUUCUGUGCAUGCAAAUGAGUUUUGGUCUUUGAUUCGUGCCGAGGUAUAAUCUAGUGAGCAGCGGGCACAGAAGUCUAGUCAAGGGACGAGAUAAAAAGGAAUUGCAGUACGCAACUCAAGGAGAAUUGUGGAAAAGUUUGGAUAUGUGAUUUUCCUCCUCCGAUCUCUGAUUUUUAUUUCAAAGCCGGUUGGUAUUGACACGUAGAAUAUAACUCUAAAGUGAUUCUGGACCUAUUUAUUUUGAAAGUAGAUAAUUACAAAAAAUGAAAAGGAUCCCAUUGUACAAAUAAUCGAUUUAAUUUUAAACAUCUUGACGAUUUGCCAGUAUAGUCAUUCUGACCAAUUAUGACCGAAAAUCAUUGACGUAGAUGCUAGCCAUCCUAUCGCACAUGACCAGUAUUGAGGUGGACAAUUUUUGUAAUUUAAAACAAAAUUCUCAUUUUUUUUUCUUUUUUUCAUGUUUUCAUUUUCUUCAUUUUCCUUUCUUAUAUUUUCCUUUUUAUUUUUUUCUUAUUCCCCUUCGCCAGCCAUUGGCCGGUCCAUGGCUUCGGUGAUUGAUAGUAAGGGCCCAAUGCCCUCGCCAGCGAUUGCAAGGGCUGAUGGAUUUGCUGGGGCCACAGACUAAUGGAGGGACAAAGGAAGAAAAAAAAAGAAUGACAGAAAAGAAACUAAAAAAAGGAAAAAAAAAAGUUUUGAAAUAAUUGCAAAAAUUAUCCACAUUAACAUCCGCGCCCAGAUCGGCGAGGCCAAUCUUGUCAUGGGCUGGCCUAGAUCUGGGUGAAGCCGCCUCGCGUGCGGCUCCGAGGCCUCACUUGUGGCCAAAAGAAUGAAGAAGAGAAAAAAAAUAAAAGGAAAAAUAAAGAAAAUUAUUAAAAAAUUAUUAAAAAAUUAUUAAAAAUUGCCACGUUAGCAUUGACCGAAUGACUAUCGUCCACAUCAACGCUAGCCGACCAAAAUUGGCCGAAUAGAUUGAAUUAACACAAUCACGAAAAGUUUAUAACUGAAUUAGCACAAUUGUUAUGAAUUUACGACUUUUUUGGUAAUUCUCCCAAUUUAUUUGUUAUCUCCAUUUUUAGAUUGUGACAUGUGUCCAUUCAAUUUUAGUCCUCACUGCACUUCAUCUAAAUACCAUCAAACCUUAGCAGCGAGGAUGGUAAUUGGAGAUCUAUGCAAAUAUUUAUAUAUAAAAAUUACAUUGAGAUAGUAAAGUGUGCUCACCAUCAUCAUAUCAUCAUCCAUCAAGUCGAUUCCACAUAAUGAUCUAUUUGUCACUUUCAACAUCCUGGGGGCUUAAAUGUUUCAAUUAAAUAAGGUAGGAUGAGAAGUAUUUUUCAUAAAGAACGGACAUUCAAGAAGUCUUGCUAGAUUGAUAGAUUGAUGUUGCAAAUGGUUCUCUUCUCAAGUAGCAUGAAAAAUUAUGCUACUUAAAUGUAGAGCCUCCUUUUUUCUAUUUUUUUUGGCAGAUCUUCCAAAUCAAAUUACAAGGUUACGACUAUGAAAACUCAUAGUACAAGUACAAAAAAUACCAAAUCAAUCAUCUAUUGACUUCUCGAUUCUCAUUAAAUCUGAUUCACAAAAUAGGUUGGGACCCAUUUUGCUAGCCCUACUAAAAUCUAAACAUUUUAAUAAAUUAAGGAUUUAUACGGCAUCCUAGUUCACAAAGAUGUGCCGUUGCUGUUGACAAAUCGACAGUGAUUGAUUUUCAUGAACUCGUCGUCAUAUUGUCGACAUUCCCAUUAUAUAUGAACAUAAGAGAGAACUUUGAUUUUUGAGCAUCAAGAGAUAAGAUUGACUUAAAUAGAAUGCCAAAUAGCCCAAGUGUCACAAUUAGAUAAUUCCAAACCCCAAACACUUUUUUUUUAACCCCAAACACAUUCAACUAUGGUUUUUUUUUCCUUAUAACUUUCUUCACAUAAUAUAAGAAUGUACUUUAUGGUUAAUGAUCAUAUAUAUCGCGGUUUAUGAAAGACUAUGCCACAUCAAUAGUUUUAGAUGUUAGUCCAAAUUCGAAAUACCGGGCCAACGUUUGAGAUUUGAUUGGCCAUUCGGCAUUUCAUUUAUUACUCAUGAAGUCUAUCAUUGCAUGAAAUUUACUGAAAAUUAGAGAAUCUCACAAUACCAACAAAACAUCAAGUUUAUUCAGCUUUUUUACCCUUGAUACACUCCACAUGUAGCCCAAUUUACAAAAUUCCACGAAAACUACUGCUCAGCAAAGACGAACAACAGCACCCAUCGGCCCAACAUGCUUAACUCCAAGCAUAGAGUGACUCGAACUCUUCUUGUCUCCUUUCAGUUUACCACAACCAGACAUAUUUAAUAAAGUACCGUGAACAAGACAAGAUAGCGAUGAGAUCUACUCAAUAGGCAUAGGGUUUGCCAAGAGAUAAGCCUCGAUGGCCUUGAACAUCGCGGACGCCUUCUCUUUCCCGGCCUUGAUCUUCUCCUCAGUGAUGUCCACCUCACCGAUGGUGAAGUACUUGCUCGUGUUCUUGCACACCGAGCCUCCCUCGGGCGAUGCGGUGAUCUUCACCUCGUAGCUGAUCUUCUCGAAGGUGGUGCCCAGCACAUCGCCCUCGAUGAUCGAGUAGCUGUAGGUGAAGUUCUCCUUGUCCAGGGCCUCGACCUUGUGCUUCAUUGUCUGGUACUGACUGCCUAUCAAAGUAAGAAAAAAGUAAUAUUCACGUUUAGAACUCGCCGGUUUCAACAUCACAAGCAACGAUCUUGAUGGUGUCCAUUGGGCCAUUUUGGUUGUUCCAAUUGCAAUCUGAUACGAUUGACUUAGACAUGGCCUGAUUUCGCUCGAUUGGAAUCGAGUCAUGUGAUCACUUGUGUAAAUCAAUGGUUAGAAAUUUUUUUAAUUAACCAAGUUACAUAUCUAUCUUUUUCAAUGUUCAUUAUGAUGUUCCAUAAGGUUGAAACAGCCUUGAUCCAGAGCGAUCCUAACACGGACGGACUAACCUUCGCCGAAAGUGAUCAACUUGAUGGUCCCGGGACCUCCGUUGCCCUCGAGGACUUCGACGCUCUUGAUGGCUUGCGGGAGCACCUUGGGGAUGAGGUUAUCAGCAUCGAGGACAGCGGCCUUGAACAUCUUGGCCGGAGGGAUUGGGGUCGUGACCUCGGAGUCGUAACUGACGACACCCAUGAUUUGGAUCCGAAUGGAGUUGCCGAAAUAGAGAAGAGGGUGAUCAGGAAAGGCUGAUUAGCAGUGAUGAAGUUGGUCUCUAGGACUCGGUAGUGAAGAGAAGAGGAUGAACCAAAGCUGACAUAUAUAGAGAGACCGAGUUUGAAGGGUUCUCGUUAUUGGAUAUUUUCUUCAAGUGUGUUCGUUUGGUACAAAAUAGAGAAGAGGAUGAACCGAAGCUGACAUAUAUAGAGAGACCGAGUCUGAAGGGUUCUCAUCAUUGGAUAUUUUCUUCAAGUGUGUUUGUUUGGUACAAAAUAAAUAAUUAAAUAACUAUUUGUAUCAUUUGGUAUAAUUAUUUGAUGAGAAAUUUUUGCAUUAUUGACAGUAAUUUAUAUCUAAAUAUUCCCGUGAAUGAUGAAAAUAUUUUUUAUUCAUUCCUUUUAUAAGUUAUAUGAAAAAAAAUAUUUUUUUACAAAACAAACGAAGCUUAAUAAAAAAAAUCUUAAUCAGUCUGUGGGUUGUUCAAUCAUGCCAUGGACUUUGUUCAUAAAAUAAAAUUUGUCUAUAUGAUAAUGGAAUAUUAGUCAGAGAAGGCACCAUCCUAGAAUGAUACCAAACGUUCUUCCAUUUCCCUUUCAUGUAUAGACUUGACUUUUGAUCCAGGAGCAUUUGCUCAGCAAACUCUCUUGGCUGAGCUUCACUGAUUUCUUACAUAGUGUUACUAUCAUAGAAAAUAUCAAGCCCUUAGCUGCAUAGGUCGCGAUCCACCCAGAUCUCAUCCUACUUCUUUUCAAUCCGUUCGGUAGAGGCCUCGGGAAGAAUUAUCAUCAAUUUCAUACUCAUAAAUAAUAUUCGCUUAACUCUGUGCAGUAGAAAAACUCGAAAAAUCGAGGCACAAUUUUUCCUGCUGGGUGAUCUCGGUGCUUCAUGUUUCUGUUGAGCUUCCAUCGAUAAGAAAAAGUACAGAUUGAUCUCAAUGUUGCACUAAUCCAAUUUAGCAGAAAAAAAUGGGAAAGGUAGUUUGGUAAUUACAAGGCUUUGUUACUUUUAGUCAACAAAGGCUGCUCUGAAAAUCAAGAUGGACGUCUAUAGAUUUUGAAUUUUUCUACUUGCUUUCAUGUGUCUAGUCCUUUUAAAUAAUAUUAUUGCGAACCAUUUUCUGCUAAUUGUCUGGUGGAAGUGUGGUGGAUCAAGCGAGAUUGGCUCACGGGUCACUUGCUCAUUAAACAUUUUUUUAAUUUUCCUUUUUAUCUAACGGUAUAGCGACGUAGAUUUUUAGAAACGCUUUCUUCGUAUUUAAUUUUCUUCUUUUGUCUAGUUCAUCUUGUCGUAGUCACGGACCAUGUGAACGUAUAGGAGAAUGUCCAUGGGUGUUAGAUCAGAUUAAUUAAUGAAUUUCGUCGUAUUGAGACAAAAUUGAUUAAACUUGUCAAUCAUCUCACUGCGACGGAAGAUUCGGAAAAUAUUAAUGCAUAACAACAGCAUAUGUUUUGGGAGAAAAGUAUUGGAGAGGGGCAUGGAUGCAUUGCUGAAGUUAUUUGAUGAGCAUGUCAUAUGUACUAAAUUAAUCUAAAUAGCUAAAUUUGAUGGAAUUCAUAUGAAACCUAAAUGGAACAUAUAGAAAUUAAAAGCCGAAUUUUGCUUUAUAUAAAUACGACGCUAGCUCAUUCUCGAGUCUUUGUCAAAAUUGUGUUGUAGGCAAUUGAAUGUGAACCUCCCUUCCCUUUCACAUAUGAUCGACUCAAAUUUCUCGUACUUCAUUGACUUCCUUGUUUCGCUGUUGAAGCAACAAAAUCACAGCAAUUGAAGUCACCAGAAGUAGCUCGCAUCAAUAAGGACCUUUUCCCUAUGGUCGGUCGAUUUACUGUUCAUCCCACCCCACAAGGAGAUAACCUCGUCACAUUUUCACACAAGCCUGGAUUUGCGAUAAAAGCGCUUUUUGGUGCUUAUUGGAAGAGGCGACCACUAGGAACCGCACCUGUCAGCUCGUUGUACAAUAAGUCUACGGAGCUUAAACAAGUUAUAUGUCCAUUUUUUUCAAUGUUCAUUAUAAUGUUCCGUAAGGUUAAAACCACCUUGAUCGAGAGCGAUCCUAAGUUCCUAAUAUGGAUGGACUAACCUUUGCCGAAAGUGAUCAAAUUGGUGGUCCCGGGACCUUCAUCGCCCUCGAGGACUUCGACGCUCUUGAUGGCUUGCAGGAGGACCCUAGGGAUGAGGUUAUCGGCGUCGAGGACAGUGGCCUUGAACAUCUUGGCCGGAGGGAUCUGGACGUUAUCGCAGAGUCGUAAGUGAUGACACCCAUGAUUGGAUCCGAACUGAGAAACUGAGAAGGGGGUGAUGAUCAGGAAAGACUGAGUAGCAAUGAUGAAGUCGGUCUCUAGGACUUGGGAAUGAAGAGAACAGGCUGAACCGAAACUGAUAUAUAGAGAGAGACUAAGUGUGAAGGGCUUUGAUCAGUGAAUAUCUUGCGAAACAAACAAAGCUUAAGAAAAAAAAAUUAUUCCGUGGAUUAUUCAGAGUAUGACAUGCCCCUUGUUCCUAAUAUAAAAAUGUCUAUAUGAUGAUAGAACAAAGCGUUGGACGAUCAUAUUGGGGAGAAUCGGGCAACAAUUUACUAAUAACGAAACACAAUUUAGCAUCAAUUUCUCCUCUAAAACUAAACCAACCGAAACCAACUCAACCCCAGCAACCACCAGCAAUAUGUAAUACCAAAAUGACAAUAAGACAGAGCCAACAAUGACACUAAGGUUUUAACAUGGAAACCAAUACAUAAAAAAUCACAUACCCUACUCACUAACAGUAAUAGGAUACAAAAAGUGUUAUUUUAUAAUCACACAUUAGAGACUCAACAUCAAUGAUAUAACCAUAUUUCCUCACUCCAAAGAUAGAUUAACAUAAACGGAGCAAGAAAACCCUAAUCGGUUGGAGAAUCUGGAGGGGGUUCUUAUCUAACGAAAUCAAUCAAUUUGUAGUCCUUGAUUUUACAAAAUAACAUUCAAAUUUGAGCAAAUUCCAUCGGCAUCUUGCAUUCCAAUCGGGACCAAAAAGAUUAUGCCCUUUCUUUCGGAACGCUAAGAAAGAAGAGCCCAGACACAGACAACAAUUACCUACUCACUAAGUGUAACAUUAGGCUAGUGGGCCCCAAAAGAAGAAAUAGAAAACGAAGUUUUAAAGGCCCCAAAGAAGAAACUGAAAAAGAAACCGAAAAGUCAUUAAAGCAAAAAGGAGAUGGGAGAGGGCUCGGCUAAAUAGAAGCUGAGAGUUUCCUCGACCAAAAAGAAAAGAAAGAAAAGAAGAAGAAGAAGAAGAGAAAAGGGAAGAAAGGAAAGAAGUUUUGGCACGUGCACGCCUCGGAUGCCUUGCCAAGCCAAUUUGACUCCAUAACCCGGUAAGAGAUCAAGCCCCUCGUUUGUCCGAUUGAAGUAAUUUUUGGAUUUAGGACUCAAAUUCGGAAUUUUUGGAAAAUCGAGCGGCGAAGUCUAAUUUUGGAGUCGUUGAGCCACACAUUUUUGUAAGAAUGGUAAUUUAGGGUGUUGUGGAACCGUGGGAUUUUUCGGAUCGUGAUUUGAGCUUAUGGUUUGUCCAAAACAAAAUUCCAAAGUUUCCCGCGCGCAGUGAACAGUACGCGUCCAGCAGCUUUGGGCCCGUAUUUUGUCAUUUUUUCGGCUUGAUUUUGGGAUGACCAAUUUGGGAUUCUUGUAAUAUGUGUCAAGGGCUCUCUAUUGACUAUAAGUACGUUCGGAUCGGGGUUCGGAAGAGAAAGUUAAGGCUCGAUCAAGUUUUGCGCUUAAACUUCAUGUUGCGAAUGGCUUAAACAAUCAAUUUGGAUAUGCGACUUGUUAGUGCACAGAAGUCCUUUUGUUAGAGUUAAGGCGUAACUUAGUCAUUUUGUAGUCGAGAUAGAAUUUUAUUAGAUUUUAACAUUAUUCUUCGAUUAUUUGAUAGGGCUUUGAGUUCGAAGAUACAAGUAUCAUUUGUCGUUUGGUCGUAGACGAUAAGGUGAGUGGUACUAUAUCUUCUUUGGUUUUAUAAAAUCAUGUCUUGAAGUAUGUAUGUAUAUAUAUUGAAUCAAGAAGAGCAUUUUUAUUGCAUAAAAGUCAGAUCGAGCAAUUGCUACCCUUUGGUUGAUUGUGAAUCUUUGAAAAGCACAUUAUACAAGGUUUGUGGAGAAACAUAUAUGAAAUUGCUUUGCGACUGAUUUAUGAAAAGGUUUAUGAUGAUUUGAGAAACGAGUAUGAAAUGGAUGAUGGGCUAUGUUGCAAAAUAUUAUUUGUUUGGUUUAAGAUAUUGAUUUUUGGAUUGAAUUUCUGGUAUUGGAGAAUGGUUAUUUAUGCUCAAUAUGACUGUGAACCCAGUGAGGGGUUUUUGGGGUAUGCAUACCAGGUUUAGGAUAUCCUUCUGGGCCGAGCCACCGGCUUUGUAGGUGGAGACCUUGCCAAGGGGAGAAUCUUGGUCGCCUUGUCACAGGACGUUGUGUCGUGACCAUGGUUAGUUAUUGAGCAAAAGAUUGAUCAAUGGAUAGACCAUUGAUACUUGAAUUUUGAUGGCGAUUCAAAUGAGUUUUCCAUAUUACUAUAAAUCUUGAUGAUAAGAAAUAACUCAUAAGAUUCAAUACUUAUUUUAUAUAUUGAGUUGGCUUAUGAAAUUUGGUAUUGUUUUGUAUACAUGCAUAGUGGUUGUUCGAUCUGCUUAAAAGAUAUGUACUACUCACUGAGCUGUGGUUGCUCAUCCCAUUCCUCAUUUGAUCUUUUCAGGUUCCUCAGCUAGUGGCAAAUAGAGCGAGUGCGCCGUCGUGGGAAACUUUUGGGGAGUUCUAUUUUGUUUUUGGUAUGGUUUAGGGAAGUGGUGCAAAUGAUCUUUACUAGUGGUUGAAUCGUCUAAGUUUUGAAGUAUAUAUUUUCUCUUUUUGGUGGAUUAUAGAAAUUCUAAUGUUGCAACCAAUUUGAAGGUUUAUCUGAUAUUUAUACUUGUAACAUCCUGGACCCCACUGUGUAAUAUUGUCCGCUUUGGGUCACCCGCCCUGGCACGGACGAACCGCCAUCCCAGCCGCGAUCUUUUCCCUCACGGCUUUAAAACGCGUUACACAGGUUAGAGGGAUCCAAGCCUUAUAAGCUGACCAAUAUCUCCCUCCCUAGGCGAUGUAGGACAAGAGAGGAGGCUGUCACACUCUCCACCUCUUAACAGAAUAGCGUCCUCGCUAUGGCCCCACGGGUAUCAGAACAACAUUCAAGCUGUGGUCCCACACGCGGUCGGGAGUCGGCUCUGAUACCACUUGUAACAUCCCGGGCCCCAUUGUGUAAUAUUGUCCGCUUUGGGUCACCCACCCUGGCGUGGACAAACCGUCAUCCUAGCCACGGUCUUUUCCCUCACGGUUUUAAAACGCGUUACAUAGGUUAGAGGGACCCAAGCCUUAUAAGCUGACCAAUAUCUUCCUCCCUAGGCGAUGUAGGACAAGAGAGGAAGCUGUCACAUAUAUAAGUUAAUAUCAGUUUGUAGGUUAUGUUUGAGGCUGCGUCCUUUGUAAAGAAGGAUGGCCGUGUCAUCCCCAUUCUUUGUAGUUUUUGGGGUGUGACACUAAGUUCCGAAAAGCAUAGACGAGCGAAAUGCCUCACGAAUUAACCUAAGAGCAACAUAAACACGCCGAGAUAGAAAACGGUAGAAGCCGACGCCUCAAAUUGCAAACUUCUUCGACCCAAAAAAAAAAAAUAUUGCAAACUUCGAGCUACAAAAUGGCGAUUAAGCACGGAGGGCCGGAGAUGGGGUGGAGGGAGCACCUUGAUGUCGAAAUCGACGCCGGCGGUGGCGAGGAGGGGAGAGGGGGUGGAAAUCUAGGGUUAGGACAGGUUUGGUCUCGUGCCAAUUCAUCUGGACCGUGCCUCCCUUCAUAUCUCCUCUGCCCGCUCCGCCGCUUCCUUCCUUCCCCCUCUCUCUCUGAAAUCGAAGCCUUCUUCCUUGAUUUCUUAGCGAACGAAAUCGAUCAAUUCGUGGAAUUCGUGAGAUUCGUGCGCUCUCCCCAUUCCGCGGAGAGAUUCCCGACAAAUAGAGAUUAGAUUGUAGGCUUGUCCAUCGUCGUUUCAGUAAAGCGAGUGUAAUGCCAAAAAAGGGAAAUAAGGACGACACAAUUGGCUCUGACAUUGAAUUGACAGUUUAUUCCUGGCCUCCUACGUGAGCAUAUCACGUGGCCCACCCAUCAUGGCUCAAAUUCAUGAAAACAAACUAAUAAAAAAAAGAUCCAAAAUAGACUCCACCACCAUCCUCUCGGAAAUCCAAUCAAAAAAAGGAAAAGAUAAAAAAGGCAAAUCAUCCCAGACAAAACAAGCAUGGCAUUCGCCACACGCUACUAAAAAUUAACCACACACAGAUUCACAAGUCUCAGGGUUCGCGAGGCAAGCCUCGAUGGCCCCAAACAUAGUGAAAGCCUUCUCUCUCACGGCCUUGAUCUUCUCCUCGGUGUUGUCCACGUUGCCCCUGGCGAAGUAUUUGCUAUCGUUCAUGCACACCGUGUUAGACAAUUCAUAUAAAACUUGAUGCGGAAAUUCAUAACAAAUCAUUGAUCUUUGAUCUUCAUGAUUUUCACAAAUAGAUUCAGACAAACCUUUAUCCAUAGCGCUACGCUUGAUGAUGAUCGUUGUAGAAAACCCAAUGAUCUCGAACCAAAAGGAGAAAUCCGAUUUCUCUCCCUUAACCCACUAAACCUUAAUGUAUUCAAUUGAUGGAGGAGAGAAUAUGUUCUUUUCAGUUAUUGUUGUUCGUAUGUGGGUGGAGAGAGGACCGGACUCUUUUAUACGUUCGUUGAAAAUGUGCCUUCCAUCAAAGCGAUAUACCCUUUCGUUUUAUUAGAGUCGUACCUUCUCAUAACCAAUAUUAUUUAUAGCAUUUCAAUCAUUAUUAAACCAUAUAAUAAAUCACAUAAUAUGGGCCACAAUAAUUCUUACAUUCUCCCACUUGGCCCAUAUGAUUCUCCUUUCAUGGUUUAAUGAAGACUAUAAUGUGCACAAUAAGAUUAUGCUAUAAAAUUUCAUUAAAUUGGCAAUCACAUAAUAAUCACAAUUAAGUAAAGAAAACUAAUGCGAGUCAUAGCGGUUAUAUGUCAUUAAUCGACAUAGUCCCUUCUAUGUACUACAACUAUAGCACUUUACUUAACAUGAUCCAUAAAUGAGAAGUACAGUAAUAGUCCAACCAUAAUGUUUCUUUAGAAACUAUCCUGUUUAAAAUUAAUCUAUUUCCAUAAUGUAUACUAAAUAGAAAACAGGAAAUAUCAUAAACAUGUAAGUGAGCUCAAAGUGUCAAAUACAUAAACUUAAUACAAUCAUAAUACAAACAUUAAUGACGUCCAAUAAUGCCCAUCCUUUCAACAUGCUCAUUAAAUGUUUUGGGCGGCAAUCCUUUUGUUAAGGGAUCUGCUAUCAUAAGAUUGGUGCUAAUGUGCUCAAUUGACACUCUUUGUUUCUGAACUUCUUUUUUGACAGACAAGUAUUUGAUCUCCAUAUGCUUAACACCCUUAGAAUACUUGUCGUUCUUAGAGAAGAAAACUGCUGCAGAGUUAUCACAAUAGAUUUUCAGCGGCUUGGCAAUACUGUCGACGAUCACAAGCCCUGAAAUAAAAUUCCGCAGCCAUAAUCCAUGAAUUGUGGCCUCAAAGCAUGCCACAAAUUCAGCUUCCAUAGUGGAUGCAGCAAUAACUGACUGCUUCGCACUCUUCCAUGAAAUUGCCCCUCCAGCCAGAAGAAACAAGUAACCAAAUGUUGAUUUUCUUGUAUCGACACAUCCGGCUAAGUCUGAAUCUGAAUAUCCAAUCACCUCGAGAUGAUCAGAUCUUUUAUAAGUGAGCAUAUGAUUCUUUGUUCCUUGCAAGUAUCUAAGAACUUUCUUUGCGGCUUUCCAAUGAUCCAUUCCAGGAUUACUUUGAUACCUACCUAGCAUUCCGACAGCAAAAUUGAUGUCUGGUCUGGUGCAAGUUUGUGCAUACAUUAAGCUUCCCACAAUAGAUGCAUAAGGAAUAUUAUUCAUUUGUCCUCGUUCCAAUUCACUUUUCAGACAUUGCAUAAGGCUAAAUUUAUCACCUUUCUGAAUUGGAACUAUUCCUGCUGAACAUUUACUCAUAUUAAAUCUCUCUAAAAUUUUCUCAAUGUAGGCUUUCUGAGACAAUCCUAAUAAUCCUUGUGAUCUAUCACGGAAUAUUUCUAUUCCUAUCACAUAUGUUGCCUCUCCCAUAUCCUUCAUUUCAAAAUUCUUAGAGAGAAAUUUCUUGGUUUCAUGUAACAAACCAAGAUCAUUAGCAGCAAGCAAAAUAUCAUCAACAUACAGAACUAGAAAAAAAAAACUUGCUCCCACUAAUCUUCAUAUAUAUACACCGAUCAACGGUGUUUUCCUUAAAUCCAAAUGAAGUUAUGGUAUCGUUAAACUUAAGAUACCAUUGUCGAGAAGCUUGUUUAAGUCCAUAUAUUGACUUCUUUAAUUUACAUACCAUGUGUUCCUUUCCUAUAACUGAAAAGCCUUCGGGUUGGUCCAUAUAAACCUCUUCCUCUAAAUUCCCAUUAAGAAAUGCGGUUUUUACAUCCAUUUGGUGUAACUCCAAGUCAUAAUGAGCCACCAAAGCCAUAAUGAUUCUAAGUGAGUCUUUCUUAGAGACCGGUGAAAAUGUCUCUUUAUAGUCAAUGCCUUCUUUCUGAGUAAAACCAUUUGCAACAAGUCUGGCUUUAUGUCGUUCAAUAUUGCCUUUUGAGUCGCGCUUGGUCUUAAAGACCCAUUUACACCCGACCUUCUUACAUCCUUUAGGCAAUUCAACAAUAUCCCAAACUUGAUUUUCAUGCAUGGAUUUUAACUCUUCUUCCAUGGCAUUAAACCAUUCAUUAGAAUCUUCACAUUCCAUGGCUUGGGAAAAUGAAUCUGGAUCAUUUCCAAUUCCUAAGUCAAUUUCUGACUCUUGUAGAUAAACCAUAUAGUCAUCAGAAAUAGCCGACCUCUUUUCUCUUUGAGAUCUCCUUAAUGCUAUUUCUUGUGACUCGGUUAUUGGAGGUUCAUUAUUGACAUCUCCAUUAUUUGGUGUUUGUUGUUCUCGAUUAUUGUUAGAUUGUACUACAAUAUCAGAAACAACAACUUUAGAAGCUUUAGGCAUAGGAACUUCUACCCUUACUUCUUGAAUGCAAGCAUCACGCAUUCUUUCACUCCCACUGAUGUCACCAUUCUCAAUGAACCUAGUAUUUCCAGAUUCAACAAUUCUUGUACUAUGAUUAGGACAAUGAAAUUUAUACCCUUUGGAUUUCUCUGCAUAACCAAUGAAAUAACCACUGGUCGUUCUUGAAUCCAAUUUCCUUUCAUGUAUUGUAAAUUCUUACUUCUGCUUGACAACCCCAAACAUGCAGGUGUCGUAAACUAGGUUUCCUUCCCGUCCACAAUUCAAAUAGAGUCUUUGGAACUGCCUUACUAGGAACCCUAUUUAAUAAGUACAUAGAAGUCUUUAAAGCAUACAUCCACAAAGAUAAGGGUAAAGAUGAAUGACUUAUCAUACUCCUAACCAUUUCCAUUAAAGUACGAUUACGCCUUUCUGCUACACCAUUUUGUUGUGGUGUACCUGGCAUUGUGUAUUGAGCACAUAUGCCAUGUCUUUCAAGGAAUUUAGCAAAUGGACCUGGACAUUGUUCCGAUUCAUCAUACUUUCCAUAAUAUUCACCACCUCUAUCCGAUCUUAUUAUUUUCACAUUUCUAUCUAAUUGCCUCUCAACCUCUUUAAUAUACACUUCAAGUACAUUUAAUGAUUGAGACUUAUCAUGCAAUAGAUAAAUGUAACCAUAACGUGAAAAAUCAUCAAUAAAGGUUAUGAAAUAGCUUUCCUUACUAAAAGAUGGAACAUCGAAAGGACCACAUAUGUCAGUAUGUAUAAUCUCAAGAAGCUAUGUGCUUCUUGUGGCACAUUUCUUAGUGUGCUUUGUUUGUUUACCUUUAAUACAAUCAAUACACACUCUAAAGUCAGUAAAAUCCAAAUUUGGAAUAAUUUCAUUCUUCACUAAUCUUUGCAUUCUUUCUUUGGAUAUAUGACCCAACCGUUUAUGCCACAAGUAAGCAGAAUUUUCAUUCACCAAACUUCGUUUAGUGCCAACAUUAUGAUGCAAGGUCAUUAAUGUCUCAACAAAAGUAUUAUCAAGUCUAAAUUUGUAGAGACCAUCACAUAAAGUUCCAGUUCCAAUAAGAGCAUCACUCUUAAAUAGACUGAAAGAUUCAGAUCCAAACUUACAAUAAAAUCCCGCCACAUCAAGUCUUGGCAAAGAAACUAAAUUGCGAGAAAAUGUAGGUACAUAAAGGGUUCGAAAAAAAUCCAAAUAAUGCCCAGUAUCUAAUAUCAAACGAUAAGUGCCAAUGCCUUCAACUGGAGCUUUGUCUCUGUUCCCCGUAAUCACAUAACUUUCAUUUGGAAAAUGUAGGUACAUAAAGGGUUCGAAAAAAAUCCAAAUAAUGCCCAGUAUCUAAUAUCAAACGAUAAGUGCCAAUGCCUUCAACUGGAGCUUUGUCUCUGUUCCCCGUAAUCACAUAACUUUCAUUUGGCUUUAUAGUUUGGAUCUUAAGAAAUCCCUGCAUCGUAUUUGACACAUGAGUGGUGGCACCAGAAUCAAUCCACCAAGUAUUAUAAGGAACUUCAGUAAAAUUUGAUUCAAAACAUACUAAAGCACAAGGCUUACCUUUCUUUUCGAACCAAGCCUUACAUUUCAGACAAUCUUUCUUCAAGUGUCCAAUUUUGUUGCAAAAAUGACAUUUAAUAAGAUUGUGUUCCUUCUUGUGGAUUUGAGAAGCCUUUGAAGAGUCAUUCAGGACGUGUAGUCCUUUCUUCUUGCUCCUUCCACCUUUCCUCUUAAAAUUCUUUCGAACUUCUUGAUGACUUGAGAGAUGAAUAGAAUGAGCAUUUUGAUUCUUUAUCCUUAUUUCCUCUUGAACUAGCAUACUGGCCAAUUCGUUUACAUUCCACUUAUCCUUUAUAGUGUUGUAAUUCAUUUGAAAUGGCACAUAUUGCUCAUGAGGUAAGGAAUUAAGUAUAAAUUGUACUAAAAAGUACUCAUCCAUAUUCAUUCCCAAAGUCCUUAACUUUGCUGCUAAAUUGGUCAUCUCAAGUAUAUGCUCAUGCAUGGUACGCGAACCAUCAUAUUUCAUGGUGGUCAGUGUGCUCAUCAGUGUACCAGCAAGUGACUUAUCAGCAGUUUGAGAACGCUCUUCCACAAAUUUCAUAAAUUCCUUAGCAUUGUUAGUCUUGGGAAGAGAAGUUUUUAAGUUGUUUGCAACUGUCAUUCGCAUGAACAUUAAGCUCAGUCUGUUCGAUCUUUCCCAAGCUUUAUGGAAAGACUUUUCAUCAUUGCUACUUUCAUCAGUAAUAGCAGCUGGUUUCUCAGCUUGAAGUGCUAAAUCAAGAUCCAGGACACCUAAGUGAAACUGGACUUGUUCACUCCAAUCAGGAAAAUUUAUCCCAUUGAAUAAGGGAACAGAUGAGGCGUGCGAAUGGAGUGAAACAGGUACAGAUACUACAAAUGUGCAAGAAAAUACUCAUACAUUAAUGCUUUGAGAAUAUCAUAUAAUCAGAUUAAACUAAACUACACAUGCACAUCAUAGUUCUCCUUUGAGCGAUCCUAUGAUAUACAAAUAUAUAUAAACCAUAAUGAUGCUAAUAACUUUUAUUUGAUAAUUGUAAAUAUAUCUUAUUAAAAUUUAUUUGUUAUCUUUGGAUAUACAAACAAAUUUAACAAAUCAUAUUAAUUAUCAACCAUCAUGUUCAUGGAUUAUAAGAAAAUAAUUAACCUUUGGGUUAAUCCCUAAGUUCUUAUAAUAAAUGAACUUCAAUAUACCCAUAACUCCAAUAAUGAUAUAAAACAUAUCAAUUUCAUAUAUAUAGCAUCAAUUAAUCAUGGGUAAUUGAAUAAAAUAAUUUACGAUAUUAAAAAAAUUCAAAAGACUUCAAGGUUCGGCCACUUUGGUGACUAACAAACCUUUCAUAAUAUGAAUUUUUAAUAUUGCAAAAUACAAAUAUUUACCAAAUUGCACACAAGGACAUAAAAUGCAAUCAAAGCAUAAGGGCAAAAUCGUAAAAUCAUAAUUCCAUAAGGGUAGAACCAUAAAAUUAUAAUCCAGGGGCAAAAUGGUAAAUAAUCAGCAAUGGCAGAAUCGUAAUUAUAAAUUAAACAGGGGUAGAACAGUAAAUAACCAUCAAAAGGACGGCAAAACGGUAAUUAGGAGCCUCGGGAGGGGCAAAAGCGUAAAAGUCCGCGCGGGGACGUCAGGCGCGUGCCUCGCACGCGCCUGCAACCGCGCGGGAAGCCCCGCGCGCGUGGAUCCCACGCGCGCAGCGCUUGCGCGCGCGUGAAGGCGCGUGGCGCGUGGGUUCCACGCGCCUGCAACCGCAGCGCGCGCGUGGAGCCCACGCGCCUUCUUCCUCGCGCGCAGACGCGAUUCUUCGCCGGUUUUUCGCCGUUCCACCGCCGUUUCGCCGCCCGUUUCUUCUCCGACAGCCCAUUACAGACACAAAUAAUUAAUGGGUUUUGAAGAGCAUGCCGGCACGACCACAUGGGUCCAAAUUUCGGAGAAAAUGACCAAAAAUUGGCCCCAAAUCAAACCAAAGUUUCAGAACACAAAAACUCCACCACCGCCGCUUCCGCCGCUCGAUUAGCCGCCGGCGAACACCAAUAUACGGGAAAAAUCAUGGCUAAUGUUCCUCAUGACAGUGCGACGGUGUGGGUCCGAAAUCAAGCGGUGGGUUGCCGGAUUUUACCCGGAACCGGCGAGUUUCUUCCUUGCCCUCAAAAUUCCGAAUUCCACCAUUUUUGUCAUUUUCCACUCGUGCACACACAGUAACUUUUCUUCACAAUUUUAGUCCAUGAAAAACGUUCUAUCAUUCGGAUUUUCUUUAACAGAACCUUCCAAAACAUUUCAACAACAACAAAUGCUAUAAACAUGAUCGUUUAACAAAUCAUCAAACAUCAACUAUAAUAUUUCUUUAAACGGAAAAAUCAUGAGAUCAUAAACCAAACGCUCUGAUACCAACUGUUAGACAAUUCAUAUAAAACUUGAUGCGGAAAUUCAUAACAAAUCAUUGAUCUUUGAUCUUCAUGAUUUUCACAAAUAGAUUCAGACAAACCUUUAUCCAUAGCGCUACGCUUGAUGAUGAUCGUUGUAGAAAACCCAAUGAUCUCGAACCAAAAGGAGAAAUCCGAUUUCUCUCCCUUAACCCACUAAACCUUAAUGUAUUCAAUUGAUGGAGGAGAGAAUACGUUCUUUCAGUUAUUGUUGUUCGUAUGUGGGUGGAGAGAGGACCGGACUCUUUUAUACGUUCGUUGAAAAUGUGCAUUCCAUCAAAGCGAUAUACCCUUUCGUUUUAUUAGAGUCGUACCUUCUCAUAACCAAUAUUAUUUAUAGCAUUUCAAUCAUUAUUAAACCAUAUAAUAAAUCACAUAAUAUGGGCCACAAUAAUUCUUACACACCGAACCUCCCUCCGGUGAUGCACUGAUCUUCAGCUCGUAGCUAGUGUUCUCCAAGGUGUUGGCCAGCAUGUUGCUCUCGAUGAUUGAAUUGGAGUAGGAGUAGCUCCCAUUGUCCAGGACCUCGAGCUUGUGCUUCACUACCUUGUUCCGAUGGCCUAUAGAAAACGCAAGUCACAUUUGAGACGCCACCGGUUUCGAAAAUCGCAAGCACUGCUUUGAAACACCAUUGACUCACGACAUCGUCAUGUUAAUGGUCAGGAACAUUUGAAUUAACCAAGUAAAUUUACUAACCUUCGCUGCCAGUGGUCUCCUCGACAAGCUCGGCACUCUUGAGGAAAGGGAAGAAGACUCUGGAGAUGAGGUUUAAGGCCCUAACGAUGGCCUCGAACGCCUGGGCUAGGAGGAUGGAGGACUUGAUCUCAGUCCUGAAGUAUUCCAUGAUUCUCUGUCCGAAAAAAAUCUGCUAAAAGCUGAAAGGGAAUGAUGAGAAUUGCGAGUACUGAGUAGGAGUGAAGUCUUGAUCUAAAAUUUCGGAGCGCAGUUCUAUAUAUUUAUAGAUAGGGUGCGAGAGUGAGAUGUAGAGGAGUCCGUGUGUAUCUAAUGACUCUUUCGGGACGUUUGGGUGGACAAGGGGAACUUUUUUAUGUUUUUUUCUAGUUGCUUUACGGGUUACUUUUAUCGGCACAGAUCAGCCGGGGUUUCUUUCCGGAUUGGGCGCUUUCAAGAAUUUUGGGUGGACUCGGGGUUUAAACGAGAGGUAGAAAAAGCCAAGGGAACAGGAGGCAGGUGGGACCCUUCAGCCCGUGCUUUUUCCUUUUUUCCAUUGAGAGGACGGAGACGAGGAAAGCAUAUCCGGCCCGCUCGACUUUUGGCAAUGACAGAAGCUCUCUCGUUGAUAAAGCUAGGCCGUGAGGUGAGUUGAGUCAUGCACAAGUACACCAAAUUGAAACUCUUCCGCACGUGGAGAUAGCUUCAGACAACUUAGAUGCCGUGAAUUGUGUCAUUUCCUUGGAACUUCUAGGUCCGUCAUCCAGGAUUGUGAUCUUCUAUUGACCCAACUAGAAGCAUAAAUUAAACUAAAAUAAGAACCCAAAGAAGCAAAUCGUGUUGCGGAUUGAGUAGUCAAAGACCCACCGAGUUAGAACCCUUCCAUCCAAUUGGGUUGUUUAUCCCCCUCAUUUCCAUUGGUAAAUUUAAGUCUUGAAUUUGGUACUAGUUAUAAUUCAUCUUUGAGUUAGUAAUCAAAAGUUAUUUUCGACCAAAAAAAAAAAAACCACCGAUGACGUACUAAUUCGAUGUUGUUGAUUUUGUGCGUACAAAGUCCAAAUCAACAUUAAUGACGUCAUAUAUGGCGUGCUAAAAGUUGUUCAUGAGUUGAAUUUUUGCAAUUACGUGCCCAAUGAAUUUUGACGCUCUUGAGUGGGAAAUCACUAAAUUGUUAACUUUUUCCAAAUGCCUGACGGGUGUCAUAGGAUUAGUUUGGCGAGUAGAGAUAAAAAGUUAGCACGCAAGUAAUUUAAAAGCGCAGUGUAAAUUCGAUUCUCCCAAUCAAUGAGCAUAAACGAGAACAUGGGGGCGAAAAAGGUUGUUACCAGCAUUGAAAAAGUGGACUUUUGAGAAGCUCCAAUCACUAAAAUGUUGCGUAUUCGGCAAGAUGCAAGUAAGUCUAUCCAUCGAGAGUUAGUUUUUAGAGAAAUGCAUAAACAGAUAUUAAAUCAAUAGAUAUGCUUAGAAAAAUGUCAUACAUAGCUUUUUUAGCUUUUUUAGCUUUUUUAGUAAGCAAGAGGUCUUGACUUUGAUUCUCAACGAGAUCCUUUUUCUUUUGACUUGUAAUAUUUCCUUUUUUCACAUUCAAUCUUCUUCCUAACAAUUUUUUUGAUAAAAAAAAAUUCAAUCGAGCCAAAAAAUGAAUUGCUUAAUACAUGAUAGAGCCAACAUAUAUACAUACUAUAUAUGUGUUUUUUCUCAGUACAAAUGGUUAUACGAGGACCCAAUUAGUAAGAGGGAGGUCUUGAAUUUGACUCUCAACAAGAGCAUUUGUCAUUCAAACUUUUUCAUAACAACUAUUUUACUAAAGAAAAAAAUCGAUUGAGCCAAAAAAAUUGUCACUUAAUACAUCAUAAAGCCAGCAUACACAUAUAAUUCAUUUUUCUCACUACAAAUGGGUAUACGAGCACCCAUUUAGUAAGCAGGAGGUUUUAAGUUCGACUUUCAAUGAGAGCAUUUAUCUUCUGACUUAUAAAUUUUCCUUUUUGUAAAUUCAAACUUCUUCAUAAUAAUUUUUUUAAGAUAAAAACCACCAAAAACCCCAAACUUUGCUCAAAGUGACAAAUUUAUCCCAACCUUUAUAUUUUGAUAUGAAAAAUCCCGAAUUUUGCCAACUGUGACACAUUUAUCCCAAACUUUUUUUUAUGACACAAAAAAUUCUGAACUUGUAUUUAUGUGACACAUUUACCCUAAAUUGUAAGGUAUUUUGGUCUUUUACUUUUAAAAUAUUUUUUUUACUUUUUUUUUUCUUCUUCUCUCUUCCCUCCACCAGCCAUGGCAGAGCCGAUGGAGGAAGCCAUAGUUAGGCGAGGGCUACCCUCACCGGCGUCAAGCGAGGGUCGCCCUCAGCUAGGCUGGCUAGGGCCGCCCGACGCCAGUGAGGGAGGUCCUCGACCGACCCAGUCGAGGGUGGCCCUCGCUUGAUGACGCCGAGUGCAGCCCUCGCCUGACUCCAACUUCCCUCCGCCAUGGCCAGCGAAAGGAAGAGAGAAGAAGAAGAAAAAAGAAAAAAAAAGAGAAUAAGACGAAAAUGCUAUUGGUGGGUUAAAUGUGUUACAGUUUGCAAAAUUUGGGGUUUUUAUGUCACAAAAGAAGGUUUAGGAUAAAUUUGUCACUUUAGGCAAAGUUAUGGUUUUUGGUGGUCUUUUCCCUUUCAAUCGAGCCAUAAAAAAAGUCACUUAAUACAACAUAGAGCCAACAUAUAUAAUAUAUUUUGUUCCUUUUCUUGGUAUAAAUGGGAUACCAGCACUCGUUUAGCAAGCCUAAGUCUUGAGUCCGACUCUCAAUGAGAGCACUUGUCUCGUGACUUAUAAUCCUUCUUUCUUCUACAUUCGAACUUUUCCGUAACAAAUUUCUUGACAAACAUUCAAACUUCUAUCUUCUUGAUGCCGUUAUAAUAAGGGAUACGGAACUCUAGUGUGAAUGGAACUCAUUGCUGUGAUGCUAAAGGGAAGGCGAUGCUGACGAAUCCUACUGGAAUAUGCGGGGGACAGAAAAUCUUAGAGCUGGCGGUUAGAUCUAGUUGAGGUUACCAAGGGUUGAUUAUUGCUUAUCGCCCCGGAACUGACUUACCUAGGUCAUGCUCAGCCCUCACCCUUAGAAAAAGGAACUCAAGAAAAAAAAUUCAGUCACUGCUCCAUAAUGAUUAAUGUCCAUCAUAGUUCAAGUAAGGAGAUAUAAGCAAACGUUCAAACAAUAAAUAAAUAGAUCAACAAAAUAAAUUGGAUACCAGACUUAUAUGAUUCAAUCGCAGUGACCUACCUCUAUAAGAAAAGUAAUAACAAAUUUUAUUGUAGAUCAAACAAUAUGACGGAAAUUAUAAUCACAGUCGAGUUACUUUAAUACUCUUAUUGUUUUCCAAUUUCUAAUUACAUUCAAUAAUUCAAGUAAUAUAUAACCUCACAAUUUCUAACUAAAUAAUCCUUUAAUCUCAAGAAGAAAUUAACAAAUCGCGAAUUAAACCCUAAUUUCGCUAUAUGUAAUUCAAGGAGAAUAUCCAAUGUCAAGCACGCCAACGGCACUACUUGCGGCUGAAAAACCCGUGAUAAAGUCACCUCUCCACACGAGAGAGAGAGAGAGAGAGAGAGAGAGAGAGAGAGAGAGAGAGAGAGAGAGAGAGAGAGAGAGAGAGAGAGAGAGAGAGAGAAUGUGUGCAUGUCUGUCUUUUUCCUUCGGCAUUUUUGGCGGCUUCUUUUGUGGCAGUCAUCUAAGGCCUCGCAUGGUAAUGUUUCUGUUCCUUUUCUGUUCCCGGGAACAGAAACAAAAAAAAAAAAGUGUUUCUGUUCCAGGGAACGGUUUUUGAACAAAAGAACGUGUUUGGUAACGUUUGUUCCGGGAAUAAAAAAUGAAUAGAAACACGUUUGGUAAAUUUUAUUCUUUUUUUGUUUCUUUUAAUUUUUUAAUAUUUUUAUUUUAUUUUCCAUUUUUUCCUUUCUUUUUUAUUUUUUUCUUCUUUCGGCCGGUCGCCGACCUCCGGCGACCAGCCGACGAGGCCGGCAGCCUCGCCCGGCCACGGCAAGGCUCGCCGGCCCCCGGCAAGGCCGAGCCUCGCCGUGGUUGGGCGUGGCUCGGCCUCGCCGGAUCUAGGCGAGCUCGAGCUCGCCCAGCCAUGGUGAGGCUCGGCCUCGCCGGAUCUAGGCGAGCCCGAGCUCGCCCAGCCAAGGCAAGGCUCGGCGUCGCCAGUGCGGGCGAGGCCGAGCCUCGCCGCCCUGCCGUCGGAGCCAAGCACCUGCGCCCCGAAGCCCGCAGCUCAACGCCGUCCUGAUCUCACCACACCAUUCGCGACGCCGUCCACCGGCAAGGCCCGUGUCGCCCCGUGUCGAUCCCGAAGCCUCUAGUACGGCGCUGCCGUCGCACCGUCCUCCGGAGCCCCUCGCCGGAACCCUAGCCGAAGAUCUCCCAUCGAGCGAGGCCGAGCCUCGCCUUGGCUGGGCGAGCUCGGCGUGGGCGAGGCUCGGCCUCGCCAGGGGCCAGCGACGCUCCGGCGAGGUCGUUGACCCUCGAGGGCGUCGCCAGCCCUUGACGGCCGGUCGUCGGCCAUGGCCGAGGCCGGCGACCGGCCAGAAGAAAAAAGAAGAAAAAAGAAGAAGAAAAGAAGAAGAAAAGAGAAGAGAGAGAAGAAGAGAAGCGUUUCUUUUUGGCUUUGAAGAAGUUUUUCUUUUCUCCAGAAACAACUUUUUUGUGUUUCUUUUUUUUUGUUCCAAUUUUGUUCUGGGAACAAAAAAACAAAAAAAGAACAUAAACGCAACCAAAUGCGUUUCUGUUCUUUUUUUGUUCCCGGGAACAAAAAAAGUACAAAAGUGUUCCAGAAACACUUUUUUGGAGCGUUUCCAUGUAGGGCCUAAGUGACCGGUGAAGAAAGACCGAUAAAAAGAAGAAGAAGAAGAAGAAGAAGAAUACUUUCUGAGAGAGAGAGAGAGAGAGAGAGAGCAAUCAAUAUUGUCAGUGCACUGUUCGGGGUACAAAGCAAUGAUUUCAUCAUUCUUGAUUAGGGUUUUGAAAAUAUGGCUUUUCAAUCCGUUUCAUACAUUCUCCGGUUCCCUUUUGGGAGUAGUCGUGCACUACUCCCCGCCCCCUUCUCUCUCUCAACCGUCGUCUAGUUGAACAAUUCGUAACAGUCCCGACUCGUGCUUUUGCCGUCUGUCCCUUCUGCCUGAGAAUCUUGAAACGGUGCCGAUGUGGACCUCUUCCUCAACGGCAUCGCCGGCCCUCAACGGCCAUGGCCGAGGCUAGCGACCGGCCAAAGAAAAAAGAUAGAAGAAAAUGGAAGAGAGAGAAAAAAGUGUUCAUAAAUUUUGUUCCAGAAACAAUAAACAACUUUUUUUUUUCUUGUUUCCGUUCCAGAUGUGUUUCUGGAAACAAAAAAAUAAUUUUGGAACAAAAACGCAAACAAACGCGUUUCUAUUUCAAAAAACAAAAAUUUGUGUUCCUGGGAAUAGAAACACAUUUUAACAAACAGGCCAUUAGUAACUGUCCAAAAUUUCAAUUCCCAAAAUAGAAUUGCGUUUAGUAAUAUGCUCAAAAUUUCUACUCAAAAUCAUUUUCUUUUAAUUUUUAAAUAAUUUUAUUACUUUUUUCCUUUUUUUUCUUCUUUUCUUUUUUCCUUUCUCUCUCAUGUUCUUCUUCUUCAAGUGGCUAGUCGCCGGACCAGCGACCGGCUAGACGAGGGCUGGCAAUCUCAUCGAAAUGUUAAUAGCACUUAGCGAGGCUCGCCUAGCCUCACCGGUGCCUAGCCAGGCCUCGACGAGGCUGGGCAAGCCUCGUCGGUGGCCAGGCGGGCCUCGCCGAUGGCCGAGUGGGCCUCACCAGGGCUGGGCAAGGCCCCCCUGCUGGUGGCUAGGCUUGCCUCCGGCGAACUCGCUGGACCUCGCCCUGGCUUGGCAAGCCUUUGACAAGCUCGCCAGACCGGUUGUCAGCAACCAGCAAUAGUGGGUGGCGGACGGCAACCGCAGCGAUGGAUGAAGAGGAAGGAAAGGGAAGAAGAAGAAGAGAAAAUAUGGACUUGAUUCUUGGAUUUGUUCUCAAGAACAAGAAUCAACUUUUUCUUUUAAUUCUUGAUUAUGCUCCAAAUCCACUUCCCUAAAAAAAAAAAAUCCCAAAAACAAAAAUUUUACCAAACACGAUUCCGUUCCAAAAUUACUCCUGGGAACAAAAGAAUAAAAUUUGACACCGUUUGGCUGGUUACCAAACAGGUCCUUAGCAAGCUAAAGUUUUGAGUCCAACUCUUAACGAGAGCAUUUGUCUAGUGACUUAUAAUCUUUCUUUCUUCUACAUUCAAAUUUUCGUAACAACUUUUUUGAUAAACAUUCAAACUUCUGUCUUCUUGAUGCUGUUAUAAUCAGGGAAACGGAACUUUAGUGGGAAUGGAACUCAUUGCGGUGAUGCUAGAGGGAAGUUGAUGCUGACGAAUCUCACUGGAACAUGCGGAGGACAGAAAAUCUUAGAGCUGGGGAAAAUGAAUGGGUUUGGGAUUAAAUCUGGCUAAGUUAUUGCCCCGAAACUGACUCACCCAGGCCAUGGUCAGCUCUAAAGGGAACUCUAGAAAAAGAAUAAUGACUAAUGUUCUUUAUUGUUCAAGCAAAGAGACAUUUUCUAUCGGCUAAACCUUAUGCUUCUCACAUUCAAUGCUUGUGUUCCAUCUGAAGUUAUUUUUUACCACAUAAUUGUCGAAUGAUGGUUUUAAUUAGUGAUGGGCCUAAGUUGGCCCGUCUGCCCAUGCUGGGCCCAAAAGGCCCGGCCCACGGGAAUAGGGCCCGUAGAAGGGGAAGGUAUAAAAGGGAGGAGAGAGAGAGAGAGAAGACAACGCUUGGCUGAACGUACGUACGUUCUCUCCCUCGCUCUCUCUCCAAAAGGACAACAAGAACAGUAAGGCAAACGGCACGUUCUUCUUCCCUUCAAGGCGCCAUCGGAUCGAACAGGACCAGAAUUUCUUCUCGAUCUUUAGCAUUGGUGUCUAAUCUGUGGCUAACAAGGUACGCUCGAAUCCGUGGUGUGCUUUAUGAUCGGUGAUACGUGUUUUCCCGGGCUUCGUCUUCCGCAUUGAUUUAGGGGUUUGAUUGAGUGUCGAAUCCGGUUUUCGGGGAUCAGUCAUUCCCAACAUUGGUAUCAGAGCCCUAGUUCACGUUUUUCCCGAUCAAUUUGAUGUUUUUGAUUGAUCUUUCGCGAAAGAACUUCGGCCGUACGGAUCGGGGCGAAAAAUCCCGACACCCGAGCGCUGUUCGGCCAUUUUUCUGAGUUUUCGUAAGUCGAAAUUGAAUUCUGAAAGCACUGAGUGAAAGAGGUCGUCGAGACGAGUCCGGCGACAUGUUGUGCGUCGCCGAACGACGCCGCACGCACACACAUGCGCGGCCACAAGCCUCUGCGCGUGGGCGCCACGCGCCCGAAGCGCUGGCAAUGGCCAACGCGUGCGCCACACGCGCCGGUGACGAACCGGCACGUGCGUGCCGGCGACCGGCGAAACGGCACACGCCGGUCCGCGGACCAACGCGUGCUGACGUCACGUGAUGACGUCACCGUGACGUCAUCCAACGGUCGGUAACCGCUCGGAUGACGUCAUCGCCGACGACGUUUCGCCGGGCGGUUACUGGCCGGCGACCCGACCCAACGACGACCCGACCCGAACCGCGACGCCCGGCACGCCCGCGGCACGUGCCGGGUGACGUUUGCGUGACGUCAUCCCGCGCACGCGUGCGGCACGUGCGGACGGUUCGCCCGAACCAGCCCGACCGGUCUGCCCGGUCCGUCCGGCGACCGUUGACCCGUUGACCGACCGUUGACCGUUGACUUUGACUGUUGACCGUUGAUGAAAAAAAAAAAAGGAAUUUGUUUCUUUUUCAUAUAUGCCUAUGUGGUUUAUAUGUAAUCCAUUAUUUAUUCUGCAUUUGUUGCAUGAAUUUUGGAAAAUUAUGUGUUUUCCCUUAUGUUAAUUAUGGAUUAUAAGUGAUCCAUUUUUUAAUUCUGCAUUUGUUGCAGGAAUUAUGAUGCGUCAUGCACGAAUACCUACAAUCCCGAGAACGGACGAGGGAAAUGCAAGACUUAAAAGGCUGAUGACAGAGUUGGCUGAUUAUCGGUGGCAUAACGGUGAUUUAGUAUCACAUGUGGUCAAGGUCAAUAAGAUGAUACAGGAAAUCAUCAAUAAUGGUUAUCUUAUGCCGGAUUUUUAGAAGGUGCCGGCUUUGUUGAACACUCUUCCACCUGAAUGGCAAGCAGUGUUAGAUCGGCUAUGGGAGGUCAACGUGGUCCCGGGUUAUAGGAGGCUGGUGGAAGCUUUUGUAAGAGAGUACUAUAAGAUUGAGUUUGCCAAAACUUCAACCCUUAGAUUGUGCGCUACGUGGCGCAGAGUGAAUGCGCCUUGGUGGCGACAUGAAUGCUCUCCAAAAGUUUUUCCAUGGUUGGCAAAUGUGCCUUCAGUUUUCUCAGAUGUUUUGACUAAUAGAUUAGAAUGGACAUUCCCUAAUUAUUUCUUAGAUUAAUUGUGGGAUUUUUUUUUAUGGAUGUAAAUAUCUCUUUCCAUGUUGAUAUUUUUCUCUGUAUAUAUUGCUUAGUGUAAUGUAUAGUUGUAUUAUGUGAAAGCACUAUUAUUCUAUUGGAUGUUAGAUAAUAUUUGCUUUCUGUUACUGCUGAUUGCUGUGGGUAGUUAGCUGUGGGUAGUUCAUAGAAGUUUUUGUAGCUUCAUAGAAUUGUUUUUGCAUAUGACAAUCAUAUUAAUGAUAGUUUUAAGUUAGGAUUUUUGGAGGAUGAUUGGAAACGUAGUGACCUUUUGAUUCUGAAACCUUACUUGAAAUUAUUCAUUAAUAUGAUGGGUCUAUGCAAAUAGGGAUGCAUAAAUGAUAGGCAUUAAUUAUUCGUGCACAUAUGUCUGAUGUGUUCAGAUUGAUGGAUUCAGCAACUAAGAACGUAAUUGCUGAUGUGAACGGCAACAAUUGUGAAAUAUUGAAUAUGAAGAUUCAAUAUGUGCUGGAAAAGCAAGAAGCACUAGAAGCUCUUGACCAUGUUAUGGAAGAUCUUGAGGAUGCUGUGCGCCACCUUGAGUUGGUAGAGGACCGCUUAACGGCAUGUGAGCUGAAAAUAAAUAUUUGCAAUGCUGGUUCUAGCUCAGAAAGGGCUUUGAGCUCUAAGCGCAAGCGUAUUGAUUCGUUCAAUAUGUGGGAAUGCAAAGGAUCAAGUCCUUAUUGCAAGAGAUAAAGAGUUAACCAAUACAAGAGAGGAAAACGUCCUCAAGUUAAGAAAAUGUCAAGGGUGAGGUGUUACAAUUGUGACAAGAAAGGUCACUAUGCUCGCGACUGUCGUGAGCCAAAGAAAGUAAACACCUCUUGUACAUUUGAAAACUUUACUUUUGUGUCAAAUUCUGUAUUAUUAGCUGAAUUCAAUCCUUUGUGAACUGUAGAUUCAGGAGCAACAGACGAUGUAGCGAAAGAUAAAGGAUCCUUCGUGGAAUUCCGACGAAUACCAACUGGAACUAAGUGGAUCUAUGUGGGAAACAGCUCCAGAGUUGAAGUUAAAGGGAUUGGCACCUGCCAACUGAACAUGUGUGGUGGACGCACCUUGUUCCUACAUGAUGUUCUAAAUGCUCUGGAGAUUUGUCGAAAUUUAAGUGUCUGUUUUGAUGUUGGUUAAGCUUGGUUUUGAUAUGAACUUCCAUAAAUAAAGUGUAGAUUUGUGUUUAGAUACAAACUACUAUGGUUGUGGUCACUUUCUAGAUGGUUUUAUUGUACUAAAUGUUGACUGUGGUGAUGUCAAUAUGUUAUUCCCUUGUUUCACGUCUUUUACUUCAUGUGAUAAUGAUGUGAAUGUGUGGCAUGCUAGACUUGGUCAUAUUGGCCAACAACAUAUGAAUAGACUUGCCAAAGAGGGCUUGUUGGGCAAUAUUGAAUAAGUCGAUUUGUCCAUAUGUAAGCAUUGCUUAGAAGGGAAAACGACAAGGAAACCAUUUGGAAAAGGUAAAAGAGCUGACAUUCCUCUGCAUUUAAUCCAUUAUGACGUUUGUGGUUCAAUGAAUGUGAGAGGAAUGCAUGGGACUGUUUACUUCAUCACUUUUAAUAGAUGAUUAUACUCGAUUCGGAUGUGUCUAUUUGAUUUCUCAUGAAUCUGAAGCAUAAGUUGUUUCAAAAGGUUUAUGAACUUGGUUGAAAAUCAAUUAGACAAGAAAAUAAAAGCAUCGAGAUCUGAUCGAGGUCGAGAAUAUUUAUCUGAAAAGUUCAGAAAAUUAUGUGAUGAAAAAGGAAUAGAAAGACAGUUGUCUAUUCCAUAUACUCCUCAACAAAAUGGUGUUGCGGAGAGAAGAAACAGAACCCUACUGGAAAUAGUUAGGUCCAUGAUGGCGCAUGCUAACUUAGAUAUCACUUUUUUGGAGUGAUGCGUUGUUAACUGCUGUCUAUAUACUUAACCGAGUGCCUUCCAAAUCAGUUAGUUCCACUCCAUAUGAGUUAUGGACAGGUAGAAAACCAGACUUAAGUUUUCUUAAGCCAUGGGGUUAUGCUGCCUAUACUCAUGAGUCCUCUCACAAGUUUGGGAAAUUGAGUCCCAGAUAAAAGAAGAGUAUUUUCAUGAGAUACUCCGAACACUCGAAAGGGUAUAUGUUCAUAGGUGAGCAGGAAAGUGGGAGUAUGACUAAAUUUGAAUCACAGGAUGUCACAUCCUUAGUGGAUGAAUUUCCUAAGAAGGGCGAAAUAGGGGAAGAUUAGUCCCUAUUUGAAACCUUGGAUCAAGAUAAUGAUAUUAAUGGAGUUCGUCCAAGUGGGAGUAAUAUGAGAAGUGAUGAAUUGAAUUCAACUCAUUCUCAAUUACAACCACAUGAUGAGAUGAUAUCGUCAUUAUUUAAUCCGAGUGGGAGCAUAAUGGGGAAUGAUGUGCUAAAGUGUACAAUCUCCCAUAUAGCGAACAAGUCGCCAAAGGAUUCCCCGUCAACGUUUUGACAUUGAAGGGGAAACUUCUAAUGAUUGCUCCACAAAAUGAGGAUGAGCCAAGAAAUAUUAAUGAGGCUCUGAAUUGCCCUAGUAAGAAAAAAUGGAUUUAUGCAAUGAAAGAGGAGAUGGAGUCAAUGAAGUCAAACCAAGUCUGGGAACUGGUUGAUCUUCCAAAAAGGGGACGCAAAGCUAUUGGGAACAAGUGGGUUCUCAAAAUAAAGCAAAAGGCUGAUGGCUCGAUAGAAAGCAUAAGGCUCGCCUUGUGGCGAAGGGGUAUAAUCAACAGAAAGGAAUUGAUUAUGAAGAUACAUUUUCUCCUGUAGAGGGAUUUACCUCGAUUCGCAUUAUUCUGGCAAUAGUGGCUAGUAUGGAUCUUGAGUUACAUCAAAUGGAUGUAAAGACUGCUUUCCUCAAUGGAGAAUUAGAGGAAUAAAUAAAUAUGGAACAACCUGUUGGUUUCAUAGUGAAAGACCAAGAAGAAAAGGUAUGUCGACUUUGGGGGUCGAUAUAUGGCCUUAAGCAGUCGUCAAGACAAUGAUAUAUACGUUUUCAUAAUGCCAUAAUAGCAUAUGAUCUUACAAUGAUAGAUGAGGAUCAUUGUAUAUAUAUCAAAAGAUCCAAGGAUCAAUUUGUGAUCAUAUCAUUAUAUGUUGAUGAUAUAUUAAUUGCCGGAAGUAAUAUGGAGUUUGUUCAUACUGUCAAAAGUUGGUUGUCUUCCAAUUUUGAGAUGAAUGAUAUGGGAUUGUAAACACAUAAACACUCCUAUUGCAAAAGGUGAAGGAUUGAGCCAUAGACUGUGUCCAAGGACUCCACAAGAGAAGGAACAAAUGAAACAUGUUCCUUAUGCUAGUGCUGUUGGGAGCUUGAUGUAUGCUAUGAUGUGUACAAGACCUGACAUAUGUUAUGUAGUUGGAAUGGUGAGUAGAUACCAAUCCAAUCCAGGUCAAGCACGUUGGAAAGCCGUUAAAAAAAUACUAAGGUAUCUAAAGGGGACUGCUGAUUAUACGCUGAGUUAUUAUGGAAAGGAUCUGCGACUCUAAGGCUAUUCUGAUGAUGAUUGGGGAGGAGAUUUAAAUAAAAGGAAAUCUACCUCUAGGUUUGUUCUCUUACCGAAUAAUGGCACCAUGUGUUGGAGCAGUAAGAAACAAAAGUGUAUAGCCUUGUCCAUGAUGGGAAUUGAGUUCGUGGCAUUAUCAGCAGCAGUAUAAGAAGAUGUUUGGCUUAAGAGAUUUUUUGGAUCAUUUAGGUGUUAUUGGAAGUGCUGCAGAUUAAUUGUUGGUUAAUUAUGAUAGCCAAGCAGCAAAAGUGUACACCAAAGAUCCAAAAUAUCAUGACAAUACCAAACAUAUAGAUACCAAGUAUAAUUUUGUCAUGGAUAUGAUUGCACGAAAAGAUGUGAACUUAUAGUACAUACUACGCAUAGAAUGGUAGCAGAUCCUAUGAUAAAGCCAAUACCUAGAGAUGUGUUUUGUGGCUAUAUGAAAUCUCUAGGAUUGCGUAGAGGCUGAUGUACUGAAUAUUGUAAUUUCCCUAAGUGUUCACAAUUUGAUGAAUUUGUGUUUUCAUCAUUAAUGCCUAUGAAUCUUUGUUUGAUCUUUAUGCAUCUUAAUGCUCAGUGCAUUACUUUAAGUUAAGAGAAGUAUGUCGGACAGAUAUAAGAUUAGCCCACUCACACGGGUAAUCGCCUCUAUUUACUGUGUGAUAAAUAGAGAUGAGACUGUUUUUAAGCUUAUUAUCUAGGUGAUAAUCGAGAGCUCAAGCUUAAAACACGUAUGUCACCUUAACUAAGUGUUAAGAUGGGGACAUAAUACUUACUAUGUCCGAAAGUAAAAUACCCCACAUAUUUUACUUUAUCUGUUUAAGAUGCCAAAUGUGAGUUCUGAUGAAUUUUGUAAAUGAGUAGAUACGUGAACUCAAGUUAGACAUUGGGUAUGUCUGAACUAUCAUCUGUACGGUAUUGAAAGGUGUAGACAUACGCUCCAUGGGAAAGGAGUUGAUACCGUAAUACGUAUUUCAUACUACGUAUGCAUGAGACGACUAAUAAGAGUGGCAAAAGUUUGAUCUCAACUUUUUUUUUAUGUCGUGUGAGACUCUUGAGGAAAAGAGUUCCUCAAUUUUUUAGUCCCCUCAUGACUCUUACUUAUUCUCAAGAUUUCUAUUUAGUGUUUGCUAUCUUAGGAUGUUGCCAAUGGUCAUGAGUUUCAUUCGAUCUAAUGGGGCAUUUCUAGAAAAGCAAGCUGAACUGAAAUUGAGAGUUUGAAGGAAAGAGGAAGAUCGAUUUUGGAGAAUCACAUUGUAGUUUUGUAUUCACCGGUUAACCAAUUAUGACUGUCUUUGGGAUAAUCAUAAUUGUGAAUACAAUAUAUAUAUAUAUAUAUAUAUAUAUAUAUAUAUAUCAUUGUUUAAAAGAGAUCAAGAGAGAUAUAAAUGUGAUCAAUCGAUCUAGGGAACUGCAUACUAAAUCUACUCGGAGUGUGAUGCCCAUUAUGAGCUGCUAUAUAUUCCUAACAGAUGUAUGGCAACGAGCUCUCAAAGUAUGCUAGUCGCACGGAUUAUUCACUGGUAUGAAUGUUGAAGAGAGGUAAAGAGAAUUCUGUUCGGCCCACCAUGUGCGAGUGGGAGAUGAUGGUUUUAAUUAGUGAUGGGCCUAAGUUGGCCCGUCCGCCCAUGCUGGGCCCAAAAGGCCCGGCCCACGGGAAUAGGGCCCGUGGAAGGGGAAGGUAUAAAAGGGAGGAGAGAGAGAGAGAGAAGACAACGCUUGGCUGAACGUACGUACGUUCUCUCCCUCGCUCGCUCUCCAAAAGGACAACAAGAACAGUAAGGCAAACGGCACGUUCUUCUUCCCUUUAAGGCGCCAUCGGAUCAAACAGGACCAGAAUUUCUUCUCGAUCUUCAGCAUUGGUGUCUAAUCUGUGGCUAACAAGAUACGCUUGAAUCCGUGGUGUGCUUUAUGAUCGGUGAUACGUGUUUUCCCGGGCUUCAUCUUCCGGAUUGAUUUAGGGGUUUGAUUGAGUGUCGAAUCCGGUUUUCGGGGAUCAGUCAUUCCCAACAGUUGACAACCUAAUUUGACCAAUAAACGCAGUACAUCUAUAUAGUAUCUGGAGAGCAGCUGUUGUUGCUAGCUAAGGAUUACAUCAAGUAUCUUUUUAGUGGAUGUUUGAGUGUUAGGUCAACCCGUGCGAUACCCCAGUGAGGAAGAUUUUACAACGAGCUAACAGAGAAGAAAGAGGUUGAUCAGUAUUGGUUAGUGUUGAAAAUUGAGAUCCAUUUUCUAAAACUAGCUAAUUUCUUCUAUUGUAAUCUAGAAGCUCCUAAGUAAAGGUUUUGGUAGUGGAAGUUGUGGUCUAACAAUGUCCAAGUUAAGAGAUGUUUGGAUGAAUGGCCGUGGACAGUUGUAAAGCAAAAAUAUCUCUGACAAAAGCAGGAAUCUUUCCUUGAAGAAUACGGUGGGUGGCUUUAUGAGUAAAGCAAGAACUAGUUUGUGUAAGGUGGUGGAAGCAUCAGAUAAACUCCAGCCACGUGAACAUCCCGUCCUACAAUUAUGUAACGCCACAUUUCUAUCAAAUAAAUAAACGAUAUUCUUGUCUCAUAAAUCUUUUUCUAUAUUCCUCAGAGUAUUCAUCCUUGUCCAUUCCCCUACAUCAACUAUACCAUAAACAUAUACAUUUACACAUACAAACAAAAAAAUAUCAUUGAUAUCAAAGUCAUUCUUCGGCACAAUCUCACAAUUUCCAACAGUUAGAGAAGGCGAUAAUUAAUAUCCCGACCUAGUGGGACGGUCCUGAGAAGUAGAGGCGCAGGGAGAGAAUAUAGACAAGAUUUGUCUUCCAGCUAUGAUAAUGACCUCUGAACAAUUCAUCUUCGUCUUCCCCAGUCAUUUUAGAUGGAACAGCGAUAUCAUUCCACGGUUCUAGUUUUGCAGUGAUCCGAAGCUUGAUCUUGGUAGACGAUGAGAAAGCUGUCUUGUGUAGUUGUUACACCAUCCGUCAUGGAAUUUUCGUGCAAAAUUUAACAAGAACAAGGUCAGAUGAAUGAAGGAUUGAAGUCUAUGUCAUUCUGUUUUGUUGCAGUAUGAAUGACUGAGUUCAAGUUGAUUCAAAGCGUUAGAGCAAUUGGGACUUGAUAGGCUGCUUCAUCGGGUGAGGACUUCUUCGUUCCAACUUUUUCUGUCCCUUUUGAUUCGUUUUCAUUUCUGCUAUUGAUUUCGUCAUUUUGAGCUUAGGUUGCUACCUAAUAGGCAGAAUUUUUGUAACAUUUGAUAUGAUAUGCAAAUACACAUUACUUGUGUAUAUCUCGAAAAUUCCCACAUUUAGACACUGCUUUAGGCUGGCUUCCAAAAAAAUGCCCUUCUAUUAAUCUUCCGAGCGUUAAAAACUACAAAUACAAACUAAAAAAGUCAGAUUGUGAGAGCAACUUCCGUUUGCUCUUUCUUUUGUUUUGCAUUGCAUAUUGGUCCUUCCCCUAUUUUUGCAUGCUGACAGCUAAUCAUAAACACCAAGUUGCUUCAAAGGUUAUGGUUGAAACAAGCAUAUACUGAAAUGUAGAGGCAAAAGAAAUUAUGUAGGUUCUCGAAACUCUGGUGGUUGACCGCAGGGACAUCACCCGAUCCCGGUAUGUUGAGCUUUUUGAUGGCAAUGAUUUGGCUGCUGGCCAGUUCAAUCCUGUAAACGCUCCCGAACCAGCCCUUCCGAUGCAGUACUUUUCACUGCAGUCAUUGGUAGCCUUGGCGAUGUCAUUGAAUGUGAACUUCCCUUCCCUUCCCCAUAUGAUCGACUUGGAUUGCUCUUGCUUCACAAGACUCUUGAUCUCUUCAUCGAAUUCCUUGUUUCGCCACCAAAGUGCCAGAAUCACAGCAAUUGAAAUCACCAGAAAUAGUAAGCAGCAGAUGCCCAGGGUCACACCAAAAAAAACCUUUUCCCUAUGGUCGGUCGAUUUACGCUCAUCCCACAAGGAGAUAAUCCGGUCGUGUUUCCACACAAACCUAGAUUCGCGAUUAAAGCACUUCCCUGUGCUUGUUGGGAGAGGCGACCACUACGAACCACACUAAUUGGCUUGUUGCACGAUAAGUCUGUUGAGCUUCAACUCCUCAUGUUGGUGAGAGGAGCUGGGAUCGUAACCGACAAUUUGUUAUGCAAAAGAUUGAGAUUUUCCAAUUCAGUGAACUUUGCUAAAUUGGAAGGAAUUGAUCCUGCUAGAGAAUCAUGGCUCAGGUUCUCCUCUGUAGCGUGAACAAGUUCCCCAGCUCUGGCGAUAUGACAUCCAACAUAUUGUUGUUGCUCAAGUUCAAGCUCAGUAAAUUCUUGCAAUUCGCUAGCUCUUCCGCUAUGCUACCGCUCAAUGCCUUCUCCCCGACAAAUCAAGAUAUUCUAGCUUCAAUAAGUUUCCUAACUAGGUGGGAAUAUCUCCAGCCAAAUGGUUGUAGCUCAAGUUCAGCCUAAUCAACGCCCCCAGACUUACCAAAUCAUCAGGAAUUUUCCUGGUCCAUUCAUUGCCAUAUGGAGUCAGAUCGUGCAAUUGAGACAAUUUAUUAAUCUCCGGCAAGAUGCGGCUGGGGAUUUUGUUACCAUCUAUCUGCAAAUUCGUGACAUUCGUGCACUCUCCCCAUUCUGCAGAGAGAUUCCCGACAAAUCGGUUGUUGCUGAGGACCUGAGGCUUAUAAAGUCCGGAUUCAGAUAAACUCCAAACGCACUCAUGACAUCUGCGGUGAACCGAUUGCUGUCCAGACGGACUCUCGUUAGCCCCGGACAAUUCCUAAGCAGUUGGGCAGCGGCUAGGUGAAGUUAUUCCCAUCGACCACGAGAUAUCAAAGAGCAAAGCCGCUGCAUAUAUCUGGCGGCAGCUCUCUGGUGAAGCUGUUGUUCGAAAAGUUAACAUUGCCCAGAGAAUGGCUGUACUUGCCAAAAUCACGGGGUAUGCCUCCCGAGAAAGUGUUCAUGAACAAAGAGAUGGACUGUAAGUGAUGCUACAUCAUGGCUUUUUCCUUCCCAGCCCUGAUCUCCUCUUCUUCAACUUGAAGUGCCUCCUUGGUGGUAUACUUGCUGGUCAUCUUGCAAACCGACCUUCAUCACUGACAGCCUCUCAAACUUGACCUCGUAAUCAAUCGACUCGAGUUUGUCCUCUAAUGUGUCACCUUCGAUUAUCGUCUACCUACACACGAAGUUCUCCUUGUCGAGCUCAUUGAUCCGGUGCUUCACAUUCUUGAAAUGACUAGCUGCAUUUGUGACCAAACAAGACUUACAUUAUGAAACUCCCGGCUUGACGAGUGUCUGUUGAGUGUUCGUACCUUCGGCGAUAUUAACUUGCUCGAUGCUCCCGGCUCCUCCGUUGCCUUGCACGAGCUCCACGCUCUUUAUGAACUGAGGCAGGAGCUUUGGGAUCAGGGAAUUCAACCCGACGAUCAAGGCCUUGAACAUGUGAGCUGGAGCAAUCGGGCACGUGAGCUCUUGUGUGAUGCUGGUUGCACCCAUGGCUAUUGGCAAUGAGAAAGAAAUAACCCCAGAGAAGUUCGUGCUUCUGAGUCCUGUCAAUGCCUCCUAUUUAUGGUUAGAAUUAUGCGAAUAGGUAGGCUUGGUUUGGCAAGAGUCACGUUUGAGGAAAAUAGAAGAGUCGAGGAUUCGCGGCCUAAAGAAAUAUAUAAUAAGAAUGUACUUUUCCUUAAUGAUUUUACUUAUUGCGGUUCAUGAAAAAUUGUGCCACCUUGAUAUGUUUCGAUGAUCGAUCCGGAUCGAGCGGGAUCGAUAGUCCAUAUUCGAAAUAUUAGGCCACAGUUUACCAUGAAUUCAUUUCACUCAUGUAUCCUCUCCAUGUAGCGCAGUUUACCAAAUGCCAUAAAAACCACUACACCAGAUUCCUGUCACAUCUUUCAUUCUCUUAUUCUCAGCAAAGACUGGAACAACAACAAUCACCAGCCCAACAUGCUUUAACUUCGAACACCAAGUGACUCAAACGCUUCUUGUCUUCUAUUUAGUUUUGCCCAACCGGACAAUAAAAGAUAGCGACGAGAUCGGCGCAACAGGCAUCAGCGUUUGCCACGACAGAAGCCUCUAUGGCCUUGACCAUCGCGUCCACCUUCUCUUUCCCGGCCUUGAUCUCCUCCUCGGUGAUAUUCACCUCGCCAAUGGUGAAGUACUUGCUCAUGCACUUCAACACCGAGCCUCCCUCGGGCGACGCGGUGAUCUUCACCUCGUAGCUGAUCUUCUCAAAGGCGGUGCCCAGCGCAUCACCCUCGAUGAUUGAGUAACAGUAGGUGAAGUUCUCCUUGUUCAAGGCCUAGACCUUGUGCUUUGCCGUCUUGUACCGACUGCCGAUCAGAGUAACAAAAAGUAACAUUCACAUUUAGAACUUGCCGGUUUCAACAUUGUGAGCACCGAUCUUGAUGGUGUAGAAUCGGCCAUUCAGGAAUUAGCCCCCAGCCACAAUCCAAUACUAUUAACUUAGACAUGGCCUGAUUUUGCCUUAUCGAAAUCAGGUCACAUGAUCACAUGUGUAAAUUUAAACAGUUAGAAACGUCUUAAUUAAUCAAGUCAUAUAUCUAUAUUUUUCAAUCAAGUCAUAUAUCUAUCAUUAAGGAAUUAGCCCCCAGCCACAAUCCAAUACUAUUGACUUAGACAUGGCCUGAUUUUGCCUGAUCGAAAUUGGGGCACAUGAUCACUUGUGUAAAUUUAAACAGUUAGAAACGUCUUAGUUACUAUCUAUCUUUUUUAAUGUCCAUUAUAGUGUUCCAUAAGGUUGAACCCGCCUUGAUUUGGAGCAAUCCUAAGUUCCUAAUAUGGAUGGACUAACCUUCGCAGAAAGUCAUCAACUUGAUGGUCCCGGGACCUCCAUCGCCCUUGAAGACUUCAAUGCUCUUGAUGUCUUGUGGGAGGACCUUGUUGAUGAGGUUAUCGGCGUCAAGGAGAGUGGCCUCAAACAUCUCGGCCGGAGGGAUUGGGGACGUAAGUGAUGACACCCAUGACUGGAUCCGAACAAAGGUGCAGAAACUGAGAAGAGGGUGAUGAUUAGGAAAGACUUAGUAGUGAUGAAUUUGGUCUCUAGGACUUGGGAGUGAAGGAAGGAGGCCGAAUUGAAGAAGACAUAUGUAGAGAGACUGAGUGUGAAGGGUUAUGAUUUCUGAAUAUUUUCUUCUUUCUCAGGUGGGUUUUGCAGAAAAUAAAUAAUUUAAAAAAUAUUUUCCUAAAAUUAAUCGUCAAAUUUGGAUAGUGUUUCCAAGCAAGAGUUAUUUGGUGAGUGUGCUGCAUAUUGUAAAUUGAUCUAAAUCCAUAUAGAACUCACAAGAAUUACAAGCCUAUAUCUCCUUAAUAUAAAUACGAUGAAAAAAUGCUACCUCAUUUCCGAAUUUUCGUCAAAAUUGUGCUAUAUAUACUAUGUUAAUCUAAAUUGCUAAAUUCAAUGGGCUCACGUGGGAUCCAUACAAAACUCACCAGAGUUAAAAGUUUUGAUUCCGCUUAAUAUGAAUACAGUGCACUUUCGUCAAAAUUGUGUUGUCUAUACUAAAUUGAUUUAAAUCACUAAAUCUGAUGGGUUCAUGUGAGACCCAUAUGGAACUUACUAGAAUUAAAAAUCCAAAUUCAGCUUAAUAUAAAUACAACCUAGCUCAUUUAUGAGUCUUCAUUAAAAGUGUGUUGUAUGUCCUACAUUGAUCUAAAUCGCUAAAUAUGAUGGGUUUGCGUGGGAUCCAUAUAGAACUUACUAGAAUUAAAAGUCCAAAUUCCCCUUGAUAUAAAUACGACACUACCUCAUCUCCAAGUCUUCGUCAAAAUUCUGCUAUAUGUACUAAGUCAAUCUAAAUCGCUAAAUUUGAUGGGUUCACGUGGGAUCCAUACGAAACUCACUGACAUUGAUUCCACUUAAAAUAAAUAUGAUGCUCUUUCAUUGAAAUUGCGUUGUAUGUACUAAAUUGAUUUAAAUCACUAAAUAAGAUGGGUUCAUGUGGGACUUAUAUGGAACUCACUGGAAUUAAAAGUCCAAAUUCCACUUAAUAUAAAUUUGACCCUAGCUUAUUUUCGAGUCUUCGUCAAAAGUGUAUUGUGGGUUCAAGUGAGAUCUAUAUGAAACUCAUUGGAAUUAAAACUCCAAAUUUCUCUUACUAUAAAUAUGAUGCUAUCUCAUUUCCGAGUUUUCAUCAAAAUUAUGUUGUAUAAGCUAAUAUACGGGUUUGUUUUAUUAUUAUGACUUUUGAGAUUCCCUUUCAUGGAUCAGUUUGAUAAAGAAUCGAAAUUUCCUUUUGACCCAAAAAAAAAAAAAGUUAAUCUAAAUCACUAAAUUUUAUGAGUUUACAUGAGACCCAUAUAAAACUCACUAAAAUUAAAAGUCUAGAAUCCACUAGAUAUAAAUACGAUGCUAGCUCAUUUCCAAAUCUCCAUCAAAUGCCUUUUUAUCAUCAUUUUGAAGCUUCUGAUCGCACCCCACUCUGUCACACGUGAAUUGGGAAUGAUUUUCGACGCCAAAGUCUUCGUUAAAUCUCAUAAAGAUUGAGCCAACGUGGAACAACAACUCAAUUGUAAGCAUCGGGGUUUUGCAAGAGAUGGGCUCCAAUGGCUUUCAACAUUCCCAUGGCCUUCUAUUUGCUAGCCUUGUUCUCGAACCUGUCCUUGGCGAAGUACUUGCUCGUGCUCUUGCACGUGCACCCUCUCUGUCUGGACUUGAUCUCGUUCGAGAUCUUCUCUAGCACGUCGCCCUCCACAAUGAUGUAAGCGUGCGGGAGCUUUCCUUGUCCAGCUUGUCGACUGGUGCUUCACCGAGUUGAACCGUGUAGCCGCGACACAGAAAACUGUAGUCAGCUCCCACGUUAGUCUUAUCUAAGAAUGUCAGGCAAAUAUGUUGACAUCACAUGUUGAUGUGUGAUCAAAAUGAGUGAAAUUAGAAGACGCGCAGGUACUCGCCUUCGCCGAAAACGAUGCGAUGGUGACGGGACCGCCGUCACCUUCAAGGGUGACAAAAUCCAGAUUGGCUUGUAGGAGGAGCUUGGGGAUGAGAUUUUUAUCAAGAUCAAAUGCCUUGAACAUUCGUGCAGGUGGGAUGGAAUGCGUCUUAGCCUAAGAUUUCCAAGUCCCAGGGCAAGAGAUGUGAGAUUAUGUUGAAAUGCCCUUUAAAUGAUUCUCAAUCUCCUCGUUUAGUAAUCUAAAUCAGCAUCACAAUGUUCUUAAAUAAUACAAUAAAAAAAGAGGACAAAAGGCAUGGAUCUCAAGCCCAAAUUAUACUUAUUAGCAUGCGAGAGACCUUUGAAUGCUGACACCCUUGAGGGUGGGAAUUCACUAAAUUAUAAUUUAAAUAUUCUAACGGCGCCAACGGCUCGGACAGGAAAGCUUGAGUACGUGCGGAUAAUUCUUGCGCAACGAAAUGCAUGGUAAGUCACGAAUCGAGACUCAUCCGCAUACACGCUAUUGCGACCAUGACCAUGAAUACCACUUCCUUGACCAGUUGGCCAGUCGGAGGAGGAAGAUGUGGGUUGAGCAUAUCCUAUAGUGGCACAUUUGAGUCUUUGAAUAAUGUCGACAUUUGUGUCAUUUGUAGGGAAGAGAGAAGAUUCCGGGAUGCUUCCUCAUCAUUCUCUAGCAUCGGUACUUUUACUGUUGACUCUGUUUCAUGAAAGAAGAAUGAAUCAAUGUUUUGAUCACAACCUCAAGUUGCCUACAAAUUCCAAAUUUUUGAGAUUCUGUUAAUACAUACCACUUUUCAAAAUCUGUACUUGCUCUUCCUAAAAGUCUUGUUAGAAGUAUUGGAUGAAUCCAAAUUCAAUAUGUCAAUUGAAGGUAUUUGAUCAACCCGAGACCAUAGGUACAGGGGGAAUGUACUGAUUAGAUUUGAUCAUGUAGCUUACCAGGAACCAUGUAGCCAUAAGAUCCAGCCACUGGGAUCCAAUUCGACGAAUCCGAAUUCAAGAGCCUCACUGUCCCAAAAACCAAAAGCCAAGGCUCGAAGUCCGACUCGAGCAAGAUGUUGUUCAACAUCAUGUUCCGAUGGACAAUAGGCAGUGAGCAAUUGUGAUGCAAGUAGGCGAUCACGGGAGCCACGCAUUGAACAAUCUUCACUCUCUUAACACAAGUCCAAUUCAACUGCUCCGCUUCCUCCAUGCAAGACCUUUGCCAAAGUUCACAAAAGAUUGGAUGAUGUCCCUGCGGUUAACCACCACUUUUUUUUACCAUGACGAUGUGGCCGCUGGCCUAUUCGGCCUUGUAAACGCUUCUGAAUCCACGUUUUCCGAUGCAGUACUCUCCAUUGAAGCCGUUGGUGGCCUUGGCAAUAUCGUUGAAUGCAAACUUCAUUCCCCUUUCCCAUAUGAUUUCACGUACUUCAUAAGAUUUCUUAUCUCUUCAUCGAGAUGCUUGUUUCACCGCCAAAGCACCAAAAUCAGAGCAAUAAGAGUCACGAGAAGUAGUAAGCAGCAAACGCAACAAUCACAUUAAUCAGAACCUUUCUCCGAUGGUCAGUCGAUUUACUGCUCGACCCACAUGGAGACAUUCCGUCGCGUUUCCUCACAAGCCCGGAUUUGCAAUAAAAGUACUUCCUAGUUAUUGUUGGAAGAGGCGACCACCAAGAACUGCGCCUGUCAACUUGUUGUACAAGAAGCCCAUGAAGCUUAAACUGCUCAUGCUGGUGAGAGUAGCUGGGAUCGUACCCAACAAAUCGUUAUGCAAAACGUUGAGAUUUUUCAAUUUAGUGAGCUUUGCUAAAUUGGAAGGAAUUGAUCCUACUAGUGAAUUGUGGCUCAGGUCUAGUGGUUCUGUAGCGUGAACGAGUUCCCCAGCUCUGGCGACAUGACACCCAACAGAUUGUUGUUGCUCAAGUUCAGGCUCAGUAAAUUCUCGCAAUUUGCUAAUGCUUUUGGUACGAUCCAUAGAGAAGGGAUGUACUUGCCGUAUUGUGGUUUAUGAAAGAUUGUGCCACAUUGAUAACUUUAGAUGUUAAUCCAAAUUCGAAAUAUCAGGCCAAAUUUUGGUAUUUUAUUGGCCAUUUGGCAUUUCAUUUGUAACUCAUGAAUUCUCUCCUCGUAAAAAAAUUACUAAAUUAGAGAAUUUCAUUCUACAAGCCUUGUAUAAACAUGUAGCAUAGUUUAUCAAAUUCCACAAAACCACUGCACCAGAUUCCUAUCACACCUUUUAUUCUCUUAUUCUCAGCAAAGACAAGAACAACAAUACUCACCAGCCCAACAUGCUUAGCUCCAAACAGAGUGACUCAAACUCUUCUUGUCUCCUUUUCAGUAUAGCACAACCACACAUAUUUAACGCAUUACGUAAACAAUACAAGAUAGCGAAAAGAUAGGCUCAGUAGGCAUCAGGGUUUGCCAAGAGAUAAGCCUCGAUGCCCUCGUACAUCGCGGACACCUUCUCUUUCCAGGUGUUGAUCUCCUCCGCGGUGAAGUAACUGUCCGUGCACUUCAACAUCGAGCCUCCCAAAGGCAACGCGUUGAUCUUCACCUCAUGGGUGAUCUUCUCGAAGGUGGUGCCCAGCAUUUCGCUCUCGAUGAUUGAGUAGCGGUAGGUGAAGUUCUCCUUGUCCAGGGCCUCGACCUUGUGCUUCGCUGUCUUGAACGGAUUGCCUAUCAAUGUAACAAAAAGUCACACUCACAUUUAGAACUCGCAGGUUUCAAUAUCACGAGCACCAAUCUUCAUGGUGUCCAUCAGGCCAUUUAGGAAUUAACCCAAUUGUUCCGACCGCAAUCCAAUACAAUUGACUUAGACAUAGCCUGACUUUGCCUGAUCAAAAUUGAGUCACAUAAUCACUUGUGUAAAGUUAAACGGUUAGAAACAUCUUAAGUAAUCGAGUCAUAUUUCUAUCUUUUUCCAUAUUCAUUUUAGUGUUCCAUAAGGUUGAACCUACCUUGAUUCAAAGCAAUCCUAAGUUCCUAAUACGGAUGGACUAACCUUCGGCAAAAGUCAUCAACUUGAUGGUCCCGGGACCUCCAUCGCCCUCGAGGACUUCAACGCUCUUGACGGCUUGUGGGAGGACCUUGGGGAGGAGGUUAUCGGCAUCGAGGAUAGCGGCCUUGAACAUCCUGGCCUGGGGAAUGGGGGAUGGGAUAUCGAAGUGAAAAGUGAUGACACCCAUGACCGGAUCUUACUAGAGUUGCUGAAACUGAGAAGGGGGUGAUGAUCUGGAAAGACUUGAGUAGUAGUGACGAAGUUGGUCUCUGGGACUUGGGAGUGAAGAGAAGAGGCUGAAUUGAAGUUGACAUAUAUAGAGAGAGGGAGAUUGAGUGUGAAGGGUUCUGAUCACUGCAUAUUUUUUUCUUACUAAGAUGCAUUAUAUUUUGCGGAAAAUAAAUAAUUUAGAAAAUAUUUUCCUAAAAAUAAUCACUAAAUUUAGAUAGUGUUCUGAGCAUAAGUUAUUUGGUGAGUGUGCUGCAUGUUCUAAAAUGAUCUAAAUUGCUAAUUUAAUGGGCUCACUAGAAUUAAAAGUCUAGAUUCCCCUUAAUAUAAAUACGACACUACCUCAUUUUCAAGUCUUCAUCAAAAUUGUGUUGUAUAUAAAUAUGACCCUAGCUCAUCUCCGAGUCUUUAUCAAAUGUGUGUUGUAUGUCCUAAAUUGAUCUAAAUCUCUAAAUCUAACAGGUUCACGUGGGAUAAAUGUGGAACUCACUAAUUAAAAGUCUAGAUUCUCCUUGAUCUAAAUACAAUGCUAUGUCAUUUCGAAGUUUUCGUCAAAAUUGUGUUGUAUAUACUAAGUUAAUCUAAAUCGCUAAAUUUGAUGGGUUCAUGUGGGAUCCAUAGGAAACUCACUGAAUUAAAAGUUUAGGUCAACUUAAUACAAAUACAGUUUUCUUUCAUCAAAGUUAUGCCGUAUGUACUAAAUUAACCCAAAUUGCUAAAUCUGAUGGGUUCAUGUGGGACCUAUAUAAAACUCACUCGAAUUAAAAGUCAAGAUUCUCCUUGAUAUAAAUACGAUGCUAUGUCAUUUCAAAGUUUUCGUCAAAAUUGUGUUGUAUAUACUAAGUUAAUCUAAAUUGCUAAAUUUGAUGGGUUCAUGUGGGAUCCAUAGGAAACUCACUAAAUUAAAAGUUCAGGUCAACUUAAUAUAAAUACGGUUUUCUUUCAUCAAAAUUAUGCCGUAUGUACUAAAUUAACCCAAAUUGCUAAAUAUGAUGGGUUCAUGUGGGACCUAUAUGAAACUCACUCGAAUUAAAAGUCAAGAUUCUCCUUGAUAUAAAUACGAUACUAUGUCAUUUCUAAGUUUUCGUCAAAAUUGUGUUGUAUAUAAAUAUGACCCAAGCUCAUUUCCGAGUCUUUAUCAAACGUGUGUUGUAUGUCCUAAAUUGGUCUAAAUCACUAAAUCUAAUAGGUUCACGUGGGAUCCAUGUGGAACUCACUCAAAUUAAAAGUCUAGAUUCUCCUUGAUAUAAAUACGAUGCUAUGUCAUUUCUAAGUUUUUGUCAAAAUUGUUUUGUAUAUAAAUAUGACCCUAGCUCAUCUCCUAGUCUUUAUCGAACGUGUGUUGUAUGUCCUAAAUUGAUCUAAAUCGCUAAAUCUAACAGGUUCACGUGGGAUCCAUGUGGAACUCACUUGAAUUAAAAGUCUAGAUUCUCCUUGAUAUAAAUACAAUGCUAUGUCAUUUCUAAGUUUUCGUCAAAAUUGUAUUUUGUAUAUAAUAAGUUAAUCUAAAUCGCUAAAUUUGAUGGGUUCAUGUGGGAUCCAUAGGAAACUUACUAAAGUUAAAAGUUCAAAUCAGCUUAAUAUAAAUAUAGUGCUCUUUCAUCAAAUUACGUCGUAUGUACUAAAUAACCCAAAUCGCUAAAUCUGAUGGGUUCAUGUGGGACCUAUAUAAAACUCGCUGGAAUUAAAAGUCUAGAUUCUACUAAAUAAAAAUUAGGCCCUAACUCAUUUCCGAGUCUUUGUCAAAAGUGUGUUGUAUGUCCUAAAUUGAUCUAAAUUGCCAAAUCUGAUGAGUUCACAUAGGAUCCAUAUUGAAUUCACUAGAAUUAAAAGUCCAAAUUCCACUUAAUAUAAAUAUGACGCUAGCUCAUUUCUGUUUCUUCAUCAAAAUUGUGGUAUAUGUACUAAGUUAAUCUAUAUCGCUAUAUUUGAUAGGUUCAUGUGGAACCCAUAUGAACCUCACUAAAAUAAAACGUCCAAAAUCGAUUAAAUAUAUACACUACUUUAACUCAUUUCUAAGUCUCCAUCAGGCGCCUUUUUCUCAUCUCUUUGAAGCUUCCGAUCUCGUGCCAUUCCGUCACAUGUGAAUCGCGAAUGAUUUUCCACGCCAAAGUCUUUGUUAAAUCUCAAGACUUAAAAAUACGAAUGUGAAGUAACAACUGCGUGUCAAAUGCAGAAAAUUCAUAUGUGAAAAAGUUGACCGUCCCUUCUUGAGUCAACUGUUCUCUUCCUCGAUAUGCUUUUCUGAUCUGGCCUCACAGAUAGAUGGGCAAAGCGGCGCAUUCAUAUCUAUAAUCUCGCGGCAGUUUCAACUCUGUUAAAAGAAUGCCGAGAUCUUUACAAGAUGUUUGACAAGUGUCUUUGAUGACAGCAUGCAGCAUAUCUACCGCUUCAAAACAUAGUUACGGUUCAGUCUCGAUUGUUAUUUUUCUUGAAAGAGACACGAAUGAAGACAUAAAUUAUCGUGGGAGAUAGAAAGAUCCAGCCAACAUGUAACGACAACUCAAUCGUAAGCAUCAGUGUUUUUGCAAGAGAUGGGCUUCUAUGGCUUUCAACAUUCCCAUGGCCUUCUCUUUGCUGGCCUUGUUCUCGACCCGGUCCACGGCGAAGUACUUGCUCAUGCUCUUGGCCAUACACCCUCUCUGUCUGGACCCGCCUCAAACUUGAUCUCGUUCGGGAUCUUCUCUAGCGCGUUGCCCUGGACGAUGGCGUACGCAUGCGCGAGCUUUCCUUGUCCAGCUUCUCGACUGGUGCUCCACCGAGUUGAACUGUCUAGCUGCGAGACACAGACAACUGCAGUCAGCUCCCACGUUAGCCUCAACAAAGAAUGUCGGCAAAUGUCCUCUUUGACAUCACAUGUUAAUGCGACGCAAUCAAAAUAAAUUAAAAUAGAAGACAGCGCAAGCACUGGCCUUCGCCAAGGAUGGCGCCGGGACCCCCAUCACCUUCAGGGAUGACAAAAUCCUUAAAGGCUUGUGGGAGGAGCUUGGGGAUGAGAUCAUCGUCAGGAAGAACGGCCUUCUUGCAGGUGGGAUGGAAUCGUCUUCACCUAAGAGUUCCAAGUCCCACGGCAAGAGAUCUGUGAUAUUAUGUUGAAAAUGCCCUCUAAAUGAUUCUCAAUCGCCUCGUUUAGUAAUCUAACUCAACAUCACAUUGGUCUAAAUCAUAUAAUAAAGAAAGAGGACAAACGGCAUGGAUCUCAAGCCCAAAUGAUACUUGUUAGCAUGCGAGAGAUCUUUGAAUGCUGACAACCUUGAGGGAGUCACUAAAUUAUUAUUAAAAUAUUAUAAUAGAACCCAAUGGCUUAGACAAGCAAGCUUGAGUGCAUGUGGAUAAUUCUUGCUUGAUGAAAUGCAUGGUAGGUCGCGAAUCGAGACUCGUCCCCAUGCACAUCCACUCCCUCGGCUAGUUGGCCGGUCGGAGGAGGAAGCCGUGGGUCGAGCACAUCCUUCAAUAGCACAUUUUAGUCUUUCAAUAAUGUCGACGUUUGUGUCAUUUGUAGGGAAGAAAGAACAUUCAAUGGAUGCUUCCCAUCAUUCUCUAGUGUCACUACUUUUACUGCUGACUGUGUUUCUUGAAAGAAGAACUAGCCAGGGUUUUGCUCACAACGUCAAGUUGUCCACAAAUUCCAAAUUUCUGUGAUACUUUAAAACAAACCACUUUUCAUAAUCUAUACUUACUCUUCCUAAAAGUAUUGUUAGAUUUAUUGAAUGAAUCCAAAUUCGAUUUGUCCAUUAACCGCGGAGUUACUACUAAUUUUAUUUUUCAAGAAGAAGAAUGAAUCAAAGUCAUGAUCAUAAUGUCAAGUUGUACCCAAAUUCCAAAUUUGAACGACACUCUUAACACAAACUACUUUUCAAAACCGGUACUUGCAAGAAUCCUAAAAGUCCCGUUAGAAUUAUUUAAAUGCAAAUUAUCGAUCUGAGACCAUUUGUACCUGCGAAAUGUUCGAUUAGAUUCCAUCAUCUAACUUACCAGCAACCAUGUAGCCAUAAGAUCCAGCCUCAAAUAAGGCCGGAAACUCGCAUGAACCGGAAAGCAGCAGCCCAGUCCGGCGAGCCCGAAACAGGGCAUGGGCAAAAAAAAGCGCGGUCGGCCGAGAGUCCCUACCCAGCUCGCGGCGUCGGACGGCGGACGAGCUCGAUAGAUCGGGCUAUGCCCGUCCGCCUCGCUCGUCUCCUAGCCGGGAUCCUCGGGAAGCCGACCCCGAAUCGGGAAAAACCAAGACCGCCCGAAGGGGUACCUACCAUGGCCUCGAAGUGGACAAGGAGCGGCGGCGGAUCAUCAGUUUUGGUUCGGAAGUGGAGCCCAACAGCAGCUCUCUCAGUCGCGUCCUCGGAUCCGAAUCCCUCUCGCCUCGUACUUGACCCCCUCCGAUUUCUCCCUCCUCCCCCCGACCUCUGGCCUUCGAUUUAUAGGCUGAGAAGGCCGGUCGGCGGAGGCGCUUCGGCCGCCGGUCCUUCGCGCGCCGACCGGCCCCCCUUGGCUGAACCAGCAUCACAUCACCCGUCGCCUCCAGCGCCGCCUGCUCUGCUUUGCGCCUGCUCUGCUCUGCUCUGCUUCUACUUCUGAUUCCGUCCUCGCUGGCGUGAGGAAGAAGCGGGAAGGAGGAAGGAGGAAGGAGGGGCCGGGCCGGGGUGAGAAGCACAAGCAGAGUGGGCCCUGGGCCCACUCGGGGAACAAAGGAGAAAAGAGGGGGGCUAAGGCGAAGGCCCAGCCGCCGUGGGCCCUUUUUUUAUAAAUAAUAUUAAAUAGGGCUAAAUAAGAGAAAAUAAAAUGCAAAUGAUAUUUAUGCUUAUAUGAUGUGAAAAUCGUUUUUAUUAGUGUCAAAUUGAUUCCAAAUUUUUUAUAUAAUUUUAAUUAUAGAUAUUUAGUCAAAAUUUAAGUAUCAAUAAAUAUAAAUCUCAAACUGCAAGAGUAAAAAUAAAAAAAGAAAAGAAUUAAAGAAGAGACAAGUGCGGUUGCACCUUUAUCCCAUCAUGUGACUGAAAUUGUUUAAGAAAGUAAAAAAAAUUGGGAUAAGUGCAUUAGAAAUCUUAAAAAUUAUCAUGAAAAUGCAAUUGAGUCAUAAAACUUUCAAAAAGUGCAAUUAAGUCCUAAAAAUUGGUACGAAAGUUCAAUCAAAUCCUAAAACUUUCAAAAGAUUCAAUAAAAUCUAAAAACUUGUUUCGAAAGUACAACCGAAUCCUAAAACUUUCAAAAAUGCAAUCAAUUGAAGGACUUAGAUUGAACCACUUUAAUAAGUUUUAGGACCUGAUUGUAUUUUUUGAAAUUUUUAGGACUUAAUUGCAUUUUAUAACAAGUUUUAUGACUUAAUUACCUUUUUUAAAAGUUUUAGAACUUAAUUACAUUUUCAUGACAAAUUUUAGGACUUCAAAUGUACUUAUCCCUAAAAAAUUCAAUGAACAUCACAUGCUCUAGCUUUAAUUGAAUUAUUGGGGGAGGGGGGUUAUUUUUUCCCUAUAAAAAGAACUCGCCACACGACGAUAAUUGGGGGUUUUAAUUUUUUUGGAGGACCUCGAAGGGAUUUUAUUUUCUCUCCCAGUUUCUAGGUGAAGAAAUUCAAGAAAAAGAGAGAAAAAUUCCCCUUCGUUGAAGGGAAAGUCAACCAAAGGGUUUUUCCCUUGUGGUUUUUUCCUUUUGCUGAAAGUACAAGGGCAGUAGAAUUGAGAAAAUAUUGGGUACCUUAAAAAUGCCAUGUAAUUUGUGCUCUGAACCAUUUAAAGUGUGACAUAUGUUUGUGUGUCAAUCCAUGUCGUCCCACUUCUCGAUUUCAAACCAACGCACGGGAGGUUCUCUCUCUGCUCUCUCAAGCAUAAGCCCUGGCCCACCUCUUUGCAUGCUCUAACGCUCUCUUUCCUUUGCUCUCCUUUGCAGAUCAUCUCUCUCCUCUUUCUCCUCUCUGUCUCUCUCCUCAUUCUCUGUUCCGUUGCGAGGAGAACAAAAUUGUGGAGGGUUAAAGGAAAACAUAAAAGUUGAGCCCCUCCGCCUCCACUAGUUGCUUCCAUCGCCUCCCUCUCACGACAUUUGCUCUGCUCUGCUCUGCUCUCUCUCCCCUCCAUGAAGUCGUGCCUCUCUUCCAGCGAAAUGUGACGCCGAUGGUCCUCCACCUCCACCUCCACCGGUUGCCUCCAUCGCCCUUGACUCCGACGCCGAUGCCCCUCCGCCUCCCUCUCACAACCUCUACUCCACUCUCUCCCUCUUUCCUCUACGGAGCGCCCUUAUUGGCCAACCCUGAUGCCGACGAACCCCUGCUCACGUUUUGGCCUCCCUCUCAGCGAGUGAAGGUCGCUUGCUCUUUCUGUCUUUCCUCUGUGAAGCACCCCCCAUUCCUGAACGUGGACGCCGCUGACACCGAUGCCGUCGCCUUCCUAAGCCCCACCGAUAGCCACCCCACUGGCGAUUCCCGUACGUCCAAAGGUUCUUUUUUCUUUUCUUUUCUUUUUGGAUUCUACUUGGUAGAAUUCGGUAACAUGUUUAAGUUUAUAGAUACAUUUGCAUUAGGUACUGCUUUAUCUUACUUGUUGCUGACUUGCUGUGUUAUUCAGAUAGUGAAGAUUGGAAGAAAGUGAAACGGUGGUAUCUUUUGAGAUUGUUUGCAUAUAGUCCUCCUAAGGGAUUAGAGGCUUCUGAGCCUAAAUUGGUCACUCCAUGCUUUUAUUUUCUCCCAAAAUCACAUGUCUGUUGGAGAAGUUGAUCCUUGCGUGCUUCUGAAUAGUCAUUUGCGUUGCAAUUCCAAAGGUGUAACUCAGUUGUGAAGGAUAAGAUCAAAAUAUCUCUCUAAGAUCUACCUUCUUGGUCCACUGAUCUAUUAGAAAUAGGUAGUUUACUUAGGCAAAUUCAUUGCAGCUUGGGCUGUUUAAACCAACAAGUACCUCUUAUUUUGUUCAUGUGCCAACGAGAGAUAUGGUGGGACAUCCUCACAAGCAUGGAGCCAGAAGCUUAUCUCUCUGUUUGCUUUGCGAGAGAGCCAUUGAAAAUUGCAGGUUUCUUGUGUUUAGCUGAAUUUGACAUACAGAGACUAACCAAAUUUGUGAAGAUGACUAAUUUCACGUUGUUGUUUUUUUAAGCAUAAACAAAGGUUUGAUUUGAUGUUUAUGGUUUUAUCCUAAUUCCACUUAUUUAGAAUCUCUUGGAUAUUGGACAGGGUUAGACUUUCUUGCUUUAUCUCGUCAUAGUAGAUGCCAUGCACUGGAUUAUAUUAUUUAGCAUGCGCCGUUUCUCUGUAAUUAGAGCUGCCUUUUGUUCAUGCUAAACUUUUGAACAACUGCUUUGCCUUACCUAUAUGAACUACAGAUCCUGAUAGACCUAAGAAUGACAAGGGAACCAUUCUUACGGACACAAUCCAGGUGCUGAAGGAUUUAAACACGGAAGUUAACAAAUUGAAAGCUGAAUGUGCAGCUCUUACUGAAGAAUCUCGUGAGGUGAUCACUUAGUUGGCAUUUGCUUAGCUCUUCUCACCGCAUCGGCUUGCUCGCGAAGGAAAAUGUUAUGAAAGGAAAAUGCAAAUCAUGCUCUUGGGCUGUCUCUAUUCUUUUAAGCUUUUAAAGCAUUUGUCUUCGUAGUUUGUCCUCUUCAAACAAGUUCUUAACAUCUACAUCUACAUAAACAGAGUAUCCUAGAAGCAUCCAUUUCAUGAUCAGCAUUCCAUGCUAAAUGCAAAUCAAGUGGUGCAAUUCUCAGCAACCCAACAUCAGGGGAACCAACUAUAACAAGUAAAUUCUCUAGGCUAUGCCACAAAUGAGCACGCGACUUCACCUGUGUCCACAAUUAUUGGUAUCAACGGAGCCGCCGCGCAGACCGACCUCGCAGUCACUGCCAUUUCCGGCGGCCUGAAGACAUUCAGAAGAAACGGCUCAAAGAUUCGAACUUUAGCAUUCGAAACUCACAUACCCACUUCACAUGCAAAAGCGGGGAAUCGCAACCGGGCAUCAGGACGACGCCCUGAUCCUCUAUCAGCCGGUGCACGCGCGUCUGCCGCGUCGUCAUCCUGACCGUCGGGGAAGAAUGAGAAGUGAGAUGGGGCAUGUUUGUUGCCGAGCGCAGCUUGAGGACAAAUCAGUGAGAAAAGUGUCGGAAGAACAUUGAAGUUGUUGACAAAGGUGGAGUGUGAAGAGUUGUUGUCUCGUGGGACAGAAUACCCAUGAGAGAGAGAGAGAGAGAGAGAGAGAGAGAGAGAGAGAGAGAAGAGAAUCAAGACCCGUGAAGCACAGACAAAAAGUAAUAGAGCUUGUACACAAAUCAAUAAUGUAAAUGAAAAUCAUGAGGGAUGGAUGAUAGCAAGGGGAAAAAGCCUAUGAUGUAAUGCUUAAUGCUUGAUCAUAUAGCACAUGGUGAUGCUAACACGUUGUCAAUUUGUUUUUUGGAUUGCAUAUAUGGCAUUCGGAACGCUCAAAGGCAAAGAAUGCAAAAUCAUUUAAUUCAAGUGCAUCAGGUUCCGUAUAAAAAGGCACCUGACGUUGUAUCUAAAGUUUUUUUAGGAGGAAGACAUAAUUCCAACAAGAAAAUAAUUAUCGCAUUUGCAUGAAGCGUGUCUAAUCAUUCAGCCAAUUAUCAUACCAUCAUGAUUGAGGAUUCACAAGAUUCUUUGCUGUAUUUAGAACUUCGCCGCAUUUGUAAUCUCGUGCAAUUAAUAAAGGAGAGCAUUCUUCUUCCAACAACCAUGACAUAAUUGAUUGGAACAUAUGCCUGAAACUUGAACAAUGAGGGCACAUUCAUUACUUUUUUAAGGGUUUAGCUCCAGCAGCCAUGACAUAAUUGAUUGGAGCUCAGAUUUUGCAUCCAAACUAUCUUGCGACUUUUGACCUGCCAUGAGGCAUAAGCCAGGUUGUACUCCUGCAUGAGUCACUCGCAUCGUGUAGUAGUGAUGCCCUGGUGGUUAUUAGAUAAAAAGAGUCUCCAGAGAUGCUGUCGUCAAGAGGUAACGAAUCAGUGUACCGAUGGAGAUGCGAGCUAGCAUACGCUUUUGGGUGUUCCCAUCAUCAUUGACCGGAGCAAAAAAAGGCGAAUUCCUACAUUCGCUAUUCUAUUGGCCAUGAUUCAACGCGAUGAUGAAUGGCUCUUUAAACCAAGAAGCGUCACCCUAAAUAAUAUGAUCAAUUUAUCUUCGUUAAUGGCUGCUCAGCAUACAUCUCUAAAUCCUUCACAGAAAAAGCAGGUGCAUUGCUCAUCUCUGAGAGAGACUGAAAAAUGUUUACACUUGAUUCAUUUGCGAUGCCAAAAAAAUUGGGAAAAGAGAAGGCCUUACAAGUAAAAAAGCAUUGCCCAUUCUGUAAUAGAACAAACCCUUCAUGAAUGCUGUCACCAGCGACCUCCUCGAUCAGCACGGCAUCCGAUAUCUCUCUCACAUCAUCCUCCGCAAGAUGGGGUUCACUUCACGUGAGACGAAAUCGGCUUCUCCUUUCUUCACCGCCUUGUCAGCAGCUUCCAUUAUUAUGUGUCCCAAGCUCGCUCCGAGAGAGAAAGAGAGAGAGAGAGAGAGAGAGGGAAAGGGUCAGGAAAGGGGGAGGAAGUUAUGAAGGUAUGGAGGAAGGCAGGAGGGGAGGGGAGAUGGGCAAAGAUGGUGGAGAGUGUGGCCUGCCCAGAUACGCGCAGAAAGAAAGAGAGAGAUGGUCAGCUGCAACCAAAACGGCAAAAAAAGACCACGAUCUAUUAACCCCUUGCGGAACAUAAACAAAUCAGCGAGUAGGAAAACGGGGUCGCAAUCCCCGGAGAAAGAUCUCAUUCAAGACAGACCGACGGGCAAGAAAAAGGGGUCGCGGUCCUCGAAGGGAGAUCUCCACCAGGUCAAAUCGCACCUCGUGCUUCUGUUCGGGUCGCCAUCGCGUCCCUUGAUGGCCAAGGUCUGUUGCUGCUGGUUCUGCUUACUCUGAGCGAGCUUCUCGCUUGGGUCGUUGCUAAUGAGGAAGGAAGACGAAGGAAGGAAUCCCCGGAGGGAGAUCUCCGCCAGGCCGAAUUGCACCCGGUGCUUCCGCUUAGGGUCACCAUCGCGUUCCUUGAUGGCCGGGGCCCGUUGCUGCUGAAUCUGAGCAAGCUUCUUGCUUGGGUCGUCGCCGAUGAGGGAGGAAGACGAAGGAAAGAACGUGAGGGGAGAGAGAGAGCCCUUGAAAAUUGAAAAGAGGAAAGAGGUUUUUGUUGAGCGGGAGUGCGAAGGAAAGAACGUGAGGAGAGAGAGCGCCCUUGAAAAUUGAAAAAAGGAGAGGUUUUUCUUGAGCAGGAGUGCGCUUUUACUGUUCUGUCUUUUCUCCGUGCGUUCCCCAGAGGAGAGAGAGGGGAAGAAGGCUAUGGGUCCCAUGUGGACACGUGUUGCGCUCCCACCAUCUUCUUGUUUGCCUAGAGCGUAAGACGAACGCAAUAUUAUUCUCUCACCUCUCACGUCUCCAAAAAGGAGAGGAAGCAGAGGCAGCCAGCCCCGAGCGUCGACGCCGUUGUUUCUGCUCCGCCCCCCAGCCGCGACGCUUCCGCCUGCCGGUCUCCGCUGCACCGGUUGCCACAGUCGCUCCUCCAGCAACCCGCAGGCCACCCUCACGCCGUUCACCGCGCCGGCUACCACCGCUCGUCUCCCCGCGAAGCCACCGUUCCCUUGCCGAUCGCUGUUGUUGACCCGCGAUACCCCUGCUCGACUCCAUACGUCGCUCUGCCGGCCAACGCUGCUCCGCGCCCCCGAAGUCGCGACGCCGCCUCUGCCGGCCCCGCCUCUGUCCAGAUCUUCCGUGCCGGAACGCGACCCCGAGUCAUCGCGCGUCCGCGCGUCGCCACUGCUGCAAUCCGACACCAGAAGCCGCCUCUCCCGCGCCUGAGCGACCUGCAGCACCCAACGUCCCCCUCUCCUCUGCUGCUCGUGCCGCGUAACCAACAGGGUUACCCCUCGCCCGCGAGCUCGCACCGCCGCCCCGCCGUGCCGAUCCGCGACGAUCUGACGCCUCCGCGUUGCUGCUUCUGGCCACGUCUCCGCCAGCCACUGCCGUGCACCAUCGCCGACCUGCAGCUUCUACCCGAGCCCUCUGCCGCCAGCCUCCGCCUUCGAUCGACGCAGUUGCAGCCCAACGCCAGAAGCAGCAGCUCCCUGCUCCGUCGUACCUCAGUCACUGUUCUGCCUCGCCGUUCCCGUUCCACCCCAGCCGCGACGCAGCCUCUGCCGGACCGACGCCUGCUGCCCUGCCUCCUGCACCAGCGCCGACGCCCGAGCUCUAUCGCCGGGACUGCCGUCGCACCUCCCCGCCGCCGGUCUCCUCGCACACCGUGCCAGCGCUAGCCCGCCGAGCCGGUCCGCCUGCACGCCGGCUGCCGCCCUUCGCCGGAGCUCCGACCGCCGGCAGCUCCACCGCCCUUGGCCGCGCACCACCACAGCUGCCGAGCCUUGUUUGGAAAAAAAAGAAAAAAUCAAAUUAGGUAGGUUUAUUUUAUUUUAUUAGGUUGAUUUAUUUUAUCUUAUUUUAUUUUUUGAAAUAUUUCUCCAUGCAUAAUUAAAAUUCCCGGCAUACCACCUAAUUCGUAUAAAGUUUUAGAUGGGAUAAUUGAUUGAUAUCUUGAUGUUUAAGGUUUAAGAUCAAUUUAUUAAUUUUAUUAGCAAAAUAAUCAGGUUUAAUUAGAUAUCGUUUUUAAAUUCGAAUGAUGGAUAAUAUCUUUGAUGCCAUGGAUGAUUCGUUGUUUAUUUUUUUUAAUUGCUUUGUUUAUUGCAAAAAAAUACAAAAAAAAAAAUUUGUAUUUUGCAUAUCAUGUGGAUUAGAAUUGUUUUCUUAGAUAGAAUUGCAUGGUAGAAUAGUUAGAUUCUUUUCUAGUUAUAUUAAAAUGCUUGUAGUAUCUAGGUUAGAUAAUAUUUUUUGGAUUAAAUUACAUGACGAGAUAAUUUUCUAAGUUAAGAUAGGAUUCAAAUUGGUCUAUUCUUAACUUAAAAUAGAUAAUAUCUCACUUUAGUUAGAUUUUAUAUUUUAGUACUUUUAAUUACGAAUUUUUAUUUAAAAAAAUGCCAAAAAAAAAUCAUACGCAUAUCAUAUAGAAUUAGGUUCAUGAAAUGCACAUCAUUUAGUGUUUGUUGCUAGGUUCAUUUAAUUAGAAAUUAACCAUCAUUAGAAUUAAAUCAUUUGGUUAAUUUAGAUUGCACAUUUAAUUAUUGCAUUUUUUUAAUUUCGAAUUCAUGAGAAAAAUCCAAAAAAAUUGUCUUUGAAUAAAUUAAUUUCAUUUUCUAGGAUAGAUUGCAUGCUCAUUAAGCAAACACAAAAUAUUUCACGUCAUAUAGUUUAGGUCAUGUUUCCAUGUUAUAUCAUUUAAUGUUAGAUUAGUGGCAUGUAUUGCAUAAAUAAUUCUCAUUAAAUAAGUAAGAACAAAAAAAAAUUAAUUGCGUGUUAAUUAGAAAUCAUAUGUAGAACUGUCGAUGUGAAUUCUAAUCUAACCUUGCAAAUGCUUUUGAUGCCAUGAGAUAAGUCCUGAAAUUUAUUCAUUGCUUUAUCUGGGUAUUAAAUUAAUGGUUUGCACACUCGCAUGAUCAUUGAGAUAAAUUAAAAUCAAUUCAAGCUACUUGCCAAAUAUUUUUUCAAAAUAAAAGAAAAAUGUACCGAAAUUGCAUUAAAGAAAUCUAACGUAAUCAAGUCUCCGAACUCAUAAUCUCUAGUUUACAGAAGUAAAGUAAAUCUCCUAUUACUUUACUUGGAAUUCUAAUUGACUCAUCGAAAAUAGAUUAGUGACAACUCCUAAUUAAAAUUUGCAUAUUAAGAACUUGAACUUAAGUAGCGAAUUAGUAUGGGCUAGGGAGAGCCCGAGCUAUGUUUAGGCUUAGUAAUCUAUUAGCCAAAUCCUAGGUAGUGCAUCUGAAAUUUUGGUCGCGACAAAUGUCGUCAAUCAACUAUGAGAUGCCGAUGUCAAUGGAGAAGUUACUGAUAUUAAUGGUUGUCAAUGCCGAUAUUCCAGAAUUGAUACCGAUGAUUUUGUUUGGUGAAUUGAUACCGUUGACUGUUCGAUGCUCGAGUUAAUUAGAUUCUUUAUUGUAGCAUUGUUUUUGAGAAGUCUGUUCGUAUUUUUAUUUCAUGACUGUUCAUGUUUCUAAGUGUAAUCAAUGUUUUGUAAGUUCUUAGGAUUUUAUCACCUCAGAACAUUAGCUAUAUUUAUUAGUCAUUAGUUUAAGAGUUAUGUGUGAAGCAUAUAAAAGUGGAGGCCUGUAAUUGUUUUCAAUAAGGUGAAGAAAAGGUGAAAUAAACAAGAAGGAUAUAUGUCUCCUUCUCUUCUCUGUGUUGUGUUAGUGGGUGUUUCAGCUUUAAAUUAUCCCAUCAAGAUGUAGUCUGUAUUUGUCUUUUACAAAAACUCGAAAUUUUCUAGUUUUGAUGCCAUAUGAAAUUAUGAAGGAGCACUAUUAGCUAUUAUAGAAGUUUAGAUAAUUAGAUGGAUGCAUUAUUCAAGACUUAAUUGAUAUAACGUCUCUUUCACGACCUAUGUUCCUUUUCAACAGCUAGAUUACUUGCACAGCUUGGGAUCAAUGGAAGGAGAGCUAUCUAUAGAAGUGGAGGAUGGUGGAAUGAACAACUUGAUCGAAAUCUGGAGAGGUCGACGGGAGAUAAUGAAGAAUGCAUUGGCGGCUUCCGCGGGGGGACAAGAUCCGGCAAAAGCUUACGAAUAUGCUCGAAAACUGGCGCGUGUCAUCGAAGGCGGCAAGGUUGACGAGUUCCUUUCCAAGAUCAAUGUAAAUGAUCCAUUGUUGCGGGACAUCGAUUGGUCUGCCGUUUUAAAUUCCCGAUCUGAAGGCAACGAAUCACUGCUCCACAUGGCAGCAGCAAUCGAGAACGACGACAUCCUAAGGCUUCUGGUUGAUUAUGUUGGUGACCACCUCAUAACCGCCCAAGAUGAUCGGGGAAAUACCCCACUCCACUGGGUCGCUCGGUAUGGGGGAUCUACUGGAGCUGCAGAGAUGUUGAUUCACCGGGCAAGAGGCCUCCCCAACGUCGAGGACAAGAACCUCCUAUUGAGGAUGAAGAACAAAUGGGGAAACACCGCUUUGCACAUAGCCGUGCACGAAGGUCACGCCAACUUGGUGCGCUAUUUGUUGAGCGAAGAUUUGGAGCCCGUGUACUGGAAGAACGCGAAUGAGAAAUCUCCCCUGUACCUAGCCCUCGAGACUUACGACUCCGCUGUACAUGAGGCUUUAUUUUCACACUCGUUGGAACCAUCAAGGAUAGAAGGCUUGCCGCCCAUUCAUGGUGCCAUUAUACGUUCACGACACGGUACGUACCUAAAUCUAUUUACGUGGAAAUAUAUUUAUCUAUUUCUGGACUGACUCAUCCCAAAUCUGUGCAAUAACUUUUUGCUCUUACAAAAACCCCUUACCGGUUUUUACUUAAAAUUCCCUACCCUGCUUGUUAAAGUGGUUGGAUACCCAUCGGUUUAGCCGCAUUAUAAACGAAUUAUUCACAUUAGAGCAUAAUAGAUCGGCUUAAAUAUUACAAAUACAACCAUUUCACUAGAAACUCAUGUGUUGUCGAUCUUUGAUUAGAAAAGCUAUAAAGUGCAAAUAUUUAAGAUUGAUGACCAUGAAAAUCUGGAAUCUAACAAUGACGCUGUGUGCCAUGAACCAAAAUGAACAAAUGAAAGUUUAGGGCAUGAAUUAUAAACUGGUAGCAAACCUGUAGGCUGCGCAGGCGUGAUUUUUUCAUUGGAAAAAAAGGAGGUGAAGAUUCCAUCACUCUCAGCAAAUUGAUGGAACAUCGUAAACCAUUAAUUUGUUUGUGACAAACAAUCAAUAGGUUUUUAAGAAAUUAAGAAAAGUGGAUCUAAAUAAAGAAAUAUAUUUUUUAUUUUUUAUUUUUAAAUUAAUACAGUUAUCAUAAUCUUUGCAGAAAAAGCUGAUACGGUAGUGUAGCCUAUAUUACCUUGACCAUUAAAAAUAUUGAGAUAAAAUUCAUCAGACACAUGAUAAUCAAUUAUGUGAAAUUUUUUGGCUGCUAAUGCCACGUAUCCCAAGUUUACUACUUGAAGUGCAGCUAACGUUCAUUGAUCAUCAGAUUGGUAGAUGGCAUUUAGGUGUUACAGUCAUAUCGAAUAGAGAGAAUUGUCCAAAAAGUUAUAAAUGUGUCAAUUGUGUCAAUUUAACCUCUAUUUUAGUCCUAAACUUUUUAAGGAUUUACCAACUUAGUCCCUUCUAAACAAUUUCUAUUGGAAAUCGCUAACAUGGCGGUCUAGUCAAAGCUAGCCAUCCUACGUGAUGUUGAUCGCUUAUGUGGCUUUUUUACAAAAUAUUUUUUAAUUUUUUGCAUUUUUUCCUUUUCUUUUUUUUUAAUCCUUUUUUCCCUCUACCAGCCUCAGGCGAGGGCUACCCUCUAACCCUUGCAUAGAGCAACCCUUGCCCUUGCUCGACCUCCAUUAGGUGUCAACUAUGGAUGGUUAGAGAAGAGAAAAAGGAAAAAAAAAAAGAAAUUAGAAAAAGAAAAGGAUAAAGGUGGGCCCGGCGGAUCCUAGGUCACCAAAAAAAUAAAAGACAAAGGAAAUGAAAGGAAAAAGGAAAAAAAUUGCAAAAAUUAUCCGCAUUAGCAUUGGCUAUGCCAUGUAGGAUAUUCAGUACUACUAGACCACUAUGCCUAUGAUUUUCAACAAAAUUGGCUAGAAUGACUAAAAUGACAUAUCGUUAAAAUGUUUAUGAUUGAAUUGGCAAGUUAUUAAAAUUGUUAUGACUAAAUUGACACAACUGAAAGAUUUAAGACUAAAUUAAUCAUUAUACAAUAUAUUCAAAACUUUUUGGACAAUUUUCCCUAUCAAGUAUAAUUACAACCCUAGAUGCAGUAACUUUAUUUUUAUCCUGUCCCAAUUUAUUAAUCCGAGCACAUGUUAUUAUUUACAUUGCACGACGUAACAUGUUUGAGGCUCUCUUUUUGAACUGAACAUGCAAAACAAUUUCAAAUAGACAUAAAGUGAAAAUGCGUAACAAUGUAUUGUGUGAUGCAAAUAUUAAAUUAGCAUACCCAAUAAACGUAUGUGUCUAAACUUACGUUGCACUCAUUGAAUAGAUUAUAGAAGUCGACCUGCACACAUAACGUUCAUAAUCCAUUUAUAAAUGGCUUAACUUAUUUGUGAUAACACAAUUAAACCUAAUGCUACCAUAUUUAACCACGUUCCAUGUAGUGAACAUGCAUGUAGAAGGGCUGUUUCAUAGUUUGUCAGCUCAUAAUUCUAAUAAGCACUUUAGAAACUUUACAAAAGAUCCCAUUGAAAUUGGAUUUACUAUAUAUUUCUUAUUCUUACUGUCCAAUAUAUAAAAAUCCUUUUAUGAAGUACUACUGAUUGAAAUCUCGUAAUAAUAGUUCAGUUUGUUCUUCAUUGAAUGUAAAAGUAGAUGACAUUGUGGAAUGAAUCGAGCGUUGACAUGGGCUUUUGUAGAUAGGUACUUUAAUUAGGUUAUCAUGAUAGGCACUUUUUUUAAGGUUCAUAUCAAUUAAAUAAGGUAAGGUUAUUUCUUUAAAUCUAGUAAUAUUCUUUCACUUGGGAAAAUUAUCCAAAAAGUCCUAAGUCUAUUGCACUUUUGCCAAUUCAAUCACAAAUCAUUCAAUUUUGUCAAUUCAAUACUAAACAUUUUCACUUUUUGCCGAUUGAGUGUAUCCGGCUAAUUUUGACUAGAAUUUAUUGACAGGGAUAAUUUUUAAUAAUAAUUUAAUUCCUUUUGAAAUUUUUUGUACUUUUUUUCUUUUAUCUUUCUUUCUUCCCCCCUUUCUUCUUCCUUUCAUCGGUGGCUAGCUACCAACCACCGGUGAUGGCUAGCUACCGGCCAUGGCUGGGUGAGUUGACCUUGCUCGCCGUAAGUGAUGCCUAGCCAGGCAAGGCCAGGCCCUAGCAAGGGUUGGCCUCACCUAGGUUAGGCAAGACAGCCUCCUAGGUUAGGCAAGACCAACCCUUGCCCAAACUAGGCGAGAUCGCCUAGGCGAGGGUGAGCCCCCUUGUUCGGCCACAUCUUACCCGAGGCAUGUGAGGCUAGCUGGCUCGGCCAUAGUCGGUGGCUGGCACAAAAGGAAGAAGAAAGGAAAAAAGAAAAUGAAAAAAUAUUUUUAAAAAUUGUUUACAUUAGUGCCGACCAUCUUACAAGAAACCGCUAGUGUCCACGUCAGCGAAUUCCUAUCAAAAUUGGUUGGAUUGACUCAAUUAAUAAGAAGUAAACAUGUUUACGACUGAAUUGGCAUAAGUGCAAUAGAUUUAGAAUUUUUUGGACAAUUUUCACUCUUUCACUAAUGUAUCUAGAAUGUAACCGGUUACCCAUAUUGAAAUUUGUGGCCUGAAUUGCUUCGUCAAUUUCAAGAAUGACGGCAUCUGUCAUGCGAAUAGAAUAAAGGUGAAAUUCUUAAUUCAUGUUAUAUAUUAAUGUAAAAUAUAGGGGGCUCGACGACAAUUAGAAAAUUCCUAAUUAUCGUUGUUAGAUGACUCAUGAAAUUUGUAUAUGUACUUAACAAUAUUAUUAGAGUAUAUUUUAUAGGAAGUAUUAUAGAAAUGUAAGAACUUUCAAUAAUUGCUCAUUUGCAGUUUUUGAAACUCAUUAGAACUAAUUUCAAUAAAACUAAUGCCUCUUUUGUUGAACAAAAGUCAUGGUAUAAGAGGCAAACAUAAAUCCUAAUUUGAAGCAAAAUAAAAGGAAAGUGGAAGAAAAACACUCUUUGUGAGGAAAAUAAUCAAUCCCUUACAAAUUAGAGCCCUAUAAAUCACUUUUAGAGACAAUUCUUAAAGAAAAAAUCAUUAUUUAUUUAUGUAGAUGUUACAACGGUCUAGAUUAAUUUGCAAAGUUCACUGAACUUUUAUUAGUAUUAUGGAUGUAAUUUUUCUGGUGGUAAAAUGAGACUCCUUUUGUUUUGUGUUGUGUCAUCACAGCUUAAAUAUGUGGUCGUUAUAGCUAGGAUAUAUAUGACUCCAUGCAAUGCACAUAUAAGAUAGAACAUAUAAUGUGAUUUUUUGAGUAAAAAUAUUUUCCCAGAAUCACUAAAAUUUCACAAAAUAUAUUUGGUCCAUUCACAAGAUAUAAUGGGAUUGAGUAGCACAAUCCCCAAGGAUGAGGUUAUCUCUAAAGCACUCUCGCCUGUCUUUGAAGUCCAAUGGCCACCCACAAUCCUCAAACACCGUUGGAAUAUUCUCAAACAAUUGAAACACCUCUCUCGCAUUAUUGAACCUCUUUACUAGCACCUCUGAAUUUUCAUAGUUGGGGCCAAAAUAAAUUUUCUUUUGGUGGAGCCUUUCCUUUCUGUAAUUUGUGAUUUAUAAGCUCUACUAUCUUAGAAAUAGAUUCUGGUCACAAAUUACUUAGAUUUUACUCACAAGUUUUGGUAAAUACAUAAUCUCUUAAUUGAGCUGAAUAAGUGCCAUAUACCUUUACGAAGAAGAUGACGUUCAAUCUAGAGAGGGUGGAACAACUUUAAGGGGGAUUUCGAUACGGUGCUGUGGAGGCUAUUGCAAUGUUCUCGACAAUUAAAUAAGUUUGCUUGAUACUUGCUAGAAUUCGACGGACAUAAUAUGAAAAGAUCAUUUUCCUUUUCUUGAUCUUGCCUUAGCCUGCAUUACGCCUGCCGACUGUAUAAAUAAUUCAUGGCGUGGAAAUGCCAUAUAAAUUGCUAUGUCAUUUAGUAAGAUUUUUACAGUGAAAUCUUAAGCACCUGUCGAUGUCAUUAACUAGUUUUGGUAUUGCAAUCUAAUCUGUUAUUGUCGACUAUCAAUACUAGUAGUGAUUAAGGCACGUCAAAGAUGUCCUUACUCCAAAAUGGUUUUAAAUAUAUUGAGACCAACCAAGCUCCAACCAUCCUAAUUUGGAGCUCCUGAUCCCAGAUUUAUUCGACCUGAUGCUCAAGAAAAACAUGGAGCUAUUUGCAAUGACCGACUCCAACGGGGGCAAUGUAUUCCACUUAGCAGCUCACCUGAAUCACGCCUGGGUAUUCGAAUUCUUACGACCAGAAACUGAAUAUUUGACCCGAGAACCGGACAUGAAUGGAGAUCUCCCCAUUCAUAUUGCAAGCAAGAUGGGUUAUGUUGAACAUAUUGAGAAGCUAAGGGAAGUAUCACUUUUGCCAAAUGGGCAAGGGAAAAACAUUCUUCAUAUUGCCGCAAAAUAUGGUAGAGUCUCCGUAGUGAGAUAUAUACUCAGCCAUCCAAUUCUAGGGAAGAAUCCAAUUCUAGGGAAGAUGUUAAAUGCAGCAGAUGAUGAUGGAAAUACAGCUUUGCACUUGGCUGCGAUGCAUUCACAGCCCGCUGCUUUGAUUGAUCUUUUGCGGACUGACGGAAUUCUACCAAGCAUUUUCAACAAUGAAUGCUUGCUUGCUGUUGACAUUGCUCGACGACGACACCAGGCAGAGGGGUAUAACAUUCGGCAUGUAGGUAACAUGAACAGUCACUAUUUUAUUUAUUAACUUACUGGAGAUUACGUAGACUAAUGCAUUAGUUAAGGCUGAUCUUGUAUUCAAAUCAUUAUGUCUCCUAGCCAACUAGAUAGUAGAAGUAUUGAUCAAAUUUCUAGAAUAGCCGAGACUCCUCUCGGAUAAAUGUUCUACAAGUCCCUAAUUUAGUCUUGAUAGGAGGUAAUUAAAAUUUGUGAUCAUGAAUUUCUCUGCAGUUAGAAACAAGUAACGUGUCUUUCAUAACACGGAGAUAACAAUUUAUAUAUAUCGUUUAAUUGAGCCUCUGAAUACAGUCAUGAAUAAAAAGGCAGGGUUUGCCAAGGUUGCAUUCUGUUUUUCAUAAAAGGCCAGGGGUCAAUGUGACAAAUUUGACCGCUCCAUAUGUAGCACAAUCUCAUAACAUUAUCAUUUUGUCGACCUAUGAAAUGAUCGCCCACAUAAAUUCCAUUCAUGCCUCUUUUUUCAUCUAAAAUGAACUUGGUAGUUUUGUGCUAAUUCUUCAAAAAGAGCAGAAACUGCAUCUUUAGAAGCAAACGUUUCCAGAGUUCAUUCCCGUUAUCAAUAUGGAAUAAUUUUGUUCUUAUUUUCCUUUUUACAUGCUUCCGAUCUCAGCAAUUGGCAUACCUGGCGUUGGCUUGCUCGCUCGCGGGAAAAGGUCCACUUGGAAACCAAGAGUUACUCCUACUUAGAGCGAAAGCUCGAGAUGAAGAGUUAUCAGUAGUCCGCUCGCGCAAAAGCAUGCCGAGCAGGGACAUCGUCAAGGAUUACAUCAAUUCCCGCAUGGUGGUGGCAACGCUUGUGGCCACAGUGAGUUUUGCAGCUGGUUUUGCAGUUCCUGGAGGAUUUAACGGCUCGGACACAGCCUCCAAAGAUGAGCGGGGCAUGGCUACGAUGCUGGACAAUCGAAUGUUCCAGGCUUUCGCGAUUUGCAACACCAUCGCGAUGUUCUGCUCAAUGACUGUGGUCGUCAACCUCAUCUGGGCGCAGACAGUUGAUGUCGACGUUUUAGUCGCUGCAUUCGAGCGCACAACGCUACCACUACAAAUUGCACUCCCGGCGAUGUCCACCGCUUUCUUAACUGGUGUCACCUUGACCGCUGGCAAACUCCCAUGGCUUGCUAACACCAUAUUUUAUUUGGGACUCGUUUUCCUCCUCAUUAUCUCAUUUGCUAAAUUGUUAGGGGGGCCUAUCUUCUUAGAAAUCUUCGGUCAUCCUCUCCGUCGACUAACAUUCUGGCUUAUUCUCGCUUACAUUUAUUUGGGGAGAGUUGAGACGUACAUUUAUGAUGACGAUGACGCCAAAGAUAACAGAAGGGAGAAGAAGACCUUCGCUAGUCCGCCUGUGGAUGUUGCCGGUGAAUCGAGGACCGAUGACUCGGCGAAAGCAAAAUGUGAGGAUGCGUUACAUCCUCCAAGUCGCUGAUUUGAAUUGAUCAUUCCAUAUUAUCUGUAAUAUGUAGUAAUAAUAUAUGUUUUCCUUGGUGAGUGGGACUCACUAUACGGUUGCUUUCCUUUAUGUCAGAUCAAACGUGAUUGUUAAUGAAUGUAAGCUAAACCAUGUGUUUCUCUAAUAACUUAACUUAUUAGAAUUGUUGGAUAUAAUUCCAUCAAAUUUCAUAUGUUAUUAAAGCAGAGGUUCUAAGUUCAAACAUUUUCAGGUCCUAUUUGCUUCAUCUAUUAUAUGUUUUCAUGUUUCAUUCUUAGAUCAAGUCAAGCUUACGAGUGAAGAUGAGUAUAAAAGUAUUUGUAUUAAAGUAUUUGAAUUAAACAUCCCAUUUGUCUAAUAAUUUAAAUUUUUAGAACGAGUAAUUGUAGUUCCCCGAAAUUUCAAACCGAUACACACUUCAUGUAAAUUAAAUGGAUGAAUGGCUCAUUUCAUCCGUUUCAUCGCCCUGGAAUCAAAUUGUUAACUUUGAACAUGUGGAAGCUCGUGGGUUUAUGAAAUCACUCGUCUAGAGUAGCCAUGUCCGAUUUACUUUGAACUAGUCCAAUUUGCGGCAAUCUCGAGUCACGAAAUCCUAAGCACUCACUUACCUGUCUAGUAAGGGUGUGCAAAAUAUCCGAAAACCGCUCGGACUGCUCGGAACCAAACCGAAAUCGCCAAGUACCGGUGGUUCUUGAGGGAACCGGUCCAGUUCCUGGUUCCAAUUUAUGGGAACCGGUGGGUACCAGUCCAGUUCUUGGUUCCAUUGGCGGAUCCGCCCGCCCACCCACCCGGACCAGAUCGGAACCUUUUUAAUAUUUAAAAAAAAAAUUACUAAAAGAAACCCUAGAUCUCAUCUCACUCCCUUCAUCUUCGGCUCCUAAUCCUAUUGUCAUUUCGCUGCGUUUACUUCUCUCGCUGUUCGCAUCUCCACGUACUUAAAUUUGAUUUUUCUUUCUUUGGCUUGCUUUGAUGUCACGUAGUCCUUCUAUGUUGAAAAUCAAAAUUGUUUCGCGUCAAGAUCAGUUCCAUGGAUCCACUCGGGAAUCGGACCGCUCCGGUCAGGUUCCUGGAUGGAUCCAUGCAACAAACGAGUGGAUCCUGGUAUCAAUUUUUGGGAACCGGUUCUUAGCGAGUGGUUCCCAGUUCUAGAUCAGGAACCGCCCACCCAAACCAUGCACACCCCUACUGUCUGGUGUGCAAAGAAAAUAAUUCUCAAAUUCUCAUCGCCUACUCUCUGAGUCGAGAGUUGGGUGAAGAAAACCGGAACAAAAUAAUUCUCUUCACUACUCACAAAAAAAUAGAAUCAAACACCGAACUCAUUUCCAAUGACACCCCUUUCAUUUCCCCACUUCUCCCUCCUAGGCGCACAAUUUCUGUGCAUGCAAAUGAGUUUUGGUGUUUGAUUCGUGGCGGGGUAUAAUCUAGUGAGCAGCGGGCAGAAGUCAAGUCAAGGGACGAGAUAAAAAGGAGUUGCAAUACGCAACCCAAGGAGAAUUGUGGAAAAGUCUGGAUAUGUGAUUUUCCUCCUCCGAUCUCUGAUUUUUAUUUCAAAGCUAGUUGGUAUUGACACGUAGAAUAUAACUCUAAAGUGAUUCUGGACCUAUCUAUUCAACAGUGAAUGUAGAUAAUUACAAAAAAUAAAAAGGAUCCCCUUGUACGAAUGUCUAUUGAGUUAUAAACUAUUAAAAUUAGCCGAUUUAAUUUUAAACAUCUUGACGAUUUGUUAAUAUAGUCAUUUCAAUCAACUUUGACCGAAAAUCGUUGACGUAGACGCUAGCCAUCCUAUGGCACAUGACUAGUAUUGAGGUGGACAAUUUUUGUAAUUUAAAAAAAAAAAUUCUCAAUUUUUUUUUUUUUUUUCAUGUUUUCAUUUUCUUCAUUUUCUUUUCUUAUAUUUUCCUUUUUUCUUUUUCUUAUUCCCCUAUGCAGCCAUUGGCCGGUCCAUGGCUUCAAUGAUUGAUAGUAAGGGCCCAGAUGCCCUCGCCAACUGGCAAGGGCUGAUGGAUUUGCUAGGGCCACGUACUAAUGGAGGGAUAAAGGAAGGAAAAAAAAAGUUUUGAAAAAAUUGUAAAAAUUAUUCACAUUAGCAUCGGCACCUAGAUCUGGGCGAGGCCAAUCUCGUCAUGGCUUGGCCUAGAUCUGGGUGAAGCCGCCUCGCACACAGUCCUUAGGCCUCGCUCAUGGCCGACGAGACUUGUCAAAGAAGCAAAAGAAUAAAGAAGAGAAAAAAAUAAAAGGAAAAAUAAAAAUAUAUAUAUAUCAAAAAAAUUAUUAAAAAUUGCCACGUUAGCGUUGACCAAAUGGCCAGUGUCCACAUCAGCGCUAGCCAAUCAAAAUUGAUCGAAUAGAUUGAAUUGACAUAAUCACGAAAAGUUUAGAACUAAAUUGGCACAAUUAUAAUGGAUUUAUAACUUUUUUUUGGUAAUUCUACCAAUUUAUUUGUUAUCUCCAUCUUUAGAUUGCGACAUGUGUCCAUCCAAUUUUAGUCCUCACUGCACCUCAUCUAAAUACCAUCAAACCUUAGCAGCGAGGAUGGUACUUGGAGAUCUAUGCAAAUAUUUAUAUAUAAAAAUUACAUUGAGAUAGUAGAGUGUGCUCACCAUCAUCAUAUCAUCAUCCAUCAAGUCGAUUCCACAUAAUGAUCUAUUUGUCACUUUCAACAUCCUGGGACCGACCCAAAAAAACAUCCUAGGGAUUAAAUGUUUCAAUUAAUUACGGUAGGAUAGAAGUAUUUUUCAUCAAGAACGGACAUUCAAGAAGUCUUGCUAGAUUGAUAGAUUGAUGUUGCAAAUGGUUCUCUUCUCAAGUAGCAUGAAAAAUUAUGCUACUCAAAUGUAGAGCCUCCUUUUUUCUAUUUUUUCAGCAGAUCUUCCAAAUCAAAUUACAGGGUUACAACUUUGAAAACUCACAGUACAAGUACAAAAAAUACCAAAUCAAUCAUCUAUUGACUUCUCGAUGCUCAUUAAAUCUGAUUCACAAAAUAGGUUGGGACCCAUUUUGCUAGCCCUACUAAAAUCUAAACAUUUUAUUAAAUUAAGGAUUUAUACAGCAUCCUAGUUCACAAAGAUGUGUUGCUGUUGACAAAUCGACAUUGAUUGAUUUUCAUGAACUCGUCGUCAUAUUGUCGACAUUCCCAUUAUAUACGAGCAAAGAGCGAACUUUGAUUUUUGAGCAUCAAGAGAUAAGACAGACUUAAAUAGAAUGCCAAAUAGCCCAAGUGUCACGUCCAAACCCCAAACACUUUUUUUUUUAACCCCAAACACAUUCAACUAUUGUUUUUUUUUUUUUUUUCCUUAUAACUUUCUUCAAAUAAUAUAAGAAUGUACUUUAUGGUUAAUGAUCAUAUAUAUCGCGGUUUAUGAAAGACUGUGCCACAUCGAUAGUUUUAGAUGUUAGUCCAAAUUCGAAAUACCAGGCUGAUGUUCGAGAUUUUAUUGGCCAUUCGGCAUUUCAUUUAUUACUCAUGAAGUCUAUCAUUGCAUGAAAUUUACUGAAAAUUAGAGAAUCUCACAAUACCAACAAAACAUCAAGUUUAUUCAACUUUUUUACCCUUGAUACACUCCACAUGUAGCCCAAUUUACAAAAUUCCACAAAAACCACUGCUUAGCAAAGACGAACAACAGCACCCAUCGGCCCAACAUGCUUUGCUCCAAGCAUAGAGUGACUCGAACUCGUCUUGUCUCCUUUUCAGUUUACCACAACCAGACAUAUUUAAUACAGUACCGUGAACAAGACAAGAUAGCGAUGAGAUCGGCUCAAUAGGCAUCAGGGUUUGCCAAGAGAUAAGCCUCGAUGGCCUUGAACAUCGCGGACGCCUUCUCUUUCCCAGCCUUGAUCUUCUCCUCAGUUAUGUCCGCCUCGCCAAUGGUGAAGUACUUGCUCGUGCUCUUGCACACCGAGCCUCCCUCGGCCGAUGUGGUGAUCUUCACCCCGUAGCUGAUCUUCUCGAAGGUGGUGCCCAGUGCGUCGCCCUCGAUGAUCGAGUAGCUGUAGGUGAAGUUCUCCUUGUCCAGGGCCUCGACCUUGUGCUUCAUUGUCUUGUACUGACUGCCUAUCAAGGUAACAAAAAGUAAUAUUCACGUUUGGAACUCGCUGGUUUCAACAUCACGGGCAAUGAUCUUGAUGGUGUCAAUUGGGCCAUUUAGGAUGUUCCAACUGCAAUCUGAUACGAUUGACUUAGACAUGGCCUGAUUUCCCUCGAUUGGAGUCAAGUCACGUGAUCACUUGUGUAAAGUUAUUCCCAUUGACCGCGAGAUAUCCAAGAGCAAAGUCGCUGCAUAUAUCUUGCAGCAUUUCUCCGAUGAAGCUGUUGUUCGAAAAGGUAACGAUCCCCAGAGAAGGGCUGUACUUGCCGAAAUCACGUGUUAUGCCUCCCGAGAAAUUGUUCUUGAACAAUGAGAUGGACCAUAAGUUAGCAAGGCGAGAGAUGGUCUCACAAGAAAAUAUUGUGUACACAAGCGAUGCUACGUCAUGGCUUUUCCUUCCCAGCCUAGAUCUGCUCUUCUUCAACCUGAAGUGCCUUCUUGCUGUUGUCCUUGCUCGUCAUCCUGCAGACUGACCCUCCGUCGCUGGUGGCCUCAAACUUGACCUCGUAAUCGAUCGACUGGAGCUUGUCACCCAGCGUGUCGCCCUCGAUCAUCAUGUUCCUACACAUGAAGUUCUACUUGUCGAGCUCAUCGAUCUGGUGCUCACAUGAAGUUCUACUCGUUGAGCUCAUCGAUCUGGUGCUUCACAUACUUGAAAUGACUAGCUGCAAUUACAUUAUGAAACUCCCUGCUCGAUGAGUGUUGAGUGUCCAUGCCUUCGGUGAAAUUUAACUUGCUCAAUGCUCCCGGCUCCACCGUCGCCUUGCACCAGCUCCACGCUCUUUAUGAACUGAGGCAGGAGCUUCGGGAUCAGGGUAUUUGACUCGACAAUCAAGGCCUUAAGAAUGCGAGCCAGAGCAAUCGGGCAUGUGAGCUCUUGUGUGAAGCUGGUUGCACCCAUGGCUAUUGGCAAUGAGAAAGAAAUAACCCCAGAGAAGAGUGCUUCUGAGUCCUGUCAAUGCCUCCUAAUUACGGUUGGAAUUAUGUCAAUAGGUAGGGUUGGUUUGGCAAGAGUCACGCUCGAGGAAAAAAGGAGAGUCAAGGAUUUGCAGCCUAAAGGAAUGGAAAAGAGGAAUAAAGGUGGUCUCUUUUGUUCUUUUGGUCAUGAAAAUGAUUUCGGUCCCUUUCGGAUUCAUGUUGAAAUGUCAAAGUUUAUGUUCCAAAAGAUGAACAUUCUAGUGCUCACAUGGGCGGCCAUCCCUUUGAAAUGAUUGUUGUGGAGUUCGAUCUAACAAUUUGCCGAUUAAAUAUUAUAACGAAAAUGUCCUUGUUUGAAGAAAAGUGUAUUAAUCAAAUUCUGUCUCAUUUAAUAUGUAGCAAACGAGAAUACUUUAUUAGUUGGUGAUAUCACGUUAACUUGUCGCGCAAUAUAAACAUCACAUAAUAUAUUUCUUCAUUUGUAAUGCCCUAAUGUCACGGUGGAUCUAAUUCAAAUGUAUGAAGUAAGGCCUUUUGAAAUCAUUUUCGUAACUUAGGGUUGAUUCAAACUUCACUAGCACCGACAGUUUGACUCAGUCAAAAUUGGGUCGGCAAUCGGGGUGUCCCAAGAUCAGCUCGUCGUCUAAGUUUUGGGGGAGGUGGAGGCUGCGGCUUUUCCGUUAUAUUUUGCUUCUCUUUCUCUUUUUUAUCAUUAUCAGUGUUGAAGCAUUUGAUCUCUAAUCCAAUGUCCCCAUCAAAGAUGUCCCCAUCAAAGAGGUAAGAUAGGAUUAGCUUAAAUAGAAUUUCAAAUAGCCCAAGCGUUACAAUAAGAUAAGUCCAAAACCUGAACACUUUAACUUUAUUUUUCGAUAGCGUUCUUGACAUAUAAUAAGAAUGUGCUUUUCUUUAAUGAUCAUAUGCAUAACAAUCUCUGAAAGAUUCUACCACAUCCAUAGUUUUAAGUGUUAAUCCAAAUUCAAAACAUAAGUUUGGAUUUAUUCAUUUGUUACUCAUGAAUUCUAUUCUUUUAUGAAAUUUAUUGAAAAUUAGAGAAUCUCAUGAUACCAACAAAAUAUCAAGCUUAUUCAACUUUUAUUCCCUUGAUACGCUAUUUAUGUAGCACAAUUUACAAAAUUCCACAAAAACCACUUCACCAGAUUCCUGCCACACCUUUCAUUCUCUUAUUCUCAGCAAAUACAAGAACAGCUACGCUCACCAGCCCCCACAAACUUUACUCCAAACACAAGAGUGACCCAAACUCUUCUUCUCUCCUUGUGAAUUUAGCACAACCAGACAUAUUUCACACAGUACAGUGAACAAUCCAAGAUAGCGAUGAGAUCUACUCAACAGGCAUCAGGGUUUGCCAAGAGAUGAGCCUCGAUGGCCUUGAACAUCUCGGACGCCUUCUCUUUCCCGGCCUUGAUCUUCUCCUCAGUGAUCUCCACCUCGCCGAUGGUGAAGUACUUGCUCGUGUUCUUGCACACCGAGCCUCCCUCGGGCGAUGCGGUGAUCUUCACCUCGUUGCUGAUCUUCUCGAAGCUGGUGCCCAGCAUGUCGCCCUCGAUGAUCGAGUAGCAGUAGGUGAAGUUCUCCUUAUCCAGGGCCUCGACUUUUUGCUUCAUUGUCUUGUACUGACUGCCUAUCAAAGUAAGAAAAAAUAAUAUUCACGUUUAGAACUCGCCAGUUUCAACAUCACGAGCAACGAUCUCGAUGGUGUCGAUCGGGCCUUUUAGGUUGUUCCAACUGCAAUCUGAUACGAUUGACUUAGUAGACAUGGCCUGAUUUCCCUCGAUUGGAGUCAAGUCACGUGAUCACUUGUGUAAAUCAAUGGUUAGAAACAUCUUUAAUUGAUCAAGUUACAUAUCUAUCCUUUUUAAUGUUCAUUAUGAUGUUCCAUAAGGUUGAAACAGCCUUGAUCCAGAGCGAUCCUAACACGGACGGACUAACCUUCGCCGAAAGUGAUCAACUUGACGGUCCCGGGACCUCCGUCGCCCUCGAGGACUUCGACGCUCUUGAUAGCUUGCGGGAGCACCUUCAGGAUGAGGUUAUCGGCGUCGAGGACAGCGGCCUUGAACAUCUUGGCCGGAGGGAUUGGGGUCGUGAUCUCGCAGUCGUAACUGACGACACCCAUGAUUUGGAUCCGAAUGGAGUUGCCGAAAUAGAGAAGAGAGUGAUCAGGAAAGGCUGACUAGCAGUGAUGAAGUUGGUCUCUAGGACUUGGGAGUGAGGAGAAGAGGAUGAACCGAAGCUGACAUAUAUAGAGAGAUCGAGUGUGAAGGGUUCUGGUCAUUGGAUAUUUCCUUCAAGUGUGUUUGUUUGGUACAAAAUAAAAAAUUCAAUAACUAUUUGUAUCAUAUGGUAUAUUUAUUUGAUGAUAAAUUUUUGCAUUAUUGACAGUAAUUUAUAUUUAAAUAUUUUCGUGGAAGAUGAAAAUAUUUUUAUUUAUUCUUUUUGUAAGUUAUACGGAAAAAAUAUUUUUUUACAAAACAAAUGAAGCUUAAUAAAAAAAAUCUUAAUCAGUCUGUGGGUUGUUCACUCAUGACAUGGACCUUGAUCAUAAAAUAAAAUGUCUAUAUGAUAAUGGAAUAUUAGUCAGAGAAGGCACCAUCCUAGAAUGAUACCAAACGUUCUUCCAUUUCCCUUUCAUGUAUAGACUUGACUUUUGAUCCAGGAGCAUUUGCUCAGCAAAUUCUCUUGGCUGAGCUUCACUGAUUUCUUACAUAGUGUUACUAUCAUAGAAAAUAUCAAGCCCUUAGCUGCAUAUGGUCACGAUCCACCCAGAUCUCAUCCUACUUUGCUUCAAUCCGUUCGCAAAAGUAGCAAUCUUUAAGGUUGGUAGAGGCCUCGGGAAGAAUUAUCAUCGAUUUCAUACGUACAAAUAAUAUUCGCUUAAGCCUGUGCAGUAGAAAAACUCGAAAAAUUGAGGCACAAUUUUUCCUGCUGGGUGAUCUCGGUGCUUCAUGUUUCUGUUGAGCUUCCAUCUAAGAAAAAGUACAGAGUGAUCUCAAUGUUGCACUAAUCCAAUUUAGCAGAAAAAGAUGGGAAAGGUAGUUUGGUAAUUACAAGGCUUUGUUACUUUUAGUCAACAAAGGCUGCUCUGAAAAUCAAGAUGGACGUCUAUAGAUUUUGAAUUUUUCUACUUGCUUUCAUGUGUCUAGUCCUUUUAAAUAAUAUUAUUGCGAACCAUUUUCUGCUAAUUGUCUGGUGGAAGUGUGGUGGAUCAAGCGAGAUUGGCUCACGCGUCACUUGCUCAUUAAACAUUUUUUAAUUUUCCUUUUCAUCUAACGGUAUAGCAACGUAGAUUUUUAGAAACGCUUUCUUCGUAUCUAAUUUUCUUCUUUUGUCUAGUUCAUCUUGUGGUAGUCACGGACCAUGUGAACGUAUAGUAGAAUGUCCAUGGGCGUUAGAUCAGAUUAAUUAAUGAAUUUCGUCGCAUUGAGACAAAAUUGAUUAAACUUGUCAAUCAUCUCACUGCGACGGAAGAGUCGGAAACUAUUAAUGGAUAACAACAGCAUAUGUUUUCAGAGGAAAGUAUUGGAGAGGGGCAUGGAUGCAUUGCUGAAGUUAUUUAAUGAGCAUGUCAUAUGUACUAAAUUAAUCUAAAUAGCUAAAUUUGAUGGAAUUCAUAUGAAACCUAAAUGAAACUCAUUGAAAUUAAAAGUCCAAAUUUUGCUUUAUAUAAAUACGACGCUAGUUCAUUCUCGAGUCUUUAUCAAAAUUGCGUUGUAUGUCAUUGAAUGUGAACCUCCCUUCCCUAUGAUCAACUCAGAUUUCUCGUACUUCAUCGACUUCCUUGUUUCGCUGUUGAAGCACCAGAAUCACAGCAAUUGAAGUCACCAGAAGGAGCUCACAUCAAUAAGGACCUUUUCCCUAUGGUCGGUCGAUUUACUGUUCAUCCCACAAGGAGAUAACCCCGUCACGUUUUCACACAAGCCCGGAUUUGCGAUAAAAGCGCUUUUCGGUGCUUGUUGGAAGAGGCGACCACUAGGAACUGCACCUGUCAGCUCAUUGUACGAUUAGUCUACGGAGCUUAAACAAGUUAUGUGUCCAUUUCUUUCAAUGUUCAGUAUAAUGUUCCAUAAGGUUAAAACCACCUUGAUCGAGAGCGAUCCUAAGUUCCUAAUAUGGAUGGACUAACCUUUGCCGAAAGUGAUCAACUUGAUGGUCCCGGGACCUCCAUCGCCCUCAAGGACUUCAACGCUCUUGAUGGCUUGUGGGAGCACCUUGGGGGUGAGGUUAUCGGCGUUGAGGACAGCGGCCUUGAACAUCUUGGCCGGAGGGAUCUGGACGUGAUGCAGAGUCGUAAGUGAUGACACCCAUGAUUGGAUCCGAACUGAGCUGCUGAAACUGAGAAGGGGGUGAUGAUCAGGAAAGACUGAGUAGCAGUGAUGAAGUUGGUCUCUAGGACUUGGGAAUGAAGAGAACAGGCUGAACCGAAACUGAUAUAUAAAGAGAGAGAGACUAAGUGUGAACGGCUUUGAUCAGUGAAUAUUUUGCGAAACAAACAAAGCUUAAGAAAUAAAAAAUUAUUCCGUGGAUUAUUCAGAUUAUGACAUGCCCCUUUUUCCUAAUAUAAAAAUGUCUAUAUGAUAAUAGAACAAACCGUUGGAUGAGAAUAUUGGGGAGAACUGGGCAACAAUUUACUAAUAACGAAACAUAAUUUAGCAUCAAUUUCUCCUCUAAAACUAAACCAAUCGAAAUCAACUCAACCCCAACGACCACCAGCAAUUUGUAAUACCAAAAUGACAAUAAGACAGAGCCAACAACGACACUAAGGUUUUAACAUGGAAACCAAUACGGAAAAAAUCACAUACCCUCCUCACUAACAGUAAUAGGAUACACAAAACAUUAUUUUCUAAUCACACAUUAGAGACUCGACAUCAAUAAUAUAAUCAUAUUUUCUCAUUCCAAAGAUAGAUUAACAUAAACGGAGCAAGAAAACCCUAAUUGGUUGGAGAAUCUGGAGGGGGUUAUUAUCGAAUGAAAUCAAUCAAUUCGUAGUCCUUGGUUUUACGAAACAACAUUCAAAUUUGAGCAAAUUCCGUCGGCAUCUUGCGUUCGAAUCGGGACCGAAAAGAUUGUGCCCUUUCUUUAGGAACGCAGAGAAAGAAGAGCCCAGGACACAGACAACAAUUACCCACUCACUAAGUCCCGAAAAGCAUAGACGAGCGAAAUGCUUCACGAAUUAACCUAAGAGCAACAGAAACACGCCGAGAUAGAAAAGAAGCCGACGCCCCAAAUUGCAAACUUCUUCGACCCCCCCCCCCCCCCCCCCCAAAAAAAAAAUUUCCAAAAUGAAACCUGAAAAGUGGUGAUUAAGCCCGGAGGCGGGAGGGGGGGGGAAGGGAGCCCCUUGAUGUCCAAAUGGGCGUCCCCGGUGGCGAGGAGCCCCGAGGGGGGGGGGGGGGUGGAAACCUAGGGUUAGGACGGGUUUGGCCUCAUGCCAAUUGAUCUGGACCGUGCCUCCCUUCAUAUCUUCGCCGGCCGCUCCGCCGCUUCCUUCCUUCCUUCCUUCCCUCUCUCUUUGAAAUCGAAGCCUUCUUCCUUCAUUUCUCAUGGAACGAAAUCGAUCAAUUCGUGGAAUUCGUGAUAUUCGUGCGCUCUCCCCAUUCUGCGGAGAGAUUCCCGACAAAUCGACCAGUGCUGAGGUUCAUAAAGACCAGAUCCGGGUAAACUCCGAACGCACUCGUGAGAUCUGCAGUGAACAGAUCACCUUCUAGACGGACUCUCGUUAGCCCCGGACAAUCCCUCAAGCAAUCGGGCAGCAGCCCGGUGAAGUUGUUCCCAUAAACCGCGAGAUACCGAAGAGCGAAGCCGCCGCACAAAUCCGGCGGCAGUUCUCCGGUGAAGCUGUUGUUGGAAAAGCUAACAUAGCCCAGACGAUAUGGAUUCGCAGAAAUCACACGGUAUGCCACCCGAGAAAUCGUUCGUGAACAAAAGAGAUGAACUGUAGGUUUGUCGAUCGUCGUUUCAGUACGGCGAGUGUAGAGCCAAAAAAAAGGGGAAGAAAGAUGACACAAUUGGCUAUGACAUUGAGUGACAGUUUAUUGCUGGCCUCCCCCACGUAAGUAUGUCACGAGGCCCACCCUUCAUGGCUCAAGUUCAUGAAAACAAACUAAUAAAAAAAAGACCCAAAACGUCUGCACUACCAUCCUCGCGGAAAUCCAACCAAAAAAAGGAAAAGAUUAAAAAGGCAACCAUCCCAUACAAAAGCAUUCGCCACACGCUACUAAAAAUUAACCACACAGAGACUCACUAGUCUCAGGGUUCGCCUGGAGGCAAGCCUCGAUGGCCCCGAACACAGUGAAUGCCUUCUCUCUCACGGCCUUUAUCUUCUCCUCGGUGAUGUUUAUGUUGCCCCUGGCGAAGUAUUUGCUGGCGUUUUUGCACACGGAGCCUCCCUCCGGUGAUGCGGUGAUCUUCACCUCGUAGCUGGUGUUCUCCAAGGUGUUGGCCAGCAUGUCGCUCUCGAUGAUCGAGUUGAAGUAGGAGAAAUUCCCAUUGUCCAGGACCUCAACCUUGUGCUUCACUGUCUUGUUGCAAUGACCUAUAAAAGACGCAAAACGUGGCAAAUCACAUCUGAGAAGCCACCGGUUUCAAAAAUCGCGAGCACUGCUUUGCAACAUGAUUGACUCACGACAUCACGGUGUCAAUGGUCAGGAACAUUUGAAUUAACCAAGUAAACUUACUAACCUUCGCUGGAAGUGGUCUCCUCGAUGAGCUCGGCACUCUCGAGGACUGGCAAGAGGACCCCGGAGAUGAGGUUUUCAGCCCUGACCAAGACCUCGAACACCUUGGCCGGGGGGAUGGAGGGCUUGAUCUCGGUCUUGUAGCUGAAGUGUCCCAUGAUUCUCUGCUCGAAAAGAAUUUGCUGAAAGCUGAGAGGGAAGUCUUGAUCUAGGAUUUCGAAGCUAAGACCCCAUGUGUAUAUAUAUAUGCGCGGGAGAGAAAACUUUGCGGACCUGCUUUGGGUCCAUUUCAGAGGAAAACCAAGCAAUCGCGUGCUUUGGGUUGAAAUUCUUCUACCUACAUGAUCGAGUCACUGUCGAGUCUCGACUUUUGGAAUGUGUAAGAAAAAGCAAAACAAUGGUUGAAAUUCUUCUACGCACACGAUCGACUCACUGCGAAGUACUCGACUUUUGGAAUGUAUGGGAAAAAGCAAAACGAUACAGAGGCUAGAGUUUUUUUUUUUUUUUUUUUUGGUCUGUUCCAUAGGAAAACCAAGCAUUCGCGUACUUUUGGUUGAAAUUCUUCUACGCACAAGAUUGGAACGUGUGGGAAAAAGCAAAACAAUGGUUGAAGUUCUUCUACGCACAAGUAACUGUCAAGUACUUAACUUUUGGAAUGUGCGGGAAAAAGCAAAAAGAUAGAGGCUAGAGUUUUUUUUUUUUUUGGGUCCGCUUCAGAGGAAAACCAAGCAUUCACGUACUUUUGGUUGAAAUUCUUCUACGCACACGAUUGCAAUGUGUGGGAAAAAGCAAAACAAUGAUUGAAAUUCUUCUAAGCACAAGUAAUUGUCAAGUACUCAACGUUUGGAAUGUGUGGGAAAUACCAAAAUGAUACAGAGGCUAGAGUUUUUUUUUUUUUUUGGUCGGUCAUAUUUUAAUUCUUAAAUUUUUACUUUGCUUCAUUGUAGAGCGUGAAAGUCGAAACCCACACUUGAAACUAAAUCGUCAUCUGAAAAUGUGGGAAUUUGAACCCCCACAUUCCCUUUCUAUAUUGAAAAUGUGGUCACAAAGACAAAUCCUAGUGUUUACAGGCUAGAGUUGGAAAUAUGUUAUUAAACACAUUCCUUUUAUAGUCUCCCUUCAAAAAUCCCGUAAAAUAAAUAUGCAUGGUCUAAAAUACUCUUAUCUUGUAAUUUGAAAGUCAAAACUCAACAAAAAUCAAAUCAAAUCGAGUACUCAACUUUUGGAAGAAACAAAGUAGGUUACGUCUAGUACUGAAAGGGAAGUCUCGAUCUAGGAUUUAAAAGAUAAGACGCAUAUGUAUAUAUAUGUUUUCGGGUCCUUCUAAGGGGAAUACCAAUUAUCGUUGUUGAGUAGCUCUGCGGGGUCCUUUUGAGGCCAAGAUUGGGUCGGCUUUUCUCUUAAAAAGGCAGAGAACAUGCCAUCCCAAGUCAUAGCGCACUCAUUACGACUGGAUUUCCAACCCAUCACUCCACUUCUGGAUGGAGGGAAUCAAGACUUUUGGAAGAAUGUGUGCACUCGACUUUUGGAUGGAAGAAAUGAAGAAUUUUGGAAGAAUGUGUGAUGGGGAGCGUGUGCAAUUGCCCACACGUGAUGGGAACGUGAGGCAUGGAACUUGUUGCCAAACAAGUCAAUCAAAGAUGCACCAAUUUGAGAACAAGUAAUAAAAGAUAAAAGAAAAUCAAAAUCACAUGAGACGCAAAACUUACGUGAAAAACUCAAAACGAGAAAAAUCAUAGGAAGAGAGAAGAGUCUCAUUAUUUUCAAUAAAGAGCACGAGAAUAUAAUCCAAAAAACUCUAAAACCACUUGAUGAGCCACGAGAUUUGAACAUCUAGCAAGAAGAUAGGAAAAAACAAAACAGGAAACUAUACAGACGCUAGAGUUGGAGAUGUGUUAUAAACACGUUCCUUUUAUAGUCUCCCUUUAAAAAUCCCUUGAAAUAAAAAUGUAUGGUCUAAAAUAUUCUUAUAUCUUAAUUUGAAAGUCAAAACUCAACAGAAAUCAAGUCGAAUCGAGGACUCAACUUUUGGAAGAAACAAAGUAGGUUACGUCUAGUUCAACUUUCUCAAGUAGCUUGGGGGAAAUGUAAAGUAAUGUAAGCCUAAAGGGUUUUGGCAAAAUGUAAAGAUUGUUUGAUAAAAUAUGUUUUGAGAAGUAGCUUUGACAUAAAUGUUGGUUGAUAUAAAAUAUAUUUAAAAAAACUCAUUUGGAUGAUUAAUUUAAACUGUUUUAAUUAAUUAGGGGUUGGAUUUUUUUUAUUUUUUUUAUUUUUUGGUCUGAGGGGUUGGAUACUUUGGGUACUAUUGUGUGGUGUUCUCGAGUGCCCGAGAGUACCUGUAAGUUUUUGUCCAUAGUUAAAGUCUAGAGAGAGAAAUAGAGAGUGCAUCUGCCUUUUAAGGCUUCUGAUGAUUGGAGAUUUUCUCUAAUCAAAUAAUUCAAUUUAAUAAUUUAAAUAGAGAGAGAGAGAGAGUUUGUGCAUAUCUUUAAUAGGCGUCAUAAUUAGAGAGAGAGCAGAGCAGCGCAGAGCAGAGCAGAGCAGAGAUUUUCUCUAAUUAAAUAAUUCAAUUUAAUAAUUUAAACAGAGAGAGAGUAUGUGCAUAUCUCUAAGAGGCAUGCCAUAAUGAGAGAGAGAGAGAGAGAGAGCAAUAUGGACUAAGCAUCCAAUCUCUUCUACUUCUACUAAUGAAGAAAUAAUUUGACCUCGUCACUUCACAACACAUUCCGGGCUGAAUAAUGGAGCUUUGGGGACAUGGUGGUGAAUAACAAGUGAUAUAGAAGAGAUGAUACGCUAUUAAAUUAUUGUCUCAAGUUUAAGUCCGUGUACAAGAUUCGACUUGAUUUGAAUAUGUAGAAAACCGAAUCUAUUAGGAAAAAAAAAUACCAAUAUCACAUUUGGUAUUUGAAUUAUAAUUUAUCUUGAAAAGAAUAUUCACGUUAUAUAUACUGAGACGAGUUUUUUGUGCAUUCCCCCAAAAGUCAAACCCCCACAGUAACCCCCUUUUUCUCUAACUCCCGCACCCUAUUUCCAUAUAUAUGGAUCUUCACUUCCAAAUCCGAUCGAGAUGCUGAUAAAUACUAAAUAGUGUUCGAAUGGGGGGGGGGGUGGGGGGUGGGGGGGUGGAGACAUUGCUUGCUGAUUCAUGUUGUGAAAUGCGUGCUCUCUUCUUCUUUUCGCUAAGAAGCUGACGAGUAACAACAGAGAAAGGAAUAUGUCCCCGUAUCGAUAAACUCUCGGUAGAUAGGAAGAUACAAUUAAGACGCAAUCAAAACGACAAGGAUGAAAGCGAGGUGAGAGAUAAAAUUAAGGCGAAAAGAUAAAACAGACAAAGGCGCGAAAUACUGCAGCAUCUUAGCGUAAAGAAGAAAGAAGAGAGAAGUUGGCACCCAAUUGAGGUAUGUUGUCCGUGAGGAGAUGAGUGUUUCAAGACUUGAGGUAAUUUUCCAUGAGAUUGAACACUGUGAGCUUGGGUGCAAUUUAGGGGUGAGAAACAUUCAAACAUUUAGUCGAUUGUAACUCUUUGAUUCUCCAAUUGUUAGUGGAUUAUUUUCUCUUCCCCAACUGACACUUAGACCGAAUUACGUAAAUCUUAUUAGUUUCCGCGUUAUAUCACAGCAACAACAACUGGUUUGAAAAGUGGCGUCAAAGUGUUUAUGCUAGAAAUCUUGGGGUGGAACAAAUUGUGCUAAAGUGAUUUGAAAAAAUUAUGCCAUGAUUUUUACAAGAUGUUUGACAAGUAUUUUUAAUUACAACAUUCAGAAUUUCUACCACCUCAACUGUUGUCUCACCCACUUUGAAGGAGUCGCAUGUAUUACUGAACACAAAUUAUAACACUUCAUGCCAAAAUAUAGUUACAGUUCAGUCACGAUUAUAAUUUUUCUUAAAGAGAUGGGAGAAUGUAAACAUAAACCAUGAUGGGAGACAGAAAGAUUGAGCCAACAUGCAACAUCAACUCAAUUGAAAGCAUCAGGGUUUUGCAAGAGAUGGGCGUCAAUGGCCAUGAACAUUCCCAUGGCCUUCUCUUUGCCGGCCUUGAUCUGCUUCUCCGUGAUCUCGGCCCCGUCCUUGGCAUAGUACUUGCUCGUGCUCUUGCACAUGCAUCCUUGGCUAGCUGCAAGGCACGGAAAACCACAAUCAACUCCUAAGCGUUGGUCUCAUUUAAACUGUCGGUGAAUGUCUUGAGACCCAUGUUGAUGCGGUGCGAUUAAAAUGUGCGAAGUGGGUGAAAUUGAAAGAUGCGCGAGGACUAGCCUUCAUAGAAAGCGACAUACUUGAUGAUUGAAAUGCCCUCUAAAUGAUUCUCAAUCGCCUGUUUAGUAAUCUAAAUCGCCAUCACAAUAGAUAAAUCAUAUAAUAGAGAAAGAGUACUAAAGACAUGGAUCUCAAGCCCAAAUGAUACUUAUUAGCAAGCGAGUGAUCGUUUGAAUUUUGAUGCUCUUGAGGGUGGGAAGUCACUAAAUUAUUAACUUUUUUCCAACACCGGUUGGGUUCCAUGGGAUUGUUUCCACUAUAGAGAUAAAAAGUUAGCAUGCAAGUUGUCGCGACCUAUCCCUCGGGGGGAGGGAAUAGGUUUAGAGAUAUUGCCUAAAAGAUGGACUUAAGGCUCAAGAUUGGGUGAGAGCUCUCCCAAACCUAUACUUCGCGUGACAUUAGAGUGUUUUUAAGAAUUUUUCAAUGAGUCACCACCACUAGCCUAUUGGGGUUAGCUAAAAACCAAGUAAGGCAUGUGAGUAGAUCUCGCUUCCUACACAACUAGAGAAUCUAGGGUCGAUAACUUGAUUACAUUAAUUAAUCAAUUAAUGCUCUUUCGAUACCUAAUCUUAUUUAUUUUAAAAGAAAAUAUUUUUGUCAAGUAGUGGAUUAAUUUUAUACUUAUCCACUAACAUGUGAAGUGAUCAUGCAAAUACACAAUCAUUAAAGUAACGGUCAAUAACCAAGAAAGUAUUAAAUAAAUUACAAGGAAAAGCAAUAAUCUAACAUAAAUAAUAAUAAUAAUAAUAAUAAUAAUAAUAAUAAUAAUAAUAAUAAUAAUAAUAAUAAUAAGAAAAAUUGACAUUCCUAACUAGGUUAAAGGGAAAUCACAAUCAAUAUAUUGAAAGUGCACCAUCAUUUGAUAAUUUGUCUCAAGAAGGGAAAUAUUAGAACCCUAUUGCAAGGCCUUAAGAGUUUGUUCAAUUUUGAGCCCUAUUUUGGUCGAUGAUUUUCCCACACUUUAAGAGAAAACUGUUCAAAAACAAAUAAAAAAAUUCGAAAUUUUUUUAAAUAUAUAUUUUUUUGCAAUUUUUUUAUUCCGAAAUAGCAACUCGGGCCGGGCCCUCGGCCCGAUUCAAAAGUGGGUCGGGUAAAGAUUCAUGGGUUUGGGCAAUGAACACUAAAAGCCAAAUUGAAGAAGUGGGUUCAAUGACUUAAAUGCAUUCGAAAAAGGGCCAAGAUCAAGCCCAAAUUUAUCAAAGGAAAACACUUAAUCCCCUUUACACUAAGAUCACUUUAAAACAACUUCCAGCACAUCCUAAAUAAGCCCAGCUCCGAAAUUAGCCCACUUACUUGACCUAUCCACAAACUCCUUCUUAGGCACCAAAAUAACCCCUGAACAGCAGCUUCUCUUUCUGCGACUCCUCCUUCCCGAAGUCAUUUUUACCUUUUCAUAGUUUACUUUUUUUUUUUUUGCUUGUUUUCUUUUUUAUUCUUUAUCCUUUUUUUUUUUUUUUACUUCAUCCCUUCCCCUUCCCUGCACCUAUCUUCUUCCUCGACGACUCCCUCCGAAAUGGGUUCCCUUGCCGAACCAUAACCAAAAUAAAACCACGUCCGACGAGCCCUCACCAAUGUUUGGGAUCGCCGCCAAACCACCAUCGGGCGUCGGUCGUUCAGUCCGACCGAUGCCGGCCACGGCCGUUGGCCGAGACACGGCUCGGCCCCCACCGAGGUUAGCCGAGGGACGAAACUCGGCCUGAACGACCGGGUACCAUUCAACAUAGCCCUGAUACCGACAUCCUCCAAUACCUAACGGUGCCAUCACCGGUCACCGUCCCUUUCCCGGCACCAUCCACGACCAACCCAUAGAAAGAACAAAGAAAAUAUAUGCAGACCUAGCCUAGACAUAAUGUCGAGCACCUGUGUGCGUCGACUGAAAAGCUAACGAAAACUCAACUGGGAGAUGAAUCAACAGUCAAGGCAGAAGCAACAACCAAGCAAAGUCUAAGACAACAAAAUCGCAGCUCACCGGGAUCGGAGACUCGUGCGGGCCAGAGAACCGCGAGCUCCGGUCUGGUGAACUAGAAAAAUCUGAAUAAAAGGAGGUGCUCGGGUGACGGGGCCCUACUCGGCUCGAUAACGGCGGCCUGCAAGCAGGUUCGAAAUGGCACGAACCGUGGCCGACCACCCUAGUGUCAUCAAGACGAGAUCAUCGGGUUAAAGGGGACUGAACUCGAAAGGAGACUUACCGGAAGAAUGGAUGCCGGGAGGCGAGGUCACGGGCGCGGCCGAGCUUCUUUCCCGCUCUCUCCUAUCAAUUUCUCGCUUUGCUCUCACUCACGAUGCUCUGUCCCUCCGACUUUCUCCUGGUUCGGUCUCUCUCCAGCUCUCUCCCCUUCAAGCUCUCUCCCUCUGUCUUGCGGUGCUUCUGUUCUCUCCUCCCCCCCCCCCCCCCCCCCCCCCCAAAACCCAUUUUUUGCCCCUGCCUCCGGCUGUUCCCCCUGCUCCGCUCUGCUGUUCUGCUUUUCUUCUUUUUUACAGGCGCGCGAGGAAGGACUGCAGGAGGAGGACGACCAGCUGGCGGGCCGCGAGGAAGGCGGAGCUGGGCCUCCGUGGGGGAAAGAAAAGGAAGAGAUGGACCGCGCCCAGGCCCGCGCGGGGGAAGAAGAAAGAGAGGCGGGCCGGGCUAAGGUCGGAUCCGGCCCGACCCGGCCUCUCUUGUUCGUUUUUUAAUUAAUAAUUUGUUAAAUAAUAAUAAUUUUAAUUUUUUUAAAUUUUUUUAAAUUAAUUUUUUUUUACCAAUUCCUAACUUUUAAUGCUUUUAAGUCUUAAGUAAAAUUGGCAAAAUUUAGGUGUCAACACAAAUAAUAUAAAAGCACAGUAUAAAUUUGAUUCUCCUAAUCAAUGAGUAUAAAUGAGAAUAUGGGGGUGAAAAAAAUGUUACAAGAACUAAAACGUGGACUUUUCGAGAAGCUCCAAUAACAGAAAUGUCGCAUAUUCGGCAAGAUGCAAGUACGUCCAUCCAUCGAGAUGUAGUUUUUGGAGAAAUUCACAAACAGAUAUUGAAUGAAUAAAAACGUUUAGAAAAAUGUCAUAAAUAGCUUUUUUAGCUCAGUUAAAUAGAGCUUACUUUAGUAAGCGAUAGGUCUUGACUUUGAAUCUCAACGAGAUCCUUUGUACUAUGACUCGUAAUUUUUUUUUUUUUUCACAUCCAAUAUACUUCGUAACAAUUUUUUUGAUAAACAAAACUUCGACCGAGCCAAAAAAAUUAGUCACUUAAUAUAUGAUAGAGCCAACAUAUACAUACUAUAUGUGUGUGUGUGUGUGUGUGUUUUCUUAGUACAAAUGGUAAUACGAGCACCCAAUUAGUAGGGGGGAGGUUGAGUUCGACUCUCAACGAGACAAUUUGUCAUUCAAAAUUUUUCAUAACGAUUUUUUUUAUAAACAAAAAAUUCAAUUGAGCCAAAAAAUUUGUCACUUAAUAUAUCAUAAAGCCAACAUAUACAUGUAAUUCAUUUUUCUUGGUACAAAUGGGGAUACGAGCACCCAUUUAUUAAGCAGGAGGUUUUGAGUUUGACUCUCAAAUAAGUUUUCUUUUUUGUAAAUUCAAAAUUCUUCAUUACAAUUUUUUUAUUAAAAAAAAGAUCGACCGAACCAAAAAAAUUGUUAGUUAAUACAUCAUAGAGCCAACAUAUACAUACAAUAUAUUUUGUUUCAUUUUCUUGGUACAAAUGGGAUACAAGCACCCGUUUAGGGCGCGUUUGGUAACGCUUUUAUUCCCGGGAACAAUUUUUUAUCAUAACUGAUUCUUUUUUAUUCUGUUUCCGAAAGCAAUUUCUAAGCAUUUUAAGCCGUUUGAUAAUUGUUCAAAAUUUCAAUUCUCAAAAUAGAAUUGCGUUUGGUACAAUGUUUAAAAUUUUUAUUCCAAAUCAUUUUCUUUUAAUUUUUAAAUAAUUUUAUUACUUUUUCCCUUUUUUUCUUUUCUCUCUCAUAUUCUUCUUCUUCAAGUGGCCGGUCGCCGAGUCGAGGGCCGGCAAUCUCACUGGAGCGUUGCCAACCCUCGGUGAGGCCUGUCCUUGUCAGCCGAGCCUCGCCAGCAACUAGGCAAGGCUUGCCCAGCCUCGCCAGUGGCUAGGCAGGCCUUGACGGGGCUGGGCAAGCCCCACCGGUGGCUAGACGGGCCUCACCUGUGGCUGAGCAGGCCUCGCUAGGGUUGGACGAGGCUCCUCUCACUAGUGGUUGGGCUUGCCUCCGGCGAGCUCGCUAGACCUCACCCUGGCUUGGCGAGCCUCCAACAAGCUCGCCAAAUCGGUUGUCGGCGACCAGUGAUGGUGGGUGGCGGACGGCAACCGCAACGAUGGAUGAAGAAGAAGAAAAGGGAAGAAGAAGAAGAGAAAAUAUGGGCUUGAUUCUUGGAUUUGUUCUCUGAAACAAAAAACAACUUUUUAUUUAUUUUUUAUUCCGUUCCAAAACCACUUCCGGGAACAAAAAAAUAAAAAUUUGUUCCCAGGAACAAAAAUUUUACCAAACACGGUUCCGUUCCAAAACUACUCUCAAGAACAAAAGAAUAAAAUUUGGCACUGUUUGGCCGAUUACCAGACAGGCCCUUAGCAAGCCAAAGUUUUGAGUCCGACUCUUAACGAGAGCAUUUGUCUUGUGACUUAUAAUCUUUCUUUCUUCUACAUUCAAAUUUUUUCGCAACAACUUUCUUUGUAAACAUUCAAACUUCUGUCUUCUUGAUGCUGUUAAAAUCAGGGAUACGGAACUCUAGUGCGAAUGGAACUCACUGCGGUGAUGCUAACGAAUCCCACUGGAAUAUGCGGAGGACGGAAAAUCUUAGAGCUGGGGAAAAUGAAUGGGUUUGGGAUUAGAUCCGGCUUGGUUAUUGCCCCGGAGCUGACUCACCCAAGCCAUUAGAAAAGAGAACUCUAGAAAAAGAAUAAUGACCAAUGUUCUUUAUUGUUCAAGCAGAGACAUUUUCUAUCGGCUAAACCUUAUGCUUCUCACAUUCAAUGCUUGUGUUCCAUCUGAAGUUAUUUCUUACCACAUAAUUGUCGACAACCUAAUUUGACCAAUAAAUGCAGUACAUCUAUAUAGUAUCUGGAGAGGAGCUGUUUCUGCUAGCUAAGGAUUACAUCAAGUAUCUUUUUGGUGGAUGUCUUAGUGCUAGGUUAACCCGUGCGAUGCCCCAGUGAGGAAGAUUUUACAAGGAGCUAACAGAGAAGAAAGAGGUUGAUCAGUAUUGGUUAGUGUUGAAAAUUGAGAUCCAUUUUCUAAAACUAGCUAAUUUCUUCUAUUGUAAUCUAGAAGCUCCUAAGUAAAGGUUUUGGUAGUAGAAGUUGUGGUCUAAAAAUGUCCAAGUUAGAGAUGUUUGGAUGAAUGGCCGUGGACAGUUGUAAAGCAAAAAAAUCUCUGACAAAAGCAGAGAUCUUUCCUUGAAGAAUACUGUGGCUGACUUUAUGAGUAAAGCAAGAACUAGUUUGUGUAAGGUGGUGGAAACAUUAGAUAAACUCCACCCACGUGAACAUCCCAUCUUACAAUUAUGUAACGCCACAUUUCUAUCAACUAAAUAAACGAUAUUCUUGUCUCAUAAAUCUUUUUCUAUUUUCCUCAAAGUAUUCAUCCUUGUCCAUUCCCCUACAUCAACUAUACCAUAAACAUAUACAUUUACACAUACAAACAAAAAGAUAUCAUUGAUAUCAAAGUCAUGCUUCGGCACAAUCUCACCAUUUCCAACGGUUAGAGAAGGCGAUAAUUAAUAUCCCGACCUAGUGGGACGGUCCUGAGAAGUAAAGGCGCAGGGACAGAAUAUAGACAAGAUUUGUCUUCCAGCUAUGAUGAUGGCCUCUGAACAAUUCAUCUUCGUCUUCCCCAGUCAUUUUAGAUGGAAUGGCGAUAUCAUUCCACGGUUCUAGUUUUGCAGUGAUCCAAAGCUUGAUCUUGCUAGACGAUGAGAAAGCUGUCUUGUGUAGUUGUUACACCAUCUGUCAUGGAAUUUUCGUGCAAAAUUUCACAAGAACAAGGUCAGAUGAAUGAAGGAUUGAAGUCUAUGUCAUUCUGUUUUGUUGCAGUAUGAAUGACUGAGUUCAAGUUGAUUCAAAGCGUUAGAGCAAUUGGGACUUGAUAGGCUGCUUCAUCGGGUGAGGACUUCUUCGUUCCAACUUUUUCUCUCCCUUUUGAUUCGUUUUCAUUUCUGCUAUUGAUUUUGUCAUUUUGAGCUUAGGUUGCUACCUAAUAGGCAGAAUUUUUGUAACAUUUGAUAUGAUAUGCAGAUACACAUUACUUGUGUAUAUCUCGAAAAUUCCCACUUUUAGACACUGCUUUUGGCUGGCUUCUAAAAAAUGCCCUUCUAUUAAUCUUCCGAGCGUUAAAAACUACAAAUAAAAACUAAAAAAGUCAGAUUGUGAGAGCAACUUCUGUUUGCUCUUUCUUUUGUUUUGCAUUGCAUAUUGGUCCUUCACCUAUUUUGUAUGCUGACAGCUAAUUAUAAACACCAAGUUGCUUCAAAGGUCAUAUUUGAAACGAGCAUAUACUGAAAUGUAGGGGCAAAAGAAAUUAUGCAGGUUCUCGAAACUCUGGUGGUUGACCGUGGGGACAUCACCCGACCCUGGUAUGUUGAGCUUUUUGAUGGCGAUGAUUUGGCCGCUGGCCAGUUCGGCCUUGUAAAUGCUCCCAAACCAGCCCUUUCCGAUGCAGUACUUUUCACUGCAGCCAUUGGUAGCCUUGGCGAUGUCAUUGAAUGUGAACUUUCCUUCCCUUCCCCAUAUGAUUGACUUGGAUUGCUCUUGCUUCACAAGACUCUUGAUCUCUUCUUUGAAUUCCUUGUUUCACCACCGAACUGCCAGAAUCAUAGCAAUUGAAGUCACUAGAAGUAGUAAACAGCAGACUCCCAGGGUCACACCAAAAAGAACCUUUUCCCUAGGUCGGUCAAUUUACCGCUCGUCCCACAAGGAGAUAAUCUGGUCGCGUUUCCACACAAACCUGGACUCGCGAUUAAAAAACUUCCCUGUGCUUGUUGGGAGAGGCGACCACUACGAACCGCACUGAUUGGCUCGUUGUACGAUAAGUCUAUUGAGCUUCAACUCCUCAUGCUGGUGAGAGGAGCUGGGAUCGUACCCGACAAUUUGUUACGCAAAAGAUUGAGAUUUUCCAAUUCAACAAGCUUUGCUAAAUUGGAAGGAAUUGAUCCUGCUAGAGAUAUGUGGCUCAGGUCCAGGAGAUUCUGUAACGUGAACAAGUUCCCCAGCUCUGGCAAUAUGACAUCCAACAGAUUGUUGUUGUUCAAGUUCAAGCUCAGUAAAUUCUUGCAAUUCGUUAGCUCUUCUGGUAUGCUACCGCUCAAUGCCUUCUCCCCGACAAAUCAAGAUAUUCUAGCUUCGAUAAGUUUCUUAACGAGAUGGGAAUGUCUCUGGCCAAAUGGUUGUAGCUCAAGUUCAGCCUAAUCAAUGCCCCCAGAGUUACCAAAUCAUAGGGAAUUUUCCUAGUCAAUUCAUUGCCAUAUGGAGUCAGAUCGCACAAUUGAGACAAUUUCCCAAGCUCCGGCGAGAUGCGGCUGGGGAUUUUGUUACCAUCUAUUUGCAAAUUCGUGACAUUCGUGCACUCUCCCCAUUCUGCAGAGAGAUUCCUGACAAAUAGAUUGUUGCUAAGGGCCUGAGGCUUAUAAAGUCCAGAUUCAGAUAAACCCCAAACACACUCAUGACAUCUGCAGUGAACCGAUUGCUGUCCAGACGGACUCUCGUUAGCCCUGGACAAUUCCUAAGCAGUCGGGCAGCGGCUCGGUGAAGUUAUUGUUAAAGCUCAUAAAACAACAAUCAAAACAGAAAACAUAUAUGUUGUUUGAGGGAGAGAAAGGAUAAAAAAACAGAGCAUAACACUUCAUACGUUUUGUGCAAAAGAAAAAACUGUCAAGUACCACAACUAAAUACAAAGCAAAAACUGCUCACAUACGUGCUAUUAACUUCCUAGAAAAUAGCAAAAACACUAAAUGCAUAACUAAAUGAACUUGGCUAUUAAAAAAAUAACAAAGGAAAAUAGAGGAAAAAACACGACCGAAAACAGCAGCACUGAGACAAUUCCAACAAACUCCUCCUUGGAUCACUUGUUGCUGCAAAUUCCUAUUUUCUCUCUUAACAGCUCAAAUUUUCCAGCCUGAAGUGGUUUUGUGAACGUAUUUGCAAGCUGAUCUUCAGAUCUGCAAUAGAUCAACUUAACUUCACCACUUUGUUACACCUCACGCAGAAAGAAAAAUUUGACUUUAAAAUGCUUGGUUUUGCCAUGGAAAACUGGAUUCUGUGAUAUUGCUAGAGCAACCUGAUUGUCCACAUUGACUUCGAUACAAUCACUGGAAUUCAACCACAAAUCCUUCAUUAUCUUCUUUAGCCACAAAGCUUGAUUUGCAGCUGUAGUAGCUGCUAUAAACUCAGCCUCUGCAGUAGACUGAGCUACAAUCUCUUGCUUUUUAGAACAUCAGGAGAAACAAGCAAAACCAAAACUGAAACAAUAUCCAGACGUACUCUUCAUGUCAUCUAUUGAACCGGCCCAGUCACUAUUAGAAAAUUCUUGCAAAUUAAACUUCUGACAUUUCUUAAACUUCACACCAAAGAACAAUGUUCAUUUGAGAUAUCUCAAGACCUUUUUUACUGCAAUCAAAUGUAACUGACUAGGACUAUUCAUAAACCUGGAUAAAAUACUUACAACAAAUAGAAUAUUUGGUCUGGUUGCUGUAAGAUACAUGAGACACCCAAUCAGACUUCUAUACAUAGAAGUAUCUACUGCAUCUGUUCCAUCAUUCUUGUGCAGCUUCUCUUUAGCAACCAUAGGAGUGCUUACACUUCAACAAUCUUCCAUCUGAAACUUCUUUAGAAUUUCCUUCAUCUAUUUUUUCUGACAGAUGAAGAUCUCAUUUGAAGCUUGUUUGACUUCCAAACCCAAAAAAUAAGUCAUUUUUUCCAAGUCCGAUAUCUCAAAAACUGCAAAUAGAUCUCGCUUCACCUUCUCUAUCAAUUCCAUAUCAUUCCCUAUCACUAAUAGAUUAUCUACAUAAAGUGACAGAAUUAUAACAUUGUGAUUCACCUUCUUGACAUAAAGAGUGAACUCACUUAAGCUUUUUACAAAGCCAAAAUCCUAUAAAUAUCGAUCUAUAUUCCCAUACCAAGCUCUUGGAGCCUGCUUCAGUCCAUAUAGAGGUUUCCUUAACCUAUAUACACUCUCUUCUUGCCCGUUGAUACUGAAGCCUUCAGGUUGUUCAACAAAAUCUCCUCCUCAAGCUCUCCAUUCAGGAAUGCAGACUUGACAUCUAACUGAAAUAUAGGCCACCCCUUCUCUGUUGCAAUAGCUAACAGUGACCUUAUUGUAUCAAGUCGUGCAAUAGGAGCAAAUGUUUCAGAAUAGUCUACUCCCCAUAUUUGUGCAUAGCCUUUUACCACCAGUCUAGCUUUGUGUUUAUUGACAGAACCAUCAGGAUUAAGUUUUAUUAUAAACACCCACUUAACCCCAAUCACAUUCUUAUCAGAUGGUCUAUCAACAAGCUCUCAUGUGUGGUUUUUCUGGAUCAUUGCAAUCUCCUCCUACAUUGCUGUAAUCCACCUCUAAUCCUCCUUAGCUUCCACAAAGUUAGAUGGUUCGAGCAUUGCCACAUUGCUUUUUUCAUAGAUUUCAGCAAGUGACCUUGUGCCUCUCAUGUGACACCCCGAACCCUUCGCAGGUCGUCACCAGCGCCGGUGUUACAUCUUUUACCAUCUCUAUCUCUUGGCUAAAUUAAGCCUUGCCAGAUUACAGGCAUUUUUUUUUCUUUUUCUUUUAAAGCGGUCCCAUGCGCGACUCAUAACGGAAGCAAAAUUCACAUCGUCAUCUAUCUCCCUUCUAACCCAUGAUACAAAUACACACCAGCUAAACAUCAUGAUUUUAUAAACGAACAUCGACACAUUAUUUACAUAUAUUUUCAAGAUGGGAUUACUCUCGGGUCGGUACAUAACAAGGAAAAGCUAGGACUCAGCCAUGUCCAGCCUAAAACCUCAAAAAGAAACCUCGACCCUUAACAUCAUGUGAACAAAGAACCCUCCCAUCGAAAGCGUCGGUUUUCUACAUCAAAAAGUGAUCUAGCUCCUACUCCUCGCGUACAGGUCUCACACCCAACCCGGUGUGUCAGGUGGUGGCGGCAGCAGCAUCCCUCGCAUCGCUCCAUCCCGUCGAACGUGCACAGAUAGGAACUCUUGUAUGAUAGGGCCCCCAGCCAGGCCGAUAUCAUACAUAACUAAGCAUCGCACUCGGAUAAACGUCAAUCCGGGCACAGAGGGACAAUCUAUCUCCGUACACUCCACCUCAACAUCAGACGGUAGACCGUAAAAUACCCCACGCAAAACAGCAGGUAGCGGCAUAGUGCUAAUCUGAAAUGUUAUCCCCAAAAGGGGUGAGUACAACCACUCAGCAGAUAGGGAAAUCUAAUGACAACUCAGUGCACCAUGCAUACCAUCAUACAAUGCAGGCAUUGCUUACCUUUUUUAUGUCAAGCGUAUUCAUGCAUCAUCAUAGCAUAUAUAUAUCAUCAUCAUGGCGUCUCAUAUAUCAUUAUCAUCACAUCAUCAUUAACCAUGCAUCACCAUGCAUAUCACAUCAUAUCAUCAUUAGCCAUGCAUCACCAUGCAUAUCACAUCAUCAUUAGCCAUGCAUGACCAUGCAUAUCACAUCAUAUCAUCAUUAGCCAUGCAUCACCAUGCAUAUCACAUCAUAUCAUCAUUAACCAUGCAUCACCAUGCAUAUCACAUCAUAUCAUCAUUAGCCAUGCAUCACCAUGCAUAUCACAUCAUCAUUAGCCAUGCAUCACCAUGCAUAUCACAUCAUAUCAUCAUUAACCAUGCAUCACCAUGCAUAUCAUAUCAUCAUUAGCCAUGCAUCACCAUGCAUAUCACAUCAUCAUUAGCCAUGCAUCACCAUGCAUAUCACAUCAUAGAUCAAUUUCCACUUUUAUUUAUCAAUUGAUCCCCACAUUAUCUUUUCUCAAAUCAUCAAAUUCACCAUCAUCACCAUCCCUUCGGGCAGAAACCUCCGACAGGGAUCCCAGUAACCCAGCCAUCUCAUGGCCACUGGGCUUCCGGCCCCCCACAUUCCGGGCAUCUCGCAUCUCAACUAGCAUCACGAGGCAUUCCCUUCGGACAGAAACCUCCGACAGGGCUUCCGGCCUUUACCCUUCUAACCGGGGAUCUCGCACCCUAAUCCUGGCAUCGCGAGUCACUCCCUUCGGGCAGAAACCUUCGACAGGGCUUCCGGCCCCCCACAUUCCGGGCAUCCUGAAACUCCCAGGGAAUCUCUGGAAUUAUGCCACUCGGCCACCAGAUAUCAUCCUCCGCCACAACCUCUUACUCACAUACCAUUUUCCACUUUUUAUCAUCCUUUUCAUCUUGUUAUUUCAUGGCAUAUGAUUUACAUACAUGCAUCACAAUUCAUGAUCAUUCAUACAUCAAUGCCAUAUAACAAUACAUCAUAAUUCAUGAUCAUACAUGUAUCAAUGUCAUGUAGCAAUGCAUCAUAAUUCCAUAGGACUCAUGGCCAAUAAAAUAAUCCACCUUUUAUUUUAUUAUUAUUUAUUAUUAUAUUAUUAUAUUAUUAUAUUAUUAUAUUAUUAUAUUAUUAUAUUAUUUAUUUUCAUAAAUAAAUAUUAUAUUUAAUAUUUAUGAUUUUCCAAAAAUCAUAAUCUUCAAUCAAUCAUUAAACAAACAAUUAGAAUCAAAUUUCACAUAAAAUCCAUGGCUAAUUUGCAUUUUACAUAAUUUCCCAAAUUUCCACAAAAUACACACAACAUUCGGAUCAUGGCCAGAUUGCACAGUUUUCGAAUUAAUUCAAUUAAAAUACUCAUAUGACCUCCGAAAAUUCCCAAAUUUUACAGGAUGAUAGCCAACACAUUUUCGUGCAUUUUUCAUGAAUAACUCUAAGCAAAAUUCUUUAUAUAUUAAUUUAUAUAACUCCACGAAGCUUCUGGAACCUCUACCGUUUCGUCCAGAACGUACAUCACCGAAAAACUUAGGUUCGACCCAUCAAAUCUCUUUCGUUUCUCCUGAAAUUCGAGUAUGUUAUAUAUCAAUGUGUCCUUUACAAGUUUCAUGAAGAGAUCUAGGUUAAAUAACCAAAGCAUGAUCCUCUUUUAAGUCCUUGAAGUCUCGGGUGUCUCGGUUCACUUCAACAGAACCAUCCGUCUCAAAGAUCUAGCUGGUUAACUAGGCUAUACUCAUUUUUUCUCCUAAAAUUUGAGUAUGUUAUAGUUUAUGAUGUUAUCUACAACAUUCAUGAAGACAACAAAGUGAGAUCUCCAACAGAAAUCAACAUGCAACCAAGAAAUCAACAAAAGGUCAGUAGGAAAUUCGCAGAUCUAAAGCCUCCGUGAAAUAGAACUUUUGACCCCUCAUAUCACCAUAGUUUUCCAUGAAAUUCGAGUAUGUCAUACCUCAAGAUGUUAUCUUCAACUUUCAUGAAGACACUGAAGCCAAAAUCACACUUCAAAUACACAUGCAAGCUCGAAUAAGAUACUGUCUACCACCAACCGAACGGAAACAGCCACAUAACAUGAACACAUUCAACCCUUACUUCGGUAUUUCGCCCAAAUCACCCCUAAACCCGAACAUGCAACCAUCAAAACAACAUGCAAGAGAAGUUAAGGACCCCCCACUUGCCUCCAAAAUGAACGAACAGCAAGCACAAGGCGGCGUAGGAUGGUCGGACAAGGUGGCGACGGCGAGACACGACGGCGGCAACUCUCGGCUCCACCUCCUCUCUCUCGGUCUCUCCCCUUUCUCGAACACUCUCUCUCUCUCUCUCUCUCACCUUUCUCGGCCAAAAUGAGCUAGAGGAACCGGCCACUCUCUUUCCUAAUCCCCUUUUUAUAUCCCCUCAAUUGCAAUGAUUAACUCACCUCAACCAUGGCCAAUGCAUGAGGGCUUGUCUUGCCACUUGUAAUUCUUGUUUUUAAAUUUGAAUUUCAAUGGGCUUGGGCUUAGGCCCAACCGGCCAUUUCUCCUUCUUGGGCUGGUCGAACUCCCCUCUUGGGCCCAAUGGGCCGACUAGCUUGGCCCACCAAGCUCUAGGCUAAUGGGUCCAAGGCCCAUUUCGAAAAUAACCCUAUUUUCUCUUCUUUUUUUUUUUGAAUUCCUAUUUAUAAAUAUUUCUAAAUUCAAAUUUCAUCUUGGCCAAAGUCUUGGGAUAUUUCAAUUAUUGAAAUUUAAAUCAUAUGGCCAAGCAUUUAAAUUUAAAUUUCCACAACACAAGCAAAAUUCAUCAAAUUAAAAGACAAAUUGGCUAAAGCAUAAGCCAUAAAAUUCUAUCACCUAAUUAAAGACAUUUAACACACCUUAAGGCUUGGCUUUGAAUUUCCGGGAUGCCACAUCUCACUAGUAAAUCAUCCAUACUGUCUUCUAAUCCAUCUAUAACUUCAUCAACCUCUACAUCUGUUGCAGGUUGUUUUUCGAACUGCUGUUGUUUUGCACUCUUUCCUUCCAUCCAAUUCCACUCAUCUUCCCCUAGAAAAAUAACAUCUCUACUCACAAUCACCUUCCUUGUCAUGGGAUGGAAAAUCCUAUAAGCCUUUGAUUGAAGAUUAUACCCAAUAAAGAUUCCAAGCUCUACUUUCUUAUUCAGCUUGUCCCUCUUGACCUCAGGAACAUGAGUGUAACACAAACACCCAAAAACCUUCAAAUUCUUCAUAGAAGGUCUAACACCAUGCCAGACUUCAAAAGGUGUUGACUUCUCUAAGGCCUUUGUGGGCAAUCUAUUCAAUAGAAACACUGCAGUAUUAGCUGCCUCAACCCAGAACUUCUUAGGUAACUUCUUCUCCUGCAUCAUACAUCUAGCCAUCUCCAUAAGGCUUAUGUUUUUCCUCUCACUCACCCCAUUCUGUUGAAGUGAAUAGGGAGCAGUGAACUGCUGUACAAUUCUUGCUUGCUCACAAUUCAACUUAAACUUGUGAGCUGUAUACUCAGAACCAUUAUCAGACCUGAGCAUUUUAAUUUUCUUCCCACUCUGAUUCUCAACUAAGGCUUUGAACUUCACAAACACAUCAGCAACUUCAGACUUGGCUCGCAGAAAAUAAAUCCAACUCAUCCUAGUCAUAUCAUCAGUGAAAGUAAUGAAAUACCUACUACCAUUGAGAGAAGACUCGGACAUAGGUCCACAUAAAUCUGUGUGGACUAAUUGUAGCUUCUCACAUGCUCUCCAGCCUCCUCCUUUGAAAGGAAAUUUGGCUUGCUUGCUAAGAAGACAAGUUAUGCACCGUGGAAAUUCCUCCUCCAAACUUGGCAAGUCAUCUGCCAAGUUAUUCCUCUGCAUAAACGACAUGCUCUUCUUGUGAACAUGCCCAAGUCUUUUAUGCCAUAGCUUUGCAUUUUCUUCUUUGCACUUUAAAGCCAUUUGUUGCAUCUCUUGUGGCUUGAACAUGAAACUCUUGUCCUUCAUUGGGAUUCUUAGCACUUCUUUGCUAUAUGCAUUAUUAAUAAGAUGUUCCUUCUCUUCGAACUUCACUUUAUAGCCCUUCUCAACUAAUUGACCAACACUUAACAAAUUCUAGUCAAUAUUUGGCACAAAAAGAACAUCACUGAUCAGCUUCACCUCCCGAUUUCCUUCAAUAACCACUGUACCCUUCCCUUACACUUCGAUAUACUGUCCAUUUCCAAUUCUAACUCUGGACCUGACUGACCUGUCUAGACUCCUAAACAACUUCGAAUUGCCAGUCAUAUGAUUGGUACAGCCACUAUCCACCAGCCAUGCAUCAUUCCCAACAGAAGAUCCAGGAAAUGAAGCUACAAACAAGUGCUCUUCCUCAAUUUCAUUCACUGCAACCUGUGCUUCUCCUGCUUGCUAGUAAUUUUUCUGUUUGUAGAUGGUUUCCAUGUGACCCAACUUGUGACAUCUUCUACACCUAGCAUCAGGCUUUCUCCAACAUCUAAAAAACUGAUGAUUAGUUCCACCACAAUAUUGACAAGGUUUUUUGUUCUUCUUCCAUUUGCUAGACUCACCAGAAUUUCCUUCUUUUGCUAUAAACUUGGAAUCACCAGCAUUUCCUCUCAACUGAAUCCAUUUCUUCCAUUUGCCUCCAUCAUUGGACUUCACUCUAGCUUGCAGUGCACCCUCUACAUGCUCUUCUCUUUUCAUCAGUCUUCUGUGCUCCUGUGCCUGCAGAGCAUUUAAUAAUUCUGCAAGCUUUAUAUCAGCUAAGUCUCUUGUAUUUUCCAAAGACGCUAUGGUGGCUUUGAACUUCUCUAGAAGAGACACCAGGAUCUUCUAAACAAGCCUUUCAUCCUUCAAGUUAGUUUCUAAAACUUUGAUUUUUUCAGCUAUCUCAACCAGCCUAUCAAAGUACUCCUUCACUGACUCUGAAUCCUUCAUCUAUUGUCUCUCAAACUCCCUCAAGAGAUUCAGCACCUUCAUGCCUCUUAUCUUCUCAUCUCCCUCGUAUUCAUCCUUCAAGAAGUUCCAUAUUGCCUUUGCAGAAUCACAUCUCAUGAUCCUUGUGAAGACAGUGGGUGAAACAGCAGCAUACAUGCAAGACUUUGCCUUAGCCUUCUUUGGGAUUCUCUCUUUAUGGUACUUUAUCUGAUUUAAGGUCGGAUUAACUGGAAGUGGAGCAACCUCAUAAUCAUUCUCCACAGCCUCCCAUAGAUUGUGACCCUCCAAGAAUGCUGUCAUCUUGACAGCCCAAGCUUGAUAAUUUUCCCCAGUAAAGACUGGAGCAACCAUUGUAGAGAAUCAACUCGAUCUUGCCUCCAUCAGCUUUUUCUUUGCAAAUUGGAAGCAAUCUUCACUCACUUACCCUCACUUCACAGUCCCUUAAGAUCCUACAAACGCUCUAAUACCAAUGUUAAAGCUCAUAAAACAACAAUCAAAACAGAAAACAUCUUUGUUGUUUGAGGGAGAUAAAGGAUAAAAAAAAAAAAAAAAACAAAGCAUAGCACUUCAUAUGUCUUGUGCAAAAGAAAAACUGUCAAGUACCACAACUAAAUACAAAGCAAAAACUGCUCACAUACGUGCAACACAUAACUGCACACAAACGUACUAUUAACUUCCUAAAAAAUAGCAAAAACACCAAAUGCAUAACUAAAUGAACUUGGCUGUUUUUUUUUUUUAAAAAAAAAAAAGAGGAAAACAGAGGAAAAAACACGACCGGAAACAGCAGCACUGAGACAAUUCCAAUAGUUAUUCCCAUCGACCGCGAGAUAUCAAAGAGCAAAGCCGUUGCAUAUAUCUGGCGGCAGCUCUCUGGUGAAGCUGUUGUUCGAAAAGCUAAUGUUGCCCAGAGAAUGGCUGUACUUGCCGAAAUCACGUGGUAUGCCUCCCGAGAAAUUGUUCAUGAACAAAGAGAUGGACUGUAAGUGAUACUACGUCAUGGCUUUUUCCUUCCCAACCCUGAUCUCCUCUUCUUCAACUUGAAGUGCCUCCUUGGUGGUAUACUUGCUCGUCAUCUUGCAAACCGACCUUCAUCACUGACAGCCUCUCAAACUUGAUCUCGUAAUCAAUCGACUCGAUUUUGUCGUCCAAUGUGUCACCUUCGAUUAUCGGCUACCUACACACGAAGUUCUCCUUGUCAAGCUCAUCGAUCCGGUGCUUCACAUUCUUGAAAUGACUAGCUGCAUUUGUGACCAAACAAGACUUACAUUAUGAAACUCCCGGCUUGAUGAGUGUUUGUUGAGUGUACGUACCUUCGGCGAUAUUAACUUGCUCAAUGCUCCCGGCUCCUCCGUCGCCUUGCACGAGCUCCACGCUCUUUAUGAACUGAGGCAGGAGCUUUGGGAUCAGGGAAUUCAACCCGACGAUCAAGGCCUUGAACAUGUGAGCUGGUGCAAUCGGGCAUGUGAGCUCUUGUGUGAUGCUGGUUGCACCCAUGGCUAUUGGCAAUGAGAAAGAAAUAACCCCAGAGAAGUUGGUGCUUCUGAGUCCUGCCAAUGCCUCCUAUUUAUGGUUAGAAUUAUGUGAAUAGGUAGGCUUGGUUUGGCAAGAGUCACGUAUGAGGAAAAUAAAAGAGUCAAGGAUUCGCGGCCUAAAGAAAUGUAAAAGAGGAAUUAAGUUGGUCUCUUUUGUUCUCUUGGUCAUGAAAAUGAUUUCGGUCCCUUUUCAGAUUCAAGUUGUUGAAAUAUCAAAGUAUAUGUUCCAAAAGAUGAACACAAGAGAGCGCAUUCUCAUGCUCACAUGGGCGGCCGUCACUUAGAAUUGAUUGUUGUGGAGUUUGAUAUGACGAUUCAGCGAUAUCGUAAUCAAAUGUCCUUGUUUAGACAAGCGAGUGUUCAUUGAAUUUCAUUCAAUAUGUAGCAAACAAUAACACUUAAUAAAUUAGUGAUAUCACAAUAAUAUGUCGCACAAUAUAAACAUCACAUAAAAUAUUUCUUCACACUCGAUGCCUUAAUGUUGUGGUAAAUCCAUUUCAAUUCAUCCAAUAAGGCCUUUCGUAAUCAUUUCCAUAAAAUUUAAAAGAAAAAGGUUAAGGUUGAUAAAGCUUCACUGACACCGGCGGUUUGACUGGGUCAAAAUAGGGUCGGCAACGGGGUGUCCCAAGAUCAGCUCAUCAUCUGAGUGGGAGGGGAUGUGGAGGCUGCUGCUUUUCCGUUAUAAUUUUCUUCUCUUUUUCUUUUCUUUUUUUCUUUUUCUAUUAUUGUUGAAUCGUUUGAUCUCUAAUCCAUUGUCCCCAUCAAGAAUCAAGAUAGGAUUAGCUUAAAUAGAAUUCAAAUAGCCGAAGUGUUGCAAUAAGAUAAGUCUAAACCCUAAACACAUUCAACAAUUUUUGUAUAGCUUUAUUGAUAUUUAAUAAAAAUGUACUUUUCCUUAAAAAUUUUACUUAUUGCGGGUUAUGAAAAAUUGUGCCACAUUGAUAUGUUUAGAUGAUCGAUCUGGGUCAAACGGGAUCGAUUGUCCAUAUUCGAAAUAUCAGGCCGCAGUUUACCAUGAAUUCAUUUGUCACUCAUGAAUUCUCUCCAUGUAGCGCAGUUUACCAAAUUCCAUAAAACCACUACACCAGAUUCCUGCCACACCUUUCAUUCUCUCAUUCUCAGCAAAGACGAGAACAACAACAAUCACCAGCCCAACAUGCUUUAACUUCAAACACCGAGUGACUCAAACGCUUCUUGUCGCCUAUUUAGUUUAGCCCAACCGGACAUAUUUAAUACGUUACAUGAACAAUAAAAGAUAGCGAUGAGAUCGGCGCAACAUGCAUCAGGGUUUGCCACGACAGAAGCCUCGAUGGCCUUAACCAUCGCGUCCGCCUUCUCUUUCCCGGCCUUGAUCUCCUCCUCGGUGAUAUUCACCUCGCCAAUGGUUAAGUACUUGCUUGUGCUCUUCAACAUCGAGCCUCCGUCGGGCGACGCGGUGAUCUUCACCUCGUAACUGAUCUUCUCAAAGUCGGUGCCCAGCGGGUCACCCUCGAUGAUUGAGUAGCAGUAGGUGAAGUUCUCCUUGUCCAAGGCCUAGACCUUGUGCUUUGCCGUCUUGUACCGACUGCCUAUCAAAGUAACAAAGUAACAUUCACAUUUAGAACUCGCCGGUUUCAACAUUGUGAGCACUGAUCUUGAUGGUGUAGAUCCAGCCAUUUAGGAAUUAACCCCCAACCCCAAUCCAAUACUAUUGACUUAGACAUGGCCUGAUUUUGCCCGAUCGAAAUCGCGUCACAUGAUCACUUGCGUAAAUUUAAACAGUUAGAAACAUAUUAAUUAAUCAAGUCAUAUAUCUAUCCUUUUCAAUGUUCAUUAUAGUGUUCUAGGUUGAACCCGCCUUGAUUCGGAGCGAUCCUAAGUUCCUAAUACGGAAGGACUAACUUUCGCAGAAAGUCAUACCUCCAUCGCCCUCGAGGACUUCAAUGCUCUUGACGUCUUGUGGGAGGACCUUGUUGAUGAGGUUAUCGGCGUCAAGGAGAGUGGCUCAAACAUCUCGGCUGGAGGGAUUGGGGACGUGGUCUCGAAGUCAUUAGUGAUGACACCCAUGACUGGAUCCGAACAGAGUUGCUGAAACUGAGAAGAGGGUGAUGAUCAGGAAAAGACUUGGGCGUGAUGAAGUUGGUCUCUAGGACUUGGGAGUGAAGAAAGGAGGCUAAACUGAAGAUGACAUAUAUAGAGAGAGACUGAGUGUGAAGGGUUAUGAUUACUGAAUAUUUCCUUCUUACUUAAGAGGGUUUCGUAGAAAAUAAAUAAUUUGAAAAAUAUUUUCUUAAAAAUAAUCACUAAAUUUGGAUACUGUUUCCAAGCAAAAGUUAAUUGGUGAGUGUGCUACAUAUUCUAAAUUGAUCUAAAUCCAUAUAGAACUCACUAGAAUUAAAAGUCAAGAUUCUCCUUAAUAUAAAUACGAUGAAAAAAUGCUACCUCAUUUCCGAGUGUUCGUCAAAAUUGGUUUGUAUGUACUAUGUUAAUCUAAAUCGCUAAAUUUGAUGGAUUCACAUGGGAUCCAUACGAAACUCACUAGAAUUAAAAGUUCAAAUUCCACUUAAUAUAAAUACGGUGCUCUUUCCUCAAAAUUGUGUUGUCUAUACUAAAUUGAUUUAAAUCACUAAAUCCGAUGGGUUCUUGUGAUACCCAUAUGGAACUCACUAGAAUUAAAAAUCCAAAUUCAGCUUAAUAUAAAUAUGACCAUAGCUCAUUUCCGAGUCUUCAUCAAAAGUGUGUUUGAUGUCCUACAUUGAUAUAAAUCACCAAAUCUGAUGGGUUUGCAUGGGAUCCAUAUAGAACUUACUAGAAUUAAAACUCCAAAUUCCCCUUGAUAUAAAUACGACACUACCUCAUCUCCGAGUCUUCAUCAAAAUUCUGCUAAAGGUACUAACUUAAUCUAAAUCGCUAAAUUUGAUGGGUUCACGUGGGAUCCAUACGAAACUCACUGAAAUUAAAAGUUCAGAUUCCAUUAAUAUAAAUAUGAUGCUCUCUCAUUGAAAUUGCAUUGUAUGUACUAAAUUGAUUUAAAUUGCUUAAUCUGAUGGGUUCAUGUGGGACUUAUAUGGAACUCACUAGAAUUAAAAGUCUAGAUUCUGCUUAAUAUAAAUCAACCUUGGCUCAUUUCCGAGUCUUCAUCAAAAGUGUAUUGUGGGUUCACGUGGGAUCUAUAUAGAACUCGUUGAAAUUAAAAGUCCAGAUUCCUAUUAAUAUAAAUAUGACACCACCUCAUUUCCGAGUUUUCAUCAAAAUUAUAAGUUAAUCUACGGGUUUGUUUUGUUAUUAUGACUUUUGAGAUUCCCUUUCAUGUAUUAGUUUGGUAAUGAAUAGAAAUUUCUUUUUGACCCAAAAAAAAAAUUAAUCUAAAUCGCUAAAUUCUAUGAGUUUACAUGGGACCCAUAUGAAACUAUGGAACUCACUAAAAUUAUAAGUCUAGAAUCCACUAGAUAUAAAUAUGACGCUAGCUCAUUUCCAAAUCUCCGUCAAAUGCUUUUUUCUCAUCACUUUGAAGCUUCCGAUCGCACCCCACUUUGUUGCACGUGAAUCGGGAAUGUUUUACGACGCCAAAGUCUUUGUUAAAUCUCAAAAAGAUUGAGUCAACGUGGAACAACAACUCAAUUGUAAGCAUCGGGGUUUUGCAAGAGAUGGGCUCCAAUGGCUUUCAACAUUCCCAUGGCCUUCUAUUUGCUAGCUUUGUUCUCGACCCCGUCCUUGGCGAAGUACUUGCUCGUGCUCGUGCUCGUGCUCUUGCACGUGCACCCUCUCUGUCUGGACUUGAUCUCGUUCGAGAUCUUCUCUAGCGCGUCGCCCUCGACGAUGGUGUAAGCGUGCGCGAGCUUUCCUUGUCCAGCUUGUGGACUGGUGCUUCACCGAGUUGAACCGUCUAGCCGUGACACACAGAAAACUGCAGUCAGCUCCCACGUUAGUCUUAUCAAAGAAUGUCAGGCCAAUGUCUUGACAUCACAUGUUGAUGCGACGUGACCAAAAUGAAUGAAAUUAGAAGACGCGCAAGUACUCGCCUCCACCGAAAACGAUGCGAUGGUGACGGGACAGCCAUCACCUUCAAGGGUGACAAAAUCCAGACUGGCUUGUGGGAGGAGCUUGGGGAUGAGAUUUUUAUCAAGAUCAAAGGCCUUGAACAUUCGUGCAGGUGGGAUGGAAUGCGUCUUCGCCUAAGAUUUCCGAGUCCCAGGGCAAGAUAUGUGAGAUUAUGUUGAAAUGCCCUUUAAAUGAUUCUCAAUCUCCUCGUUUAGCAAUCUAAAUCAGCAUCACAAUGUUCUUAAAUAAUACAACAAAAAAACAGGACAAAACGCAUGGAUCUCAAGCCCAAAUUAUACUUAUUAGCAUGCGAGAGAUCUUUGAAUGCAAACACCCUUGAGGGUGGGAAUUCACUAAAUUAUAACUUAAAUAUUCUAACGGCACCAACGGCUUGGACAAGCAAGCUUGAGUGCAUGCGGACAAUUCUUGCGCAAUGAAAUGCAUGGUAAGUCGCGAAUCGAGACUCGUCCACGUACACGCUAUUGCGACCAUGACCAUGAAGACCACUUCCUUGACCAGUUGGCUAGUCGGAGGAGGAAGAUGUGGGUCGAGCAUAUCCUAUAGUGGCACAUUUGAGUCUUUCAAUAAUGUCGACAUUUGUGUCAUUUGUAGGGAAGAGAGAAGAUUCCUGGAUGCUUCCCCAUCAUUCUCUAGCAUUGGUACUUUUACUGUUGACUCUGUUUCAUGAAAGAAGAAUGAAUCUAUGUUUUUAUUACAACCUCAAGUUGCCUACAAAUUCCAAAUUUUUGAGAUACUGUUAAUACAAACCACUUUUCAAAAUCUGUACUUGCUCUUCCUAAAAAGUCUUAUUAGAAGUAUUGGACGAAUCCAAAUUCAAUAUGUCAAUUAAAGCUAUUUGAUCAACCCGAGACCAUAGGUACAGGGGGAAUGUAUUGAUUAGAUUUGAUUACGUAGCUUACCAGAAACCAUGUAGUCAUAAGAUCUAGCCACAGGGAUCCAAUUCGAUGAAUCCAAAUUCAAGAGCCUCACCGUCCCAAAAACCAAAAGCCGAGGCUCGAAGUCCGACUCGAGCAAGAUGUUGUUCAACAUCAUGUCCUGAUGGACAAUAGGCAGUGAGCAAUCGUGAUGCAAGUAGGUGAUCGCGGGAGCCACGCAUUGAACAAUCUUCACUCUCUUGACACAAGUCCGAUUCAACUGCUCCUCUUCUUCCAUGCAAGACCUUUGCCAAAGUUCAGAAAAACAUUGGAUGAUGUCCCUGCGGUUAACCACCACUUUUUUUACCGUGACGAUGUGGCCGCUGGCCUAUUCGGCCUUGUAAACGCUUCUAAAUCCGCGUUUUCCGACGCAAUACUCUUCACUGAAGCCGUUGGUGGCCUUGGCAAUAUCGUUGAAUGCAAACUUCGUUCCCCUUUUCCAUAUGAUUUCACGUACUUCAUAAGAUUUCUUAUCUCUUCAUCGAGAUGCUUGUUUCACCGCCAAAGCACCGAAAUCAGAGCAAUAAGAGUCACGAGAAGUAGUAAGCAGCAAACGCAACAAUCACAUUAAUCAGAACCUUUCUCCGAUGGUCAGUCGAUUUACUGCUCGACCCGCAUGGAGACAUUCCGUCGCGUUUCCUCAUAAGCCCGGAUUUGCAAUAAAAGCACUUCCUAGUUAUUGUCGAAAGAGGCGACCACCAAGAACUGCGCCUGUCAGCUUGUUGUAUAAGAAGCCCAUGAAGCUUAAACUGCUCAUGCUGGUGAGAGCAGCUGGGAUCGUACCCGACAAAUCGUUAUGCGAAACAUUGAGAUUUUCCAAUUUAGUGAGCUUUGUUAAAUUGGAAGGAAUUGAUCCUACUAGUGAAUUGUGGCUCAGGUCUAGUGGUUCUGUAGCGUGAACGAGUUCCCCAGCUCUGGCGACAUGACACCCAACAUAUUGUUGUUGCUCAAGUUCAAGCUCAGUAAAUUCUCGCAAUUUGCUAACUCUUUUGGUACAAUAUAUAGAGAAGGGAUGUACUUGCCGUAUUGUGGUUUAUGAAAGAUUGUGCCACAUUGAUAACUUUAGAUGUUAAUCCAAAUUCAAAAUAUCAGGCCAAAGUUUGGUAUUUUAUUGGCCAUUUGGCAUUUCAUUUAUAACUCAUGAAUUCUCUCCUCGUAAAAAAAAUUACUAAAUUAGAGAAUUUCAUUCUACAAGCCUUGUAUAGUUUAUCAAAUUACACAAAACCACUGCACCAGAUUCCUAUCACACCUUUUAUUCUCUUAUUCUCGGCAAUGACAAGAACAACAACACUCACCAGCCCAACAUGCUUAGCUCCAAACAGAGUGACUUAAACUCUUCUUGUCUCCUUUUCAGUAUAGCAUAACCACACAUAUUUAACACAUUACGUAAACAAUACAAGAUAGCGAAGAGAUCGGCUCAGUAGGCAUCAGGGUUUUCCAAGAGAUAAGCCUCGAUGGCCUCGUACAUCGCGGACGCCUUCUCUUUCCGGGUGUUGAUCUCCUCCUCGGUGAUGUCCACCUCGCCAAUGGUGAAGUAACUGUUCGUGCACUUCAACAUCGAGCCUCCCAAAGGCAACGCGUUGAUCUUCACCUCAAAGGUGAUCUUCUCGAAGGUGGUGCCCAGCAUUUCGCCAUCGAUGAUUGAGUAGCAGUAGGUGAAGUUCUCCUUGUCCAGGGCCUCGACCUUGUGCUUUGCUGUCUUGUAUGGAUUGCCUAUCACUGUAACAAAAAGUCAUAUUCACAUUUAGAACUCGCAGGUUUCAAUAUCACGAGCACCAAUCUUCAUGGUGUCCAUCAGGCCAUUUAGGAAUUGACCCAAUUGUUCCGACCGCAAUCCAAUACAAUUGACUUAGACAUAGCCUGACUUUGCCUGAUCAAAAUUGAGUCACAUAUUCACUUGUGUAAAGUUAAACGGUUAGAAACAUCUUAAGUAACCGAGUCAUAUUUUUAUCUUUUUCCAUAUUCAUUAUAGUGUUUCAUAAGGUUGAACCUGCCUUGAUUCAGAGCAAUCCUAAGUUCCUAAUACGGAUGGACUAACCUUCAGCAAAAGUAAUCAACUUGAUGGUCCCGGGACCUCCAUCGCCCUCGAGGACUUCAACGCUCUUGACGGCUUGCGGGAGGACGAUGGGGAGGAGGUUACCGGCAUCGAGGACAACAGCCUUGAACAUCCUGGCCAGGGGAAUGACGGACGGGACAUCAAAGUGAAAAGUGAUGACACCCAUGACCGGAUCCUAACGGAGUUGCUGAAACUGAGAAGGGGGUGAUGAUCUGGAAAGACUUGAGUAGUAGUGACGAAGUUGGUCUCUGCGACUUGGGAGUGAAGAGAAGAGGCUGAAUUGAAGUUGACAUAUAUAGAGAGAGAGGGAGACUGAGUGUGAAGGGUUCUGAUCACUGCAUAUUUUCUUCUUACUAAGAUGCAUUAUAUUUUGCAGAAAAUAGAUAAUUUAGAAAAUGUUUUCCUAAAAAUAAUCACUAAAUUUAGAUAGUGUUCCGAGCAUAAGUUAUUUGGUGAGUGUGCUGCAUGUUCUAAAUUGAUCUAAAUUGCUAAAUUUAAUGGGCUCACUAGAAUUAAAAGUCUAGAUUCCCCUUAAUAUAAAUACGACACUACCUCAUUUUCAAGUCUUCGUCAAAAUUGUAUUGUAUAUAAAUAUGACCCUAGCUCAUCUCCGAGUCUUUAUCAAACGUGUGUUGUAUGUCCUAAAUUGAUCUAAAUUGCUAAAUCUAACAGGUUCACAUGGGAUCCAUGUGGAACUCACUCGAAUUAAAAGUCUAGAUUCUCCUUGAUAUAAAUACGAUGCUAUGUCAUUUCUAAGUUUUCGUCAAAAUUGUGUUGUAUAUAAAUAUGACCCUAGCUCAUUUCUGAGUCUUUAUCAAACGUGUGUUGUAUAUCCUAUAUUGAUCUAAAUCCCUAAAUCUAACAGGUUUACGUGGGAUCCAUGUGGAACUCACUCGAAUUAAAAGUCAAGAUUCUCCUUGAUAUAAAUACGAUGCUAUGUCAUUUUGAAGUUUUCGUCAAAAUUGUGUUGUAUACACUAAGUUAAUCUAAAUCGCUAAAUUUGACGGGUUCAUGUGGGAUCCAUAGGAAACUCACUAAAUUAAAAGUUCAAGUCAACUUAAUAUAAAUACAGUUUUCUUUCAUCAUAAUUACGCCGUAUGUACUAAAUUAACCCAAAUUGCUAAAUCUAACAGGUUCACAUGGGAUCCAUGUGGAACUCACUCGAAUUAAAAGUCAAGAUUCUCCUUGAUAUAAAUACGAUGCUAUGUCAUUUCUAAGUUUUCGUCAAAAUUGUGUUGUAUAUAAAUAUGACCCUAGCUCAUCUCCGAGUCUUUAUCAAACGUGUGUUGUAUGUCCUAAAUUGAUCUAAAUCGCUAAAUCUAACAGGUUCACAUGGGAUCCAUGUGGAACUCACUCAAAUUAAAAGUCUAGAUUCUCCUUGAUAUAUAUAUGAUGCUAUGUCAUUUCUAAGUUUUCAUCAAAAUUGUGUUGUAUAUACUAAGUUAAUCUAAAUCGCUAAAUUUGAUGGGUUCAUGUGGGAUCCAUAGGAAACUUACUAAAAUUAAAAGUUCAAAUCAGCUUAAUAUAAAUCUAGUGCUCUUUCAUCAAAAUUACGUCGUAUAAACUAAAUUAACCCAAAUCGCUAAAUCUGAUGGGUUCAUGUGGGACCUAUAUAAAACUCGCUGGAAUUAAAAGUCUAGAUUCUACUAAAUAAAAAUGAGGCCCUAACUCAUUUCCGAGUCUUUGUCAAAAGUGUGUUGUAUGUCCUAAAUUGAUCUAAAUUGCCAAAUCUGAUGAGUUCACAUAGGAUCCAUAUUGAAAUCACUAGAAUUAAAAGUCCAAAUUCCACUUAAUAUAAAUAUGACGCUAGCUCAUUUCUGUUUCUUCAUCAAAAUUGUGGUAUAUGUACUAAGUUAAUCUAAAUCGCUAUAUUUGAUAGGUUCAUGUGGAACCCAAAUGAACCUCACUAAAAUAAAACGCCCAAAAUCGAUUAAACGUAUAUACUACUUUAACUCAUUUCUAGGUCUCCAUCAAGCGCCUUUUUCUCAUCUCUUUGAAGCUUCCGAUCGCGUGCCAUUCCGUCACAUGUGAAUCGCGAAUGAUUUUCCACGCCAGAGUCUUUGUUAAAUCUCAAGACUUAAAAAUACGAAUGUGAAGUAACAAUUGCGUGUCAAAUGCAGAAAAUUCAUAUGUGAAAAAGUUGACCGUCCCUUCUUGAGUCAACUGUUCUCUUCCUCGAUAUGCUUUUCUGAUAUGGCCUCAAAGACAGAUGGGCAAAGCGGCGCAUUCAUAUCUAUAAUCUCGCGGCAGUUUCAACUCUGUUAAAAGAAUGCCGAGGUCUUUACAAGAUGUUUGACAAGCGUCUUUGAUGACAGCAUGCAGCAUAUCUACCGCUUCAAAACAUAGUUACGGUUCAGUCUCGAUUGUUAUUUUUCUUCAAAUUAUGGUGGGAGAUAGAAAGAUCCAGCCAACAUGUAACAACAACUCACUCGUAAGCAUCAGCGUUUUUGCAAGAGAUGGGCUUCUAUGGCUUUCAACAUUCCCAUGGCCUUCUCUUUGCUGGCCUUGUUCUCGACCCGGUCCAUGGCGAAGUACUUGCUCAUGCUCUUGGCCAUACACCCUCUCUGUCUAGAAAAGCAUAGAACUUGAUCUCGUUCGGGAUCUUCUCUGCGCGUUGCCCUGGACGAUGGCGUACGCAUGCGCGAGCUUUCCUUGUCCAGCUUCUCGACUGGUGCUCCACCGAGUUGAACUGUCUAGCUACGAGACACAGACAACUGCAGUCAGCUCCCACGUUAGCCUUAACAAAGAAUGUCGGCAAAUGUCCUCUUUGACAUCACGUGUUAAUGCGACGCAACCAAAAUAAAUGAAAAUAGAAGACAGCGCAAGCACUGGCCUUCGCCAAAGAUGGCGCCGGUGUUAGGGAAAUCCCUUAUGAUGUUUUGAAGAUGACAAAAUAAAUCAAAGGCUACUAACAUGUUUGAUGGUUGAGUAAUAGACCAUGCAGAUGAUAGAACAUGUAAAGGAUUUUAUCAAAGUCAGAAGACGGCCAGAAGACUGAACGUAACAUAUGUCCAGAGUAUAUUUUGAAGAUUUCCAGACUUCUGUGUCAAAGUCUGAAGACUGUCAGACUCAAGACUCAUAUUGUAAAGUCUACAGACCCAGAUUGUAAAGUCUCAAGACUCAUAUCGUAAAGUCUAAAGACUCAGACUUUACAUCCAGAUUACGAUGAAUCGUAACUCAAGCCCAAUCAUAUAACGGCUAGUGAUCUGGUUUGGAUUCCACAUCAAGAUUGAUUUGAUUGAAGACAAGAACUUUACAUACGAAGAAGCUUUACUUAUGGAAACCAAGAUUUCGUUUGUAUGGGCGAUCGGAAUCCAUUUGGGAUUCUACCUUUGUCACUCAACGGCUACUAAAUCUUCUAGAUACAGAGCUGUCCAAUGGGUAUAUUGGAAGACGAUUCUCCGGGAUAUUGUCCAACGGGUAGUUUGGAAAUGGAGGAGUAUUUAAGGAGAUGAAGGACCGAUGAGCAAGUAAGAGACGGAGCGUAGAAUUUAUAAUUCCAAAGUCUAAGCGACUUUAGAUCAUAUACUUGUCUCUUGAGAGCUUAAAUGUUUGUAAUCGUGAGAGAAAUACCAAGAGAGUGACUUAGUGAGAUAGUGUGAUCUACUAAGUGUAUGCACUCGAAGUUGUAAUCUCUUGUUGAUUGCAUAUUGGAAUCCAGCCAAGAAGGCUGUUAUCGUGGGAGAGUGGACGUAGGCUUGGAUUAAGCCGAACCACUAUAAAUCUUGUGUUCUUAUUUUCUUCCUUAACUCCUUUAUUUUGUUCAUACUAGCACUCUCAGCCGGGACCCCCAUCACCUUCAGGGAUGACAAAAUCCUUAAAGGCUUGUGGGAGGAGCUUGGGGAUGAGAUCGUCGUCAAGAACAAACGCCUUGAACGUUCUUGCAGGUGAGAUGGAAUCGUCUUCACCUAAGAGUUCCAAGUCCCACGGCAAGAGAUCUGGGAGAUUAUGUUGAAAAUGCCCUCUAAAUGAUUCUCAAUCGCCUCGUUUAGUAAUCUAACUCAACAUCACAUUGGUCUAAAUCAUAUAAUAAAGAAAGAGGACAAAAGGCAUGGAUCUCAAGCCCAAAUGAUACUUGUUAGCAUGCGAGAGAUCUUUGAAUGUAGACAACCUUGAGGGAGUCACUAAAUUAUUGUUAAAAUAUUCUAAUAGAACCCAAUGGCUUAGACAAACAAGCUUGAGUGCGUGCGGAUAAUUCCUGCUUGAUGAAAUGCAUGGUAGGUCGCGAAUCGAGACUCGUCCCCAUGCACAUCCACUUCCUCGGCUAGUUGACCGGUCGGAGGAGGAAGCCGUGGGUCGAGCACGUCCUUCAGUAGAACAUUUGAGUCUUUCAAUAAUGUCGACAUUUGUGUCAUUUGUAGGGAAGAAAGAACAUUCAAUGGAUGCUCCCCAUCAUUCUCUAGUGUUGCUGACUCUGUUUCUUGAAAGAACAACUAGUCAGGAUUUUGCUCACAUCGUCAAGUUGUCCACAAAUUCCAAAUUUCUGUUGUACUUUUACAACAAAGCACUUUUCAUAAUCUAUACUUACUCUUCCUAAAAGUAUUGUUAGAAUUAUUGAAUGAAUCCAAAUUUGAUUUGUCCAUUAACCACAGAGUUACUACUAAUUUUAUUUUUCAAGAAGAAGAAUGAAUCAAAAUCACGAUCAUAAUGUCAAGUUGUACCCAAAUUCCAAAUUUGAAACCGACUCUCUAAAACAAAUCACUUCUCAAAACCUAUAUUUGCAAGAAUCCUAAAAGUCCCGUUAGAAUUAUUUGAAUGCAAAUUAUCAAUCCGAGACCAUUUGUACCCGCGAAAUGUUCUAUUAGAUUCAAUCAUCUAACUUACCAGGAGCCAUGUAGCCAUAAGAUCCAGCCACAAAUAAGGCUGGAAACUCGCAUGAACCGGAAAGCAGCAACCUAGUCCGGUGAGCCUGAAAUAGGGCAUGGGCACAAAAAAGCGCGGUCGGCCGAGAGUCCCUACCCAGCUCGCGGCGUUGGACGGCGGACGAGCUCAAUAGAUCGGGCUACGUCCGUCCGCCUCGCUCGUCUCCUAGUCGGGAUCCUCGGGAAGCGGACCCCAAAUGGGGAAAAACCAAGACGGCCCGAACAGGGACCUACCAUGGCCUCGAAGUGGACAAGGAGCGGCGGCGGAUCAUCAGUUUUGGUUCGGAAGUGGAGGUCAACAGCGGCUCUCUCAGUCGCGUUCUCUCUCUCUCAACUCACGGUCUCUCUUUCACGGCCCUCUCUCCUCCGGAUCCGAAUCCCUCUCGCGUCGUACUUGACCCCCUUCGAUUUCUCCCUCCUCCCCAACCUCCGACCUUCUAUUUAUAGGCUAAGAAGGCCGGUCGGCGGAGGUGCUUCGGCCGCCAGUCCUUCAUGCGCCGACCGGCCCCCCUUCGCUGAACCAGCAUCACAUCACCCGUCGCCUCCACCGCCGCCUGCUCUGCUUUGCGCCUACUCUACUCCUUCUGCUACGGCCGCCCUCGCUGGCCUGACGAAGAAGCGGGGAAUGAGGAAGGAGGGGCCGGGCCAGGGUGAGAAGCACAAGCAGAGUGGGCCCUAGGCCCACUCGGGGAAGAAAGGUGAAAAGAGGGGGGCUAAGGCGAAGGCCCAGCCGCCGUGGGCCCUUUUUUUUAUAAAUACUAUUAAAUAGGGUUAAAUAAGAGAAAAUAAAACUUAAAAUGCAAAUAAUAUUAAUGCUUAUAUGAUGUGAAAAUCGUUUUUAUUAGGGUUAAAUUGAUUCCAAAUUUUUUUAUAUAAUUUUAAUUAUAGAUGUUUAGUCAAAAUUUAAGUAUCAAUAAAUGUAAAUCUCAAACUGUAAGAGUUAAAAUAAAAAAUAAAAGAAUUAAAGAAGAGACAAGUGCAGUUGCAGCUUUAUCCCAUCUUGUAACAAAAAUUGUUUACGAAAGUCAAAAAUUUAACGAACAUCACGUGCUCUAACUUUAAUUGAAUUAUUGUAAGCCCACGAAUCCCUCGUUGAAGUCAUCCUUUGAUGUUACAUAUAUAAAUGAAUCGAAAUUUGUCUAUAUGUUAUACGUAGUGACACGUGUAAUGCAGUGUGGCUUUUUUGAUAGGACAAAUAUCCCCACAUCACCAAUUACCUCUGAUUAGGGCAAGUUCUUUCAAGUAAGGACCCUGUCUUUUUUCUUCUUCUUUUUUGAUAAUAUCCCUAUUAUUGUUCAUGACAUGUUUCUUUUCCAAAUUAAUUGGAAUAUAUAAUUUUAAUGGAUCAGAUCGCUACUUUAAAUGGGAGUAUGAGUCUUUCAAAUGCCUAUGAUAUAUUAUUAUCAAUAGUCACACACGAAUAACAUGCCAGUUGAUGCUACGGUGUGACACAUAAUAAAUAAAGAUGAAAAGCUAGAUUUUAGUAAAACAAAUUCAAAAAUGAGUUUGAGUGUUGAGAUUAUUUAUUGACAUGGACAUCAACCUAUAGCAUCUCCUUUUACUAAUGAACAGGGCUUGGAUUAAAUAAUCAACCUAGUGAUAUUCUAAAAUAGCUCCUUUUUGCCUUGCUCUUCUAGCUUUGGACAUCACUUUAUUUAUUUUUUAAUUUUCUUGGAAUCUUAUUUGGUGAAAUCUAUACAUGUUCAUCGAAAGUGCACGAUCUAAAAGAUUUCAUCAGUGUCAUAGCCACAACCAAGAAGUAUGUAUGAUAUAUAUAUAUUAGAAUACCAAACUACAUUCUAGGCAACCGUGCAUUUAAGUACCACAAGAGUUGUAUUUAGAUCCCACAUCAACUAAAAGAACACUAACAUUCGGACCAAUAUCUAAUCACUUGUGGAUUGCCGACUAUGAAACCAUAAAGGAGUAACUAUAUAUAUUAAUCCUAGCUAGGAUUCCCUACAUUUCUACAUGGGUAGGCAUUUAAAUGAUCAAUGAGAGAGAGAGAGAGAGAGAGAGAGAGAGAGAGAGAGAGAGAGAGAGAGAGAGAGAGAGAGAGAGAGAGAGAGAGAGAGAGAGAGAGAGAGAGAGAGAGAGAGAGAGAUUAUAUAUAAAUCAUAAUUCAAAGUGACGAUCUACUCUCUUAAUAAUGAUGAUGACGAUGAUAAUUAUAUAAAAUUGAGAGGAUAAAAAAAAAAAAUUGGCCUGGUAGAGCCUGUAAAGAACUACACAAUACAUCGGGAUGAUCAUUAGAUGAAAGUGCAUGCUUACAACAUUGAAAAUCAUUUUGUAGGGUAUAGAUCUACCAAAUUGUUCAAACAUUGUUUUAAUGGUUUCCCUUGGAUGAAAGAUUCUUCGUCUAACACAUGAUUUACUUAAUUUAAUUAGUCCAAGAGAGAGAUACACCACCCACGUGCCCCAUAAGCAACGAGGAAUUUGUCUAAUAUGUUAUGAUGUACAAGACCAUACAAUCUCAUUCGCUCUUUUGAUAAAUAUAAAUUAACAUGCAAUCAAUGAAUUAAGAUCUAAUGUUAUUAAGAUUUUUUACGUGUGCACACGUGGUUUUGGUCUAAUAGAUCAAACCAACAUACAACGUCAACUCAGACGGACACAUUUUUGGUCAUUCACUCUUCUUGAUAAAAAUCCCCUUGAAGGCCAAAUGUCUGAUAACCCUCGAUACUUGACAUCUUAAAGUUUACUUAGCAAAGGUUCAAUAAGUCAGGUUUUGGAAGGGUCAUUUGGAGUAUUACAGGUCGGAACGGGUAAAACGAGGAUCUCUAUAAAGUUAACCACCUUGCUAGAGUUGCAUUUGAUGAAUGAAUUUUUCCCCAACUGAAAUUCUUUUAGAGCAUAAGUUAACAAGACAAUCGCAAAAUUGUCGUCAAAUAAAGCGCCCGGGCCAAAAGCGGAUUGAUCACGAUGAUUUUUGCAUUGAAGUGGUGAAAAAGCUUGGUCGAGAGCUAAUUGGGAGAAAGAGAGAGCUCAAACUUUAGGAUAAGCAAUUUUGUGGCUAAUCAUAGAAACUACAAAAGGUUUUGGCCUCCACUUCUGAACCAGGUCUGCUCUCACGUGCACGCGGACCCUGGUCUGUGUCUCGGCCUCUCAAGUCCCUCUCUCCUGUUCUUCAAUCUCCACUUUCCGUCACCCAUUAAUCCCAUCUUCCUCGUUGACAUGAAGUCAUUAACAUUCGAUUUGAUCCCCAGAAAGAGAAAUCAACACUUAUCCCAUGAAUCAAAAGCAAAUACUAUGGAAUCGGUGUCCCAUGAGGUUGAUCUUAUAUGAUAACGUCUUUGUAUCGGCUACAUACAUUAUGUGCAAAUAAAGUGUAAUUAUACUAUCAUAUUUUUUGUUAAUUCACCUCUUUGAUCCGAUAUUAUUUGUUGACAUUGCCCUUAAAGAAUCAAGACAUGACAUCCUCGUUAGUUGAUUGAUAUAUGACAAGGGUCGACAAAAAAGACAGCAUCUAAGUUAACAAUUUGAGAAGAUUAAUGUUUGUGAUGGAGGGUAUUGACUUAUUACGUGGCAAAAUCUUUCCGACAUCAUACAAUUAGCUGUCAAGCAAGCUUUUUUGCCUUUUGCUUUUCAAAAAACAAACAAUCACAAGUUUUUAAAGAUCAAAUGCCCAUUUAGUUGAUGGAAAACUGUUUAUGGAAAAGCUUUCCAUAUUCCAAUAUUUAGAUGAUAGAAAAUUAUUCAAUCUACCGAAAGUGUUUUAUGUGGAUUGAAGAUAAUAAAUUUAUAUUUGGAAAAAAAAAAACUUCUGUUUAUGGUAAGAAAUAAUAGAUAAUAAUUUUUUUGAUAAUUCUUAUAGAUUAAAUUAGCCUAAAUUAGACUUUAUUAACGCAUAUUAGCAGAUUCACUUGCUAUCAAACACCAUAAAAUUAAUUUUUCUCCAACAUGUUUUGGCACGAGCGAACACUAGAAAAUUAUUUACUUUCUCUGGAAUUAAAUUUUUUGAAAAUACUUUUGAGCGAUAAAUUUUCGCUAAAAUAAGCGCACCCAAGCGACAUAUUUGUUAACCUUGUUCUCCUUCUCUCCUUCUCUCUCUCUGCUACAGCUGCUCUUUCUUCUUCUUUUUUUUUUUUUUGGUCGAAAAAGGAUUACUAUGAAAUUACUUAGCCACGGUUUGAGACAAAACAUCAAAAGCAUUGGUGCAUAAUAAGUCUAGUAGAGCGGGCGGGGGAUGAAACAACUAAUUAGAGGGAAUGUAACUAAAUCGACAGGCCUUUGCGAGCCAAUCGGCGGGACCGAUUUGCUGUUCUAUUGCAGUGGGCCAGGGAGAUGUCACAGAAUUCCUGUAGUUUCGCUUGGGCCUGGUCCAGGAGCGGUUGAAGCUACCAGUUCACUUCCGUCGAAGCCGUAACCCCCUGCACGAGUGGAAGACAAUCUGACUAUACUUGCAGGGAGAGUUCCGCACGGUUAGAGAGUAGAUCUAGGGUUUCAAGCAGAGCCAAAGCUUCCGCAUGUGCUGUCGAAGCCGCAUCCACCAAUUUCGCGAAGCCAUCCACAAGACAUCCUCGGUAGUCCCUGCAGAUACAUGCUACUGCUGCUCUGUUUUGCGUUUCUCCUCCGGCAUCUGCUUCCAUGGCGUUGAGCUCGGCAAAUGAAGCAUCUAUAUUAAAUUUCAGCGUAUGAGGGGGCGGAGGUUGCCAACGAUCUGGUAUGGCUUUUAUCUUCCUUUCAUCUACUUGUUGUUGGCUCACAGAUUUGAGGUUAUCGCAGAGAGCUUGCGCCUGAAUUAAAACUUGCUGCGGGUGCAGGGGACAACUCUCGAAGAGGUACUGAUUUCAACCCUUCCAAAUACUCCAGAGGAAAGCCACGACUUGGUCAAACUUCUUAGUAUGGGUAGGGUUGGUUUUGAGAUUGUCUAACCAGUCAUCGAGGCGUGUUAACCCAUAUCUGGAUAUUUUGAUCUAUAGGGGCGCGGAACUCCAAAUCUGAUUUGUCCAUGGACAGAGUAGAAGAAUAUGUUCAGUGGUUUCAGCUUCUUUGCUGUAGAUAGAGCAUAUAGGAUCCGGUUACUAGCUUUCUUCUAUAUAAGUUUUCCCUUGUAGGAAGAGCAUUAUGACAUGCUUGCCAGAGAAAGAAUCUGAUUUUUGGAAGGGUUUUAGCUUGCCAAAUGUGUUUCCAGAGAUCUGGAUUUAUAUGAUGCGAUGAGGUUGCUGUUGGGUUUGUGCUUGUUGGGUUAUCUCUGACUGUGAAGUAGCCACUUUUCACUAAAUAGAUACCAGAGUUAUUAUGCAUCCAGACUAGCUUGUCUUUUGAAUCUGGCCUUCCAAUAGGAGUAGCAAGAAUUUCCUUCAUGAUUUUGUCAUCAAACAUCGACUCCACCCUAUGAACAUUCCAUUUGCUAGUCCCUUGUUCAAUUAGUUCUGCCACAUGUUCUGGUUCAUUUCUUGUUGCUGAGCCUCCAAUCAAACCACUUUUUAUCAAUUUAUCUGCUCUUAUCGAUAGUUUUUUCCCAUUCCCAACUAAGUACAUAGUGUGUGGACUUAUAGAAUCCCUACGCCGAGUUAUACUUUGCCAACCCCAUGAAGGUCGGGAGCCUUUUCUAGCUUUCCAGAAGUCUCCAUGCGGAUAGUAUAGGCCUUUCAUCACUCUGCUCAAUAAGAACUAGGAAUUUUGUGAGAUGCGCCAAGCUUGUUUCCCCAACAUAGCUGUAUUGAAUGCUAUUAAGUCUUUAAAGCCUAGGCCCCCCUCCUUCGUUCUAAGUUUCAAUGCUUCCCAAUUCUUCCAGUGUAUUCCAGCAUUUCUACUAUUCGUUUUCCACCAAAAGUUAGCAAUCCUCCUCUCAAUAGCUUUGCAUAUGGAAAUAGGGAUCUUGAAUAUGGACAUGGCAUAUUGAGGGAUAGCAUGUACAACUGAUUUUAUUAAAAUUUCCUUCCCUACUUUUGAUAACAGAUGUUUCUUCCAGCUUUCUAACUUUCUGUUUACCCUCGCAAGGAUCCAUGCGAACAUAUCUUUCUUUGAGCAGCCCAAAUCCGUCAGAAUCCCUAAAUAUUUCCCUGUUUUUUCAAUUUCUGGAACUCUCAAUUCAUUGGCCAUGUUCCUCCUCAAAGUAAUAGGACAACAUUUACUAAAAUAUAUACCAGAUUUGUUGAGAUUAAUAGCCUGACCAGAAGCAUAACAAUAUUCAUGUAGGAUAGCCACCAGGUUUUGGCAUUCUAGGAUUGUACCAUGAAGGAAGAAAAUUGAAUCAUCUGCAAAUAGCAAAUGCGAUAGAGUGGGGCAGCUAUUAUUUAGCUUAAUUCCUCUAAUAGUGCCAUCUUCUACUAUUUUUCCCAUCAUGUAGGAUAGAACAUUGGCAACUAAUAUGAAGAGAUAUGGGGACAGAGAGUCACCUUGUCGAAUUCCACGUGUUGGCUUGAAAAAAGGUAGAGACUCCCCAUUAAAAUUCACACUGAAAGUUACUGUUCAGACACGCUGCAUCACCCAAUGUACCCACUGUUCGCAGAAUCCCAUUUUAGUUAGGCAUGCACUAAGGAAAUCCUAUUCAAUCCUGUCAUACGCCUUCUGCAUAUCUAGCUUUAAGACUGCUUGGAACUUCUUUUUUCUCUCCCGAGUGCGUAAUCUGUCAAGAACUUCCUGUACCAGCAAUAUAUUAUCUUGUAUUAGCCUUUCCCCCACAAAAGCACUCUGCUCUUCUGCAAUUAGAGUUGGUAGCAGGGGUUUUAAUCUGCUAGUCAGCACUUUUGAAAUAAUUUUAUAAAUGAAAUUACAAAGGCUAAUGGGGCGAAACUGUUCCAGCUUUUGUGGAUUUGAAACUUUGGGAAUAAGAGUAAUGAGCAUUCUGUUCAUAGUCGGAUUGAGAUAGCCUGUAUUGAAAAAUCCCUGUAUCUCUGUAUAGAUAUCCUGACAGAUGUCUGGCCAAUGUUUCCUAAAAAAAAAAGGCCAUGCAUACCAUCUGGUCCUAGGGCUUUUCGUGGGCUCCUAAUUGUUGUAUGCCUUGCGUGAUCUCUUCCAUAGAAACAGGUUCUACUAGACGUUGGUUCAUUCUCACAUCCACCGAAGCUGGAAUUUGUUGUAGAAAGGGUUGAAAGUCACAAGGCCCUAUUGACUCGUAAAGCCUUUGAAAUAUGUGCUUGUCAUCUCUUUCAAUCGUUGUUCAUCACGCACCCACACAUCUUCUGGAUUUUCAACAAAGUAACAUGAUUUGUGGUUCUUCUUUGAAUGGUUGUAGCGUGAAAGAAUUUUGUAUUUUUAUCUCCCCAUGCUAACCAAUUAAUUUUGAAUCACAUUCCCCAAUACAUUUCUUCUUGUCGCCACAACUAUUCAAUUUCUUUUGUCAGUGCCUGUGCUGCCUUGCUUUCUUGAGAUACCCAUUGUUGGAGAAAUCCUCGUGAAGUGUUUUGAAGUUGACAAAACGUUUCCAUCAGUCUAGUCUGAAGGUCAGCAGACUCUGUUAGUUAAAGUCUGAAGACUUCCGGACAGCCAGACUCAAGACUCAAAGUCUAUCCUCAUUGACUGUCUCUAAUCCGUUGAAGAAAGGUUAUCCAGAACUGGAUGUUUUGUUCAGGAUUUAUCCUUAUCAUCUGGAGAAGAUCUCGUGGCUGGAGAAGACGUAUCAGAAUCCUUUGAUUGAUCAAGAUUGAUUCAAUGACUGAAGAUUCGAUGAUUGUCUAAAUAUUAUUGGAAGGUUCUACUUAUGGAAACCAAGAUCCUGAUUGUAUGGGCGAACAGGAUUGAUGGGCUAUCAACACAUUCCUUUAAUAGCUCGAACAAUCUUCCUAGAUGAUUCCGUCCAACGGGUAGAUUGGAGGAAUUCCUUUAGUAAGUGCCAACGGGUAUGAUGGCAUAAAGGAGUAUAUAAGGAAGACGUUCUUAGCUGUUCGAGGUGUGCGCGAUAGAAGAAUUCCAAAGUCUGAAGCUCCAAAUUGUUUAGACAAAUCCUUUGAGCGAAUACUUGUAUACAAAAGAGAGUCUAUAUUUGUGAGAGACCUUGAGGAGGUGUGGUAAAACAUCUACACUGUGGAAUCAAGGCAAAGCUGUGCUGUAACUUCUCUUUUGAUCAUAGUGAAAUCCAGCCGGUGGGCUGUCAGUGUGGAAGAGUGGACGUAGGCUUGGAAUAAGCCGAACCACUAUAAAUCUUGUGUUCAAUUUUCUUUUCCUUACUCUCUCUACCUCAAUCGUAUUUCAUUUCGUUAAUUAAGAGAGAAUUUACCUUCCAUCAUAUGUUAAGAAUCGCUUCCGUAUAUCGAUAAAGUAUUUAGGCACCUAUUCACCCCCCCUCUAGGUACUCAUACUAGCAAUAUCAAUUGGUAUCAGAGCUCGUGUACUCACUUUGUUUGAAGUGUUUUACUUCAGAGUUAAAGAUCCAUGGCUAGUAUGCUAGCACCAGGGCUGAUGGAAGGGCAAAGCAAUACCAGACCACCCUACUUUGAUGGAAAGGAUUACAACAUCUGGAAGAACAAGAUGAAAGCUUUCCUACGAUCAAAGGAUCCUCUGGAAUGGGACGUUGUAGAAAAAGGAAUUACUCCUACCACUGCAUCAGUCUCUGAAAGAGGAAAAGAAACUGAAGAAAUCAGCGGAAUGUCUCAGGAAGAAAUAAUCAAGAGACAGACUCUCGAUGCGAAAGCAAUUUACUCCUUAUAUUGUGCUUUAUCACCAACUGAAUAUAAUAGAAUAUCUUCUUAUGGUACAGCAAAAGAAGUUUGGGACAGAUUGCAUAUCACCUAUGAAGGAACAGAUCGAGUGAAGGAAACAAGAAUCAACAUUCUUCUCGGUCAAUACGAAGCCUUCAGAAUGAAACCAGGAGAAUCAAUAUCUGACAUGUUUAGUCGUUUUACAGAUAUUGUGAAUGGUCUUGAAAAUCAAGGUCAACCAACUUCUGACCCCAUGAAGGUAAACAAGCUACUGCAUGGACUCUCCAGGGAUUGGAAUCACAUAAAGACUUCGAUAAGAGAGACGCAGAGAAUCAUGCCACUAUCUGUCGAUGAGCUGAUUGGAACUCUUCAGUCCUAUGAAGUGGAAAGGAUCAAUGAAGAUGAAGAUCCAAAAGGUAAGAAAUCCAUAGCAUUAAAAUCAAAUGAUGAUUCUGAUGUUACAGAUUCUGAAGAUGAUAUGGACGAUGAGGAGCUUGCUCUCAUGAUAAGAAGAUUCAGAAAACUGAAUAGAAAAGGAAGAAGGUUCAACUCAAAGAAACAAAGCUUUCAAAGACAGCAGACCAAGUCUGUUGAUGAUGAGGAACCAAAUAAAGAUGUAGUCUGCUUCGAAUGCAAGAAAAAGGGACACAUCAGACCCAACUGUCCUCUUCUGAAGAAGAAGAGAGGAAAAUCUGAAAAAUUUCGAAAAGCUCUCAAAGCUGAAACCUGGAGUGAUACUGAGUGUGAAGAAAGUGAUAAUGAAUAUGCCAAUCUAUGUCUGAUGGCACAAUCAGACUCAGACUCUGGAUCAGACUCAGACAGUGAAUUUAAGGCAAGUGAUUUUAAAAUUCCUGUUAAAGUUUCUAAAUAUAUUAAUGAACUAUGCCUUAGUCUUAAGACUUCUCUCAAAAGAAUUUCCGAACUGAAAAAAGAAAACUCAGCUCUAAAUCAAAAGGAAAAUGUUUUAGCAGAAAGAGUUAAAAGUCUAGACCUGUCUAUUUCCAAUCUUAAAGAAAAUGAAGAUAAUCUUUUAAAAGAAAAUGCUUUUUUAAAAACAGACUUAUCAAAUAUAUCAAAGAAAUUUUCUAUAGGGUCUGAAAAACUUGAGAAAAUUCUUUCAGCACAAAGACCUUACUUCAAUAAGUCUGGUCUAGGUAUGACAGAAGAAACAAUUCCCUUGAUUGAUUUUCCUAAAGUAAAAGAAAGAAUUAAGAAAAGACUCUCGAGUGAGGUUUACAAAAAUCACUUCAAGAAAGUUUUUGUAAAACCUGUAGGUAGAAAUGCUCUCAGAUGUUCUAAGUGCAACAGCCCGGAUCACUUUGAAAAAAAGUGUCCUAUGGUAUGGAAACCUGUUAAGAAAGUAUGGGCUAAUACUGUUUAUCUUACUAACACCAAAGGACCCAAGAAAAUUUGGGUACCAAAGAAAGCUUGAGACUUUAUUUUAAAUGCAGGUCUCCGUCAAGAAACAGGUAAAGUGGUAUCUUGACAGUGGAUGUUCAAGACACAUGACAGGAGACUCAAAUUGCUUUAUAAAGCUUGCUCAAGUAAAUGGUGGAAAAGUUUCAUUUGGAGGAAACAACAAAGGAAGUAUUGUGGGUUUUGGAACCGUGAAAAUCGAAUCUCUCACAAUAAGUAAUGUUUCCUUAGUGGAAGGACUCAAUUACAAUCUUCUCAGCAUUCGUCAAUUGUGUGAUACUGGUUUCAAGAUCUUCUUUCAAGAAGGAACAUGUUCUGGAAUCAGUAAAGACUCUACUCAGUCUUUCAUGGGUCGAAGACAUGGUAAUAUCUAUCUUCUAGAUGUGAAACCAAAUGAAUCGCAAUGCCUUAUCUCAAUUCAAGACGAAGCAAGCUUAUGGCAUAAAAAGCUUGGUCAUGUCAACAUGAAGCAAUUAGCCAAAAUCUCUUCAAAACAGCUUGUUCGAGGUCUACCCAGAUUACCAUACCAAAAGACUGAUUCAUGUACUCCAUGUAUUCUGGGAAAGCAGGUAAGAAAUUCUUUUAAGCCAAUUAAUUAUGUCUCUACUAAUCAUGUACUACAGUUGCUGCAUAUGGAUCUCUUCGGACCAACCAGAACUCAAAGUAUUGGGGGUAAGAAGUAUUGCCUAGUAAUUGUUGAUGAUUACUCCCGUUUUACUUGGGUAUAUUUCCUUGCAAGUAAGUCCGAAACCUUUUAGUAUUUUGAAAAAUUUGCUAAAGUGAUUCAAAAUGAAAAAAGGAUGUGUUAUCUCUAGUAUAAGAACAGAUCAUGGAGGUGAAUUUGAAAAUCAAGAUUUUACAAAAUUCUGUGAUGAAUCUGACUGUAAGCAUAUGUUUUCCUCUCCAUAUACUCCUCAGCAAAAUGGAGUUGUGGAAAGAAAGAAUAGAUCUCUUCAAGAAAUGGCUAGAACUCUUUUAAUUGAAAGUAAAAUUUCUUCUCGAUUUUGGGCCGAAGCUGUUUCAACAGCUUGCUAUAUCAUCAAUAGAGUCUUCUUAAGAUCUAUUCUUCAUAAAACCACUUAUGAGUUAUUCAAAGAAAAGAAGCCUAUUGUUUCAUACUUUCAUGUAUUCGGUUGCAAAUGUUUUAUUUUGAAAAAUGCAAAAGAUCGAGUUGGUAAGUUUGAAGAAAGAUCAGAUGAAGGUAUCUUUCUUGGAUAUUCUACAUCAAGCAAAGCCUACAGAGUCUAUAACAAGAAGAGCCAGACUGUGGAGGAGUCAAUGAAUGUCAAAUUUCAAGACUCAACACAAGAUGAAUCAACUCAGACUCAUCAAGAAGAGUCUGAACCUGCUCCAGACCCUCCAAAGUCUACAACUCAAGAAGCAUCUAAGACUCUGGAAAACCAGCUUCAAGAUGUUCGUGAAGAUCCAAACAAAGAAAGAAAUCAUCAACCAGACAAAUCAACGAGUAACUGGAAGCAUAAGUCCAGUCAUCCCAAAGAUCUUAUAAUCGGCGAAAUUAAUGAAGGAAUUCGCACCAGAUCCAAAAGGCGAGAAGAGUCUAGUGCUGUGGCACUCGUUUCUGAAAUUGAACCAAAGAGCAUAGAAGAAGCUUUAUCUGAUGAAAGCUGGAUAGAAGCUAUGCAAGAAGAGCUCAGACAGUUCAGCAUAAAUGAUGUCUGGGAAUUGACAUCUAAACCAAAAGGUAAAACUGUUAUUGGAGCUAAAUGGGUGUUCAGAAACAAGAUGAAUGAGAAAGGAAAAGUCGUACGAAAUAAAGCAAGACUCGUGGCCAAGGGAUAUACGCAAGAAGAAGGAAUAGACUAUGAUGAGACUUACGCUCCAGUGGCAAGGUUAGAAGCUAUUCGACUAUUACUUGCGUUUGCCUGUUAUAAGAAUUUCAGGUUAUUCCAAAUGGACGUCAAAAGCGCCUUCCUAAAUGGAUUUAUCCAUGAGGAAGUUUAUGUGGAACAACCACCAGGGUUUGAAGACCCAAAGAAGCCAGACUCAGUCUUCAGACUGAAAAAGGCUUUGUAUGGUUUAAAGCAAGCACCCCGAGCUUGGUACGACAGAUUGAGUAAGUUUUUAAUUCAAAAUGGUUUUGUCAAAGGUAAAGUGGAUACAACCUUAUUUAUCAAAAAGGAAAACAAAAGUUUCUUACUUGUUCAAAUAUAUGUGGAUGACAUUAUUUUCGGAUCCUCUAAUGAGAAUCUGUGCAAGAAAUUUUCUAAGUCUAUGCAGGAUGAAUUUGAAAUGAGUAUGAUGGGAGAAUUAACAUUCUUUCUUGGUCUUCAAGUAAAACAAUUGGAGGUAGGAACUUUUAUUUAUCAAGAAAAAUAUGCUAAUGAUCUUGUCAAAAGGUUUGGACUGGAAAAUUGCAAAAAGGUCGACAUUCCAAUGUCAAGUUCUUUAAAGAUAGACAAAGAUGAAGAAGGGAAGAAAGUUGAUCAAAAGCUGUACAGGAGCAUUAUUGGAUCACUUCUUUAUCUUACUGCCUCUAGACCUGAUAUUUUGUUGAGUGUUUGCAUCUGUGCUAGGUUUCAAUUAGAUCCUAGAGAAUCUCAUCUCAGUGCUGCAAAACGCAUCAUUAAAUACGUCGCUUCAUCAUCAAGCAUUGGUCUUUGGUAUCCUAAGAAGGGAGACUUUAAUCUUCUGGGAUAUUCAGACGCAGAUCUGGCCGGUUGCAGAGUUGAUAGAAAGAGCACUUCAGGAACUUGCCAGUUGCUUGGAAGCAGGACAGUGUCUUGGUUUUCAAGGAAACAAAGCACUGUGUCUCUUUCAACAACAGAAGCAGAGUAUGUAGCUCUUGGAAGCUGUUGUUCGCAAAUUCUAUGGAUAAAACAACAGCUGAGAGACUUUGAAAUUGAAGACUCAUGCACGGAGAUUAAUUGUGACAACACCAGUGCUAUCAACCUCACCAAAAAUCCAAUUCUCCACUCAAGAGCAAAGCAUAUAGAGAUUCGACAUCACUUUAUAAGAGACCAUGUUCAAAAUGGAGAUGUUUCAAUUCAAUUUGUUGACUCAAAGAAUCAACUGGCGGAUAUAUUCACAAAGCCUUUGGAGAAAAUUCAAUUUGAGUCUAUACGCUCCAGACUCAACAUUUUGAGGUAUGAGGAUAUCAAAGUCUAAACACUUUCAGACUCAGGCUAGCAAGACUUUAUCUACUGUCUUGGCUCGACCUUCAGACUGUAAGUCUUUCUCUCUCCAAUAUUAUCUUGAAAAGGUACGAUCAUCAGACUGUGUUUAAAGUAUUGCAUCGAUUCAUUUUCAAAAAGGUAGUUAUUUUUGAAAUGGCUAUUUUUGCGGAAAAAGACAGUUAUUUUGAAAAGGCAUAUUUUUAUUUCCUUUGUGACGGUUCGUUUACUCUUCUUUUUAACCGAUUGUGCACUGUCGAUUUCUCUUCAUUUUUCUAUUCACUUUUCUCUCAAAAACCCUAGAAAGCAUCGAUCCUCAAUUCCCGUUUGUCUUCUUCGCUCAAUCUUCAAAAAGUUGUCAUCUUUUCUGGGAAAGUCAAGCAAUGAAUCUUCCAAACACUGAGAAAGAUGUCAUCUUCACGAAAGUCCUCAAGAAUCGCAAGCAGGGGACCACAGAGAAUGAGUGAGGGGCUUACGCACUUCGAUCUUACAGAGGAGGAAGAGAAUCCUGAACAGCAAGCGAGCCCACAACUUUCUCAGCAGCGUCAUUCUUCACCAUCUAGUCCUCAAGGAGAUGAUCAUCAGCAACAGGAAGAAAUCAUCGAGGAUGCAGACCCCGUAAGAGUUCAAAAGCCCGCUUUUAUUUACAAGCUUUAUCGUGCCUUAAAAGGAAUUCGUACUCCUUUGAACUAUGUUGAUGAGUUUCUUAGAGACAAAGGAUAUAGGAACGAAUAUAUCUUUCUGCGAAAAAUGGAAAGUAUGGGAAUCGCUCGUAAAGGGGUGGCUGAGGAAACCCUUGCAAAUAUCCCAAGUGAUCCUCGUGAUUGGGGACCGAAUCCUGUAGAUGGGAAUGACGAUGACAAUCUGUUCAGUCUAUUUCAACCGAAAAUGGGUAUUGCGACUGAAAUUCAAGGAAAAAGGGGAGAUUUGUUCAGAUCAAAGGAACAAAAGGAUUUGUACUCGAAACUGCUGAAGCGUGGGGUAAUAAACCCUAGAAGUGUGGACUUUGAUUUUCUGGAUGCUAUGAAAGUGAACUUGAGGGAAAAGUUCAGUUAUCUUCAACUUGAAAAGUUUUGCUCUGACUCAACUGAGGCCUAUGCUGGAUUAACUGCUUAUUUCUAUUCAAAUCUUAGCUUUUUGGAUGCGAAUAGAUUCUCUUUCAGCGUUAAAGAUCAAGACUAUGUUGUGGAUAUGGACAUGCUGGCAGAUGUGUUAGAAGUUGAGAGAGGCAGAUAUCAACCAAUCAAAGUUUCCAUUGCUGGGGCCACACUUGAACUGGUGAAGGACAGGAGAACAGAUGAGAAGAUCACCUACUCACGGAUGAAUGCAUUCAACAUCUUGCUCCACAAGAUUGUGAUCAAUUGCCUUCGGCCGAAAUCAACUUCCAAAACUGAUGUUUCAAGCUCUGAGGCAAAGUUGAUGUAUGCCAUCCUCUGUGGUAAGAAGUUUUCUCUCCCUCAUACUGUUAUGUUUCACAUGUAUAGAGCAGUGAUGAAGGACAGAGGUCAACUCCCUUACCCAAGCCUUGUUACAAAGUUAUUCAGACAUCUGAAUAUUUAGCCUCCGCAAAUCUUUUGUGUUCGAUCAUGCGAUCAUAUGGUGGUAGGACUGAAAAUGGUGACCAAAAUGCGUCUGAAGGAACUGAGCAAGGAAUUGGAGAAAUUCAAGGAGAAGACUCCUUCCAAAUCUCAUCAACUCUCUUCUGCUGCUAAGAGAAAAGGGAAGGAGCCCAUGGUUGCUUCAUCAAAGAGAAGAAGAGCUCUCCUUGUUGAGGAUGAAGAUGAUGACGAAGACAUCACUAUCUCUGCAUUGGCCUUGAAGAAUUUAGGUCGUCCUGUUCCACAGAAAGAAUCGGAACAAAAGACGAAAGAAGCAGAGGAGAAGGAAGAAGAAGAAAGAGAAGCAGAGGAGAAGGAAGAAGAAGAAACAGAAGCAGAGCAAGAAGCAGAGAAAGAAAGACCUGAAGAAGAAACAAGAAAAGAAGGAGAACCUGAGGAAAUCUUUUCUCCACCUGAAGGCAUGGAAACAGGGGGAGAUAAGGAGAAAGGAAUGACGUCUUCAUAUCCUGAUGCAAGUGAAGGAGUCAGUCGCUCGCCUGCAGACCCAGAAGAUGUUUAUGCAUCUCAAUUUCCAGAGGAAUGUCAUGAAGUGUCAUCGCCAAAUCUGCAAGACUAUGCUGAUCUACCAUCUUCUGCAGAUCGAGCCGAAGCAAGUACUCAGACUGAUAAUAGAGCAGAUUUUCGCAGAAUCAUGGAUAUUCUCUUGGAGAUGAAAGGUCAGAUUUAUGCCUUGGGAUGCGAAGUUCAAAGUUUGAAGACUGAAAGUCAAGCUUCUUCCUGUUCAUUGAAUGAUAAGAUGCAAGCCCUCUCUAUUCAGAAUCAGGCCAAUGCCAAGAGUGAGGAGGUUGUUUAGCUGAAGGAAGACUUUAAAAGGCUGGAAGGCAUCGUUCAGUCUAUGGAAGAUUUCCAGCUUGUCCGCAUUCCCAAGACUUCAUCUCAUCCUUUUUAAUGAUGACAAAAAGGAGGAGAGAUGCAUGAUUUGAUCAAAAACUUUCAAUCAUUUUUUUUUGAACUGUUUGUUGGAUUGUGUUGUUGUUUAACUAUUUUUAACAGACUUUGACUUUGUUUUGUGUCUAGAUAAGAUCUGAACUAGACUUGGACUUGACUGCUUCUAUUAACAAGUAUUGAUAUCUUAUGGAUGGUUUUAUUAUAUACAAGACUAACCUAUUUUCUGUGGUUGCAUAUUCUAGUGUUAAUCUUUUAGCCAUUCAUCUCUAUAAGAUAUGCAUAUGUGUUUGAGAAAUGUUUUGCAGGUCAAUGUUAUCCAAAUCUGCAGGAAGGUUUUGUCACCAUCAAAAAGGGGGAGAUUGUUGGAGAAAUCCUCGUGAAGUGUUUUGAAGUUGACAAAACGUUUCCAUCAAUUUAGUCUGAAGGUCAGCAGACUCUGUUAGUUAAAGUCUGAAGACUUCCGGACAGCCAGACUCAAGACUCAAAGUCUAUCCUCAUUGACUGUCUCUAAUCCGUUGAAGAAAGGUUAUCCAGAACUGGAUGUUUUGUUCAGGAUUUAUCCUUAUCAUCUGGAGAAGAUCUCGUGGCUGGAGAAGACGUAUCAGAAUCCUUUGAUUGAUCAAGAUUGAUUCAAUGACUGAAGAUUCGAUGAUUGUCUAAAUAUUAUUGGAAGGUUCUACUUAUGGAAACCAAGAUCCUGAUUGUAUGGGCGAACAGGAUUGAUGGGCUAUCAACACGUUCCUUUAAUAGCUCGAACAAACUUCCUAGAUGAUUCCGUCCAACGGGUAGAUUGGAGGAAUUCCUUUAGUAAGUGCCAACGGGUAUGAUGGCAUAAAUGAGUAUAUAAGGAAGACGUUCUUAGCUGUUUGAGGUGUGCGCGAUAGAAGAAUUCCAAAGUCUGAAGCUCCAAAUUGUUUAGACAAAUCCUUUGAGCGAAUACUUGUAUACAAAAGAGAGUCUAUAUUUGUGAGAGACCUUGAGGAGGUGUGGUAAAACAUCUACACUAUGGAAUCAAGGCAAAGCUGUGCUGUAACUUCUCUUUUGAUCAUAGUGAAAUCCAGCCGGUGGGCUGUCAGUGCGGAAGAGUGGACAUAGGCUUGGAAUAAGCCGAACCACUAUAAAUCCUAUGUUCAAUUUUCUCUUCCUUACUCUCUCUACCUCAAUCGUAUUUCAUUUCGUUAAUUAAGAGAGAAUUUACCUUCCAUCAUAUGUUAAGAAUCGCUUCCGUAUAUCGAUAAAGUAUUUAGGCACCUAUUCACCCCCUCUAGGUACUCAUACUAGCAAUAUCACCCAUGUGCUGUUCAUUAAUUGUUCACUAUUCAGCCAAAUAAUCCUCCUCUUUGCAUUGGUAAAUUUUCCCUGACUCCAUUUUAACAACUUUUUUUUCCACUAUCUGCAGUUUCUCAACCACAUUGAGCUGUUGGAAAUCGGAAGCAGCCCAAGUGUCCCUGACGAGGCUCACACAUUCCUCCUCCUCCGCCCAAAAGGCUUCAUACUUAAAGCUCUUCCUCUUCCUUUGUUUCGAUGGGCAAGUAGAUAGAAUAAUUGGAGUGUGGUCAGAGCCAAUGGCUGGUAUGGCUAUACAUUCUGCUAUAGGAUAUUUAAUACGCCAAUCUGAGUAACAUAAUACUCUAUCAAGACACUCCUUGACCAGAUUUUCUCCUUCUCUUUUGUUUGUCUAGGUGUAAGCACACCCUUUACAUUCCAUAUCCAGCAAAUAACAGUGGUUGAGGAAGUCCUUGAAGGCUGCAAGCCUCUAAUUUGCAGCUCUUUUCUUUCCCACUUUUUCCCAGUGAUAUAGGAUUUCAUUGAAGUCACCCAUACACAACCAUGGCAAGUGAUAACAUUGAGACUUUCUAUUAAUAUUCUCCCAUAAUAGAAUUUGCUCCUUAAAUUCAUUCAAAGCAUGUAUAAAUGAAAUGUGCAUACGUUGGUUGCUGGCUGGUAGAUGGCAUCGGGUGAUGAUAACAUGUUUCGUGAAAGAGUCUAUAGUUAAGAUUACCUCAUCAUCCCAAAAUAUUGCUAAACCCCGCUGUACCUUCUGGAUUCACUAUGAAACAAUGCUGAAAGUGGAGUCUCCGCCUCAAUCUUAACACCUUAUGCUCCUGAUUUUUAAUUUCCAUAAUAAAUAUAAUAUUGGGCCUUUCUUGAGUCGUUAAAACCCUUAAAGCUUGAACUGUCAAGGGAGUGCCCAGCCCUUGACAAUUCCAGCUUAAUAUCUUCAUGGAUGAGUUGGUGGCUUAUUAGGGCUAGCCACCAGAGCCCACUGAGCAGACUUGUUCGCCACACGAAUAGGGGUCUCAACCAGCUGAGUAGUGUCAACCAUUACUGUUUUUUUAUGAUUGUGCACCAUAUGUGCAGAAUCUUUUUUCUUUUUUUGAGGAAGACAAUUUAGCGCUUCUUGUUUUCUCCCUUGUUAGGCCUUUUUCCCUAGCUAUAUUCUCCGCCAUUUCUUCUUCAGCUUCUUUUAACUGUUCUUGAUAUAUCACCAUGACAGAUUCAUCAUCAAGGCAAUUGCUACCUCGCUUCUGGGGGCCCUUCUCUUUGAAGAGUACUAAUUCUUGUGAAGAAAAUGUGGGGUUACCUUCCUUUGAGUUUAGGUUUUCGACAUUGCUCAGUUCACCAAGUUGUUGGGUUUGCUGCAUUACAUUUUGCUGUUGUUCUAGUUUAGGGACCUACUGAAUGGGAGUUUCUGGCACACUUUCCUCCUCCUCUGGCUGUAGUUCUUAUUUGCCAUAGAAAAUUUUUCCAUAUGGACUAAGCUCCCGCGCCUCUGCUCGAAGCCAAUGUCCAAAACGACCUGGUAAGUUCUUUGCUAGCCUUGACUCCUCAUAUGGUAUUUCUUGACAAUAAGUUGCAUAGUGCCUAAUCCUACCACAUGAAUAACAAUAAUGUGGGAGCCUUUCGUACUUAAACUCUACCCACAAUCUUUUUCUGUCAAGAUUCACAAGUACACCGGUUUUGAGGGGGUUUUCCAAAUUCAACUUUACUCUAGCCCUGCCAAUCUUGUAGUUGAUGUUCCCUUUCGCUUCUAACUUUACAUCUACUACAUCUCCGAUUUUGGAUGCUAUUUCCCUGACUACUGCAUCUGUUACUCUCCCGAUGGGUAAGCCAAAGAAAUUUACCCAUAAGUCAUAGUGGUUAAAUUCAUAGCAAAUAUCAGGGGUGUCAGGGUCACAUUGCUUUAAGACUAGUAAAUUACUCCCAAAGGACCACGGCCCUGAAUCGAACACUCGCUGUUUUUCAGCCUCCAACUAGAAAGAAAACGAGAAGUAUCCAAGCUCAACGACAGCACAAGUAAAAGUUUCAUUUUGCCAGGCUUUUUUCAUUAUGCCGAUAAAUGCAUUAAAGUUUGUGGUAGGCUUAUUAAAAAAAACUUCCCAAACAGAGUUUUUCGGCAUGUUUGCAGGUUUUCCUCAAGAAUGUCACCUGUAAUAUCUACAACAUCUUCCUCUGACAAGAGAUUGCCCAAACUCUUACAGAGGGCAUCUUCUUGUAUACAGGAACAUAAUCGAAAUAGAGUAUUAAAGCUGGCCUGAUAGAUUGUGGAACCACUAAAUGCGGGAUGAUGAAAUCCUAUGUGAUUGAAGGGAGCUCUGGGUUUGCAGGUGAAGACAGAUGGAAAUUAGCACCAGCUGGUUGAUUAUGGUGGUCUUGGAAAUUUCUCGCUGAAGAACCGGACCGUACGCUCGAAAUAAGAGCUGUGAUGUGAUUUAGGGCACCGCUUGUGAGCUAAUAGAGGGCUUUGUUGGUAGAGAAGGAGGAAUGGGGUUAGGGUUUUCUACCCAUCCUUUUAAAUCAAAUCUGUGGUAUUGGGAAGGAAGAGGGUGGAAUGCAGUAGUGAUGGGUGGUGAGGAUGCAAUUCAACAGUGGGAAAACCUACCCGAAAGGUAGGAGAAGACUACUCAGGCGGUAGAGCAACAGCUCUUUCUUCGCCAGCUGUACAAAAGGCCAAAAAAUAUAAUUGGGUUUCACCAGCAAUGAUGCACCUAACGUAGCUUUAUUCUCUCUCUCUCUCUCUCUCUCUCUCUCUCUCUCUCUCUCUCUCUCUCUCUCUCUCUCUCUCUCUCUCUCUCUACUGCGGCUACUCUUUCUUUGCUAACUAUACAGAAGGUCAAAAAAUAUAAUUGAGUUUUACCAGCAAUUAUGCACCUAAGUAGCUUUGUCCUUCGGUUUGAUGAUAAGGAGCAACCCAUCUUUGUUGACCUCACUCCAAUCAGUGUCGGCGAAAUAGGUAUACUCACUCCAAGUCCUUCAUCUGUUGGACUUUCCAUUCCAGAGCAUCAGCGUUAGCAUCGUCCUCCGCUCCCAACUGUUAAGACUACAAUAAAUAGCAGUAGCUCAGCCACUAAUAAUGCCACCAAGAACAGGAGGAGAAAGCAUAUGAGGAAGAAGUAGAAUGUAUAAAUGCUGCCGAGAAGUGUACAGGAAGAAGAACCACUGUUAAAAACAAAGAAAGAAAAGAAGAUAAAGAUAAGGGUGAUGCUACGGAUUGUAUUAUUGCAUAUGAAUAAUCUGCGAAGCUUGUGAAGCCAAGAGUUCUCUCUCUCUCUCUCUCUCUCUCUCUCUCUCUCUCUCUCUCUCUCUCUCUCUCUCUCUCUCUAAGCUAGAGCUCUCUGUUUAGCACUCUAUUCUUGUACUUUGUUUCUUCUUUGUUUUUCCGGUAAUCAGUUAGUUUUUCUCUUCAAUUAGGUAGUUGUAUUUUCUUCAACUGUUCAAUACAUGUAGAACAGAUUCUUGAGAGAGAGCUAACGUAGAUAUAAAAGGAAAACUCUCCUGAUGUAGUUUUCGUGAAGUUGAAAUAACAGAAAAAGCAUUUUCAUCUCUGUUUUCUCUCAUUUUCUCUCCAUCACUUCCUGCUCAUAAACUUCUUCAUGGUAUCAGAGCCAUGCAUCCUGAAGAAGUCAUCUCGAUGCUACAUAAAAAUGGCUGAAUCUACAGCAGAUUGAAGUCAAAUUCAAAGCUUCAUUGAUCUAUGAGACAUCUAUAUCUUCCAACAAAUCUGUGAGUUGGUAUUUCUCAUCUACAUCUAAAUCUUCAUCAUCAGAAAUAUACUCGUAGCAACAUACUGCAAAACUAGUAGAGUUUGUGUUUGCAACUAAAGUUGUUCGAAGAUCUGGAAGAGUAGAAUGGCAACAAGAAGUUUGAGAUAUCCAUUUCCUAUUCAUGUCAAUAUCUCAAAUUUUGUUACCAUCAAAUUAACUGAGGAUAAUUUCCUUCUGUGGCAAGCCCAAUUUCAUAGGUUCUUAAGAAGUCAAGACCUAUUUGGUUUUGUUAAUGGAGAAGUUCCACCACCUGCUAAAACAUUGCAGGUCCGAGAAGGAGGUCACACUACUGAGGUUUCUAAUCCCGAUUAUAAUGAUUGGAUCAAGACAGAUUAGCUUGUAUCCUCUUGAAUUAUUGGUGCUGUUUCAGAAAACAUACUCAGUUUGAUAAUUGGCUUAAACACUACAUAUGAAGUUUGGCAGACUUUGCUCAAUCGGUUUACACAAAAAUCUAUGGCAAAGGAGUCUGAGUUAAGGGGAAAACUGCAAGCUUGUUAGAAGCGUGAUAGAACAUUAUCAACAUAUCUCAAAGAGUAUAAAUCAAUAUGUGAUCAAUUGAAUGCAAUAGGGAAACCAGUGGAUGAAAUAACAAGAUUGUUUGGUGUUUUGGAAGGUCUGGGGUAUGAGUAUGAGAGCUUUAAAACAACAAUUUACUGUUUAAAGCCUCAAUAGAAUAUGACAAAGUAAUCUCACAUUUAGAAAGAUUUGAAACAAGGCUACAAAACUAUUCUUCGAAUCAGUUCAGUCCAAAUCUAGCCUACUAUGGCCAGAGGAAGACUGAAGUUAUACACAAAGAAGAGUUUAACAGAGAUUUUGUACAACAGAAUAAUAGCCUUGGAAGUUCAAGAGAGAAUAGUCGUGGAGGAAGAAAUUAUGGAAGAGGAAGGUCAUUCAAUAACAGAUAUAGAAACUUUAGAUAUCCUAGAAGAAGUAUGAAUUACAGAAAUAAUAGUUUGAACUAUGAACAGGGAAGUCAGCAGCUUAAGUAGUUUAAUACCUCCUCUACUUUGGGUUUUGGUCAGGGAUUCAGACCAUAUAAUGGCUUAGCACAAAGGUAUUCAGAUACCAAGACCUAUCCAUCUUCAAAUUUAACUCUUCAUAAAAAUAUGCAGGUGGAGAAAACAACAGAAAACACUCGACUGGAGUGUCAAAUCUACAGAAGACCUGGUCAUGAUGCAUUACACUGUUGGUAUCGAUUUGAUAAUUCCUACCAAGCUGAGGAGAUACCAACAGCUUUAUCAACACUACAUAUUAAGAAGCAAAUGGUAAUGAAUGGUAUCUAGACACUGGAGCAACAACUCACAGUACUGCUAAUGCUGGUAUUCUUCAUAACUUUUCUAAGAAUGCUGGUACUGAUACAGUCAUGAUUGGCAAUGGUUCAUGCUUACUUGUUAAAUACAUUGGUAAUGCAUUGCUGAAUACUGCUACUGAUGUCUUACCUCUAAAUGAUGUGUUGAUUGUUCCAGAAAUUAAGAAAAACCUUCUUUCAGUUUCUAAACUAACAGAUGAUUAUCCAUGUUCAUUUGUCUUUGAAAAAACUGGGGUGUACAUAAAGGACAGCAUCACCAACACAACCAAGAUGCUAGGAAGGAAGGUUAAAGGACUUUACAGAGUAGAUCCUUAUGCUGCAGAGGUCUUCUUCACUCAAAGACAAAGGAUUGCUGGAGAGAAUGUCUAGCAUCAACGUCUAGCUCAUACAAAUCAAAAUAUCCUGAAGCAUAUGAAGAAUCAAAAGCUAAUUCAGUGCCAUAUAGAACCACAAUUUGUAUGUAGAAGUUGUCAACUAGCUAAGAGUACUGCUCUACCUUUCCCAUUGUCGAAUUCUACAACUACUAAACCCCUAGAACGAAUUCAUUGUGAUAUCUGGGGACCUUCUCCAAUUAACUCUUUUCAGAAUUUCAAGUACUAUGUCAUUUUUGUUGACAACUUCUCUCGGUUCAGUUGGAUCUAUCCAUUGAAGCUAAAAUCAGACUUUUAUGAUAUUUUUCUCAUGUUUCAGGGACUAGUAGAAAACCAACUCAACUGUAAGAUCAAGAUUUUCCAAUGUGAUGGUGGAGGAGAGUUUAUCAGUCACAAGUUCAGAACUCACUUACAAAACUGUGGCAUUCAACAGCAUGUCUCCUGUCCAUAUACACCUUAACAGAAUGGAAUAUCUAAAAGAAAACAUUGUCAUAUAGUUGAACUUGGUCUGGCUAUACUGUAUCAUGCAAAACUCCCAUUAAAAUUCCGGGUUGAUGCAUUUGUGACAUCUAAUUAUAUUGUCAAUAUUCUUCCCACUCCAAAGUUAAAGAUGCAGUCUUCCUUUAGCAAGUUAUAUCAGCAUAAGCCAAGAUAUGAUCAUCUCAGAGUUUUUGGGUGUGCUUGCUAUCCCUGCCUUCGACCCUAUGCACAACACAAGCUUGAUCCACGAUCCCUUACCUGUGUUUUUCUAGGAUACAAUACUCACCAUAAGGGAUAUCGAUGCCUUGUUCCUACCACUGGUCAUGUGUACAUCAGUCGACAUGUGGUAUUUGAUGAGACCUUCUUUCCUUUCUCUCAGAAAUUAGCAACAACUUAUUCAACUUACACACAUUUGUAUAAGCUAUGGACAGAAGAAGAGAAAUUUUUACAACCUUCCAGUACAAAUUACAUAAACACUUCAUUAUCUCAUCAUACAGGUUAUGUACAAGACCCUACAGUUGAGCAAACAGUUGAACAAAUAAUCUCUACUAGUUCUACAGAACCAGCAGUUCCUGUUUCUACAAAUAAAUUACCUAUGGAUCAAGCUUCUUCUACUUCUCAAAAUAUUUCACAACAAGUAGAAAUACAUGGUUCCACAACAGAGACAACAGCUGAACCAGAUAUGGAACAAGCUGUUCAAACAGCCUUACAAGGUACACUAUCUACUCAACCUAUGUAAACUAGAUCUAAAUCUAGCAUCAUCAAGAUCAAUCCUCGAUAUGCAUGCCUUACUGAAUAUCGAGUUCCCCCAGACCAAAGUCAAUAAAAUUUGCUCUAGCAAAUCCAAGAUGGCAUCAGGCAAUGCAAGAGGAAAUGGAUGCUUUACAUCAAAAUCAAACUUGGUUAUUAGUUCCCCGUACCAAUGACAUGAAUGUUGUAGGCUGUAAAUGGGUGUUCAAGACUAAAUUUACAUCAGAUGGCAGCCUCAAUCGAUUGAAGGCUCGACUAGUAGCUAAGGGGUUUCAUCAGGAAGAAGGAAUAGAUUUCACAGAAACCUUUAAUCCUGUUAUUAAGCAUGCCACUGUUCGAAUUAUACUCUCGGUGGCAAUAAUAAAACACUGGUCUAUACAUCAACUUGAUGUCAAGAAUGCCUUUUUGCAUGGCACCUUAAAUGAAACAGUUUACAUGGAGCAACCCCCUGGCUUUGUACAUCCACAGUACUCUCAGUAUGUUUGUCUUCUUCAAAAAUCACUUUAUGGACUACAGCAAGCACCGCGUGCUUGGUAUGACAAGUUCAGUAAUUUUUUACUUGAAGCUGGUUUUUUCUGCAGCUCAAUUGAUCCUUCUUUGUUCAUACUUCAUAAAGGUCAAGAGACAUUACUUCUAUUGCUAUAUGUUGACGAUAUAAUCCUGACUGGUAGCUCAGAUAAGUUGCUGCAGACAGACACUUAUUCACUCCCUCAGUAUUCAAUUCCAUAUGAAAGACCUUGGCCACCUCCAUUAUUUUCUUGGAAUUGAAGCUACACGAACAUCCACUAAGUUAUUUUUGUGUCAAACCAAAUAUGCUCUUGACUUACUCUCUCGUGCACAUAUGUCUGACUGCAAACCUAUUGCCACACCUCUUUCUCUUAAACCAGUCACACUAAAAACAAAUGCUGAUCUUCUUCCAAAUCCCAUAGACUACAGAAGCUUAGUAGGUGGUGUGACAUCCUGAAAUUCGACCCCGUUUCGAUAAAAUGAAAUGUGCAUAUCGUCGGCGCGCCUAUGGUCCUUUUUCUCUGAGCUGAUCACUCACGAGUUAGCCAACCUAUUGGGUGAAGCCGUUAAGGGAUAUAACCGUGGUAAAAUCCCUAAAAGCUACCUAAUUGGUUGGAUUGGACUAAAAUCGCGUCCGGUCGAUUUUAAUCAUGAAAUUUAAUUCGGUCUCGGGAAAUCGAAUAUUCGAGCGUGUCACAAUUCAUUUUUAGGACCGUCUCAUCGUCUGUCAAUUUAUUGACGAGUCCGAAAUUUCAAUAAAGAAAUUAUCGGGGGAUCAAUCGAAGAUCAAAAGAAAAUAGAAAGGAAAAGGAAAAGAGAAAAGGAAAAUUGAAAUAAAGAAUUAUGCAUUUCCUUUUUUCUUUUUCCUCUCUCUCCCUCUCUUUUCUUUUCUUUCUUUUUCUCUCUUUUCUUUCUCUCUCCUCUCCCCUCUCCCCUCCCCCUCGUGCAAAUUGCCCCCCACCGCUCACUUUCUCUCCCUCUUUUAUUGACCGGUCAACCCUUAUCUCUAUCUUCUCUCUCUCUUCUCUCUCCUCUCUCUCUUUCGCACUCUCUUCUCCCCCUUCUGUUCGAGCGAACCAUGAGCCGAAGGAAGACGAGAAACCAGAAGCUGCAGCCCCGUCGCCGCCCGUCCCGCCGCCGCACCGCCGCCCGCGCCGCACCCGUGCGCCCGCCGCUCACCGCCGUCCCGCCGUCCGCGCACGCCCAGGCCGCGCGAUCCAGCCGCGACCCAACUCUGUUCGCUCCUGUUCCAACCAUCUCCGGCCACCUCCGGCCACCGCCUAGCCCCGCCGGAGCUCCCCUGCGACCCCCUCACCCUCCGCCGGCUUCCCCUCGCCGCCCUAGCCGCCGAAGCAGCCUCGAUCGGCUCCGUUCAGCAGACCCACGAAGUGGGUUUCCAGCACUUCGGGCCCGCUUUUGGGCCGUUUCCUGGCCCCGAACCCGAGCCGUGCUUUGGAGUUUGUUGUUCCUCGUGCCGCCGCCGUCGGAUUGAUCCGAUUUGCGCGCGAUUUGGUGAGUAAUCUCACUAAUCCCUGAUUAGUUGGCUAAUUAUGCUUAGGGUUGGUUUAAAUUUAAUUAAUUAUGUUUAGGUUGUUAGAUUAGAAUUAAUUAGUAAUUAUUAGUCAAUUGUGAUGCGAUUUAGAUAAAUUGAUUGUGUAAUUAACAAGUAGACAUGGUCUACUAAUUAUUGGAAGUGCCUCGGGAUUUUUCCCGACCCUUAGUGGGCUCCAAUUAGGCUUUUCGGGCCUAAGUGGAAUUUUUAGUAUUUAAAUAUUAAUUUUCGGAAUUAAAUUAAAUAAUUAUUUAUUUUCCGAAAAUUCAACGGAGAUGGUCUGGAACCGGAAAAUUAUGCUAAUGACCGUGGUGAAGUCCGUUUAUUUGAUCGGGCUUUAUUUUGAGCUAAAUUGAAUUUUUAAUAUUAAUUAUUUAAUUUUCGAAAUUAAUAAAUUAAUUAAUUAUUUUUCGGAAAUUAAGAUUUUGAUGGCCGACGACCGAAAUCUCGUGCUGAUGGUCGUGGCGUAGUCCGUUUAUUUAUUUGAGCUCUACGUUGUAUGGAAUUGAAUAAAUUGUGAUAUUUUAGGGAUUUACCCUAAAUUGAUUGGAAUUGAUUGAGAUUGAAUUGUUGAUUGGUAAAUGGCCAAGUAUGUUAUUCAGCAUUUAUAUUGCUUUGUUGAGUUGAUUUAAUUAUUUGAUUGAGAAAUCGUUGGGCAUUGGUUGUCAGUAUUGAAAGUAGAUUGGUAAUCGCUUAAAAGAGGACACGUGGGCUCGGUGAAUUGGAAUGUCACCUGGAGAAUGCACGUGAGUUCAGUGGUUGAAUAUUUCACCUUGGCGAAAAGGUCGCCUGAGAGAAUGCACGUGGCUUGGAGACUUGAUAUGUCCUCCUUGAGAAUGCACGUGGCUUGGUGACAGAGUUUGGCAUCUAAAAGGGCACGUGGCUCGGUGAUCUGAUGCGUCACUUUGGUAAGCGAGUACCUUAGAGAAUGCACGUGGGCCCAACAUUCCGGAAUGGCAUCUAAAAGGGCACGUGGCUCGGUGACUUGAUGCAUCACUUUGGUGAGAUGCACCUAAGAGAAUGCACGUGGACCCAGGCAUCUAAAACGGCACGUGGGCUCGGUGACUUGAUGCAUCACUUUGGUGAAAUGCACCUAAGAGAAUGCACGUGAGCCCAGGCAUCUAAAAGGACACGUGGCUCGGUGGCUUGAUGUACCACCUUGGCGAAGAGGUCGCCUUAGAGAAUGCACGUGGGUCCGAGGUUCGAGGCACGUGAACUCGGAGACCUGGAAUGUCUUCCUAGAGAAUGCACGUGGCCUAGCUUGUAAAUAUCCCACAGUGGGGAUUGAUUAGUAUGACAUGUAAUCGACUAGUUCGAUUUAUUUGAAGUGAAUGGGUGUUUAUUGUGAAUUGUACUGACUUGCAGGUGGAAUCUGAGGCCAAGGUAAGUCAUCUGCCCUGUGCGUGUUUAGGCAGCCUUUAGUAUAAUGGUUUACUAAUCGGGCUUAGUGGGGUAGAACUCGCUGAGACAUAGUCUCAUCCCAGUUUGGGGAAAAACAUUUCAGGACCCCAUUGAGGAGCUGAGGAGGAAUCUAAGAAGGAGAACUCGGAGGUGAAACCUGAGUAGAAGGAUUUUUGGAAGAAGAAGAUAAUACCGAGAGAGAUUUUGAGUAUGACCUGAAGGGAUUGAGAUUUUAUCUUCUUUGAUAUCUCCAUUUUGAUGUGAAUAGAGUUUGGAAUAAAAAUUUGUGAAGUGUUUGGGUUUGUGUUUUGUAUAAAAGUUUGGUUAUAAGUUUCAAUAUGAAAAAUAUGGCCCUGCUUUUCUAUCCCAUUGUUUUAUUGUCUGGGGAUUUUAACUGCUUCCGCAUGUGCUUAAUAAAUGAAAGGGUCGGUGAUACAUUGUCCUGGGAUAUCACAUUAUAAAAUCGACCAAGAGUUGAAGGAUGUGCGCGUGCCCGAGGAUCGGGACGUGACAGGUGGCUUACAAUAUCUCACUAUCACUCGUCCUGAUCUUGCAUUUGCAACAAAUAUCUUGUGUCAGAAAAUGCAACAACCCACUGUUGGUGACUUCCUUAAACUGAAGAGAGUACUUCGUUAUGUAAAAGUAACAAUUCACCUUGGCAUCUAUCUUCACUCUCGAAGUUCUCUCAAUUUAUAUGGUUUUUCUGAUGUAGAUUGGGCUGGUUGUGUUCAAACUAGAUGAUCUACCACAGGUUUCUGUACUUAUCUCGGCUCUAAUCUCAUCUCAUGGGCAGCCAAGGAACAAACAACUAUUUUCGUUCUUCCACUGAAGUAGAAUAUAGAGCACUUGCUUCGGCAACAACUGAUCUUACUUCGAUCACUUUUGUUCUAAGAGAUAUUAGCCUUCCUCUACACUCUCCAACCUUACUAUUUUGUGAUAAUCAAUCUGCAAUAUCCCUCACAGCUAAUCCUAUACUUCAUGCUCGAACAAAACAUAUUGAGGUUGAUUUUCACUUUGUUCGAGAAAAAGUUGCCUCUAGAUCCUUGUGUGUUAGAUAUAUUCCCAGCAACAAUCAAAUUGUUGAUAUUUUACAAAGUCUUUAUCCAGACUAACACAUUCUUCUCUUUGUCUCAAAUUAGGAAUUGGCUGUUCACCCUUGCCCAAUUUGCGGGGGGAUGUUAAGACUACAGUAAAUAGCAGCAGCUCAGCCACUAAUAAUGCCAUCAAGAACAGGAGGAGGAAAGCAUAUGAGGAAGAAGCAUAAUUUAUAAAUGCUGCCGAGAAGUGUAUAGGAAGAAGAACCACUAUUAAAAACAGAGAAAGAUAAGAAGAUAAAGAUAAGGGUGAUGCUACGGAUUGUAUUGUUGCAUAUGAAUACUCUGCGAAGCUUGUAAAGCCAAGAGCUCUCUCUUUCUCUCUCUCUCUCUCUCUCUCUCUCUCUGAGCUGGAGCUCUCUGUUUAGCACUCUGUUCUUGUACUCUAUUUCUUCUUUGUUUUUUCGGUAAUCAGUUAGUUUUUCUCUUCAGUUAGGUAGUUGUAUCUUCUUCAACUGUUCAAUACCUGUAGAACAGAUUCUUGAGAGAGAGCUAAUGUAGAUAUAAAAGGAAAACUCUCAUGAUGUAGAUUUCGUGAAGUUGAAAUAACAGAAGAAGCAUUUUCAUCUCUAUUUUCUCUCAUUUUCUCUCCAUCACUUCCUGCUCAUAAACUUCUUCACCAACACCAUAUUUUUCUUCUCAAGUCCAACCUUUCUUUACUCUUCCGGUUUUCUUGCUUUGAUCUCUUGACUCAUGGCUUCUGUCCUAUGAUAUGCUUCAUGUGCUUCCAUGUUCUGUUAGAUCUGGGUUUUGGGUUUGGCGACGGUUUUCCUGUCUUAUGGGAUCGGACUCUUUUAAGGAUACUCGAACAUCAUAGUUUUGUUGCUUUCUGAACUAUGCAUGUACAUUCAAACAUCACAUGGCUUUUUGCAAUUGCAUUUAGCUUGAUAUAAGAAUGUUUAAUUCUUUGGAUUAGCUAACUUUGAUCUGCAUUUGGUUUCUGCUAAUUCUGCCUCACCCCCAGCUUCUAGAUUGCCCUGAGAAAUCUGGUCAUCUUUAGUUUGUUGUGAGCAUAAUUUGAAUUUGCAGCCCACCCAAAAGAGAAAACCUUACGUGUUCAGAGUGAAAAUUCUAAGUCAAUUAAAGUGAGAAUUUGCAGACUAUCAAGAAAAGUGCUAUUAAGUUAUAAAUAAGUCAUAUGGAAAUCAGGUAAUACUUUUUUUUUUUUUAUCAAUAACUUUUUAACACUUACCAAUUCUUUCAGGAAUUUAUCCGCAUGAAAAAUAUCCGUUUGUUUUAAAAUGGAGUAAGUAAAGUCGUCCCUGUGACGUAUGAGAGUUAAUGCAUUUUUAACAAUUUGCGUCUGGAUGGCCUCUUCACUAAACAAGAGGUCUUCUUGUAAAUGGCGUAAUUAUGACUUUUUGGGUGUUGAAUUGUCGUGAUCAUAAUUAUUAUUACUUUUUUGACCAAGAUCAUGUGUUCUCCGUUAGUCCAAUUCUAAGGAAAUUUGUUACCCUCGUAACAGUGGGGUGAAUUUUAUUUUAUUUUUUUGGAUAUCCAGGAUCUGCCAGAGCCUGUGGGGUGAAUUGAUUUUUCAAGAUAUUAAAAAUCAAUUUUGUAAAACCUACCCCUAUAAAAAUUGUGCUUCUACUACCAAGUAUACUAGCAAUUUAAACAGGACAAAACUAAAAAGUUUAGAAAAAGAAAAAUUGCAAAAUGAGAAUUAUGAAAGUUCAAUUCGGGUAUACAUACUCCUCUUUCUAGCUCUAAUAGCCCAAAUAGACUGAACUCUACUAGCUAUGCCAAGAGUACAAAUACCAUCUUGUUUAGAAAAGUACUCAAUCGGUCUUAAACUUUUCAAUUUUGCCAAUUUAAUCUUAAAUAUUUGUAUAAAAUUCCAAUAUAUUCCUUUCAGUUAUUUUUCGCUGGAAAUUUCUAACGUGACAUCAUCGUUGGCCGUCCUCUGUAGCAUACCACUAUGCCCACGAUUUUCAGCUAAAAUUGGCGAAAAUAUUAGAUUGAAAUUUCACACGAAAGUCUAGUUGAUAACCAAAUUAGUAUCCAUGCAAUAAGUCUAGGAUUGAUUAGACAAUUACUUGUUACAAGUGUAGAAUUUGCUGCCACGGAGAACUUGACUUCCUUCUACAGCAAUCCCGCUAUACACUGAGUAACUUUUGGACCCUCCAAUAGCCAUUCUCACAUCUUGUUCACACGAUAUAAAGGUCCUUUUCUAAAUUAUAAACCACACCUCCGACUGUUUACAAAGAGUCCAUUAUACAUUUUAUCUCUUGCCUAGAUACAUAGUGUUCACUCUAAGUAUGUAAAACCACCCUUUUCAUAUGUUUACGAAUGGGUUUGUCCCUCUUGCUAAUAAUUAGACACAACACUAAAAUGGGUAUUACAAGUUUACGAAAGACACGAACUCAAAAGUCCCCCAAUAAUACUUAAAUUCUCUUGUAGUAGUUAUAUCUAUCUAAUCUUCAAUUAAAAAAGAAAAAUCUCAGCAAAAUUCCUUAAAAACACAUGUAUAAAACCUUGUUACAAUCUAGGCCAUCAAUCUGAUCUUCUAUUAAUGCAGGUUUUAAUCAUAUUGUUUCGCCAACCUUCUGAGCGAAUUAGUUCCUUUUUUUUUUUUUGCAUAACUACUCUUGGGAUGUCACAUUUUAUUGCUAUGACUUGGGGCUUUGAUUUAGGAACUCCAAUAGUCAUUAAAUUUAUCCAUGGAGAGCGCCUGCUAAAAAAAUCUGACUGCUUUGCAUAACCUAGUUUGGUUCUACACCUUUCCUCCAGCAGCUUUCCUAACAUAGUAAAACCUUACUUAUGUACUUGUAAAAUCCGAACCAAGCUUCUGUAUGGUUUAAACAUGAACAUUUGCACACUUAAAUGAAUUCUUUAAAUCCUUGGGUUAAAUUUUGAUAUUAUCAUAAUCUUUUUAGUAUAUUUUCCAAGCAGUUUCACCAUUUUCAACAAUGACAAACCUAUACCAUUCCUUCAAUAAGAGUGAGUUAUGCACAUAAGCAUGCAUAUUCUGCAAAACUAUCUGACUGUAAAACCAGAGAUGAUUCAUGCAUGCUUCCACAUGCGACAUUUUAAUAGACCAUAUAAAUAUGUCUGCAAAACAUAAUAAACUCCCCUUAAUAUGUACACAUAGUGCGAUUCUCCCCCUGAGUAUGUGCUUCUCCCCCUUCUUGUUUCUUAAAAAAGCAUUAACAUCAGAUGCCCAGGGAUGAAAACCAUAUAAGCAAAAGCAUUCAUUUAUUUAUAUAUAAGAGUGUUCUACAAAGCAUAUUCCGGAAAAAUUAAUAUAAAGGAAAGUGAACACUAACCAAAAGGAUCACAAACACCGAUUUCAUCCAUCAAGCUAGAAACGUAUUGUUAUCAAGAGGUCUAUUCAGAAUAUGAGAGAAUUGCAAAUCGAUGCUAACAAAUCCUUUUCAUUGAUUCAUGUUGUGCUGUGGCUGCCAUAAUUAAAUAAAUAAAUAAAUAAAAGAAUCAUAUGAAAGAGUCUCUCUUCUUGAAGUUUGACCUAGUUCAGAGUUCCUCGAAAUGGAAGCCACCCCCGUUAAUUAGCACAAUUAAAUAUUUUAUUAGAAAUCCAAAAUUUAGGCAGUUGAAUACUUGGCCAAUUUUUAAGACAGUGUGACUCUAAAAAUUGUGCUCGUAUUCAACUGAAACACAAUUACUAAAGAAAGACUUACCGAUUGCUUAACAAUGUUGCAAUUACACUUUUUUUCAAAUCCUUACAUUAAGGAUGACACGUCCUUAUAUCUCAAUAAGGGCCAUUGACUUAACUAAGACAUUUUAUCUGUUCCCUUUUUGCUGAUCAAUAUGUCAUGAGGUUUGGUACACAACUAACUAUACUAUUAUAAAUAAUUUGAUUCUGUUGAAUACUCAAAACACAUAAAUCUGACUAAUUGGAGUUUGAAUUACUGAAACUGCGACAACAAUUGAGUAGAAAUGUAAAAGAGACUUAGGGUUGAUGCCUGAUUAUAUAUCGAAAUACCAUGGGUUUGACAUAUAGACCUCCUUUUCAAAGCCCCGUAUGCUAUUGGAAAUAUGUAUACGUAUUAGGAGCAUUUUGUGGGCUACUACAUGGUGCACUUGUUUUAUAUUUAAAGUUUCAAUGGGUCAGUUUUGUCUACUAGUAACAUUCUCCUCCAAUCAUACUUUCAGUUAACAGGUCAAAGAUUAUGGACAUUAUCAAUAUGAAAAUUUAAUCAAAAUCAAAUACGAGUGAUGUUAAUAUUUGUGUGAUCCAUCAAUGAAAGUUAUGGCUAAAAAGAGUUCAUCCAGCUAGAGCGUUACAUGUGCAAAUAGAGAUAAAAUAAAUUUAGAAUUCUAUCUGUGAGCUUUUACAUCAUUGACUAUGGUUGCUAACAAGCAUUUUCAUUGCAAAAUUUGACAACAUUUUUGGAUGGCUUUUGGAUUAUUGAUGUUGAUUACAUAAUUCUGUCGUAAUUCAGUUUUAUCACGUUCAGAUUUAGUUUUCUUACAUUUAUUUGAAUCUAAGUUACUAUUAUUGCACAUGAUUGUUGACAUCUGAAUUUCGCUAUUUUACUUAAGACUUAAUAGCAUUAAAAUUUAGGAAUAAGUCGCUAAAAAAAAUUGAUUUUUUUUAAAAAAAAAAAAAAAGAAGAGAGAAGAAGAAAAAACCUUAGGGGUCGGGCCGGAUCCGACCUUUGCCCAGCCCGCCGCCUUCCUCUUCUUUUCCCCCCGCGCGGCCCAAUCUCUUUUCCUUUCGGCACGCCCGCACCCCAGCUGUCUUCCUUGUCCUGUCUUCGCGCGCAAACCUGCAGAGGAGGACAGACAGCACGCGACCAGGCGGGACCGGCAGAAAGAAAAGACAGGGUAAAGCAGAGAGUAGGAGGAGGGGCAGAAAGAAAGUGGAGCAACCAGAGAAAGAAAAACAGAGGGAGAGAGCUCGAGAGGGAGGAAGAGAACCGGAGAGGAGGAGGGGAGUCUCCGGCACUGUCGCCACCGCUGCCGAUGCGUCUCCUAGCCGCCGACAUUUAUGAACAUUGAUCAAAUCCAACAAUUUUCUAAAAUUUAUUUGAAAGGCAAUUGCAUAAAAAUCGACAAGAAGUAAAAUGUCAAAAGGGUACUGACCUUCUUAUGACUCGUGCUCCUUUCUCAAGUUAUAAUUUUAUGCUCUUUUGCCUGGUGAUCUCGUCCUAUCCAUUCUAAAAAGGAAAAGAAACAACAAAUUUAUUGAGAUGUGUGAAAAUAUAAUAACAAAAAUGAAACAAAUUAUGCAGAUUCAUAAUAUUCAUGCCGAGAUAGCAAAAAAUUCACAAUCACAUCUAGAAAAAAGCAAGUUCGUUCAAUAAUUCAUAUGCUUCAUAAUUGUGAUCGAGGAAAGCGAACAUUAAAAUUAAGCCAAAUUUAUUCAAGACCACAUCCCGGAGGAAACAACCAACAACUACAUGCCACAUUUGACAUUUUCCUUUAAAAAUAAUGACAGCAAACUCCCAAAAAAUGAUGAGAAAUGAAUAGAAUAUCUAUGAACUAUUUUAGCAACCAAUAUGCCCUCAAACAAUGUCAUGACCCAACUAAAUCACAUCUAACCCAGAAUAUCCAGCAACUACCAUUGCAAAUGACCUAUGGUAAGGUGUUAGUCUUUAUUUACUUUUAUCUGUUUCUAUUUGCUAAAAAACGUUUGGUUUUGCUAAACGUUGGAGCACCACUACUGUUGACAUCUCCUUCUAUAAUUGCAGUUGGUACCUUUGGAUAUUUGUGGUCAUCUUCUUAUUGCUCAAUGUCCAAGGUGAGAAACCACAUUAAUCACAUAUUGCAAUUUCCAAAUUUACGCGUCAUGAAUACAACAAGGUUUACUUUUCAUUAUUGUAGUUUUUACCCCAGCAAAACAUGGCUGAACACAAUUUAGGCAUGGUUUGGCAUGGCGAUUCUAGUCCUCAUAUUGAGAAGGAAUUUGCACGGAGUUCAAUGGUCCUUUCCGGAGAAACACCUAGGCUGUUGAUGCUUCUGAGCAUACGAGAGUCAAGAGCAGUUAAUAUCAAGUUACCCACAACAUAAUUCCCAUCAAAACCCCUAAAGUAACGCUUAAAGGCCAAUCCUAUAAACGGGGGAUUUAACUAUAACUGAUGAGGGGCUGCAAUCAAUUAUGCAGGCUGGCAUGCAUACUUUUGGAUAUCUUUCAUGCAUACUUUUGGAUAUCUUUUGUUCUCUUUUUGGUGAGUAGAACCGUGUCCCGGCAUUGGGCUGCUUAAGCCACAUUGUACAUCUCUUGAGAAAUGAGUCAUAGUGGGAUUCAGUUUAUUAGUUAUUCUAUUUCCUUUUCUAGCUCUUGCUGUCGGAACAAAGCUGGAGCACGUGAUAAAUCAAUUAGCGCAAGAUGUGAGAGUGCUAGUAUGAACAAAAUAAAGGAGUUAAGGAAGAGAAUAAGAACACAGAAAUUAUAGUGGUUCGGCUUAAUCCAAGCCUACGUCCACUCUCCCACGAUAACAGCCUUCUUGGCUGGAUUCCACUAUGCAAUCAACAAGAGAUUACAACUCCGAGUGCAAACACUUAGUAGUAGAUCACACUAUCUCACUAAGUCACUCUCUUGGUAUUUCUCUCACGAUUACAAACGUUUAAGCUCUCAAGAGACAAGUAUAUGAUCUAAAGUCGCUUAGACUUUGGAAUUAUAAAUUCUACGCUCCGUCUCUUACUUGCUCAUCGGUCCAUGAUCUUCUUAAAUACUCCUCCACUUCCAAACUACCGUUGGACAGCAUCCCGGAGAAUCGUCUUCCAAUAUACCCAUUGGACAGCUCUGUAUCUUAGAAGAUUUGGUAGCCGUUGAGUGACAAAGGUAAAAUCCCAAAUUGAUUCCGAUCGCCCAUACAAACGAAAUCUUGGUUUCCAUAAGUAAAGCUUCUUCGUAUAGAAAGAUCUUGUCUUCAAUCAAAUCAAUCUUGAUGUGGAAUCCAAACCAGAUCACUAGCCGUUGUAUGAUUGGGCUUGAGUUACGAUUCAUCGAAUCUGGAUGUAAAGUCUGAGUCUUGAGACUUUACGAUAUGAGUCUUGAGACUUUACAACCUGGGUCUUUAGACUUUACAAUCUGAGUCUGUACCCAGUUCAGCUUCAGCAUAGAGUCUGUCUUCAGACUUUGAGUCUUGAGUCUGACAGUCUUCAGACUUUGAGUCUCGAGUCUGGCAGUCUUCAGACUUUGAUAAUAUCCUCUACAUGUUCUAUUAUCUGCAUGGUCUAUUACUCAACCAUCAAACAUGUUAGUAGCCUUUGAUUUAUUUUGUCAUCUUCAAAACAUCAUAAGGGAUUUCCCUAACAAGAUGUCGCGGAGAAGCAUGCAGCCGUGGAAGGGGACUUGGUGGUUCAACCUUCUGUUGAUCAUUUCUGGUUCCAUAGACCUCGCAUUGUCCUGCUGCUCAUUCAUAUCCUCCUCUUCCAAAAAGCUUUUGAGCUCGCUUUCUUCUUCUUCAUUUGUGCAAGGGAUAAAAAUAGCUGAAUUGCCAAAAGAAAAUAAGUGCUUACGAUUACUUACUGGAGCUUCCAUGGGGAAAAAACCUGGCAGGUUCAAUAUAGUUUUGACUCGUGCAUAAUGGGACAAGUCGGUUUCAUAAUCCCAAGACUCGUGAUAGGGUAAAAGCCUUCUUCCUUCUCCUCAUAUGUGGAUUUAUCCUUACCAAUAUCACAUGUAUCUGAAUGGCUAGCUACAGGCAAUGUUGUCAGGGUGUUGGUUCACUUCAUGUGCAGCUACAGCACCUUGCCACUCUAUGCGAUAGUUACCCAGGUGACCAAUCUAGGCACAUCGUUUUCACGGUUCAUGACUAUUUACUGCAACAUGAUAUUGAAACUGAUGGCAUACGUACUUGCGUGUUUGCGCUUGGUUGUUAAAGAUGGGAAGCUCAUUCAAGAAGGCUAUAUUUGAGGAACACAUACAUGAGGGGCUCAGCGUCUGGACCCAGCAUGCAAAAAUGAAGAAGAAUGCAAGAAUGACGGCGACUGGCACACGAUUGACCACCCUCCCCGUGGACCCCAAAGUGACUUAACAAUCCCUUGGCGAGCCAACGAAAGAAGCUGAGAUCCAAUAUGAUCCUUCCUUCCAGGGACCAAAAGAGAUGUAGCAACCAUUCGAAACAUUCCCUUCCAAUUUCCAUGUUUCAUCAUCUUUAGACCUCUUAAAUGGGAAAGUCGGCCUGCUUUCUCUACCCCGAUGUUGAUUAUAUUUCAUAACCAGACACCAAACAACAGUCAACAAAAAUGAACCUUCCAUCAAGCUCUAUUUUCUCCGAGACGGUCAUUUCUCAUUCUACAAGGUUACAUGUGAUCAUUUAGAUUUCUAGUUAGGAGAAGAUUAGAGGAUAUAAAAAUUUUGCUAAAUUCUAUCAAUUGUUCGUCGCAGAGAUAAAAUCGAAUAUAUCCACAUCAUAUUAUAUAUAUUGUAUGGUAUAAACAACAUGUCAAUACAAAAUGAAUCUAAAAUUUGCGCAAUAGAUAUGAUAAAAAUCUCUCAUAACUCUCUAACUUCAUUUUUUAUUUGCUAAUUUUUUUUAUAAAAAAAAAAUUCCUAUAUUUUUUUUAAAUUUUUUUCCCCCUUCCAUCAUUCUCUAAUAAAAUUUUAUUAUAUAGUAAACUAUAGUAAUAUAUCUAAAAUACUAAAGUCCUAAAAUAUGUAAUAUUCAUAAUGAAUAUAUGUUUAUAUAUUGAUUAAUAUUAUAAGAUAGAAAUAAAUAAAAAGAGGAUUAAAUAAAAAUGAAAUUUUUGCUUUUUUGUUAUUUUGAAUUUUUUUAUCAGAAUUAAACUAUUAUUUAUCUUCCAAUAUUAUUUUAAUUUUAUAAUAAGAAUUUUUUUUUUUGAGAAAAAAUCUUUUAUAUUAUAGAUAUUAGAAAUCUUAUUUACCUUUAUCUCACCUCUCCAUAAAAUAAUUAUAUCCAUGCUAUAGCCCUCUUAAAUAUUGAACGAACACCAAACAUAAAAUAAAUAUUAUAUCCUAAAUUUUAUUCCGAUUGUCAAAUUAUUCCACACAUUUGGACUUUUAAUACUUAAAAUCUGAUUCUAGGAAAUGAGUCAAUAGUAAAAAGUGAAAUUUUCUUGGUGCGCAAUGUUGCAAUCUUGCAGAUCAUGGAGUAGGAUAUUUUAUGUACCAAGACAGUAAACUCAAGAGAGCAAUUGCCUUAUAUGUAUCUUCUUCGGCAUAAUUUAUUACAAAUACAAAAGGAGAUACAAGAUCAAUAAAUCGUGAUUCAAUGCUUCAAAUUAUUCCCGCCCAAGCUAUUUUUGCUGUCAUAGUGGAGCUGCAAAACCAAGUUAUUUUGCAGACAUUAACUAUAAAAAUGGUUUCAAUAACAAAAAGUAGUGCAUAAUUCAACAAUCAUUACCCAUUAAUUUAAACCUUUCAUGAUUAAUCAAGAAAGUGGUUUGAGACAACAGCUCAAACAUAAACAUCAUGACGGUAACUGACUAUUACACAUAUUCUGCAGCAAAAUAGCCGCCUAUCUAUACUUCCAAUACGCAAAAUUCUCCUUUAUCAAACCGGACCCGGCCGUACCGACCGGUCUAAACCCGGGUCGGGUCAGACCGGACCCGACUCAUUUCGCCCUUUUUUAAAAUUAAAAUUAUUUUUAAAAAAUUUUAAUUAAAAAAUUAAAAAUUAAAAAUUUCGAAAAUUAAAAAAUAUAGAGUUUGGUUAGGAAUUGUCAUAUCUUGCAUUUUUACAGUAAUAUUAGGCUUUUAUUUUCUUACACCUUGAUUAUAUUGCAUGUUUGAUUCGCAUAUUUGAUUAUGUUUGUAGAUGUUCAAUUGCACGUACUCAAUUUUACUAUAAUUAAGAUCUUCAUAACUACGAUUGUUAUUUUAAUGAUUGUGUAUUCAUAUGAUCAACUCAUAUGUUAGUGGAUAUGUAUAAAAUUAAUCUAAACUGUCGAACAAAAAUCAUUAAAUUUUUAAAUGAAUAAAGAUUAUGUACAAAAAUGGCACUAAUUGGUUGCGUAGUAAGUGUGGCAUACUUCCAUGCCUCACUUGAUUUUUUUUUUUCUUUUUGCAAAAUUCUUAAGAAUAUCUAAUGUCAUGCGAGAUAUAGACUUGGAAGAGCUUGUGCUUAAUCAUGGGCCUUUUGUCCGUCAUUUAAUCUAUCCCCUCCCCUUGAGGGAAGUUUGCGACAAUGAUCUAAGCUCCAACAAUAUUCUUACAUGACAUUUUUUGCUUGUUAAUCAUGUGACUUUAACGAUGUUGUAAGUUAAAUCGAUUACACGUAAAAAGUUCCUAUCAAUAAUUGACACAAAUAGUAGUAGUGGACCGACCACAUAACAUUAGAUUGGCAGUAAAAAAUCUAAUUUCAAGAGAUCAAUAGCCUAACUGUAGCAAAUAUCGAACUUUGGCACCGUGAAUGAAAUUUCUCAGUGUUAAAAAAUAAUUUUCCUUCUCUUGUCGCGGCCACAGAGAAAAUCUUUUGACACCGCCACUACAAAAAAGGAUCGUGUUUUCUUCCAUCACAAAUUUGAUUGGCAAGUUAUCAAAAUCUGAAGAAUCAUCCUAGAGACCGAUUCAAGGACAGCAAUUGAUCUACUAGUUGGCAAGAUUACAGAGUUGUCGAGGCCAGAUUGGGUGGUGAAAACCAACACAGCCCGUGAAGGCAAAACGUGCGACGAUUGAUAAGCCAAUGCAGCGUUCUUUUAGAGACCAUAUUUAGUUAUUCACUUAGGUUUAUCUACGGGGCUUCAAUUUGUACUUUUUAGGAGAUAAAAGUGGGUGUUAGGAGGCCGGGACUUGCAUAUGAGAUGUGUUAGAAAUUAAACCAAAUUAAUAAAUGUCCUCAAUUGACUACGAGUUGCUGAUGUUAUGGAGAAGUUACCGAUAUUAAUGGUUGUCAAUGCCGAUAUUCCAGAAUUUGGUACCGAUGAUUUUGUUUGGUAAAUUUUUUUUUUUUUUGUCAGUCUUACUCUAUGCCUACUUUACACUCACUCUCAGACUUCUGCCCUGCCUCUUGUAGGGCUUGGGAGUCGAAACCCACUCCUGAAACUUACGCGUCCCCACCCCAUCCCCCUAAGAAGGUGGGGAUUUGAACCCCACAUCUCCCCCUUCCAUGUUGGAAGGAUGGCUACUGGGAUGAAUCCCACUGGGGUGAAUUGAUACGGAUGACUAUCCGAUGCUCGAGUUAAUUAGAUUCUUUAUUGUAGCGUUGUUUUUUAGAAGUCUAUUCGUAUUUUUAUUUCAUGAUUGUUCAUGUUUCUAAGUGUAAUCAAUGUUUUGCAAGUUCUUAAGAUUUUAUCACCUCAGAACAUUAGCUAUAUUUAUGAGUCAUUUAGUUUAAGAGUUAUGUGUGAAGCGUAUAAAAUUCGAGUCUUGUAAUUGUUUUCGAUAAGGUGAAAAAAAGGUGAAAUAAACAAAAAGGAUAGCUGUCUCCUUCUCUUUUUUGUGUUGUGUUAGUGAGUGUUUCAGCUUUAAAUUAUCUCAUCAAGAUCUAGCUUGUAUUUGUCUUUUACAAAAACUCAAAAUUUUCUAGUUUUGAUGCCAUAUGAAAUUAUGAAGGAGCAUUAUUAGCUAUUAUAGAAGUUUAGAUAAUUAGAUGGAUGCAUUAUUCAAUACUUAAUUGAUAUGACGCCUCUUUCACGACCUGUGUUACCUUUCAACAACUAGAUUACUUGCACAGCUUGGGCUCAAUGGACGGAGAGCUGUCUAUAAAAGUGGAGGAUGGUGGGAUGAACAACUCGAUCGCGGAGGAGGUAAAGAAGGAUGAAAGAGGACAUUUAACGGAAGUGUCAAAGGAUGAAAGGGAUUCUGAAGAAGAAAUCUGGGGAGGUCGACGGGAGAUAAUGAAUAAUGCAUUGGCGGCUUCCGCGGGGGGACAAGAUCCGGCAAAAGCUUACGAAUAUGCUCGAAAACUGGCGGGUGUCAUCAAAGGCGGCAAGGUUGACGAGUUCCUUUCCACGAUCAAUGUAAAUGAUCCAUCGUUGCGGGACAUCGAUUGGUCUGCCGUUUUAAAUUCCCGAUUGGAUUGGAACGAAUCACUGCUCCACGUGGCAGCAGAAACCGAGAAGGACGACAUCCUAAGGCUUCUGGUUGAUUAUGUUGGUGACCACCUCAUAACCGCCCAAGAUGAUUGGGGAAAUACCCCACUCCACCGGGUCACCCAGUUUGGGGGAUCUACUGGAGCUGCAGAGAUGUUGAUUCACCGGGCAAGAGACCUCCCCAACGUCGAGGACAAGAACCUCCUCUUGAGGAUGAAGAACAAACGUGAAAACACCGCUGUGCACUUCGCCGUGCGCUCUCAACAUGCCAACUUGGUGCGCUAUUUGGUGUACUGGAAGAACGCGAGUGAGAAAUCUCCCCUGUACCGAGUCCUCUACAUUAACGACUCCACAAUACAUGAGGUUUUAUUUUCACUCUCGUUGGAACCAUCAAGGAUAGAAGGCUUGCCGCCCAUUCAUGGUGCCAUUGUACUUCUACGACACGGUACGUACCUAAAUCUGCUUAUGUGGAAAUAUAUUUAUCUUUUACUGGACCGACUCGUCCCAAAUCUGUGCAAUAACUUUUUGCUGUUACAAGAACCCCUUACCAGUUUUUACUUAAAAUUCCCUACCCUGCUUGUUAAAGUAGUUGGAUACCCAUCGGUUUAGUCGCAUAAUAAACAAAAUAUUCACAUUAGAGCAUAAUAGAUGGCUUAAAUAUUACAAAUACAACCAUUUCACUAGAAACUCAUGUGUUGUCGAUCUUUGAUUAGAAAAGCUAUAAAGUGCAAAUAUUUAAGAUUGAUGACCAUGACAAUCUGGAAUCUAACAAUGACGCCAUUUUGUUGGUUGCGCAGGCGUGAUUUUUUCAUUGGAAAAAGAGGAGGUGAAGGUUCCGUCACUCUCAGCAAAUUGAUGGAAUAUCGUAAACCGUUAAUUUUUUUGUGACCAACAUUCAAUAGGUUUUUAAGAAAUUAACAAAAGUGGAUCUAAAUAAAGAAAGAAAUUUUUGACUUUUUUUUUUAAAUGAAUACAAGUUAUCAUAAUCUUUGCAGAAAAAGCCGAUACCGUAGUCUAGCCUAAAUUACCUUGACCAUUAAAAAUAUUGAGAUAAAAUUCAUCAGACACGCAAUAAUCAAUUAUGUUGAAUUUUUUGGCUGCUAAUGCCAUGUAUCCCAAGUUUACUACUUGAAAAGCGCAACUAAUGUUCAUUGAUCAUCAGAUUGGUAGAUGGCAUUCAUCUGUUACAGUCAUAUCAAAUAGAGAGAAUUGUCCAAAAAGUUCUAAAUUUAUUGUACGAUUAUCAAUUCAGUUAUAAACAUGUCAAUUGUGUCAAUUUAACCUCCAUUUUAGUCCUAAACUUUUUAAAGAUUUAAUAAUUUAGUCCUUCUAAUUAAUUUCUACUGGAAAUCAAUUUCUUCUGGAAAUCGCUGACAUGGCGGUCUAGUCAAAGCUAGCCAUCCUACGCGAUGUUGAUUGCCUUUGUGGUUUUUUUACAAUAUAUUUUUUAAUUUUUUGCAUUUUUUUCCUUUUCUUUUUUUAUCCUUUUUUCCCUCUACCAGCCUUAGACGAGGGCCGCCCUUCGACCCUUGCGUAGAGCAACCCUUGCCCUUGCUUGACUUCCACUAGGCGUCAACCGUUGAUGGUUAGAGAAGGGAAAAAGGAAAAAAAAAUUAUAAAACUAAAAAAAUUGCAAAAAUUAUCCGCAUUAGCGUUGGCUGUGCCAUGUAGAACAAUCAGUACUACUAGACCACCAUGCUUAUGAUUUCCAACAAAAUUGGCUAGAAUGAUUAAAAUGACAAAUUGUUAAAAGAUUUAUCACUAAAUUGGCAAGUUAUUAAAAUUGUUAUGACUAAAUUGGCACAAUUGAAAGAUUUAGACUGAAUUAAUCAUCAUACAAUAAAUUCAAAACUUUUUGGACAAUUUUCCCUAUCAAGUAUAAUUCCAACCCUAGAUGCAGUAACUUUAUUUUUAUCAUGUCCCAAUUUAUUAAUCCAACCACAUGUUAUUAUUUACAUUGCACGACAUAACAUGUUUGAGGCUUUCUAUUUGAAUUGAACAUGCAAAACAAUUUCAAAUGGACAUAAAGUGAAAAUGCGUAACAAUGUAUUGUGUGAUGCAAAUAAUAAAUUAGCAUACCCAAUAAAUGUAUGUGUCUAAACUUAGGUUGCACUCGUUGAAUAGAUUAUAGAAGUCGACCUGCACACAUAACGUUCAUAAUCCAUUAUAAAUGGCUUAACUUAUUUGCGAUAAUACAAUUAAACCUAAUUCUACCAUAUUUAACCACGUUUCAUGUAGUGAACAUGUAUGUAGAAGGGCUGUUUUAUAGUUUGUCAGCUCAUAAUUCUAACAAGCACUUUAGAAACUAUACAAAAGAUCCCAUUGAAAUUGGAUUUACUGUAUAUUUCUUAUUCUUACUGUCCAAUAUAUAAAAAUCCUUUUAUGAAGUACUACUGAUUGAAAUCUCGUAAUAAUAGUUCAAUUUAUUCUUCAUUGAAUGCAAAAGUAGAUGACAUUGUGGAAUGAAUCGAGCGUUGCCAUGGGCUUUUGUAGAUAGGCACUUUAAUUAGGUUAUCAUGAUAGGCACUUUUUUUAAGGUUCAUAUCAAUUAAAUAAGGUAAGGUUAUUUCUUUAAAUCUAGUAAUGUUCUUUCACUUGGGAAAAUUAUCAAAAAAGUCCUAAGUAUAUUGCACUUUUGCCAAUUCAAUUUUAAAUUAUUCAAUUUUGUCAAUUCAGUGCUAAACCUUUUUCACUUCUUACCAAUUGAGUGUAUUCGACUAAUUUUGAUCAGAAUUCAUUGAUGUUGAUAAUUUUUAUUAAUAUUUUAAUCCUUUUUAAAAAAAAUUAUAUUUUUUUCGAUUUUCUUUCUUUCUUCCCCCCAUUCUUCUUCCUUUUAUCAGUGGCCGGCUACCAAUCACCAGUGAUGGCCAGCUACUAGCCAUGGCUGGGUGAGUUGACCUUGCCGUAAGUGAUGCCUAGCCAGGCAAGGCCAAGCCUCAACAAGGGUCGACCUCACCUAGGUUAGGCAAGACCAACCCUUGCCCAAACUAGGCGAGAUCGCCUGGACGAGGGUGAGCCCCCUUGUUCGGCCACAUCUUACUGAGGCAUGCGAGGCUAGCUAGCUUGGCCAUAGUCGGUGGCUAGCACAAAGGAAGAAGAAAGGGAAAAAAAAUUAGAAAAAAAAUCAAAAAAUAUUUUUAAAAAUUGUUUACAUUAGUGCCGACUAUCCUACAUGACACCGCUAAUGUCCACGUCAGCAAAUUCCUAUCAAAAUUGGCCAGAUAGACUCAAUUAGCAAGAAGUAAAAAGGUUUAUAACUGAAUUGACAAAAUUAAAAAGUUUAUGACAGAAUUGGUAUAAGUGCAAUAGAUUUAGAACUUUUUGGACAAUUUUCACUAUUUCACUAAUGUAUCUAGAAUGUAACCGGUUACCCAUAUUGAAAUUUGUGGCCUGAAUUGCUCCGUCAAUUUCAAGGAUGAUGGCAUCCGUCAUGCGAGCACCUUUUUUUGUAUUUGUGUAAAAUUGAAGUAUGUUUUUUAUUAUAAAUUAUUGGUGAAAUAUUAUUCUAUUUCAUAAAAAAAUUCUUCUUUUGAAUAGACUAAAUGCAAAAUUCUUAAUUCGUGUUAUAUAUUAAUGUAAAUAUAGGGGGGUCAACGACAAUUAGAAAAUUCCUAAUUAUCGCUGUUAUAUGACUGAUGAAAUUUGUAUAUGUACGUAACAAUAUUAUUAGAGUAUAUUUUAUAGGAAGUAUUAUAGAAAUGUAAGAAUUUUCAAUAAUUGCUCAUUUGCGGUUUUUGAAACUCAUUAGAACUAAUUUCAAUAAAACUAAUGCCUCUUUUGUUGAACAAAAUUCAUGGUAUAAGAGGCAAACAUAGAUCCUAAUUUGAAGCAAAAUAAAUGGAAAGUGGAAGAAAAACACUCUUUGUGAGGAAAAUAAUUAAUCCCUUACAAAUUAGAGCCCUAUAAAUCACUUUUAGAGACAAUUCUUAAAGAAAAAAAUCAUUAUAUAUCUAUGUAGAUGUUACAACAGUCUAGAUUAAUUUGCAAAGUUCAUUGAACUUUUAGUAUUAUGGAUGUAAUUUUUUUGGCGAUGAAAUGAGGCUUGUUUUAUUUUGUGUUGUGUCAUCACAGCUUAAAUAUGUGGUCGUUAUAGCUAGGAUAUAUAUGACUCCAUGCAAUGCACAUACCAUAUAAUGUGAUUUAUUGAGUAAAAAUAUCUUUCCCAGAAUCACUAAAAUUUCACAAAAUAUAUUUGGUCCAUUCACAAGAUAUAAUGGGAUUGAGUAGCACAAUCCCCAAGGAUGAGGUUAUCUCUAAAUCACUCUCGCCUGUCUUUGAAGUCCAAUGGCCACCCACAAUCCUCAAACACCGUUGGAAUAUUCUCAAACAAUCGAAACACCUCUUUCACAUUAUUGAACCUCUUUACUAGCACCUCCAAAUUUUCAUAGUUGGGGCCAAAAAAAAAUUUCUUUUGGUGGAGCCUUUUCCCUUCUGUAAUUUGUGAUUUAUAAGCUCUACUAUCUUCGAAAUAGAUUCUAGUCACAAAUUUUACUUAGAUUUUACUCAAAAUUUUUGGUAAAUAUAUAAUCUCUUAAUUGAGCUGAAUAAGUGCCGUAUACCUUUACGAAGAAGAUGACGUUUAAUCUAGAGAGGGUGGAACAAUUUUAAGGGGGAUUUCGGUAUGGUGCUGUGGAGGCUAUUGCAAUGUUCUCAACAAUUAAAUAAGGCCCCGUUUGGUUGGACUUUCCCAAGGGGCUUUUGGGCCCGAAAGCCCCUUGGGGAAAAAUUUUUGUGUUUGGCAAUCAUUUUCAAAUGCUACUUGGCCAAAUGUCAGCAUCCCCAAUCCUGAAAGCCCAAUGCUGGGAGGACCAGCUUUGAGCAUUGGGCAUUUCAGAAAUGCCAGUCCACUGUUCAUCUUCUUCCCCCUUUCUUCUUCGUUCGUCUUCUUCGUCUUCGUCUUCCUCGCUGACUGAGAGUGCGGCUUCUCCGGCAGCCGCCACCGCCGCGUGGGGGUCCCGCGUCCCUGGUGACCACCGCCUGGGGUGGCGAGACCCGCGACCCAGGCGGCGUCGCCUGGCGGGCGCGAGCUAGGCGACGCCACCUGAGGUCGCGCGGACCUCAAGUCGCUAGAUCUAGCCGUCCGGCGGCCAGAUCUAGCGGUCUUGAGGCCAAAUCUUACUGCCGGACGGCCAGAUCUGGCCUCCGCGACCUCAGGCCGCCAGAUCUGGUGGUCCGGCGGCCAGAUCUGGUUGGCCGGCGGUUGGCCGGCCGCCGGAAUUCGAUUUUCUGACUUAAAUAAAAAAUAAAAAAUACCAAAAGUCAAUUACAAAGCUGAAUUUUACCAAACGGUGUUUAUACUAAGUUGCCUUUCAAUGCUACAAUUUACCAAACGGUAUAACAUUCCCAUAAACCCCUUUACCUCAAAGAUAUUUGUAUUCUCCAAAUGGCAUUUCCCCAAAGUUGAACCAAACGGGCCCUAAGUCUGCUUGAUACUUGCUAAAAUUCGAUGGACAUAAUAUGAAAAGAUCAUUUUCCUUUUCUUGAUCUUGCCCUAGCUUGCAUUACGUCUGCCGACUCUAUAGAUACUUCAUGUCGUGGACAUGCCAUAUAAAUUGCUAUGUCAUUUAGUAAGAUUUUUAUAGUGAAAUCUUAAGUACCUGUCGAUGUCAUUAACUAGUUUUGGUAUUGCAAUCUAAUCUGUUAUUGUCGACUAUCAAUACUAGUAGUGAUUAAGGCACGUCAAAGAUGUCCUUACUCCAAAAAGGGUUUAGAUAUAUAGAGACCAAUCAAGCUCUAACCAUCCUAAUUUGGAGCUCUUGAUCCCAGGUUUAUUCGACCUGAUGCUCAAGAAAAACAUGAAGCUAUUUGCAAUGACCGACUCAACGGGGGCAAUGUGUUCCAUUUAGCAGCUCACUUGAAUAUCGCCUGGGUAUUCGAAUUCUUACGACCAGAAACUGAAUAUUUGACCCGAGUAAGGGACAAGAAUGGAGAUCUCCCCAUUCAUAUUGCGAGCAAGAUGGGUUAUGUUGAACAUAUCGAGAAGCUGAGGGAAGUAUCACUUUUGCCAAAUGGGCAAGGGCAAACCGUUCUUCAUAUUGCCGCAAAAUAUGGGAGAGUCUCUGUAGUGAGAUAUAUACUCAGCAAUCCAGAUCUAAGGAGGAUGCUGUUGAAUAAACAAGAUAAUGAUGGAAAUGCUUGUUGGCUGUUGACAUUGCUCGACGACACAAGCCAGAGGGGUAUAAGAUUCGGCAUGUAGGUAACAUGAACAGUCACUAUUUUAUUUAUUAACUUACUGGAGAUUUCAUAGACUAAUGCAUUGGUUAAGGCAGAUCUGGUAUUCAAAUCAUUAUGUCUCCCAGCCAACUAGAUAGUAGAAGUAUUGAUCAAAUUUCUAGAACAGCCGAGACUCCUCUCGGAUAAAUGUUUCGCAAGUCCCUAAUUUAGUCUUGAUAGGAGGUAAUUAAAAUUUGUGAUCAUGAAUUUCUCUGCAGUUAGAAACAAGUAACGUGUCUUUCAUAACACGGAGAUUAAAAUUUAUAUAUUUCGUUUAAUUGAGCCUCUGAAUACGGUCAUGAAUAAAAAGGCAGGGUUUGUCAAGGUUGCAUUCUGUUUUUCAUAAAAAGCCAGGGGUCAAUGUGGCAAAUUUGACCUCUCCAAAUGUAGCACAAUCUCAUGACAUUAUCAUUUUGUCGACCUAUGAAAUGAUUGCCCACAUAGAUUCCAUUCAUGCCUCUUUUUUCGUCUAAAACGAACUUGGUAAUUUUGUGCUAAUUCUUCAAAAAGAUCAGAAACUGCGUCUUUAGAAGCGAACGUUUCCAGAGUUCAUUCCCGUUAUAAAUAUGGUAUAAGUUUGUUCUUAUUUUCCUUUUUACAUGCUUCCGAUCUCAGCACUUGGCAUUCCUGGUGUUGCUUUGCUCGCUCGCGGGAAAAGGUCCACUUAAAAACCCGGAGUUAUUCCUAGUUAGAGCGGAAGCUCGAGAUGAAGAGUUAUCAGUAGUCCGCUCGCGCAAAAGCGUGCCGAGCAGGAAAAUCGUCAAGGAUUACAUCAAUUCCCGUAUGGUGGUGGCAACGCUUGUGGCCACAGUGACUUUCGCAGCUGGUUUUGCAGUUCCUGGAGGAUUUAACGGCUCGGACACAGCCUCCAAAGAUGACCGGGGCAUGGCUACGAUGUUGGACAAUAGAAUGUUCCAGGCUUUCGCGAUUUGCAACACCAUCGCGAUGUUCUGCUCAAUGACUGUGGUCGUCAACCUCAUCUGGGCGCAGAUAGUUGAUGUCGACGUUGCAGUCGCUGCAUUCCAGCGCACAACGCUACCACUACAAAUUGCACUCCCGGCGAUGUCCACCGCUUUCUUAACUGGUGUCACCUUGACCAUUGGCAAACUCCCGUGGCUUGCUAACACCAUAUUUUAUAUGGGACUCGUUUUCCUCCUCAUUAUCUCAUUUGCUAAAUUGUUAGAGAAGCCUCUCCUCUUUAAAAUCCUCGGUCGUCCUCUCCUUCGACUAACAUUCUGGCUUAUUCUCGCUUACGUUUAUGUGUGGAGAGUUGAGACGUACAUUUAUGUUGACAAUGACGCGAAAGAUAACAGAAGGAAGAGCAAGACCUUCGCUAGUCCGCCUGUGGAUGGUGCUGGUGAAUCGGGGACCGAUGACUCGGCGAAAGCAAAAUGUGAGACAUCCUCCAAGUCACUGAUUUGAAUUUGAUCAUUCCAUAUUAUCUGUAAUAUGUAGUAAUAAUAUAUGUUUUCCUUGGUGAGUGCGACUCACGAUACGGUUGAUUUCCUUUAUGUCAGACCAAAGGUGAUUGUUAAUAUAUGUAAGCUAAACCAUGUGUUUCUCUAAUAACUUAACUUAUUAGAAUUGUUGGAUAUAAUUCCAUCAAAUUUCAUAUGUUAUUAAAGCAGAGGUUCUAAGUUCAAACAUUUUCAGGUCAUAUUUGCUUCAUCUAUUAUAUGUUCUCAUGUUUCAAUCUUAGAUCAAUUCAAGUUUAUGAGUAAAGAUGAGUAUAAAAGUAUUUGUAUUAAAGUAUUUGAAUUAAACAUUGCAUCCAUCUAAUAAUUUAAAUUUUUAGAAUAAUUAAUUGUAGUUCCCGAAAUUUCAAAGUGAUACACACUUCAUGUAAAUUAAAUGGAUGAAUGGCUCAUUUCAUCCGUUUCAUUGCCCUGGAAUCUAAUUGUUAACUUUGAACAUGUGGAAGCUCGUGGGUUUAUGAAAUCGCUCGUCUGGAGUGGCCACGUUCGAUUCACUUUGAACCAGUCCAAUUUGCGGCACUCUCGAGUCAUGAAAUCCUAAGCACUCACUUAGUCACUUACCUGUCUAGUGUGCAAAGAAAAUAAUUCUCAUCGCCUACUCUCUGAGUCAAGACUUGGGUGAAGAAAACCGGAACAAAAUAAUUCUCUUCAUUGCUCACAAAAAAAUAGAACCAAACACCGAACUCAUUUCCAUUUACACCCGUUUCAUUUCCCCACUUCUCCCUCCUAGGCGCCCAAUUUCUGUGCACGCAAAUGAGUUUUGGUGUUUGAUUCAUGGCGGGGUAUAAUCUAGUGAGCAGCGGGCGCAGAAGUCUAGUCAAGGGACGAGAUAAAAAGGAAUUGCAACACGCAACUCAAGGAGAAUUGUGGAAAAGUCUGGAUAUGCGAUUUUCCUCCUCCGAUCUCGGAUUUUUAUUUCAAAGCUGGUUGGUAUUGACACGUAGAAUAUAACUCUAAAGUGAUUCUGGACCUAUUUAUUCGACAGUGAACGUAGAUAAUUACAAAAAAUAAAAAGGAUCUCAUUGUACAAAUGUCUAUUGAGUUAUAAACUUUCUAAAUUAGUCGAUUUAAUUUUAAACAUCUUGACGAUUUGCCAAUAUAAUUAUGCUAACCAAUUUUGACCAAAAAUCGUUGACGUUGACGCUAGCCAUCCUAUGGCACAUGACCAGUAUUGAGGUGAAUAACUUUUGUAAUUUAAAAAAAAUUCUCAAUUUUUUUCUUUUUUUCAUGUUUUCAUUUUCUUCAUUUUCCUUUCUUAUAUUUUCCUUUUUUUCUUUUACUUAUUCCCCUUCGCCAUCCAUUGGCCAGUCCAUGGCUUCGGUGAUUGAUAGUAAGGCCCCAAUGCCCUCGCCAGCGAUUGCAAGGGCUGAUGGAUUUGCUGGGGCCACAGACUAAUGGAGGGACAAAGGAAGAAAAAAAAUGAAUGAAAACUUAAAAAAGGACAAAAAAAAAAAGAGUUUUGAAAUAAUUGUAAAAAUUAUCCACAUUAACAUCCGCACCCAGAUCUGGGCGAGUCCAAUCUUGUCAUGGCCUGGCCUAAAUCUGGGUGAAGCCGCCUUGUGCACAGCCCCGAGGCCUCAUUUGUGCCCAACAAGGCUCGUCAAAGAAGCAAAAGAAUGAAGAAGAGAAAAAAAUAAAAGGAAAAGUAAAAAAAAAAUUAUUAAAAAUUGCCACGUCAGCGUUGAGCGAAUGGCCAGCGUCGACAUCAGCGCUAGCCGACCAAAAUUAGUCGAAUAGAUUGAAUUGACACAAUCACAAAAAAAUUAGAACUGAAUUGGCACAUUUAUAAUGGAUUUAGGACUUUUUUGAUAAUUCUCCCGAUCUAUCUAUUAUCUCCAUUUUUAGAUUGCGACAUGUGUCCAUCCAAUUUUAGUCCUCACUGCAUCUUAUCUAAAUACCAUCAAACCUUGGAUGGUACUUGGAGAUCUAUGCAAAUAUUUAUAUAUAAAAAUUAUAUUGAGAUAGUAAAGUGUGCUCACCAUCAUCAUAUAAAAAUUAUCCUGGGGGAUUAAAUGUUUCAAUUAAUUACGGUAGGAUGAGAAGUAUUUUUCAUAAAGAACGGACAUUCAAGAAGUCUUGCUAGAUUGAUAGAUUGAUGUUGCAAAUGGUUCUCUUCUCAAGUAGCAUGAAAAAUUACGCUACUCAAAUGUAGAGCCUCCUUUUUUUCUAUUUUUUCGGCAGAUCUUUCAAAUCAAAUUACAGGGUUACGACUAUGAAACCUCACAGUACAAGUACAAAAAAUACCAAAUCAAUCAUCUAUUAACUUCUCGAUGCUCAUUAAAUCUGAUUCACAAAAUAGGUUGGGACCCAUUUUGCUAGCCCUACUAAAAUCUAAACAUUUUAAUAAAUUAAGGAUUUAUAUGGCGUCCUAGUUCACAAAGAUGUGCCGUUGUUGUUGACAAAUCAACAGUGAUUGAUUUUCAUGAACUCGUCGUCAUAUUGUCGACAUUCCCAUUAUAUAUGAGCAUAAUAGCGAACUUUGAUUUUCGAGCAUCAAGAUAUAAGAUUGGCUUAAAUAGAAUGCCAAAUAGCCCAAGUGUCACAAUUAGAUAAGUCCAAACCCCAAACACGUUCAACUACGGUUUUUUUUUUCUUUUAACUUUAUUCACAUAUUAUUAGACCAUACUUUAUGGUUAAUGAUCAUAUAUAUCGCGGUUUAUGAAAGACUGUGCCACAUCGAUAGUUUUAGAUGUUAGUCCAAAUUCGAAAUACUGGGCCAACGUUUGAGAUUUUAUUGGCCAUUCGACAUUUCAUUUAUUACUCAUGAAGUCUAUCAGUGCAUGAAAUUUACUGAAAAUUAGAGAAUCUCACAAUACCAACAAAAUAUCAAGUUUUUUUUCAACUUUUUUACCCUUGAUACACUCCACAUACAGCCCAAUUUACAAAAUUCUACAAAAACCACUGCUCAGCAAAGACGAACAACAGCACCCAUCGGCCCAACAUGCUUAACUCCAAGCAUAGAGUGACUCGAACUCUUCUUGUCUCCUUUUCAGUUUACCACAACCAGACAUAUUUAAUACAGUACCGUGAACAAGACAAGAUAGCGAUGAGAUCGGCUCAAUAGGCAUCAGGGUUUGCCAAGCGAUAAGCCUCGAUGGCCUUGAACAUCCCGGACGCCUUCUCUUUCCCAGCCUUGAUCUUCUCCUCAGUUAUGUCCGCCUCGCCAAUGGUGAAGUACUUGCUCGUGCUCUUGCACACCGAGCCUCCCUCGGGCGAAGUGGUGAUCUUCAUCUCGUAGCUGAUCUUCUCAAGGGUGGUGCCCAGCGAGUCGCCCUCAAUGAUGGAGUAGCUGUAGGUGAAGUUCUCCUUGUCCAGGGCCUCGACCUUAUGCUUCAUUGUCUUGUACUGACUGCCU